UUACAUAAAAGUUAACAAAAUUAUGCCACUUUUUUAAAUUUUUCCUUAGGGUGUCAAUGUCAUAAUGUGGGUACAAACUGACAGUAUAGGAACAAGGACAUUGAUAAAAUUUACAAAGAAAAAUUGGAAAUGUAUUCAGAGAAGUAGCAUCAAUUGCCUAGGGAAUAAGUGUCUGUAGAUGUUACUCUUUAGUCCCCAGUAUGCUUGAAACAAACUGGAGGCCGAUCAGUUUCUUACAGUAUCAGAAGACAGCAGCCACAGUUACAGCUACAACUAACCACACAAAGAGAUUGAAUAACACUGAGCUGCAAAGAAGUAGUGACCCAAAAAGGAUCAAGGUAGACUUAUCUGGGCCUGUCUGCAAGCCUUUUGCUCUGUCUUCCACAGGAGAGAAGAAAUCUCUUCUGCCAACACAUUGUCUGUAUAAAUGGCUACUGCACAGAAGCAAUCCUCUUUAUUCUCCUUGUCAACAGUCAGUCCAAUCUGAAGUUCAUUAUUGGAGAUUUGCCAACCUGUGUUGGUUACCAAUCAAGAAAAACUUGGUAGAAUUAGCAUAGAAUAUGUAAAAACUGGAAAAUCACCAUGUUAAUUUUAGCAGGUCCUUCAACAAGUACAUUCUAUAUGAUUUUCAGCUGCUAGAGAAGUAUGAGAAAGAAAAUUAUGAGAAUGUCAACCAGUGGAAACUAAUGUCCUCAAGUAACUUCUCUCAAUAUCCUUUUCCUUUGUGACAAUAUUAAAGACCUAUGGUUACAAGUUACAACUUAAUUUUCAUCUCCGGACUUACAAUGUGAACAUACUUGAGAGUCUGAUUGUAACUUGACCCAACCAAGCAAGGGCCAUCCGUACUUCAUACCAUUGAGGUUGGUCGAUGGAAUUGAGUCACAUAAAAUGUUCAUCUUCAGUAUUUGGGUUAACUAAUUGUCAAAUAUGCCCUCAAACGAACUUUCCUGAGAUUGAAUAAGCUCAAAAUAUAGAAGAGUAAAUUUUCUAAAGCAUGAAGAUGAGGAAUAAGCUCAAAAUCAUCACUUCUAUACAAAAUAAGAAAGUUAGAUGAGAGAAUUACACUCGAAUGCUUUAAGAUAAUAAGAACAUUAAAAUAAGAAACGGAACGCCAAAGUCUUAUAGUCAAGACAAUUUGAUUAAAAUAUUAUUUAUGGAAGUUCUGUGGUAUAGACCUUCAUUUAGACUUGGAUUUUUUAAUUUUCUUUAUGAAUAACCAAUUGGCUCCUGCUCAAAUGAAAAAUGAGAACCAAUGCUCAUAGUCACAGACAGAAGUGUAGGCAUGGCAAUGCCAAUUUUGCAAAUGAUCAUCUAGUCAUAUCAAACUCUGUUCUCAUGGUAAGUCUUCUAUGCUGAUCCUUGUUGCUUAAUAUGAGACAUAAAAGAAAAGAAAAGAAAAGAAAAAGUAGUGAUUAAUUUAUUUUGAUAUCGAAGGGAUAAAAGUUACAACAUGUACAUUACAUAUGUAGCCAACUAAGAACAUAUUAUGAUGUGGGUAAGAUUCAAUACAUAUUUCAAUAACCAUAAAAUGUAUCCACAUGUUCUUAUAGGAGAUAAACACACAAAUAGUUAAGAGUCAUCUCUACCCAUUCAAAAAGGUAAAUUGAAGAUGUCAUGAAAAAAAUGAUAACUGGCUUCAUUAAAAUGUGAAUUACCAAGGAUCAAUCUUUCUUUACUCUUCUUCUCUUCAUUAGAAAAUUCUUAAAUAAAAAAAACAAAACAAAACAGAACAGAGCAUGCUGCACAACCAAAUUCCCCGCAACAAGACUAGAAAAUGCAUUAUGCAGACAUGCAACUCUAGAGAUUGUUAGAAAUUUUGAAACAUGAGUACUUGGACAACUACUUUAUGAAUUGGAACUUAACUUUUCUGAAGAAAAUAAGUUUAAGCAUAGAAUAAAUUACCUGACUGUAUAUUGAUGCAGUAACACUUUCAUUAAGAUAACAGAUCAUUGAUCACUAUUUUUGGAGUUGAGAGAGGGCAAUUCCAUAUAUAAAAGGUCAUGGGAUUAUGUUCCCUUUGGAACUCGAUUUUGCUUGUCAAUAGCCCGUCCAAUAUGAAGUUCAUAAUUAUAUGAACUCCACUGUCUGCUCUCCCUUCAUCUACUUGGCAACUGGGCAGUUGAAAAGAUUUGAUCUUUAAAAUUUGUAUCCAAGAAAGAAUACCUAUACAGGCAACAAUUUGAACAACCUCCCCUCUUCAUCAAACAAUACAAUGACUAUUAAAUCCACAAAUCCUACUACUAUGGCUAUUGGUUCCUAUGCUACAAAUGUAAUUAGGAAUUGCCUGCACAAUGGACCAAGAAAGAAGCAUUUGUUUUUAAGAUCAUAAGCUUCUAUAUAUAAGUAAAGCAUCUUAUACAAAAAAGUGUAGAUUUACCUUGUGCCUUUAAAAAUCACUUUUUGAGAAAUUUUAAAAUUUGAUAUAGUAAAUUUUUUUUGAUACCUUGAUUGUUUUAAACAGUUUUUAAAAUUAUUAAUUUUUCAAGAGUUAAAAUACAAAAGUUACUAUUAUUUUAUGAUUUUAAAAACAAAAAACUGGAAGUAUAUUGAAAAGACACUUUAUUUUAGGCUUAAGGAGGUCAUAACCUUAACAAUGUAGGAGAUUUAAGUGAUUCUUGAACGGAGGCAAGGAAUUAAUCAGAUAUGUUCUUAAGAUUAGAAAUUUAGGUGGAACAUAAAUUUUGUAAAGAAAUUAAGUUUAAGCACUGAACAAUUACCCGCCCAUGUGUUGGUGCAGUGCCACUUCCAUCAAAAUAGCACACCAUUGAUAACUAUUUUUGGAAUGUGAGAUAUAUAACGCCAUUCUUGCCCUUUCUCGAAUUGGCAUCGUUGUUCCAGUAAAGGACACCAUCUGACAUAAAGCAAAGAGAGGGAGUCUGGCAGUCUCUCUUUUGUCAAGUAAUGGAGAUUAGGGCAAUCCAAGAGAGUUAAGGUUUCAAGAGUGGUGAGGUGAUGAAGACCCGCUUCUGUCAAGGAUUGGAGCCUUAUGCACCAGUCGAUUCUUAAUUCCUUGAGAGAGAUAAGGCGUUGAAGAACAGAUCCUGUCGAGAAUUGGAGUUCAGGGCAAUUCCUGAUCUCUAAUUGUAGAAGAGAGGUGAGUUGUUGAAGCGCCUUGUUGUCAAGAGACUUGAGAUUUGGAAGAUCCCAGAUUGAAAGAUAAGUUAGAGAAGAGGGCAGCAGACACUCCUUGGGAAAUAAUUCCACGCUUUCACAUCCACCUUUGAUUGUGAAAUGAGUAAGAGAGGUCAGUGUUUGCAAAUCCCAGUCCACCUGGAAUGUGAGUUGGUUGUAGAACCAAAUUUGAAAAUCCCACGCAAAUGUAGUUUCUGCAGAGAUGAAUGGGUGUGCGUCAGCAAUCUGAGCUUGGAGCUCUUGCAUAUCUCAUGGCACAUCGAGUCGAGAGCGGGCAGUUGGAUGUAUACAAGAUUAGGGCACCCUUCGAUUCUCAAUCUACGAAGAGAUGUGGGAUCCUCCUCUGAAAUCGAGAUGCAGAGCUCUUCCAGCCCCUUAAGAUCAUUUAUUUGGAAAUCAGUCAACCUGGGGAAGAUGUCCAAUAUUGAGAAGGACAGCGAGAGAGAAUCACAGGUACUACCAUUGAUUGAUAGAUUUUCGAGAACUGGGUGAUGGCAUCUGAACAACUCAGGUAAAAGAAGGUCCACUUUGGUACAGUCAGAGAUUGAUCGUGAUUUCAACGUAGUGGGUAAACCAACUUUGUACAGGGAUCUAAGAAAACUACAAUCAGAAAUGUACAGAUAAUGUAUGUUGGUUUGCAAGAUUUCCUUCUUUAGAAGAGACUCCACAUAAUCACAUUUUCUAAUUGAGAGACAUUUGAAAUUUCAAUUUCUGAAGUUUGAAGAGCUGUGAAGCCACAAGUUUGUCUUUUCAACCACAAUCUACUGGCAGCAGGAACGUUGAGUGUAGGCACAAGCAGUUGUGGGCAAUUUCCAAGGGAAAGUUCCUUCAAUGAAGGAAGGUGUAUUGGUAAUUCCCCAGUGAAUUUGGGACACCUCCAUAUAGAAAGCUUCUGGAGACGAGGGAAUUCUCCAUGUCUGCCUCCACAACAUAACCAUUUCUCCCAAUUGGACAUAGAGGAAAAUGAUAGAGUUUGCAGGGAUGGGAAGAAGGGAUGAAGCGAGGAAGAAGAAUUCCCAUAAAACUCACUACCCACCGUCACUACUCCUUUCAUUCCAAAGAUCUCUAUAUGUUCAAGACAAGGUAGCUGCCCCAGUGGCGGCAAUAUUAAGUAAUUCCCACAAUACGAAAGCUGAAGGGACAUGAGAUUUGAAAAUGAUCCAUCUCCAAGCCAAUCUGGAAAUGUUAGACCAGGAUAGUGUUGAAUGGACAGUUUUUUUAAAUUUGGAUGAUGUAUUAGCCUGUUGAGAAUAUCAUCUUGUAUAGCAUCAUGACUAAUCCCGCAACUCCAAUUCAAGGAUAACUUAUCAAGGUAUUUCUUAUCCUUCAUAUUUGCUUGCAAUGCAUCCUCAACACCCACCACAUUCUCCAUUUUUGAAAUUUCAAGUCUUCCUCCAAUCUCUAAGAGCUUCCUCAAUUCUCCAAUUCUGAAUCCACUUUUUUGGCCCAUGGUAAAAUUAGACAACUGCUACAAACUUUUUAAUUAAUCUAUAUCAUUUGGCAUUUCUUUCAAUGAAUCAGUCCCAUUAAUAUUAAGAUAGAGCAAAUUAAUCAACUUCCCCAUUUUUAAAGGCAAUUCAAGAAGAAAGAGACAUUUACUCAGCAUCAUUGUUUGUAAAUUGCAUAAACAACAUAUUGAUUCAGGUAAUCUUUCAAUCAUUGUUGUAGAGAGAUCCAAGUAACGCAACUGUUUUAAGUUGUUAUGCGGUAUUCACACAAUGACAACACGCGCAAAGAUUUAAAUUUUGGUAAUAUAUUUUGUAAAACUCUUGUACUCAAUGUAUAAAAAGGAUAGUGCAAUAAUCUCUUCACCUUUAAGACUGUUCUGAGAUGUUUGGCUUCACCAACAGACUCAAAAUUUUCAAAUACAACUUCCCGGUCAUUGUCACUUUUAAAGUAGAGAAAAUGGCGAGCCUUAUCCGAUAUUUUUUGCACCUUAUAAUCUUCCAAUCGAAUGCAAAAUUCUUGGGAGAUAUGUUGAGCCAAGUCAUGUAUUAAAUCAUGCAUUACAAAGCAUGAUUCUUCUCCUCUAAUGCAUUUUUGAAAAAAAGACUUUGCUAAAAGUUCAUUAAAAUAUGAAUCACCUACCUCUUCCAUUCUUCUGUUACUUUGUCCUGAGUGUAAAAGCCCUUGUGCCAUCCAUAAUAGAAUUAGCUUCUCUUUGUGGAAUUCAUAGUCCUUGGGAAAAAUUGAACAGUAAGCAAAACAACGCUUCACAUGUAGAGAAAGAUGCUGAUAACUCAAUCUAAGAGAUGGAAGAAUUUCAUGAUCAGUUUGAGAAUGCCAUGUUUUGCUAUUCAAAAUAUAUUCCCAUUCUCUUCUUUUGGGCUUAGCGUACAAGAGACUCCCGAGUGCUUUUACAGCCAAAGGCAAUCCUUGGCACUUCUUCACAAUCUCUCUGCCUAUGGGUUCAAGCUGAGGAUAAGCGCAGGAGUCUCCAUUGGAAAUGCAAGUUUGGUAAAUAGGGACCAACUAUCUUCAGGGCUUAAUGUUCCCAGCUGAUGAGUAUGGAUUGCACGCAUGACUUUUGCAACAGUUUCGCUACGACUGGUCACAACAAUCUUGCUUCCCUGGGCUGCAGCGAGGAGUGGAGUUCGUAGUCUAUCCCAACUUUCCCAAUCAAGAGACUCCACAUCCCAGACGUCGUCGAGAACCAGCAGAAAUUUCUUGUUGCCAAGGUUGUCUUUGAGUCGACGUUGAAGUAAAUCUAGGCUGUCAUCGGAAGUAGGUCUACAACCGAUCGCCUCAAGAAUUGAUUUGGUUACACCGAUAAGAAGAAACUCAGUGGAAACACAGACCCAUGCUUUCAGGUGGAAGUGUUCCUUCACUCUGUCAUCGUUAUAGAGAAGGUGAGCGAGUGUGGUCUUGCCGCUGCCGCCCAUGCCCACUAUGGACAUCACAUCUAUGACGUUGUUGCCUGUCGUAGUUUCCUUGUCAGAAAGCAACCACAUCACCAUCUCCUCCUUAAUUUCAUCCCUGCCAUACACGAAGGACUCGUCUACCAAAGAAGAGGAUGGUAAUUUUGGUGACAGUCUCUCACCAUCACCUUCUUUCAGCCCAAGCUUCUCUUUUUCUUCAGCGAUAUCUUCAAGCUUAGCAGUCAUCUCCUUCACCCUGGACUCCAUGCUUUGAUUGGAAAAUGGAGCCUUAACCCUGGUAGAGAACUUGUUCCACACCUGAUAAAUUCCACCAGGUUGGGAGUCAGCAACUUCAAUCUCGCACCGCAAGGCUUCGGUAGCGAUCUCGUCCAACAGGUCCUCCGCAUGAUACACAGCAUCCUUAACCUGGAAUAGCCACUCUUUGACUAGUGGGUCUGAAAUUUGCUUCAUCUCCGCAUCAUUGAGCACUUUGUGGACAACCAGCAAUUUCCUCUUCAAUUUGUUGAGGAGUUCAUGGCUAAGCUUCUGUCCCCGGAUGAAGUUCAUCAACUCCGGAGAAGCCAACCUGUCGAAUAGAACUUGAAGUGAAGCGGAGAGGAGUACACCCAGGCACAAAUAUCUAAAGCCGUAUUUUCAAAAAAAUUUGGUUACCAACCAAGAAAUACCAUGUGGUUUUGGCCUCUUAAAUAUUCAAUCACAAGUACAUUCUAUAUGAUUUUAAGCUACUAGAGAAGUAUGAAAAAGAAAAUUAUGAGAAUGUCAACCAGUGUGGAAACUAAUUUCCUCAAGUAACUUCUCUCAAUAUCCUUUUCCUUUGUGACAAUAUUAAAGACCUAUGGUUACAAGUUUCAACUUAAUUUUUGUCUCCGGACUUACCAUGCGAACAUACUUGAGUCUGAUUGUAACUCAACCCAACCAAGCAAGGGCCAUCCAUAGUUGAUACCAUUGACGUUGGUUGAUGGAAUUGAGUCACAAGCUAGUCCAGCUUGACUAAAAGUCAAGUAUACUCUCAAAACGAACUUUCUUGAGAUUGAGAACAAACCUUGUAUCAUAAAAAGUUCAGAAGAAUAAAUCCGGAGAAUAUUUAAUAUAGUCAACAACGAACUCUUCUUCUUCAUAAGAGCUGGUGAAUUAGCUCAUAAUGUAGAAGAGUAAAUUUUCUAAAGCAUGAAGAUGGGGAAUAAGCUCAAAAUCAUCAUUUCUAUACAAUAUCAAAAAGUUCAAUGAGAGAAUUGUACUCAACUACUUUAAGAUGAUAACAACAUCAAAAUAAAAAACAGAACCGCAAAAGUCUUAUAGUCAAGACAAUUUAAUUACAAUAUUCGUCGUGGGAAUUUUGCGGUAUAGACCUUCAUUCAGACUUGGACUUUUUAAUGUUCUUUAUGAAUAAACAAUUGGCUCCUGCUCAAAUGAAAAAUGAGAACCAAUGCUUAUAGUCACAGACAGAAGUGUAUGUACGCAUGGCAAUGCCAAAUUUGCAAAUGAUCAUUUGGUCAUAGUCAAGACCAAGAAAAUCCAAAACAAGAACAAUAGAAACAUGUGUACCAACUACAUAACAAAGAAAUGUGUCAAUCUGCUCACCUUUUGAAGGUUGUCCACUGGGUUAGUGCAAAAUAGACUGACUUUUUUUAUAGGGGCCCUCAAUCAGUGCUGGAUGCUGAACCAGAAGAGAGUUUAGAUACUAAAAAAUUCUAUAAAUUUAAUACCAUAAAAUACCUCACAUAAAAAUGUUGCUUUUGGAACUGUAGUUUUCCAAAUGUUCCCAAAUUUAAAAAUACAUUGGCAUAAAGUUAUUGAUGUUUACCUCAUAUUUUUUUCCAUGGUCAUAUCAAACAUUGUUCUCAUAGUAAGUCUUCUAUAUGCUGAUCCUUGUUACUUAAUAUGAGACACAGAAAAGAAAAAGUAGUGAUCAAUUUAUUUUGAUAUCAAAGGGAGCAAAGUCAUAACAUGUACAUUACAUAUGUAGCCAACUAAAUACAUAUUAUGAUGUGGGUAAGAUUCAAUACAUAUUUCAAUAACCAUGAAUUACCUAAAAAUGUAUCCACAUGUUCUUACAAGGGAUAAACACACAAGUAGCUAAAAGUCAUCUCUGCCCAUUCCGAAAGGUAAAUUGAUGGUGUCAUGAAAAUAUGAUAAAUGACUUCUUUAAAAUAUGAAUUAUCAUGGAUCAAUCUUUCUUUACUUCAUUAGAAAAUUCUUAAAAAGAAAAAAAGAAAAAAAAAAAAAGAAAGACAGGAUUGAGCAUGCUACAUAACCAAAUUCCCAAUAAGAAGACUAGAAAAUGAGUUAUGGAGACAUGCAAUUGUAGAGAUUGUUAGAAAUUUUGAAACAUGAGUACUUGGGCAGCUACUUUAUGAAUUGGAACUUAACUUUUCUAAAGAAAAUAGGUUUAAGCAUAGAACAAAUUACCUAACUGUAUAUUAAUGCAGUACCACUUUCAUUAAAAUAGCAGACCAUUGAUCACUAUUUUUGGAGUUGAGAGAGGGCAAUUGCAUAUAUACAAGAUCAUGGGAUUAUGUUCCCUCUGGAACUCGAUUUUGUUUAUCAAUAGCCCGUGUACCACAUUCUUUUCUGCUCCCCCUUCAUCUGCUUGGCAACAGGGCAAUUGAAAAAAAUUUCGUCUUUAGAAUCUGUACCCAAGAAAGAAUACCCAUACAGGAAACAAUCUGGACAACCUCCCAUCUUCAUCAAGCAAUACAAUGGUUGUUAAAUCCACAAAUCCCACUACCAUGGCUACUGGUGUCUAUGCUGCGAAUGUCAUCAGAAAUUUCCUACACGACAGACCAAGAAGAAGUAUUUGUUUUUAAAAUCAGAAGCUUCUAUAUAUAAGUAAAGCAUCUUAUACAAAGAGUAUAGAUUUAACUUGUGUCUUUAAAACUUACAUUUUAAAAAAUUUUAAAAUUUGAGAGAAUAAGAGCUUGUUGGACAAAGUUUUAAAAAAUAAUUUUUCAUUUUUAAAAAUGGAAAACAGUUUUAAAAAAUUAAUAACAUUGUUUGGUUAUUCUUCUCUAUUUCCCGUUUUUAAAAACAAAGUAAAAUAAAGAAUAUCUUCUAGAAAACAAGUAAAAGUUAUUUUCAUCUGUUUUUUAAAAUAAUAGAAAAACACAUGCAUUCUAUUAUUUAUCUUCUACAUAAAAUUAUCAUUUGUCAAUUAAAAUUAUCAUUUGUUUUUAAAAAAAUUGUUUCAUAAUGAAAAAAAAAUUAUUUAUCUUUAACUAAUAUAUAAUUGUGUAUUUAAUUUUUAUUUUUUUAAUAAGACUUAACUUGAAUUUGAUUUCAUAUUAUUAUAAAUUAAUUUUAUAAAAUAAAAAUAAUCCAUUGUUUUAAAUUUGAAAACAAUUUUUAAAAAUAAAUUUUAAAAAACACCACCAAAUGAGCCCUAAAUUUUUUUUGAUACCUUCAUUGUUUUAAACAGUUUUUAAAAUUAUUAAAUUUUCAAUGUAAGCCUUUAAGAGUUAAAAUACAAAAGUUACUGUCACUUAAUUUUAGGCUUAACAAUGUAGGAGAUUUAAGUGGAGGCAAGGAAUUAAGCAGAUAUAUUCUUGAGAUUAGAAAUUUGGGUGGAACAUAAAUUUUGUAAAGAAAAUAAGUUUAAGCACACAAAAAUUACCUGCCCAUGUGUUGGUGCAGUGCCACUUCCAUUAAAAUAGCUCACCAUCGAUCACUAUUUUUGGAAUGUGAGAUAUAUAACGCCAUUCUUGCCCUUUCUCAAAUCGGAGCUGUUGUUUCAGUAAAGGACACCUGCUGACAUACAGAUAAGAGAGGGAGUCUGGUAGUCUCUCUUUUGUCAAGUAUUGGAGCUUAGGGCAAUUGAAGAGAAUUAAGUUUUCAAGAGUGGUGACGUGGUGAAGACCCGCUUCUGUCAAGGAUUAGAGACUUUUGCACGAGUAGAUUCUUAAUUCCUUGAGAGAGAUAAGGCGUUGAAGAACAGAUCUUGUCGAGAAUUGAAGCUCAGGGCAGUUCUCGAUGUGUAAUUGUAGAAGAGAGGUGAGUUGUUGAAGCCCCUUGUUGUCAAGAGACUUGAGAUUUGGAAGACUAUAGAUUGAAAGAUAAGUUAGAGAAGAGGGCAGCAGACACUCCUUGGAAAAUAAUUCCACUCCUUCACAUCCACCUUGGAUUAUGAAACGAGUAAGAGAGGUCAGUUUUUGCAAAUCCCAGUCCACCUGUGACGUGAGUUGGUUGCAGCGCACUAUUGCAAGUUCCCGUAGGUUGGAAGGCAAACCCUCUCUGUGCAACAACAAUUCGGGACAAUCCUCUAAACCCAGUUUCUGCAGAGAUGAAUGGGUGUGCGCCAGCAAUCUGAGCUUGGAGCAAUUGCGAAUCUCAUGGUAUAUCGAGUCGAGAGUGGGCAGUUGGAUGUAUACAAGAUUAGGGCACCGAUGGAUCUUCAAAUUACGAAGAGAUGUGGGAUCUCCCUCUGAAAUCGAGAUGCAGAGCUCCUCAAGCCCCUUAAGACCAUUUAUUUCGAAAUCAGUCAACCUGGGGAAGAUGUUCAAUAUUGAGAAGGACAACAAGAGAGAAUCACAGGUACCGCCAUUGAUUGAUAGAUUUUCAAGAACCGGGUGAUGGCAUCUGAACAACUUAGGUAGAAGAAGGUCCAAUUUGGUACAAUCAGAGAUUGAUAACGAUUUCAAUGUACUGGGUAAGCCAACUUUGUUUGGGGAUCUGUAAAAAGAGCAAUCACAAAUUUCCAAACUGUACAUGUUGGUUUUCAGGAUUUCCUCCUCUAGUAGAGACUCCACAGAAUCACAUUUUCUAAUGUAGAGAAUGUGGGGAACCAUUGGAAGUUCCUUCAACUGAGAGACCUUUGAAAUUUCAAUUUCUGAAGUUUGACUAGCUGUGAACCCACAAGUUUGCCUUUUCAACUGCAAUUCACGGGCAGCAUGAACGUUGAGUGUAGGCACAAGCAGUUGCAGACAAUCUUCAAGUUUAAGUUCCUGCAAUGAAGAAAGGUGCAUUGGUAAUUCCCCAGUGAGUUUUGGACAUAGCCUUAUAGAAAGCUCUUGGAGACGAGGGAAUUCUCCACAUAUGCCUCCACAACAUAACCAUUUCUCCCAAUUGGACAUAUCUUCAAAUGAUAGAGUUUGUAGGGAUGGGAAGGAGGGAUGAAGCGAGGAAGAAGAAUUCCCAUAAAACUCACUACCCACCCUCACUACUCCUUUCAUUUCAGAGAUCUCUAUAUGUUCAAGACAAGGUAGCUGCCCCAGUGGCGGCAAUGUUGAGCAAUUCCCACAAUUCGAAAGCUGAAGGGAUACGAGAUUUGAAAAUGAUCCGUCUCCAAGCCAAUCUGGAAAUGUUAGACCAGGAUAGUGUUGAAUGGACAGUUUUUCUAAAUUUGGAUGAGGUGUUAGCCUGUUGAGAAUAUCAUCUUGUAUAGCAUCAUGACUAAUCCCCCGACUCCAAUUCAAGGAUAACUCAUCGAGGUAUUUCUUAUCCUUCAUAUUUGCCUGCAAUGCAUCCUCAACACCCACCACAUUCUCCAUUUUUGAAAUUUCAAGUCUUCCUCUAAUCUCUGAAAGCUUCCACAAUUCUCCAAAUCCGAAUCCACUUUUUUGGCCCACAGUAAAAUUAGGCAAUUUCUGCAAACUUUUUAAUUGAUCCAUAUCAUUUGGCAUUUCUUUCAAUGAAUCAGUCUCGCUAACAUCAAGAUAGCGCAAAUUAAUCAACUUCCCCAUUUUUGAAGGCAAUUCAAGAAGAGAUUGACAAUUCCUCAGCAUCAUCGUUUGCAAAUAGCAUAAACAACAUAUUGAUUCAGGUAAUCUUUUAAUCUUUGUUGCAGAGAGAUCCAAGUAACGCAAUUGUUUUAAAUUGUGUAUUGAAUUAGGCACAUCUGUUAUGUAGUAUUCACACAAUGACAACACGCGCAAGGAUUUAAAUUUUGGUAAUAUAUUUUGUAAAACUCUUGUACUCAAUUGAUAAAAAGGAUAGUGCUGUAAUCUCUUCACCUCUAAGAAUGUUCUGAGAUGUUUGGCUUCACCAACAGGCUCAAAAGUUUCAAAUACAACUACCGGGUACUCGUCACUUUUAAAGUGGAGAAAAUGGCGAGCCUUAUCAGAUAUUUUUUGCAGCUUACAAUCUUCCAAUCGAAUGCAAAAUUCUUGGGAGAUAUGUUGAGCCAAGUCAUGUAUUAGAUCAUGCAUUACAAAGCAUGAUUCUUCUUCUCUAAUGCACUUUUGAAAGAAUGACUUUGCUAAAAGUUCAUUAAAAUACGAAUCACCUACCUCUUCCAUUCUUCUAUUACUUUGUCCCGAGUGUAAAAGCCCUUCUGCCAUCCAUAAUAGAAUCAGCUUCUCUUUGUGGAAUUCAUAGUCCUUGGGAAAAAUUGAACAGUAAGCAAAACAACGCUUCACAGGUAGGGAAAGAUGCCGAUAACUCAAUCUAAGAGAUGGAAGAAUUUCAUGAUCAGUCUGAGAAUGCCAUGUUUUGCUAUUCAAAAUAUCUUCCCAUUCUCUUCUUUCGGGCUUAGAGUACAAGAGACUCCCCAGUGCUUUCACAGCCAAAGGCAAUCCUUGGCACUUCUUCACAAUCUCUCUGCCUAUGGGUUCAAGCUGAGGAUAAGCGCAGGGGUCUCCAUUUGGAAAUGCAAGUUUUGUAAAUAGGUACCAACUAUCUUCAGGGCUUAAUGUUCCCAGCUGAUGAGUAUGGAUUGCACGCAUGACUUUCGCAACAGUUUCGCUACGACUGGUCACAACAAUCUUGCUUCCCUGGGCUGCAGCGAGGAGUGGAGUUCGUAGUCUAUCCCAACUUUCCCAAUCAAGAGACUUCACAUCCCAGAUGUCGUCGAGAACGAGCAGAAAUUUCUUGUUGCCAAGGUUGUCUUUGAGUUGACGUUGAAGCAAAUCUAGGCUGUCAUCGGAAGUAGGUCUACAACCGAUUGCCCCAAGAAUUGAUUUGGUUACACCGAUAAGAAGAAACUCCGUGGAAACACAGACCCAUGCUUUCAGGUGGAAGUGUUCCUUCACUCUGCCAUCGUUAUAGAGAAGCUGAGCGAGUGUGGUCUUGCCGCUGCCGCCCAUGCCCACUAUGGACAUCACAUCUAUGACGUUGUUGGCUGUUGCAGUUUCCUUGUCAGAAAGCAACCACUUCACCAUCUCCUCCUUAAUUUCAUCCCUGCCGUACACGAAGGACUCUUCCACCAAAGAAGAGGAUGGUAAUUUUGGUGACACUCUCUCACCAUCUCCUUCUUUCAGCCCAAGCUCAACUUUUUCUUGUGCAAUAUCUUCAAGUUUAGCAAUCAUCUCCUUCACCCUGGACUCCAUGCUUUGAUUGGAAAAUGGAGCCUUAACCCUGGUAGAGAACUUGUUACACACCUGAUGAAUUCCACCAGGUUGGGAGUCAGCAGCUUCAAUCUCGCACCGCAAGGCUUCGGUAGCGAUCUCGUCCAACAGGUCCUCCGCAUGAUACACAGCGUCCUUAACCUGGAACAGCCACUCUUUGACUAGUGGAUCUGAAAAUUGCUUCAUCUCCGCGUCAUUGAGCACUUUGUGGACAACCAGCAAUUUCCUCUUCAAUUUGUUGAGGAGUUCAUGGCUAAGCUUCUGUCCCCGGAUGAAGUUCAUCAACUCCGGAGAAGCCAACCUGUCGAAUAGAGCUUGAAGUGAAGCGGAGAGGAGUGCGUCGGCCAUAUCUGUUGACUGUUGCUUUGCAAAUCAAAGGAACUCAACGAUUCAGUUCAGGAAAAAACGAAGGUAAGCAGAGGCAGAAUCACACCGCCAAACUGUAGUGGACUGGUUGGAACACGAGAUCCAAAUAUAAUGGAAAAAUAAAGAAGGCCACAGAGAGGCACAUGGGGCUGCACCAAACACCAAGAGAAGCACAUGGUCUGUCACCGUCGAGCAUGAAACCCAUGUUUUGUUUAUUAAUGACUCUAUAUCUUUUUCAAAUCCAUAUAUAAUUUUAUCUAUAACUUCAUGGAUGUUUUUUUUUCAAUUGUUAGUAUUGAUUUUCCAUUUUCUUGUUCUUAAUAUAUUGGCAAAUCAAAAUAUUUUAUUUUUAAAUGAGGUUAUUAAUUGAUCAAAUACUGGGGAUAUAUAUUUGACAUUCUUAAAUUACUUAAUUAAAUGAUCAUUUUUUUUUGAGAAAAUAUUAGAAUCUGAAAUGUUUAAAGUAGGAUGAAUGAUUUUCUAAAUAAUGGCAAGGGGAAAAAAAAUAAAACACUAUCACUUGCAAUGAUUUGGAAAUGGGGUUAAAAAUAUUGUUUUAAGUUUAUAAUGUUUUCAAUGUAUUACUUUUAUUAUAAACUUUUUAAAAUUAAAUCAAUUGGUGUUUAUAUAUAUAUAUAUAUAUAUAUAUAUAAUCCUUUAAUAUUAAUUUUUUAAUUUAUAUAUAUACUGAACCUCAAUGUUUCAGUUAUAGGUCAAGGGGCAGAUCUUUUGACAUUGGUCUAGGUCUUCAAUUUUUUCUAGAUUUGCUCUUUAGAAUAUUGUAUUUUAUUUACCAUUGUAAAAUAAUUAUUCAAGCUCUUAACUUGAAAAUAUUAAAAUAAUUUUUUAUGUUUUCAUAAUGAUGUAAUUGUGACACUCCCAACCAAAAAAAAAAAAAAAUUAAAAGAAAAAAAGGCCGGAACCUAUUAUCAAUGUUAUUUUCACCUUAAUUGGUUUUUGUCGAAGGCAUAUAUAACUUUUACUCACAUUAGUUCUAUGCCUACUUGGAUAUCCUUAAUUGGUUUUGUACAAACCAUAAUGAAUUUCAUUCAAUUUGAUCGAUUUUAUAGUUCUUUAGUUGAUAUUAAUCAUAAUGAAAGAUCGUCUAUAUUUGAAUGUUUCUAUACCUGUCAUAAAACUUCUCAUAAUUACAUCAUCACCACCUUCACUUCCCAAUCUUGAAGCCACCUUACAAGAUUCCUUAACAACACCAUUAUUCAAUUCAAAAAAUUUUCACAUAAAUUAAAUAUAAAAAAAAUAUCUUUUUUCUCAAUUUUUAUUAUUAUUUUUUCUUUUAUGAGUAUUUUUCAGGCAAAUAAAAAAGAGCCUAAAUAACUUGAAAAAAAAAUUAAAUAAUAAACCAAAGGAUGGAUUGGUAAAAUUAUUUAGUAUUAUUUAAUCAUAAUAAACAAAGGAACAUUGCAAAGAUUAUUAUAAGAUGCCUACUUAAAUUAAUAACAUUCACCUCACUUCCUUCCAUAUACACAAGAUUCAAAAAAUAAAAAAUAGAACAAGCCAUGUGCAUGGGAUUCAUUUAGUUUUAUUGAGAGAGUUGUGCCUGCCAUGUACACACACCAGAUUAAAGAAAUAAUGAAAGAUGAAAUAAGUCAUAGAAGGCUCAUGGGGCUGCUUAAAGCCUCAAAGAGAGAGAGAGAGAGAGAGAGGUUUUUUUUUUUUUUUGGAACUUUGAAGUUAGUGAUGAUUUAAGACUCAUGGAGUUGAUUGAACAUUAUGAUAGAACCAAACAGUCCAUAUUGUUUGCCAAAAACAAUUUUAUGAAAAAGCAACCCAGAAAGUUUGAAAAAAUAUGUAAGAAAAAGAAAAAGUGAAAAAAAUAAUAUUCAAAAUUAAUAAAUUAUUUAAAAUUCAUUUUACAUAUUUAACUCUUUAAUAUAAAGAUUAAAUAGUUUAAAAAUAUAUAUAUUUUUUAAUUAUUUUAAUUAUAUUUGACUUUUCUUUCAUAUUUUUUUUUGAUAAAAUAAAAAAUAAGAAAAUAAUUUUUUUAACAUUUUGUUCUUUUUUUAGUAUUUUUUCAGGAACUAAAUAUUGAUUUAUAUUAAAAGUAAUCUUUUAUAUUAAAGUUAUAAUUGGUUCUCGGAAAGUGUUCCAAAAAAAAUGUUAAAUAAUUUUCUCCUAUUUGAUUUUACUAUUAAAAAUAUGAAAAAAAGUCAAAUAUAAUUAAAAUUAGUAAAAAAUUUAUAUAUUUUCAAGUUAUUUAAUUUUUAUAUAAAAGAGUUAAAUAAAUAAAAUGAGUUAAAAUAUGAUAUAAAAUAAUUUAUUGACUUUUCACAUCUAAUUACCUUAUCCUUCAUUUGUAAUACUAAAAGUAUCAAGGAAAUGAAAUAAAGGAAAGCUAAAUGAGAAUUUAAAAUCAUAUAUUUGAUUGAGAGUGAAAACUCAAAUACUUAAUUACAUAUGUUUUUAUUAAUGAAGAAAAAUGAGAAAUAAUAUUUUUUUUUAAAAAGGAUCUAAAUUUUUUUUCCUUCACUUUUUUUGCAUGUCACAAACAUGGUUCUCUUAGUUUCUAAUAUUUCCUAACUCAUCAAAGACUAAAUCCCCAUAGUCAAUGACACAAGUACUGCAAACAUGGCAAUGAGAAUUCCGCUAAUGAGAAGCUAGCACCAAAAGAUUUAGGUCUUCUCUUAUGACCCAUAACCAUGACAUUCAUCUCAAUGAUCAUCUCCAUAAAGACAUAAAUUCCUAGUCACAAUACUAAGAAAUGCCAAAACAGGAACAAAACUUCCUAACAAACUUCAAGCCACCUACCUUUAUAAGGUGGUCCACUGGGUCAAUGCAAAAUAGACCAACUUUUAUUAUAAAGACUCCCAAUCAAUGAUUGCAGGCCGCUAAACCAAAAUAUAAAACAAUGAGAUGUUUUUAGGUUAUUGAGAACAUGAACCAAAACAGAGAAAACCUUUUUGUUUUAGGGAAAAAUAAGACAUUGAAGGGAUAUGUAGUCAUAAAUCUUACAAUUUUGUAUAUUGUAAGAGUUAAAUCUCCACUUUUAUUACACUCGAAAGGGAAUAGAAGCAAGAAAAGACCAAAGCAAUUAAAAUUUCUUACUGCCAAAGCUCAAUACAUCAUUGCUUUCCUCCAUGCUUGUAUAAGAGAACAUAGACCAAGAAAGUGAGAAAAACCUAAGCAUCCAUGGUUUUCCAUAGUUAUCAAGUGGUUCACUAAAUUGAAGUACAUCUUUUUUCAACAUAAUAUUGAAUAUAUUUAAAUAACUAAAUGUAACUUAAAUAGGCAAGAACAAAACUUAAUAUGCAUUAGUACACAAAAUAGUUGUCAAAAGUUUGUGAAAUAAUAUACAUCAGUAUUAUGUUUCAUCUGGUAUUGUUAAAUUAAUUUAUUGUUGGAUGUGCACAUCAUUUGGUAUGAAAGUGCAUGUAUACCAUGUAAUGUAUACAGUUGUUGGCCAUGUGUGUCAAAAAUACACAUGUGUAACUUUUCAUUAGUAAAAACUUUUCUUUUGCUUUAGUAUGUGCAACAAAGUACAAUAACUUAAGCCUAAAUAUUGUAACUUUUCAGCUAAAUAUUCAUCUCCAUUAAAUAAAACUAAUAAUCCAAAAAAAUGCAAUAUUUCAAGUAUGAACAUGUGUAUUUAUAUAUAUUACAUGCUGAAAGUCAUUCAUAUAAUUCACAAAUAUUGAAUUUAAGUACUAAAAUUUUAAUUUAUAAAUACUAAAUGUCAGCUAGUUACGACCAUAAAUUUGAUAAAUAUUAAAAUUUAUCAAAAGUACUAGUCUUUUUGUUUGCAUUAAUAAACCUAUCCGUAGUUGAAGCCGCAUGGGACCAUAAAUUCCUAGUUUAGUCCAAAAUAUUUUAAAAAUAUUAUAUCAAACUAUAUAUUGAAUUGACAGCUUUUGAGUCAUUUUUUUACUGUGAAAACCAUCAUACAUGGGAUUUGGGUAGUUGGGUUAUGCACCUCAUGGUGAGAGGAACGACCCCACUUUGAAAUAAAUAUUUCUAGCUUGUCCUUUCAUUAAUAAGUAUGUAAUUGGUUGACAUCAUAAUCAUGUUAGGAUAAAGUAAAAGGUUGAUGAACAUGGUCAUCUAAGACCUCUACUUGCCAUGCUAUUUUAAUGGGUAUUUUUGGGAUUUCAUUUGUGUUAGCAUAACAAUAGAUUACAUACUGCAAAGCCAAUAUGAUACGGGUGGGACGCCCAUACAUGCAUGCCCAAAAAAAUGAAAGCAGACUAAUGCCAUAACUUAAAUAUUAAUGGAAUAUACUCCACUUGGUCUCUUCCAUAUUAAACAUAUGAACUAAUAAAACACCUCACUAUAGUGCCAAAAACACAUAAAAACAAUUGCAGGGGCAUAAGAAACAUAGAUGACAAGCUAUUUUCUCUGAAGUUACAUCAAUUUCUUACUGAUUUUUCUUUCACUUAAGUUUUAUAAGAUUUCAUACAAUUCUUAUUUAUAAUUUAUAACAGAAAGUUUUAUAAAUAUUCAUGGGGUUCACAAAUAGUCAAUAGCUUAAUAUGAAAUGAAGAUCAAAAGGCCAAAAGUGGUAAGAGUUUAUAGGAUUUUUACAAGUAAUCUUUUUCUUCAGGAUCUUCACUGCUUCUGAUACACUAUCCUGAAAAUUAAAGCAUAAACAGUCAGCAUUAUAAUGUAAUUUUAGCAGUAUCAUCCAACAAAUCAGUUUAUUAACCAUCUACACCAACACACUCAUAAUUCAACAGCCAAAUAAAAUUUGAUUGCUAAUUAUUUGGCCAAGAAUUUCAUCAGAAUGGUUGAAAAGAAAUUAAUUGAAGAUGAGGUUUGAUCUUACAACAGCAUAGGCAAGGUCGAAGAUACAGUACAGUAUUUGACCAUCAACUUUGGAUUAAACUUACUGUACUCAAAAUUUCAAACAAUGAAAACUAUAAGUACAUAUUAUGAAACGUAAGUUCCUAUCACAUCUGCUAAGCCAAGGCACACUGCCUACUGGACUGGUUCGAAGCUAGACCGGUACCAUACCUAAUGAAGACUGUUGAGUUCCACUAAUGAACAUUUUAAGCUGAAGAGAAAAAUCUCUUACUAGAGCAGAUUCUAGAGAAGUUUUCCCAAAAUAACGAAAUUACAAAAUUACAAAAUCACGAAAUCACAAAAUUACAAAAUCACGAAAUCAAGAUAGAGCAGAUUCCAGGAAAACUCAAAUCAAUCGAAGUGGCACAGCAAGCUUCUCACUAUGGUAAUUAUGAGAUCUGCCAAAAUUCAUCACAUUGGCAUAGUUUUUAAUUUCUUCUAUUUUCUUUAUAAUCUCCUCUAACAUUCUAUCUUCAUUAUGCUCAGUUAAGCCAUCAAAUACCUGCCUUGCAGAUUCCAAGCGUCCACAUUUUGCAUACAUAUCAAUCAAACCGCACCUUGCAUACACAUCAAGACGUGGUUCCAUGCGAACAAUCCGUGCAUGCAGAUGUGCACCCCAUUCCAGAUCAUAAAUGUUGGUGCACGCACUAAGAACACUAGCAUAUGUCAUGGAAUUAGGUCUAAAACCUUGUUUCCACAUCUCAAGGAACAUAUUAAGAGUUUCAGCGCCAAACCCAUGUUGCGACAAGAUUGAAAUCAUCGUAUUCCAAGAAACAGUGUCGCGCUCAGGCAUUUUAGCAAACAACUCAAGAGCCUUUUUAACGCUGCCAUAUUUUGAAUAACCAUAAAUCAUACUAUUCCAACAAAACAAACUUGGAUUCGAGGUCCUACAAAACACUUUCUGAGCGAAAUCCAUUGCACCACACUUGAUGUACAUAUCAAGAACUGACGUUUCAACACAAGUGUCUAUUCCAAAAUCAAAUUUCUCUGCAAAACCAUGCAAUUGCAAAGCUAAAAUAGAUUACAUACUGCAAAGCCAAUAUGAUACGGGUGGGACGCCGAAAUCAAGAUCCAUUCAAUUUUAUACCCACUAAUCCAUUCCAAUUUUCUCAUCACAUUUAGACCCAUUCAGAACUUCCACCACUAGAAAUCGAACUGGGGAGAAAAUUACCUUAAGCACGGGGAGGUUGACCAUGUCCUCGCCACUUCUGGCUGAUUUCCAUACCGCCUCUAUCAUCUCCUUCCCAUCAAUAACGUCGAGGAUCAGCCCCAACGAAUAUAACUUGAACAACCACUCCAACGCUGGCUUCAUAACCUUCAUGAAGGCUAAAUCAAGAGCCAGUAGAAGAGGCUGCAAAACAAACCCUCUUCUUGGGGAUUUCAAAUUUCAAACAAUGGGACGUGUUCACCGUAUGGGGCAUUCUGUACCUAUGAUUCUCACAAUUACUUAUUAAAAAUCAUUCUUUUUUUCCUGUUUUUCACUUUUUUUUAAUGACUUGAUCAUGUGUUUGGUUUAGAUUACAAAAUCAAUUAAUCUACAGUUUUUUCUUCUAUGCUAGAAGAUUAAACCUAAGUUUUUCUUCCCUACAACUCAAGAAAACACAAUUCACAAAAACCAUAAUACAAAGAUGUUGAAACAAUUAAUAUAAUGACAUUAAUAAAAGAAAAAAAAAUUAUACAUCUAAGAGAUUUUGGGUAACCUUGGAGUCCACAAAGUAAAGAAUGUCGGUUGUGAACGUGUUGACUAUGGGUGAGAGAAAAGGUUGAAGAAGAUCAUGAUUUUAUGUAUAGGGUUUAUAUUGAUAUUUUUUAGAUUGUGGGUGAAAUAUGGAAACAAUGGGAUUUUUAUAUAUUAUCCAUCAUUAUUACUUCUAAUUGUGGGUGCAAUAUGGAAACAAUUGGAUUUUUAUAUAUUAUCCAUCAUUAUUACUUCUAAAAGUGGGCUCAUUAAGUUAUAAUACUUAAAAAAAAUUAUUUUAUAUGAUGUCACUUCCCAAAAAAUGACACUAUAAAUAUAAAACUAAUAUCAUCUAACUACCUUAAUUGAAGAUUUUUUAUAUGAUGUGUCACCUUUAUUAAUUAUAAACCCUAUGGUGUCAUUAUUUUAAAAGUGACACCAUAAAUAGUGACACCAUAAACUAUUUUUGUAGUAGUGCACCCUCUCAAAUCAAAAUGGAGAGCUUCUCAAGCCCCUUAAGAACAUCAAUUGUGAAAUAAGUCAACUUGGGGAAGAUGCCUAAUGAGAAGGAUAACGAGAAAGAAUCAUCGAUAACACCACCAUUGAUGCUUAGGCUUUCAAAAAUAAAUCAGGUUUAGUGGGGCCCAACAUGCGUGAUUUUUCUUAUUGAUUGAUUGAUUGAUUGUCAUGCUUGAUUGAUUCACUUUGUGAUGUACAAGCGAAUGUUCUGUGUUCGUUCACUAACCUUUGUCUUCCAUGAAGCAGUCAACUCUUCACUUACGUACGUUCCUCGCCUUUCUUGUUCAUUCGAUUAUUUUUAAAUCAAUGUUCUUUGGAUAUCCAUGUUUAAUCAAUAAAUUGUUACAUGUGUUUCAUCUUAUUUUGUAGAGACUCAUUUUUGGGGUUUAAAGGGGUACUACGGUCUUUACCAUACCGUCCCGAUAAGUAACCUGACCAUCGAGUCCAAAUUUGGUUUUUCACAGACCACUUUUUCCAAAUAAGGAGUCACACUUAGGAUUUUCUUUCUUAUUUUGUUUUCCCUUUAAAAAUAAAACAAAAAUAAGUGGCGACUCCAAGUCAUUUUCUAAAAAAAUAAAUCAUUUUCAAAUAAAAAGUGAGUUGCGCUAUCGAGUGGAAGUGCAAGAGUAGAAAUGCGGGGUCCACACCACCACAUGGCAACACAGGAACAAAUUCAUAAACAGCCAUGAACCAACAAUAAGUUAUCAUUUUUUGAAUAGAGAAGAACUACUAAAAUGUGUAGGAAAUGUUUUAAAAAUGAAAAUUCCAUUAACCUUCGUUAAGACUUGCACUCUAUAAUUUUCUUUUUAAAAAGGAAAAAUCCAUGAAUAAAAGUUGUCACAUUAUGAAGAUUUUUUUUUUUUCAUAAUUAAAUAAUUUUUCGGUGAUAAUUUUUGAAAGUGUGCAAAAAGAUACAAAACUUUAAUGUUAAGUUUGGUAUUUGAAAAUUUUGAGAGAAAAUGUUGGGAAAAAAAAUAAAAAGUAAAAUUUGUAGGAAACCAAAGUCUCACUCAAAUGGGCUUGAACUCCAUGGGUGGACAAGACUCUCCCAUACCUCUUCACAAGCAUUUCAAACAAUAGAAAGUGGACUAAUUAAUAAACCCACUAAAGGUGUUUCUCUUUUCCUAUGUGGGACAAGAAAAAAAACCAUUUUUCACAUUUAAACUCUUCCUACAUAUAUCACCCUGGAAGGAUCUAGAUCAAAGGGAUAAGUCUCUAAAGCUUGAUCAAGUUUAUGAUGUUCAAGAAUUGAUGAGCAUGAUAUAUAUCAAUGAUAUUGCAGAAGACAAUAGAGCUUCUGAAAUAUUUCAGGUUCAAUAGUAGGAAAUCUUAUCAGCUGUCACUUACUGUAAUCCUAUGCUCUCGAUAUUCAAUUGUUGAAGAAGAAAGACGCAUCUUGAAAAAAAAAAUUUGCUUUCACACUACUCAAUUACGGGAGAAUGUUCAAUUAUGGAAGAAAAUAAUAUUCACUGGACUUUUUCAACUCACUCAACAUGCAGAGAAAACCAGUUGGGUGACCAAUUAUUCACAUGAUAACUUACAUACAUAGUCUCUCUACGUCUACUUGUUACUCAUCAGCCAAGCUUAUAGUAAUUUAAGCUUGGAUUCAUCUCUCUAUACCACUGAUGCCAACUCUACAUGGACUUCGCCUUCUGGUGAUUUUGCAUUUGGAUUCCGACCCUCUCCAAGUGAAAAGGAUCUAUUCCUUCUUGCUAUCUGGACUGCAAAUGGAAGUUAACCGGUGCCAAGAGGAUCAAAAGUUGAGCUUACCACCAAUGGACACCUUGUUCUCGAUGGAGGCCAAGAGAUAUGGAAGACAAAGACUGGUAAUAUGAGCAGCGAAGCAGUGCAUUGUGCCAUGCUUGGAGAUGGAAAUUGAAUACCAGUAUAUGGAGAGCUUCAACCACCCAACUAAUACCAUAUUGCCAACCCAGGGAUUGGGUGUUGGAACCUACUGUGCAGUUGCUAUUUUUGAGGACCUGAGGUUUGUAAAUGGAACUGGAAGCUGUUGGAGGAAAAGACUACCUCUUUCAAAUGGGAGGUUGGAUCAAAAUGCUGUUGCCAGAAGUGCCCUAAUCAAGAUAUCGAAGUCCAGUGAACUAACUUCAGGCAGAGGCAAGCAAAAUAAAGCAAUUCUAAUCCUCUAUAAGUCCUGCGCCCCUCUGUUCUUCUUCACUUCUGUCGUUGCAAUUCUCUAGUUUUCUACUGCUUGAACCUCAAAAAUCUGCAGCUUUAUCACAGAAUCCUGAGUACAAGCGAUGGUAGAAGCCUUUGGCACUGUCUAUAAAGGGAUAUUACCAUCAGGUUCUGGAAAUUCUGUUGCUGAAAGUUGGAGAAGGUGGUGAGAGAAGGUGAGAAAGAAUUCAAAGCAGAAGUGAAUGUGAUAAGCCAAACUCACCAUAAGAAUCUACGACACUUGCUGGGUUACUGCUGUGAGGGUGAACACUGACUUCUGGUGUAUGAGUUUAUGCACAAUGGCUCUUUAUCAAGCUUCCUGUUUGGAAGUGCCCGAGGACUUGUGUACCUACAUGAAGAAUGCAGUAAACAGAUUAUCCAUUGGGACAUAAAGCCCUCAGAACAUAACUGUUGGAUGAUUCUUUUAUAGCCAAAGUUGCAAACAUGGACUGAGAAAGCAUCUGAUAAGCAACCAGACUUGAACACUCACAGGCAUCAGAGGGACUAUGGGGGUAUAUUCAGACCACUCGGGCAGCCUAUAUCUCUUAUAAUAACACAUUAUGAAGCAUCAGCUCAACGCCAGGGUUCAAUCUGCAAAGCAAGGGAUUCAUCAAUGUUUCCUUCAAACUAAAUAAUGAGGAACAGAAAUGGAUCAUUCUGCAUUUUCAGUUGUGUUUGUUAUAGCAUUUAUACAAGAACUUUUGGGGUUUCUAUGUAUGACUUUAUUCCUAUUUUGUCAGUGAAUAUGGUGAUGGUGUUACAUUAUAAAUCAUAGUGAAACGGUGGAAUUUGAUCAUUUAGCCAACUUCAUCCAAAAUUGUUUCACAUUUGAGGGGAUUAUUAACUUUGCCAUGGGCCAAGCAGCAAUUUCUUAAGAAGCUGGGUAACAAAGAGUACCAUAAUUUGGACAAGUUUCAAUGGAAACUCCCCUGUUUUUGUGCAUGACAUCUUCAGCUUCAGCUUUUCCUUUGCUUUUGACUAGCCUGAAACUGAUCCAAAUCUCUUCAAUCGAUUAAAUGUAUAAAUGAAUCCUAUUCAUUGUUUGAAGUAACAACCAAAUUCUGGAAGACUGGGAAAGUCUGACACUGGAGAGAAAACACAAUGACAAGACCAUAAAUUCUGGAAGAGGGCAUUGCUUUCUAACCAUUACCAUAACUUUAGAGCUCAACCCGGAUGAGUAAAUUAUAUUUCAGAAUGUUCAGAAGAUAAUUCUAAAGAGAUGUACCUUCUACUCAGUUUCUUGUUCUUCUUGAACAGAGCAAUGAACAUCAAUAGUUCAGCACCCAGGAAUCUCCCCUUCCUCCAAUUCCUUCACUGGAAAAACUCUACAAAAAUCAGAACAAUCUAUCCUCUUCCUUGGAGGAAAAGUCACCUUCCCAAUCAAGAAAAUCAUCUGGAUUAAUUUGAGCAAUAUAUCAGAGUAUAGAUCAAGAAAGCCUUGCUCAAAAUCAAAAUACAUCAAGAGCUGCUAUUUUCUUCUAUUUCCUCUUCCCUGAAUAGAAUACCUUUGGACUUAGGCGAUCAAUGGUAACAGUCUAACACACUCCUUAAGCUCUGAUUGAGGCUGACGGGGAUUGGUAUCUUUAAUGACUUUGAAAUCAUAGCUCUGUGAAGGGAGACAAACAUGAGUCACAGAUCAUCUUUCAAUUUCUAAGGCUUGAUUUUCCAUUUGUAGUAGAAAGAUUUUCUUAUUACAAUGCCACAAAAUUGGUUGAUCUAAUUAAAACAAAAAUGAGGCUCUUGACAGAAAAUGAUUAGGAAGGCAUGCAUGUAACAAUUACAAAUGAUAUAUGAUAUAAGAUUUUCACGGAUUAAACAAAAAUACAUGGAAAAAUAGAAGCAGGAGGAUAAGGUCACAGACAGGACAAUAUUAAAAGAAACUACUAUUUUUCUGACCUGAAAAUUGAGGCAUUCAGAACAGUAUACAUUUGUAAGUAGUCCAUGGAAACCAAGGAACAUAUGCAGAUGUUGUAUUCUAUUGCAUAAGGCAGACACUCAAUACUCAGUAGCAUAACCAAGGCCAGAAAGCCAUAUAACCCUUUUUGUUUUUGCUUUUUUUACCUAUUCUCAUCUUUCAUGACCAGAAGUGCCAACAAUGUUAUAACCUCACCAAAUAAGUAAGGAACCAGCCCAUUCAGCAGGUUGAGGAGCCAGCUUGCCCUCAAUCUUCUUUGAGUCACCAAACAGGUGGACAUUAUUGCCUCCAACAGGGGGCUUGGAAAUAUUAGAGCUGGCAGCAGGGGUGGCUGUAAAACUCUGUGUUCCAAAACCCCAAGUUUCAGGGCCAGAAGUUGCUUCUGUGGCUGGUUUGUUGUGAUGGCCAUUUCUGGUCCUAACAGACUUGCUAUUGUUGUCUGGGCACCUUAGAGAAAGAUUGCCAUGGAUUAGAGCCUAGGCCAGGGGGGUUGUUAACCUUGCCAUGGGCGAAGCAGCAAUUUCUUAAGAAGCUGGGUGACAAAGAGUACCAUAAUUUGGACUAGUUUCAAUAGAAAUUCCUCUGUUCAUGAUAUCUUCAGCUUCAGCUUUUCUUUUUGCUUUUGACAUGGCUGAAACUGAUCCUGGACUCAAAAAUCACAGACACAAAUAAAUAUUUAACAGAAAAGGAUCGAAAUCUCUUCAAUUGAUUAAUGUAUAAAUGAAUUAAUAAAAUUUUUUUAGAGAUAAUUGAAGGGAGAUGAACCUUAUGCCUCUGAGUUUCUUAUUCAUAAUAAACAGAGUAAUGAGCAUCAAUUGUUCAGCACCCAGGAAUCUCCCUUCCUCCACAGCAAACACACCCCACACCCUCCCAAAAUCUGAACAAUCUAUCCUUUCUUCAGAUUCCACUUCCUUGGAAAAGUCAAAACAAGAAGAAGACAUCAUCAAAAUUGAGACAGAAAUAAGUGCAUCAACUAUCUCAAAAAGAGAUUUACGCCUACUGCUCACCUUCUGAAGAGGUCCACUUGGUUAGCACACACAAAAGAAAAUCUUUUUUUUUUUUAAAUUACUCACUAAUAAAGCAGCUAACUAGAAUUCGUCCUUGAGUUUGCUCUCUGCCCAGUAUAUAAGAAACAAACAGAGAAUAUAAAAAUAAAAUAAAAAAAUCCAAGUUUUUAAUUUUUUUUCUUAAUUUUUCGAUAGUUAUAAAUGGCUCAUUUGGUAAACAGAGCAUGAAAAUGUGAGUACCAUUAGAAUAAGACCAUCCUUCUCUCCUUCUCUUCAAUAUUUGUUUUAGGCUCGAAGCUUCAAGAAAAAGAAAAUCUUAAAUCAAAUAAACAGGACUAGUAAUUGGAACAUAAAUAUUUUUCUGAAGAAAAGAAGUUCAUGCACAAAAGAAUUACCUGACUACCUGACUGUAUAUUGGUUUAGUGCCACUUUGAUUAAAAUAGCACACCAUUGAUCACUAUUUUUGGAACGUGAGCUAUAUAACGCCAUUCUUUCCCUUUCUCAAAUUGACAUCGUGUUUCCAGUAAAGGACACCCGCUGAGACGCAGAAAAGAGAGGGAGUCUGGAAGUCUCUCUUUUGUCAAGUAUUUGAGCUUACGGCAGUCUCUGAUCACCAAUGUUUUAAGAGAGAUGAGGUGUUGAAGACCCUCUUUUGUCAAUGAUUGGAGCAUUGGGCAGUCCCUGAUUAGGAAUUUUUUGAGAGAGAUGAGGUGUUGAAGACCCGAGGAGUCUUGCAGUCUCUGUUUUGUCAAGUAUUGGAGCUUAGGGCAAUUGUAGAUAUGCAAUGUUUCAAGAGAGGUGAGAUGUUGAAAACCCACUUCUGUCAAGUAUUGGAGCUCAUGACACCUAUUGAUAUGCAAUACUUCAAGAAAGGUGAGGUGUUGAAGACCCACUUCUGUCAGGGAUUGGAGCCUUGGACAUUCAUCAAUUCGUAAUUCUUUGAGAGCGAUAAGGUGUCGAAGAACCGAUCCUGUCAAGAACUGGAGCUCUGGGCAGUUUGUGAUCUUUAAAUUUAGAAGAGAGGUGAGUUGUUGAAGUCCCCCGCUGUCAAGAGACUUGAGAUUGGGAAGCUCUUCAAUUUCAAGAGAAGUUAGAGAAGAGGGCAGCAGACACUCCUUGGGAAAUAAUUCAACGCCUUCACAUCCACCUUCCAUUCUUAAAUGUGUAAGAGAGGUCAACCUUUGCAAACCCCAAUCCACCUGAGGCGUGACUUUGUUACACCUUUGAAAUUGAAGUUCACACAGGUUGGAAGGCAAACCCUCUCUCUGAAACAACAAUUCUGGACAAUCCCAUAAAUCCAGCUCCUGUAUAGAUGAGUGCGUGUGUGCCAACGACCUGAGCUUGGAGCAACUAGAGAUCCGACAAGACUUCAAGUUGAGACCGGGCAAUUUGAUAGAUUCAAGAUCAGGGCACUUUGCUAGAUACAAGGAACGUAAAGAUGUGGGUUCACCCUCUGAAAUCAAAAUGGAGAGCUUCUCAAGCCCCUUAAGACCAUGGAUUGUGAAAUCAGUCAACUUGGGGAAGAUGCCUAAUGAGAGGGAUAACGAGAGAGAAUCACCGAUAACACCCCUACGGAUGCGUAGGCUUUCAAGGACUGGGAGAUGGCAUCUGAACAGCUCAAGUAGGAGAAACUCUAGUUUGGAACACCGAGAGAUUGAUAGCGAUUUCAAAGUAGUAGGUAAACCAACUUUGUAUAGGGAUCUAGAAAAACAACAAUCACGAAUAUUCAGAUCAUGUAUGUUGGUUUGCGAGAUUUCCUCCUCUAAUAGAGACUCCACAGAAUCACAUUUUCUGAUUGAGAGCUUGUGUGGUGCCAUUGGAAGUUGCUUCCACCGAGACACGCCUGAAAUUUCAAUUUCAAAAGGUUGAAGAGUUGUGAAGUCACAAGCUGGCAUUUGCAACUGCAAUUUGCCAAAAUCCACCAUCUUUAAUUCACGGACGGCAGGAACCGUAAUUGAAGCCAUAAGCAACUGUGGACAAUUAACAAUUACAAGUCCCUCCAAAGAAAGAAGUUGUUCUGGUAAUUUCCCAGUGAGUUUGGGACACCACCGUAUAGAAAGCUUUCGGAGACGAGGGAAUUCUCCACACCAUAACCAUUUCUCCCAGUUCAGCAUACCCUCAAAUGAUAGUGUCUCUAGGGAUCGGAAGGAAGUAUUCCCAUGAAACUCACCAUCCACACACUUUACUCCACUCAUUCCUGAGAUCUGUAGAUAUUUAAGAUGGGUUAGCUGCCCAAGUGGUGGCAAUGUUGAGCAAUUGCCACAACCCCGAAGCUCAAGGGACACGAGUUUCAAGACUGAAGGAUCUCCAAGCCAAUUUGGAAAUCUUACACCAGGAUAGUUUUUGAUGGAGAGUUGUUUUAAAUUUGGAUGAGGUUGUAACUGGUUGAGUAUGUCAUCAGUUGUAGCAUCAUAUUGUGUAAUACCACCAUCUAUAACCAAUUCCGAUUCCGAUUCCGAUUCUGAUUCCAAUUCCAAUUCCGAUUCCCAUUCCCAUUCCAAUUCCCAAUCCAAUAUUAACUCAUCAAGAUAACUCUUAUCCUUCAUAUUAGCUUGUAAUGCAUCGUUAACACUCACCACAUUAUUCACGUUUGAAAUAUAAAGUGUUUCUCGAAUCUCUAAAAGCUCCCUCAAUUCUCCAAUUCUUAAUCCACUCUUUUGGCCCACAAUAAAACAAGACAAUUUCUGUAAACAUUUUAAUUGACUAAUGCCAUGACUUGACCUUUCUUUCAAUGAAUAACAUUUAGAAAUAUCAAGAUAACGCAAAUUAAUCAAUUUCCCCAUCUUUGAAGGCAAUUCAAUAAGAUCUGAACAUCCUCUAAAGAUCAAUGUUUGUAAAUUGUACAAACAACAUAUUGAUUCAGGUAAUUUUUUAAUCAACGUGUAAGAUAGAUCUAAAUAGCGCAAAUGUUUCAAAUUACCUAUCCAAUCAGGCAAAUUAGUUAUCUCGUAUUCUUGUAAUGACAACACACGUAAAUACCUCAUUUUUGAUAUAUCUUCGAAAACUCUUUUACUCAAUGUAUAAAAUGGGUGGCAUAAUGAUUCUUUCACAUCUAAUAAUGUCCGAAGAGAUUUAGCAUUAGUAAAAGCCUCAAGCUUGUUAAAUGUAACAAACUCUUCAAAAUCACCGUGAAUGUAUGAAAAGUGGCGAGUCUUCUCGGAUACUUUUAGUACCUUAUUGUCUUCCGCUCGGACACAAAAAUCUACUCCAGACACAUGUUGAGCCAAUUCAUGGACUAGAUCAUGCAUUACGAAGCAAAAUGAUUUUUCUCCUCUAAUAGAUUUUUGAAAAAAUGAUUUCGCCAAAAGCUCAUUAAAAUAGGACUCACCUAUCUCUUCCAUUCUUCUUCCGUCGUCUUGUUGUGGAUGUAAAAGACCUUCUGCCAUCCAUAAUAAAACCAGCUCCUCUCUGUUGAAUUCGUGGUCUUGGGGAAAAAUUGAACAAUAUGCAAAACAAUGUUUCACAGGUAAAGAAAGAUGAUGGUAGCUCAAUCUCAAAGAAGGAAGAAUUCCAUAACGACUAUGAAGAUGCCAUAUUUCACUAUUCAAAACGUCCUCCCAUUCCCUUUUUUCGACCUUAGAGUGCAGCAGAUGCCCGAGUGAUUUAACAGCCAAGGGCAAUCCUUGGCACUUAUCCACAAUCUGUCUACCUAUGGGUUCAAGCUCAAGGCAUGCGUUAGAGUCUCUAUCUUGAAAUGCAAUCUUUACAAAUAGGCUCCAACAAUGUUGAGGGCUUAAUUCUCCCAAACGAUGAGUGCGGACUGCACGCAUAGUUUUUGCAACAGAUUCAUCACGACUGGUCACAACAAUCUUGCUUCCCUCUGCUGCACCCAGGAGCGGAGUUCGUAGGCUAUCCCAACUUUCCCAAUCAAAGGACUCCACAUCCCAGACGUCAUCGAGAACAAGCAGAAAUUUCUUGUUAACAAGGCUCUGUUUGAGUUGACGCUGAAGCAAAUCCAGGUUGUCAUCGGAAGUAGGUCUAUCGCCGAUUUCCUCAAGAAUUGAUUUGGUGACCUUGAUAAGAAGAAACUCAGUGGAAACACAGACCCAUGCUUUCAAGUGGAAGUGUUCCUUCACUUUGUCAUUGUUGUAGAGAAGCUGAACGAGUGUGGUCUUGCCGGUGCCGCCCAUGCCAACUAUGCAGAUCACAUCUAUGUCUUCCUUGCCUCUUGCGUUAUCAGAAAGCAAGCAGUUCACCAUGUCCUCCUUAAUUUCAUCCCUGCCGUACACAAAGGACUCAUCCACCAAAGAAGUGGAUGGUAAUCUUGGUGGCAGUUUCUCGCCCCCACCUUCUUUCAGGCCAAGCCCAACUUUUUCUUGAGCAAUAGCCUCAAGUUUAGCGAUCAUCUCCUUCACUCUGGACUCCAUGCUUUGAGUAGCAAAUGGCGCCUUAACACAAUCAGAGAACUUGUUCCACACCUGAUGAAUUCCACCGGUUUGGGAGUCCGUAGCUUCGAUCUUGCAGCGCAAAGCAUCGGUAGCGAUCCCGUCCAACAGGUCCUCCGCACCAUACACAAUAUCCUUAGCCUGUACCAGCCACUCUUUGACUGGGUCGUUUGAAAAUUGCUUCACCUCUGCAUCAUUGAGCACAUUGAGAACAACCAAGAAUUUCCUCCUCAAGUCGUUAAGGAGUUCUUUGCUGAGAUUCCGUCGCCGAAUGAAGUUUAUGAGCUCUGGAGAAGCCAACCUCUCGAAUAGGACUUGAAGCGAAGCCGAGAGCAGUGCGUCCGCCAUAUCUGUCGACUGUUGCUUUGCAAUUGGAAUUCAGAUGAUUGGUUUGUAUUAGCGCGAUACCACCAAACUUCACGAGACUGGUUUUGGAUUACCAAAUGCAGAAGGCUUGAAGGAAUGCUUGAGUGGUGAGAAAAAGAAAGAAAACAAAAAAAAGUUGAUGCCAAACUUCGUUGUGUAGGAACAAAGCAGAUUCGUUACGCAGGCUUCAAUUUUUCUCUUCUUUCCUCUUUUUAUUAUUAUUAUUUUUAAUUAUUUUCUUUUUCUUCUCCUUCUAUUAUUAUUAGUGCGUAUAUAUACCCAAAUAAUUGUUUUAACAUUAUCAUUCCUAAUAUUAUGAAUAUUAAUAUCCAUAUUAUUAUUUUAAUAAUUAUAGUAGUAUUAUAAUUUUAUAAUUAUAAUGGUUAGUUUUUUUCUCAUAAUUAUUAUUAUUAGAAUAUAUUACUAUUACUAAAUUUUUUAAUAUUAUGGUUAUUAUUAUUAAAUAAUGAUAUUAUUAUUUGAUUCAUUAAUUUAUUGCACAUAAUUAUAUAUAUAUAAUUAACUAAUAUUAUGAUUUAUCAUUUAAUAAUUGUAUAGGUUAAUUAUGAUUUUUUUUUCUUUUUAAUUCUGAGGCUUGAAGGAAUCAUUGGUUGUGAUGUACCCCAUAAGGAAAGAAAAAGCAAAAGCAAAAGCCAAAAAGCAUAUAUAUCCUUUUUUUUUUCUUUUUAAUUUUAUUUAUUAAAAUUUUAUUCCUUAGAAUCAAAUGUAAAAUAAUUAAUUUUAUGUUCAAUAAUCAUGAAUAAAAAGCAUCAAAUUAUGAAAAUUAUUGUUUUCUAUAUUUUUAUAGUGAAGUUAUGUUUUACAUAUACAAAUUUUUAUGGAUACAUGAUUUCCUUAAUUGGAAUGCGAAAGAAAAUCUCGUUGAUAAUUGUUUUUCAUCUUAGAAAAAAUACACCCUUAUUUCGGUGAAAUGAUUAAAAAAAUGAUUUAAAGCACAAGAAUAAUUAAUAGAUUUAAAAUUUGAAAAUCAAUAAUAGAAAAACGGUGAAUGAUUCAAAUGAGCAUUUACUUUUCUUGGUAAUAUGAAGUGUUGAACUUUGGAUUUGUUAGCAUGUAUGGAUAUUUAAUAAAUUAGAAAAAGAAAAAAAAUCUUAGGGGAAAGACACAAUAACUAAUUAUAGAAUUUUUUUUUUACAAAAUAUAAUAACUUGUAUAUUAUUUAAUAUUUAACUAAAAAUUUAAAUUUAGUAAAAUCUACUUUUAAGAUUAGGAAAAAUCAUUACUUUAGUGAGAUUAUUGAUUCAUCUAUAAAUGAAUAAUUUAUUAAUUAAAUAAUAAAUUUAUUAUAUUUUUAUUGUGAUACUUGUACAUAAAAAUAAAAUAAAAAAUAAAAAGAAAGAAUAUAUCAUAGGUAGUGUAUACAUUACAAACAAAUUAAAGACGAGGUUAAAUAUUAAAAACAGAGUAAAUGACAAAACCACCUGUAGACCCCAUUUUGGGGCUCAUUUUUCUUGCAUUUUGUGCAACACAUUCUUACAAAGUGGAGGGCCCUCAAGAAUGUUCGUGGUUUGAAGAGGCAAUGGAAGGUUGACAUGUAUCAUAGAAUAUUCUGAGGAAAAGCUAUAGACUGAUAGAGGGGGGUUGGAGAGCAUUUUUUUUGGGGGACGUGUUAUGUAUUAGCUGGUGAGAGGAUGGCUUGAGGAGCAAGCUUGCUGGGGAGGUUACAGAGAGAAGAGGCAACCAGAGAAAGAAGGUAGCUGAGAGCGUAAGAAGAUAUGGUGGGUUGGAGAGCAUUUUUUUUAGGAGAGAUAGCUUAAGGAGGAAGGACUGAGGGGAAUUCUUGUGGCUGGUUGCUUGAGAGGAAAGGUAACUGAGAGAAAACAGAGGAGGAAGGGAAGUGGGAGACCAUGGUGAGCAGAGUUUGAAAACCAUGGGAAAGCAGCUUGAAGAGGACUGGCUCGAGAGAAGAGGGAGGGUAUUUUCUGGAGCAGAAAGAAUGAAGUAGAGUAACUUGAUACCCAACUAGCCUCGCAGGAAGAGAGCAUUUUCAGGUACUUUUGCUAGACCACGUAGUGAUUGCUAUUGAUUUUCUUUGGGUUGCUGUGAUUAUGUCUAAUAAAUCUGUUCCUGGUUUUUUAUGUGAAAUUUGUUUAAGAAUGAUACAGUUCCUUUUUAGCUUUCCUUUGGGUGUCUGAGUCAUAUCUUUGGAUCUUAUUUCCACCUGGUUUUUCCCACCCAUACACAAGCCCAUUGACUUCAAUAUGAGAUGGGGCUCGGGUAAGUGUUUUCUUGAGUUCAUUUGAUGCUCUGUUUUCCUGCUUGCCCCCUUGUUGUUUACUCUCUACUCUCUGUGGCCAUUUGUACUCCCAAGGAAAAGAUUUUUUCUAGCAUUGCCAUUGGUUUUCCUAUGGGCAUAGUUUCUGAGCUUGGGUAGCCGUUGUUUCAUUUGUUCAUAAGGUUGCUGGGUUAUUUUGCUAAAAAAUUUGAGACGGCCAUAUUAGGGUAUUAGUUUUAUCUCUUGACUGUAGGUGGUUCUGGAUACUUAAUUGGGUCUUACAAGGGGCAAGGUUGUCAGCCAAUCAUCAGAUAUGAGACGCUAGCACUUUGAGAGCAUGGGAUGGAUGUUCAGCUAAGAUUGUUAGCAGAAAAGAAGGGUGUUGUAGAAAAAUUGAAUUCACUUGAGGAGAAAGGGAAAUAUUCAAAAGCAGAAUCAAUUUAUGUACAGGUGCUUAUGAGGAUGGGCAACGUGUCAGCAUCGAUGUUAUGUCAUCCAUUUUCGAGGAGCAGUCUGCUGUCGAUAAGCAAAUGAGUGUCUAGACAAAAUACCAACAGGGUUUGAUUCAGUGGUUUGAACUGCCUCGCUGGGAGGUUGUGAGAACAUGAUGAAAACCCAGAUUCUCUUGCUUACUUCUAGGGAGCUACUCCACAAGUUCCUCUCCUAUGCCUGCAGACAUGCAACUUUGGCCACUCAUGGCCACAUUUUCUCUCUGUAUUGAACAUACGACUCUCUUCAUAGUUCAUGUUUUGUGCUCAACCCAGGACCAUUCUCCAAACACUACAUUUUGAUCGAUUUCUGGGUUUAAGGGUUGAUUGCAUGUCUCAAUGAUGAAAGAUGAUCCUCUUGACAAAUCAUGGUUUUGGCUUAAAUUUUCUCCAGAGAAUUUUCUCAUUUUCCAUUAAGAAAAUUAGAACAGAAUGAUCUGGACCGCUUGUGGUUCAGCUAUGGACUCGACUCAUGCGUCUCAUUCGUUUGAUGUGACGAUCAUUGGAGCCGGAAUAAUUGGGUUGAGCACUGCCCAGCAGUUCCUACUGCACUUUAACCUCUCUGUCAUCGUGGUUGAUAAGGAUGUCCCCUGCUCCGACUCUACCGGUGCCAUGGAUCAUAAUCGCGGUAUCAGUCACUGACUCGGAUGGUCCCGAGACGUAUCGGUCUGGUAUCGGGCGAUACGUAAAAUAAGCUAAUUAGAAAAUUCAAAAAAAAUAUAAAAAUAUUAUGUAAAUCAUCAUAAAAAUAUAUACAAUUAAAUAAGCUCAAAAAAUUAAUAAAAUAAAAUAGUCUCACAUUUAACAUUAUUUAAAUAGUUAUAAAAGUAUCUGCUCAAAGUUAUUUAUGAUAAUGCUAAUAAAAGAAAAUUAUUUUAUUUCAAAUAUAAUAACAUUUUUACUAACAAACAUACAAUACAAUAAUCAAUUCCAUGUUGAAUGACGAGGGGGUUCAAAAUCAUCAUCAUCAGUCCUAUGACGAGCAUACAAAUUGGGGUGGCAAUUCCUGUAGUGAGGAUAUGGUUGAAAGAGUUGUUCAUAACUUGAAUAUGUUGGGUGAGAUGAUUGGCUUGAUGAUCCAUAAUUAGGAAAAUAUGGUUUCGAAGGCUGUUCGGGAUCAACACCAGAUUGAUAGUAUCCAAAACCUCGAUAAGAAAUGCUACUACUACUAGAAGAUUGAUCAUAUCCAUAUGAGUCACUAGCUCGUGUUUCAGUAUUUGAAUAUCCCUCUGGAUGCAUAAUUGGAAAUCGAUUAAAAUCAUUUCUACUAAAAGCACUGGAAGAGCUAUCACGGUCUCUAAAGUUGUUAUAUGAUCUAUCAUCUACCCCUCUGAAAUACGACCUUAAUCCUAUACCCAAAUUUUGUAAGUGCUCGUCAAUAUGGUGAUAAUUUGAUCUAUGAUAAUCAUGCCCACUAGAAUAAUCAUCAUUGUUGGGAAAUGUAGUUAGUUUUUCCAAAUGCUUUCGUUGUUCCCAUAUCCCUAGUCGAUAUCCAUGAUCUGUAUCUUGUGUGGCAUAGUAAUUUUCACCUCCUUAUGCCCAUGACAUGUCGGGAUCUACUCGACUAAAAUAACCGCCCCCAGUGCUACCAUCUCCUCCAGUACUCUCACUAGUGCCACCACCCCGCCUACUGCCCCUAUUGUCACCAUCAUUACUACUAGAUUUUGAAGAAAUUGUUCUAGAAGCCUUACCUUUACAACGGGAAUCAACAUCUCUUUCUCUACCUUUUUCAUUAGUGAAAAGACCUUUAUCCAACCAAUCCAAAUUAUCAGAUGAUAAAAUAGGCUCCUCUCCUUCUCAUAUCCACUCAUUUAAUAUAUCAUCAUCAUUAAAGAUAUGAUUCAGAUCAAUUGGAUUGUAUAAAUCUUCAUUGCUUCGCUCUUGCAUCAAAUUCUUAACUCAAAGUCGCAUAUUGUAGUGCACAUAAACUAACUUAUGCAACUUUUUCAUUGCCAAACGGUUGCAUAACUUUGUGUGAAUCAAUGACCAUGUGCUCCAAUUUCUUUCACAACCUGAUGAAGAACAAGUUUGGCUUAAAAUUUUAACAGCAAUCUUUUGUAGAUGUGGACCUUCGUCGCCAUAGUUGUUCCACCAUUCAGCUAUAAUAAAGAAAAUGCAUACUUAUUAAUCACUAUGAUAUAUUUAACAAAAAAUGAUGAUAAUUUCUUAUUUGUAAUAGACGUAAAUGUAUUGAGUACCUAGAAGAGAUUGAUUUAUUGCUUUCUUUGUAAGUGCACUUCCAAAUUCUCCUUGGCCAUCAACAAAUAAUUUCACCUACAUCAUUAACAUUUUUUUUUUAUUAAUGCACAUUACAUAUACAAAAUGCAUUAUAUAAAGGUCACAAACUAUUAUUAUACCUUGUUAAUAACUUUUGCUUGUCUAUCCAAAUCUGGCUCUAAUCUCUUGAUAACCUCCUUGAAUCCAACUUUAAUUUUUGGAUGGUUGGAAAAAUGCUUUGAAUAAUGGAACAUUGGAUUUAAAAAAUAUGCUAUCGUAAGUUAAAUAAUGAUCAGUUUAUAAUAAUUUAUACUUGAAAAAAAAAAAAUAUGUAAGGAAUUUUUUUAUUACCUGUAGCAUGCAAAUGUCUAUGCAAUUGACCGUCCCACCUUCUAUCAAUGACUUCCCAAUACUUUUCCCAUUGCUUGACCGAUGCCUUGAUAGCCAAUUUAGCUCUAUCCAUUGCUUCAUAAAUGAUUGAUAGUAUGGGCUUUUUAUCUUGAUCAACCAAUUUCAAUACUUUGAAGAAAGGUUCCAUGAUGGUUUAAACUCCCCCUGCCUUCUUCCAAAAUCGAUCAGUUAAGAUAAGGUUGGAUACCUUAUUUCUUAGACUUUUUUUGCUCCUAUCUUUAUUGAAUUCACACCACUCAUUUGUUGUACACAUUCUCUUCAAAUCAGCCUCAUAACGUAUAAGACUCUCAAGAGAAAUGAGUUCGAUGGCAAAACGGGUUAUUCCUGGCCUUAACUGAUCUCUAUUCUUGGUGAACACUUUCAUCAAAUUCACUACUUUCAAGCUAUUAUAAAUAAAUCCUGUGAUCAUCUUAGCUUGAUUUAAUGUCUCAUUAAUCUGCUUCAUGCUUCCAAUAUCUUCAAGCAUUAAAUCAAUAUAGUGGGUUGCACAAGGAGACCAAAACAAAUGUUUCCGCUUCUCCAUCAACAACAUACUGGCUGCUUUAAAACUUGCCUCAUUAUCAGUGACUACUUGAACAACAUUUUUCUCCCCAACCUCCUCUACAACUUUAUCCAUAAGGGAAAAGAUGUAGUCUGCUGUCUUAAGUAUGUUGGUAGUGUCAACUGAAGAAUGAUAUAUCAUACUUCUAUCACAAUAAAUCAUGAAAUUGAUGAUAGGCUUUCUAGUCCUAGAACUCCAACCAUCACACAUGAUUGUGCACCCAUAUAUAGGCCAUUUAGCCUUCAAUGUUGUUAUGUAUACCUCAAGCUCUUGCACCUCCUCUUCCAAAUCUGUAUUUCCAAUUUGGUAUCCCGUGGGACCCUUGAUGUCUGAACCUACUUCUGCUAUGGUAUCAAUAAUUGAUUGAUAGUAAGGCCCACUGUCAGCUGCAUUAAAAGGUAUUGCAUUAAAGAGAAAGAAUUUAGAAAUAGCUUUACCCACUUUCUUCACGCCUUCAGUAGAAAACAAGCUUUUUAUUGAUUUAUGCUUUGAUGGGAACAUGUAGGGAUCAAUUCCUUUUAGAGGUAUGCUAGCUCCUUCUCUUACACUGAAGCUACGUGUCAGUCCGCGCUUAAUCCUAGCAUUAGAAGGUUGUGAGGAACUACCACCCUUUUGAUGCUCUUGUCCACCUUCUUCAAAAAUUCCACGACUUUCUUUCAUUGCUUGCUUCAUUUGUCUUCUUUCAAAAUCAGCCAUAGCAACUUCCUCAAUUUCAUCAUCAAAAUCACCUUCAUCAAUUUCAUAGAAAUUUUUUCUAUUUAAGGAAUUCAAAAGUUGUUUUUUUUUUCUUAACUGUGUUUUUUCUUUUGAAGUGUUAGACAUAUGUUGUCUAACACUAUGUGACACUUCUAUCGGUACACGUGGACAUCCUUCCACUUGUCCAGAUAUAUGUACGAUGUGUUGCUUUAAUCUUGUUAUACUGCCAUGUAUAACUUUCCCACAAUAUUUACACUUUGUGAUUCUUCUACUACCACCAACAGGUUCUGCAUGCUCCCAACCAAUAUCAUGUUUUGAAGCCAUUUUGAAAUUUUAACCUAAUCAUGUAUAAAAGGAAAACAAUUUACUUUUGAAAUUAAAUAUAUAUAAACACAUUUAUAUAAGAAUUAUAAUAUUCAAUUUUCCACUCACUUAUAUGUUUCAUAUUAUUACCAUAUAAAAAUAAAUUGUACUAAAAAAGCAAUAAACACGAUCUCACCUAAGUUCAUCAUCUUUUGUUUUCUACUUAUUUAUAUGUUUUUUUUAUUAAAAUAAAUAAUAGUUAAAUAAAUGAAUAUUUUUAUAAAAAAAAUUCUUUUAAAAAAGUUUGUUUUGAUAAUUAUUGAUUUCCUAUUGUAAUUUAAUUGUAGAAUAUUAUAAAAAAAAAUCUACAUGAUAUAAUGAAGUAAGAUUGAUUCAAAUAUAAAUGUAAUUGACCAUGUAAAUGCAUAUCCUUCAUUUUGUAUUAUUAAAUCAUUUAUGAUUAUUUGAAAAAAAAAUUCAAUAAUUAUUAAUUUUCUAUAGUAAUUCAAUUUUGCAAUAUAGUAUUAAUGUAAUUGAGUAAUAGAGAAAUUUUUUGUCACUAAUAUAAUGUAAAUUUAUUUAUACUAAUAGAAAAUUGAGUGAUAAUUUUAAAGUAUUCAAUACAAUUUCUUGUGCAUUAUAUUUUGUACCAUUAUACAAAAUUUUAUAUAAUCCUUAUACUUGAAGAGUAACUCAAUUUAUUAAAACCUAAUUAGUUAAAAAUGAUGAAAAUAAUCCUUAUAUUUGAAGAGUAAUUCAUUUUUAUAUAUAUAAAUACCCUUGAUUAUUUUAAGUAUUUACAUGAAUGCUUUAAAAGAAAUAAUUAUUUUUAUAAGGAAAAAAUGAGAGUGUUUUUUUAAAAUGAUGCCAAAAAAAUAAUGAAGGGUUAGAUUUACAAAAUUGGGUUUUCAAUAACCUUUUUAAUUAAAUAAGUCAUUUACUAAUGCUAUAUUUGGUUUAUGAAUAUUAGAGGAAAAAAAAAGAAAACUAAACAAAUUUAAGGUUAAUAAAUUAUUUUUUUAUGGCUCUUUUAAUUCAUUUUAUUUAUUUAUUUUUCUAUAUAAAUAUUAUAUAAUUUAAAUAUAUAUAAAUGUUUAGCUAAUUUUUAAUUGUAGUUGAUUUUCUUUUAUAUUUUUUAUGAUAAAAAUAGUGAAAAAAAAUAAAUUAAUUUUCUUAAUAAUUUUUUGGGAAUCAAAUAUAACCUAAACGAAGGUUUAUUAUCUAUUACAAAAGAGUACUUAUAAUUUUUUACUUAUAUAUGAUAUUAUAAUAAAAUCAUAGGUUUAUUUUAUUUUAUUUUUAUAAAAAAAAAAAUACUAUUUUAGUAUAUGUUAGAAACAUAAAAAUAUUAACAUCUUCAUCAUUUUUUGGGUUAAAAAUUAAUAAUAAAUAUUUAAAGUAAUAAUUUUUCAUAAUAUUUUAUUUAAAUUGAAUAAUUAAUAAAGUUUAACUUUUUAAAAAUGAGUCAAAAUUUUCAUUCCAUGUACUCAUUUAGAAUUGAAUUAUGAACAUAAUAUUAUAAAAUGUUUUGAUUUUAUAUGUAAUUAAUUAGAUUGGUUUUUUGAAUUCAAAUUAUUUUUAAAAAUAAAAAAAUUCAUGAAAUAAUUUAAAAUUAUUAAUUAUGUCUUAUUUAGUUUAUAAGACAUAUAGCAACAAUAUUUGAAAAGGAAUAACAGAUUAUAUAUAACAACAAUAUAUAUUAAACCAUAUACAGAGAGUAUAUAUAUUAAUUUGAAAAGGAAUAACAGAUUAUAUAUAGCAACAAUAUUAAACAAUAUUUGAAAAUGAAUUCCUUCAUUAAUUUAUUACCCGCCAGUUUGAAAGUUGAAACCCUUACCUUUUCUGACUCUGUCUUCUUCUUCUUCCCCAGCACAGCAACACCACAAAGAUGCAACCCUCUGUCUUCUUCCCCAACACCACGAAGACGCAGCCUUGCUAUCUUCUUCCCCAACACACCACGAAGACCACGAUUUGCAAUCUCUCAGACUAUCGGACCACGACCUGCUACCUUCCCACCAUGCACCGCACCAAAGACGAAGAUUCUACACUUCGACAAUGGUGAAUUUAGGGUUAGGUAAGUUAUUCUUCAACUGAGGCUCUUUUUAAAGGCUUUUGAAAGGGUCAUGGGUUUGUUUCAAAUUUUCACGGGUUUGUUUAAAAUUUUCAUAGGUUUUCUUUUGUAGAGGAAUCUCUGAUUUCUCUGAAAAAUCAAGACUUAUUGUGAUGGGGCUUUUUUGCAAAGAAUUUGUUGAAUUUUUUUCUCCGAGUUGACCGAGUUAACUCAGAAUAUCGGUCGACUCAUCCGAGUCCAACCGAUUCAGGCUGAGUCUAGGUAUCUAGUAUCGGACUCGUCGUGGUCAACUUCGAGAUACAAUUCGACCAAGUCGUACGUGACUAGGCUAAUUUUUUGAACCCUGACCGAUGCAAGGCAUGGCUACUUAUGGAUGGUACAUAAAACACCUGGGAGUGAUAUAGGGAAUUGUCAACAAGAAGUCACAAACUGUGGGAGCUAUUGGCUGAGAGCAUACAGGAGCAAGGCAUGAAUCCUUUGGAAAUUGUGGGCACCCAAUGCCAAUUGAGUAUCAUGCCUGCUGCAACUAUAGUUGCUUCCCUGGUUAUUGUAGUUUCCCGUCUUACCAUCAUAUGGCACCACCAAUGCCAUUUCAUUGGCAUGGGUGCCUUCCCAUGUACUCCGAAGCCUCCAAUGCUCUUAUCUCCACUGUCAAACCUACUUCAUAUCACCACCCUUCCCCCGAACCCCUCAUACCCAUUCCUCUCGCUACCCAUAGUUCCCCCUCACGCCCUUUCUCCUAACCCAUCAUACUUUCACCUAGAUCCUCAUUUUUCCUUCACCCCAUGCAUGCUCUUCAGUUAAUGACCAUCAAUCAAUCAAAAUGACCUCCAAGGUGACCUCACCCAUUCACGUACCCUCAUUCUACAUGAUCAAUAAUAAAGGCGGUGUUUCACCUCGGCAUCCGUAUUGUAGCAUCAAUAAUGUCUGAAUUCUUUAGCUCACUAUUCGCGCACACCGGCAAAUAUGCUGCAUUUCGAAACUUGAAGAUGAAUUGUUAGUUAAGAUGAGCAUGCUUCUUGCGUCUGAGAAGGAAACUGGUCUAUUUUCUGACACCGUAACCGGUCACUUGGGCGUCAUCAGUCAAGCAAUGAUCAGCUACAUCACCCACCUGGGCAUUCCCGAUCUCUCUUAUGGAAUGUAUCUCACUCAUGGUCUACAGCUAAGUAGCUCCAAUCAAUAGCAAACUACUUGGUCCCACCUCGUAGAAAUGACAGGGGCCUCCAGAUUCAUAGUUCAGUCUUCCGACAUUUCUCAUGAGGUGUUUCAUUUUAUCUUGCUUCAAGAAAGGAUGAUGGAAGAAUCAAAGAAGCGAGUUGUUGAAGGAGAUCAAUCAGAUGGAAAUGGCAGCAAGGGCAGUAGGUUCGUAACCUUUGACAGUUCUGAUAUCGUGAAGAGCGUUUUGGCCAAUGGAAGUCCACAUUAUGUUUAUGGGGCUAGUGUUCUUGUGAAACCUUACAGAGAAAAGCCAAGAAACCUCAGAUUGUCAUGACCAGAGCAGGCAGCACCAGUGGAUUGCAUUAUGACAUGAAAAUCUGUGCACAAGCUUCAAAUCUGCUUACGUUUGCUGAAGGAUUUGGAACCCGGUUGAAAGGUAGUUGUUCCAACAUGUGAACUUCAAGGCGAAGUAAGACGCAUGCAUGGCCACCCUAGUAGCCACAUGGCUUUCUUUCACUCCAUCUUUGCUUUUUAAAAAUAAUUCCCUACACUCCCAUUCUUUAAAUGAUUUUCCAGAUUCUAGGUUUUUUUUUUUUAAUAAUCUCAACACUAUAAUUUUUCAUCCUCUGAAUUUUUUUAAAUUCCAAAAAAUCCUUCCAUUUUUAAUAAGAUUUGCUGCCAUUUUCUUCGACAAGCAAUUUUCACAUUUUCUUGAUUUUUUUAAAAUGUUUUAAAAUAAACAUAAAUCUAAUUUUGUAAUUCCAAGUGAUGGAAUUUACAGAAUUGGUUCAUGCAGAAAUAAAUCAGGUUUGGUGGGGCCCAACAUGCAUGAUUUUUCUUAUUGAUUGAUUGAUUGAUUGUCAUGCUUGAUUGAUUCGCUUUGUGAUGUACAUGCGAAUGUUCUAUGUUUGUUCAUUAACCUUUGUCCUUCAUGAAGCAGUCAACUCAUUGCUCAAGUACAUUCCUUGUUUCUCUUGUUCAUUUGAUUAUUUUUAGAUCGAUGUUCUUCAGAUAUCCAUGUUUAAUUAAUCAAUUAUCACACGUAUUUCAUCUUAUUUAGUAGAGACCCAUUUUAGGGGCUUAGAGGGGUGCUACGGUCUGUACCAUACCUUCGCAAUAAGUAACCUGACCCCAGAGUCCAGAUUUAGUUUUUUCACAUACCACUUUUUCCAAAUAAGGAGUCACACUUAGGGUUUUCUUUCUUAUUUUAUUUUCCUUUUAAAAAUAAAACAAAAAUAAAUGGCGACUCCAAGUCAUUUUCUAAAAAAAAAAUCAUUUUUAAAUAAAAAUCUAGUUGCACCAUUGAGUGGAAGCACAUGAACAAAAAUGCAGGGUCCACACCACCACAUGGCAACACAGGAACAAAUUCAUAAACAACCAACAACCAUGAACCAACAGUAAGUUAUCAUUUUUUGAAUAGAGAAGAACUACUAAAAUGUGCAGGAAAUAUUUUAAAAAGGAAAAAUCCAUUAACCUUCGUUAAGACUUGAGCUCUAUAAUUUUCUUUUUAAAAAGGAAAAAAUCCAUGAAUAAAAGUUGUAACAUUAUGAAGGUUUUUUUUUCAUAAUAAAAUUAUUUUUCGGUGAUAAUUUUUUAAAGUGUGCAAAAAGAUACAAAACUUUAAUGUUAUGUUUGGUAUUUGAAAAUUUUGAGAGAAAAUGUUGGGAAAAAAAAUAGAAAGUAAAAUUUGAAGGAAAUCAAAGCCCCACUCAAAUGGGCUUGAACCCCAUGGGCGCACAAGACUCUCCCAUACCUCUUCACAAGCACAUUAAGCCAUAGAAAGUGGACUAAUUAAUAAACCUACUAAAGGUGUUUCUUUUUCCUAUGUGGGACAAGCAAAAAAAACAUUUUUCACAUUUAAACUCUUCCUACAUAUAUCACCCUGGAAGGAUCUAGAUCAAAGGGAUAAGUCCCUAAAGCUUGAUCAAGUUUAUGAUGUUCAAGAAUUGAUGAGCAUGAUAUAUAUCAACAUGAUAUUGCAGAAGACAAUAGAGCUUCUGAAAUAUUUCAGGUUCAAUAGUAGGAAAUCUUUUCAGCUGUCACUUACUGUAAUCCUAUGCUCUCAAUAUUCAAUUGUUGAACAAGAAAGAGGCAUCUUGAAAAAAAAAAUUUGCUUUCACACUACUCAAUUACGGGAGAAUGUUCAAUUAUGGAAGAAAAUAAUAUUCACUGGACUUUUUCAACUCACUCAACAUGCAGAGAAAACCAGUUGGGUGACCAAUUAUUCACAUGAUAACUUACAUACAUAGUCUCUCUACGUCUACUUGUUACUCAUCAGCCAAGCUUAUAGUAAUAUAAGCUUGGAUUCAUCUCUCUAUACCACUGAUGCCAACUCUACAUGGACUUCGCCUUCUGGUGAUUUUGCAUUUGGAUUCCGACCCUCUCCAAGUGAAAAGGAUCUAUUCCUUCUUGCUAUCUGGACUGCAAAUGGAAGUUAACCGGUGCCAAGAGGAUCAAAAGUUGAGCUUACCACCAAUGGACAGCUUGUUCUCCUUGGAGGCCAAGAGAUAUGGAAGACAAAGACUGGUAAUAUGAGCAGCGAAGCAGUGCAUGGUGCCAUGCUUGGAGAUGGAAAUUGAAUACCAGUAUAUGGAGAGCUUCAACCACCCAACUAAUACCAUAUUGCCAACCCAGGGAUUGGGUGUUGGAACCUACUGUGCAGUUGCUAUUUUUGAGGACCUGAGGUUUGUAAAUGGAACUGGAAGCUGUUGGAGGAUAAGACUACCUCUUUCAAAUGGGAGGUUGGAUCAAACUGCUGUUGCCAGAAGUGCCCUAAUCAAGAUAUUGAAGUCCAGUGAACUAACUUCAGGCAGAGGCAAGCAAAAUAAAGCAAUUCUAAUCCUCUAAGUCCUGGGCCCCUCUGUUCUUCUUCACUUCUUCGUUGCAAUUCUCUAGUUUUCUACUGCUUGAACCUCAAAAAUCUGCAGCUUUAUCACAGAAUCGUGAGUACAAGCGAUGGUAGAAGCCUUUGGCACUGUCUAUAAAGGGAUAUUACCAUCAGGUUCUGGAAAUUCUGUUGCUGAAAGAAGUUGGAGAAGGUGGUGAGAGAAGGUGAGAAAGAAUUCAAAGCAGAAGUGAAUGUGAUAGGCCAAACUCACCAUAAGAAUCUACGACACUUGCUGGGUUACUGCUGUGAGGGUGAACACUGACUUCUGGUGUAUGAGUUUAUGCACAAUUGCUCUUUAUCAAGCUUCCUUUUUGGAGGUGCCCGAUGACUUGUGUACCUACAUGAAGAAUGCAGUAAACAACUAGACUUGAACACUUCAGGCAUCAGAGGGACUGUGGGGGUAUAUUCAGACCACUCGGGCAGCCUCUAUCUCUUAUAAUAACACAUUAUGAAGCAUCAGCUCAACGCCAGUGUUCAAUCUGCAAAGCAAGGGAUUCAUCAAUGUUUCCUUCAAACUAAAUAAUAAGGAACAGAAAUGGAUCAUUCUGCAUUUUCAGUUGUGUUUGUUAUAGCAUUUAUACAAGAACUUUUGGGGUUUCUAUGUAUGACUUCAUUCCUAUUUUGUCAGUGAAUGUGGUGACGGUGUUACAUUAUAAAUCAUAGUGAAACGGUGGAAUUUGAUCAUUUAGCCAACUUCAUCCAAAACCGUUUGACAUUUGAGGGGAUCAUUAACUUUGCCAUGGGCCAAGCAGCAAUUUCUUAAGAAGCUGGGUAACAAAGAGUACCAUAAUUUGGACUAGUUUCAAUGGAAACUCCCCUGUUUUUGUGCAUGAUAUCUUCAGCUUCAGCUUUUCCUUUGCUUUUGACUAGCCUGAAACUGAUCCAAAUCUCUUCAAUCGAUUAAACGUAUAAAUGAAUCCUAUUCAUUGUUUGAAGUAACAACCAAAUUCUGGAAGACUGGGAAAGUAUGACACUGGAGAGAAAACAAAAUGACAAGACCAUAAAUUCUGGAAGAGGGCUUUGCUUUCUAACCAUUACCAUAAUUUUACAGCUCAACCCGGAUGAAUAAAUUAUAUUUCAGAAUGUUCAGAAGAUAAUUCUAAAGAGAUGGACCUUCUACUCACAGUUUCUUGUUCUUCUUGAACAGAGCAAUGAACAUCAAUAGUUCAGCACCCAGGAAUCUCCCCUUCCUCCAAUUCCUUCACUGGAAAAACUCUACCAAAAUCAGAACAAUCUAUCCUCUUCCCUGAAGGAAGAGUCACCUUCCCAAUCAAGAAAGCCUUGCUCAAAAUCAAAAUACAUCAAGAGCUGCUAUUUUCUUCUAUUUCCUCUUCCUUGAAUAGAAUACCUUUGGACUUAGGCGAUCAAUGGUAACAGUCUAACACACUCCUUAAGCUCUGAUUGAGGUUGACUGGGAUUGGCAUCUUUAAUGACUUUGAAAUCAUAGCUCUGUGAAGGGAGACAAACAUGAAUCACAGGAUCAUCAACAAGUCAACAACUAUCAAUCAGCAAGGAAAAGGAAAUACCUUUGGAUAUUUACCAAUGAAAAAUUUGAGAGUCCAGCUGCUCCGCACAGAAAGGCUUGAGCUUAUUCCAUGGCCCAGGCUUUAGACGGUUCUUAAUUACAGAUAAGAGGGCUGAAUUUUCUUUUAUUCUGCAAUAAGAGUAGAAGCAUCAAUGAAACACUAAAAGUAUAUAUGUAGAAGCCCUUCUAAAUCACCUAAGAGACCCCACAAGCAGAUUUGAAGAGUACAUCAAUGGAAAGUUCCUGAAUCCAUUGUCUAGCUAAUUAUCUUUCAAUUUCUAAGGCUUGAUUUUCCAUUUGUAGUAGAAAAUUUUUCUUAUUACAAUGCCACAAAAUUGGUUGAUCUAAUUAAAACAAAAACGAGGUUCUUGACAGAAAAUGAUUAGGAAGGCAUGCAUGUAACAAAUACAAAUGAUAUAUGAUAUAAGAUUUUCACGGAUUAAACAAAAAUACAUGGCAAAAUAGAAGCAGGAGGAUAAGGUCACAGACAGGACAAUAUUAAAAGAAGCAACUAUUUUUCUGACCUGAAAAUCGAGGCAUUCAGAACAAUAUACAUUUGUAAGUAGUCCAUGGAAACCAAGGAACAUAUGCAGAUGUUGUAUUCUAUUGCAUAAGGCAAACACUCAAUACUCAGUAGCAUAACCAAGGCCAGAAAGCCAUAUAUCCCUUUUUGUUUUGCUUUUUUACCUAUUCUCAUCUCUUAUGACCAGAAGUGCCAAAGAUGUUAUAACCUCACCAAAUUAGUAAGAAACCAGCCCAUUCAGCAGGUGGAGGAGCCAGCUUGCCCUCAAUCUUCUUUGAGUCACCAAACAGGUGGACAUUAUUGCCUCCAACAGGGGGUUUGGAAAUAUUAGAGCUGGCAGCAGGGGUGGCUGUAAAACUCUCUGUUCCAAAAACCCCAAGUUUCAGGGCCAGAAGUUGCUUCUGUGGCUGGUUUGUUGUGAUGGCCAUUUCUGGUCCUAACAGACUUGCUAUUGUUUUCUGGGUACCUCAGAGAAAGCUUGCCAUGGAUUAGAGCCUGGGCCAGGGGGACUGUUAACCUUGCCAUGGGCGAAGCAGCAAUUUCUUAAGAAGCUGGGUGACAAAGAGUACCAUAAUUUGGACUAGUUUCAAUGGAAAUUCCUCUGUUCAUGAUAUCUUCAGCUUCAGCUUUUCCUUUUGCUUUUGGCAUGGCUGAAACUGAUCCUGGAAUCAAAAAUCACAGACACAAAUAAAUAUUUAACAGAAAAGGAUCCAAAUCUCUUCAAUUGAUUAAUGUAUAAAUGAAUUAAUAAAAAAAAUUUAGAGACAAUUGAAGGGAGAUGAACCUUAUGCCUCUGAGUUUCUUAUUCAUAUUGAACAGAGUAAUGAGCAUCAAUUGUUCAGCACCCAGGAAUCUCCCUUCCUCCACAGCAAACACACCCCACACCCUCCCAAUAUCUGAACAAUCUAUCCUUUCUUCAGAUUCCACUUCCUUGGAAAAGUCAAAACAAGAAGACAACAUCAUCAAAAUUGAGACAGAAAUAAGUGCAUCAACUAUCUCAAAAAGAGAUGUAUGCCUAUUGCUCACCUUCUGAAGAGGUCCACUUGGUUAGCACACACAAUAGACCAAUUUUCCUUUUUUUACAUGGACUCCCAAUCAGUUCAAACAUCUAAAAAAUUUGACUAAUUCAGUAUCAUAAAAUGCUUCACAUAAAUUCUAAAUGAUCUCAUAUCUAAAAAUUCAUUGGCCUAAAAUUAUUGUUGUUUACCUUACAUGUUUUCCAUAGUCAUUGUUGAACUUUGUUUGUCAUAAGAAAUCUUCUAUGCCCAUCCUAUUUACUUAUUACAAAACAUUGAAAGGGAAAAAAAAAAACACCGAAAAUGAUGAUUAGCUUUGUCUGAUAAGAAAGGAAAGAGUAAAAAAUAAAAAUAAAAUUUGAAUUGAAUAACUUUUUAAAAUUCUUAAUUGUAAAACUAUUUUGGUUCUCAAAAAAUGAAAGGAAAAAGUUGUAAAUUUUUUCUCUUGUUUGAUUGUUUAGGGAAAAAUUGAUGGAAAAACCUGAAUCUAUGAGGAAUUUAUUUAACACUUUUGAGGAAUCAAAAAUGUUUUAGAUGUUAUCAAAUCCAUAAUUUAAAAUUAUUUAAUAUUUACUUCCAUGUAAAUGAGUUUGAUCAAACAAAUGAAAUUGUGAAUAAAAUCAUUUUAAAAAGAAUUAAAUAAAAUAUUGAAUCAUAAUAUGCAAUUAUAAAUCUUGUAAUUUGGCAUAUUGAAGCAAAAAAAAAAAAAAAACAAAGCAAUUUAAAUUACUUACUAAUAAAGCAGCUAACUAGAAUUUGUACUUGAGUUUGCUCUAUGCCCUGUAUAUAAGAAAUAAACAGAGAAUAUGAAAAAAAUAAAAAUAAAUAAAAUCCAUGUUUUUAAUUUUUUUUUUAUAGUUAUAAAUGGUUCAUUUGGUAAACAGAGCAUGAAAAUGUGAGUACCAUUAGAAUAAGACAAUCCUCCUCUGCUUCUCUUCAAUAUUUGUUUCAGGUUUGAAGCUUCAAGAAAAAGAAAAUCUUAAAUCAAAUCUUAAAUCAAAUAAACAGGACUAGCAAAUGAAUUGGAACAUAAAUAUUUUUCUAAAGAAAAGAAGUUCAUGCACAAAAGAAUUACCUGACUGUAUAUUGGCGGAGUGGCACUUUGAUUAAUAUAGCACACCAUUGAUCACUAUUUUUGGAACGUGAGCUAUAUAACGCCAUUCUUUCCCUUUCUCAAAUUGACAUCGUCUUUCCAGUAAAGGACACCCGUAGAGACACAGAAAAGAGAGGGAGUCUGGAAGUCUCUCUUUUGUCAAGUAUUUGAGCUUACAGCAGUGUAUGAUCUCCAAUGUUUUAAGAGAGAUGAGGUGUUGAAGACCCUAUUUUGUCAAUGAUUGGAGCAUUGGGCAGUCCUUGAUUUCGAUAUGUUUGAGAGAGAUGAGGUGUUGAAGACCCGAGGAGUCUUGCAGUCUCUGUUUUGUCAAGUAUUGGAGCUUAGGGCAAUUGUCGAUAUGCAAUGUUUCAAGAGAGGUGAGAUGUUGAAGACCCACUUCUGUCAAGGAUUGGAGGUUUGGGCAUCCAUCAAUUUGUAAUUCUGUGAGAGAGAUAAGGUGUUGAAGAACUGAUCCUGUCGAGAACUGGAGCUCUGGGCAGUUUAUGAUCUCUAAUUUUAGAAGAGAGGUGAGUUGUUGAAGUCCCCCGCUGUCGAGAGACUUGAGAUUGGGAAGCUCUACAAUUUCAAGAGAAGUUAGAGAAGAGGGCAGCAGACACUCCUUGGGAAAUAAUUCAAUGCCUUCACAUCCACCUUCCAUUCUUAAACGUGUAAGAGAGGUCAACCUUUGCAAACCCCAGUCCACCUGAGGCGUGACUUUGUUACACCUUCGAAAUUGAAGUUCACAUAGGUUGGAAGGCAAACCCUCUCUCUGAAACAACAAUUCUGGACAAUCCCAUAAAUGCAGCUCCUGUAUAGAUGAGUGCGUGUGCGCCAACGACCUGAGCUUGGAGGAACUCGAGAUCCAACAACACUUCAAGUUAAGUGCAAGCAAUUCGAUAGAUUCAAGAUUAGGGCAAUUCAGUAGAUGCAAGAAACAUAAAGAUGUGGGAUCUCCAUUUGAAAUAAAAAUGGAGAGCUUCUCAAGCCCCUUAAGACCAUGGAUUGUGAAAUAAGUCAACUUGGGGAAGAUGCUUAAUGAGAAGGAUAACGAGAGAGAAUCAUCGAUAACACCACCAUUGAUGCUUAGGCUUUCAAGGACUGGAAGAUGGCAUCUGAACAACUCAGGUAGGAGAAACUCUAAUUCCAAACACUCAGAGAUUGAUAGUAAUUUCAAUGUAGUGGGUAAACCAACCUUGUGCAGGGAUCUGGAAAAACUACAAUCAUAGAUUUCCAAAUCAUGUAUGUUGGUUUGCAAGAUUUCCUCCUCUAAUAGAGAUUCCACAUGAUCACAUUUUCUGAUUGAGAGCUGGUGUGGUGCCAUUGGAAGUUGCUUCCACUGAGACACGUCUAAAAUUUCAAUUUCUGAAGUUUGAAGAGCUGUGAAGUCACAAGCUGGCAUUUGCAACUGCAAUUCACCAAAAUCCACCAUCCUCAAUUCACGAAUAGCAGGAACUGUGAGCGAAGCCAUAAGCAGUUGCGGACAUUCAUGAAUUUGAAGUUUCACCAGUGAAAGAAGUCGUUCUGGUAAUUUUCCAGUGAGUUUGGGAUAGUGUCGUAUAGAAAGCUCCCGGAGAUGAGGGAAUUCUCCACAACAUAACCAUUUCUCCCAGUUCGGCAUGUCCCCAAAUGAUAGUGUUUCUAGGGAUUGAAAGGAAGCAUUCCCAUAAAACUCACCACCCACACACUCUACUGCAUUCAUUCCUGAGAUUUGUAGAUAUUUAAGAUGGGUUAGCUGCUCAAGUGGUGGCCAUGUUGAGCAAUUGCCACAACCCCGAAGCUCAAGGGACACGAGUUUCAAGAUUGAAGGAUCUCCAAGCCAAUUUGGAAAUCUUACACCAGGAUAGUUUUUGAUGGAGAGUUGUUUUAAAUUUGGAUGAGGUUGUAACUGGUUGAGUAUAUCAUCAGUUGUAGCAACAUAUUGUGUAAUACCACCAUCUAUAGCCCCUUCCGUUUCCCAAUUCAAGAUUAACUCAUCAAGAUAACUCUUAUCCUUCAUAUUAGCUUGUAAUGCAUCGUUAACACUCACCACAUUCUUCACGUUUGAAAUAUAAAGUGUUUCUCGAAUCUCUAAAAGAUCCCUCAAUUCUCCAAUUCUUAAUCCACUCUUUUGGCCCACAAUAAAAUAAGGCAAUUUUUGUAAACAUUUUAAUCGACUAAUGCCAUGACUUGACAUUUCUUUUAAUGAAUAACACUCAGAAAUAUCAAGAUAACGCAAAUUAAUCAAUUUCCCCAUCCUUGAAGGCAAUUCAAUAAGUUCUGAACAUCCUCUAAAGAUCAACGUUUGUAAAUUGUACAAACAACAUAUUGAUUCAGGUAACUUUUCAAUCCAUGUGUAAGAUAGAUCUAAAUAGUGCAAAUGUUUCAAAUUGCCUAUCAAAUCUGGCAAAUUAGUUAUCUUGUAUUCUUGUAAUGACAACACACGUAAACACCUCAUUUUUUGUAUAUCUUUGAAAACUCUUUUACUCAAUAUAUACCAUGACUCGUAAAAUGAUUGUUUCACAUCUAAUAAUGUCCGAAGAGAUUUAGCUUUAGUAAAAGCCUCAAGCUUGUUAAAUGUAAUAAACCUGUCAAAAUCACUGUGAAAGUAUAAAAAGUGGCGAGUCUUCUCAGAUACUUUUUGUACCUUAUUAUCUUCCACUCGGACACAAAAAUCUCCUCCAGACACAUGUUGAGCCAAUUCAUGGACUAGAUCAUGCAUUACGAAGCAAUAUGAUUUUUCUCCUCUAAUAGAUUUUUGAAAAAAUGAUUUGGCCAAAAGGUCAUUAAAAUAGGACUCACCUAUCUCUUCCAUUCUUCUUCCAUCGUCUUGUUGUGGAUGUAAAAGACCUUCUGCCAUCCAUAAUAAAACCAGCUCCCCUUUGUUGAAUUCGUGGUCCUGGGAAAAAAUUGAACAAUAUGCAAAACAAUGUUUCACAGGUAAAGAAAGAUGAUGGUAGCUCAAUCUCAAAGAAGGAAGAAUUCCAUCAUGACUCUGAAGAUGUCAUAUUUCACUAUUCAAAACGUCCUCCCAUUCCCUUUUUUCGACCUUCGAGUACAGCAGAUGCCCGAGUGAUUUAACAGCCAAAGGCAAUCCUUGGCACUUAUCCACAAUCUGUCUACCUAUGGGUUCAAGCUCAAGGCAUGCGUUAGAGUCUCUAUCUUGAAAUGCAAUCUUUUCAAAUAGGCUCCAACAAUGUUGAGGGCUUAAUUCUUCCAGAGGAUGAGUGCGGACUGCACGCAUAGUUUUUGCAACAGAUUCAUCACGACUGGUCACAACAAUCUUGCUUCCCUCUGCUGCACCCAGGAGCGGAGUUCGUAGUCUAUCCCAACUUUCCCAAUCAAAGGACUCCACAUCCCAGACGUCAUCGAGAACAAGCAGAAAUUUCUUGUUAACAAGGCUCUGUUUGAGUUGGCGUUGAAGCAAAUCCAGAUUGUCAUCGGAAGUAGGUCUAUCGCCGAUUUCCUCGAGAAUUGAUUUGGUGACCUUGAUAAGAAGAAACUCAGUGGAAACACAGACCCAUGCUUUCAAGUGGAAGUGUUCCUUCACUUUGUCAUUGUUGUAGAGAAGCUGAACAAGUGUGGUCUUGUAAUGACCGGGUAUUUUAUGCCACGUUAGCAAUUUUAGUUUGAAAAGUCUUAAUUUAUGUGAUGGUUGAAAAGUCAAAAAGAAAAGCGUUUGGAGAACACGUGUCAAUUUCGGAUUGGUGAAUUUCGUUUUAUUGCGUCGGUCAAUUAAACGAGUUGAAAUUUUAUGUCAUGUCAGCCUUAGGAUAGAAAAUUCUUAGGAUUUUAGAAAUUGGAAAUUUACGGGAACGAAAAACGAAAACGAAAAAUGAAAAAUAAAUAAAUUAAGAUUAAUUAGAAUUAAUUAAGAAAAAUAAAUUAAUUAAUUAAAGUAAAUUGAUGAAUAAUAAUAUUAAGAAAAUUAGUUUUUAUUUGGUGUUAAUAAAUAAAAUUGUGUGUUAAAAUGAAAAAAAAAAUGAAUUGGAAAUUAAAUAAAACAAUUAGAAUAAAGAAAAGAAAAGAAAAUAAAAGAAAAGAAAUAAUAACAAUAAUAAUGGAUUGGGCUUAGUUUUUGAGUUGGGCUUGGAGCAAGUGGGCUGGUGGUUUUUUUAAAAAAGCCAUGUGAAGUGGGCUGGGCUGUUAGUAAAAAGAAAAAGAAAAAAAAAAAAGGAAAAUGGGGAAAAUUGGAAAAGUGCAGCACGCNNNNNNNNNNNNNNNNNNNNNNNNNNNNNNNNNNNNNNNNNNNNNNNNNNNNNNNNNNNNNNNNNNNNNNNNNNNNNNNNNNNNNNNNNNNNNNNNNNNNNNNNNNNNNNNNNNNNNNNNNNNNNNNNNNNNNNNNNNNNNNNNNNNNNNNNNNNNNNNNNNNNNNNNNNNNNNNNNNNNNNNNNNNNNNNNNNNNNNNNNNNNNNNNNNNNNNNNNNNNNNNNNNNNNNNNNNNNNNNNNNNNNNNNNNNNNNNNNNNNNNNNNNNNNNNNNNNNNNNNNNNNNNNNNNNNNNNNNNNNNNNNNNNNNNNNNNNNNNNNNNNNNNNNNNNNNNNNNNNNNNNNNNNNNNNNNNNNNNNNNNNNNNNNNNNNNNNNNNNNNNNNNNNNNNNNNNNNNCUGUUGAAANNUUCCUGUGUGUGAAGUGUCUUUUCGUAUUCUUUGAACUUAGUAAUCCCUUUAACCCUUGGGUGUUAGGCACCCUACUGAGCAAUGUGGAAAUGCUCACCCCUUCCUUGUUACACCUUUUUAGAUGCAGAUAUCUCUCCUGAGGAUCCACAGGUGGGACAGGGAGGACUUCAGGAUGCUCCUGGAGAGGCCUAGUGGAGCGUGACAUUUAUUUGUUAUUGUGUUCCUUUUUGGAUUUUGGGGAUUUGUUUUAGCAAUUAUGACUCAUGGAUUUGCUAUGAAGCUUUAUUUGAUUAAGUUGUUAAUUGAGAACUUUUAUUUUGGACUAUAAUGAAUAUUUAUUUAAUCUUGUUGUUUUGAGUAGUUUUGGGAUAUUGUAAAUUAUGAGAAUUCUAGUGAGAUGUAUAAAAAAAAAAAAUCCAGAGUGUUUUGGUUGACUGCCAACAUGGAAUAGGAGGAACCCUUAGGGUCAAACCUUUGACCUGGGAUCACGGGUCAAAUUUUGGGUCGCCCGGAAUUUGGGUCGUGACAGCGUGGUAUCAGAGCCAAGGUUGCAAUAAUACCUUGGGAUCAAUGUUUGUGGGUGUUUAUGUGUGUUGUAAUGUUAUGAUUUUUGUAUGUGUUAAUCAACAAGUUGAUGAUUAAUUGAAUUAUGUAUUGAGAGUGUAUGAAAGUGAAAGUUUUGAUAAUUGUUGAAGUUGCUAAGUGUGUAUAUGUGAAAUUUAUUUUUGCUCACCUUAGUAAUGUGAUUGAAUUAGGGUUUGUUAAACUUGAAAUGGCGGGAAGGACCAGAGGAGGAAGAUCAGAGAGGAAUGAGGAGUUGGAGACAGUUAGAGAAGAACUCCGAGAAGUAAGAAGAGAGUUGAGAGAAACUGUUGAAUUGAUGAGAGGCCAGGGUUCCAGGAGAGCAGGAGGUACCCAGGGCCAUGAGGAUUCAGGCCACUCACAUAGGAGGAGCCGCACUGAGAGGCCAGUAAUGAGCCAAAUGGAAGCAAUGAAGAGGUUCAUGGUGAUGCAGCCUCCAUCUUUUAAUGGAGAGCCUAGUGCUGAAGCAGCUGAGCAUUAGUUGAGGAGGAUGAGAAGAAUUCUGGUGGGACUGGACAUACCUGAGGAAAGAAGGGUAGGUCUGGCAACAUAUAUGCUUAUGGACAAAGCUGAUUUCUGGUGGGAAUCAAUGAAAAGGGUGUAUGACACUGAGGUUAUGACCUGGGAGGAAUUUGAGAGAAUCUUCCUAGGCAAGUAUUUUGGGGAAGUGGCUAAGCAUGCCAAGAGGAUGGAGUUUGAGCACCUCAUCCAAGGAACCAUGUCAGUGCUGGAGUAUGAGUCACGUUUCUCAGAGUUGUCUCGUUUUGCUUUGGGGAUGAUCAGUGAGGAAGGAGAAAAAGCUAGGAGGUUCCAGCAGGGGUUGAGACCUGCUAUUAGGAACAGAUUAGUCCCACUGGCAAUAAGGGAUUAUUCUGAGUUGGUUAAGAGGGCUUUGUUGGUGGAGCAAGACAUGGACGAAACCAACCAAAUUCGAGAGCAAAAAGGGGACAGAAAAGGGAAACAAAGAAUGAGGGAAAGUUCUCAGGGGCCACAGCAGAAGCAGAGGACUCAGCAGUUUGAGAGGCGUCCCUCGUUCUAUGCAGGAGGGGGGCAGAUUGCUCAGGGGGUGGCUGCUAAUAGAGUAUGUUAUGGUUGUGGAUCAGGAGACCAUUUAUGGAGGGCUUGCCCAUUGCGAGGCACACAGCAGGCACGACCUCAGUCUCAGGGAAGUUCUCAGCAACAGUCAGUAGUGUCUUUCCAGCCUCCUCAACUUCAGUUGCCUUACUAUCAGAUGCCACAAUUGCCCCCAGCAGCGCAGGGAACUAGGGCAACUACCACGAGUCAGACCCGCUCUUCUCAGGGGUCGAAUGCUAGAGGUAGGGGAAGGCCCGCAGCAGGAAGAGUUUUUGCCUUGACCCCAACAGAGCCAGAUGAGGAUGCCCUUUUGGUGGAAGGUAUGAUUUUGGUAUAUAGUACUUGGGUGCGUGUUUUGUUUGAUACUGGUGCAACUCAUUCUUUCAUUUCUGCAUCUUGUGCUAAUGCAUUGGGGUUGAAAUCGGAAAGGGUAGAGAAUUUGUUACUUAUUGAGUCUCCUAUGGGUACGAACUCUAGAGUUGAUAGAAUAUGCAAGGGGUGUGUUAUUACCUUGGCAGAUAGAGCACUAAAUGUGGAUUUGAGGAUUUUGGAUAUGACUGGGUAUGAUGUUAUUUUGGGAAUGGAUUGGUUGGCAGUGUAUAGAGCGGUUAUUGAUUGUCAUCGCCGCAGGAUAAUAUUUUGUUUGCCAGAGGGAUUUGAGGUUUGUUUUGUUGGAGGGAAGUGUGUUAGUUUGCCUUUUUCGCAGUCCGAUCCGUGCUAUCAGUAUGUGUUGAGGAAGGGAUCAAUAAAUUUCCUAGCUUGCCUUCGUGGUAAGGAGAAAGCCUAGAAGGACAUUACAGAAAUUCCAGUGGUGACGAAGUUUCAGGAUGUAUUCCCAGAUGAGUUACCAGGUUUACCACCGCAUAGAGAGUUUGAUUUCUCUAUUGAAGUAUACCCAGGAACUGAUCCUAUUUCAGUAUCCCCUUAUAGGAUGGCCCCUCUUGAGUUGAAAGAAUUGAAAACUCAGUUAGAUGAAUUGUUGGGUAGGGGUUUUAUUCGUCCAAGUACAUCGCCAUGGGGAGCCCCAGUGUUGUUUGUGAAGAAGAAGGAUGGUACACUAAGAUUAUGUAUUGACUAUAGGAACUUGAAUAGAGUUACUGUGAAGAACAAGUAUCCUCUUCCAAGGAUAGAUGACUUGUUUGANNNNNNNNNNNNNNNNNNNNNNNNNNNNNNNNNNNNNNNNNNNNNNNNNNNNNNNNNNNNNNNNNNNNNNNNNNNNNNNNNNNNNNNNNNNNNNNNNNNNAGAGUUGAUAGAAUAUGCAAGGGGUGUGUUAUUACCUUGGCAGAUAGAGCACUAAAUGUGGAUUUGAGGAUUUUGGAUAUGACUGGGUAUGAUGUUAUUUUGGGAAUGGAUUGGUUGGCAGUGUAUAGAGCGGUUAUUGAUUGUCAUCGCCGCAGGAUAAUAUUUUGUUUGCCAGAGGGAUUUGAGGUUUGUUUUGUUGGAGGGAAGUGUGUUAGUUUGCCUUUUUUGCAGUCCGAUCCGUGCUAUCAGUAUGUGUUGAGGAAGGGAUCAAUAAAUUUCCUAGCUUGCCUUUGUGGUAAGGAGAAAGCCCAGAAGGACAUUACAGAAAUUCCAGUGGUGAGGAAGUUUCAGGAUGUAUUCCCAGAUGAGUUACUAGGUUUACCACCGCAUAGAGAGUUUGAUUUCUCUAUUGAAGUAUACCCAGGAACUGAUCCUAUUUCAGUAUCCCCUUAUAGGAUGGCCCCUCUUGAGUUGAAAGAAUUGAAAACUCAGUUAGAUGAAUUGUUGGGUAGGGGUUUUAUUCGUCCAAGUACAUCGCCAUGGGGAGCCCCAGUGUUGUUUGUGAAGAAGAAGGAUGGCACACUAAGGUUAUGUAUUGACUAUAGGAAGUUGAAUAGAGUUACUGUGAAGAACAAGUAUCCUCUUCCAAGGAUAGAUGACUUGUUUGAUCAGUUGAAGGGUGCGAAGUAUUUUAGUAAGAUUGACUUGAGAACUGGGUAUCAUCAAUUGAGGGUUAGGGAAGAAGAUGUUUCUAAAACUGCUUUUAGAACGAGAUAUGGGCAUUAUGAGUUCUUAGUCAUGCCUUUUGGGUUAACUAAUGCCCCUGCUGCUUUCAUGGAUUUAAUGAACAGGGUAUUUCGUGCUUACUUGGAUCGGUUUGUGAUUGUCUUUGUGGAUGACAUCUUGAUCUACUCCAGGAGUUUGGAGGAGCAUAAGCAACAUUUGGUGACCACCCUUGGAACUUUAAGAAGGCAUCAGUUGUAUGGGAAGUUGGACAAAAGUGAGUUUUGGCUUACUGAAGUGAACUUCUUAGGCCAUGUGGUUUCUGAGGCAGGAAUAGCAGUAGACCAUUCAAAGGUGGAAGCUGUACAGGAGUGGCAAAGGCCUACCAAUGUAUUUGAGGUUAGAAGUUUCUUGGGGUUGGCUGGAUAUUAUAGGAGGUUUGUGGAAGACUUCUCUAGAAUUGCAGCACCAAUGACUAGGUUGACUAGAAAAGGGGUGAAGUUUGAUUGGAAUGAGGAGUGUGAGAAUGCUUUCCAGGAGUUGAAGCGGAAAUUGACCACUGCUCCAGUGUUAACUGCUCCUAUUAGUGGAGAGUUGUUUAUGAUUUAUUGUGAUGCUUCUACUGUGGGGCUAGGGUGUGUGCUAAUGCAGCAAGGCAAGGUGGUAGCUUAUGCCUCAAGACAAUUAAAGCAGCAUGAGCGGAAUUAUCCAGCACAUGAUUUGGAGCUUGCAGCAGUGGUGUUUGCCCUAAAGACUUGGAGACACUAUUUGUAUGGAGAGAAGUUUGAGGUGUACUCUGAUCACAAGAGUUUGAAAUACAUUUUCACUCAAAAGGAUUUGAACUCUAGGCAGAGGAGAUGGAUGGAGACAUUGGAAGAUUAUGAUUUUGCCCUUCAUUACCAUCCUGGGAAGGCGAAUGUUGUAGCAGAUGCCUUGAGUAGAAAGAGCUAUGGCCAGUUGUCUAGCUUGGGGUUGAGAGAGUUUGAGAUGUAUGCAGUUAUUGAGGACUUUGAGCUAUGUCUUAGUCAGGAAGGACGUGGUCCAUGCUUGUACAGCAUAUCAGCUAGACCAAUGGUUAUCCAGAGAAUAGUGGAGGCCCAAGUUCAUGAUGAGUUUUUAGAAAAGGUUAAAGCCCAGUUGGUAGCAGGUGAAAUAGAUGAAAAUUGGUCUAUGUAUGAAGAUGGGAGUGUGAGGUUCAAAGGGAGAUUGUGUGUGCCAAAAGAUAUGGAGUUGAGAAAUGAACUUCUAGUAGAUGCUCAUAGGGCGAAGUAUACCAUCCACCCUGGGAAUACCAAGAUGUAUCAGGACUUAAAGAGACAGUUUUGGUGGAGUGGGAUGAAGAGAGAUAUUGCUCAGUUUGUAGCUAACUGUCAGAUUUGUCAGCAAGUGAAGGCUGAACACCAGAGGCCUGCAGGGUUGUUGCAACCUUUACCUAUACCUGAGUGGAAGUGGGAUAAUAUUACUAUGGACUUUGUGAUAGGGUUGCCAAGAACUAGAAGCAAGAAAAAUGGGGUUUGGGUGAUUGUGGACCGUCUUACUAAGUCAGCUCAUUUUCUAGCCAUGAAAACUACUGAUUCCAUGAACUCUUUGGCUAAGUUGUAUAUACAGGAGAUUGUGAGAUUGCAUGGGAUACCUGUAUCUAUAGUGUCUGACAGGGACCCUAAGUUUACUUCUCAGUUUUGGCAGAGUUUACAAAGGGCUUUGGGCACCCAACUGAAUUUUAGCACCGCUUUUCACCCUCAGACAGAUGGUCAAUCAGAGAGAGUGAUCCAGAUCUUAGAAGACAUGUUAAGGGCUUGUGUUUUGGAUUUUGGAGNNNNNNNNNNNNNNNNNNNNNNNNNNNNNNNNNNNNNNNNNNNNNNNNNNNNNNNNNNNNNNNNNNNNNNNNNNNNNNNNNNNNNNNNNNNNNNNNNNNNNNNNNNNNNNNNNNNNNNNNNNNNNNNNNNNNNNNNNNNNNNNNNNNNNNNNNNNNNNNNNNNNNNNNNNNNNNNNNNNNNNNNNNNNNNNNNNNNNNNNNNNNNNNNNNNNNNNNNNNNNNNNNNNNNNNNNNNNNNNNNNNNNNNNNNNNNNNNNNNNNNNNNNNNNNNNNNNNNNNNNNNNNNNNNNNNNNNNNNNNNNNNNNNNNNNNNNNNNNNNNNNNNNNNNNNNNNNNNNNNNNNNNNNNNNNNNNNNNNNNNNNNNNNNNNNNNNNNNNNNNNNNNNNNNNNNNNNNNNNNNNNNNNNNNNNNNNNNNNNNNNNNNNNNNNNNNNNNNNNNNNNNNNNNNNNNNNNNNNNNNNNNNNNNNNNNNNNNNNNNNNNNNNNNNNNNNNNNNNNNUUUUUUUUUUUUUUUUUUUAAUAUAUAUUUAAAAAAAUAUUUUUUUUUUUACAUGGGAACUCGUCUCUUCAAGAGACGAGUUCCCUUUGGAAUUGUGUUUUAUUUUUUUAUUUUUAUUAUUAUUUUUUUUUAAUUUGGGAUUUUUUAAAAUAAAAAAUAUAUUUUUUAAAAAAAAUAUUUUUUUGAACUCGUCUCUUGAAAUUAUUUAUAUAUAUAUAUAUAUAUAUAUAUAUAUAUAUAUAUAUAUAUAUAUAUUUAAAAAUAUAUAUAUUUUUUUUACAUGGAGACGAGUUCCUGGAAUUGUGUUUUUUUUUUUUUUUUAAACAAAAUUUGGGAUUUUAUAAAAAAAAAAAUAUUUUUUUUUUAAAAAAAUAUUUUUUUUGAGCCCGCCUCUUGAAGUUUUUUUCGUAUAGAUAAAUAUUCGAAAAAAACAUAUUUUUUUNNNNNNNNNNNNNNNNNNNNNNNNNNNNNNNNNNNNNNNNNNNNNNNNNNNNNNNNNNNNNNNNNNNNNNNNNNNNNNNNNNNNNNNNNNNNNNNNNNNNNNNNNNNNNNNNNNNNNNNNNNNNNNNNNNNNNNNNNNNNNNNNNNNNNNNNNNNNNNNNNNNNNNNNNNNNNNNNNNNNNNNNNNNNNNNNNNNNNNNNNNNNNNNNNNNNNNNNNNNNNNNNNNNNNNNNNNNNNNNNNNNNNNNNNNNNNNNNNNNNNNNNNNNNNNNNNNNNNNNNNNNNNNNNNNNNNNNNNNNNNNNNNNNNNNNNNNNNNNNNNNNNNNNNNNNNNNNNNNNNNNNNNNNNNNNNNNNNNNNNNNNNNNNNNNNNNNNNNNNNNNNNNNNNNNNNNNNNNNNNNNNNNNNNNNNNNNNNNNNNNNNNNNNNNNNNNNNNNNNNNNNNNNNNNNNNNNNNNNNNNNNNNNNNNNNNNNNNNNNNNNNNNNNNNNNNNNNNNNNNNNNNNNNNNNNNNNNNNNNNNNNNNNNNNNNNNNNNNNNNNNNNNNNNNNNNNNNNNNNNNNNNNNNNNNNNNNNNNNNNNNNNNNNNNNNNNNNNNNNNNNNNNNNNNNNNNNNNNNNNNNNNNNNNNNNNNNNNNNNNNAAAAAAAAAUUUUUUUUACACGGGAGAUAGUAUCUUCAAGAGAGGGGUUCCCCCUAGGAAUUUUGAGGGGGGGUUUUUUUUUUUUUUUUUUUUAUUUAAUAUAUAUAUUUUAAAAUAUAUAUAUAUAUAUAUAUAUAUAUAUAUAUAUAUAUAUAUAUAUAUAUAUAUAUAUAUAUAUAUAUAUUUACAUGGUAAUUGGAAUUGCGUUUUUUUUUUUUUUUUAAAUUUGGGAUUUUUUAAAAUAAAAAAUAUAUAUUUAAAAAAAAUAUUUUUUUCCCAAGGAACUCGUCUCUUCAAGAGAUUAGUUCCUUUAGGAUUUUUUUUUUUUUGGGAUUUUUUUUAAAUAAAAAAUAUAUUUUAAAAAAAUAAUAUAUUUUUUUUCCCAUGGGAACUCGUCUCUUCAGACGAGUUCCCUUUAGUUCCAAAUUUUAUUUUAUUUUUUUUAAUUUGUGAAUUUUUUAAAAAUAUAUAUAUAUUUUUAAUGGGAACUCGUCUCUUGAAGAGACGAGUUUCCUUGAAUAAUUCUCUUUCAUGGAACUCGUCUCUUCAAGAGACGAGUUCGCUUUUUUAAAAAAUUUUACCCGUUCACCCUUUCUCCUCUCUCCUAUCUCCUCUCUCCUCUCUCCUCUCUCCUCUCUCCUAUGUGGCAAAAACUACCCUAUAUUUGUAAUAACUUCUUCCACUACAGUAAUUUAAGAAUAACUUUUUUAAAUUACUGCACUAUUGAGAAAAGUCCACGAAAUCGGUCAAGCAACAUCAAGUGGUUUAUUAAAGUCGAUAGGCUUUUAAAAACAGAGGCAUCUCACCAUUAUCAACGUUUUUAUGUAGAUUUCCAAGUCUGAAACAACUGUAGCUGCACCAGAAUCCGAGAGACCGAACGGGCGCUCGCAUUACAAAUUCUAUAAUAAUGUGUCAACAUCAAAAAAAAUUUCUAUGCGUAAAUAUUCAAUCACACCAACCAAAAGAGAGAGAUGUGAAGAAUUCCAUUCAGCUCAGCCAAAACAUUUUCCUCCAAUCCCCAGAUCCAACACACUCUAGAAAGUUGAUGUAUCCUUGGAAACAUAGCUAAGAAAAUCGAACCAUCAUCAUCAAAUCCCCUCGUCCUUCCCAAUUUUCAGAUCUCAAACUACAAAAGAACAAGGACAACGGAGAGAAAUGGAAGAGAGAAACUGGGAGCAGCGACAGAAGGGACUGAGCUAAGCUAAUCUGAACUGCUGUUUCUUUUUUCCUUUGGUCAAAGCCCAGCCUUCACCUCACGAAGUUUUUGUUUUUUUUUUAUGGGCUCAAAAACGGGUGGACUAAACCAGGAGAAAUGCAUGUAUAUAUAUAUAUAUAUAUAUAUAUAUAUAUAUAUAUAUAUAUAUAUAUAUAUAAAUGAGAUAUGAGAAGAUUUCCCAAUAUGAAAUAAACAAUUGAAGCACAGUUAGAUCAUCCAUGAACGAAAAUAGAGAAAAAUGGGAUGAAACUACAAUACCAAGCCAAGGCAAACUCACAAACAACGCAGAAAUAAUCACAUGGAAAAUAAAUGAGAAAAAUAUGAUGAUAUAAUGAAAGAUGAAUCCAAAUAAUCCUACCGGGCAACGCUUCUCUCAAACAAGAGUUUCCUUAUCUCCAGACCAACUUCCUCUACCUGGUUCCGAAUGGCGAACCCCUCCUCUGUUUUUUGCUAAAAAAAUCUCUUCCUCUCGAAAACUUAAAUAUCCCCCUCCUCCCCAGUUGCAGCGCCUGCCCCUUCUCUCCCCCCUAGGCUAUCACCUCAAGCUCUUUGGGCUGCCCAAGAACGGCCCACCUCAUCAGUCCCAUCUAGCCGUCCCCAAGCCGCUCGACGUCGGGGUGACCAACAGAAGAAGAAAAAAAUGAGGAGGAAAGAGGAAAACGGGAAAAGAAAGAAAAAUAAAAGAAAAAAACCGCCCCAUAUCUCGAGGGUCUACACAUUUUUUCUUAAAUGCUGAAAUAUUCUACGAAUUUAAUAUUCCAUCAAUUUGAACGUUUGAAAUUCAAACGUUCACCCCCUAUUCUACACACUACAUCCAUCCUACCUUAUUCCAACUUCUCUUACAAUAUAAAUUACUUUCAUAUUUCUUUACUCUCAUUUUUCUCAUUUUCCCCACUUGAAACUUAGUUUUUUACUUAUCAGUUUUUCACCUUCUAUCACUUUUAUCUAUAUCCCUCAUUCUCUUUGGGAGACUUAUUAGUAGGGGUCUCCAAAAAGCCCGCGGCCCGCGGCCCGCUUUAGGCCCGGCCCAAGCCCGUCGGGCCCAAGCCCGUCGGGCCCAAGCCCGGCCCGAGCCCGUUUAUGGGCUGGCCGGGCCGCGGGCCGGCCCGUAGGCCCGCCUUUAAUUUUUAAAAAAAAAAUAAUAUGCUAUAUUUUUAUAUAUAUAUAUAUAUAUAACUAACUCAUUUAAUAAGCACAAAAGAAAUGUAGCUCAGUUGGUUAGAGCCUUGAAAUUUAAGCUUGAGGGGAGGGGUUCGAAUCCCCCCCCUCUUCCUUCCUUUAUUUAAAAGCCAUUUUGGCUUAUUUAAAAAAGCUCGCGGCACGGCCCGCCUAGCCCGCCCCCCAGCCCGCCAGCCCACUAGCCCGUGGGCUCAUAGGCCGGGCCGCGGGCCUAGCAUUUGAGCUCGGCCCGGCCCGUUGACCAGUCAACGGGCCCAUAGGCCCAGCCCGAGCUGGGCCGCGGGCCUCCUAUUUAUGGCCCGGCCCGUUGGAGACCCUUACUUAUUAGCAUAUCUUCUCUAUUUUUUUCGACACUCACGCUAUUUAUAAGGUAAUAUUUUUGCUUUAUUUUUAUUUCAAGUUAUUUUGUAAUGCAUAGUUUUUAUUAUUGUAUAAGUUUUCAAAUUUAUUUGGAUUAUGUAAUAUUUGUUUGAAUAAUAUUUAUUGGAAAUUAUUAUUUUAAAUAGAUUAAAUCAUUAAAAAAAAUAAAAGAUAUAUUAUUUUAUUCCUAGGUUAUAUUUUUUUCUUUGUUUGAUAUUUUUUUCGUGUAAUGCAUGAUAUAUAUUUGUUGUUAUAUGUAUUUUUUUUAAAUUUAUUUGAUUUAUGGUAAUUUUGUUAGAAUAUUAUUUGUUGUAAAUUAUCAUUAUAUAAAGAUAAAUGAAUUAAAUCAUUCAAAAAAUAAAAAUGAUACUAGUUUAUUUAAUUAAUAUGAAAUAAUAGGAUUAUUAUUUAUGUUUAUCAAUCAAAUAAUACAUUUGAUAAAAUAUUAAAAUUAAAAAUUAAAAAUAAAAUAAAAUAAAAUAUUAGUAAAAUGAGAAUGAAAAAUAAUAAUAAUAAUAGAAUAAUUAUAUAUCUAUAUAUUUUGCAUAAUAUAUGAUUUAAAAAAUAUUAAAAUCUAAAAAAUAGAAAUACAACAUUAUCCGAAAUUAUGAAUUUAUCCUAUAUAUUUUUAAAAUUAACAUUAAUCUUCAAUCAUUGAAAAAAUUAUUGUAAAACAAUGAGAUGUAAAAAUAUAUAUAUAAAUAAAAGUAGAAAUAAAACUAAAAUGUUAUUUGAUUUAUUUAAAUGUCUAUAUAUAUAUAUAUAAAGUAAUUGUGUGUAGUAUAAAAUAGUAACAGUGAGUAUUAAAUGUAUAUAAAAUAUAUUUAAAUAUUAAAUAUAAUAAUAUAUAAAUUUACAUUUAAAAUGUAUAUUUAAAUAUCAAUUUUAAAAAUAAAAGAAAGAUAUAGUUGUAAAAUGUUAGAAUAUAUAAUUAAAAAAAUGAAUUUAAUAAUGAUUGUUAGUAUUAAAUUAUUUGUUUGCAUAUAAUAUUAUUUAAAAAAUAUUAAAAUAUAAGAAAUAUAAAUAGAAUAUUAUCCGAAACUAUGAAUUUAUCUUAUAUAUUUUUUAAAAAUUAAUAUUAAUCUUAAAUUAUUGAAAAAAUUGCAAGAUAUUGAGAGCUAAAAAUAAAAAUAAAAAUAAAAGUAGAAAUAAAAUUUUAUUUAAAUAUAUAUAUAUAUAGUAACUGUGAGGUCCGUGAGUAUUAAAAGUAUAUAAUAUAUAUUUAAAUAUUAAAAUAUUAUAUAUAUUUAAAUAUCAAUUUUAAAAAAGAAAAGAAAUAUAUAGUUGUAAAAUGUUAGAAUAUAUAAUAAAAUAAAAUAAAAAAUUUAGUAACGGUUGUUAGUAUUAAAUUAUUUUUUUAUAUAUAAUAUUAUUUAAAAAAUAUUAAAAUAUAAGUAGAACAUUAUCCGAAACUAUGAAUUUAUCGUAUAUAUUUUAUAAAAAUUAAUAUUAGUCUUAAAUUGUUGAAAAAAUUAUUGUAAGAUAUCGAGAGCUAAAAAUAAAAAUAAAAAUAAAACUAAAAUAUUAUUUAAUUUAUUGAAAUGGAUAUUUUAAUGUAUAUGAUCAUGAUAUUUUAUUUUAAUUUUUUUUAUUUUUAUAUUUUAUUCAUUUUACAGUGAAUUUUGAAAUUAAAGAAUAAUAUUUUUAAUUUUAAAAUUUAUAUAAUAAAAUUAAUUUAAAAAUUAAAACAAAAUAAGAUUAUUUAUUUUAUAAAUUAAUAACAAAAUUGUUUUUUAUAAAAUCAUUUUUCAUAUAAACAAAAAAUAGAUAGAUAUUAUUUAUCUUAUAAAUAAAAAAACAAUAUCAAACUAAAUUAAUUUUAUUAGUUGUAAUUAAUUGAAUUAAUUUAAAGAAAAAUUGAAGAUUAAGAACAAUUAAAAUUAUUUAACUUAUUUUUUUUAUAUAUUUUAUUCAUUUUAUAGUGAAAUUUGAAAUUAAAGAUUCAUAUUUUUAAAUUUAAAAUUUAUAUAAUAAAAUUAAUUUAAAAAUUAAAACAAAAUAAGAUUAUUUAUUUUAUAAAUAAUUAUUGAAUAAAUUAAUAACAAUUUUUUUUUUAUAAAAUCAUUUUUCAUAUAAAAAAAAUAGAUAAAUAUUAUUUAUCUUAUAAAUAAAAAAUAAUAUCAAAUUAAAUUAAUUUUAUUAGUUGUAAUUAAUUGAAUUAAUUUAAAGAAAAAUUGAAGAUUAAGAACAAUUAAAAUUAUUUAACUUAUUUUUUUUAUAUUUUAUCAUUUUAUAGUGAAAUUUUAACUUAAAGAUUAAAAUUUUUAAUCUUAAAAUUUAUAUAAUAAAAUUAAAUUUAAAAUUAAACAAAACAAAAUUAUUUAUUUUGUAAAUAAUUAUUUAAUAAAUUAAUAACAUUUUUUUUUAAAACUCUACAACAGUUCAUGCGAGCAAUAAUUAAUUCUACCUAACAGUUCAUGCACGUAAUAAUUAAUUCUGUCUAAUGAUCUCCAAGCAUAAAAAUGGAAAUAUUUAAUGUCUAAUUCUGUCUAAUUUAUUGCAGAAAUUUAAACAUAAUAACGCAGAAAUUUGAAUCUGAAAAUUUUGUUUAUUGAAAGUAUACCUUGAUUACAGAGAGUUGAUGAUUACAGGCUGGUUGACAGCAGAGGGAUGACUCAGGUUGAUGAAUACAACAAACUUAAAGAAGAAAAUUACAAGAGAAAAUUUUUUUGAACUCUCAAAUUUUUGCACUCUCUAAGCUUUCUCAGCUCUGAGUUCUCUUCCGCCCUCUACCUGAUGAAGAAAGUUGAGGCUCUAUUUAUAGGUGAGACUUCGAACUUGAAACUAUCUUCAAUCUUGAAAAUUUUGAAAUCCAUCACGUGUAGAGACAAUCUGCAGAUGGAGAAUAUUUUUUCUUGUCUUUGUUAGAGACUUGAGAAGAGAAAAUUUUCUCUUUGCUUUCCCAUCCUCCACGUUGCUUGCAAAGUAGUAGAAAGUAGACAAAUUCUACUAUUCACUACUAUUCAUGUUUUUUUUUUUUUUUUUUUACUUUACAAACUUUUCACACUUUCAAAUUUUUUUUCUCUUUUUUUUUUCUUUUUUACUAGAUAAUUACAAGGGAACAAAUUUAUAAAGAUACAGACAUACAAAAGAUUCUUGAAAUCUUUUAUCUAAAUUGACUCAUAGGUCCUCCGUAAAGGAUAAACUCAGGGUCUACGUAUGAGUCAUCUGAUAAAACUGCAUCUUCAGUUUCUUCUUGAUCUCCAAACUGUUUGAGGGUUUGAAUGAGUCCUUGAUGAUAUUGCUCUAAAUCAGUAGCGGCUGUUAAUGAAGCUUGACAUUUGCUUUUCAAAGUUAGGAAUUCUUCUUGAGUCGGUCCUUGAGAUGAACUAGUUGAAUCUUUUGAAUUUGAUGAUCUUGGCCUUAUUGAAAUUAAUUGCAAAAUCUUCUAUUGAGAUACAAAAUCAUGAUUGAAUUUGUCCCACCAUUUGAUGCUGAAUUCUCUAUAAAGAGAUAAUGGAAAUGGAGGAGGUUGCUCUUGCUUCUUGAUAAUAUUCCAUGAGAGAAUCCAUGGAAUUCUUAAUCUCGAACAGAAAGUCAGGAGUCUAGGCUGAGUGAUAGACUAAGAUGAAGUCUUGCUCUUGUAGAAGUUUAUUUUUUCUUGAAUUUCAGGAGGAAAUAAAGAGUCUAAUAGACUAAAGAAAGUCCACCAUUUUUUAAACAAAGCAGGAAAUUUGGUAUUGCAAUUUCUUGAAAAUUGGAUGAACCAAGAAUGUUGGUAGCUUUGUAAAUAAAACAUAUUAUACCAAGCAUCCAUAUAAUCUAUAUAAUUGUAACUCAUGGGAUGAAAAUGUUGACUAAAGGCCUUGCAAGUGAAGGGUUUUUUAUUCCAAUCAGCAAUGGUCAUGACUUUGAGAAUUUGACAUUUGGAAAAAGCAAUCCUCUGAGGAUUGUUUUUAUCAGUGUUAUGAGUAAUUUCAACUGAAUCGGUGUCCACCAAGAUGAACUCAUAAAAUUGACGAGUUUUCAAAGGAUCAUUUGAAUUGAAGUUGACUCCUUGAGGAAAUAUGUAAGGAAGAAUGUUAGGAAUCUCUUCAUAAUUGAACUUUGGCUCAAUGAAAGCAAUUUCUAAGAUUUUGGAUUUUUUUGACAUAUUGACUAUAAGAAAAGAAAGAAGAAGGGGACUGAGAAGGAGAAGGUAAUGUUGAAAUAGUGUUAAGGCUAGAUUGUCUCUGAACAUCAAUAUUUUUAGGGGUUGAUUUAGAAGCUUGAAUAAAACUUUUUGAAGGUUGAAGAGGAGGAAAAUCUGGACUCAAAACUUGAAAGGAAUUUGAUGUUUGUAAAGGAAAAGUAGGACGAACAUUUGAAAAGUUUGAAAUCAUGGCAUAUGAAGCUUUGGUUUUCUUGGAUGAGGAAGGAAGUUGAGGCCUAACGGGAGUACCCAUUAGGAUGGAGAAAGAUCCUUACCCUGCAAAAACUCCCAAGUAAGGAAAUUAGGAAGGGAAUUCAACUCUCCUUUGAUAAAUUCAAUUUCAAAAUCAAAAUUUGAAAGUAAAGCUUGCCAUCUUGCAAAAAUUUGUUUUGAAACUAAAUUUUUAACAUCUUUUUGUAAAAUAUCUUUUGCACAUUUGCAAUCAAUUUUCAAAAGAAAUUUUAUAUUUAUCAAAUCACUUUAAAAUUUUGAAAUACAUAAAACUAUGGAUAAAACUUCUUUUUUGACAGUUGAAUAAUUUAUUUGAGCGCCCAACCAGAUCCCUGAAUGAUAUCUAACUAUAUGCACUUUGAUUGUUAUAUUCUUGUUUUAAUAUGCCUCCAUAACCUAAAUUAGAUGCAUCUGAUUCUACAAUGAGCAAUGCAUUUGGAUGAGGGAUACUGAUGCAUGGUAAACGUUUGACUCUUUGUUUAAUUUCUUUGACCAAACUAGUAUGAUGCUCAAUCCAUGCAGGUGUAUUUUUUCUAAGUCUUUUGUAUAAUGGUUCACAAAUGAUUCUCAAAUCUUUGAAGUAAUCAGAAACAUAAUUUAAACAACCUAGAAAUCUUUGUAAUUGUUUUUUGUCUUUUAUUUCAUCAGGAAAUUUAUCAGCAAAUUCUAUUGACCUUUGAAUCGGUUUUGUUUUUCCUUGAAAAAUUUCAUGUCCUAAAAAUCUAAUUUUUGUUUGAAACAAUUUCAUUUUUGGAGCAGAACAAGCCAUUCCAUUUGCUUUAAUGACAUUGAAAAACUUUUUUAGAUGAACAAAAUGUUUUUCUAAUGAAUCAGAAAAUACUAAGACAUCAUCAAUGUAUAUAAUUUUAAAUUGAAAAUGAGGAUUGAAAAUAUCAUUCAUAAUAUUUUAAAAUUCAGAAGAGGGAUUUUUGAAACCAAAAGGCAUGACAUUCCAUUCAUAAUGACCAAAAUGGACAAUAAAAGCAGUUUUAUAUCUAUCUUCUUCUUUAAUUUGAACUUGCAAGAAUCUAGAUUUCAUAUCAAAUUUUGAAUAGAUUACAGAACUAUGUAGUCUUUUGAGUAGAUCUUGCUUAUUAGGAAUAGGGUAUCUUAUCCAUUGUAAUACUUUAUUUAAAGGUUUAUAAUUAAUGACUACUCUUAGUGCUCCUCUUUCUAUCUCGACAACAUUUUGUACAUAAAAAGCAGCACAACUCCAAGAAGAUUUUGAGGGUCUGAUUAAUUUAUUCUUUAAUAAUGAAUCAAUUUCUUGUUUACAAUAUUCUAAAAGUUUUUCAUUCAUUUGAAUAGUUCUAGCUUUAGUAGGAAUUUUAGAUUCAUCAAAGUUUUGAACGUAAGGCAGACUUAUCUCAUGUUUCUUUCUAGACCAAAAAACAUUUGGAAGAUCAUAACAAAUUUCUUUUUGAAAAAGAUCUUGGAUUUCUUUUAUUCUCUUUUGAACAUUUUCUUCUACAAGUUGUUUUUCUAUCUUUUUAUAUUGAAUUUCUUUCGAUAGAUAAUUUAUAUGAGCUUGUUUUCUUUGAAUUAAAUUUAUUCUUUUAUUUAUUGAAUCACUUUGAACUUGAUGUAUUUCUUUUUUAGUUAAUGGAUAUAUAAAAGGGAAAAAUAUGGUGUUUCCUAAUAUUGUAGUUUUGACACCUUCAUCAUUUACUUGAAAAUGGUAAAGUAAUGUAAUAAAAGGAGUUCCUAAGAUUAAAGGUUCAGUCAUAUUUUGUACUAAUAUAAAUUGAGUUCUAAAACAAUAAUUAUCUUGACAUAUAUGAACAUUUUAAAGUUUAAAUUCUAUUUCUAAUUUUCCUUUAUUUGUAGCAAAAAGUUCUUGUCCGAUUUGUUCAUAAUAUUUAACAGGAAUUAAUCCUUCUUGAAUGCAAUUCAUAUCAGCUCCUGAGUCUAUUAAUGCUACUAUUUCCAUUUCAAAAUCUUCUACUAUGAGUUUUAUAUUUGUAUACCAUCUUUGAAAAUCUAUUUUUGUUAUUAUAUUUAUAAAUGAUUCUAUAGGAGUUUGUUUAUUAGGUAUUAUUAUUCCCGGAUCUUGAUUAUCAGAUGUUUUAGCAAAAUCUUAUUUAUAUUGUAUUACAUUUUUUAUUUGUUCAUUUUCUUGUUUUAUUUGUUUAUUUUCUUGUUUUAUUAUUUCGUUUCCGAGUUUUAUUUGUUCAUUUUCUAAUUUUAAUUGAUUUAUUUGAGUUUUUAUUUCUUUUAUUUCUUUUUCCAAGUCUUUAAUAGUUAUUGGCCUUUGAGUCUUUUUGAAUCUAUUAUAAAUUUCAUCCAUUGAAUAUUGUAUAUGUUUAAUUUGAAUUUUAUUUGAAUCUUCAUUGAGAAUUAAAUUUAAAAAUUUUUUUAAAUAGUUUCUUUGUGUUUCUUCAUCUUGAAUUUUAUCUACAACAUCAAAAAAUAUUUGCUUAUCUACUUUUGAAGAUAUUACAUUUAUUGUUUUUGUUUUUUCUUUAUUUUCUAUUUUUUGUACUUCAUUAAUUUCUUUUAUGGUUUUUUCUUCUGUCUUUUUUUAUUCCUCCACCUUUCCCGGGGCGGAAGAAAACAAAAUUUGAUUAAAUUUUGUUUCACUUGACUCUUCUUGAUUUGAGUUUUGUUGCUCUAACAACUUUUUAUUAUGUGAAGAAUUUUCUAUUGCUUUUCUUGAAGUUAAUGUUGCAAUUCUUUUAAGAGGUUUCCUAUAUUUGAAAAACCAAAGGAAAAAAGGAAUAGUAAUCCUAACUUGUUGCAUAUAUUUUUCAUAUUGUUUUUUUAAAGCAUUUCUAACUUGAGGAGGAAGUUGUUGAAAAUAAUUUCUUUUUGCAGUAUUUUCAGGAGAAAAAUAAUUUGCUUUAAUUAAUUCUACUUCAGGAACAAAAGGAUUUCUUUUAAUAUUUCUUUUUCUAAUGAUAUUUAUGUUUAAAGAAGGUUCAUCAUGAGAGAAAAUAAUUGACUCAGACUCUUCUUUAAAAAGAGGAAUUUAUGGAACAAAGUUUGACAUAAUUUUUAGUUGAUUUUCUAUUUGACUCAUUUCUUUAUCUAAUUUUGAAAUAUUAAAUUUUAUGUGAUGACUAUACAAUGAUGCAGAUGAUGAUGCAGCUAAUGAUGCAGGUGAUGAUGCAGUAAAACUGAUUAUCUUAUAUGAAGAUCUUUCUAAAUUAUAUGCAGAAUUAUUUAAUGCAGAUGCAUGAACUGUUAGACAGAAUUAAUUAUUGUUUGCAUGAACUGUUGUAUGUCCUGGGUGCAAAUGGUAUCAGAGCCAUUUUCUGCUUGAAAACCGAGUGGUGUUACGAGUUGGAACAGUAAUUAAACGCAGAUUUAGUCCUAACUUAGUUCAGGUUGAAUUUCUUGUGAACGGAUUGGUCAGCCUGUGAUAGCGGUGUUUAAGGGGAGAAGGAGCGUAAGUCUCGUGUUGAUCCGCUUGUGGUGGUCCCUGUUCAGGAAAUUAUCUGAAUUGAUUAAGGAUGAAAUUGUGAUUAUUUUUUGUGACAAUGAGUAAUAUUAUUAGGGGAUUAAGUAGAAUUAGUUCUUCCAGAUCUCUUAAGUCCCAUGAUAGUUCUGCAUCUGUAUUAAAUAAUUCUGCAUAUAAUUUAGCAAGAUCUUCAUAUAAGAUAAUCAGUUUUACUGCAUCAUCACCUGCAUCAUUAGCUGCAUCAUCAUCUGCAUCAUUCUAUAGUCAUCAUAAAAAAUUUAAUAUUUCAAAAUUAGAUGAAGAAAUUAGUCAAAUAGAAAAUCAACUAAAAAUUAUGUCAAACUUUGUUUCGGAAAUUCCUCUUUUUAAAGAUUUGUCUUUCACUAUGACUCAAAAGUAAACUAGUGACUCAAAUGCAAUGUGAUGAAAAAGAAAAGAAAAAAAGGAGACAAGAAGAAUUUACCUUCUGCAAACCUCAUGCUUCAUACACGUGGAAGAGGAUUCAAAAAUUUUCAAAAGUGAAGACUCAAAAGUUCUCUUGAAGUCCGAAGCCUCAUCUGUAAAUAGAGCCUCAAAUUUCUUCAUCAGGCAGAGCUCAGAGCGGAGAAAGCUUAGAGAGUGCAAAAAUUUGAGAGUUCAAAAAAUUUUCUCUUGUAAUUUUCUUCUUUCAGUCUGUUGUAUUCAUCAACCUGAGUCAUCUCUGCUAUCAACCAGCCUGUAAUCAUCAACUCUCUGUAAUCAAGGUAUAUUUUCAAUAAACAAAAUUUUCAGAUUCAAAUUUAUGCGUUAUUAUGUUUAAAUUUCUGCAUUAAAUUAUACAGAAUUAGACAUUACAUAUUUUCGUUUUUAUGCUCGGAGAUCAUUAGACAAAAUUAAUUAUUGCGUGCAUGAACUAUUAGACAGAAUUAAUUAUUGUUUGCAAAUAAAUAAAUUUAGUAAUGGUUGUUAGUAUUAAAUUAUUUUUUUGUAUAUAAUAUUAUUUUAAAAAAUUUUAAAAUAUAAGUAGAACAUUAUCCAAAACUAUGAAUUUAUCGUAUAUAUUUUAUAAAAAUUAAUAUUAGUUUUAAAUUGUUGAAAAAAUUAUUGUAAGAUAUUGAGAGCUAAAAAUAAAAAUAUAAAUAAAANNNNNNNNNNNNNNNNNNNNNNNNNNNNNNNNNNNNNNNNNNNNNNNNNNNNNNNNNNNNNNNNNNNNNNNNNNNNNNNNNNNNNNNNNNNNNAUUUUACAGUGAAACUUGAAAUUAAAGAAUAAUAUUUUUAAUUUUAAAAUUUAUAUAAUAAAAUUAAUUUAUAAAUUAAAACAAAAUAAGAUUAUUUAUUUAAUAAAUUAAUAACAAAUUUGUUUUUUAUAAAAUCAUUUUUCAUAUAAACAAAAAAUAGAUAGAUAUUAUUUAUCUUAUAAAUAAAAAAACAAUAUCAAACUAAAUUAAUUUUAUUAGUUGUAAUUAAUAGAAUUAAUUUAAAGAAAAAUUGAAGAUUAAGAACAAUUAAAAUUAUUUAACUUAUUUUUUUAUAUAUUUUAUUCAUUUUAUAGUGAAAUUUGAAAUUAAAGAUUCAUAUUUUUAAAUUUAAAAUUUAUAUAAUAAAAUUAUUAAAACAAAAUAAGAUUAUUUAUUUUAUAAAUAAUUAUUGAAUAAAUUAAUAACAAAUUUGUUUUUUAUAAAAUCAUUUUUCAUAUAAACAAAAAAUAGAUAAAUAUUAUUUAUCUUAUAAAUCAAAAACAAUAUCAAAUUAAAUUAAUUUUAUUAGUUGUAAUUAAUUGAAUUAAUUUAAAGAAAAAUUGAAGAUUAAGAACAAUUAAAAUUAUUUAACUUAUUUUUUUUAUAAUUUAUUCAUUUUAUAGUGAAAUUUUAAUUAAAGAUUAAUAUUUUUAAUCUUAAAAUUUAUAUAAUAAAAUUAAAUUUAAAAUUAAACAAAACAAAAUUAUUUAUUUUGUAAAUAAUUAUUUAAUAAAUUAAUAACAUAUUUUUUUUUAAACUCAUUUUUCAUAUAAAAUUGAUAGUAAUUUUUUUUAUUUUUUUAAUUCCAAAAUGAAAGAAAAAAUUAAUAGAUAAAUAUUAUUUAUCUUAUAUUAAAUUUAGUAUACUAUUUAUAAAUUAAAUUUAGGAAAUAAAAUUAAUUAAUUUUAUAAUAUAUAUUAUUAAUAAUUGUAUUAUUGUAUAAGUAUAAUAGGGAAUAAAAAAAAUGAAUUUGUAAAGUUUUUUUUUAAAAUCGUUGUUGAAGACAUAAUUUCUAAUACUUUUUUAUUUUUUAUUUAAUAAAUUAAUAACAAUUUUUUUUUAAACUCAAUUUAUAAUAGUUUUUUUUUAAAAAAAAUUCCAAAGUGAAUGAAAAAACAAUAUAUAAAUAUUAUUUAUCUUAUAUUAAAUUUAGUAUAUUAUUUAUAUAUUUAAUUUAGUAAAUAAAAUUAAUUAAUUUUAUAAUAUAUAUUUUUUUUGUGGAAAUUGUCUAUUUUAAGAGACGUUUCCCACUUAGGUGUUUUUUUUAAAAAAAAAUUUAUCAUGUGAAAAUAGUCUCUUUAAGACAUGAUUUCUCACUUUUUUUUUUUAGUUUUUUUCGUGUGGAAAGUGAUGAUUUUUAUGAAUUAUUUUUUAAAACUGUCGUCCACUUAUAAAAAAUGGGGAAUUAGUGACUGCACUUUUAGCCCGAGUAGGGGAUUGGACCGGGUUUUGGAACAUAGCCUGGAACCCUCCAGCCGGCCACAUGACUCGACCGGUUUCCAUUUCGCGACUUGACUGGUAUAGGUAUAGCUUUUGCGCGAGCGAUUGACCAAAGAGACUUGAGACACUCUCGACUACAAAAGUGAAAGAGAAGGACAAGAGCCGGGGGAGGAGCAAGUCAGAUUCGUCGUCUCCAAGGUUAGUUUCAGUCUAUUCUCUUUCAAUAAAUUUCAGAUCUGUUGUCAAGUAUUCACUUCUACCUCUGCUGAAUACUAAAUAAGCAUUUCAUUUGUUCAGAAAUAAUCGUUAAGGGCUUAGGAGGGUGUUCUUGCGUUUGUACUUUUAGGGUUUUUAGCUAGUUUGCUUUCUUCAAACUCUUGAAGUGUCUAUAAGAAACUAGUUUUAGGAUAUUGCUUUGAUACCAAAGUUGUUGCUGUUUACAAUCUCGGAAGAUUGUAGAUUUUAGGGUAUUUGGAAAUGGGGGCCGGAUGUUUGCGUUAAAGGCGAUGUUUUUGGAGGUAAUUGGUUGCUGGAGUUAACCGAAAAUAGGUUUCCAGCAUUUCUGGAUGGCAACUCAUUUUUCAAUAUUGUUAUUUGCUGGGCAUUUAUCUACUUUGAAGCAUUGGCAUCGACUCUCUCCCAUAUGCUUUGGAGAAAGUCAAACUAUUGUCAUUCUGUAGUUAUGGAAUCAAACACUUAACAACUUCAAUUUGCUAUGGUAAUAGUUUGACUUUUAUUCUAAAUGUAAAUUUGAGAUGGUUUCUUUGGAGACUAGUUCAAGGAUACUUGAAUUUGGUGAAAGAGGAUUUUGGGUAUAUGAUAAGGCUUAUUAUGGUAGGGUGCUGGGGUAAAUCUUGAUUUUGCUGGUAGCCUGGCAAAAACACUGGGAGAUGAGUUAGGCAUUGGCAGGCUAUGUUUGGCCUCCAGAAAAUUUGAGGGAAAAUGCGAGGAAUUGAAAAUGAAGAGGAAAAGUAGAAGGAAAGAAAAAGUGAAAGAAAAUGAAAAAUAAAUUUGAAGUUGAUAAAAUUAUUUUUGUAUGUUAUUUCAAACUCAUUUAACUUAUUGUAACUCUUUUAUAUAAAGAUUAAAUAAUUUAAAAAUGAAUAAGUUUUUAACUAAUUUUAAUUUUAUUUGUUUUUUAAAAAAUAUUUUUUAUAGUAAAACCAAAUAUGAGAAAACCAUUUUCAUUAGCUUUUCUUUCUUUCUUUCUUUCUUUAAUGCUUUCCAUAGCAUUAGGGGAUGAGGCCCCCCUCUGGCAGCUGAGCUGGCAAGAACUCCCUGUUAGGAUUGGGGAUCCUCAGGUUUGAUCCCCUGCUUACCUGAUACACGGCUCCUGGGAGGCUGGUUUUGCAUCCUCCCUUGUUUUCCAAAGGGAGCCUAGUGCCCCCCCCCGCCUUCAUAUAAAUGAUCACAUGUUCAUUAACAUGAUAAGCUUUGUUAUUUGUUUGACAUGUGAUAUUGGCUUGGUUAUUUACUGUGAAGUAGUCAUAAAAACUUGAAAAUAGAAUGACUAGUUUAGGAAAAAUGGGGGAAAUGAAACUGGUCUCAGCUGGGAUUUGCUAGACAAACAGUUGAUUCAACACCUAAAUAUUGGGAUAUGUAAAUUUAGGGCAUUGUUGUCAAAUUAAAGGCUAGAAGUACUUUAACAGCUAUUAUUACCAAUGGAGCUAGAGCAUAUGUCAAAGUCCCUAUGAAAAUAUAGUAGCCAAAUGCUAGCUAAUCUCAUUAUAGCGAAAAUAUUUGAGAAAGGACUUAAUUAGAUGCUAUAGUAUGCCAGAUGUGUCCUAUGUCUCUGAAGAAACUAAUUUUCACAUGAUAGUAAAUUAAUUGAUAAGAAUCUUGUUUUAUAUUUUCUUUUUCUUCAUUAUGUCAUCUUCUUUAUUUGCUCAAUUAAAACCUUCAGAGUUGUUUUUCCUAGUGAUAGUAAGUUAUAAUGUUGGUUUCUCUAUGUUUUCCAACUUUUUUCUUUUUAUUUAUAACCUCUUUCACAAACCCCACACCCCAAUCCCCCUAUCCCCCUCUUCCUCUCUUUCUCACAGCACUUUAUCACUUUUUUAAUUGGAUAGGUUCAAAUAGUGUCUGCAAAUGAGGGGUAGAAGUUACAGUCCCUCACCACCAAGAGGUUACAGCAGAAGAGGUAGGAGCCCUAGUCCUAGAGGCCGCCAUGGAGGUCGUGGUAGAGAUCUUCCUACUAGUCUUUUGGUCAGGAAUCUUCGCCAUGAUUGCAGGUUUGUUAUAAUCUUUUCCCGUUUUUCCCUUCCAGUAUUUUGCUCUCUCUCUCUCCCCCCCUUUCUCUCUCUUCUAGUGUUAUCAUAGCUGUUAAACUGGGAUGGUUCUCAUUCUUAUCAAAGUGGAUGUCAAUUCUGCUUUCUGAAUUUUUGGACUUAAAAUUUUAAUGCAUCCUUAGAAGAGUAGUAUAAUAAAAACACUCAAAAGCAUAUAAAAAGUAGAUUAUCCAUUUGUUAUAGCUACUAAAUGAAGGAAUUUGUAUAAUAUUUAUGUCUAGAGGGGAAAAAACUUGUUCCCGCUGGAUUGGUUGUUCUUGUUAGAUAGUUUUUUUUUUUUUUUGAUAAGUAAAGGAUAUGCAUUAAAAAAGGCAAAACGCCGCAAACCAUACAGGAAGUAUACAAGGCAGCUUAGGCCUCAAAAAACAAAAACAAAGAAUCACCUCCCUUUAAGUGGAAGCUAUCCACUCUAAGAAGCCUAUAAGGGAGAACGCCUCCUCACCUACAUACAAUUUGGCCCAACUNNNNNNNNNNNNNNNNNNNNNNNNNNNNNNNNNNNNNNNNNNNNNNNNNNNNNNNNNNNNNNNNNNNNNNNNNNNNNNNNNNNNNNNNNNNNNNNNNNNNCCCCCCCCCCCCCCCAAAAGCUAAUCUAUUCCUCUCCUUCCACAGCGUCCAAAAAAUACACAACGGAAUGACAUCCCAUAUCUUUUUCCUUUUCUUUCCCACAAACGAUCCCCUCCAACUAGCUAAAACCUCCUUUACAGUUCCUGGAAAAACCCAUUUCACAUCAACUAAACCAAAAACAAUAUCCCAUAAAGCUCUAACCACUGUACAAUAUAUAAGGAUAUGAUUUACACUUUCUUUUUCACAUCCACACAAGAAACAACGAUUUGGAAGUUGAAGUCCUCUUCUUUGAAGUCUAUCCAAAGUUAGCACCUUCCCCCAUGACGCCUCCCACGCAAAAAAGGCAACUUUAGUUGGCACUCUUGCCACCCAAAUGCUUCUUGAAGGAAAACCUAUAUCAUCAGACUUCGUCAACAAACUAUAAGCUUCCUUGACCCUAAACUGACCACUUCUUCCUUUCCUCCAUAGAACUGAGUCUUCCUCCAAGGAGGGUUUGAAACCCCUCAAUAUGUGGAGAAAGUCCCCAACUAACUCCAACUCCCAAUCAUUGAAGUCCCUCAAAAAGUGUAGGUUCCAGUUUCCUUGACCCGAAUUUUGAUCCCACAUUUCCUCAACCGUUGAAUUUCGUUGCGCAGCCAUACCAAAGAGAUGAGGGAAACAUUGAGACAAUGAGGAUUCUGAGCACCACACAUCUGUCCAAAAUCUGAUCAUGUUACCCUUCCCUACUCGGAAUGUCAUGUUAUCCCAACACCAUUCUGAUUCUUUCCAAAUCUCCUUCCAAACCCCUACUCCAACCGCCCCAUUUGCCUUUUUGGGCCUCCAAUCAAGACCCUCCUGCCCAUACUUCACCUUGAUCACUUGUCUCCACAAAUUAUCUUUGUCACAGGCAUACCUCCAUAUCCACUUGCCAAGUACAGCUUUGUUCAACAAAGCUAGCUUUCUAAGUCCUAGCCCCCCUUUAUCCUUGUCUGUACAUACCACAUUCCAUUUAACCAGAUGAACUUUUCUCUCCAUAUUUCCCCCUCCCCACAAAAAAUCCCUUUGCACUUUCUCAAUCCUUCUAACAACAACCUUGGGCAUUCUGAAAAUAGACAUUUGAUAGAUUGACAUGCUAGCCAAGGUACUUUUUAUUAAGGUGACUCUUCCUCCUUUAGAAAUAUAUUGCCGUUUCCAAAGAGCUAGACUCCUCCUUACUCUCUCCUCCACCCCAUCCCAUAUAUAAGGCGCUCUAUUUGGGGCCCCUAAAGGAAGACCCAAGUACUGAGAAGGUAAAGUCCCCACCCUGCAGCCUAGCUCAACAGCCAACUCCUCCAUCUCCAUCACCUCUCCAACUGGAAUGAUUUCACUCUUGGCUAAAUUAAUCCUUAGGCCUGAAGCCGCUUCAAACCAGAAUAAAAUUCAACUUAAGUGAGUUAGAUGAUCCUUUCUGGCCUCACAGAAAAUAAUUGUGUCGUCAGCAAAAAACAAGUGAGAGAUGUUCAAAGAGGGGCCACUUCCACCCCUUAUGUUGCAUCCUGAUAAAAACCCCCUCUCCACAGCUCUCCUGAUAAGAACAUUUAACACUUCCAUCCCCAUAAUGAAGAGGUAAGGAGACAAAGGAUCCCCUUGUCUAAGGCCUUUAGUGCUAGGGAAGAAACCUGCAGGCACUCCAUUAACCAACAUUGAAAAUUUAGCUGAGGAUAGGCAACUCCACAUCCACCCCACCCACUUAGACCCAAAGCCCAUCUUUUGCAACACCUUCAACAAAAACUUUCAAUUGAUGCUGUCAUAGACUUUCUCUAUAUCCAAUUUGCAUAUAAUGCCCUUUUCUUUUUGUUUCUGCCACGUGUCUAUCACUUCAUUUGCAAUUAAAGAAGCGUCAAGAAUUUGUCUUCCCCUCACAAAGGCAUUCUGAGAAAUGGAAACCACCUUACCAACUACUUUCUUCAGUCUAUUAGCUAGCACUUUAGCCAAUAACUUGUAAAGCCCCCCCAAGAGACUAAUAGGUCUGAAGUCUCUAAGGUCCUCAACCCCACUUUUCUUGGGGAUCAGCACUAAGAAGGUAUUGUUGAGACUCUUGAGGAAAGAACUGUGAUCGUAGAAGUCUUUGAACAUUUCUAAAAUCUCCUCUUUAAUGAACUCCCAACAACUUUGCCAGAAUGCCAUAGUAAAGCCGUCCGGACCGGGGGCUUUAUCCCCAUUCAUCUCCAUCAAAGCCACAUGGAUUUCAUCCUUUGUAAAGGGCCUCUCCAAGUUUUCAGCCUCUUGUAGGCUGAUCUGAUCAAACUGAAGGCUCCCUAUGUCCGCCUUCCACCCCAUAUCUUCUGAAAACAAACUUUGAAACGCAUUAGCAAUUCCUUCCCUGAUUUCCUGCUCCUCUAUCAGUCACUCCCCAUUGAUCUUUAUUCUCUCCAAAGAAUUAUUUCUACGGUGAGCGCUUGUCAUGCGAUGAAAGAAGCCCGUGUUUCUAUCCCCCUCCUUUAGCCAUAUUUCCCUAGAGAGCUGUCUCCAAUGAGUUUCCUCCAUAAUCACCCAUUUUCUAUAAUUAUCCUUUGCCUCUUUCUUAAGCUCUGUUUCCUCCACAGUCAGAAUUCUUUCACUUUCCUCCCUAUCCCAGAAUUCCACCUGUUGCAAGGCUAAGGAUUUAUUGCUCUCCAGCUUUCCAAAGACUUCUCUAUUCCAAACUUUCAAUUUCUGUUUGAUUUCCUUCAUCUUAGUAGCCAAUUUGUAACUAGCACUGCCCCUAACCUCAAUUCCUUGCCACCAACUGUGCACAAGAUCUUUGAAGCCCUCAACCUUAAGCCACAUAUUUUCAAAUCUGAAUGGAGUCGGGCCUCGUCUUAUCCCCCCCCCACUAACGUAAUUGGGAAGUGAUCGGAUACCGGACGGGGCAGCCUACACUGAUUAAUCCCAUUGAAUUGGUCUGUCCAACUAGGGGACACCAGGAACCUGUCCAAUCUUGCCCAUGCCUGAUUGUUUUGUCCCCCAUUCCAAGUAAAUUCUCCCCCCUGAAGGGGAAGAUCCAUCAGCCCUAGAUCAUCCACAAUUUCAGCAAAUUUCCUCAUUGCUGAAUUCAUUCUCCUCUGGCUACUCCUUUCCCUCGAAAACAAAGUAAUGUUAAAAUCCCCCCCUAUACACCAAGGGUCUUCCCACAGCCCUCUAAUCGCCCCCAACUCAUCCCAUAAAGCAUCCCUUUCCACUUUGGAGAACAGACCAUACACUCCCGUAAAAAUCCAUAUAGCCCCAUUUUCUACAUUCCGGAAUCUGCAAGAUAACGUAAACUGACCCUCUUCCCAAUCUAGAAUAUCCAAAGACCUUCUAUCCCAGCAAAUCAGAAUCCCUCCCGAAACCCCUUCCGCAUUCACAGCUUUCCAAUCUAGGAAUCUUCCGGAGCAUAUACUUCUCGCAAUGCUAUCCGACAUAGCUUGAAUUUUAGUUUCCUGAAUACAGAUUAAGUCCACCCUCUAGUUCCUUAUGAACGUCUUAAUAACUUUUCUUUUAGAACUAUCAUUUGCUCCCCUCACAUUCCAACUCAGAAUUUUCAUCUUCAUUGGACAAUCACAAUCUGGCGCCCUUUGCCCUGUACCGAGCCUUUCUGUUUAAUUCCCCCCUCAUAAUUAAUGGAGCAUUCCAGUCUUUUUAACUCCCUUUCAAACUUAGAUUUUUCCAGUAGCUCUUUACUAUGGAUUUUCUCCCUUCUUUUUCUGAUUUUAGUCAGAAAAUUCAGGAUUUCCUUCUCCAAUCCCUCCGUGUGGAAUCCUAGGAAUUGGCUGAAUUUCGCCAAACCACUCUCCUCCCAUUUGCCCUCCUGCUCACCUCUCUCUGUUUGGGUAUCAUAUAUGUCACCGACCCCAAACAUCCCCUUGCCCUUAUCACUGUUACUUUUAUUUGCUCCCAAUUCCUUACAUCCAUUGCUCCUUUCAUUACAGCCCUCAUACACCGUUAACCACAUUGUAUUGUCAGCCCGAGCUUCCCAUUCCAGUCCCCAGAAUGAUCGAAAAACUCCCCUCCCGGAGUCCGAUAAAAAAUAAUAGAAUUGAGAUGAGAGGUCCCUAAAACCCUUUUCCCCCAAGAGCACAACCCCAUUCCAUACCUCAUUGACUCCUCUUCAAGCGCCUUAUCCGUCUCUGAUAUCCUAGCCACACCAUUUAACUUCCUCAUGUCCUCAGUCUCCCGUGCAACAAAAGGCUCUGGCACAUGAGUAUUACCUGGAGCGAGACCCAUCAACAGUAAGUCCUUCUUCUGAGAGUUAUUAUGGUCUUGGGCUGUUGAGGAAGAUGGGCCCUCCCUUAGCUUUACAACUAUAUCAGACUGUUGGGUACAUCCCUUUGAGUUUGGGCCUUUGUUUGAUGGCGACUCUGGGCCUAUAGUGGAACAACCCACCUCAUCAAGCCUAUGUGACGGGCCUGCUUCUGGACUAAUCUCGCUUGCAACCACACCCUUCAUCUUCAAGCCCAUGACUCCACUCUGCAGACCAGGCCCACCAACCCCUCUUGACUCCUUUGGGUUCGCAGUUGGGCUUAAGAGAUGCAUUGCACCAGUUUGAGCCCAAGACUGGGUUAUUGGGCUUCGGACUGCGCUGGAUACAACCCGACCCGGUCCAAUCUCCUGCUCACCCGUCCCAUCAUCUGACGGGUGCAGGGUCUCGAGCCUCACGCUCACCCACCCCUUCGUCACUCGCUUCUCCGCGUGUGAGAUCUCCUCACCCCUAACCUCACUGCUAUGACGACCAUCUGCUUGUCUGCAACUCCUCCUUAGCACCGGACGACAUUCCCACCAUAAGGAUACCGCGUAGACCUCCUCCUCCGCUUCGACUUCCAGGACACUCGGUCUAGCGUUACCUCUCCCUCUCACCAAGAUUCUGGCCCACUGGAGCUCGCCCAUCGUUUUCGUUUGUUCAUCGAUUGUGAUAAAGCCGCCACAUUCAUCCCCCACUUUCUUCAAAAUCUCUGGGCUCCAAAGCGAGACUGGAAGCCCAAAUAAUCUCACCCAAAUUUCCUUUGUCUCUUCCUCCUCUAUCCAACAUCCACUCCUAGGACUCCAGAAAUCCAGCCCUACCUGGACUCCUUCCAUCGUGCGGUUUCCGGAGGAUACAACACGACAAGCCUCUUCCAAAUCUUCAAAGUCCAGUAGAACCCUUCCCUUUUCCAACUUAGCCAACCCUAAGCUACCUUUAAGCUCCCACGAUUUUGCCCAAAGCUGUCCCAACUUCUCAAGAUCAUCUUCUCCCCCUAAGUUAUCUUUCCUAUUCGCCACGACACAAUGUUCCAAUUUCUUUAACAAUCCUAUUGAUUCCUCCCUUUUCACCUUCACUACGAUUGCGUUUGGAUUGCCCGACAGAGUUCGUUUUGCUAUUGAUGCAUACGAUCUCCCCCUAACAGUCUUCCCCAUGUUCUUUCCUUCCUGGGUUUCUGGUUUAUUGCCAUAAGAGCCUACCACCUGGUUAAGCUUCUCCGCCAUGGUCAUCCACCCCCUUUUAUCCCUUCUGCCUCUCGGGAUGAAGAUGCGGAAACGUUUCCUCUCUAGAUCGGAGACCCCUAGCCGNNNNNNNNNNNNNNNNNNNNNNNNNNNNNNNNNNNNNNNNNNNNNNNNNNNNNNNNNNNNNNNNNNNNNNNNNNNNNNNNNNNNNNNNNNNNNNNNNNNNNNNNNNNNNNNNNNNNNNNNNNNNNNNNNNNNNNNNNNNNNNNNNNNNNNNNNNNNNNNNNNNNNNNNNNNNNNNNNNNNNNNNNNNNNNNNNNNNNNNNNNNNNNNNNNNNNNNNNNNNNNNNNNNNNNNNNNNNNNNNNNNNNNNNNNNNNNNNNNNNNNNNNNNNNNNNNNNNNNNNNNNNNNNNNNNNNNNNNNNNNNNNNNNNNNNNNNNNNNNNNNNNNNNNNNNNNNNNNNNNNNNNNNNNNNNNNNNNNNNNNNNNNNNNNNNNNNNNNNNNNNNNNNNNNNNNNNNNNNNNNNNNNNNNNNNNNNNNNNNNNNNNNNNNNNNNNNNNNNNNNNNNNNNNNNNNNNNNNNNNNNNNNNNNNNNNNNNNNNNNNNNNNNNNNNNNNNNNNNNNNNNNNNNNNNNNNNNNNNNNNNNNNNNNNNNNNNNNNNNNNNNNNNNNNNNNNUCCCCCUCCUCACCAUCACACUCACCUACACACUCUCUCUUGCCUUCUCUCGCUCUCUCUCUCUCUCUCCCAUUUUUUUUUUCUUUUACACAUUCUUCUUAGUGUUAUUGUUCUUGUUAGAUAGUUAUUUAUUCUUUGUUUAAAUAAUGGUUUUUGAUUUUUUUAAUAGUUUAUUAAAGUCAACAAUGUUUUUUUUUUUUUGAUAAGUAAAUCAUAAUUGUAUUAAAACAAAGGCGAAAAGCCACAAAGCAUACGGGGGUAUACAAAGCAACUAACACCUCUCAAGCAAAAAAGAAAGCCAACAAAGCCUCACCACCCCUUAAUUGGAAGCUAACCACUCCAAGAAGCCUAUAAGGGAUAGAGACUCCUCUCCAAUAUACAAUCUAGCCCAGCUCCAUAAAUUACAAACAAAAAAAUUCUUAAGUUUUUGAAUAUCUAACACACCUCCCCUAAAAGUUAAUCUAUUCCUCUCCUUCCAAACCGUCCAAAAAAUACACAACGGUAUGGAUUUCCAUAUCUUUUUCCUUUUCUUCCCCACAAAAGGGCCUCUUCAGCUAGUUAAGACCUCCUUUACAGUUUCUGAAAAGACCCACUGCACACCUGAUAACCCAAGGACAAUAUUCUAUAGGACUCUGACCACUAUAUAGUGUAUAAGAAUAUGAUUUACAAUUUCUUCUUCACACCCACACAAAAAACAACAAUUAGGGAGCUGUCAUCCUCUUUUCUGAAGCCUGUCAAGAGAAAGCACCCUCCCCCACGUAGCCUCCCAAGCAAAGAACGCAUUCUUGGUUGGAACUUUAUCCACCCAAAUACAACUUGACGGAAAAGCAAUGUCAUUGGGAUUGACCAACAAGUUGUACGCUUCUUUGACCUUAAACUGUCCAUUUCUUCCUCCCUUCCAAAAAACUGAGUUUUCCUCCAAAGAGGGCCUGUGACCCCUCAAAACAUAGAGCAAGUCCCCUACCAUAUCCAACUCCCAAUCAUUAUUACCCUCAAAAAUCUUAGAUUCCAACUCCCUUGACCAAAAUUCUGAUCCCCCAUCUCCUCCACUGUAGCAUUCCUAUGAGAAGCCAGAGCAAAUAGAUGAGGGAAGUUUUGGGAUAGCGCUGUACCAGUGCACCAAACAUCAGUCCAGAAUCUGAUUUUGGUGCCCUUCCCAGCUAUGAGCACCAUGUUAUCCCAACACCAAUCAGAUGCCUUCAAAAUUUCCUUCCAAACCCCUACUCCGAACGCCCCAUUAGCCUUCUUUGUCCUCCAAUUAUGACCUUCUUGCCCAUAUUUCGCCAUUAUCACUUGUUUCCAAAGACUAUCUUUAUCAAAAGCAAACCUCCAAAUCCAUUUACCAAGCAAGGCUUUGUUCAAGAGCGCUAGCUUCCUUAAGCCUAGCCCACCCUUAUUCUUGUCCGCACAAACCACCUCCCAAUUAACUAGAUGAGCUUUCCUUUCCAAGUUUCCCCCCUUCCCCAAAGAAAAUCUCUUUGCACUUUUUCUAGCCUUCUAGCAACGGUCUUAGGCAUCCAGAAGAGAGACAUAUGAUAGAUUGGCAUGCUAGCCAAAGUGCUCUUUAUGAGAGUGAUUCUCCCACCUUUGGAAAUAUAUUGCCGUUUCCACAGCGCAAGUCUCCUCCUCAUUCUCCCUUCCACCCCAUCCCACACAAAAUGAGCCUUGUUAGGAGCCCCUAAAGGCAGACCCAGAUACUGAGAAGGCAAAGAACCCACCCUAUACCCUAACUCCGCUGCCAGCUUAUCAAUCUCCUCCACCACACCAACUGGGAUGAUUUCACUUUUGGCCAAAUUAAUCCUUAGACCUGAAGCAACUUCAAACCAGAAUAAAAUCCAGCUUAAGUGAGUUAGGUGCUUUUUAUUAGCCUCACAUAACACAACUGUGUCAUCAACAAAGAAUAAAUGGGAAAUGUUCAGGGUGGGCCUUCUACCACCCCGAAUACUACACCUUGAAAGGAAACCCCCAGCAAUAGCCCUCCUAAUAAGAGCAUCUAGCACUUCCAUUCCCAAUACAAAGAGGUAUGGAGAUAUGGGAUCUCCUUGGCGUAGCCCCUUAGUACUCGUGAAAAAGCCAGCUGGCACCCCAUUAACCAGAACUGAGAACUUGGCUGAAGAUGAACAACUCCACAUCCAACUCAACCACUUUGAUCCAAAUCCCAUUUUUUGUAAGGCCUUCAACAAAAACUGUCAGUUAAUGCUGUCAUACGCUUUCUCAAUAUCCAAUUUGCAUAUGAGCCCUUUCUCUUUUCUUUUCUGCCACGAGUCUAUCACCUCAUUUGCAAUUAAUGAAGCAUCAAGAAUUUGUCUUCCCAACACAAAGGUAUUCUGGGUUGGGGAUACCACUUUACCUAACACUCUCUUGAGUCUGUUAGCUAACACUUUAGCCAGCAGUUUAUACAGCCCCCCCAAAAGGCUAAUGGGUCUAAAAUCCCCAAGAUCCUCAGCCCCACCUUUCUUAGGAAUCAGAACCAAGAAAGUAUUAUUGAGACUCUUGAGAAAAUAGCUUUGCUCAUGGAACUCCUUAAACAUUUCCAGAAUCUCCUCUUUAACGAAAUCCAAACAGCUUUGCCAAAACGCCAUAGUAAAGCCAUCCGGCCUAGGGGCUUUGUCCCCAUUCAUCUCCAUCAAAGCCGAAUGGACCUCAGUCUUAGAAAAAGGGAUCUCCAAAUUCUCUGCUUCUUGCUGGCUGUUUUGUUCUAAUUGUAGCCUCCCAAUAUCCGUCUUCCAACCCGAAUCUUUAGAAAGCAUCUGCUGGUAGGCAUUAGCAACCCCUUCCCUCACUUCCUGCUCCUCUGAAAGCCACAUCCCAUUAAUUUUAAUUCUGUCCAGGGAGUUAUUUCUACGAUGGGCGUUUGCCAUAUGAUGGAAAAAACCCGUAUUUUUAUCCUCUUCUCUUAGCCAUAUCUCCCUUGAGAGUUGUCUUCAGUGGGUUUCUUCCAUGAGUACCCAUUUUUUAUAACUUUCCUUUGCUUCCUUUAUUUGGAGUGUCUUGGGUUUUGCCUUUUUCAGUUAGAGAGACCCUUCUAAGUUGGAAUGGUUUUUUCCUGGGCAAAAAUCGCAAGAAGGCGUGGAGAGCUGCUCCUCUUCACAUUUUUUGGACGGUUUGGAAGGAGAGGAAUAGAUUGGCUUUCAAGGAUGAAUCGUUAUCAAUUCAGAGGCUGAAACACUCUUUUAUUCUUACUUUCUGGGCUGAGGCUAAGUUGUUCAUAGACGAUCGCCCUCUAACUAUAGCUAAUUUUAUUGAUUGGUUGGGUUCUAAGUAGGUUUGUGGUAUUCGGUUCUCUUUGUCUUUUGGCCUUUUUGAAGGCGGGUGUAUAGGUAUUGUAUACUUAGAGUCGCUAUUUUAACGUCUCUUUUUUAAUGAAAUUUAUUAACUUAUCAAAAAAAAAAAAAUGACAGACUUCUCUCACUUUCCAUCCGGUCCUAGAAUUCCACCUGCUGCAGAGCUAAAACUUUAUUGGACUCCAGACUCCCAAAAACCUCUCUAUUCCAAACUUUUAGUUUCUGUUUGAUCCCCUUCAUCUUUGCAGCCAAUCUAAAGCUAGCAGUGCCUCUAACCUCAAUCCCCCUCCACCAACUUCGGAUAAGAUCUAUAAAGCCUUCAACCUUAAGCCACAUGUUUUCGAACCUAAAAAGAGAGGGACCUCUUCUUAGCUCGCCACCCUUUAGAAGGACAGGGAAGUGAUCGGAGAUAGGCCGAGACAAUCUGCUUUGGAGCACACCACUGAAAUGAUCUAACCAACUAGGAGACACAAGAAACUUGUCCAAUCUAGCCCAGGACUGAUUGUUAAGACCCUUGCUCCAAGUAAACACUCCCCCUUGCAGUGGAAGAUCCACUAGUCCUAACUCGUCGAUAAUUUGAGCAAACCUCCUCAUCGUUGAGGUUAUUGUCCCUUGUCUGCUUCUUUCUCUUUGGAAGAGGGUAAUAUUAAAAUCACCCUCUAAGCACCAAGGAUCUUCCCAAAUUUCUCUAAUGGCCCCAAACUCUUCCCACAAGCAUUCCCUUUCCUCUUUGGUGAAAGGACCAUAGACUCCCGUGAACACCCAGACAACCCCAUCUUCCACAUUCCUAAAUUUGCAGGAUAGAGAGAAUUGGCCAUCCUCCCAAUCCAAUAUUUCCAACGACCUUUUAUCCCAGCAAAUCAAGAGGCCUCCCGCUACCCCAUCCGCAUCCAAAGCCCUCCAAUCUAAGAAUCUCCCCGACCCUAAGCUUCUCACCACACCCUCCAACAUUGGUUGGUUUUUUGUCUCCUGGAUACACAGUAAAUCAAUCUUUUGAUUCCUUAUGAAAGUCUUGAUGAUUUUCCUUUUGGAAUUGUCAUUUGCUCCCCUCACAUUCCAACUUAACAACUUUAGCUUCAUUGAUCUACUGCAAUCUGACACCCUUUGCCCUGUGAUGGGCCUUUCUGCUUAUUCCCCUUCUCAUAAUUAACUGAGCACUCCAACCUCUUUAACUCCCUUUCGAAUUUUGACUUCUCCAACAACUCUUUGUUAUGAAUCCUCUCCCGUCUCUUUCUUAUUUUGAUCAGAAAGCUCAGAAUUUCCUUUUCUAGACCCUCUGUCCAAAAACCUAAGAAGUGACUGAACUUUGCUAGGCUACUUUCCUCCCAUUUGUCCUCUUUCUUGCUCCUGAUAUCUUGAGGCUCAGACAUAUCUAAGCCCCACUCCGCACCCCUAACCUUGUCACUGACACUAGUGAAUUCUACCAAGUCCCAGCAGCCAUUGCCAUCCUCUCCGGGCCCAACUUCAGUUAACAAUCCCAAUGGAUUCUCAAUCCCGGUUACCUCCCCUAAAACCCCAGAACGAUUGUAAUACUCCCCCUCCGGAGCCCGAUCAAAAGAAUAAGGAAUAAGAUGAGGAGACCCAUAGACCCAUUUUCCCCUUGUUUUUAAAACAGAACCAUACCUCAAAGAUUUUCCCCUGCUCUUCCCUGCCAUCUAUUGUCUGCCUUGAAGGCAACCCUUCUUGACGUGGGUAUAACCUAUUCUACACCCAAAGAGAGAAACACCAAGAUACUGACCAUUAAACUAUUCUAAAUUGCAGCAGAAGUUUUUUUAUUCUCUAUCUCCAUCCCUCUCUUACACGUAAAACUCUGGUUUGAGAGUUCACUCUCUUUCUUUAAAGUCAUUAAGAUUUAUUUUUUAGACUACCAAUAUAAAGAACAGAGUUUAAAGGUGCCUAAGAAUCCAAUAUCUCUAUAAAAGCAAACACCCUCCUACCUAAAUUGCCACCCAUAACAACAUUGUAGGAUUUCAUAGAGAAGACCUUGUUAGAAAGCUGCUCCUUUAUCUUCCUCCAGAAGCAAAUCCAUCCUCUCCAACUCUUGAACUUUAGGAUGAGCCCCUCAAGGUGUAUUCAAGAAAAAGAAAAAAAUAGUUUUAUAAUUUGGGAUGUUUUUAAAUUUUUCCUUAAAAUGAAGUUUCUAAACUUUAAAUAAAAAACACUCUUUUUCUAAACUUUCUAAAGUUUAAGUUUCUAAUUUUGAUAAGAAAGUUUUUAUUUUUCUUUUUAAUUCUAUUCUUUAGAGGUUUUAGGAGCUCUAGAAAAGAAAUAAAAGUUCUAAUAAAUUACUAUAUAGAUUAGGUGUUUUUCCUAUGGUUUUAUUGAGAUUUUAAAUUUUUUCAAAAACUAUAAAUAAGACUAAUUGUCCUGUUUACACUAUCUUUUUUGCACAUUUGCAAUUUGCAAAUGACACUAUCUUUUUUUCUAAGUGUUAGUGCAGAAGAGUUGCAAAACCUUAAGCUUGUCCUAUUGAUUUUUGUGCACAUUUCAAGUCUUAAGAUUAUUAUUAUUAUUAUUAUUUUUUGAUAUGUAGAUAGAGAAUCAAUUGAAAGAGUGCAAAUAAAAGGGGGUGCAGCCUAAGUAUACACAAAAAACAAAAUAAAGAAUACUAAUAGGUAUCUACAAAAAAUUAGCCUCAAUACCAAACUAUCUGCAACUAAGGUUAUCUAUGAAGGCCAACAAUGAGAAAUUUCCCCUAUCUAAUGAGGCUUUGGACCAAUCAAAGAGGGGAUUAAUGAAACUCUCCUUUAACCUUUGAUUUACAAGUUCUUCUUUAUUACAGAUUUUGCGAUUUCUCUCUUUCUAAAUACACCAGAACAAGCAUACAGGUGCCAUUUUUCAAACAUGAUGGCUCUUCUUAUCCGAUCCCUUGAACUUCCAUUCGAGAAGCAGAUUCCUCACUGUAGCUGGAAACAUCCAACUCUAACCAAAAAUUGACAUAAGGAACAUUUGUAACACCCUUGUCUUUGCACAGUGAAUCAAAAUGUGAUUAACAAAAUCUUCUCAUUCUUUGCAAAGAUUACAUCUAUUAGCUAUCGUCCACUCCCUCUUCAUUAAAAAGUCUAGAGUUGAGGUUUUCCCCUAAUUUAGACAAACACGUUGUUAGGAAUCAACAUGAGUCAAUAUCAUAUUACAAAAUUGGCUUCGUUUCUAAUACAAUCUUGUUUGUCUCACAUCCUUGGUUAUUUCCUCUCUUUGUACAAAAUCUCAUUAUCGAUAGUAAUUAUGAUUGAGACAAUGUAGACGGAUUUUCUUCGAUCAAGGUUUGGGGAGGGCAAGAGACAUCAUCUUAUUAGCUGGAACAAAGUGUGCAAGCCUAAGGAGGAAGGAGGGUUGGGGGUUAAGCAGAUAUCUUUGAGGAAUAGGGCCCUUUUUGGGAAAUGGCUUUGGAGGUUUCAUAGGGAAAGAACAACUCUUUGGCAUAAGGUUAUAUUGAGCAUCUAUGGGACACGCCUCAAUUGUUAGUACGCAAACAUUUCAGUUAGGUAGUCACGUUGUUGUCCUUGAAAAGCCAUUGGUUAGGCAUUUUAGGAUUUCUACAUAUUACCUGUUUUUUGGUGGACAAUGGGACAAAGAUCCGUUUUUAGGAAGAAUCGUGGUGGGGUGCCAUCCUUAUCAAAGAAAAAUUCACUAGGAGUUCUUUGAAGGACUAGGGGUGCAUCCUUGAAAUCCUUUUCCUCUUUCCUUUCUAAUCAAAUUUUCAUUUCUUAUAAAAGAAAAAGGAUAAAAGAAGAAACCUUUCUGGGGAACACACAUCUCAAACUGCUCAAGAGCCCCAGAUAGGCCAAUACAUAGGAAAAAAAUUAAUGCAUUUCCUUUCACAUAUCAGGAUCGUAGCCAUCAAAGAUUUAAUGUUGUCAAUUUAGGCUUCUUUUUCUUCUUGGGCUUUGACAUUUCAUUUUUGUUCUCUGCUAAACUAUAUUUGGUUUUGUUGUCCUACAGACCUGAAGACCUCCGCAGACCAUUUGGCCAAUUUGGUCCUCUCAAGGACAUAUACUUGCCACGAGAUUACUACACUGGGUGAGCAAACUUAGUUAAAGUAAAAUCGUUUGAAAUUUUUGGAAGUUUUAAAUUUACUUUGUAGUUUCAAAUUUUGUUCCUCUUUAUAUUUAGUUUUGUUUAUAUUUUCUUUUUAUGUAGGUUUUCAUAGAUAUUGUUGAAUCUGCAUCUAGUUUGAUUUGUGUGUCUUAGAUGAACUUAAUCUGUCCACCUUGGCACCUUACUCAUUCUCUCUCUCUCUCUCUCUCAUUUGCUUCAGCUCUUCCUUAUACCAAAAUUACUGUUUGGGUAAUAGGUUUCUCUUUAUGAUAUAUUUAUUAUUUUAGCUAUAGCUUUUUGUUAAAAUUUUUUAGAUUCAACAGAGAAAAAAACGUAUUGAAGACAUCAGUCAAGUAAUAAGAGUUCUGUUGAAGAUGAUUCUAAUGUUUGUGAAGAUUGGAAGGAAGUUGGUUUGAAUGUUUUGAAGAUGUUCAAGUCUUGAAGAAUUUCAAGUCAUAUUGAACCUUUGACAUGCGCAAGGUCAGCAGCCAUGUGCUUGCUUUUACUUGACCUGUGUGAAUACCAAUAGUAUUUCUGUAAUAAUCAUGACCUCCCUACCUGGAAUAAUUUUUUUGUUCAUUGUCUUUAACAUGCACAAUCACUGUCAUGGAAUUGUCAUUAACACAACCUCCUUUUGCAAUGUUGAAUCUGCUAACCCUGCAGGGAGCCUCGUGGCUUUGGUUUUGUCCAAUAUGUAGACCCUGCUGAUGCUGCAGAAGCCAAAUAUCAAAUGGAUGGACAAGUUCUUCUUGGCCGAGAGCUGACUGUUGUAUUUGCAGAGGAAAAUAGGAAGCGGCCAGUUGACAUGAGGGCUAGAGAGCGAACAAGGUAAACUGCUUAUUAUGUUUUCAGGGACAUGCUUGCUUUGAUUAGGCAUUGUUUUUGGUGUCUCCUCUUUUCUUUUUAUACGACGUUUCUUUACCUAUCAAAAAAAAAAAAAAAGAUUAGGCAUUGACUUGCAGCUUCACCUCUUUAUGGACUUUAGGGGAUUAUACCAUAUCAAGGCAAUUAGAACCUACCAAAGACCAAAUGCAAUAGUCAGAAUAAGUACAGGCAUCAAAAAGUUAGAUAGUGAUAGACAUGCUAGAAAUUAUGAGGCUUUUUAUGUUUCCCUGACUAGAACAUUAUAAAUGUUAUAAACAUCAUAACUCUCAGUCUACACUAAUAAAUUCCAAUCUAUAAGUUGUAUAGUGGAAUUAAAAAAAGGUAAUCCAUAGUAUCAAAUAUCAUAUCCAACAUAAAUUUUUUAUUGGCAAACAGAAAAUAUAUCAGAAAAUACAAAGGGGUGUCACCCCAGUCUAUACAAUAAGUAUAUAAGCGGCAUCUAAUAAUGUAAAGAAAAAAGCCUAUCAAUAAUAAUAAUAAUGUAAAGAAAAAAAAAAGAGACCAAAUAUAGAAAUAAACAAGGACCACCAAUAAAACAAAAGAAAGGAAAAAAUGCAAAGGGCCCAAAGCAAGGGUCAAAAGAAAGGCUUUAGGCCAUCCCCUACCUCUCAAUAGUUAUUAGCUCAUUUCCCAUAAAGAUUCCCUCUAUUUAAGGGAUAUGGUUUUCAAUUCAGCCCACUACCUGAGACCUUAAAAAACUCUUAAAUUUCAUUCCACCAAUGUAAACUCAAUGGACCUAUUCUUUCACUUCAUUCUGUUAUGCAGAGAACUGUGCCAUCUUGUCAAAGAAUCCUUUCACCAGUUUAGGCAUCACAUAGGAGACUCCAAAACAUGAAAUAGUGGAAGCCACAUGUUUCAAUCUAUUCCACAAGAGGGUGAUUAAUGGAUUUCUCAUUUUCUUUGCACAUCCAACACUUGUUAUUAUAACCAAUGUUUUUAAAACUGGACCAAUCACUGAAAUAGAAAAUUUACUAGGUCACAGUUUAACAGUUGGACUAAUGGUUGAACCAUAGCUGAGCCAUAAUGCUAGUGUGACAUCAUAAAUAUAUAAUUUUUACAUAUUAUUAAAAUUUAAAAUAGUUAUAAGUAGUUAAAACUAUAUAGAAAUAAUUAAAAGACUUAAAAUAUUUUAUCUUUAAUAUUAUUAUAUUAAAUCGUGGUAAGGAUCAAAUUUAAAUGUAUUAAGAUUUUUUAUUUUAUUAAAUUGUAAAAUUAUAAUAUUUAAUAAAAUUAUAAUAUUUAAUUAUUAAGAAGAUAUAUCAUUUAUCAAAGAGUGAAAUAAAAUUUUAUUAUUAUUUUAUUCACAUUUCAUUAACUUUUUAUUUUAUCAUUUUUUAUUUGAAUUUCAUUAGCUUUACAAUUUUAUCAUUUUAUUAUUUAGCUUGGUACAACUGCAUGUCUAAAUAGUGAAUAUAUUUAGUGUAUGCAAAUACUAGAACAACAAGGGCAUUUGCGUAGUGGUAACCGGCCACAAUCCUCUGAAGGGAUGGCUCAGAUUCAAAACCUCUCUAUGCCUUUCGUUGCAUUUUUGGGGACAAGAAAAAAAAGAACAAAGGGGUCAAAUUGAUGGUCCAGUUAGCCAGUUUUCUAGUCUGACCGGCUGGUCCACUGGUUCAAUGCUGUUCUAAAGCCAAAAAAGGCCCACUUAGUGAACCCAACUAGAGACAUGACCCAUCAGCUGUUCAACUGGUCUGGUCCAGCCAACUAGACACCUUCUUUGUGUGCUACAACCUGAACAAAUCCAAAAGCAAUCCUUUGGCAUGAUCUCCCCACACCUAAGAUUAUACCAGAACCUGGUCCUCAGUCCAAUUGCCACAGAUAUCCUAGUUAGAGCAUGACAGUUAUCUCACCCCCAUCCAAUGGCCCUCCCUUUCCCUCCCUAGAACACCAACCACCUUCCUUCUUGUCAAACUUGUCCACACAACUUUCCUCUAUGAUCUAUCUGAAUCAGUUGCAACCUUCUACAACCAUUUAAUAAAGCUUUGUUAAGAAAAAACAAACUUCUAUUCCUAACAUCAGCACCAACCCAAUUGCUUUCUUAGUUGGUAGUGGGUGGAGGGUGAAAUUUUGGAAGGAUGAGUGGUGUGAUGAUGUGGCACUGUGUACUUCUUACCUUGCUCUUUAUGCUAUUGCUGGUUCUAAGGAGGAUCGGGUGGCAGAUGUUUGGCACUCGACAAUUGAAGAGGGGUGUUGGGCCCUUCGUUUUUCUAGGGCCCUUAAUGAUUAGGAGCUAGAUUUGGUGGAACGGUUUCUCUUGAGUUUGCAAGAGAGGAGUGUGUGUAGGGAACAAAAGGAUAAAGUGAUUUGGACAGGAUCGAAAAAUGGGAAGUUUUCUAUUAAAGCCCUAUAUUCGACCUUGGAGACAGAAAGUACAAUGCCAUUUCUUGUUAGUGUGAUUUGGAAUUCUUGGGUUCCCUCGAAGGUGGGUUUUUUUUUUUUUUUUUUCACUUAGGAGGCUUCUCGGGCUAAGGUGUUAACUUUGGAUCAUUUAAAGAGGAGAGGAUGGUCUUUAGCAUAUAGAUGUUUCUUUCGUAUUGAAAACAAUGUUUGAAAUAUCGGGAUAUAUCGGAGAUAUAUCACCGAUUUUUCGAUUAUCAGAGGGCUCUGACACGAUAAAUAGCAUAGAUAUACUGAUCAUCUGAUUUUUAGGAAUUCUCUCUUUUUCGUUGAUUUGUCGGUGAUAUAUCGAAAUUUCAGUGUGGGCAUUUUUUUCGAAGCCACAUCAACACCUUUCAAUGGGUUUCACCUAAAAAUUCGAUUUGUUCGUGCAUUGGACUAGGAGAAGACGACCUAGUAAGUCCAAGCCCAACAACUCAUAAGCACUACUGCUAUAAGGGCGACGACCUUUAAAUAGGGCUUUGUUGUCUUUCAAAUUAUUGAUGUGGGACACUAUACUUUACACUUAAAAAAAAAACUCAUUUCACUACACAUAGGACCAAGACUCGAACCGAGAACCUCACAUUUGUGAGGAAUGCCCUAUGUCAUUACACCAUAACUUCAUUUGUGUAUGAAUUCAUAUAUAUAUAUAUAUAUAUAUAUAUAUAUAUAUAUAUAAUAUCUUUUAUAAAUAUAAAUAAAUUUUAUAUUUUAUAUUAUAAAUUAAUUAAAAUAAAAUUAUUAUAAAUAAGUUGAAUUUAAUUAUCUUAUCAUGUAUUUUAUACUAAGUAUAAGAUAAAUAUAAAUUUAUAAAAAAAAAAUUAUCAAUAUUUUUAAAUAAAAAAAACUUGUCUAAGCAUCAUUAUCAAUUUCUUCAAUAAAAAAUUCAAUACUUGUAUUAUUAUAUGUUUUAUCAUUUAUUAGAAGUAUUUUCCAAUAUUUUUAUGAGUUUUAAUCAAUUUUCAGUUCAUUGAUAUUUUAUGUCAAAAUAUCCAUCGAUAUUUUCCGAUAUAGCUUAAUAUAUCUAUGAAAUCAAGUUACCAAUAUAUUCGUUGAAACCGAUAUUUUUGUCCUUGAUUGAAAAGGAAGAGACCAUUGACCACAUCCUUAUCCAUUGUAUUAAGACAAGAGUGUUAUAGAAUCUUUUGUUCUCUCAGUUUAGAAGGCUUUGGAUACUUCCUUCUUUUGUUAGAGACACACUUUUAGGAUGUCAUGGUUCUUUUGUUGGUAAAAGGCAAAAAAGGUAUGGCGGCAGCUCCUCUUUGCUUAUUUUGGACCAUUUGAAAGGAAAGAAGCAGAAGAGCUUUCGAGAAUGAGGAACAGUCUAUUCAAGGGUUAAAACAUGUUUUCCUUUGUAAUCUAUGGGAUUGGUCAAGGUUGUUUUUAAUUUUUGGUCCUUCUUCAAUUGUAGAUUUUGUGGAUUAGGUGGGUUCUUUUUGCGGGGGGCGUAGUUUUUGUAGGUCCUUCUCCUUUUUUUGUGUUUUUAAGAGUUUGUUGUAUACCGCCCUAUGUACUUUGGAGCGUUAGCAUUGUUUUGACAUUUUUUGUUUAUAAUACACUAUUGCUUUACUCAUCAGAAAAAAAAAAAAAAAAAAACAUCAGCACCAACUCAUCCACAUUUUCCACAUUCCCUACCAAGAGAAGCUUACUCUUCCCAAGAUCUACUUUUAAAUCAAUAACUACUCCUAAGCAAAAAAUGAUGCACCUAAGAUACAAUGACUUUAGUCUCAUUGAAUGAUAGUGUCAAUGACAAACAUGAAACAAAAAUCUAGAACCCUUAUCACUAUUUUCUUUUCAAUGUUAAACCAUCUGUGAAAUAUUUCUCCCCUACCCUACAUUGAAAGAGCAACACAAGGCCUUUGUCAGCAAUACAAAGAGAUAGGUUGGAGGUUCCCUUGCUUUAAACGCCUUAUGUUUUAGAAGAAACCUGUAAGUAACCAACCUAACAAUUUAAACAGUUGGUAUGUAAGAUUUAAUCCACCUAAUCCAUUUCAGAUCUAGGUUGUCUCUCCUUUUUUAGGAACCAACACAGUGAAGGUUGCAUUUCUUGCCUUUUUGCAAAAUUGCCAAAGUCAUGGACAUCCCUCUAGAAAGCCUCAGACAUCCUUUCUGUCUCCCAAUUGUUUUGUUCAAAUACCAUAGUCAAACCAUCAAAGCUGGGGGAUUUAUUCCCUCUAAGAUCAUAUAAUGCAGCUAAAACCUCAUUGAGUUUCAAGGCUUUUUGUUCUUUUAAUAGGCAAAAAGAGUGAUUGUAUUAAAAGCACUUGAAAAAGGUGCAUCAAAGUACACAUAGAGCAUAAAAAUAGCACCUUACAACAAGCAAAAGGAAAGUGCAACAACAACCUUAACCCCCAAACCAAGCCUAAAGCCCAAGAGACCUAGAAAAAAUAGUGUGCCUCCGGAUGACCUUCUUGCAGGCAUACCAAAACGGGUUGUUGCAAUCCAAACAAAGCCUAGAUGAACUUCCUCUUGACAUUGUCAGAAGCCCUCUAGCAUUCCAAAGGGAUGAAAAAGGUAUCUUCUACCCACUGCUGUGAUUUCCCACUCCCCCUUUCCACAUCCUGAUUGUCUACCUUAUGGUACCUUAUAACUCACAAAACACUCCAAUUUCUUUAGUUCCCUUUCAAAAUUUGAAGAUGAGGAGCUCUUCUCUAUUCCCUUUCAAAACUUUGUCCUAGCCUUCAUUUUUCUGAGGAGAGCCAAGAUCUCAGCCUCGAAGCCCACUGUCAGCAUGCACAGCUAGUUGCUGAAAGCUGCCAAGUUGCUUGAGGACCAAUCCUCCAUAGGCACCUUUGCCCUUGGAACUAAACCAAGACAUGCCCACUAUUCCUUAUCCUCCUUACCCACUGCAACUUCGAUUGGCCUCACCCCAACCUCUUCAAACUCCACUGAAGUGUCGUCCACCAAAACCAUUUUUAGGGGACUGCUACCCUCUCCUACUGGAUCAAUUGCAAAAUCCACCUCAGAUCCCUCUAGACCAAGGCCAUUCCUAGAAAGAGAAGGAGAAGAAGUUGCCUGUGUCUCCAGGGAAGAAACAGAGAAAAAAAUAGUACGAGGGUGUCUUAUCGCUUCUGCCAUGAGGGCCAUGCCAGUGCUUGUGCGAAGAAACACCGGGGGAGAGAGCUCAGGAUGAUGGAAAUCGUGCCCUCUAGAGGCAAAAGAAGCCCUAAAAAAGAACCAGCUCUCCAUUGGGGUAUUCUUAGAAUCAGCACCAUAGCGCAGGUUAACAGAGCCCUCACCACCACCUUGGGCCACACAAACAAGAGUAUUAUUGACCUUCUUAGAAUGAUGGCCCACUCUGCAAGUCUCCUUAGAAAUUAAAACUUUUGACCCUUCCAAUGGCCUAUUAGAUAGAUGGGCAGCCACUUCACUUGAGAAUACUUCAAAGACUUGGGCCUCUUUCAAGCCCUCAAGGCCCGCUCUUUCCAAUCCACCAACAACCCCACAUGGGGCACCCUUAAAAGAUACCAUACCCAUGCAGCCCCCAUUGCAAACAACUUUCCUCCCAUCACCAUCACCCUCUACAGCUUUUUGCAGCCCACUACCUACCAUAGCCUUUUCAGAAUUGCCAGCCAUUACUAGACCUUUCCCCUCUUUCCCCCCCUACCAUAGGGUGACAAGACAUCUGCCUCCAAUUGCAACAGCAGAACUUGCACACACAUGCUCUCUUUAGCAUGUGUGAUGUAGUAAAACCCUAGGAUGGUUGUCUACACUCAAAAAUAGGUGGGCUAGGGUUUUGUUUUUAGGAUGUAAGGAGAUGAACAAGGAAUAAAACUUAUGGUAGAGAAAAAUAAGAUAAAAAAAUAAAGAGAAAGAAGAAACGAUGAAGAAAAGAUGAAAAAACCUUAGAGUCUCACUAAGGUCUUCUAGGAAUCUCACUUAGAAGAAAACCAAUAGAGUCUCACCAUUGAGGGUUGCAAUAAUUGCAAUGAAAAAAAUAUAAUAUUAUUAACAUCAAUCAAUUCAUUCUUUUGAUUUACAUCGAUUAGCCUAUAUAGGCUUCUCUAAGAAAUCCAAAGUCUACUAAGAUUCUAAUAACCUGUUAUGACUCUAAUUAUUAUUAUAAUGUCCAAAGUUUACUAGGUCUAUAAUAACCUAUCAUGACUCAAAUUCUAAUUAUAUUAUAACUUAACUAGCUAAUCUGAAUUUGACUCCAACAAAUACUAAUCCUAUUUCAAUUGUAAUUAUUAUUAAUUCUAUUUAAAGUUUAUUUAUGUCUUCACUUUCCUCCUUGAAUAGACUUUAAAAGACUUUCCCCCAUCAAUGUGUCUCCCCUGUAACUUCACCCCUAAUAUCUAGACCAAUCCCAUUGCUCAGAACCUCUUGAGAAAUAUGUGGUGGUACUUCCCACCACAAUUGAAUGGCGAAGCAAGACAAUCCCACCACCACCAUCAACAACCCAGACUUCCUUCUCCUAUCCAAUCUCACCAAAACUCAUGCCCUUUUCAUGUGUUGGGGAUGAGCUAUGUCUUCAUCCACUGCAACAAAACCACCACAACUAUCCUCUAGCUUCUUGAACACCUCCCAACACCAUAAGUGCAGAGGAAGCCCCACCUUUCUCACCCACACUUUCUUAGCAUGCUUACCUUCCCUCACCUCUGGGGCCCAUCUAUCCAAAUGCAAAACCUUUUCCUUAUACCUUCUUAAACCCCUUGACAGCACCAUCUUUGCAUUAGGGCUACCCUCAAAAUUGAACAAGAGAAGAGCACCCCCUAGCAAUGAAAUUCUCAAUCCUCCUUUUAGAAUCCAACUAUGAUGUCUCCAUCUCCUUAAUCCAAGCAAUUUUGGAGUUAGGUCUAGAUAUUCUCCCCAUUUCCCUACUAGACAGCUACUCAAAUGCUUCUUAGGUUGAAUCUCCUUCUCAUCUGAAUCUAGACUGCUUAACUCACCAAACCAUGCUCUUUCUUAACCAAUUCUACAAAAGACCCUUUCAACAGGUCCACUUAACUACUACCUCUCUCCAUAGUUCUUAAGGCAGCCGGUGUCAGAAGCUUCCUUUCCUUCGAGGAGGAAACUACUUCGAGAUAGUCAAAGCUUCGCAGCUAGGAUAGACCACCACCCAGGGAGACCCCUUCCUUUAUGGAAAAUCAUACCGAACCUCUUGGCCUCCAAAGACCAAACCAAUUAAAGAAUGAACUUCCCUCCCCCAUUUGAAGGUAGUUCCAGCCUGAAGUUCCUCCUAUCUUCAAGCCAAACUUUGUUGCACAACUUUCCAUCCUCACCCCUACAAAGCUUCCACACCUUCCAACAAACAACACAAACUUCUUUCCCUAAACCUAAUCCACGAGGACAUGUCUUUGCAUCUUACAAGAAUUUUCCCUUUCAGUUUCCCUCCAACCACCUCUACGAAGAUUUCAAAUGACUUGGACUCCACUGCAAACUAGCACUUACCACCUCUCAUCUCUCACCCAUCUCUUGCUAGAGCUUAGAAGCUUGUUGGAGAGACAUUUCUCAACAUCAUUGAUUCUGCUAUAAUUUUAUGGGGCAAUGUAUUAAGUUUCAAGGCUACCUUCAUAGUCAGCAAUACCUUUAAUAUUAAGCCCCUAUAUGUCAGGUCUUCUUACCCCUGGAUCUAAAUACAAGUUCAGGAAGCUCAUUAAUAUUUUUUAAAAUAGGGAAGAAAGAAUUUAUCAAACAAAAGACUAGUAAAAGGGGUGCAAUAUAAGUUCAUGGGAGAAAUACAAAGGUCACCAAUAGGCAAAAGAAAUGACAACACAAACACCCCUCUAAGACUCCUUUAGCAAUUAAUUUGAGCACUCCAAGCCUUUGAAAGUUCUACCAUUGAGUUGUUGAUGCCAAAUAGGGAAGAAAGAAGUUAUCAAACAAAAGCCUAGGAAAAUGGAGUGCAAUCUAAGUUCAUGGGAAAUAUACAAAGGCCACCAAUAGGCAAAAUAAAAGACAACAUAAACACCCUUUUACUAAUUUGAACACUCCAAGCAUUUGAAAGUUCUACCAUUCAGCUGUUCAUGCCAAAUGGGCCAAAGCAAGCACAAUAAGCCAUUCUUGACAUCUUCUUUUGCUUCUUACUUACAAAGCUCCUAUUCCAUCACAGUGGAACCUCUCUUCCUGAUCACAAAAACACCCUAGAAAGGCUAAAAAGAGAGAAUAACAAAGCCACUAACUUCUACCUUUAUCACAAUGGAUUAACAAAUGAUCAACUGAUUCUUCAACACACUUACAGAGGUGCAUUUGAUUAAGACCGCCGUCCUUUCCUAAGCUGGUCCAUAAUUAAAAUCUUUUCAAGAACAACCUCCCAUGCCAAAAUGAAAAAGUCCACUUUUAUGGGGACCUAAAAGCCCAAACUUUAUUUAGCCUGGUAAAACCUCCAGAAUUAGGUUCCAAAGUGCAAUAAAAUGAUUUUUGCAAGAAAUUUCCAUCUUUAGCAUACCUCACAUGGUCACACCAACAUAUUAUCCUGAUCUGAGCACUCUCCCUGAAGUUGCUUAAGGAAAGAUCCACAGUUUCUGACUCCCAAUCAUGAAAAUGCCAUAAAAUCAAGGUUCCAAUGCCCACAUCUGCUGACUUCUUCCCAAACAUUAGAGACACAAGCAUCCUUAGAGAGGCAGUUAUGGAGAACAAAGACGGUUGGAAGCACUUAACAAGAGUCACCACAUUAUGCAAAAACCUAACCGUUCUACCAUUUCCCGCUAAAAAGUUCAUUCUUGGAAAGACCUCCACCCAUCAACUGUCUAGACCCCACUUUCUGGCCCAUUAUCUUUAAGAUCAUAUCCCACUUCAUCCAGACCAUCAAAUCUGCUCUCAUAUAAAUUCAUAUUGCCCAUGUCCCAAAUAAGGAGCUUUUAAAUUGGACAAAAAAGGAAAAUUAAAAGCCUUGAGUAGCUCUUGACAUAAUAAUUAUUGAAAUUCCAAUUGAGUCACUCCACCAAGACUGGGUUGAUAAGCCUCUAUCUCUGAAUUGCCUUCCUCUUCAACAUCUAGUAGCCAAGUUGAAGUCAUUGAACUUGGCCUUUGAUUAUGCCUAGCAGCUAGUGUAAUCCCUUGCAUCUUCAACCAACUGGACUUGCACUGUGCUAAUAUCUCUAUCUACCUUUGUCAAAUGUCAAAUCAUUUUCUGCAUCUAUCAAUAGAUCAUCGCUCCUUUUCCUUAUCAAUCAUUGGUUAUCAUAAGAAUUUUCUAGUGUGAUGGGCCAAUAAGACCAUACAUACCAUAACAUGGUUUAAGAGUUUGACUAUAUUAUAUAUAGUUUUAUUUUGUGCGAGUUUAUAAGCAUUUGUAAUAUUGAGGUCAAGUGGCUGUAAUUUACUAUUCUGUGUACAUUAAAAAGAAAUUAAAUCUAGAAUAUACAAUUAGUGGGAUUAUAGAGCAGGAUAGAGCUAAAAUUCCUCUCCAAAGGUUGAAGGGGAAGAUCUAGUCUCCAGGAUCGGUGAAGGCAAGAGAGUUAGCUGGGGGCUUGCUGAGUUCCUAGGUCUUUAGGGUUUCGGCUUUGUUUGGUGGUGGUUUGUUGCCCUUUCCUUUCGCUGCCUUUCGAUGUUAUUUGUAUAUUUUGUGUGUACUUGGUGUGCCUUUUCUAAGCACUUUUAAUAUAAUUAUUUUUUUUCCUAUAAAAAAAAAUAGUGCAGUCUCUUCUUAUUUUUCUGGUAUUAAGAUUUCUGAUAUUACGUAGUGUUGUUGGUAGGGGUCGACCAUCUGACCGCAGGAGGUCUCCUCCUCGCUAUUCACGCUCACCUAGAUAUGCUAGAUCACGGUCCCGAAGCCCUAACCACUAUCCCCCUUCUCCUAGGAGGAGGCAUUACUCAAGGUAUUUGAUAAAAAUUCCCAUUUCAAUCAUGGUUUUGUUUUUCAUAUUUUCCAUAAUUGUUUUUCAUUGGGACAGAUCUGUUUCACCCCAAGAUAAAAGGAGGUACAGCGGAGAACAGCCUUACUCUGCUUCUCCUCCUGUUAAAGGUUCAAAGAGCCAAAGUCGCAGCCCAAGCAGGAGCAGGAGCCAGACCCCCGUGGACUACUCAAGGGGCCUGGACAGGGAAAGGUCUCUAAGUCAGUGAGCAUCUAAUGGAUGAAAAGUGUUAUGCCCUCUAGUACUCGUGGAUUAUCCGAUGUUGUCUGGAACUUUGACUAUUACAUAAAUCUUACUCUAUUUUCAAACUAUUGGUUGGGAUUUUCCAGAUUUGACAUUUAUAUUUGGAAACGCUUAGCAUUUUCUGCCCACUAGCUUGACAAAGAUUGUAGUUUAAAACGUUAGGAUGCUUUAUAAUACAGAUCCUGUUGAAAUUGUAUGUCAUUGCAGGUCUUGGGUUAUAUUCUAUUUUGUGGAAUUUUCAUAUAGCUCCAUUUGUGUGGGAUACGAAGCCCGAUUUUAUUGUUAAUGACAUGCACUUCCUGCUGCCAUCCCUAUGAAUUGAUGGCACUUAGGUACCGGCCCAUCCUCUGAUGUUGAGUUCGCCUGGUUCCUUGUAGAGAGUGGCUCCCAUUGGUUGGCUCAUCAAUUUGGGUGAUAUUUACCUGUUUGGUAAAAUUUGGUUUCCCCAAAAACUAAUUACUAGGGGAAUUGGUGAACCAGAAAAAUGGUUAUCAGUCGAGAAAAAUCCAACAGAACAAGGAUACCUUGGCCCCAUUGCCUUCAACUGGAGCCACACCAGAAGCAGGUCGAUUUGUAGGGGAUUUGUUCUAAUUGAUUAAGAGAUUUCACUGGGUAGCAGAAACAAGAAAGGGAAAGAAGACAAUGUUUGCAUGUUUGCAAAAAUGCCUUAUCAUUUCUAUGGAUGCAGCAUACAUGACAUGAUGGGUCCAUUGGCACACACGAAGAUAUCCAUCAAAGGGUGGCCGAAAAUGGGAUUGAUGUAUGUGUUUGGUACCACCUGCUCGAUCAAGAUCUAAUUGUAGGGAGGGACGUUGGUCUUUCAGUUUGAGUGAUAGACAAUUGGAAAGCAGACCUUCUACCUCAUAGAAAAGCCAUGGAACUUCCCUUUCAAUUGUUCACUAAGCAAAUGCCUCUUAACCAUGACAAGCAAUGUCCACUUUUUAUUCUUAUGGCUGUGCCUCCCUCAUUUCUCAUUGUAACACCACCAAAACACAAUGGGAAAUGACGUGCGCAGAAAUUCCGGUAAACGCCACUAUGAUAUUACCAUGUCCAGGAGAACGAGGAAGGCAUUGAAUCUUGAAGAAUCCAAGAAAGAAAUCCCUCUGAAAGGUGAUGGUCAUGAAGGAGAAAAGAGGAACACUACAGAAAAAGGAGGAGAGCACGAUAAUGACCACAAGAAGAGCUUGAAGCAACUUAUUCAUGGUGAUGGAAACUUGAAGGUGAUCCUGGGUGAAGAGAACAAAUGCAGGAGUUCAUUAGGCCAACACUUCACAGAAGACAAGCAGCUUCAGCUGGUGGUAAAACAGCAAGAAGAGGUCAUGGUAGGAGUGAAGCCCAAAGGGUCGGUGAGUCAUUAUAUCAAAGUUCUGAGCCAUUUGAUCAAGGUGAAGCAGGACUCACGUUUACCUUCCCGGAAAAAACCCAUUAUUGCCUUAACGAUGUAGAAUUUAAUCAGACAGCUGGGAUGGUAUUCCAGUGCCUGAACAUCUAUAUCAUGGACGCUUCAUAGACAUACAUAUGCUUGCUAGUUUUUUUUUUUCAUUUCAUAGCUAAAAGCCUUGAUGCAUAUUGCCAUAUGUUUUUGUGGUCUCCCCUUCCCACAAAACAGAGACACAAAAAUGAAGAGAGUGUAUGCUUUUGUUAUUGAAUUAUGCACACAAUUGGAGUAGUGUACGUCUCAGUAUUAAAUCCAUGAACUUGUAUAACAUACUAGAAAUUGUGUGUUCCAAAAUAAGCAGAAAAAUACUGCAACUAUUAUUAUUAUUUAAAAAAAAAUGCAGAACAUAGCGCUACUUUUGUUUGAAUGGCAAGCUCACAGGAAGUAGGGUUGGUUCUUUUCCAAAAAGUAACUUUUCCCCUCAUAUCCUCCAUUUAUUUCCAAUGAUUUCUGUUCUUCCCAUACUUUUACAUCAGCAUAGACAGGCACCUUGUAUUUGCUGAGAUGCCUACUUUUGUGCCAAAAAUCCUGAGAACAUAGCUAAAAGGUGCAUGAGAUUUAGAGGCAAAUUGCUGCCUAAUUUCUCCUUUGCAUACAUGGGGAGGGUGAAAUUUGAUAUAUAUAUAUAUAUAGCAUAUUCUAGAGUACCAUCUCAUGGAUAAAUACAAAUACCUACAGUUACUAAUUAUAUUAUUAUUAUUAUUAUUAUUAUUAUCAAUACUAAUAAUAGUAACUUUGAAGCUUCAUAAUUAAAUGAGAUCUCAGUCUCGUCGUGGAUGAAACGGUUGAAACACAUUACAUAUUUACCAAGUCUACAUGGGAGUGACUUGGAGGGGUUAAAAUGUCAGUUACAUGGGUACAAUCAUAGAGUUUUCCUAAUCUGUAAGAACAAGAGAGAAUUAGCCUUUAGGGUAGGUUGGAAAACAUAUGACCGAGAAGGGUGAGUAUAUAUAAUAAUUCUUCUGAAGGGUAGGGUGAAAUUAUGAUAAUUCUUCCAAAGGCCUUAAUUUAUUUAAAUGCUAAGACUACCCUUAAUAAGUGAAAAGCAACAGCAAAAAAAAAAAAUCUUCUUUAACCCAGCUGCAGCUUGGCCCCACAAGGACUUGUACCCAUAUGGGCCGUCAGAAACGCCGGAAUGAUGAUCCCACCCAACGCUGUCACAACUAGCACGUUCUGGAUGAUCCCACCGACCACAACCCCCGUCGCGGGAUCCCCAAACCAGCCAGAACUCAACCUAGAUAGCUAAAGCUCCUGUGCAAAAAUUUGCAGACUGCAUCUCUAAAUUCUUUGUUCCUUUGGUAAAUAUUAAAAUGUCUUCUAGUCUCAUUGGUUUCCUUAUGUCGAUAUUAAAGAAGAAAAAAGGUAAAAAAGAAAAAACUCCAGCACUUCAGGUUAUGAUCUGAAACCAUCUCCAUAAAGCUUGUAUUUUUGUGUGAAUCUAGCAAGAAAUCCAUUAAAAGUAUGAUUUUUUUUUUUAAAAUGACAUAUAAAAAAAUAAAAAUACGUCAGUUUAUGCAAAUAAAUAAAUAAUUUAAAAUUUGGAUUGAAUGAACGAAAUGUUAAUAAUUUUUACAAUGUAAAUCUAAAAUAUUAGAUAUGAAAUAUUGAAGGAGGUUUUGAGAAAAAAAAAUUACAUUUUUGUGUAAAAUGUUAUUUAAUUUUUUUUUAUUUAUUAUUUUGGUCAUAUUGAAAAUGUGUUUUUAUUUUUAAUUUAUUUUCCGGGUGGGUUGUUUGAUAUAAUUAUUAUUGAUUUCCAUUGAAAAUGUUCGCACUUUAGUUUUGUUGUUGAGACUUGUUUGACAUGGCAAAAGAAAAAAUUUUCUUAGUUGUUUCAUGUUUGUUUGAAACCACUUUAUUUGGGUAUUUAUGAACAUAUUUGGAUUUUCAUUUAAAAUUAAAAAUUAUAAUCAAUUGAGACAUAUUUUAGAUAAUAAAAAAUAAUAUUUGUUGUAUAUUAGACAUGUAUAUGCCAAAAAACCCACAACUGUCCAGUUUCAUAAGAAAUUUGAAAUUUUUAAAAUUUUACCUUAUCGUAAUGUAUCAUAAUGCUAUUAUAUUUAUAUUGUAAUUGUAGUGUAUUUUUAUUGUACAUUUAUAUUUUUAUAUAAAAAAAACCCACAACUGUCCAGUUUCAUAAGAAAUUUGAAAUUUUCAAAAUUUUACCUUAUCGUAAUGUAUCGUAAUGUUAUUGUAUUUAUAUUGUAAUUAUAGUGUAUUUUUAUUGUAUAUUUAUAUUUUUAUAUAAAAAAACCCACAACUGUUCAAUUUCAUAAGAAAUUUGAAAUUUUCAAAAUUUUACUUUAUCGUAAUGUUAUUAUAUUUAUAUUGUAAUUGUAGUGUAUUUUUAUUGUACGUUUAUAUUUUUAUAUAAAAAAAACCCACAAUUGCCCAGUUUUAUAAGAAAUUUGAAAUUUUCAAAAUUUUACCUUAUCGUAAUGUUAUUGUAUUUAUGUUGUAAUUGUAGUGUAUUUUUAUUGUACGUUUAUACUUUUAUAUAAAAAAAACCCACAACUGCCCAGUUUCAUAAGAAAUUUGAAAUUUUCAAAAUUUUACCUUAUCAUAAUGUUAUUGUAUUUAUAUUGUAAUUAUAGUGUAUUUUUAUUGUACGUUUAUAUUUUUAUAUAAAAAAAUUAAUUUUAUAGAAUUUUUUUUAUACAUCAUUGGAUUACCAUUAACAACUUCAUGUAUUGAAAUUAUAAUAGUGUAUUUUUGUUGUCUUUUUAUAAUUUUGGCUUACAAGGAUGCUUUAUGAUAGGAAUACAACAUGAUAGCCUAGAAAUGCUAGUUCAAUAAAAAACAAAUUCAAUAUUUUGUCAUUUUGGUAUAUUGUAAUAUAUCGUAAUGUUAAUAUUUUUUCAUUGUAAUUAUAUUGCGUUUGUAUUGUAUUUAUAAUUUAUAAUUGUUAGGAAAGAUGUACUUCUCAAUUGGUAAAUGGACUUGAGAAAUUCAGGAUAAAUUGGUCUAAUAAAAAUAUUAGGUCUUCAUAAGAACUAUCAAAUCUACCCACCAUUUUCAGUAAUUUUUUUUCCCAGCCUACCCUUAAUGGUAAUUCUCCCUAAGAACAAUAAUAUCCUUCAUCAUCAUACUGUGAAAAGGGUUUACUGAGUUGAGUAAUAUUUUAAUAACUAGGGAGAUAUAUAGGUACAUUUCGGCAGGCUCUGGUUUAUGUGUAAUUUUUUUAACAGUUUCAUACCCUUCUUCCCUUUGGCCUAAAUUUCCUUCAAAUGGGAAAACAAAAAGGGUCAAAAUACCUCAGAAAUUAAAAGCAUUGGCAAGGGAGAUCCACAGAAUCUUUAAUGAUAUCCAUACGUGCCCACCUUAUACAUGACUUAAUGGAUUAUAUCAACAUUCUUAUUGUUGCCAUUGGUUACAAUAGAGACAUGCAUACAAAUUGUUUCCCCUCCACAUGCAAAUUUUCAGUUCUCUACAACAAAGAGGUAUGUAAUGCCGUUGCAGAUGCCCCUGCCCAAGUAAAAGACAAGGGCUCCCAAGGGCUAGCCUCAUCUUUUAACAUUUGGUUACGACUCUGAUAGUUGUUUGAUCACUUCAAAAGAGGAAAAAAAAAAUCAAUCUGUAAGUCACUACUCUUGUCCUUCAAUGAAAAAGAACGCAUUUAUCUAGGUUUACGUGUCCUACAUGUUCAUUUCAUUCAACAUACCAGACAUCGCCAUCAAUCUACGAGUUAUAGAUUCGUUUUAUUAGAUUUGGCCACAUUUACCUGAGAAGCAAUGGGUCUGUAUGCGUAUAUGUGUGAAAAUAAAAGGGUUAGUUUGAAAGGUUUACAACGAAUAAAUUAACUAAUGCAAUGGUUAACUAGAGAGUCCUGUAUAUUUAUGGAUUCUCCUUGUAUUUUAUAGGUAAAAAAUGGCAAAAUUGGCUUGUGAGGAGGAAACAACUUUUUAAAUUUCCCAUCUUUUUUUUUUCAAGGAAUUAGAAUAUAGGUUACUUGAGGAAUAUCACAAAAACUAACUAUUUCAGCAAGAGAGAGCCAAAGCAGACUUCUUAUUAUGGUUCCUUGGCAUACAAUUUUCUUCUGAUUUAAGGGAUCAUGUGUCAGUCUCACAGAAACUGGACAACCAAUAAUGAAGUUUAGUGGGAAAAAAAUACUGAUAAAGACUUCAGUGCUCUGAAGUUCCUUAACAGAUCACCAUAUUAGAACAUCUAUUAUGCAUCAUUUUCAAGUAUAUUAUAAAGUGUGAAGCAUGUUUUGAAAAAUUAUACAACCUCUGGUAGAUACAUAUAAAGGGGUCUCUUUGACACCCUUAGGUGUAGGGCAGCCAUUUUCCUUAAGGUCAUUGCUACUUGCUAAAGGCAACCUUUGAAUUGUGUACAUAGCAACAAUGAGGCCUCUCUGUCUCAGCUCCCACAGUCCCUGUUACAUUGAUGCCCACCCUCAUACAAAGAAUAAUGGACUUUGCACCACAUCCACCAUUAGCUACUUCAACCACCCUUGGGGGUGCAAGAGUACGACUAGCAGCACUUUUUGUUGCCAAAACAUUGAAACUAUGAGAGGCUAUUGUUGAUGCCUUGCGUCCCAAUGAUCCACGUAGCUGCCAAGUGGACGCACGCUUUCAACCAAGAUUGAGUUCCGGUUCAGUCUUCCCUGCAAAAGAUGUCCGGACAGGAUGUCCGGACACACCCUCCGAUGGUUUUGUUAGCCAUGGCUCAAGAGAUUAAGCUAUCAGGCUUUUUCAGGGAUAGUCAGCUUACCUUUCUCCUUGUGUGAAGGCCCUUUUAUAUAGUGUCAGAAGCUCUGCCUACCUCUUUAAUGAUGGGAAGACUUUUUGGCUCGUCAUGAUGCCUCUAGGUGGUGGCAGGGCCAUCAUCACCCUACGGACGGCUGUCAGAGAUCGUGGGAGGCGACUUGCCAUCGCUCCUAUCCUUUCGCUCUGCAGGCGGCGGAACGUGGGUUGUGGCAGGCUGUCGGAAUGACGUAGCAAGGCUUGCUCACUUCAGUCAAUGAUCCGGACAACAUAUCCGGAUAGGAUAUGCUAUCGUUCGAGUGUGAUGUUCGCGAGUGUCGUGUGCUUCUCCCUGAGGGAGUCCGGAUAGGGGAGCGCGCCACAUGUCCUCUUGGGGAGUCCGGAUGGAGUUGCUCCAGAUAGCGAUGCACGCCACGUGUCAUCAAGGGGAGGGGUCCCUACAAUGCCCCCCUUUUAACCUGCCGAUUUUGCCCGGGCAGAAUGGGCGGGUUAAAAAUGAUUGUUUUUUAAACUUAGGUUACUUUUUGCGCUCAUUAGGCUAUGUGGUGCGCGGAGGCGAAAAGGAAGAAGAGCAUUUAUGACGAGCCGUCGUCCCUGGGAAUUCUCAGGCAGCGUGUCUUUUCAAUAACGGCACGACUGGGCGUUUGGAAUACCGAGGGGCUGUCUCUCUUUAAAUAGUAGACCGAGCCCCCUAUGCCUGUAUUUUUUCUCUUCUGCAUUUCUGCUGGUAGUGCUCUCUCUUCGACUCUCUACGUAUCUUCGUCUGCAAGUGAAGUUCUAGGGUUUCUGCCAUCAAUACUCUUGUCGUGACGGUGCUGUAUCGCGGACUUCAUCUCCAUUUUGCCAGUUUACGCUCGGUACGUUCUCUAUUCCUGCUUUCUCCUCAUUGUGUUUGUUUUGCGGUUGUUUCUAGCUUGUUGGGCAAGUUACUUGUGACUGGGGGUCGGUAUUGGUUUUUAGGGCUUUUUCGGGGGAUUCUGGUUGUGUUUCGGCUAUGUUAGGGCUCCUAUUGCCCCCCUGCACCUUUUGUGGGUUACCGAUCCUUCUUUGGGGUAGAGCCAAGACGUUAGGUUUUCUGGGCGUUUUUUCCAUUAGGGUUGUGUGGUGGGUCUUUGUUUUUUACUGUUGGCAUCCUGCCAUGCAGGUUCCGUUUCAGCCCCACUCUUAAAAAUGCUUGAGAAAAAAAACGUUGUUUUGUCUAGCGUGGCCGAGUAGAGCGACAAAGGUGCGUCUGAAAUGGUCUAUGCUGAAAAAUCCGUGGACAAACUGAACGUGAGGCAAUUUUGUGAAUGCUUCUGCAUUCCGAAUGGCGUGUCCGUUCAGCUUGUGGACGGAGAGGCCGUAUCCAUUGAGAAAUCCGCGAACAACGCUAUCUAUUUCACCAAGGAGCAAUUCAAUGCUGGGCUCCGGUUCCCCCUCCCAUCGUUGUUCAAAUAAUUUCUUCACUUCACCCAAAUCCCCCCAGCCUACAUCCAUCCCAACAUAGUCCAGGUGCUGAUGGGGUGCAGCAUUCUGAGCAUGUUGUUCAACCUGGACCUUUCAUUGUGGAGGUCAUUUUCAUCUACUCCAUCAAGAAGGGGAAAACUGACCUCUUCAGCCUGGCUGCCCACCUGUCUUCCCUCCAAUUGAUGACUCAUCUUCCGGAUUCAACGAAGGGUGGAGCCAAGGGGCAUGUAUUAGUCCGGGGUGUCUGGGCUGGGCUACUGGAGCAUCCGGAGAGACCAUUUUCCCCAAACCGCUCGCUGGUGCUCCCGGGUAGGGCAUCUUGUGGGGUUUGUCCCGCGCUCGCCUGUUGUUUUCUUAUUUCAGGGUUAUCAGAUGGCUAACAUCUUUGGUUGCUGAUAAUGCAGGUACGGACAAGAGGGGUCACGUAGUUGAGUGGGUAGAAAAAGCGUCCUUCGACCGUUUGAACAAGUUAUUCGAGAUCACUACAGCUGAGAGACAUCAUCAGACGCUGCUUACUGCACGUAACAUGUUGACGGUUGUCCGGGAGCCCCAGUCGUACAUCACCAAUAUUCUCCCUAGGAAGUUGCCAAAAAAAGUAGUGUCUGUGGAACAUUUCGUACUAAAAGACUUGCCCUUCUACAAGAGGGCCCGCAAGGCUGACGCAAAGGCGCGCCAGAAGCUCCUUGACGAGCAAGAAGAGAAGAGGCAGGAGGAGACGUUGAGGAAAACAUGUGGUGAGAAGGGGUGCGACUCUCCUCCAGCGGCUCGUCCCCCGGCCAGGAAGGAAAAGAAGAAAACGAAGAAGACACUUUCUCAAGUGUUCCGUAUUUCGGCCCCCAAUCUUGAGGCUUCGUCUUCGUCUUGUAGGUCCGGAUCCAACCGGCCUGACCAUACUAUUCCAGAGUCUGAGGAGGAACCUGAGGCCAUUUCCAGUUCCCUCCAGCUUGUAGUCUUCCACCCGGGGCCUAACUCUCCCCAACUUGAGCCGGAGUCUAUUAGUUUGCAAGUUACGGACAAGCCAGAUGAGAUGAGAAGCCCAAGUGAGCUUAGAGAGAGGCUAAUGCAAAGACAUGGUAAAAGGCUGCAUGUCCCCAUCGAUCUCGGGCCUCCCCCAGCUAAGAAAGUUUUUUUGGAUCGGGGCGGAGAGGACCCGAAGCCGAAUGUUCCGGCUCCAGCUGCGACUUGUUCGGAUGGGGAUGGUGUCGGCGCAAGUGCCUCGAUUCCUCCGGAUGCUGUAGGGUCCAGCACAGCGGCUAUGGUUCAGGCCGAUGCUCCGGGGCGUAGCUCCCCUGCUGUGGUGGGGACCCCUAUGGCAGAGGGGGUUCCGGGGGCACCGAACGAUGAGGAGGCUCCAGUGGAGAGGAACAGUCAUGCUGCAGUAGUUCCUCCAAGCUGGGAGGAAUUGAUGGAAAUGCUGAAGGGGGUGCCAUGUUUCACAAACGUCGAAGCGCGGCAUCCUCUUGGUGUUUCUGAGUCCGCUGUGCCCCCCAUUCAACACCUGCGGGAAUGGACGAUGCCAGAGGCCGCAAAAGUGGUAAAUACUUUGCUAUUUUCCUCUUAUUUCUUUAGCAGUUAUCACUUCUCCUUGUAACUUUGUAUGCUGCUUUGUUGUUGUUUUACCCAGGUUACGUCCGGCAUCCGCUACAUGAUGCGCUUGCGUGAGCAGCUUUUCGAGCGACUCAGGGUGGCGGAGGCCAUGCGUGCCUUUAUCUCCCAGCAUCCGGGUGGCAUUGAUAAGCUACGCAUCCAGUUGGAGAAGAUUGAAGCCGAGCUGGCCUCUGCGCGGAAAGCGGCAUCGGAUGGGGCGGAGCGGCUAUGCCAGGUGGAGGAGGAGAGGGAGGCUAUCUGGGCUGAGGCUGAUAGUCUAAGAAAAUAGAAAGAAGCCUUGGAGGGCCAAGUCAAUGAAGCUGGGCAGAAAAACCUCCAAUUGAGAAGAGAGAUGGAAGAACUCCGAGCUAGCCUCGCCGCCCAAAAAAAGGAGUCAGAAGAUUUGCGGGUGAGUAUGGCGGCUCAAAAGGAGGAGACGGAGGCUAGCUUUGCCGCACAGAAGAAAGAGGUGGAAGAGGAAUACCAGCAGCAGGCGGACGAGAUGUACUUCUUUGGUUACCGCUGCUGUAUGAAGAAGAACGGAAUCAUGCAUGAUACUCCCUCCUUCCCUUCUGAUGAGGAUGACGAAGCGCCCGGGGGCCCGUCCAGCUGAGAUUACUUCUUUGGACAGACUUUAUACUUUUUCUUUGCUUUGCUGUGUAUAAGGCGGCUUUUUGUAAAGACCCUUUGUUCUUGAUUUUAUAAAUACAUUACAUUCUCUUCUGUCUUUCUGACUUACUCUUCAUUUGCUUUCAUUGAUAAUAUUGCUUAAGAUUGGAUACAUUCCAUGGUCGGAGCAAUGGGGUUUCGUCUAGCUUCUGUAGAUGAUAGGAUCCACUUUCACUUGUCUUGGUCACUACAUAGGGGUCUUCCCAAUUGGCUUGAAACUUUCCUGUUCCUGUCUCAACAGUGUUUUCGAAAACCUUCCUAAAGACCAGCGUUCCACUUUUGAAGCUCCUGGGCCUUGCCUUGCGAUUGUAGUGAGUGGCUGCCCUUUGUUGAUAGUCGGCCAUCCGGAUGGAUGCGGUAUCUCUUACUUCAUUUGCCCAGUCCAAAUUUCUUCCUAAUUCCGCAUUUGCAUCAUCCUGUCGUCCUGCCUCGGUCCGGAUAGUGGGUAACCCUAUUUCUGUAGGAAUGACUGCCUUCAUACCGUAUGCGAGGGUGAAAGGAGUGUUUCCUGUCGAACGUCCGGGUGUGGUUCGAUAAGCCCACAGGACGCCGGGUAGCUCCUCCACCCACUUUCCUUUGGCUUGCUCAAGCCUCUUCUUUAAGGCAGUUAUUAGGGUCUUGUUUGUGGUCUCUGCUUGUCCAUUGCUUUGAGGAUAACGCGGUGUGGAGUAUGAAUUCCAGAUGUUUAGUUCUGAACAGAAAUUCCGGAAAGUGGUGUUAUCAAACUGUGGACCGUUGUUAGCUAUAAUGGUUUGGGGGAUUCCAAAGCGGCAGAUAAUGUUCUUCCAUACGAACUUGGUGACAUCUUUAUCUUUGAUGCUAGCGUAUGCUUCAGCUUCCACCCAUUUACUGAAGUAAUCUGUGGCGACGAGCAGAAAUUUCUUCUAGGCAGCUGCGGCUGGUAGGGGUCCUACUAUGUCCAUGCCCCACUGCGCGAAGGGUCAGGGGCCUGAAAUUGGUUUUAACGUCUCCGACGGCACAUGUGGUAUGAAGGCAUGCCUUUAACACUUGUCACAUUUUUUGACAUAGGCUGUCACAUCCUUUUUCAUCGUGGAUCAGUAAUACCCUUGCGAAUGGGACCGGUGCACUAGAGAUCGACCUUCGGAAUGGUUUCCACACACCCCCUCAUGUAAUUCAGCCAAGACAUACAGAGCCUCUGAGUGGUUUAGGCACCUGAGGUAGGGGCCUGUAAAGGACCGCUUGUACAAGUGCUCCCCGAUCAUGGUGAAACGGGCAGCUUGUACCCGAGUCUUGUGUGUCUACUUGGGCUCUUCGGGCAAAGUGCCUGUUUGGAGAUACCUUAUAAUGUCUCUCGCUCACUUUUGGUCGUCUGUUUGGUUUGCCUCAAUGGUAUUGCAAAUAGAGGUUUCCGUGACGAAGGGGUUGGUCUGCACAUGUACAAGCAAUAGUAUGGCUUCCUUGAUGGGAAGGGAAGCGGCUAUGCCUGCCAGGACGUCGGCACGUCCAUUUUCAGUUCGUUUAAUUUUUUCGAUCGUCCAUUCGGUGAACCGUUGUAAGGUGUCCCUUACUUUAGUCAGAUAUCGCGCCAUGCGCUCAUCCUUAGCUUCGUAUUCCUUCUGAACGUGCCUUACCACGAGUUGAGAAUCACUAUAGACCCGGAGCCUGGAGACAAAUAGAGUCAGGGCGAGGUCCAACCCGGAUAGGAUGGCCCCAUACUCAUCUUCAUUGUUAGACGCGGGGAACCCCAUUCGGAUGGCUUGCUCCAGAUGUUCUCCUGUUGGGGAUUGCAGCAGGAGUUCUGAUUACUACUCAAAAAGUGCUAUUUGAUAGCUUGUAAUUAACUCUUUUAAACACUUUUGAGUAGUAGUUAUUGCCUUUUAACCCAAUUAACAUAUUAAGGACCUUUGCAAUCAAUUCUAAUCAAAUUGUGUUAAGUUUUGAUGUUUUGAUAGCUUUUUGAUCACCAAAGCAAUCCAAGAAUGAGGGAGAGCUGUAUAUAGUUCAUGGCAAAGCUUUUAGAAGCUCAAAUUCAUGAAGAACCAAAGCUUUGAAGUCCUUUUCCAUAAGCAAAUCUGGAAUGCAAGGAGGGAAAGCAAAGAGAAAUCUGCCAUAAAGCAUUCUUGAUGACAGUCAUGUUAGCCACUUUUGGAGCACUUCCCGAAGUCCAUUUUGUGCAUGCUAUAUACCAUUUUAAAGCUCAGGAAGUCAACAAUCCAAUUCUUCAAACGGUGUGCAAUUUGGAGUUGAAAUGAAGAAGUUACAGCCAUUGCAAGCCAAUCACUCCAAGCUGAAGGAAGCAUUUUGCAAAGUGUUGCGGAAUCACCCUUUUGUUGCGAAGUGAUUUCGCAGCAUUUUUGUACAGUGUUGUGGAUUCCCUCCUGAUGUUGCCCGAUAUAUGCCGCAAGUUGGAAGCCGAACACCACAAGUUGAAAGACCACUUCGCAGCCCUACGAGAUCAGUCGUUUGCUGCGAAGUAAUUUCGCAGCCCUUUGUGUGCGUCUACGAAAUCUCGCAGACCUCGUUUUCACCUGCGAAAUGGUCCUUAGUGCUUCCCGAUAUUUACAACCGACACUUUGGGAUAUUUUUCUUCAGAUAUUUUUGUAUGAAUUUCCAUUCUUCUCCUUGUAAUCCACCAACCAUAAGAUUUCUUAGUUAGGAAGGUUGGAAAAACGUCUCUAUAUAUAUUCCCUUGCAUCCAUUGUAAUAGAUUCAUGUAAUAUCGAUCAAUAUAUAGAUAUUUCAUAUAUAGAAUCAACGAACAGAGCACUUGCUCUGUUUUUCAUAUAUAUUCUUGUUUUCUCGUUAGUUUUCUUGCUAUCCAAACAAACUCUGAGGAUUUUUCCUCAGAGGAUGAGAGGCUAGGCUUUUUGUCUCUUGGAGUGAGGAAAGCCGGGUAAGUUUCCACAUGCAUAAUUUGGAAGUUUUGUUGUUUUAGUUUUUAAUGAAGAGAAAGUGUGACCCGUUAAUGGUUUUUAUCUUUUUAGUUAACUUAAAACGCCUUUAAAUCACCUGGGCCAACACUUGGUAAGGCAAGUGAUCUCCGUCCAUGGAGAUGCACUAGUUUACCCCUUGCGAGCCUUUGGGAGAUGGUUUGAAGGUAGGAUUUUCUAGAAUAGCCAACACUUGGUAAGCUUUUGGACUCCAAGAAGACAUCCAUUAGUUAUCUCUUGCGAGCUUUUGACGGGUAAUCCAAGGUUAAAGAUCACCUUGAAUGGCAAGUGCUAGGUGAGAAGUAUGAGCCAUUGCAAGGUGCAUCAGUGAGAGGGAUUUAGUGUUUGAACCCAUUAAUGGGAAGCAUCUGUACAGCACCGGUUAGAGAAUUAACUAUAUGUUAAUUCUCUAAUGUGAGGAAAAGAAACAAGUGACCGGAACUCCCUUUUUGUAUGAAGAAUCUGAGCCUAGUGAUCUGAAACUCCAAGAAACAUUUUUCUUUGUAAGUAAAAUCAGUUACUAUUUUUUGUUAGCUUAAAACCAAUCCUUGUUCAUUCAAACAUCUUUAUGUUUUCUUUUAAAGCUAACCUUGAAAUGAAAAGGCACCAAUCCAAUUUUGAAUUAACAUCAUUUGUGAAGUGAAAACCCAUCCCAGUGAACGAUCCUAGAGCCACUAUGCUAUAGUAGUUUUGUCUUUGCUACCCUAGUAUUUGGUGUAAUAGGUUAUAAAUUUUGUUGAUUACUCCCUCAAUCAAGGAGCAGCAGCUGGACAUGAAUCAGCUCACCAAUUGGGCACGAAUCAAAUGGCGCCGUUGCCGGGGAUGGUGCCACUUUACAGUGAUAUCACCUUUUCAGAGUACUUGUAAUCUUCAUCACAAGUUUGGUGACUUUUCUUUUCCUUUUACUAACUCUUUUUAUUUUUUUAUUGUUCAUAUUUUAGUAUACCUUUCAUUUAGUUUUUAGUUUACCUUAAUUUUCUUUCUUUGAAUUGUUUUUCUUUUGUUUUCUUUUGUGUUCUCUGUUUUUAAUUCACAAUUUGCUAGUUGUGCAUGCCAUAUUGAAAAAGAGAUAGCAGAGGAAGCCAUGAACUCCAUGAGUUAUGUGGCUGAAGUCUCAAGAGGAUGGGAUGAACCAAAUGCUCGAGAUAUGGGGAGAAUGAAGUCUCAACCUAAAGCUCAGGGUGAGAUGUAUAUUUUGAAUGAUGGUAUGAACAUGAAGGCAAAGAUUGCAGCUAUGGAAAGGAGAUUGGAAGAGCUAGAAAUGAACCAGAUGCAAGAAGUGCAAGCCAUCUCUCAAACACCAUUGCAAGCUAUGCCUUGUGCCAUUUGUCGAUCAUAUGAGCACUUGGUGGAUGAGUGUCCUACCAUUCCAGCCGAGAGGGAAAUGUUUGGUGAUUGCAACACCUACAAUUCCAAUUGGAGGGACCAUCCAAAUUUCUCUUGGAAACCACAGCCGCCUCAGUACAAGCAACAUGUUCAAGCACUUCCGCAAGCCUCAAGCCUUGAACAAGCUAUGGUGAAUCUUAGCAAGUUCGUGGGAGACUUUGUUGGAAACCAAGAAGCCAUCAAUGCUCAAAUCAAUCAAAGAAUUGACAGAGUAGAGAGUUCAUUGAUUAAAAGGAUGGAUGAAGUGCAAAAUGAUCUAUCUCAGAAGUUAGAUAUUCUCCAAGAUUCAAUCUCAAGGCUUGCCAACCUCAACACAGUGCAAGAGAAAGAAAACUCUCCUUCUCAAUCUUAUCAAAAUUCCAUGAGUAUCCAUGAAAUGGAGGCUAAGGAGGGAGAAUCUUCACAAAAGAGGGAAGUCAAAGAAGAGAUCACUCUAAGGAGUGGUAAAGAGGUUGAUCUGCCCACAUGCAAGCUAGAGCAUAAGGUAGAGAGUGAAACAGAGAAAGAAAUUAUGGAAGAAAUCAAAGGAAAGAAAAAGGAGAAAAGCAUAGAGAAAGAUGGCUAUGAUGUUAAUGUACAAAGAGAACCACAGAGGAUAGUCAUCAAGGAAGAAAUGAUGAAACACAUGCCUCCACCUUUUCUCCAAGCUUUGUAUGGGAAAGUCAUACAAAUCAAGUCUCAAGUAAAGGAUGCAAACUUCAUAUGGGAUCCGAGCAAGCUAAAUCAGGAGCAAAUUUUUUGAUGGACUUAGUCUUUUUAAAGACUAUCUAGUCCAUAUCUUUUUGUUUUGUUAAUUUCUUGUUUUAAUUUUGAUUUCAAUGCUUUAAUUCUAGUUUUUUUUAUGUAAUAUAGGUUUUUGGAUGAUCAAAAUCAAGAGGAAUUGCAAAGAAAUUGAAGGAAGUCUUUCGGAGCGAAAUCGGAGUGAAAACAGAGCAAAAACAGGGCAAAAACAGGGGCCUGCGAGAUUUCGCAGCCUCUGCGAAAUCAGCACUUUGCUGCAAAACCAGUUCGCAGCCUCAGACCCCUCUCUGCGAAAAUUUUCGCAGCUACAAAACCAAUUUUGGCACACGAGUGCCACUUCGCAGCACAAGAGCCCCCAUUUCGCAGCUGCGAAACAACUGCAAAGCUCCAAAGCGUGAAAAUUCCCAAUUUCGCAGCCAAAGCUCCAUUCCGCAGGGUAUUUCGCGGCUGCGAAGCACAUUUUGGCACACGAGUGCCAUUUCGCAGCACAGUGAACCUCAUUUCGCAGUUGGGAAAUGACUGCGAAGUCCCAAAACGUGAAAAAUCCCAAUUUCGCAAUCAAAGCUCCAUUUUGAAGAGUAUUUCGCAGCUGCAAAACCACUUUUUGGCACAUGAGUGCCAUUUGGAAGCCUCGUACACUCAUUUCGCAGCUGCGAAAUGGCUGCGAAACCUCUACACCUUAAAAUCCUUCAGCGCGCACGCCAUGAACAGACAUAUCACAGCCGCACCCCCAUUUCGGAAAUUAUUGGACACAUAUCGAUCACUUCUCGAAGUUUAAAUUAUGCAUGCAAUAUCUCGUUUCAAAGAUUGGGAAGUCAGGAGUCCAUAGCUUCAAACGGUGCUCGAUUUGGAUUUGAAACGGAAAAGUUAUGGCCAUUUGAAGAUGACUGUGCAAACCAUGAGCGGAAAUGUCGCACCUCCAUUUCGCUACUGUUGGACACAUUUUUGAAGCACUUACUGGAGCUCAAAUUAUACAUACCAUAUCUUGUUUCAAAGCUUUGGAAGUCAGGAGUCCAGAGCUUCAAACGGUGCAUAAUUUGGAGUUGAAACGAAGAAGUUAUGGUCGUUUGAAGACAAGCGCGCAAAGCUGAGCAGGAAUUUCGCAACCGAGACACCAUUUGGAAGGGUGUUUCACAGCUGCGAAACCACUUUUUGGCACACGAGUGCCAUUUGCAGCACAGUUCCCCUCAUUUCGAAGCUGCGAUACAGCUGCGAAAUCACCUUUGAGCUGCGAAACCACUUUUUGGCACAUGAGAGCCAUUUCGAAGCCCCGUACACUCAUUUUGCAGCUGUGAAAUGAGCUGCGAAAUCAAUUUUGGGUUGCGAAAUCACUUUUGAGCUGCGAAAUGGCUAUGAAAUGGUCUCCAAGCUUCAAAAGGGCUGUGAAAUCACCUUAGAAAUGACUUUCAAAUUGCGAAAUUGACUUGCGAAAUGGAGGAAGGUUUGCAAAAACACCUUGCAAAGCCAAGGGAAAUUGCUAAAAUACCAACAGAGCCCCACACCAUGCAUCUGAAGAGGAGAGCCCCGCGCACCCUGGGAUCACACACACUAAGCCUCUCACUCCAUUUCUGACCUCCUUAAACCAUCAGAGCCCAUAGCUCCAGCUGAGGAGACUAUGCCACCUAAGGAGACUACCAGAACAGAGGUCAAAGUCCUGAUCCAACCCAUUCAAGAGGCCACCACAGACACAUCAGCUCUGCAUGACCUUACCAUUACUUGAUCAUCUCUUUAAUUUUUGUCUUUACAUAUUAUAUUAGUAUAGAUAAUUCCAUGUUUUGAUGUCUUACAUUAUGGGAUUGGAUGUAUUACUGAUGAUGCAUCAUAUAUAAACAUCAUUUUUGUUUAAACUUGACAUUUUUCUAUUUCCUCUACUCACUAACUCUUUUGUGUUUUUUUUUUUUUUGAAACAUGUGGUUUCUCCUAUAUGACUCAGACUCCAUAUCACAUGAGGUACCACUUCCUUCCUCCUUAUUUUCAAUUCAAACAUUGAGGAUAAUGUUCAUCUUGGUUGGGGGGAGAGAUGAGGAAGUAAGUAUUAAUUUAAAUUUUUAUCAUACUUAGUUAAAUUAGCUACUUUUUGUUUUAAAUUUUAAAAUUUUUGCUUUAAACUCCAUAGAUAUUAAGGAUUAACUCUCAAAAUUAAAUGAGAGAAGUCGAGUUUCAACUUGAUUACAUGAGUCUUAGAGUUUGUAUUAUGUUCUUCUAAAAGUUGAUGAAUUGUUGAAACUCCCAUUGCAUGCAAACUUAUCUCUUCCACCUUAAGCUAUUCGCACACACAUACAUUAGAUUCCGGUUAUAAGAUGUGAAACUAUCUCACCCUCUAAGCUUGAGAAAUCAUAAUUUGACACCUUUAACCUCUCUUUAAUAGUGUUGGGACACCUCAUAAAAACCAAUGAGUCUUUGUAAAAUAAAAAAUAAAAAAAUAAAAAAAAAUAAACUUCUUUACUUGCCUUGAAACCUGAGCAUGGUCCGAAGGGGUGGCGAAAGCCUUUAAAGCCUGGUGCCCUAAGCCUUUAUUGGUUGGGAGUCACCGAUCCUCUGCUUGUUACAUGGGUGAAUUGGUUAAGUUUAGUAAGUGAAAAGAAUUGUGAAUAAGAGGUGCGUUCUUAGCCUAUCAAGAGAUGGUUAAUUUUUGCUAAGCUUAAAGAAAGACUUAGGUUGGGGGGAGAUGAUAGUUAUCCAUACUAUACUCGGAAGCUAAUCACAUUAACACUUAGCUUUUAGUGAAAGAAUUUGAUUUGGAUCUUUUGAGAGUGGAAAUUCUUUUGAUGCUUAAGCUUGCAUAAUAUCCAUUCUUUGUACUCUAAGAUCAAGUGAAUGCUUUGACAACUCUUAUUAUAGGUUGAGUUUCACAUCUUUAUUGAUCCAUGGAUGUCCGUCAUGCCACUCAAUUAUUUUUUGGAGUGAUUUGCAUGACCUCUUUUAUGUAUAUUAUUAUGUUUGCUUAGUUUUUCUCUCCUUCAUUGUUAAGGGACUAGCAAUAUGUCGGUUGGGGAGAGUACCCCGGAUCCUGAUGACCGGGAGGCUCCAUCAACCCGCAAAGUCCAUCACUCCUCUCCGAUUGGUUCCUUGUGCUGGAUAGGCCUUCGGGAGUAUUCCAGCACGAAGUCAGCCAUCACUUGGCCUUUCAUGGACAACCUGGGUUGGAACUCGAUUCCAUAUUCGCUCAACUCUAUGGCCCAUUGAAGCAUUCUUCCAGUUAGGUCUGGCUUGUGCAGGAUGUUGCGAAGGGGCUGGUCGGUUAGCACGACCACCGAGUGGGCUUGGAAGUAAGGGCGGAGUUUCUGGGCGGCACUUCGAAAGGCCAAGGUCGUUAGCUCUGUCUUUGAAUACCUUGUUUCUACAUCCGCCAACACUCUGCUGACAUAGUAAAUAGGUUUCUGUUCCUUGCGCGAGGGGCAGCGGAAUAGAACAGCGCUAAUUGCCCACUCCGAUACAGCCAGGUACAUAUACAAUUUUUCUCCAGGGAGGGGGCUGUUUAGAAUGGGCGGUUGCAUGAGGCAAUGUUUAAUUUUUUCGAAAGCACUCUAACAGUUGUCCGUCCAUCCGUUCGCUCCAGCUUUUCGUAUUGCCAAGAAGAAGGGUCGCAGUUCAUCAGUGAAGCGGGCUAUAAAGCGUCCUAGCGCGACGAACUUGCCUAUGAGGCGUUGUAAUUCCUUUUUGCUCCUGGGGGUGGUGUUUCCAUGACUGCCUUAACUUGAUUUGGGCUAACCUCUAUCCCCCUUUGGCUGACCAUAAAUCCGAGGAAUUUGUCAGCACUUACGCCAAAGGCGCAUUUAGAAGGAUUCAACUUCAUAUCAUACUUCCUUAAGAGGUGGAAGACUUCUUGUAAGUGGAGGGUAUGUUCUUCUCAGGUUUUGCUUUUAACCACGAUAUCGUCAAUAUAUACCUCCAUUGUGCGGCCGACUAGAGGUUUGAAGAUCUUCGUCAUCAAUCUCUGAUAAGUGGCACCAGCAUUUUUGAGUCUGAACGGCAUGACUUUGUAGCAAUAAAGACCGUGUGGCGUUAUGAAGGCUGUCUUUUCUUCGUCAGUCGGGGCCAUGGGGAUUUGGUGGUAUCCGGAGAAAGCGUCCAAGAAGGAGAGCAUCCCUUGCCCAGCAGUGAAAUCUACAAUUUGGUAUAUCCGUGGCAGAAGGAAACUGUCUUUUGGGCAUGCAUUAUUGAGGUUGGUGUAAUCGACGCACACCUGCCAUUUGUCUUCCUUUUUGGGUACCACUACUACAUUUGCCAACCAGUCCGGAUACUCCACUUCUCUAAUGAAUCCGGCCUCCAGCAACUUGUCAAUCUCAUCCCUGAUAAUCUUUUGCCUGUCCGGGUGAAAACGUCUAACCCUCUGUCGGAUGGGCCUUGCUGUUGGCAAGACGUUAAGUCUAUGAGAGACGAUGGAGGGGUGAAUUCCCUUCAUAUCAUAAUGCGCCCAUGCGAAGAUGUCAUGACUUUGUCGGAGGGCGUUUUGGAUGUUUCGGGUCUCUUUAGGCGUUAAGAGGGAACUGAUAUAUGUAAGGUGAGUACCUUCUUCCUAAAUUUGGAUCGUCUGCAAGGGAUCCGCUGCCGGGGGAUCUUUGUCCGUCGGACUCAGUAAUUGCUAUUGGUCAAGUGUGUGGGUGGACUCAGGGAGGGGUUUAUCCUCCUGGCUGGUCCCUACUUCUCGUGCUAUCUGAUAGCAUUGGCGAGCGGCUAAUUGGCUGCCGUAUAGGUCGAUUUGCCCAUCCUUGGUAAGAAAGCUUACCAUUUGAUGAUACGUAGAGGGGAUGGCUUUCAUGUAGUGCAGCCAUGUGCGCCCCAAGAUGACAUUGAAGGGUGAUAAAUCUUGUACCACCGAAAAUUGUACGUUGAGAGUGACUGGGCCAGCUUCGACCGGCAGUACAAUAUCUCCUAAGGAGGUAGUUGCCACUUCGUUGAAUCCGGACAAAAUUCGCCCAGGGUUUUCGAGGCCUGUUAGAUUGCGUCCCAUGUGGCUAAUUACCGAUGCUUGUACAAGAUCGGUCGAGCUGCCCAGGUCAACUAAGAUGCGUCUCACGUUGAAGUCUUCCAUCUUUAGGGAUAGGAUGAGGGCGUCGCGGUGCAGCUGCAAUAUCCGUGUGGGGUCUACUAGUGGGAAAAUGAUUGUCCCAUCUAUGGGGCGAGCCCCCUCCCCAAAUUAUCCCAGGUCGUAUGGAGUUGAAGUGCUCACGCACCAAUGCUGCAUGCAACAGCCUCUGUCUCUUUCGCUUGGAGUCGUAUUCCUCGUCCAAUGGGCCUCCGUUGAUAUAGUUUAUAAUGGUUUUGGGGGCGGCUGGAACCCUAGAGGUUCCAGAGUUGUGAUUUCGGGAAGUGUCUCUACCUCUGGUGUCUGAGCGGAGGUAUUGCUUCAAAUGUCCCGUCCUUAUGAGUUUUUCGACCAAAUAAUGGAGGCUCCUGCAGGUCUCCGUUGUGUGACCAUGCUUCUUAUGGUCGGCACAUUUUUCACUAUGAUCCCUUUUGGAUGGGUCCGCUCUGAGGGGUCCAGGCCACCUGAAGUCGGACAUGUCUUGAAUCAUAGGAAGAAGCUUCUCAUAGGAUAUGGAAAGAGGUGUGAGGGGCGGCAGUUUCGGGCAGCUUUGUUUUACUGCCUUCGAUCAGACGGCCUUAGCCGGUCCGGAAUUUUGGCACUUCUUUCCGCACCACUUCUAGAUGCCUGUUAGGCGACCAAGAUUUGCUGGGUGGCUGCUCGCACUUCAUCUUCGAGCAUUGAGUAUUUGUUCGCGCGCCGGAACAAGUCGUCCAUCUUCGUAGGAGGCUUCUUAGCGAGCGACUCGAAGAAUGGGGUGUCUGGACAGAUGCUUCGCUUGAAGAUCUGCAGGACAGCAUCCAUGCUAUAAGCCUCUACCUGUAGCACGGCCUGACCAAACCGCUUCACGAACUCCCUCAAGGACUCGUUCUCCUCCAUUUUUAUAUUUUGCAAAGUGUUGAUGUUCUGUUUAUGCCGAGCGGAGCAUAAGUAUUGUCCCACGAAAGCUUCCGACAGGUCCCUGAAAUUAUCAACAGAGUUGGGAGGUAGGCGGUGAAACCAUGAGAGGGCCUGCCCUUGUAGGCUGGCGGGGAAUACUAUGCAUAACAGAGCGUUGUUUCCUAUAUCGAGAGUCAUGAGUUGUCGAUAAUGCAUGAUAUGGUCGAAGGGAUCACUGGACCCAUCGUACGUGGAGAAUUUAGGCACGAGAAAUCCCCUUGGGGGGUCGUAAUGAAUAAUAUACGAGCAAAAAGGCGUAAAGAGCAUGUCGUUCAGUCUUUUGCUGAUGGAGCCAGUGGGUGGCUCGUUUGGGGGGUUUCUCCCAGCUUGGCGUACCGCUUGGUGCGGGAAAACGUUCUGCACCAUGGGAGUGACCAGGGGGUCAGGGUGCGCUCCUCAGGUUGUGGCUACUGGCGGCCUUGUCUUCCCAGGUUCUUGUGGGCCUAGCCUUGCGCGUGACAACUGGGGUCUCUUGUCACGCUGUCUCUUCGACGAGAGACGAGUAGAGUCCGAGCUUUCCUCCUAGGGAGCUUGGUGCAUGGGCGUGUGUCGCUCUUGUGGUCUCACAUUGCCCGUCUCGGGGAUGGCCCCCGCAGUCCCAGGGUAUCUUGACUCUGGGUCAGGCCUUGAGUUUGCUCCCUGACCUCUUAAGCGCUAACCACGAGGAGGCCCCGUCGAUGAAGCCUGGAUACGCAACACAGCGUUUUCUUCUCUUAGUCUCGCUAUCUCCUGGAGGAGAGCCUGCAUUUGUCGCUCGCUUUCCAGCUGUCUUCUCUCGAUGGCUUAGCGCCAUUCGAAAUAAUCUUCUCCUCCCCUGGCCGACGAGCGGCUUCUGGAAGGUGUGGACAUCCUUGCCGUCGACUGAAUCAGAGUUUUCCCACAGACGACGCCAAUGUUGAUGCCUUGCAUCCCAAUGAUCCACGUAGCUGCCAGGUGGACGCACACUUUCAACCAAGAUUGAGUUCUGGUUCAGUCUUCCCUACAAAAGAUCUCCGGACAGGAUGUCUGGACACACCCUCCGAUGGUUUUGUUAGCCAUGGCUCAAGAGAUUAAGCUAUCGGGCUUUUUCAGGGAUAGUCAGCUUACCUUCCUCCUUGUGUGAAGGCCCUUUUAUAUAGUGUCAGAAGCUCUGCCUCCCUCUUUAAUGGUGGGAAGACUUUUUGGCUUGUCAUGAUGCCUCUAGGUGGUGGCAGGGCCAUCAUCACCCUACAGACGACUGUCAGAGAUCGUGGGAGGCAACUUGCCAUCGCUCCUGUCCUUUCGCUCUGCAGGCGGAGGAACGUGGGCUGUGGCAAGCUGUCGGAAUGACGUAGCAAGACUUGCUCACUUCAGUCAAUGAUCCGGACAACAUAUCCGGAUAGGAUAUGCUAUUGUCUGGGUGUGAUGUUCGCGAGUGUCGUGUGCUUUUCCCUGAGGGAGUCCGGAUAGGGGAGCGUGCCACAUGUCCUCUUGGGGAGUCCGGAUGGAGUUGCUCCAAAUAGCGAUGCGCGCCACGUGUCAUCAGGGGGAGGGGUCCCUACAGCUAUGGUGAACUCUCUUCUGUUUUCUCACCAUCUGAAAGGAGCACUGAACAUACGAAUGCACUAAAAGACCUGGUUAUUGAUGAUGGUGUUCCAAACACCAGCUCCUCCUCCCCUCUCAUGGAAACAUGCGAUUGUAUUGAGAGAGUCAAAUUUCUAAGGGGAAAGAACUAUUUCUCACUGGCCCAACUGGGUUUCUAGCCAAACGUAUUGCUUCUCCAGCAUUUCUGCAUGUUACAAAGUCCUUUUAUUUCCUCAAACCAAGGCUCUGGAGAGAGCUUUACAAUUGAUAUGAAAAAAAAGCUUAUUUUGAUUUUCAUGGUCUCAUGGGAAAAAUGCUUAUAUUGCUGUUCAUGAGCUUUACAACUUAGACAUAUAUACAAUGCCAGAGUCUUUUUUCUUUAACGAACUUCUUGUAUUUUAUAUUGAAUGCAGUUUGGCUCAAAAAGAUGCUAUGGUCAGUCCCUGAUGUUGGAAAGAUCUUUCUCUUGAUCAAGGCAAAAGAUAGGGAGACUGCAAUGGACAGACUGAAAAAUGAAGUAUAUAUGUUUCUGAAAGAGUGUUUCUUUUCGUUUCAUUGCUAUAGGAUCUUGAUUGUGUUGAAAUUUGACCCAAGUUGUAAUUGUAUUGCCGAUCAUAGGCUCAGAACUAUUUAAGUGCCUGGAACAAAUGCAUGGAGAAUCGUAUACAGAUUUCAUGAUGAGCAAGCUAGUCUCGGUCAUUGGUGAUGUUUGCAAGUCGAAUCUAGGAAUGGAUGCUACUUCAGCUACUGAGAUUGCAAAGGCAGUUGAUGUGAUUGUAAAUUCAGCUGCCAAUACAAUCCUUGAUGAAAGGUCCUGUCCAUUUUGCUUACAUUGUUGCUUGUAUGCUUUGUAUAUGAAAGUGGUCAAUGACACUGUCAUUAAGAUUUCUGACUUCUGUUUUAUCCAAACAUAGGUAUGAUGUUGCUCUCAACACAAACACAAAAGGACCUUCUCGACUCGUAAGCUUUGCCAAGAAGUACAAGAAACCGAGUCUGUCUGUGCAUGUAUCAACCGGUAAGUAAUGAAGACUAGAAAAAUGUUGAGAUAAGAGUUCCAAUGUAAUUAAGCAGAUGAAUGUUGUCUGUUACACAGCAUAUGUGAAUGGGGAAAGAGGAGUGGUGUCAGAGAAGCCCUUCUGCAUUGGAGAGAGCCACCUCAGCGAACUCUUCAACAUCCUUCCCUGUACUGGACGUCGAUGCUGAAAUAGAGUUGGCUUCUAAUGUAAUGGAAUCUUUGAAAGACAGUGAGGUAACCCAAAAGAUGAAAUAGCAUGUACUCAUGCUUUGUACAUUGUUCCUUUUCUUGUCAACAUUAGAAUGCUAGACCCAUUAAUUUUAUCCAAUGGAAAAGGUCAGCUCCCAGAUCUUCUUUGUGCAAAGCAGUGAUUGAUGUGGUAAGAACCCAAGCAAAUAUUUCAUUAGUUCCUUUACGUGUUUUCAUUUGAUUCACUAUGUGAUUUUGAAGUUAUGGGAUGAGUUUAUGGAUAUGAACUGUAGGUUCCAGCAGAUAUGGUUGUUAAUGUAACCAUGGCAGCCACAGCAAAGCAAGGGAAUGCUGGGAAACCAGGGCAUCAUGUGUACCACAUCACCUCGUCUGUUGCAAAUCCACUAGUAUUGGGCGAUGCCUUCAAAUUUUCCUGUAAUCACUUCAAUUCUUCUCCUCUUAUAGACUCAAAAGGGAAGAGGAUUGACAUUACUGGAAUGAAGUACUUCAGCCCCAUGGACACUCACUCCUCAUACAUUGGGAAUAAAUUAGUUCAACAGGGUGGGCUGAUGGAUGCAACCAUUUCAGACCAAAAGUUGCAUCGAGUGCGUGAAUUGAAAUGCAUAAGGAAGGUGGAGCGUGUUCUUCACAUGGUUAGGAUAUAUGAGCCAUACAUGUUCUACACUACAGCUCUAAACUAAGCAAUUUGCUCUGAAUCUCCUGACAUCCACAAUAUAUUAGGCCCCAAAUUCUUUUUCUUAUUUUAUUUUCAUUAUUUACGAACUUUUUCCUAUUUAUCCAUCCUCCGAAAAUUGCAGCCGUUUUACAAUGAUGUUACCACAUCCCAUGUCAAAUCAAUGCAUAAGAUUUCAACUGACCUAAGAUUCCGUGUUAAUGCAAAAUUUUAUUUGUAUAAACAAGCAACAAGGAAGAAUAUGGUGAAAUGUAUACACAGAUCAUCCCAACAAGGCAAGAAAAGAGCAGAGGCUAGAAUAGAAAUGCGUCGUUAGACAACAAACCAAAAAUCAGAAGACUUCAGGAUCCUAGGCUUUCUAAACAAGAAAGACAUGAAUAAAAUGAAACAUAAGACUGAUUGCUUUAAAUUUAGCUUUCUAAACGCUGUUGAGCCCAUCUCCUAGCGUCCUCUUGUAACUGCUCCUUUGAUACCUCACCAUUCAUAUAAUUCACCUUCUUUCUACAAAGAACCCAUCAUCAACAAAUAUAUUAUAUUAGGCUAACUUUGGUCCCUGCAACACGUUCAUCAAAUUUAUAUUAGCUCUGCGAUAAAACCACAAGCCCGACUCUUUGUAGCCCAUUUCUUGCGCAGCCAACAAAUGCUGCUCAGAUCCAUUUGUUCUGUCACUCAGACCAUCAAAGAAAAGAAAUGAAACUAAUUAACGCAAUGAAAUAAGAGAAAAUUAGAUUGCCAAAUAAAAAAUUGAAUCUCCUUGUACCCUCUACAGCCCCAAGGAAAAAAGGAAGAAGCAAAUCUAUGACAAAGAAAAGGACAAAAACAAAAAACCAAAAUAGCACCCCAAUUUAAGCAGGAAAUGAUACACUACAGCAUUGGCAGCUGCACAGCCUACAUAAUUUAAAUGCAAGGGGGCCUAAGCAAUGCCCAUUUUACAUGCUUCUGGACCAUCCCACCACCAGUAAUAAAAGCCUAGCAGCCUGAUUACUAACACCUCAUUCAGACUAGUAUGAAGAUGCUGCAGGAAAUUGAGUGACUGGGUGGCACCACUACAAAAAGUAAUCAGGCGUUCUGCGGGUUACAUCCGGUUCUCCUCUCCUUGGAGCUGGUUCAAACUGCAUCCACAAGAACAUGAGCAACUCUAUUACCAUCUCUAAAACUAGAUCGCUACCACAACUGCAUGCAGUAAUUAGUUUGGAAAAAGCCCCCAUGCCAAUGACAAAAUCAGGCAAAAUCUUGCUGUUUCCCAUGUGUCACAUGAUUUAAUGAGUACUUGAAGUAAGCUUGGAUGAGAAACAGCCCAGCUUAUUUUGAAAAAUUUUCAUCAUGUUCAUUUGCCUAUGUGCCUUCAUGCAUGUCUUUGUACGUGAGUGCAAAAGAGACAAACCUGAAUGAAUGUGUGACCUUUGCAGUCAUCAACUUCCAAAAUUGAUGCCAUGUUUCCACAGCGAUAACAGUAGUUGGGUGCACUAAAUAUGGUGACAACUUUUUGUUCCUGUCACAGGCAAUGUCAAAUUAACAAACCCAGCCACCUAAUAUACAGAACAAAUCAAAAUUUGCCCCAGCCACUGAAGAAUUAGUAAUUACAUGUCCCCAGUUAAAUCCCUCCAUAACCAGUUGAUGAGCUCUAGCAAUCAGCUUUAGGUUGUUAGUAUGAUUGAAUUGCUCAGAUAUGUCCUGAAAUAAUGUAUUUCACAUGUGAAGAAACUAGUAAAGGCUCCAAGAACACCAUUUUUUGGGGGAGAAGUGGGAGAAAGAAAUAAACAUAAAAAUGGUAUCUGAACCAUACCUGGCCAAAAGUAUAUCCAGCACCACGGGGAGAGAUACCCCAACCACACCGAUCAUCUGGAUCAGACCAUAAGAGAUCACACAUGGGCCCUUCAUGAGGAACUUCUUGAACACGGUCAAAAUUCCGAAUGUUAUCAAGUGUUUCAAUGGAUGGGGACAAUCCACCAUGCAAACAAAAUAUUUCAGAUUCAACCUAAAAGUCCAAAAAAAGAAAAAGACCAUCUGGUUAUUUAACAAAAAAGGCUAAGUUCCCUUACAAAAACACAGCAACAUACAGACUGCAGUCGGAAAAUACUAACAAGCAGUUUGAUUUGUUCUGUGAAAAAUCUAUGACCCCAUACUACAUGUAUCAAGGCCACUACUAAUUUAACAUUUAUCUACAAAGUUAGAAACACUAAAACAUGUACUUCCUUAUUAAACAACAAAUUUCAUAUAGAAGAAAAGGGGAACACCCCAAUGAUUUUCCUUUUUCUUUUUUCUUUUUUAAUCUUAUAAUAAGGAUAGUUAUAUAUACAAGCACUACAAGGCACAAAACCAGCUACACAAGAAGACAGGAAGUACACAACGACAAUGCAAAUGUUAAGUGAUAAUCAGCUUGGUAUAUUAUUGGUCCAUUCCUAACAUUUCAAGCUUUUUGAAGUCACUCUUUCACAUAGCAUUAGAACUUUGGUUCUCGGAGGUCUUGUAUCUAAAGAUAGGAAUUAAUAUAUCAAAACACAAAAGAGCACAAAACCAGCUUCACAGAAAGUAUAUGUUGCCAGGUAAAUCCUAAAGCUUGAUAUAUUAUUUUGGUCCAUUCUUAAAGCUUUUAGGGUAAGUGCAGUUUCACAAGGUAUAGGAGCUAUGGUUCUUGAAGGUCUUGUGCUCAAGCCUCUUCAUCUAAUUUACUACUUAAUUUGUUGACAUGUGCCAAAGUAUAUCAUAUUUGGGAUAGUGUGUUGCAUUAGCCAAAAUAUCUAAUAUAGCUUAAGCCUAUGGGGUAAGUGGUGGUCUAACACUACAAACGGAAAUCAGGAAAGGCAGAAAAAAAAAACAGAGAAUCACAAAAUUUAUUUUGCUAUUUCAACUCAAGAAAAUCAGGAAAGGCAUUAAAAAAAAAAAAAAAAAACAGAGGUAGAACAGAAAUAACAAAAUUCAUUUUGCUAUUUCAACUCAAGAAAGCUUCUGGAAAAUAAUAAGAAAGCAACAAUUUAAUGACCUCAAUUCUUAGUAAGAAAUACUAGUGGAUAACCAUAAAAUGACCUUAGAUAACAUGAGAAAAUAAUAGUGAAAAUGUAGAAUUCUACUAACCAAGGCCGUCAAUGGGAAAUAAUCAAAAAGGUCUGUAAAAAUCUUCCAAACAUUAGCAUUUCCAUACCUGUCAGAAACAGUAAAAAGGAGUAUCAGUACAGAAUACAGAUAUUCAAGAAGCAAUAGGAGAGGGAAAUAUGCUGCAUGACACCACCUACAUAGAAUGUCACUAAAAUGAACAAGUGAGACAGAUCAUGAAAGUAAUAUUAUCCAACAAGAUAGGCAUAUCUAGAAGCAGGUCCCAUGAUGCGUAUUGUUUGCUGAUGACAUUCACAUUGUUUUAUUUCAUGAGACUAGAACAGCUAUAAAUUUUAAGCUACAACUAUGGGAAAGUUACAGAAUCCAAAGAUUUUGUGGCAAGUCAGACUAAAAAGUGUAUAUGGUAUAAGACUUUAGCAAGAUCAGGGAAUAAUGGUAUUGGCAAUCAGAAGGUACCUAAAUCAAAAGUUAAUUGUUUAUUAUCAGGGAGAACAUUCCAAGUAGAAUGCAGGAUGGUUAAAGUGGAGAACUGCUUCUCAGGUAUUGUUUGAUUGUUAAGUACCCAUCAAAUUCAAAGGAAAUAUUUCUCAAAAAAUAGCAAUGGCCAGUGUUCAAAGAAACAGGUUUAAAAAAUUGGCACAGCUACAAUGGAGGAAUAAGAAGCAAAUACAUCCAUGGUAGAUGAUAAGGGAGUUACCAACAAACGCAGCAGUAAGGAUAAAUGAUUUGAUUCACAGUGAUUUAAUUUGUGCUGAAGGUGCUCCAAGGGCAUUUUCCCAUAGAACUUUUGGGCUUUAAAGUGAUAUUCAGGCUUACUUUAUCAUGAUAAUAUACUGCAGUCAUGCUAAUGCAACUUUGUACACACCAAGCCAACCCAACUUUGCCUUGUUCCCACUAUGCAGAGUCUUUCAUCCCUCUUGUUCAGCCACUCCAUUGGAUAUUUUGGGGAUUCCCGUUCAUAUGAUUGGAUCAAUGUUUUAAAGACUCCAGACAAGAAAAGUGGUUGGCUCACUCUGGAACAGCUUAGCCAAAAUGUUCAUGACACAAAAACAGGUGGAAAAACUAUAAAAAAAAUAUUAGAAAAGAAAAAAAAAAAGAGAAACAAAUAUGAUCAGCAAGUAAGAAGUUAUAAAAAUAAUCUAAUAUAAUUUGAGAGCAUAAUACUGCUAACAUAAGGAGUAUGCCAUAAAUAUUAUUUUAAUCUUUUAAAUGGUAAAAGGUCAAGGAGACUAGGAUAUCAACCAAAUUAAAAGCCAAAUGCCGUCCAACCAGUUCAGACAUCUAGUCCAGUUUUAAUAUGACUAAAGGUUUCACACCACCUGAUCACUUUGAAUAACCUCCCUAUUGAGGGCAUGGGACAGUGACUUGACAUGUUUCCUCCAAGUGAAUUUUUCUUCCCUCAUGGUGCCCAUCUCAAAAACUUUGGAACAGAAACAUAAAUCUCACUUCAAUCCUAUCAUCAACAGUAUCCUUCUUACAAAGCCUCACUAGGUAAACAUCAUUCCCCUUUUCUUUUAUAACAAAAAUUUGUUAUUUUGGAACAUUGCACAUGUAUGAAUGGACAAAUCAGAAAAGAUCAAGAGCAAUCUAGCAUAAACUAAAAUACUAAUGGUACAGAACUCCAUACUACCAAUGCCUCGACUCCUCUACCUUGAAUUUAAGCUCAAAUAGUAGAUAGUGUCAAGGAACAUAAGGUGUGGCAAAUAUAGGGAACCUCAAUGCAAAACAUAGGUAUAAAGAAGACUCAAUUAAUUCAGAAGAUAAAGCUGGAACUAUUCACGAUAUGUGAAGAAUAUAAUGAAUUGUAACAGACAAGAUAGGAAUUAAGAACUAGUUUUUUUUUUUUUUCCUUUUGAUAAGUAGGAAUUAGGAACAUAGUGGGACAGACAUUACAGCUAGAGUAUUGAAUAAUAACAAGUAAAUAAGCAAUCAUAUUAUAACUGCAUAAAAACUUAGAGCAAGAAAGAACAUUAUUUUCCUUUUCUAUCCCUGCUGGGACUUGACCUCCCAUUUCUCCACCCCAACCCCUUUCCACUUGAGCCAGUCUUCAAGGACAGCAAGAAAGAACAUUAUUCAGCACCAUGUGUGUGUGUAUGAGUGAAUGAGUGAAUGAGUGAGAGAGAGUGAAUGCGUGUGUAUGUGAGAAAGAGAGAGUUAGUAAAAUAGAUGCAGACUCAGCAAAUUUGCCUUAAAAUGAUUCAACAACGGUAGAAUAUAAUUUGUUGCAUUGUCUUUCAGAUCAAGGAUACUUGAAACUUACUUGCGUAAGCAUUCAUCAUAAAACCCAUAAACCUGAGUAAUCUGCAGGCAAAAGCAUGAGCCAAUAUCAGUAGAUAGCACUCACCAGAGUACAGGGAGACAAAUAUCAUUAGUAUUAAUAAGUUCAAAAAGAGAGAGAGUAACAAUUGUAUAGAAUUUCUGAAAAUAAUGUUGUAUAACCUAGACAAACAGGAAAAAGCACCUCAAAUAAUUUCAUAGAGAAGACAACCCCUAGUGAAGAAAUCAAGGAAACCCAAACAAAACCAAAAAAAAGCCAUCAUCACUACUACCACUACCAAAUCAUUCCAGCUGUUUCAUAAAGGAGAGCAUAUCAGAAAGAGGAAAGGAGAGCAGUGAGGGCCAAUAAUAUGCAUAUCAGUAAGUCCAAAUCAUGUUAUAGUGCCCAUGGAAAAAGCAAGCAUUUCUCUACCUGUCAAUUUAUGUCUGUAGCUUAUACUUUAAAACAUUCAAAGUGGAUGAUCCAGAUUAUUAAAGCAAAGGAAAAGAAAGAAAAGGCAAAACAAAGGAGAGAGAACACUAUGACAAUCUAAUCCACUUUUUUUUUUCUCUCCUCUCUGGGUCUCUCAUGUUUCCCUUCUUAGGGUUUGGCUCCUCAGGGCUUCUCACUUCUCUACCCGUCAAAUUAUGUGAUUAUCUGUGGACUAGGCUUUAAAACAUUCCAAGCGGAUGAUACAGGUUAUAAAAGCGAAGGAAAAAGAGGCAAAACAGUAUAGAAGUGGGGACAUCAUGACAAUCUAGUCCUUAGUUUUUAUGUUCUUCGUGUUUAGUCUGUCUUGGACUCUAGCUGCUGCUGCUUCUUCUUCUUUUUAAACUUUGUUUGGGUUUUAUUUGUAUACAUCCUUUAGGGCUCACCCCUUUUAACAUCUUUUUAAUAAAUUAUAUUGCCUAUUAAAAAAAAAAAAAAGGAUAAACGCACAAUUAAAAGAGGAAAAUUAAAUAAUAGAAUACCUGUCGGCUUUCAUGAUUUCCUCUGAGGAUUGUGAUACGUUGUGGAUAACGGACUUUCAGGGCCACCAAGAGCUGAAAUAAAAGCCAACCAAUGUCACCAAAAUGAUUAUGAUAAUAGUUGUCAAGAACUUAUGAUACACUAUAUGAUAUAAUUUCCAUGCAAAAAGAUACAUAUUACCAGUACAUAUCUCAAGUGUAUCUUUUGAUACAUAUAUAAUACAUGAUGUUUAAUAUUAUUUAUAUGAUUAAGAAGUGUCACAAUGUUUAUUUAUAUUAUAACAAUGGGAGAAAGAAAGGAGGUGAUCCCAAGCAAAAGAAACAUUGUGUGUUGUGGGAGGCAUCUAUGGAAGUUUGCAGCUUUAUGGAAAUUGCCUAGGAGGUGUUAUUUGAGCGAAACAUGUCUUAUUAGAAUGAUUUAAAUGUUGACCCUUUUUAUAGGUAACAUUGCAUCAAAUGGUGAUUGAAACCUACCUAUCCCAACCCCUCAAGACCAAUUUAAAUGCUAACCUUAAGGGUAUUGACAAAAGAAGAAUGAAAAGUUGUCUAAUAUCUCACCUUCCUUUGUUAUUUUUCUCUUUUCUUAGGGAUGGGGUGUUCAAGAUGAAUUUAGAACUUUGAAGAUGGCACACAAAUACACAUGUCAAUAGUCCAUACAUGUACACAAGCAUUCUUGUAUGUUCUCAUCAUUUCUUAUUUAGAAAUAUCGGUUCAACCUUUAUGGAAGCUUGGAACCUUGGCAUGAUGGUAUUUUUUGGCAAACUAGUUGGACCUUGUAAUUAAAAAUAUAGUUGAAGUUUAUAAGUUCAUAUUUUAUGAUGGUUUAUGGGCAAAAAUAUAAUGUAUAAUUACGGGAUUUCAUCAAAACUAUAAUGCUCAAUGUUUACAUACAUAUGCUUUAUUGAAUGCUUAUAUUCACCUAUUUUAAAAUUGCUAUCUUUUGUAAAAUCAAUUGCAUAUUGCUUUAAACUAUAUUCUUACAAUAUACAUAUGUACAUACACACAAACAUAUAUAUACACACAUAUGAAAGAAGAUGUGUUAAAAAUGUCAAAAUAUUGUGUGAAUGGCCGAAUACCUUGGCCUUGAGUUUUGUUUAUUAUAUAUAGACUUUACAAGGAUGCUAUACAUGGAAAGCAAAUAAAAGCAAAUAAAUUCCCACAUGAUUCUAGCCCUAUACAUGUAAACUAUAAUCUGUCAAAUAAUGUAUGCUAACUGUACAGAAUAAUAAAUGGAGAAAUAAGGAAACAAUUGUGGGCUAAAAUAAGGAAAGAAGUGUGGGCUAAAAUAAGGAAAGAAGUGUGGACAGCAAAGUUGUCAUUUGACAGCCCCCCUCAAAUUGAUGCAGGUUGAUCAACAAGCAUCAAUUUGCUACUUAGCAAUGUCAAUGACGAGGGAAAGCCUUGGUGAAGAUAUCAGCAAUUUGUAAGUCAGUGGAAAUAUGUGGAAGAGUGAUAACACGAGCUUCAAAGGCUGCACGGAUAGAGUGACAGUCCACUUCAAUAUGCUUUGUGCGCUCAUGAUAGACAGGAUUGGUCGUGAUCUGAUUAGCACUUGUAUUAUCGGCAUGUAGAGGUGUAGGAUCGGUCUCAGAAAAAUCUAACUCCGCAAGCAAACCUCGAAGCCAAAUGAUUUUAGAACAAGCAAGAGACAUCGUCCGGUACUCAAAUUUUGUAGGUGACUUAGAGACUCUGUCUUGCUUGUUACUUUUCACAAACAUCUUAAACUAAAACUCCCAACUAAGAUAGUUUUUGCCAUUGAAACGAACAAUAGAAUAUUCUCCAAACAUUACGAAAACAGAAAUAGCCUUGGAAACAAAAAAAAAAAAAAAAAACAUCGUCAAAGAGCCUAAAUCUGAUAACAAACCUCCAAAUAAUCGAAGAUCUCCAAGAGCCUAGAAGCGAAGAAACCCAAAGAAAACUCCAAGAUCACACCAUAGAUGUGUUGUCACAACCACCAGAAAAAAAAACAAAAAAAAAAAGAACCCAAAAGCUGGGCUAGAGUCUGAGAGCCCCUAGGGCUAAAUCCGAGAAAACCCAAAGAAAAACUAGAAAGUGUGUAAACUCUAGGUUCAGAACACAAGCUCUAAUACCAUGUCAAAAUAUUGUGUGAAUGGCCGAAUACCUUGGCCUUGAGUUUUGCAUAUUAUAUAUAGACUUUACAAGGAUGCUAUACAUGGAAAGCAAAUAAAAGCAAAUAAAUUCCCGCAUGAUUCUAGCCCUAUACAUGUAAACUAUAAUCUGUCAAAUAAUAUAUGCUAACUGUACAGAAUAAUAAAUGGAGAAAUAAGAAAACAAUUGUGGGCUAAAAUAAGGAAAGAAGUGUGGACAACAAAGCUGUUUGACAAAAAAUACUAUGAUCACAAUAUUACACCAUAUACAAUACAAAAAUAUGAAAAACAAUACGUCAUAUAGAUCACAAGGUGACAACCAUGGUAGGUCUUGGGUUCGAUUCCUACUACUAGUUGAAUACCCGGGAUUUCCCAGUGUAAGUUGUGGCGAGAGCAUGGUUAGCACCCUGAGGUUUGAGUCCCCAUGAAGAGUCCAAAGGGCUCGGCCAUGGAAGGUUCCUCGAUUAUCACAAAAAAUAAAAGGGCAACAACUAUGGUAAAAUCCGAAUUGAAUGUAGCUAAAAAUACUUUACAAACUAUCAUAAAUUUGUCAAGUCCCAUCUCUAAUCAUUUUUCUAAAUCCUUAUAUGCCCUAAUUUAUUUUGUCAACAAAUCCAAAAUUAUUGUGCUUAAUAAUUUCCAAUGAGAAUGCUCUUUAAUAAAAAAAAAUUUAAAUUCAUUAAUUGCAACCUUAUCUCAAGAAAAACAUAUUCUAACUGAUGGGGGGUAGAGAGAGAGAGAGAGAGAGAGAGAGAGAGAGAGAGAGAGAGAGAUGGGAUAAACCUUAAGAGUCUCACUAAAGCCUUUCUAGGAUUCUCACUAAGGAAAAAAGAAAAACGGAAUCUCACCUUUAACUAUUCCAAAGUGUGUAAAAAUUAAUAUCCACUCAUUUUAUUCUAGUUCCUAACAAAUAAAGUAGUCUAUCAGAACUCUAAUUCUCUGGCUAGAACUCCCAAACCUUCCAAAUAUCGGAGUUAGAACAUAGAAAACUUGUAAUUGAAUCAGAUGAAAAAAUAAAAUAAUUUUGGAAUUUAAAAAAAAAUCCAAAAUUAAAAAAUUCCAAAAAUCAUAUGAAUUUCUUGUGAUCAGAUUUUUUUUUUUUUUUUUUUUUACCAGAGAGGACUUCCCAAAUUCUAAAUAGAAGUCAAAUAACCAGCAACCACUAACCUUAGCUUCAAACACAAUCUACAACAAAAAUACCUUGAUUGGGUCAAAAUGGGAUUCUUCGUUCCCUUUUCAUUAAUAAACCUUAAGGAGCUCAAAGGAGGCGUACAAAAAUUUCCUGAGACUAAAUGAAGAUAUUGAACUCACAAUUCAAGAGGGAUCCAAAGGCAUGUUAACAAGGAGCAUUGUGCCUAAGCACAAACCUAGAAAAGAGCUUAGUCCAAGCUAAAUAUACUGUAUCUAAGUUAAAACACUCCAGCACUAUUCUUUUUAUCUUUUUUUUUUUUUUUUUCAAAAGAAAAUAAAGAUAUAUUAAAAUGCCAAACAAUCAAGCACUAAGAUAACCCAAGUAAAGAGGGCAUAACCCAAGUAACAUAGUCAAGCACUAAUUAUUGCUUCAGUACUAGCCUAUUUCUGGGAUUAUUUAUCAUUUGCGAAAUAAAUAGUUGACCACUAAGAUAAUAUAGUGAAGAACAUUGAUAAAUAGUUAACUAAGAUAAAUAGUUAACUACUAUGCUAAUAUAGUGAAGAACAUUCAUAAGAAUAAAUUAAUGAUAAAGAAAUUUUCAUACUGCCAUUAAAGCAAAAAAUAUUUAUGCCAAAGGGAUAAAAUAAGCUCCACAAUCAGAAAAAUAACCCCCACUUAUUGAAAAUUGUAAAUAUAACCUCAAUUUGACUUUUUUACCACUACUUUUUUUCCAGAUGUGAAAUAGGGAUAAAAUAUUUGAAAGGUAUUUUUGUCCAAAAAGAAUUAUUUUUGAUGGUUAUAAAAGAUGGAGGUUAUUCUUCCAAAUACGCAAUUGUUUUAUUCCUUUAAAUGAAACAACACUUAAAGCAAUAGCAUGAUAGUUGGCCAAGCACGCGUUGGACUGACAAGGAGCAUAUGUGUUUUGAAAGUUAAACAAAAUUGAUGUGCAUGUCUAAUCUGAAGUUUUUCUUCUAUGAUAGGAGUUGAAAAUUACAAUGACUCAACUGAUACUUACCGUGACAGUUUCAACUGAAUAAUACCCACGAUCCACAUAAUCUCCCAUGAACAAGUAAUUCGUAUCUGGACACUAACAAUUAAGGAAAAAGACAUCAUCAAGUUCAUACUUAAAGAGAACAGAAAGGAAAAACAGAUGGAAACAGAUGGUGUAGAAAAAAAAAAAAAGAACUUGAACUUGCUCAAUUUAUUUUAUGGAAGAUGCAGUUAGACACAAAGACAAACUAAUACAGAAAUUCACAAAUACAUCAAUUUUAGGUGGUAAAAAUACAAAAUAAGUCAUAUUAGUUUGUUCUUUACAUUAAAAUGCUAGUGUCCAAAUAUGUCAAUAAGAAUGAUAUUCUUUAGAUUUCUUUUACAGGACAAUUUAUUCCAAGGCAAGGGUAUUUAGAGCCUCAACAUUGGGCUUUUGUUCUAAAAAAUAUUAAUAAAUAUUAGAAGUGUUAAUUAAUGAACAAAGAUAUGAAAUAAUACUAAGCUAUAUUGGUGGCUGUAAUUUAGUGGUAAGAUUCCAUGUUAUCGCCAUAGAGACCUGGGCUAGAAUCCCAGCUGCCACAUUAUAAUCAUAAUCAUUUUUAUUUAUUAAAAAAACAUAUGAAAUAGUAUUAAGCAUGCUCCGAGAAAGAAAAUAAAAAAUCACAGUAAAGCAGCUUCAUUUUCAAAAACUAAACAUGCACUGGCACCUCAUGUCCAGUUCCAUCCUCAUUAGCAUACCUUUGGCACUCAGAAUUUUCUUCCCUAGCUCAAACAAAGAAACCCAAGAGAAAAGGAGUAUAGAAGGGCCACAGACGAAAUACCUUCCCUCCAAUUCGAAAAAGUUCUGCAAGAUCAUGAAAUUGCCCAUGAAUAUCUCCACAUAUGGUCACAGGGCUUUUUACUGGCUGUACAAUACACAAAUCAGAAAAAAAAAAAAAAAGGAAAAAAAAAUUAAACUUAGACAAGAGGCUGGAGUCAUGAUGGAGAAGAGAACAAAAAACAUAUGACGUGAGAAAUCCAAAAAUCAUGUGAAACUAAGGAAAUUGCAUGCAAUUUUACAGCUACACGAUAACCACACCAAAACAGCACUUAAUUGGGGACCCAAACUACUAGAGCGUAUUACAAUCAAGAUUGAGUUGGAGAAGCUCAUAUCAGUAUACAUUGAUUGCCAAGCCUGGUCUAAGAGAAGAUUCCACUUUUUUAGCACAAUAUUUAAUGCACAACCUACUAAAAGCAUGGCCAUAUACUUAAAUGAGUAAUUCUCUGGGAUUUCAUGAGUUAUAAUCACUGAAUAAAAGUCCAAUAUAGGAAUUUAUAUGGGGAAAAAUUGGCUUGGAAAGAUCAGAUUUAUUGUGGAAAAAGGCUAAGCAAAUGAUAAUAGUUGGAAAUUUUUGAAGCAGUUAAAGAUUGACAGGAAAAUAGAAGGUUUGACACACAAAUUUAAUAAAAUGUCCAUGCAAUGGUAUAUAAUAGAUAAGCAGACCAAUACUAAUUCCAGAGAAAAUGAAAGCAUAAUCGGUAUAGUAGAUAAAAGAGAGGAUAGAUCCCAUCCUCUCACCAAAGAGAACAUGUCUACAUGAGUUAAAAGAGCAAGACUACAAUAAAUGCCUUUCUGGUACAAAUCCAAGGAUUGCCAAUUUUUUGUUCUGUCUCCACCAGCCAUUUUUUGAUAGGUAAGAUUUUUUUCCCUCUUUUUGUCCUCAUUGGGACUUGAACCUAUAAUCUCCCACAAACCCACCCUAACCCUUUACUACUAGAGUCAAGCCUCAAGGGCCCAUCUUCACCAGCUUAUCAUCAAAACUUUGGUUUUUUUUCAUAAGGCAAAAAAGGUGUAUGGUCAAGGUCAGUCCUAAAUCACCAAACUUCACUAAAGAGCCUGGUCAAAGGCCUGAAAAGGCCAAAUGGUUAACUGCCAUAUGUCAUACAGCAAUAAUGGCAUACUUUGCUUGCACCCUUUUUGUUAGCUUCUUUUAAUAUAAUUUUGUUUGCCAAUCAAAAAAGAAGAAAGAAGGAAAAAAAUACAGAAACCAUAACGUAUAUAUUGUUGUGAAAAGUUGCAAAAGGCCCCCAUACAUGCAUAAGUAAAGCUGACUGACAGCCAAGAUCACAAUUCGAGCCCAGGAAGGGAUCAGUAAGUUCUUGAACAUAAGAAAAGUGGGUGCAUUAUUUAAUCAAAGAGGGAUGAAUGUUCCUAAGAAUAGAAUGUCUUUUAACCCAAAUAACAAAUCUAACCAUCAAAAAAGAGAAGUUUUCUUGUAAUGGAAGAAAAAUAGCAAGUUUAGCCAACAAAAUAAGAGAGCUGCUCUUGCAUAGUUAGACAAACUCCAUGAGAGAGUUAAACCAAAAGAAAUUAACAUAUUAGCUAAGGCCCUUGCCAACAGGAUCAAAUGAGUGGCUAAGACAAUUGUUUUUGAGGUUUGGUGCACUUUUUCUGGCCCUUUACAUAUAUAUUUCAUUUGCCUAUCAAGAAAAAAAAAAAAAAAAAAGACGAUUGUUUUAGAGGUUCAAGAUACUUUUAUGAAGGAUAAGCAAAUCCCUACUUCUGGUCCUAAUUACCCAUGAAGCCAUCAAUUCAAAGUUAAAUAGCUUCAAAGCAGAUAUUGUGGGCAAGAUCUCUCUCCCUCUCUCUCUGUUCAUUCUAGAAUGGCGAAAAGAGUUUCCACAAGAUUUUGAGGUAGUAAGGAUGAGGGUCAAGGUAUAGAGAUUUCACAUCCUCUAUUUGCCAUUAAUACUUUGUUUUCUGUGGUGCAAAGUAGAACACUUCUUCUGUGGCUUAUGGGUAUCCUCCUUUAGUUUGGAACUGUCUCUAGGUUAAAUGUCAAUUGUUUGGAGAAGGGUGAGACUUCCCCAAUGAGGUAAGUGGAGAAUAUAAUGCAUCUAACAAUCAUGUUAGGUUGGAAAAUGGACCAUUUAUCUACUACUUAUUUGAGAUUGUCUUUGAGAGCAUGUUGUAAGUCUAAAGCUGUCUGGGAUUCAACAAUUAAAAGAAGGCCAGCAUCUAGUAAAAGAUGAUAUCUCAAAAUGGGGCAGAUGGUAGCCUAUGGCACCUAUCAUUCUCACUUUUAGAUGUGUUUAGAGUGCUGUCUCUUUCGGUGAAAGAUGUGUUGUCAGGAUGACAUGGGUGUUCUGUCAGGAAAAAACGAAGGGCAAGAAAAACCAAGCUUGGAGGUUAGCCCCCUUGUAUUUGUAUUGGAUCAUUUGGCAAGAGAGAAACCAAAGAACUUUCAGAGGCUUGGAGCAGUCAAAUUCAAUUGCUAAAGGAUUCUUUUAUCUAGACACCCUUUUCUUUGGUUCAAAUUUUGUUUGGGAACAGGGUGUUGCUCCACACCAUAUUUCGUUGAUUGGAUGGGGUUGCUCUAGUGUGUUUACUUUUUCCCUCUCUUCCCUUUGAGGAUCUUUGUAUACCUCCUAUAUGCUUGGUUUUACCCCUUUUAUUGGUAUUUUUAAAUAAAAUGUCUUCUGUUUACCAAAAGAUCUUCCUGAGAGGGUAUGAGUAAACCAACUCAUUCAAAAUACUAAGUUGAGUUUUCCAAUAUAUUUUCUCUUGUUUUAUAAUGCCAAUAUAGGUGCAUGACAGAUCAGACACACUGAUGAGACUCCCACUCGGAAAGACAGAAUUAUGGAGGCAGACUACUCACUCGACAGAGAAAAAAGGAAGGUGGUUUAAGGACAAGAAGGCUGCUUGAUCUCAAUAAAGUUUUGAGGGGCAAGUAGCUAUGGAGGUUUGCAGGGAAUAGAUAUAGAUGAGAAAAGUUGUGGUGGUCAAGUAUGGGGAAAUAGAGAGAAUCGGCGUGCUAGAAAGGGAGGAAAGGGGAGUCAGGCCUAUUGGUGUGGUUUGUUCAAAAGCUAUUAUAAUGUUUCAGAUGUUUUUGAAGGUUUUAGUUGUGUCUUGGUGGGAAGUAGGCUAAGGACUAAAUUUUGGAAGGAUGUUUGAUAAUAGGAGACUGCUGCACUGAUUGAUUGUUUCCUGAAGCUCUUUCAUCAGGACAAAAAGGGUGGUCACAGAUUAUUGAUGUCCAAUUGGUGCAAGUAGUUAUUGAAGCUAACAAUUUUUCAGCAAUUCUCGUGACUGGAAGCUACAGCUGGUUAAGAGAUUUGUGGCUUGCAUUUACCUCCAUGUGGUCAAAGAGGAUAAGGAAACAUGAGUUCAAAGAUCACCAAAAAAUGUUGUAUUUUAGUUGUAUCUUUCCAUCAUGAGCCCCUUCCCUCUAGGCAAACAUUCCAGUUUAACAUCACGAGAGUGGGGGUCUAAUGCUCAGCCAAGGUUGGUUUUUUUUUCUUGGGAAGCUGCUUUGGAAAAGAUCCCUUCUUUAUUUAUUUAUCUUCAAUAGGUAAACAAAAAGAUCCCUUCUUUAGAGUUUAGAUUUUUUUUUUUUCAUAGAUAAAUAAGGAUUGUAUUAAAAAGAAGAUCCUUUCUUUAGAUUAGUUUAUUAAAAGAAGAAUCUUGUUGUAAUCUGUGUAGGUCAGGAAAGGAAUCAACCAAUCAUACCCUUAUACAUUUUCCCAUCCUCAAAGCCCCUAGUCUUGGUGUUUUCUAUCUUUAGUAUUUCAUGGGUGAUGCCUUAUUUGGUAUGAAGACUUUGUCAUCAUAAAAGAAAAGGGAAGUGGAGGAUAAAACUUUUGAAGGGAUGAACUGGUAAAAAAUUAAGCACAAUUUUUUUUUCUCUGGAAGUCCUUGUUCUCUUGUUUAGGAUUCUUUAGAGGCAGGGCAGUUUUUCUUUUCCAGAUUUCAUUACUUGAGGCCAAGGAUGAUGGUUAAGCCUCUUUUGCUGAGCCCUUUUUUUUUUUUCUGAUAGGUACUCUUUUGCUGAGCCCUUCUGUUUGUGUGUGUGUGUGUGUGUGUGUGGUUUUUUUGCCUUAUUCAAGUGCUUUAAGCACACUUCCUGUAACCAGAGUUGUGACCCCUUUUCUGGCGUUCUGAAUCUCACUAGCUUGCCUUUAGGAAGAAAAAAACGGAGAAGAAAAUUCUGCCUUAUUGAGUCUCAUGGCCGAAAACUAGAAAUUACUUUAUAAAUAUUCCACACUAAAAUGAUGAAUAAUAAAUGCCUCUAUCUUAUACUACACCUUGUGUUGAAACUAAAGCAGUGAAUACCACAUUUAAGUCACCUAUAAACACUCCCACACAAAAUGACUACAAUCACUGUCACAACUGGAGUGUAGGGAGAAAUGUUCCAAACAACCUCAGAAUAGCACACACCAUAAUGUCCUGGAAAGACCUCAAAUUUUUGUUCACGAAUUCUGAAUGCUUCAGAUUAUCAUUUUAUUAGUAAGCCAUAUGAAUUGAAAAACAUCACAGCCAGUAAAUAGGAAAUGAGAAAUAGGAACUGAGUGAUUCUAAAUUUUGAGCUAUCUAGGCAUUUACUAGCCACUACAAUGCUCGAAUGAGCUACAGGUACAGUAACUCAACCUCGGAACUACUAUUCACUUCAUCAGUUCAAACUGUAAAAAUUAGUUUUCAGACGACAAAACAAAACAAAUACUGGAACUGAACAAAUGCAAUUAAAAUGAUAGAAAUAGCAUUAAAAAGGACAAAUGAGGAUACCUGAACAUUACUUUCCUCCAUUAGUAUCUCCUUCGCCUUCUCGCAUAAUGUCCUAACCUACAGCCGCAAAGAAAGUUGUUAGACCUCCAAAUAUGGUUUCAGAUCCUCACUAACACUAAUCCAUUAAUAGGAUGGAAAAUGGCAUCAAUAAUGACACAAAAAACACGUCCAAAUGAGAAAUGAAAGUUGUUUGGUUGUUAUAGUGGAUAUGGGAAAUAGGAAAACAACCCACCUUUUCUUUUUUUUAAUAGUAUAUAAGAAUAAUAUUAAAAAAACACCUUACAGAAGGUGCAUCAAAGUAAACACAAUGCAUACAACAGCCAAACAUUUGUUUAUGGGCAACACAGAUUGGGGAAGAAUUUUGGGUUGGCUGGAACUUCUCCACCUCAAUCACUAAUACCCAAAUUCUAAUGCAACUCAUCACAUAUUCCAUGGUAUUCACCAGUUUGGAUAGACCUCACAAUUUUAAUCGCUUCCUAUAGUGUUUUUUUUUUUUUUGAUAGGCAAAAACAGAAUUAUAUUAGAAAAGGGCACCAAAAGGAAAGCCCAAAGUAUACAGGGAGUAUACAAAGGACCCUUAAAGCACACCCAAGAGAAAGGAAAACAAACCCGACCCUCAUCUAGCGCCUAGCCAAUCAAGAAAACUAGGUAAAGUGAGAGGAUCUACAUUUACAAUUGAUUUUGUCCACACCCAAAGAUUACAAACAAAAGAAUUCUUCAACCUAUGAACCGAAAAGUCCUCAUUAUCGAAAGCAAUCCUGUUUCUUUCCAUCCAAACCGCCCAAAAGAGGCACAACGGGGCUGCCUUCCACACCUUUCUAUGCUUCUUGCCCAACAUAAAGCCCCUCCAUUCAAUAAGGGUCUCUCUAGCCGAAUAAGGGAGGACCCAACACACUCCAAAAAGGGCGAACAAUAAAUCCCAUAAGGCUCUUGCCUUAGAGCAAUGAAUAAGGAUAUGAUCAAUUGACUCCUCUUCCUCACAGCACAUAANNNNNNNNNNNNNNNNNNNNNNNNNNNNNNNNNNNNNNNNNNNNNNNNNNNNNNNNNNNNNNNNNNNNNNNNNNNNNNNNNNNNNNNNNNNNNNNNNNNNNNNNNNNNNNNNNNNNNNNNNNNNNNNNNNNNNNNNNNNNNNNNNNNNNNNNNNNNNNNNNNNNNNNNNNNNNNNNNNNNNNNNNNNNNNNNNNNNNNNNNNNNNNNNNNNNNNNNNNNNNNNNNNNNNNNNNNNNNNNNNNNNNNNNNNNNNNNNNNNNNNNNNNNNNNNNNNNNNNNNNNNNNNNNNNNNNNNNNNNNNNNNNNNNNNNNNNNNNNNNNNNNNNNNNNNNNNNNNNNNNNNNNNNNNNNNNNNNNNNNNNNNNNNNNNNNNNNNNNNNNNNNNNNNNNNNNNNNNNNNNNNNNNNNNNNNNNNNNNNNNNNNNNNNNNNNNNNNNNNNNNNNNNNNNNNNNNNNNNNNNNNNNNNNNNNNNNNNNNNNNNNNNNNNNNNNNNNNNNNNNNNNNNNNNNNNNNNNNNNNNNNNNNNNNNNNNNNNNNNNNNNNNNNNNNNNNNNNNNNNNNNNNNNNNNNNNNNNNNNNNNNNNNNNNNNNNNNNNNNNNNNNNNNNNNNNNNNNNNNNNNNNNNNNNNNNNNNNNNNNNNNNNNNNNNNNNNNNNNNNNNNNNNNNNNNNNNNNNNNNNNNNNNNNNNNNNNNNNNNNNNNNNNNNNNNNNNNNNNNNNNNNNNNNNNNNNNNNNNNNNNNNNNNNNNNNNNNNNNNNNNNNNNNNNNNNNNNNNNNNNNNNNNNNNNNNNNNNNNNNNNNNNNNNNNNNNNNNNNNNNNNNNNNNNNNNNNNNNNNNNNNNNNNNNNNNNNNNNNNNNNNNNNNNNNNNNNNNNNNNNNNNNNNNNNNNNNNNNNNNNNNNNNNNNNNNNNNNNNNNNNNNNNNNNNNNNNNNNNNNNNNNNNNNNNNNNNNNNNNNNNNNNNNNNNNNNNNNNNNNNNNNNNNNNNNNNNNNNNNNNNNNNNNNNNNNNNNNNNNNNNNNNNNNNNNNNNNNNNNNNNNNNNNNNNNNNNNNNNNNNNNNNNNNNNNNNNNNNNNNNNNNNNNNNNNNNNNNNNNNNNNNNNNNNNNNNNNNNNNNNNNNNNNNNNNNNNNNNNNNNNNNNNNNNNNNNNNNNNNNNNNNNNNNNNNNNNNNNNNNNNNNNNNNNNNNNNNNNNNNNNNNNNNNNNNNNNNNNNNNNNNNNNNNNNNNNNNNNNNNNNNNNNNNNNNNNNNNNNNNNNNNNNNNNNNNNNNNNNNNNNNNNNNNNNNNNNNNNNNNNNNNNNNNNNNNNNNNNNNNNNNNNNNNNNNNNNNNNNNNNNNNNNNNNNNNNNNNNNNNNNNNNNNNNNNNNNNNNNNNNNNNNNNNNNNNNNNNNNNNNNNNNNNNNNNNNNNNNNNNNNNNNNNNNNNNNNNNNNNNNNNNNNNNNNNNNNNNNNNNNNNNNNNNNNNNNNNNNNNNNNNNNNNNNNNNNNNNNNNNNNNNNNNNNNNNNNNNNNNNNNNNNNNNNNNNNNNNNNNNNNNNNNNNNNNNNNNNNNNNNNNNNNNNNNNNNNNNNNNNNNNNNNNNNNNNNNNNNNNNNNNNNNNNNNNNNNNNNNNNNNNNNNNNNNNNNNNNNNNNNNNNNNNNNNNNNNNNNNNNNNNNNNNNNNNNNNNNNNNNNNNNNNNNNNNNNNNNNNNNNNNNNNNNNNNNNNNNNNNNNNNNNNNNNNNNNNNNNNNNNNNNNNNNNNNNNNNNNNNNNNNNNNNNNNNNNNNNNNNNNNNNNNNNNNNNNNNNNNNNNNNNNNNNNNNNNNNNNNNNNNNNNNNNNNNNNNNNNNNNNNNNNNNNNNNNNNNNNNNNNNNNNNNNNNNNNNNNNNNNNNNNNNNNNNNNNNNNNNNNNNNNNNNNNNNNNNNNNNNNNNNNNNNNNNNNNNNNNNNNNNNNNNNNNNNNNNNNNNNNNNNNNNNNNNNNNNNNNNNNNNNNNNNNNNNNNNNNNNNNNNNNNNNNNNNNNNNNNNNNNNNNNNNNNNNNNNNNNNNNNNNNNNNNNNNNNNNNNNNNNNNNNNNNNNNNNNNNNNNNNNNNNNNNNNNNNNNNNNNNNNNNNNNNNNNNNNNNNNNNNNNNNNNNNNNNNNNNNNNNNNNNNNNNNNNNNNNNNNNNNNNNNNNNNNNNNNNNNNNNNNNNNNNNNNNNNNNNNNNNNNNNNNNNNNNNNNNNNNNNNNNNNNNNNNNNNNNNNNNNNNNNNNNNNNNNNNNNNNNNNNNNNNNNNNNNNNNNNNNNNNNNNNNNNNNNNNNNNNNNNNNNNNNNNNNNNNNNNNNNNNNNNNNNNNNNNNNNNNNNNNNNNNNNNNNNNNNNNNNNNNNNNNNNNNNNNNNNNNNNNNNNNNNNNNNNNNNNNNNNNNNNNNNNNNNNNNNNNNNNNNNNNNNNNNNNNNNNNNNNNNNNNNNNNNNNNNNNNNNNNNNNNNNNNNNNNNNNNNNNNNNNNNNNNNNNNNNNNNNNNNNNNNNNNNNNNNNNNNNNNNNNNNNNNNNNNNNNNNNNNNNNNNNNNNNNNNNNNNNNNNNNNNNNNNNNNNNNNNNNNNNNNNNNNNNNNNNNNNNNNNNNNNNNNNNNNNNNNNNNNNNNNNNNNNNNNNNNNNNNNNNNNNNNNNNNNNNNNNNNNNNNNNNNNNNNNNNNNNNNNNNNNNNNNNNNNNNNNNNNNNNNNNNNNNNNNNNNNNNNNNNNNNNNNNNNNNNNNNNNNNNNNNNNNNNNNNNNNNNNNNNNNNNNNNNNNNNNNNNNNNNNNNNNNNNNNNNNNNNNNNNNNNNNNNNNNNNNNNNNNNNNNNNNNNNNNNNNNNNNNNNNNNNNNNNNNNNNNNNNNNNNNNNNNNNNNNNNNNNNNNNNNNNNNNNNNNNNNNNNNNNNNNNNNNNNNNNNNNNNNNNNNNNNNNNNNNNNNNNNNNNNNNNNNNNNNNNNNNNNNNNNNNNNNNNNNNNNNNNNNNNNNNNNNNNNNNNNNNNNNNNNNNNNNNNNNNNNNNNNNNNNNNNNNNNNNNNNNNNNNNNNNNNNNNNNNNNNNNNNNNNNNNNNNNNNNNNNNNNNNNNNNNNNNNNNNNNNNNNNNNNNNNNNNNNNNNNNNNNNNNNNNNNNNNNNNNNNNNNNNNNNNNNNNNNNNNNNNNNNNNNNNNNNNNNNNNNNNNNNNNNNNNNNNNNNNNNNNNNNNNNNNNNNNNNNNNNNNNNNNNNNNNNNNNNNNNNNNNNNNNNNNNNNNNNNNNNNNNNNNNNNNNNNNNNNNNNNNNNNNNNNNNNNNNNNNNNNNNNNNNNNNNNNNNNNNNNNNNNNNNNNNNNNNNNNNNNNNNNNNNNNNNNNNNNNNNNNNNNNNNNNNNNNNNNNNNNNNNNNNNNNNNNNNNNNNNNNNNNNNNNNNNNNNNNNNNNNNNNNNNNNNNNNNNNNNNNNNNNNNNNNNNNNNNNNNNNNNNNNNNNNNNNNNNNNNNNNNNNNNNNNNNNNNNNNNNNNNNNNNNNNNNNNNNNNNNNNNNNNNNNNNNNNNNNNNNNNNNNNNNNNNNNNNNNNNNNNNNNNNNNNNNNNNNNNNNNNNNNNNNNNNNNNNNNNNNNNNNNNNNNNNNNNNNNNNNNNNNNNNNNNNNNNNNNNNNNNNNNNNNNNNNNNNNNNNNNNNNNNNNNNNNNNNNNNNNNNNNNNNNNNNNNNNNNNNNNNNNNNNNNNNNNNNNNNNNNNNNNNNNNNNNNNNNNNNNNNNNNNNNNNNNNNNNNNNNNNNNNNNNNNNNNNNNNNNNNNNNNNNNNNNNNNNNNNNNNNNNNNNNNNNNNNNNNNNNNNNNNNNNNNNNNNNNNNNNNNNNNNNNNNNNNNNNNNNNNNNNNNNNNNNNNNNNNNNNNNNNNNNNNNNNNNNNNNNNNNNNNNNNNNNNNNNNNNNNNNNNNNNNNNNNNNNNNNNNNNNNNNNNNNNNNNNNNNNNNNNNNNNNNNNNNNNNNNNNNNNNNNNNNNNNNNNNNNNNNNNNNNNNNNNNNNNNNNNNNNNNNNNNNNNNNNNNNNNNNNNNNNNNNNNNNNNNNNNNNNNNNNNNNNNNNNNNNNNNNNNNNNNNNNNNNNNNNNNNNNNNNNNNNNNNNNNNNNNNNNNNNNNNNNNNNNNNNNNNNNNNNNNNNNNNNNNNNNNNNNNNNNNNNNNNNNNNNNNNNNNNNNNNNNNNNNNNNNNNNNNNNNNNNNNNNNNNNNNNNNNNNNNNNNNNNNNNNNNNNNNNNNNNNNNNNNNNNNNNNNNNNNNNNNNNNNNNNNNNNNNNNNNNNNNNNNNNNNNNNNNNNNNNNNNNNNNNNNNNNNNNNNNNNNNNNNNNNNNNNNNNNNNNNNNNNNNNNNNNNNNNNNNNNNNNNNNNNNNNNNNNNNNNNNNNNNNNNNNNNNNNNNNNNNNNNNNNNNNNNNNNNNNNNNNNNNNNNNNNNNNNNNNNNNNNNNNNNNNNNNNNNNNNNNNNNNNNNNNNNNNNNNNNNNNNNNNNNNNNNNNNNNNNNNNNNNNNNNNNNNNNNNNNNNNNNNNNNNNNNNNNNNNNNNNNNNNNNNNNNNNNNNNNNNNNNNNNNNNNNNNNNNNNNNNNNNNNNNNNNNNNNNNNNNNNNNNNNNNNNNNNNNNNNNNNNNNNNNNNNNNNNNNNNNNNNNNNNNNNNNNNNNNNNNNNNNNNNNNNNNNNNNNNNNNNNNNNNNNNNNNNNNNNNNNNNNNNNNNNNNNNNNNNNNNNNNNNNNNNNNNNNNNNNNNNNNNNNNNNNNNNNNNNNNNNNNNNNNNNNNNNNNNNNNNNNNNNNNNNNNNNNNNNNNNNNNNNNNNNNNNNNNNNNNNNNNNNNNNNNNNNNNNNNNNNNNNNNNNNNNNNNNNNNNNNNNNNNNNNNNNNNNNNNNNNNNNNNNNNNNNNNNNNNNNNNNNNNNNNNNNNNNNNNNNNNNNNNNNNNNNNNNNNNNNNNNNNNNNNNNNNNNNNNNNNNNNNNNNNNNNNNNNNNNNNNNNNNNNNNNNNNNNNNNNNNNNNNNNNNNNNNNNNNNNNNNNNNNNNNNNNNNNNNNNNNNNNNNNNNNNNNNNNNNNNNNNNNNNNNNNNNNNNNNNNNNNNNNNNNNNNNNNNNNNNNNNNNNNNNNNNNNNNNNNNNNNNNNNNNNNNNNNNNNNNNNNNNNNNNNNNNNNNNNNNNNNNNNNNNNNNNNNNNNNNNNNNNNNNNNNNNNNNNNNNNNNNNNNNNNNNNNNNNNNNNNNNNNNNNNNNNNNNNNNNNNNNNNNNNNNNNNNNNNNNNNNNNNNNNNNNNNNNNNNNNNNNNNNNNNNNNNNNNNNNNNNNNNNNNNNNNNNNNNNNNNNNNNNNNNNNNNNNNNNNNNNNNNNNNNNNNNNNNNNNNNNNNNNNNNNNNNNNNNNNNNNNNNNNNNNNNNNNNNNNNNNNNNNNNNNNNNNNNNNNNNNNNNNNNNNNNNNNNNNNNNNNNNNNNNNNNNNNNNNNNNNNNNNNNNNNNNNNNNNNNNNNNNNNNNNNNNNNNNNNNNNNNNNNNNNNNNNNNNNNNNNNNNNNNNNNNNNNNNNNNNNNNNNNNNNNNNNNNNNNNNNNNNNNNNNNNNNNNNNNNNNNNNNNNNNNNNNNNNNNNNNNNNNNNNNNNNNNNNNNNNNNNNNNNNNNNNNNNNNNNNNNNNNNNNNNNNNNNNNNNNNNNNNNNNNNNNNNNNNNNNNNNNNNNNNNNNNNNNNNNNNNNNNNNNNNNNNNNNNNNNNNNNNNNNNNNNNNNNNNNNNNNNNNNNNNNNNNNNNNNNNNNNNNNNNNNNNNNNNNNNNNNNNNNNNNNNNNNNNNNNNNNNNNNNNNNNNNNNNNNNNNNNNNNNNNNNNNNNNNNNNNNNNNNNNNNNNNNNNNNNNNNNNNNNNNNNNNNNNNNNNNNNNNNNNNNNNNNNNNNNNNNNNNNNNNNNNNNNNNNNNNNNNNNNNNNNNNNNNNNNNNNNNNNNNNNNNNNNNNNNNNNNNNNNNNNNNNNNNNNNNNNNNNNNNNNNNNNNNNNNNNNNNNNNNNNNNNNNNNNNNNNNNNNNNNNNNNNNNNNNNNNNNNNNNNNNNNNNNNNNNNNNNNNNNNNNNNNNNNNNNNNNNNNNNNNNNNNNNNNNNNNNNNNNNNNNNNNNNNNNNNNNNNNNNNNNNNNNNNNNNNNNNNNNNNNNNNNNNNNNNNNNNNNNNNNNNNNNNNNNNNNNNNNNNNNNNNNNNNNNNNNNNNNNNNNNNNNNNNNNNNNNNNNNNNNNNNNNNNNNNNNNNNNNNNNNNNNNNNNNNNNNNNNNNNNNNNNNNNNNNNNNNNNNNNNNNNNNNNNNNNNNNNNNNNNNNNNNNNNNNNNNNNNNNNNNNNNNNNNNNNNNNNNNNNNNNNNNNNNNNNNNNNNNNNNNNNNNNNNNNNNNNNNNNNNNNNNNNNNNNNNNNNNNNNNNNNNNNNNNNNNNNNNNNNNNNNNNNNNNNNNNNNNNNNNNNNNNNNNNNNNNNNNNNNNNNNNNNNNNNNNNNNNNNNNNNNNNNNNNNNNNNNNNNNNNNNNNNNNNNNNNNNNNNNNNNNNNNNNNNNNNNNNNNNNNNNNNNNNNNNNNNNNNNNNNNNNNNNNNNNNNNNNNNNNNNNNNNNNNNNNNNNNNNNNNNNNNNNNNNNNNNNNNNNNNNNNNNNNNNNNNNNNNNNNNNNNNNNNNNNNNNNNNNNNNNNNNNNNNNNNNNNNNNNNNNNNNNNNNNNNNNNNNNNNNNNNNNNNNNNNNNNNNNNNNNNNNNNNNNNNNNNNNNNNNNNNNNNNNNNNNNNNNNNNNNNNNNNNNNNNNNNNNNNNNNNNNNNNNNNNNNNNNNNNNNNNNNNNNNNNNNNNNNNNNNNNNNNNNNNNNNNNNNNNNNNNNNNNNNNNNNNNNNNNNNNNNNNNNNNNNNNNNNNNNNNNNNNNNNNNNNNNNNNNNNNNNNNNNNNNNNNNNNNNNNNNNNNNNNNNNNNNNNNNNNNNNNNNNNNNNNNNNNNNNNNNNNNNNNNNNNNNNNNNNNNNNNNNNNNNNNNNNNNNNNNNNNNNNNNNNNNNNNNNNNNNNNNNNNNNNNNNNNNNNNNNNNNNNNNNNNNNNNNNNNNNNNNNNNNNNNNNNNNNNNNNNNNNNNNNNNNNNNNNNNNNNNNNNNNNNNNNNNNNNNNNNNNNNNNNNNNNNNNNNNNNNNNNNNNNNNNNNNNNNNNNNNNNNNNNNNNNNNNNNNNNNNNNNNNNNNNNNNNNNNNNNNNNNNNNNNNNNNNNNNNNNNNNNNNNNNNNNNNNNNNNNNNNNNNNNNNNNNNNNNNNNNNNNNNNNNNNNNNNNNNNNNNNNNNNNNNNNNNNNNNNNNNNNNNNNNNNNNNNNNNNNNNNNNNNNNNNNNNNNNNNNNNNNNNNNNNNNNNNNNNNNNNNNNNNNNNNNNNNNNNNNNNNNNNNNNNNNNNNNNNNNNNNNNNNNNNNNNNNNNNNNNNNNNNNNNNNNNNNNNNNNNNNNNNNNNNNNNNNNNNNNNNNNNNNNNNNNNNNNNNNNNNNNNNNNNNNNNNNNNNNNNNNNNNNNNNNNNNNNNNNNNNNNNNNNNNNNNNNNNNNNNNNNNNNNNNNNNNNNNNNNNNNNNNNNNNNNNNNNNNNNNNNNNNNNNNNNNNNNNNNNNNNNNNNNNNNNNNNNNNNNNNNNNNNNNNNNNNNNNNNNNNNNNNNNNNNNNNNNNNNNNNNNNNNNNNNNNNNNNNNNNNNNNNNNNNNNNNNNNNNNNNNNNNNNNNNNNNNNNNNNNNNNNNNNNNNNNNNNNNNNNNNNNNNNNNNNNNNNNNNNNNNNNNNNNNNNNNNNNNNNNNNNNNNNNNNNNNNNNNNNNNNNNNNNNNNNNNNNNNNNNNNNNNNNNNNNNNNNNNNNNNNNNNNNNNNNNNNNNNNNNNNNNNNNNNNNNNNNNNNNNNNNNNNNNNNNNNNNNNNNNNNNNNNNNNNNNNNNNNNNNNNNNNNNNNNNNNNNNNNNNNNNNNNNNNNNNNNNNNNNNNNNNNNNNNNNNNNNNNNNNNNNNNNNNNNNNNNNNNNNNNNNNNNNNNNNNNNNNNNNNNNNNNNNNNNNNNNNNNNNNNNNNNNNNNNNNNNNNNNNNNNNNNNNNNNNNNNNNNNNNNNNNNNNNNNNNNNNNNNNNNNNNNNNNNNNNNNNNNNNNNNNNNNNNNNNNNNNNNNNNNNNNNNNNNNNNNNNNNNNNNNNNNNNNNNNNNNNNNNNNNNNNNNNNNNNNNNNNNNNNNNNNNNNNNNNNNNNNNNNNNNNNNNNNNNNNNNNNNNNNNNNNNNNNNNNNNNNNNNNNNNNNNNNNNNNNNNNNNNNNNNNNNNNNNNNNNNNNNNNNNNNNNNNNNNNNNNNNNNNNNNNNNNNNNNNNNNNNNNNNNNNNNNNNNNNNNNNNNNNNNNNNNNNNNNNNNNNNNNNNNNNNNNNNNNNNNNNNNNNNNNNNNNNNNNNNNNNNNNNNNNNNNNNNNNNNNNNNNNNNNNNNNNNNNNNNNNNNNNNNNNNNNNNNNNNNNNNNNNNNNNNNNNNNNNNNNNNNNNNNNNNNNNNNNNNNNNNNNNNNNNNNNNNNNNNNNNNNNNNNNNNNNNNNNNNNNNNNNNNNNNNNNNNNNNNNNNNNNNNNNNNNNNNNNNNNNNNNNNNNNNNNNNNNNNNNNNNNNNNNNNNNNNNNNNNNNNNNNNNNNNNNNNNNNNNNNNNNNNNNNNNNNNNNNNNNNNNNNNNNNNNNNNNNNNNNNNNNNNNNNNNNNNNNNNNNNNNNNNNNNNNNNNNNNNNNNNNNNNNNNNNNNNNNNNNNNNNNNNNNNNNNNNNNNNNNNNNNNNNNNNNNNNNNNNNNNNNNNNNNNNNNNNNNNNNNNNNNNNNNNNNNNNNNNNNNNNNNNNNNNNNNNNNNNNNNNNNNNNNNNNNNNNNNNNNNNNNNNNNNNNNNNNNNNNNNNNNNNNNNNNNNNNNNNNNNNNNNNNNNNNNNNNNNNNNNNNNNNNNNNNNNNNNNNNNNNNNNNNNNNNNNNNNNNNNNNNNNNNNNNNNNNNNNNNNNNNNNNNNNNNNNNNNNNNNNNNNNNNNNNNNNNNNNNNNNNNNNNNNNNNNNNNNNNNNNNNNNNNNNNNNNNNNNNNNNNNNNNNNNNNNNNNNNNNNNNNNNNNNNNNNNNNNNNNNNNNNNNNNNNNNNNNNNNNNNNNNNNNNNNNNNNNNNNNNNNNNNNNNNNNNNNNNNNNNNNNNNNNNNNNNNNNNNNNNNNNNNNNNNNNNNNNNNNNNNNNNNNNNNNNNNNNNNNNNNNNNNNNNNNNNNNNNNNNNNNNNNNNNNNNNNNNNNNNNNNNNNNNNNNNNNNNNNNNNNNNNNNNNNNNNNNNNNNNNNNNNNNNNNNNNNNNNNNNNNNNNNNNNNNNNNNNNNNNNNNNNNNNNNNNNNNNNNNNNNNNNNNNNNNNNNNNNNNNNNNNNNNNNNUUAGCCAUUUUGUGAAAAAAGCUGUGUUCUAUCCCCCUCCCUAAGCCAAACUUCUCUUGAUUUUUGUCUCCAAGAAACCUCCUCCAUUAGGGCCCAUUUUUCGAAGUCCCCCUUUGCUGCCUUUCUAGCUUCCAAUUCCUCCAAAGAUAAGGGACGAAGCUUCUCCUGACCAUCCCAGAAAUUUACCUUGUCCAGAGCCACUUUCUUAUUGACACCCACCUGCCCAAAAACCUCCUUAUUCCACGACUUUAGAAUAGCCUUCAAUGCCUUCAACUUCUCAGCAAGGAUGAAGCUAAACGAGCCAUUAAAGCUUAGACUCUGCCACCACCCCUUCAACAGAUCCUUAAAUCCCUCCUCCUUAAGCCACAUAUUUUCAAACCGAAAAGGAACAGGACCUCUUCUAACCCCUCCCCCAUCCAAUAGAAUAGGGAAGUGGUCGGACACAGGCCUAGGGAGGGUACACUGCACCGCCCCCUUAAAGUGAUCCUCCCAAUCCUCCGACACCAAGAAACGAUCUAACCUGGUCAUAGCUUGAUUAUUCAGGCCUCCACUCCAGGUGAAAGGACCCCCCUGAAAGGGAAGAUCCCUCAAAUCCAAUUCAUCAAUCACUUCCGAGAAUCUUCUCAUUGAAGAAGACAAUCUUCCCCCUCUUCUGCUCUCAUUCGGGAAUCUAAUUAAAUUGAAAUCACCUCCGAUACACCAAGGAUCGCUCCAUAGCCCGCGGAUGGCCCCUAACUCUUCCCAAAACAGCUCUCUAUAUCUCUUUACUGUAGGGCCAUACACUCCUGAAAAAAUCCAAUUAAAACCAUCUUCACAGUUUUUGAACCGGCAGGAGACGGAGAAAAGACCUACCUCCAUCCCUUCCAGCUCCAGCNNNNNNNNNNNNNNNNNNNNNNNNNNNNNNNNNNNNNNNNNNNNNNNNNNNNNNNNNNNNNNNNNNNNNNNNNNNNNNNNNNNNNNNNNNNNNNNNNNNNAUCCCCCCGACCUCGGCACGAGGAGAAGCCCUAUUUUCUCUUAAUCCCCCCAACACCGGUUCAAAACCUAUGUCGGCCCUCUCUUCGCAGCCCUCGAUCAACCCCUUUAUGAGGAAAGGCCUUUCCUCGCAGCCCAUUACCCACCCUUUUAAGGUGAUGGGCCUGGGCUCACAAUCUGGCCCAAACGUCUGGACUCCCACAAAUUCUGACUUAAGACCACCAUCUCCAAGCCCGCUCCUGGCUUGGGCCUCCCAAUCAGGCCCAAAAACACAAGCAGCUGGCCCAGAUUUAAAACCUCCCAUGUUUGCUAACUUCCCUCCCCCUCGACUGCUGAUCCCGCAGCUGUCUUCUCCACCAGUCACCUCCUUUCCAGGCCCCCUACCAGCCAACUCAUAUGGACAGCCUGAAAUCCCUUUAGAAGAACUACCACAGGGCGGCUCACCUGCUCCCCUCUGCUCCAUCGGCUGUCCAACCUUCACGAUCACGCCUCCUCUACACUCUUCACGAGACCCACUCCCUGCAACUUCUACAGCCACUGCAUCCCCUUUCCCGAGAGCACUUCCCGCCGGCACCACCUGAGAGAACCAAGGUGGGGAUUCCCACCACAGCUGGACUGAGAAGCACCCCAUCUCAUCCGCAAUCUGGACGGAGGAAGGUGUGUCCCUGCCCACCGAUUUCACCAACAAUCUAGCCCAUUGCAGCUCUGCCAUUGAUUCCGUCUUGUUGUCCACAGCAAUGAACCCACCACAACCAUCUCCUAUCAACUUAAACACCUCUCGAUUCCAUAAAUGAAGGGGAAGACCUACCACUCUCACCCAUACCUCUCUAGCAAAAACACCAUUGCUGAAACACCCCACCUCCGGGUGCCAUCUUUCCAUCAUUAAAACACUGCCUAGAACCUUUCUCUUCCCUCUAGCAAGAACACGCUCGGCCUCACUCAUCAAUUCGAACUCAAAUAGCAAUAGCCCACCUCCCAUUACAGCUAUGUCCAGCUUUCCUUUGAGGAGCCAAGCGUGGACAGCCCAGUUUUUCAGAAAAACCAACGCAGGAGGAUGGUUCUCCACCUUAUCCCAUCUACCCACUAAGCAACGACCAAGCUGCUCUAAUCUACCAGGCUUCACCCUCCCUCCCCUUUCCAGCCAAACCUUGUCCCCAAGUCUCCCCAAUCUCAGAUUUACUACAUCUGCAUAUGUCCUUUGAUCAGGCUCUUUUUCCUUCUUCAGCACCUCAAGAGAAAGAGGGUCCUUUACUCCUCUAAAAGGAGCUACCCCAACCUCUCUCAGCUUCUCAGCCAAGGUGUUCCAUCCUCCAAAUAGCCUCUUUCCUUCUGGAAAAAUUAAGCAAAACCUUUUUGCCUCCAAAUCACGAACAGAACAGAGAAUGAAUCUACCUGCCUCAUUUGUACGACGCUCCAAUCUAUAUUUCCUAUUCUCCUCCUCCCAUGCGAGGGACCAAUUACUAUCAUCUCUAUCUCUACAGCAGGACUCCACACCUACCAGCAGACUACUGAGGCUUGCAUCUCCAAAUCUGAUCCAAGAUGAUAGCCCUUUACAUCUCUCCCAAAUGCAUCCUCUCAGCUUUCCUCCUACUUCAUCAAUCACAAGAUCAUAAGCUUUAGAUUCCACAGUAAACCGUCUUCUACCUCCUCUAGACAUCUUCGUUCUCCCUCUGAUUCUACUAUUUUCAUUUCAUCUAAUCACUCUCUAAUCUCUUUAUCACCCAAUAUACCUUAGAUAUAAUGUGUCAUUUUUUUCUUUUGGAGAAAUUUUUGAAAAUUUUCUAUGAUGCCCUCUACACAUAACACACACGCAUGUGCAACAAAUAGCACACAGCAACUACAGCUGAACAUAGUUAGUCCAAGAACACAAUUUAGGAGCUCAUGUUGUAGGGCAAAUAAAGCAAAACAAGCUCAAAAAUUUCAAUUGAGCACCAAUAUAGUGUUUUUCAUCCCUUGUUUAAAGAACAAUUAAUGUUCUUUAAACAAGGGAGAAAUUAAUGUAUCCCUUGUUUAAAGAACAUUAAUUUCUCUAGGCACUAGAUCUAUCAAUCAUGAGUCAUCAAUGACAGGGAUCAAGUAUUCAUUUCUAAAUGAGGUCAGAACAGCCCACUAAUAAACCAGUGAAUGAUUUCCAAAAUUAUUUUACUAGAUGUUAGACCCUUUUCAUUUAGGCAUUAUUUAGAUCUUAGGGGCCAUAUACGAAAAGGAGAAAUUAAAGGAUUAUCAAUUUUCAUUUCUUUAUGAUGAAAAUAGUGAAAGACAAAAAAAUUAUAAUGGAAACUUGGGGAAGUUUAUACAUUUCAAAACUCUUCAUUUUCUGUUUAAAAAAAGGGUUGGGAUGAAGUGGAUGAAAAUUUUACUAGAUUACAUUUUCUUUCCUUGUAACAUAUUUAUUGUUUGAGACUCCAACCUAAAACCUCGAACCUUUUUUUCCUUUAUUUACCUUUUUCUCUACUAUUUUUCUUUUCCUCCACGUUUUCUGGUAAACCAAAUAGAGCCUUAGUUCUGAAUGACUUAUUUCUAUUGGAAUAUACUUACAUGCCAAAAUUUAUAUAAUCUAUUGCGGAGAGAUGCCAUUCAAUUGAUUUUCUCAUUCUUGUCCUUUAAAUAUAACCCAUUUGUCCGUGUUUACCAAUGGAAGAUGUCUCUUUAAUUAACAACUCUUUUGGUCCUAACUUUGUCAGCACGCAAGGAAGAAAGAGUCGUUAAUGAAGACAGCUUUAAUUCAUAUAAUCCAUCAUAUAGGCGUCUAUUUCCAACCACACUAAGAUCACAAAUUAACUGAAAUCGUUCACUCUAACAGAGAUUUUCUAAUAUAAAGUUGUUUGGUGAAAUUUCCCUUUUGUAAAUGUAAUGAACGGCUGGCUGAGAAAGGAAAGGCAUAGCAUUCAACAACUUGAAACACCUUCGACCUCGGAGGAUGAUGUAGACGAAAAAAAAGGGCGAAAAAAGGAAUAAUAAACGUCAUGCCCAAUGGUGAAGUGCGCUUGGUGAUCAAUUCCUUCCACCGGCUACACCAUGAACAUAUUCGUUCAAGAAAAUACAUUAGACCAAAUUUCCUUCAGGGGCCCAAUUGACAGUAUCUCAUGCCCACUUAUAUGGAAAAUCAACCUCCAAGUGGCACCAAAGUGAAAUUAAACGGAACCCCUUCAGAUAAAAAGAGUGAUAAAACUGAGAUUGGCUUCAAAGGUAGGGCAAAAGAACCCUAGAUCCGAGGUAAAUUACCAGAAAACAAGGGAAUGAUGCCGAAAUGAUGUUUGAAACGAAGGAAGAAAGGCGUAGAGAAGAAAGAGAGAACCUCUUGCUCGGACAAGGGCUUGCACUGCAUGAGCUGAGAAAUCUGGGCAUCAAGGUUGCCAUGUGAGUCGGAAGAGAUCAGAUCCAUACUCAUCCUCUUUCUUGCUGUUGUAGGGAGUUAGAGGCACUCCUCAGAAUCAAAUGGAAACAGCCAGAUUGGAAGCUGACACUAACCCUAACCCUAGAUUUCGCUGCUCUUGUGCUCUGGAGAGGGAUGAGGCUGUGGUGGUGGUGUAACCAAAGAGAGAAACCCUCGCGAAGGCUUGGAUCCCCCUUUUAUCUCAGUCCCAUUCAACUGCCACCAACAUUAAUUACAACAUUACCGCCUCACCUUUUCAAAUAUAAACCUUUGCCCCCGCCCCCUCUCCUCGGUUUUAUUUUUCAUUCAGAAUUUUUUCCUUUUAAGCCACUUCCAGUGAUGCAGAUAUUGAAUAGAAUCAAGCUUCUUUUGAGAUCCAUACAGAUGAUUAAUUAGAUGAAAAUUAAUUUGGACUUUAAUCUCAAUUAAUUUUUUUAAUUACUAUAACUUAAUAAUGAGGAAUUGUAGAUUACAAGUAAUAAAUAUGAAAAAAUAUUGUUAAACAUCAAACAACCAUAAAUCACAAUAAAUAAAAAUCUUGAAAUAUGAGUUUGGUUCAAUUUUUUUCCAUUUUUGGGCAAGAUAAUCAAAAAUGGGAAUCAACCGAAUUGAUUUUCACCAUUCCCAAAUCCAAUCCAUCCUUAUUAUGGUUGAAAACCAAGUUGACACAAAACUAAUUUAGAGUGACGUUUGUUACAUUUCUAACACUUAAAUAAUAAAAAUUUUAAAAUACUAAAAAUGUUAAAGGUGUUUUCUAAAAUCACUGUCGGGAGUUUAUAAUAUAAUUGAUAAUGAUUUUAAAAAAUAUUUCUAAUUUUUUUAACACUUUAAAUUUUUCAUUUUUUAAGUAUUAAAAAUUAUAGAAAUACUUCAUAAAAUUAUUAUCAAACACACAUUUUUUAAGUGUUUUUAACCUUAUAAAUACUUGAGAGAUAAAAAUUUUAAAGUGUUAAAAAUAUUAUAAACAUUCUCUAUAAUCACUGUCAAAUGCAUUUUAAGAACCCGCUUGACAGUGAUUUUAGGAAACGCUUUCAACAUUUUUAACACUUUAAAAAAUUUAACAUAUAAGAAUUAGAAAUAUCAGAAAUAUUUUUUAAAAUCAUUACCAAACACACUCUAAGAGUGUGUUUGACAAUGAUUUUUUAAAAUAUUUUUGGCAUCUUUAAUACUUAAAGUAUGUUUGAUAGUAAUUUUAAAAAACGUUUAUGAUUUUUCUAAUACUUUAAUAUUAAAAAAUUUAAAGUAUUAAAAAUAUUAAAAGUAUUUUCUAAAAUCACUACUAAACGAACUCUUAAAAAAUAAAAAAUUGAAGUGUUAAAAAUAUUAAAAACACUUCCUCAAAUCAUUAUCGACGAAUUUUGGUUAGUUAACUUCCAUCUCACUUGAACUAGCUAAAUAUAGCUUAUAACAUAAAGUAAAAUAAACUAGGACAAAAUAGAUGCAUUUUGAAAUAUAGUUUACUAAAUCCCCCUACUACGAUUGCAAUUUGCAUGGGUUAGAAAAGUAAGUCGUGCUAGGCCCAAAUGUCAAAUACAAUCUAAAGUUGAGUUGAAAUUUCUACACUUCUCAUGAUUUUUCACGAUUAUGAAAACAAAAGGAUUAUAAUGGAAUGUAAUGUUAUAAAAUAUAAGCAAUAUUAUAAAGUUAAAUAUAUACUAAAGUCAUAAACAAUAUUAUUAGUUUCUAAUUUAAGGUGAAUUAUAAUUUUAAACUCAAAUUUCAACAUUUUAAAACAUUUUAAAAAUGGUAAAUAUUAGAGUUGUUUCGUUAUAUUUAUAUAUAUAUAUAUAUAUAUAUUUGAAAUGAAAUAAAUAAAUAAUUUAAUUAAAAAGUAAUGAAUAAAGAAUAGUGUGUAGGUUUGGAUUUCGACUGAUUAUAGAGAUAGGUAUUAACAUGCUAUAACCAUAUGAUGCCCCACUAUAGUGAAUUAAUGCAUUUAUCCCCUAAUAUCUCGGAGUUUGUAUUUUUUUAACCAAAGUCUGACUCUAACAUGUUCAUGUAUUAUCCAUAUUAACCCAAGUUGAGCAUGGGUUGGGCACUUGGGCAUGCUACACUUGCGGCUAAAGCCCUACGAGCAUCUCAAACUCUUGCUUAGAUAUUUGUCAUUUCAUUGUAACUUUUAGGUGAUGUUUGUUUUUUUUUUACUUAAUUCUAAAUAGAAUUUUAAUGCUUAAUAGUAUUAAGUAUUAAAUUGUCUGUUUUUAUAAUAUUUUAUUUAUAUUAAGCAUUAAAAUGUAAAGAAAAUAACAUUUAGAAAAAGUUAAAUAUUUUGACCUUUUCUAUUCAAUAAAAAAGUUUAUAAUAAGUCAUAAAAAAAUAGAAAAACAAACAACUUAAAAUCUGAAAGCAAAUUACUUUAAGUAAAAAGUUAAAAAAACAAACACCCUUUUAGUCUUUUACAAGUUCAUUUAUUCAUGUUUUGUAUUAUUACAAAAAAUACAUAAGAAAAUAAAAUGUAAUUAAAGUUAGUUAGAAAGGUAUGCAUAUUUGAAUUAAAUUUGGCCUAACAUAUAUAAAAUUUAUUUUAUCAGUUUUGAGUUUAUUUUUUAGUUCUCUUUGUCACUUUUUCUCUCCAUUUUUAUUUUUCUUGCAUUUUCGCUUUUUUUUUGGAACCAUAAGUGAAAAAUGAAAUUCAUUUCACGAAUAAGUAUGAAAAAGAAACACUUUAUAAUAUAUAUAUUUUUUCUAAUAUAUGAAAUGUGAAUUUAAGAAUUUUUACAUUAACUCAUAUUUAAUUGAGAAGCAAUAAUGUCACUAUUAAGCACAAAGAUAAGUCACUCAAAUGACGACAGUAAAAUAUUAUAUAGGGUUUAACCCACCAUCACUUGCAUAAAUUGGUUUUUAAAUUAAAUAGUUAAAGUUUAUAAGAACAAAUAUCAUAGUUUCAAGAUGAGAUAAUUGAGAUACAACAAUGUCGCUAGUAAGCUUAAAGAUGGAUUAUCUAAAAAAACAAUGUUACUCCAAAUAACGAUGGUCAAAUACCAUAAAAGACUUUACAUACUUUCAUUGAGCAUUAAUUGGGUUUUAAAUAAGAUAGUUAAAGUAUGAUCUCAAAGUUAGUUUUUCAUCGAUACAAAUGGUCUUACUAGAUAUAUAGGCUUUAUUUGGUAACUAUUUUUUAAAACAAUCAUGAAAAAAUAGUUUUUAAGAACAGUUUUUAAAAUUGUUCUCUAAUGUUUUGUAGAAUAAAAAUUGUUUAGGAACCUAAAAUUGUUUUUUAAUAUAUUUUAAAAAUAUAUUUGAUGUCCAUAUCUUUAUUUUUAAUCAUUAUAUAUGUUUGUAUAAUUAUUAUUUAAAACAAGUCUAAAAAAAAUUGAAAAUAAUUAAAAUAAGUUAUCUGAAAAUACUAUGUUUUUUUAUAAUAGAAAACAGAAAAAAAUUUAAUUAUUAAAAGUGUUUUUCAGUUUUUUUGUUAUUAAAAACAAAAAAACUAUCAUUGAAAAUAAUUACCAAACAAUGCCAUAGCAUUUUAUGCAAUAAGAGAGUGUUUGUAUUUUAUUUUCAACUAAAAUUCUUUGGAUAAUCUUUACAUAUAUUAUAUAUGUUUUAGGUUACUUUUAUAUUUACACUCUUAUUGACUUUUGCAUCUUCUAAAGAUCUUUAUCACAACCCAAUAUUCGUGGCUAGUCUUACCCCUUUCUUUGGAUUUUUCUUCAUUUUUCAAAUGUUUGGGUUAGUUUUUCUGUGUACCACCAAUACAAGUUAGGUGCACACCGUUUUUUGCUCACCUAUAAGAUAGAUAUGUUAUUAACCUCGAAACUAGUAUGUUUCCUUUUUAUGCCACCUAUUAGAGUCAUACAUUAUCCGGUGUACAUCAAAACAAUAUUAAUUGAAAUUAUUGUCAAAUAUAUUUUAAAAUAACCCCCAAUCUAAUUGGUCAUUUGAAUUCUGAAAAGUCAUCAAUCUAAUUUAUUUGAAACAUGUAGAUAUUUAAGUGAAAAUAUUUUUUUAUGGGUAAAAACCGUCUUUUAUCUUUUAACAUUUCCAUUUCAAUAGAAACGCUGCAAGGUCAUAAUUGUAUUUCUAUUUUAUUCAAAAAGAAAAAAGAAUGUCGAGGGAGUCUUUUAUUCAAAAUUGUAUCGAUAACUUUUUUAUUUUUAUAAAAGAUCUAUAAUGCCCCAAAACUCUUAUAAUUUUCUCUUAAAACUUAGUGUUAUUUACAUAAAAGUCCAGUACAAUAUUGAUAUUAGGCCCCCAAAGUUGGCCUCAUUUACAAUAGUCCGAGGCCCACCCAAAUUCAGUGUACCCUCGUGCACCUGAUUAGUGAAAAUCAGAGUGGAGAGUAUACUGUAGAAGAUAUUUAAGGGACGUGUUUGGUAACAGGACAGAGCUUAGUCCAUGCUUGGAUAAGACGGCAAUUGGUAGGCGUGGAUUGAUGCAGCAAUGUACGAAAAUCUGAAAUUUUUGAUCACUCAACCCAAUUAAGUUUCCUCUCCUCUUCGCUACCCAAUUCUCAUAACUCUACAAAUCUCAUCCCGAUUCAGUAUAAAAGCCCUAGUUUCCUUUCAUCUGGUUUUAUUGAAAUCCCCUUUCUCUCCUCCGCAUUCUUUAUUUAGGGUUUUGCUCUGUAAAGCCAACUCACACAACACAGACACAAGAAGAGUAGAAUCAAUUAUGCGUACAUCUUGGGCCGAUUCGGAAGAAGCUGAAGCCGCAGCAGUACCUUCCACCAUCAUCAACAAUGGAGUAGUACCAAACAGUGGCGCCGCCGCCGCCGCCGCCGUUUCCGGCAACUCUCGUCCCGCCCGAUCAGCAUACGUUCCGCCACAUCUUCGCAACCGCCCUCCUUCUUCAACUCCUCCCCCUCCGGCGGUCAGUGCUCCCCCUGCUGCCAACACUCGUUGGGGCGGUGGCGGCGGCGGCGGCGGCCGCUCCGGAGGCAGCUUCGGGGGAGCUGCUUCCAACACGAGAACUGGUGGUUGGGACCGCGGGAGGGAAAGGGAAGUUAAUCCUUUUGGGGACGAUGUUGAUGUCGAACCCCCAUUCGUUCAGCAGGAGAACUCCGGGAUUAAUUUUGACGCAUACGAGGAUAUUCCGGUGGACACUAGUGGGGAUAAUGUUCCGCCGGCGGUCAAUUCUUUUUCGGAGAUUGAUUUAGGCGAUGCGCUUAAUCUCAAUAUUAGGAGGUGCAAAUAUGUGAAGCCAACGCCAGUGCAGCGCCACGCCAUUCCUAUUUCGAUUGCUGGCAGGGAUUUGAUGGCUUGUGCUCAGACUGGCUCUGGAAAGACUGCUGCUUUUUGCUUUCCCAUUAUCAGUGGUAUUAUGAAGGGCCAGUAUGCGCAGAGGCCACGGGGCUCCCGGACUGCUUACCCUCUUGCUCUUAUUUUAUCCCCCACCAGAGAGCUGUCAUGCCAGGUGAGUUUGUCAAUAUCCAGUCUUGGUGUUUGUAUGCUAGUUAAUGGGGAUUGUUGAUGUAAUAUUUGGUUGCAUUGCAGAUACAUGAUGAAGCAAAAAAGUUUUCGUAUCAAACUGGUGUAAGGGUGGUUGUUGCUUAUGGAGGAGCUCCAAUUAAUCAGCAGGUUCUUUCUAUUUCUACUUUGUUUUUUGCUUAUUUAUAUUAACCUAUAUGCUCAUCACUCUUCUUAACCUAGCUGUUUGUUUUGUUAUUUAAACCUUUCUGAUUUUACAUGUUGAGCUGCUUGGUGGGCAGUGGAACUAGCUAUUACUUGUUGCACAUGCAUUGUAUCGUGUUUCCAGUAUAAUCUCUUUCACAUCCUAACCGAAAUACAUGUAAAUCAUUUGGGACAUACUGGUUCAGGUUAUUCUAGUACUUAAUAAUAUGAUAUGCUCCAUAGGCCUCCUUACUCUCUAAUUCUCAGUGUAUCUGUACUUUUGAGCCUAUGUUCAGUGCAAGAAGAAAUGGAUAUACAAAUAGGCCUCCAUCCUGCAGACAAAAAAAUAAACAUGCACAUAUAAUGCUUUCUGUUUUACUAAUUUUAUAUGUGGUUGUAGGGUUAGGAGUUUGGUUCUGAGAUUAGUGUCUUUUGCUUUCUUUUUUUCCUUAUCUUUUUAAAUAUUGGCAAAGCAUUGUAGGUAAUUUUCUCGACAGUAUGUUAUAGUUCAUCAUCCUUGUUUUUACUUUAAGAAAUAUAUUUUAGUGAAAAACCUCAUUAGUGUUUAGUUCAAAAUGGAUGCUAACCCUAUUUCCAUAUGAUUGUUAAGUUUAAGUUUCUUCCCAUUUCUCCAGUGAAAUUUACAAGUUAUCUCUUGAAAAUAAGGUCUUCUAUAGCAUCUAAUUACAUCUUGGAGCUUCAAGUAGGUUUAAACUUUAAAUUAGUCCUGAUAAAUGAUUAUAAAAUAGUAAAAAGGAGAAUUGUAGAUAAGAUCAGGCUUUCAGCCAUUCAUGAGCCAUUCAGUUAGAUGUCAAGCUAUAUUGGCCUAUUAGAUGCCUUUUUGGCUAUUACAAUGCCCUAUGCGUACAUACAGUUGGGAUGCCUGACCAUUUUUUAAUCUCUCUCUCUCUCUCUCUCUCUCUCUCACGGACACACACACAGACACACACGCAUAUAUGUAUAUAUAUACCGUCGUUAUGUUAAUACAAUAUGUUUGAAAUGAUUGUUUACUGAAUGUAUGUUGUCUUUGUACAGCUAAGGGAUCUGGAAAGAGGUGUUGACAUUCUUGUUGCAACACCAGGAAGAUUGGUUGAUUUGCUAGAAAGGGCUAGAAUUUCUCUUCAGAUGGUCCAGUACCUGGCUCUAGAUGAGGCAGAUCGAAUGCUGGAUAUGGGUUUUGAACCUCAAAUUAGAAGGAUUGUAGAACAGAUGGAUAUGCCUCCACGAGGCGUAAGACAAACUAUGCUAUUCAGCGCCACCUUUCCAAAAGAAAUACAGGUUUAUUUACCGUAUAUGGAAUUUCCUUUUUCAAACAAUCAUGUUGAUGACAUUUGAUGUGGUGUUUUGUCUGUGUUGCUCGUGUGUUUGAAUGGUUACUGUUCGUAAAGUUUAGUAUUGUUCACAAAUAUUAUGUAAAGUACCAUGGAUGGAUCAUACCAUUUGUUGCAUGCUAUUAUAGGCCAUAUUUUGUGUUACAUGCUAUUUUGAUCAUUUUGAUUUACACUGUACUAACCUUGCUGUGGAUUUGACUUUUGUCUUUAACUGGCAAUUAAUUUGCUUAAGAAAAUCUGGUUGUAUAUAGAACAUACACUUUAAAUGAUGGCGUUACUUGAGAUUGUUUGGCUGCAUGCUUUGGCUGAAUGUUGAUAUUUGACCUUUCAAGAUACCAUCUUAGAGUUUCUGAACUGUUCAUUGGCAUGCAGAGAUUGGCCUCUGAUUUUCUCGCAAAUUACAUUUUCCUGGCUGUUGGAAGGGUUGGUUCUAGUACUGAUUUGAUUGUCCAAAGAGUUGAAUUUGUACAAGAGUCUGACAAGAGAAGCCACCUUAUGGAUCUUCUUCAUGCACAGAGAGAAAAUGGAACUCAUGGAAAGGUAAUGCUGGAAGAAAAAACCAUUGGUAUUUUAUUCGCUCUGGGCUUAUACAUAUUAUGGUGCAAUUAUCUGAUUUGUUUUCUUUCAACACCAUAUUCUGACUGAGAUUCGUUGGUUGUUUUCUCUUGAUAUUGGGCUUCCAGCAAGCCUUGACUUUAGUUUUUGUCGAGACAAAGAAAGGAGCUGAUGCUUUGGAACAUUGGCUAUGCAUAAAUGGGUUUCCAGCUACUUCUAUUCAUGGUGAUAGAUCGCAGCAGGUAUAGCUCUAUUUUGGAGUUCAUUUUACUCAUACGUAAUGGUGAUUCUGCUAGUGCAUGUCCUCUCCUAAAGUUUGGUCACUACAUCCCUUUAUUGUUGCUUUCUCUGCUGUAUAUGGUUGUGCAUUUUUAUUGAAUGUGUAUGCAACAUUGAAUAAUACAUGGUUUUUACUAUUCAACUAAAGAUUGAAAAUCUAGGGCCCUCUUUGUUGGUAUUUUUGUGUUUUUAAUUUCUAGUUUCCUGUAAUAACAUCAAGAUUUCCAAAAUAUGCUGCUGUUUUUGUUACAGCAUAUAUAGACUUCUGAUAACCACAGUCAAAAAUCUGUUUUGAAAAGCACAAAAUUGUACUAAAUAUUUUCUAGAACUUUCAACUGUGGUAAGAGAUGAUAUGGUGGCGGUGUUUGAGGCUCACAUAAUCAGGUUUUUGAAUGCAAGUUGCAGCUGGAGACAGAGGCUAGAAAUUUUCCUUUCAGCUGGAGUAGUCUAGUUUAUAAAAUAUACUCAGGGCAACAUAUUAACUGUAUAUUUCCCCCCCUUUUUUUGGGUGGUGUUGGGGUUCUUAGAAUUGAAUGCUAAAGAAGCAGAGUUCCAAUCAAGUAUCUCGAAAAGCGAGUGAACUUGUUGAGGUUCCUCAGGCCAAGUCCAUCCAAGGCUCUCCCAGGUCACUCAUCCCUAGCUAAUCCUACUCACAUUGGAAGGGGCAGUCAUCAGGGAAAGGCAAAUGGAAAGUCCUGGGGGGUGUGUCCAAGCUAACAUUUUUGUCAAUUCAACCAUCAGCCCAUGGCUGCCUUGCCUAGUGAUAAAUAUUAAAAUCAUGGGGAGUAUCUGAAAGUUUUGGGAUGUUGAAAAGGCCAUUAUCCUGCUCCACCCUUCUUACCUGUCCCCAUGCCCAAAAGUCAUUGGGCCAAGGGCAUGUUUGCUUGGUUGUCAUGCAGUAUCACUCUAAGCCUGUCCUUCAUGUUGCUUGGAGCUUGCUCAUGUAUCUUAUUCUUCUUCUUAUUAUUUUAAAUUGUAUGAGCUUUUGAUAAUGAUACAGGAGUCUGAAUUGUGGUUGUAUUUUGACUUUGAAGUUCUUGGUCUAGGUUAGUGGAAGGUUGCCAGUCCUUCCCAAUAGCUCAUUGGGAUUCCUUUGCCUCUUAUCUACUUACUUUGUUAUGAAGUUAUUCAACAUGUUGACUAGUUGACGGUGGUGUUUUGGUCUGAGGUAAGUGAAAAGGAGGGAGGAGGGAAAGUGUUAUGAAUUUGCUUGGGUGUCCCUUUUGGGGCUUUUUCUUAGGAACACUAAGGCGUAUGGUUGUGGAGUAAUCUAGAUGAAGUUGGCGAGGUGGAUGAAUUGGCACUCAUAUAAGGGGAAGGCUGAUUUUUACUAAAGUUACUUUGUUAGCUUGCUAAUUUACCUUGAAUUGAUUUAGAAUUCCAUCUCCAGUGGCACUAAGGUUGGAGAGGCUUUUGUAAGUAUAUAUUGUGGGACAGCUUAGGGAAGGAGUCCAGGUUUCAUCUAUUUGACUAGGUUAAGGUGUACAUAUUGAAGAAGUAUGGGAUUUGGGUAUCAGGUGUCUGAGUUUUGUCUAGCAUUGCUUUGUAUGGUAAAUGGUUAAGGAGAUUUGAAGUAGAGAAAGACUAGUUUGGUGCAAGUUGAUGGAAAUCAGUAUGAAGUUAGAGAGAGUUGUGGGUUGAGGAAGGUGAGAUGCUCACUUGGGAUUGGGCUUUGGGAAGGGAUGAGAAAGCUUGUAAGUACUUAGGCUAACGUAUUUCUUUAAUGGUAGGGGAUUGGAUUAGUGGGGGUGGGGUGAGGGGUUGGUAGAGAGCUCUUUUUGGAACCCCUUUUUAUUAAAUCCUUAUAUAUAUAUAUACAUAUAUUUAGAUUCUAGUUCAAUGUUUGGUGCAGGAAGAUGCUGUUGAAGAAUGCUUUUCCUGAUGUUUUUUGCCAUAGCUAGAAAUGAAGAUGUGUUAUUGGAUAGAGGGUUUCUCUUUCCUCUUUGGGCUAGGGUUGUGGGGAAGGUGCCCUAAGACCUGGCUGAGGUGGCAUUGAGUUAGGGUGAGGAUGGGGAGGUUCUAGGUACCAAGAAAAGGUUUUCCGUUGGAGGGAAACAGAGAGUAGGGGGAAGGGUACGGAUGGAAGGUUUUUGAAGUGGGAAGAUGGGAGAUUUUCCAUGGAAGAAGGUUUGGUGAAGUAGAUUUCGCCCUAAGCUGCCAUCCUUUGAUUUUGAUCACCUUUUACAAAAGGAAUGUCGUGCCCAUGCUGGUGUUGCAUAUGCAAAAGAACUGAAGAUUCUGUUGAUCAUUUGUUUCUUUGCUGUUCUGUUGCUAUUGAGUUUUGAUCUCUUCUUUGUUUGUGGUUGGGGUUUGCAUGGUGAUGCAAGGACAUUGAAGGGGAUCUGGUGGGAGGUUUGUGAGGAUGAGUGAGAGGUGCUUAGAGGGCAAACCCUUUGUGUUUACUGUGUGACCAAAAGGGAGGAAUUGAAGGGCCUUUGGAGAGAGGGAGAGAGAGAGAGGGGGAAGGGGGGGGGGGGGGUUCCUAUGAAAAAUGGGGAGGAGUUUCUUGUUAAAAAAGGGAGGGUUAUCUUAUCCAGAGAGGGGAGGAGUUGACAACUUUUAAGCUUGGAUGUUCCUUAACAUGGGUUGCCCGGCCCAAUUUGAUUUUUCUGCCGCUUCUUUUCCUCAUUGUUUUCUGAUCCCCGGAUGUAAUCCGGUUAUAUUUAUUUUUUAUUUUUUUAUAAGCCAAAGGGGAAACANNNNNNNNNNNNNNNNNNNNNNNNNNNNNNNNNNNNNNNNNNNNNNNNNNNNNNNNNNNNNNNNNNNNNNNNNNNNNNNNNNNNNNNNNNNNNNNNNNNNGAGUUUGAUUUUUCUGCUGCUUCUUUUCUUCAUUGUUUUCUGAUCCCUGUAUGUAAUCUGUUUAUAUUUAUUUUUUAUUUUUUGAUAGGCAAACGGGAAAACAUGUAUUAAAAGCGCCUAAUAGGAGGCGCUUUUAUGUAGCAUAAACAGGAAAUCUAUUUGUAUUUAUGUUGCAUCCCCUUUUCCAAUUUUAACAAAUUUCUUUGCUUAUCAUUUCUUUUGGAAUCGGGUUUUCAGAGAAUUCUUCUGCCUUUACUGGUAUGAUUAUGCAUUUAGGUUUUUACAUAUUGUCCUCGGCAUCACAUCAAUUGAGCAUUUUUCUAUGAAAAGUUGAAGUUUGGGGGGAAAAAAAUAUUGAUAAAUGGCCUUUGAGCUCAAAAGUCAGAAAAAUAGAUAUUCCUUAGGAAGUUUUUUUUUUGGUUCGUCUUUGGUUGAUUAAUAAAUGUCUAUUUAUCUUACAUGUUGAGGGAAUUUGAGAUGGAAAAAUAAAACAUGCAAUUUAGGGCUAGGGUAUCUUGAAAAUUUAUAGGCCAAUAGGGAAAAUGUGUGCCCUUCCCAAUGCCUACAUUUUAAGGUCUGUUGUUUUUUUUUUCUCUGACCUUUUUUUUUUUCUUUUCCCUUCAUGGACUUCUCAUCCUUGCUUGAAAAUUUUCUUUUAUUUGAAUGAAACGGUGUUCUUGUUUCUUACUAAGAGUGAAAUUUCAUCAUCAAGUGGUUAUCAGUCAAGGGGAAAAUGCUAGGAUUUUUGGAGGGUUGAUGGAGAUCUUUUGCAAUUGCAGGACAGAAUUUGCCUUUUGGUUUGUCUUUAGGUAUCUGUGACCAAUGGGUUUGUAAGCAUGCCAUUUAGCUCAAUGUAUUUGGAUUAGGAGAUGUCUUGAUUGCCUUGGGGGUUUUUCUGGUCUAGAGUCUUCAGUGUUUGUAGUUCAAGUGCAUCUGGUGAAGGGGUUUAGAUUCCUUUCUUCUCAAAGGGUAUAUGCCAUCAUUUUUUUAAAAUAAUAUUUCUCUGUUUUAUUAAAAUAUCAGUGUGAAAUUAUGCUCAAAUUACUUGCUUAUGACUUUUUCCAAAUUUGGAUUAGCUAUUGGGUACCAAACUAAAGCUUCUUGUGGGCUUUUGGUGUCAAAAACAUUGUAACAUUGAUGACCAUGAUGCAUGUAUCUUGUGUUGUGAUCCUUACUUCUUGCCUUCUUGGAUACUCCAUUUAUGUCAAAUGAUUUUGCUGCAACAUUCUUUUAGGUGAAUAUUGAAGGACAUAUUUAUUGCCAUUAAACAUAGUUUCUGAAGCUGUUUGUUAAAUUGCAAUUUUGUUGCCUUUUAUUGGUGACUAUUGUAAAUCAGUUUGUCUUGUUUAUACAUGCAUAAUGUUUUUUUGCCCAUCUCAGCCUUAUCUAAUUUCAUUAGCUUAAUAAGUUAUUAGUGGUUUGAUGAUAAUGAAACUGGAAAGGUGUUAAUCCAUUCAAAUGUGUUUCCCACUUGUAGGAAAGAGAACACGCUUUGAGAUUAUUCAAAAGUGGUGCAACUCCAAUUCUGGUGGCAACUGAUGUGGCAGCACGGGGUCUUGAUAUUCCUCAUGUUGCUCAUGUGGUAAAUUUUGACCUUCCCAAUGACAUCGAUGACUAUGUCCAUCGGAUAGGACGAACUGGCCGAGCUGGUAAAACAGGAUUGGCCACUGCAUUCUUCAAUGAAAAUAAUUCGUCAUUGGCUCGGGGCCUUGCUGAACUAAUGCAAGAAUCAAACCAAGAAGUGCCUGCUUGGCUUUCACGUUAUGCAGCUCGGUCUUCUUAUGGCGGAGGGGGAAGAAACCGUCGAUCAGGUGGGGGUCGUUUCGGUGGCCGGGAUUUCCGAAGGGAUACUUCUUUUAAUAGAUCUGGAGGCGGUGGCGAUUACUAUGGUGGAGGUAGAAGUAACAGCGGAUAUGGAGCUUCUGGCAGCAGUUAUGGAGGUGGUGGAUAUGGUGCAGGUGUGACUAGUGCGUGGGACUAGUGUCCCCUAUAAUUUACAUGGCUCAUUUCUCUAAAAUAUAAUUGAGACGUGGCUGCAUGCCCUUUUUUUUCUUUUUUUGUUUCAUAUUUGCGUUAGAUCCUGUCAUAGUUCAAAAAAUGAUAUUUUGUUCAACUGUUAUUAAUCCCUAGUUGGUAUUCUUACAGUUGAUAUAUUUUUUUUUUACCCGGUUAUAUGUUUUGGAGAGGCCUGCAGGCCACCUCCCUUGAAGGAUCUUAGAAGAGGCUUUGUAACAAUGGAAAAAAUGACGUUUAAAGUCAACUACCAGAUUCUACUCUCGUUUCUUGAUUUUGACAAUGUGGUAUGUGAUGGAGGUGGAGUCACUUCUUUUUUACCAGAGGUUUUCCAGUUCAUUGUUACAGUCUUCCUUUAUAUUAGGGGCUUUUGCCUUUUCAAUUGGAAUGCUACUGCAUAUUCUUUUGGCUUCUGCUACGUGCCAUCUGCUCGGCUCCAUCCUUUGAGGGCAUUUAUGGGUUUGUCUGGCAACCAGUUGGUGUGGAAACUUGAGGGCGGGUCUUGCUAGAAUUUAAGGGAAACCUCAAAACUGCAACUUAGGCGGCUCCAACCCUAGAAUUUAAGGGUUACAUUAGGGUACCCAUAUGUUAUUAUGAAUUUUAAAUAUAUUACUUAUUGUUAUAUUUAUAACAUGAAGAUUCAAAGUAUAUAAAAAGGACGAUGAAAUAACUCUUUUAACUUUCGCCCCUUUUAAAUCCACAAAUUUAUCAUUUGUGGAUUAAUUACAAAAUAUUUUCAAAGACGUGAGUUUGAAAUCGUCACCUAUAUUUUAGAUAAAAUUGAUAAUUAAUAAUACAUUAUGACUUUGAGAUCAAAAUAUUAUUUUAUAAUAUAAUUUUUGAAACAAACUUAUUACCCAUGAGAAUCCGUGGGGGUUAGACGUGGGUUGGGAGUUCCAAACGUAUUCAUAGGAUAGGAGGUGUUCAACUCGCUGAGAAUUCCAUUGAUAAGAGCACAUAGGAUUCGUAACCAAUACAAUUCCAUGACAUGAAUGCUAGUUCUUGCUUAAAAUUUGAGAGAUUCUGUACAUUUGAAUCUGUAAAAUGAAAUGUCAGUAAUGAAUGAUGAUUUGGUAAAUGAAGAUAGAAAAUCAAGAUUGUAUAGGGGCAAACAUCCUGCUAGGGUUUCAGCAAUGACUAAAAAAUUUAAAACCCAUCACUACUUUUUAAUCUGUUCCGCAGCCAAACACUUCAUCUAGCUUGUCCCCAAAGAAGUCUCAAGCCUUUUGAGUCCUUUAUUUCCAGGCAAUCCUUGAGGAAUAUCACCUGCUCCAGCCUUUUGACAUUAGGCCAACAGUGGCUCCAUUAUAGGUUUUGGAACGGGAGUAUGCAGAUUCAUAGUGUAUGUUACCACCACCCCAACAAGCGCACAAACUGCUGGUACAACACCCAAACCAUAUCUUGAAACCGAAAAACGUGAAAUAACUGAUCCCUGGAGGUCUGGAGAGGAAUCUGCAUUAUUCAAGAGUACGAUGUUAAAUCCAAAAUUUUUAACUAACAAACACCAACAGCAUACUACAAUUGCAAAAUAGUGAGAACUACCAGAAAAUGGACAAGAUAACUGGUCUAUCUCAUAUUUUGAAGCAUCAUGACCAUGCUCUCAAAAUCUGAGAAACCAAUUAUUCAGUAAACUUCCUAUGGGCUCCUACACCUCCUAAAUAAAGCUACAAAUUAUUGUGGCUUUAAUGAUUUUUAACUGAUGAGUUGAAUUCAAAGGAGGAAUGCACAGUUUGGUGUAUGUACAUGGGUCAUACUCAUGUAGUAAGCCUUGCAAGGGCUGCUUUAGGUCUAGUCUGGUGACACUGAUAAAAAGCAUUGAAGGAUGACUAGCUUAUCGACUUACUUCCAUAUGACUCAAGAACGAACAAGGCUAGCCCACAUGAAAUUUUGUCCAAGAAACUCAAUGAGCCAUAAACAAAUGCACAGCCAUGGAGAUCUUCACCAACUAGAAAACUUUGCAUGCUUACACCAGUCACCUGUUGUUCCAACAAAAACACACAACAAUGAGCAAACUGGGGACACAGAUGAAUCAACCUUAGUGUAUAUACAAUGCCAGCUUGACUAUCUCAACCUUAGUGUAUGCUUUUUCAGAGUUACGAUGACAUACACAUUAGAUAUUAUCCACUCCAAAUGCUAAACUAAAACCGUUAUCGACUUAAUUGGAGGCAUUUAUCAACCAAUAUAAUCAAGGGUCACAGUUACAAUAAAUGGCCAGGACUCAGGACACAGCUUCUCUUGUAUCUUCCUUUUAACCAACUUCUCCAUUGCAUGGAAUGAAGCAUGUACUGAAAAAGAAAAAAUGGAAUCUUUGAUCAUACCAUCAUUAAGGCGUUUGCUAUGCCGAUGAUUAUUGAUAAAAUGUACAUAAAAGCAUUCAUGUUUCUGGGUAGAAAAAGGAUCCCUGCUCCACAAAUUAUCCAAAGAAUUCCUCCAGCAGAAUAGAAGGCCUUCAAGCGUUGGCCUGACCAUGUGAACUCCUACAAUGUGAAUAUUUAGUAGUUAAAUAUCAAAAAAUAAAAAAGAUAUAUAACAUUCUGAAUCAUGGAUCAAUUUCUUAAAAGGAACCUGUAAAAUGAUAGAUACGAUGAAGCUGCAAAUGUAGAUGAUUGCAGGAACCUACUCACAUCAAUUAAACAAGAUAAUCAGUUUUGCAUGAUUCUUGAAAUGGUUAUACACAAUUGGGAUAAAUUUGAUGGUGGAAAGGUUUGUAUAAGUACCAAAGCUUUAGAUGAUUGUGACAUUUGCAGAUCAUUAAUGACAUAGAAAGCAAGAAAUGCCUGAAAAACAAGAAAACAUCUUCAUAUAAGAAAUUAUAUUAAUAUUGCAAGGACAGACAUGGAGCAUGAACAUCCCAUAUUUUACUGAAGUAAAUUUUCAUCAAAGAAAAAGAGCACAACUAAGCAGGAAAGGAGAUCAAUGCAGACCUGUGAAACAUUGGUCACUAGUCUGGUGAGCACAUAGACAAGAGCAACUUGGUAGUAUAAAACUUUUCUGAACCAGUGAGACCAUAAAAUCCUUGCAUAACCUUUUCCAUGAGCCCCUUUUUUUAAUCUGCAAGAGGAAGGUAAUUAAUUGCAGCCAUCAUAUCCAAAAAUCUCCUCAGAAACUGAAAUGAUAAGAUUAAGAAUUUUCUGCUGACCUUGGCUCUUUUGUUCCAAGGAGAAAAAUGGCCACAAAGCAGCAUCCAAUAGCGAUCGACAAAUAUGCAAUCCAGCGGUACUGCUCAUUUAGGAAUAAUAUGACAAGGAUACCCAGAGGAAAGAAAUUGAAACGCAAGGAAGGCUUCUUCACAUCACCUUACCUGAUUUUCAAUAUCAACAAGUGUAUGUGGUUUGCUGGAAUUGAACACAACGAAAGCAACUGCAUAUAGGCUCAGGUUGGCAACCUUUAAGAUCAUUUAAAUGAAUAACAAACUGCCUCAAUAGCACUCCAUAGAGAUGAGUGAUGAUUUAGAAAACUAUAUGUAAAAUCAAUAUGCAGAGAGGUGCUAACCAUUGUAAAAGCAUUACGACAGCUAGCAAGAACUACUCUGCUUGUUGAAUUCAGCGUGAUGCAAUUCACCAUAGACCUUCAACAAGAGCAAUUGUGGUUCAUAUUAGAUAAAUAUGUCCAAUGACAGAGCCCUCUUUCUCCCAAAACAUGGGGAUAACAAAAAAAAACUGAAGAAGAACGUAAGCACAAUGGUGCCUUUCAUCUCUCUUAAGCUUAAAACUAUGACACUUUUUUAACUUGGUGUAGCUGAAGAAGGUUCAUUACAUGUGUGAAACUUGAGUAGCAGCCCAGCCCACAUUGAAGAUUGCGGCAAACAUGCUGUACCCAACAGUUUGCAACGUGGAUGAAUUGGAACCAAAAAUUUUGCAAGGUAGGCAACCGCCAAAAACGGAGGAAAAUGAAACAGCAACCAAAAUAGAUCCUGCCCCAUGCCAUAUUUUGAAAUGUCCAAACCUGUCUAUCUGUCAAGUAAAACAAUGAAGGCAAAAUUAUUUUCAGCUAACUGUAGUUUUAUUUACCAAAAAAAAAGAAAGGAUUAAAAUGAUUGAAGAACUGAAAAAAGUUCUAUUUGUUUCAGAUAAAUAGGAAGAGAAGUGCUGGAUGCAGGCUUCAAAAUGAAUAAAUUAAGAAAAUUAUUGAUGCAUAGGAAAAAUAAUGCAAAUAAGUAGAAGCCAAGAGGUAUGCAACAGGGACCAAAGAUAUGAUAGAUGUAAAAUAAUAUGCUAAAUUUAGCCUCAGAAAUACCAGUUCACCGGCAAAUAUGGUUGUGAAUCCAUCAGCUAUCUGUCCUGAAAGCAUAACAGUAGCAGCAUCCCUGUGAAAUCAAAUGGACAAAACAUGCAACUCAGAAUAGAAAAGGUCCAAUGCAAAUUUCUUGUCAGAGAAGCAGGAAGACCUGUAUAUAUUAAGGAAAAAGGUCUGUGAACUCUAGGGAGAGAAAAUAAUAUUCACCAGAAGUACAGGGUUUGUUUUGUACAGUUCUACCUAAUAAACUGAGAAUGAGGGAGAGAGAGAAAGAGAGAGGUGGGGGUGUUUUCUAUAGGUCUAUUGGUGUUCUUGUCCAACAUGCUUAUCAUUUGCUUCAGAAUGAAUAUUUUUUUCAAGCAGUGCAUUUCACAUUGCUGAAAAGCUUCACAAAUAGACAUCCUAUUAGUCCAGGUACUUCACAUGCUUCACUAUGUGAAAAAGUAAUUGCACAUCUCAAAAACCAUUCCAGAUAUACCAUCUCUGCAAGUACUUCUCUCUCAGAAAAGAGUACUAAAUUUUAAAAGAAAAAUACAUCAUGAAUGUAUUGUAAUCAGAUAAAAUUCUGAGCAUGUAGUAAGAAAUAUACCUUGAAGGGAGGCCGAUAUCUGUCAAAAACACUAAGAGAUAAGUAAACCAACAAGCAGAUGUGAUAUCAUUGAGCAUAUGUCCUACUCCAUAAUAAAAGACGGCCUGUCUUCCAAGGGGCUUAGUGAAAGCAUCGUCAUCUUCCAUACCAUCAACCAUGACAAUAGGCAGGUUAAAUGUCAAACCCCCCUAAAGCAUGCCAAGCUUCAACUAUGUAGUUUCUGACAAAUGGAAACCCAGGAAAAACAUUAAUUGAAGCUUCAGAAGGGUUACAUUUAGAUGCUAAUAAUAGAUUCCAAUGCAGCAAACUAUCAAAUUGAAUUUAUUUAAAACCUUAUACCCUAACCCACCUUUAGUUUCCCGUGAUCCAUUAAAUGAGAUUGGUUAUACUUUAUCCUGAAUCUGUUUCACCAAACUACUGGGCAGACCAUGCCAUGCCAUGCCCUAAAAAGGAAAGAAAGAGAACAAUUUUCCAUUGAAGAACAAGGACUUCUUGAUUCUUGAAAAAAAUAUAUCCUAAUUUUCAAAGAAAUUUAAAGGAAACACAACAAUUUAAAAAUUUUCACUAUAUAUUAAACCUAAUCAGAAAAAUCAUAUUAAACCAAUCAUCCCCAAAUCUCAUGAUUCACAAAUGAGCAAUUUAGUUAAGGGAAGAACAGAGGGUGCAGAACAACUUCAAAGAUUUGCCAGCAACAAACUAAUUUUCCUAAAUAAACCAAACCCAUUUAGGGUGUGUUUUACUGUAACGAAGUCUGCCAAAUCUUCACAUUUACCUUAACCCACCACCAUACCCACAUAAGAUUGAAAUCAGAAAGAGCGUAAAACGACUGGUAAUAAGGAAGUGCACACCCAGAAACAUCACAACCGGUCAACUGAAAACUCAACAACCAACCAUAACAGUAUGAAGGCAACUAUAGAAGCAAAAAAGGAGAAAUUCAAAAGAAAAACAUGAUACCAUAAUGUUCUGUAGAACAAAAUAGAGGUACUAUAUUCAUGGGGGAAGCUAUAAAGAAGUAAAGAACCCAUCAACAGUGGCACUGGAAGAUACUGAUUGAGGAGAAAGAGAGGGAAAUGAGGAUACUUUGCCGGUGAAGGGGCUGUAUUAGAAUUUAGAUGUUACUUUGUUUCAUAGCAUGAAUUUCCCUCUUUGGACUUUCGUGAAAUUCCAUUAAUAACUGAUUUGAAUUUUCAUGGGAAACAAACAACCACUCAUGCCCUUGAAAAGACUAUAUUAUCCAUUGCAUGAUAUGCAUCCUCUAAAGUCUAAACCCAUAAACGGGAAGGACAAUUUGGACUUUAGGAUGGUGGUGAGUAAGUGGGAAGGUGGAUCUUUAUAAAAAAAUGAAUGGCCUGCCUUGUAGAAAUGGAGAACAGAUUUUGACUUUUAGUGGGUCUGUUACAACUUAAAGAUAUGGACAGUCAGGUUUGUGGGUGCUUUGUUGGGACUGCAAGGGCCACACUCUGCAACCGCCCAAAACUACCAGUCGUUUGCAAGCAGAAAACGAAGACCAAACACUUGGAAUGGUUGGUAGACGCAUUGAAUUGGGCACAAGCCAGUGAAUCCAAACACAGGAUUCCUUUUAAAUUCGAUACCAGUUCCCAAAAUUGACUGGAAGACAUGAAUUUUUUAGCACCCCGUUUGACAUGAUCUCAACAAUUUUCCUUUUCUGAUAUAGUUUCAAAAGAUUCAAUCACAUUUCACUUUGAACACCUCUUCUUGAUUGUAAGUAAAUGACAAGUAUCAUUAAUAAGGCAUCAUUCUUCAACUACUUUUUCUUUACAUUGCUCUAAGUAAUGGGGAUUCUUAUAUUUGUACUGGUUGGAUCUUGAGUUUGCCAGAUGCCCAAUUCUCCACGAUUCAGGAUAAGCAUGUUCAGCUUUUGCUCCAUGUGUAUGAAGUCCUUGUUGAGACACCCACCUUUAAAAUAUAGGCACUUGAAAAUGUCAUUUUGAAGUUAUGCAGAAAAGGAGGAGCCAUCUAUGGAAGAUGAGGUUGCCUACUUUAUAUUUUGGACUUCGUGUAGUGUAUCUGUAAGUGGCCUGAUUGGGAAGAAGACACGAGGCCAUGGAUGAGAGCCAAACAGAGUCUUUGGAGACAAACAUUGAUUUUUGACUAACUAUAAAAGGCUUAUGCCAGACGUUAAAUUUAAGGAUAAAUCUUGAGAAUGACGCCACUAAUAUCAAUCUGCUGCAAUAUUUCUUGUCAUUUAGGCCAUUAAAACCAGAUCAUUUUGAUGCUGACAUAGUUGUGCAUUAAUACAAAAAAUACAAUAAACAGAGAAUGACAACCCCAUCUUGCCUCUAAAUGAGCAAGUUUGAAGUGAGAAGCCAUAGCAAAGUCCCACCAACAGCAAACUCCAAAUUCAGCCAUUUCUUUCCAUUGCAACAGCCACCCUGAGCGCUCACGCCUUUACUAUUAGCACUUGCACUGGAAUUGCUUUUAACUGAUACACAAAGAAUCAGCAACUCCAGCUAGAGAUUUUUUCUAGAAAAAAAUUGGACUGAUCAAAGUUGUAUGUAUAGGAAUUUACCAGUAGAAGGAGUGCUGCUGGCAGUGCCAUUGGAGCUGUUAGCAAACUGGUAAAAGACCUGAGCAUCUGGUGAAUUAGGAGCCAAGUGUAGAAGAGCUGCAUACAAGUCAUUGAUCAAACACACAUGGUCCAAAUUAAGUAUAUAUAUCAUACUAGUGUUUGAGAGAUACGUAAAUAUAUGUAGUACCUGGGCACUGGGAAACAUUAGCAGGAGCAUGGCAAACAGAAGGAAGGCCCAAGGCAAGUGUGGCAUUAAGGUUGAGACCCAGAUCUGGAUCAUUUCUAUCUUUAAUAAUCACACACAGGCAUUUCUUGUUCUUCUGCAGGACUUGUUUGAGACCACUGCAGCAGUCUGGUGUUGGGGCUUUUGCAUCACCCCCAACAUAGGGAAGACAUGUGGCCAUCCCUACCAACUGCUCUGUACAUUCUUGUUUGUCUUUGGCUGAAUCUGAGGUUACACAGGUAAUCACCAUUGAUACAAUCACUAAGAUCAUGAAAGUACAGUGUGAUCCCAUUGUGAUGGUCUUAAAUCAGGCGCAAAGUGAAGAGGAACAAAGUUUGAAAUCUAGUUUAUGCUUUGGCUAGCUAUUUAAAUGAUCAGCAAGGAGGUAAAAAGAAGAGGAUGGUGGUGGUAGUAGUUGGAAAUUGGACCUAUAUCCCUUGCACCAACCUUCUUCAAUCAUUACAAUGAUCAAUCCUAGUGUCACCUCAUGGUCCUUGGAACUUCUUUUACAGGCCAAUAGCUAAGCACUAAUCUACAGACCAGACGGUGUUGGAUUGUUAACUUGAAUGGGAAACCUAAAACAGAUCAAAUUUUUUCUUCUCAACAACUUUUCGUUUGACAUCAUGAUUGAAAAUAUUCAUUUGGGGCAAUGAUGUGUAGAUUAGUAGAACAUUCUAGUUCUCCUGAGUUGUGGAAUUGGGAUGAAAGUGCAGCAGAAAGUGCAAAUUUCACCAACCCACCAAGGCCAUAGUGCAACACUAGUGAUGUUGAUUAAUAUAAAGUACUAACAGGUACAGUUGCCAAUGGCUUAGAUAGAGCUUGACAUCAUCCACACAUCAUCCAUCUCAAGAGUGAAAGAGGGAGGAUAAUUGUUAACUUUAAUUUGUAUAAAACCAUUGAAGUUAAAUUAUCUGAAAUUGGAAUAUAGGCCCUUUCUUCCUGAAGUGUUCCUCAUUUUUUAGGCUGGGCUCAGGGAAAAGGGCCUCACCCAAUAGUGUGUUGGGCAGGCCUGGCUUUCUGGUAGGCUCAGAUCAUCCAGCUAGUCCCAGGCCUGUCACCAAAGGGGAUUGAGAUAAAUUACAGGCCAUCAGCCCAGUUUACAUCCCCCUUUCUUGAAGAGAUUUUAUUUUGUUAUUUUUUCAAGUCUAAUGAAAUGUGUGAAUAUAACGCAUGCAUCACACUUUAAGAAAUGUCUACAAAAUGGUGUAAAAUCUAUGUAUUUUUUUUUUUAAAAGGUGUAAAUAACUUCUAAAUAAAUUUGUUUUAAGAAGUACAUGAAAAUGUUGUAAAAUCUGUGUUUUGACAGUGCAAUCUAAAGUACUGUCGAUUAAAAUGUUGCCUAAACUUCAACAAAUGGGUACAAUGAACAUUUUUAACCUAUAUGAAGGAGGACAACAGUGCCUUUGAAUGCCUGUCUCCAAAUUACAAAGAGCAAUGCUGUAUACUUAGAAGCUGGAACUUCACAGGCCAUGAUCAUUUUGACUAGAGAUCAUAAUAUGAUUUGCAAUGUGUGUUGUCCCAUGAUUUCAUUUGAGGAAAUUAGUGAUGCAACUUGGGCGGGUUAAGCAUAACCCAAUCCAAAUCCAACCCAAUUUUGUAUGGGUUUGAAGUUUGAACAACUAAAUUAAUUUGCAAUUUGAGUUGAGCUUGAAAAAAAUAAAAUAAAUGUCAACCCUGAUUAAAAUGGAGCUAGAAUUGGGUUGGUGAACGUAGCCAAUCAUAUAUUUAUAAAAAAAUUAAAUUAAACUGUAAAUAUGUAUAUGUGUAUAAAUGUAUAUUAUUUAAUAAUAUUGCACUAGUAUUUUUUUUUUAAUUUUUUUAAAUUGAAAUAUAUUUAUUGUUUUAAAGCUUGUAAGAAGUUGAAGAUUGAUGGACUUCUAAAGAUUCAAUUAUUUGUGUGUAAUGAAUAAUUAAUUUAUAUCUUUUGGCUUAACUUUUAGGAUGUACCUUAAAACUUGAUCAUCAACUUUUAAAGCUACUUUUAAGAACAAAUUGGAGGUGUCGCUCUUUCCUUUCCUCUAAUUAUGAUAAGUUGUUUGAAUGAUUGAUUAGAAAUUGAAAUGUCUUCUUGAACAUGUAAGAAGUACAACUUUUACUUUUAAUUCAAUUGUUGAUAGGAAAUUUCAUAUAAUCUUUAUUUUUUUUAUUUUAAAAUUACUUCGCCCGUUUUAUUGAUUAUAAAAUAGGGUUAUAACUAUUGGAUGGAUCAAGUAAAAGAAUAUUAUAAAUUUAUGUUUUAUACAUUGGAAAAUUAUAUUUCCAUGUACUCAUUUGCAAAAAAUUUCAUGCUAAGAACUCAAAUUUAUAAUAUUCAAACUUUCAUAUAUGUAUUUAAAAAUAAUUAGGAUUUUAUACAUUUUUUUUUAUUAAAUAAAUCGAUUUUAAGCAUUUAAAUACCAUAUUUUAAUAAUAUAGAUAUUAUCUAGGAUCAACUAGAUAUUUAAAUAUAUAAAAUUUGAAUUAUUUUUAAAGAAUUUCUACUUUUUUUCUAUCAGAAACAUACAGUUGAUAAAUUGAUUUUCAAAAGUUCAAGACUUCUAAUUAAAUGAAUGUUAUAAUAGCUUUUGGUAAAAUAUUUAGUAAAAAGGAUAUUAAGUUUAUAUAAAUAGUACUUAUCAACCUCACCAAUCCAAAAAUAUUAGUUUAACAAAAAUGUAUGAAUAUAACCACAAGAAGAGAAUAUCAGAAGGACCCAAUUGAGAGGUCUUCCUGAGUUCAUAAAUCAACCAACAGCAGAUUUCACGGGCACCGAUCGUAUCGGUUAGAUGACUUCUCUGGCAUUGAUAUUCCCUUGUGAAACGGCAGCUUUACUUUUGUUUUGUUUCAUUAUUUGAUUGAUGAAAAUGAUUAAAGGUGCAUUAAUGCAUGAGCAAUAUCUUUAUAGACUAUGAAUCAUCAUCAGGAGUGAGGACAAUGAUCUCUGACUAGUGGGUCAUCUCAUUACCUACAUCAUUACACUACUGAUAAGUUUUUCUUGCAAGAUAGCAGCAUCCUAGAUCAUUCCAGUAGUGUGGAGAGAGCAUCUAGACCAAGUCCAAAGCCCCAACUAGUGGGGUACAGCACAAAAGACAUAAGACCAAAAGAAAAAUUAGUGGACCCCCAUUUCCUUUUAACUAAGCAGGUAAAAGCAAAGACCGAAAUAGGACUUAGGAUCCUCUAGUAUGCGGAUCUCAAACCAUUCUUUUAGUGAUCUUCUUAGGCAGCAGCUAGUUUUGUCUAAUCAAGGCUUCUGCAGUAGAAAAUUCCCAUCAGGGCUUAGCCCAACUUGCCCUGAUCAUGAUCAUGAUCAUUCUUCACUCAUUUUAUAGGGCCUUAAGUUAAUAUAUAACCCUAGAAACCCCAUCCAAGAUACUAAAUAUAGUCAUGGAACAGGUCCUCAUUAACAAAGCCCCACCUUAAAAUAAGCCUAAUUAAAAUAGCCUGUGGCAACCUAUCAAGCCUCAAAUCAUAUCUGAAAAACAGCUCAGGAAGUAAUAUGACACUUGUCAAACCCAAAGUUUAGCUCGUCAUAUUUCCAUUAGGAAGAAUGAUAAUCACAUUACAUCUGUAAAAGAUGAUAAUGAAAGGAUCCAAACUUGAUGAUAGGAACCUUUCCACAAUCCUGAUGUAAAUUUAGUAGGGUUUACUAGAGUUAGAGACACACCCAUCUCAUACUUUAAAGUAUGUUGAUAUAAAAAAGGAAAAAACACAAAGAACAUUGCAGAAUUGAGAAAUGGGCAACCAUCUCUAAGUCUUCAAUAAUGUUUCCUCCCCUCAAAUCUUGCUAUUUUGUUUAUUGUGGCCUACCUCAGUAACUGGUCCAUGGUCGGUCGUAUGUGGCAGCUGUUCAUUGGCUCGGCCUUUUAAAUAAAUGAUGACAUGAAUAUCAACCAUGUAAAGUCAUCACCGGCCUUAACAGAAAGCAUAGUACUGCUAAAGGAAGAGAAUCUCCAUACUACUAAGUAAAGUCAAGAAAAGAGACUAUAUAAACCACGUUUGUUGCACAAUUUUCUUCAUCCCAUCAUCCAGUUGAAUCUGUAUUUCUCAUCUAGCUCUCUGCAUCCUGUCCUAGUUUCCCAAGAUAUGGCUAAAGAUCACUAUUCUUCUGCUCAGUCUGAUCAGCCUCUUCCCCUACACCUUUGCUGUUUCCUUGCUAUACUCUUCAUGUUUAUUGCCUUCUCAUGGUACAUCAACUAUGAGCCUGUGUUGGAUAGUAUGUUCGAUCAGCUCAAAUUGAUUCUAAUGGUGUCCCCUUUGCUGCUUCUACUAGCCGUCCAUUGGCUUUCCAGCGACUUGGGCAGGCAGUUUCCAUCUCUGAUACCUUUGCCGCAGCGAGACUCACUUCACAGAGCUGGAGGAACUCCUUGGGGAGUUGGGUUUCUCCUGGUUUUUUUCUUUUUCAUGAUAUCCUACCAGUCCUACUUCCAUGAACGCUGGUUUCCUCUUCUGAGCAGAUGAUGAAGUUAAUGGUCUCUUUGUAUUGUGUAAUUUGUAUCUGUUGUACCUAGUUGCCAUGGCAAGGCUUCCAGAUUUUGUUUUGUUGUCUUGUAAUCUAAAUUUUGUAUAAAUCCAUCUGGGUGUUACUCUUUUCUGACUGAAAAUUUUUGUGUUGCCAUUUUUUUUAUACAAACAUGUUGAUGAAUCUGCAAUUUUUAGGGGAAUUCAGUCCAAAUAAGGCCUGAAUCACAUUCCACCGGCACUAUAGUUUUUGGGUUUCACUAACAAUUCCCCAAAAUUAAUAUCUGGGUCAGUGGGUUCAUUCCUUGUGAGCGCAGUGCACAGCCUCCAAAUCUGUCAGUUGAGAACCCUAAUUCUCCCAGGGAGGAGAUAAGGACAAUAUCACUGUUUUCUGCAUUAUAUUCAACGAUGCAAAUCUUGACUUGGAUAGAUGACAGUCAUGAGUCAUGACACCAUGAUAUUUUAGCAAUUUUCAUGUAUUUAAUCCCAAAACCAAAAUGGUCGACAAGUCAAUGUGCCAUGUGUGAGGUGUGUGUGGAUUUGAUGAUGGGGUAGUUUAGAAGUCAUGUGUGAGAGGAAAAUGACUUGUAGGUCUCCUGAUAAUUGUAGGGCAAUGGUAGGAAAAGUAGGGAGCAUAUCAAUGGCAUUUAAUAAAAUUUUAAGCUUUAGUUCCGGAUCUGAAUGGGGGUGUGAGCUUGACUUUGAACCUAAAAUAUAAUCCUAGUUCUAUGGGUACAUUAUAGGUAUAGGGUUUCCAUUAAGGACAAGGAGUAUCAUUUUCAUUCUCAACCUAACAACCUAACCUUUCUCCAUCUUAUCUAAACUUUUGAAUAUUAAUAUACGCUCUUAUUACAUACACACACGUAUUGAUUUCCAAAUCAGAGUAGUUAGAUGGGGAAAAAGGCCUUGUUGGGAAUAUCUCUAAUUUUAACUUUUUUAGAAAUUAUCAACAUUCUCCUUUAACUUCUCCCAAUAGGCUUAUUAUUUUCACGGGUUUUCUGCUUGGAUUAGCUUUUUCUAUUCCUUGAUCCACUAGGAUUUGGUACCAUUGAAGGGAUUUUUAUUGUACCAUAAUCGAAACUUAUGAAACUUUUGCCAUGUUUGGUUCUUCAAAUGUAGUAAUAAAAGAAUUUUUUUUUUUUAAAAAAAAUUCUCAUAUUUGAUUUUAUCAUGAAAAAUAUUUAAAAAAAAAUCAAAUAUAAUUAAAAUUAAUUAUAAAUUUAUAUGUUUUAAAUUUAUUUAAUCUUGAUGUAGAAAAAAAAUAAUAAAUAAAAUAAAUUUAAAAUAACGUAUAAAAAUAAAUUAUUGAUUUUAAAUUUAUUUUUUAUUUUUCUCUAUGUUAUCUUUUCAUUGUAUUUUCCUUCAAAAUUUCUAGUAACCAAAUAUGACCUUAACAUAUUAACUAAGACCUCUCUUUCUGCGAAACAAUAAUUAUUAGGAUUCACCCCUUUUAGGAUAUGAGUCCAUGGGUGCUUAAUCUUGACAAUUUUAUUUUUUAUUUUUUAAUAUUCAUGGUUUUUGGGUUCUUAAACUUGGCAACUUUUUUUUUAAAAAAAAUAUUUUUUUAAUGGGAUUCACUUUUAAUAUGUUACCCAUAAAAAAUCUUGUAAAUAUUAUUUGCUUUACACUAUAAAAUAAGCACAUCAUAUGAUUUGUUUCCUAUAAGUAUUACAAACUUUUUACCAAAUCACAUGGGAUAUCACAUCAAGAUAUUGGAUUUUAACAAAAAUUUCUGAUUCCAAAACUUGUUUAAGUGGGCAAGUAUUUUAUUAAUUCUUAAUAAAUUAAAUAAAAUGAGUUUUAAAAGGCAUAUACAAACAAUUUAUUCAUCCUUAAUUAAUUAAUUAUUUUUCUUUAAUUUUUUAUUUUCUUUCAUUUUAGAACCAAAUAUUAAACAAAUAAUUUAAAAAUACAUAAGCUUCUAACUAAUUUUAAGAAUAUUUUAUUUUAUUUCAUAUUUUAUAUGAUAAAUCAAAUAUGAAAAAAUGAUUUUUUAAUACAUUUUUCCCUUUCAUUUUCCAAAUACCAAAUAUUAGAUAAAUAAUUUAAAAAUACAUAAGCUUCUAAUUAAUUUUAAACCUAUUUUAUUUUAUUUUAUUUUAUUUUUUAUAUUUUUUUAUGAUAAAUCAAAUAUGAGAAAAUAAUUUUUUUUUUAUAACAUUUGUUUCUUUUCUUAAUACUUUAUUUGAAACUAAAUAGAGCAUUAAUUUUUAUGUAGUAAAAAAAAAAUCAAGUGAAAUAAAUUUGAAGAAAUAUAUAAAAAUAAUUUUAUUAACUUUAAUUAAUUAAUUUUCGUUUCUUUUUAACUUUUCUAUUUAUCUCAAAUUCAAAUUUGUUGAGAUCAAACAUCGGAUUGCCAUCCUAAGCAAAGCCCAAUUUACAAUGGUGCUUGGACUUAACAAGAAACUAGUCACUCCACUUGGGCAGAAGUUGGAGGAGGUCAAGUCAUGCCAAAUUCCAGGAAGGAGCCCAUGCGGGCCUUCCCAUAUGAUCAUCAGAUGAGGUUUGGACAGAAACUGGGCUCAAGCCAUGCUUGAAAUUGAGCACAGCCCAUCCUCAUUUGUUACUUGUACAAAAGCUAUGGGACAAUGGAGCUUCAAGUGGGAGCAAUCAGAGUGUGACCCAAAUUGUGAGUCCUAUCUACUUCUCUCACUUUGUGGACACACCAUGAUCAAUAAUUUUCAGACUACACCACCUAUCCCAUAAACAGUUGAGUUGAACAUUUUACCAAUUUCAUCUUAAAAUUAAUUAAUUCUUAGUGAGAUUAUGACCAUACCCUAAAUCUGAUACCAAAUUUCCCAUCUCAUCUUAAAACUAAUUGAUUCCCUGAUGAGGUUGUGAUUAUCUCCUCUUAUAUGUUGUAUAAAAGAUGAUACAUAAUCUUCACUGAAAAGGCAAAAUUCCUUUGUUGAAGGUGAAGGUGAAACAAAAUGGUAGAAAUGAAUUAUUUUAGUAUUAUUUUUUACUCCUCAUAUAUAUUCGGACUAUUCUCUGAUUUGACAUGAUCUCAAUGUCUCUCUAGAAUUACUUUUAAGAUAUCUGUUAGGAUUACAUGGGGCUAAUUGUAUGCUUUUUAUAGCCUUUUUUUUUUAUUUAAGCUUUUUCCUAAUUUUUUAUUUGACCUAUCAUAUACUAUUCUCAGUAUUACCUUAUCUUAUUUUUGUAAUCUUUACUUUAUCCCUUUAGAGAUUUAUCACCUUUGGAAAAUUUUUGUUAAGUAAACCUAGGUAAAGAGAAAGGUGAAUUAAAUGAUAGUUGCUUUUAAUUUUUUUUAUUAAAUUUUAACACAAUCAACAUCUGCAUUCAAAAUAUAGUAAAGAUCUCACAAAGACUAGAUAGAUAACAAAUAUAAGAUCAAAUUAGCUUAGAAGAACUAAAAAAAAAAGGUUUUCAAUGGAUUGCCAAAGAUUUGCAAGAGUUCAAACCAAUAUUUUGACACAAGUUCACCAUAAGAGGCCCAUCACAUAGUCAACCAUAUGACUAGCUAUUAGAGUAUUAAAUGCAUAGCAAGUUAACAAUGGAGAGCAAAUUACUAAAGAGGUUGGUUGCAUAAUAGGAGAUUAAUUGAUGAUGAUAAGAAAAAAACAUUUCUUGUUAUGAUUUUGCUAUUUUAGGCAUGAAACAAUGCAAGAGUUUCCUAUGUAGACUUCAUUAUGUGAUUCCCUAAAACCUUUUAGAAUUUGAUAUCAUCUUUUGAGGACUUACACCAACUUUCAAUGCAAUUUUCAAGUUUAAAAGUUUUGUUUUAAUUUCUUGCAUUUUUAAGGCCUUAAAGUUGAUUUUAGUUCAAGAUAGUCUUCUAUCACUUAAAUAAGGACCUACCUAGAGAUCAUUUUUUAUGCCCUAGCAAGUAGCGACCACCAUAAUUCCAAGACUAACACGCAAGGAGUUCUGAGCUGCCUCUUGAGUCAUCAUAUUUUUUAGGAAGCACAACCACAAGAGUAACAAUGUUCGAUCCAUACAACAUUACUGAUAGUGAAAUUUUAAGGAUUAAUUGUUCAUGCUAUCCAAAAGGGCCGUUUACAACUUCAAGAUUGCAGAAGCAAAGCUAGAAAAUAGAGGCUCAAAAGUUUUGAAAGGAGGCAAAAGUUAUUUUUCAUAAAUCUCAAAAUAGCACAACCCCAUAUAUACUAUCUAUCCUUUAUUCCUCUUUUCUAAAGCUAACUUGUAUUUAUGCAUAAAUGUCUGACCUGUAUGAGUAUGAAGAAUGCAAGCGUUGAGGUUGAGAAUAUUAAACUUCAACUACAUUCCAUAGGAGUAUCCAAUGCUUCCUCGUGUGAACUUUUCCUCUCUUCAACAACGAAAACAAAAGCAUAUAUUAUAAAGCUAUGUAUAAUUAAGAAAAAGAAUUGAUUCCAUUCCACUGCUUUUAAUUAAUUCUCCCCACCACCUCUUGACUUACUCCUCAAGCCUCCCAACCUUUCCACAUGCAAAUGCCAACAGAUCAACUGUGAUUUUUGCAGCAAACCCACCAACUAAUCACCAUAAUUAAGCUACACAACAACAACACAAGCACCACUGAUUAAAACAAAGUGUUUUGUAAAAAUGUUUUUGAGACUAUAAGUGAUUUUUUAAAAAUGAUUGAUUUUUCUUCAAAACCAUUUUUUAUGCUACAGGUGCUUUUCAAAGCACUAUCAAACGGAUUAUUAGCCGACCCUCCAACCAUAAUUAACAUCAAUAUAUUUACUGAAAGGGAUUUGAUCAAGUGAGGCAUUGCAUUGACAGAAUCUGAGCCAUCGGAGUUUUGACAUUCGACAUUGAGACUCUUAAUCUUUGGCUUUAUUCUUGAUUCCCUAGGAACUCAAUGCUUUGUCACAAGGCUGACUGACCUGCACUCUAGCCUUACCCAUCUCCAUGAGUCCAUGGCAUGUAGUGGUAGCCUUUUAUGUCAAACCUAGGCCUCUUUUUCUUUUCUAAAUCUCACCUUUGCUUUAAUUUUUUCUUUUGAUUUUCAAAUUUUCAACCAUUAAUGAUGCUUAAACAGCUAAGAGGAUUGCAAAAAUUAGCGCUUAAGGCAUCAAAGCACCACUAGAUCAUGAUCUGAAGAUGUUAAUGGCAUCACUUUAUUUCUUGGAAAAGGCCAGAAGAUAAAAAUUGAUGAAAAAAGAAGUGAAAAUGAACCUUUGUUUAAAAGCAAUAGACCCUGAAAAGAAAAGAAAAUUUCAAAGUGGAAAAGAAAAAGAAUACCACCAGCUGCACCUCCACCACCCCCUCUACAACCCAGCCCAAAGUUCGAACUUUAUCGGAGUGCCCAAUUUCAUUGUCACCCUCACGGAAUCUUUGGUCAUGGGGUCGCAUAAUUUUGUAGCCAAAUAAAGAACUCACUGGCUUGUGGGCAUAAAAUAGAAGUCGAGAAUUAAGCCAUUUAACCCUCAAAACUUCAAAUCUUUCACACUUUUCCAAUUUCCUUUUAACAUUUAUGGGAUGCAAAGGAUCUUUUUCUCAUUGGGUAAUGAAGAAAGAAUAUUAUGAGCAACAAGUAAUGACAAGGAGCAAGGUAACAAAAAGAAUAGAGUGAGUUAGCUAGAUGUGGAUUGGAAAAUCCAGGAGAAGUCACUCUAAUCGAUGCUAUAAAUCUUGUCUGCCAUGAUCUAAGCAAGCAAUGGAAGGACUAGUACUUGGAACCAGUGAGAUUGAGCUGCAGGAAGGGGGCUCCACACUUGCUAACAGUGCUAAGAUAUGAACAACAAAACAUGAUCAUUAAGACAUGAUCUGCAAGUGUGAAGGGGCUCAUCAUAAGGAUAAUUAUUCUAAGAACAUUCUCUUUAACCCAAAUUACUAGAGAAAAAGAUAAAGGAAGGAAACAAAGCGACUCUCAAAAGCAAAAGUCCUCUGUCCCCUGGCCCAGUGUGUGCGUGCGUGUGCUUGGCCAGCUCUUACCCACCAGUCUAUUUGCUCUUCUCGGAGGGAUGAUGUUAACCAAAGAGCAGAAAAAAAAAAAAAAGGAGACAAGCUAUUUUUAAUGUGGUUUCAUUAAUGGGAUCCCUGAUUCCCUAUGUCUGUGAUGCGCAACGACACUUAAAAAAUUCACUAAUUAAAUAAAAGGGAAGGGUUACAAUGCUUAAGGCCCUCCCUCUCCUCUCAAUUUCGAUCACACUCUAAUUUUCUUAAAACAAAAUUCUAAAUCAUAGGAGGGUUAAAAAUACAAAAAAGGUAAACCAAUAAAUAAAUAAAAUUUCAAGAUGCAUUACACUCUUAAAUCCCGAUGAGUUAAUCGAAUGACUUGAUCCUACGAGCUCAACCUUUAGCAUUUCUUAUGUCAUGCAACAAGAUUGAUUCAGACUUCACAAUCUAUCCAAGAACUGCCCUAGGUUUUGAUCAUGAACAAUUUGUAAUUAACCCCGAUUUGAUAGAGAGAAGGUGGCAAGAAUUCGGUUGGCCAGAAGCAGCUAAAACCAACAAAGUCUGUAGGGAAAGAUAUCCUCUGUUUCGCCCAAGAAAGAUUGAUUGAAUCAUCAAUAAUUUGAAGCGUGAGUUGCAAUUAGAUCGAUUUUGUUUUUGGGGGAUCCAUUAGAAAGGAAGAUUGUUACAGGAUAUGCUAUGUUUGCAGUGAAUGAGUGAGUGAUUGAAGCUAGGCAGUGAGUGUGGGGUAGACUGUAGCGGAGGCAAAGAAACCAGCAAAAGCAAAAAAGAGGUAGAGCAGUGGCUUCAGCUUCAUGAUGCUUUAUUGCUUUAUCUUUCCCGCGUUUUGCUUUUUCAGCUAUAGCUCUCUUUUUUUGAGCCAAGGUGCUCUUAUCUCAAUCACACUCCCACUAAUUCUAUGCUACUUUUGUCUUCUUCUCUCUUUCUUUGCAGUUUGCAUACAUGCAAUCCUAUUUAAGGUCUUCAACAAUAUAUGGUGGGUGAUGCAUAGACAGAGACAAAAUCAUAAGCCACACUCAGGGUCAAGCCAAGAUGGAGAUAUUGUCACAGAUGUGGUCUUUCUUAGGCCUCCUCACUGUACUCCAAAACGUCUUGCCAUCCCAAAUUCUGUCACUUCUCCACUCCUUCUACGAGUCCCUUCAAGACUUCUUCUCCCCAUUCGCCUACUUCGAGAUCCCUGAAUUCAACGACUACUGCGGCGUCGACGUCAAUGACCUCUACCGCCAUGUCAACCUCUACCUCAACUCUGUCAACCCUGCCACCACCUGCCGCCGCUUCACCCUCUCGCGCUCCAAAUCCUCCAACCGCAUCUCCUUCACCGUCGCUCCUAAUCACACAGUCCAUGACUCCUUCAAUGGUCACACUCUCUCCUGGACCCACCACGUGGAGACGGUUCAGGACUCUCUGGACGAGAGGAGAAGCUUCUCCCUCAAGCUCCCCAAGCGCCACCGCCAGGCCCUCCUCUCGCCCUACCUCGAGCUCGUCACCUCUCGCGCUGAGGAGUUUGAGCGAGUCUCUCGCGAGCGAAGGCUCUUCACCAACAAUGGUCAUGGCUCCUACGAGUCCGGCUGGGUGUCCGUCCCAUUCCGCCACCCCUCCACCUUUGAAACCCUCGCGCUGGAGCCGCAGCUCCGGCAACAGAUAACGGACGACCUGACCGCGUUCGCCAACGGGAAGGAGUUCUACCAUAGGGUGGGACGCGCAUGGAAACGUGGGUAUUUGCUAUACGGACCGCCUGGGUCCGGCAAAUCGAGUUUGAUCGCAGCAAUGGCGAAUUACCUCUGCUACGACGUUUACGACCUGGAGCUCACCAAAGUCUCCGACAACUCCGAGCUCAGAGCACUUCUGAUACAGACCACUAACCGCUCCAUCAUCGUCAUCGAGGACAUCGACUGCUCAGUCGAUCUAACGGCGGACAGGCUGUCAAAGACGAAGAGAACGACACCGGCGAAAGGGUCCAGCAGAGACGAGGGUGAGGAGAACGGGCGGGUGACGUUGUCGGGGCUGUUGAAUUUCACCGACGGACUGUGGUCGUGUUGUGGGGAGGAGAGGAUCAUCGUCUUCACCACCAACCACAGGGACAAUGUUGACCCAGCGCUCGUUAGAUGCGGCCGGAUGGACGUUCACGUUAGCCUCGGCACCUGCGGCAUACACGCCUUUAAGGCCUUGGCCGCCAACUACCUGGGCUUGGAGUCCCACCCUCUGUUCGACGUCGUGGAGAGCUGUAUAAGGUCCGGCGGGACACUCACGCCAGCACAAGUUGGAGAAAUACUACUGAGGAAUAGAAGAGACGCUGAAGUGGCAAUCAAGGCGGUGAUAUCGGCAAUGCAGGCAAGGAUUUUGGGAGCCGAAAGGGAACCCAUAGAGUAUGAGGAGAUGGCGAAGUCGCCGGAGAGCGUGGAGAGGGGGCUGAUGGAGUCGCCGGAGAAUUGGGAGACGUCGUCGCCAGGGAAAUACGUGAGGAAGAAGAGGAAGGAGGGGGGUUCAGUUACAGGUUCAGGAAGUAGCUGGGAGAAGAAAGUCAAAUUCUUGGUGAGACUGAGAUCUUUGACCAAGUCUGACUCUGGAAGAAGGGGUUGUUAAUUGAAAGGUCAAAAUUUUGGGAUUGAAUUAGAUGUAAUUUUGUAGUUUCUUCCUUAAUUAAUAACUAAUUUAAGCUUUCGAUUAGUUAGUGACAUGGAUCCAAAGUCACAAUUUGUACAAAUGUCCUUAAAUUUAGCUUUAAUGGUAAUUUUGACGUAAACUUUAGUAUCAAAUUUUCAUAGCGCAAAUAGGUCAUUUUAUGGUACCCAAAAAGUAAAAAUGAUAACCAAUUUACAAAUUUUUUUUUUCAUUUUUUAUUCUACCAUAUUUCAUAUGAAGAAAUUAGUUUUAGAAAUAAUUUCCCAAUAUUUACAAGUGUGUAAAAUGUAGCAUAGCACCUCAACUUGAGGUAUUUAAAUUUGGUUUAGUUGGAUGCAACCAUUUCUACAAAUAUUUAUAAUUACGUGGCAGAAAAAAAAUCAAAAUAUUCUAAGAUUUAAAUCUACAAUUUUUGAGAAAUAUGACAAUAAUAAUUUGAAAUUUUCCUAAAAUAUUUUUAUUUUAUUAUAUUCAAGUGAUAAAUAAUAAUUAAUGCCCAUCUAGAUUUUACAUUUUGCAUUUGGGGUGGAUGGUCCACACAACAACCGGCACUAUUUCACGUGCGAAUACACACGAGUCCCACCACCAAACACACCACGUGGUGGAGGGAGGCCACGCAUUUAUUCGCCACACAACACAAAUAUCUUCUUCCCCUCCCCUCUUCCGAUAAAUACCACCCACCUACUGGCUACUGCCAAAAUUCUCACACCCCACCAACAACACACAAAAAAUGGGAGUGGUGAUAAUAGACGGAUCCACGGUGCGAGACUUCGUUGGCAACGACGCCUUGUUCAAUAAGAGCGUCGACGACCGCUUCUCUGCCCUUGACCUCAACGGCGACGGCGUCCUCUCCCGCUCCGAGCUCCGCAAGGCCUUCGAGACCUUUAGGCUCUUGGAGGCCCACUUCGGCGUCGACGUCGUCACUCCUCCAGAGCAGCUCACCCAGCUCUACGACUCCAUUUUCGAUAAAUUCGACUGCGACCACAGCGACACCGUCGAUCUGGAGGAGUUCCGAUCUGAGAUGAAGAAGAUCAUGCUCGCUAUUGCUGAUGGUUUGGGUUCCUGCCCCAUUCAGAUGGCUCUUGAGGACGAUGAUCAGAAUUUCCUCAAGAAGGCUGCGGAUUUCGAGGCCUCUAAGACUUCUUCCUGAACAACCACCCACCCUCAUGUCCUACCUCAUCUUUACUGCUGUAAUUUAGGGUUCCUUUUCCUUUAUUUUGUAAUCAAAACCUUUUGAUGAGGCUAUCUCAAUGUCAAAAAUCCAUUUCCCCCCACACCGUUUAAUCUAUUUAUUAAUCUGAUUUCAUUGGUUUAAACAAAGAGAACUAACCCAAUUCAUCUAAAUUCCAAUCACAUGAUGAAUAAUUGACAUUACAACCUCAACCCACUGAUGAUUUCAGUGGGUUUAAGCCAAUAAUACCAGGGGCGCUAAUUUUCAGAGUCAUCCCACCCACCUGCAAAACCAACAACCAGACCCCCGUAAAAGGAAGGAAAAAAAAACUCCAUCCCACUAUUUUUAUUACUUUUUCUUUUCAUAGGCCUAACCACCAGGAUCAAGGUGGUUUUAAGUUUUAUAUCCAAGACCAUAGGCACCGACAAUCAAUCAUAUGACAAGUACACUAAUUUGAUGAAUAUGUUGAAAAAAUAUCAAAAUCCAGUGUACCAUCCAUGUUACUUUUGUCUCAAAUUCCAAUCAUGAGAACAGUCCAAAUAAAAGUGUGAAUGGCCGAAGUUUACUAUGUCAUGAGAAAGUUCUGAAGACUCCAAGCAUUUUGCCAACGAGCAUAAAUGCAUAUCAACAACUCCAAAUGAGUUAAACCUUUCACUGUGUCCAAAAGAGGGAAAAUGAGACCACCCAAUGUGGAUUCAAUGCACAGAAAUAAAAAAUGAAACGUCACAUUUCGCAAAUGCGGAUUCAGUCCAAAAGUAAGUUAAAAAAUAAUACUACACUUCAACCUAAAUGAACAAAAAAAAAUUAAAAUGAGGUAGCCCCUUCGGAUUUUUGUUUACAUGGGAGGGCUGUUUUGGCCCAAAACUCUCUUCACCGCUUCAAGCUCCUUCACCCCAACCAAUGUGCGUUACCCGCCAUGUGAAUCCCAUGUGUAUUACAUAAUGCGCCCUCCAAAAAAGGUAGGAGUUCAAUACUGUUGAUCAUUAUAUACAAGAAUACCAUCGCAACUUGGUGAUAUAACCCAUUAGCGAAUAAUGAUCAUAGUGCUAACCACAAAACCAAGUACAAAAGGUUCUUAACCCUCGUAAUGCAAACUUAAUAAUUCUCUGGUUCUUUUCUAAACAACCUAGAAUGAUAACAAUAUACAAGCUUAUCACACACAAUGAUGACAAAAGGCCAGGUAAGUAAUUAUAAUGGUAACUAUUGUUAAGACCUCCAACUAUCAAUGCAGAUAUAACUUGAGCAAAAUCAAUUUCAUUAACAUGUUUGAAAGGAAGUGACAACAACACUUGCAGUUCUCCAUCAAACAAAGCAUAUAAAAAACAAGACACUCCAUUUAAUAAACAUAAUUCCAAGAAAAAAACAAAGAGGCUAAUGGGACCAAAGAUUAAUAGAGAUUAGCUUAGCGUAGCAUAUACAUGAGCUGAACUAAUAUUUUACAUCGAUAAAUUAGCUCAGCAUUUUUGGCUUACAAUGCAAAAUGGGAUGUUCUCAGAAACCUUUCAUAUUUCCAAGCACCCUGAGGAGUACUGUACCCUUAAACCCAUUAAGUAUUCUCAGCAUAUUACAAGAAAAACACAGCACUCUUUCAUUUAUGCAAUCAAACAAAUUAAUCAAGGCAUAUGCCCAAUCAUGCUGUGCAGCCUUGUACCAACACACACUUAAAAGUAUCACCUUAAAUGUUUUAGACUCAAUGAUAUGUAUCAAAUUAUGCUGGCUUUUACUCAAUGAAAAGGAGUCAUCAUGCUGUUAAAUGUCGUUAAUCUCACUAACUUUACUUACGACCAACAUUUAUUCCAAUAAGCAUCAUGAAUCCCACUAAUUUCAUUAGGACCAACAUCAUUGCAUCACAAAUGUACAAAACAUUUUUUGAAUAAAUGCAACAUACUUGUGUCAACCAUCAGUUCCUGGUUGUAAUCACAUCCUUUAUGCCAUGACAAUGAGAAACUGCGUUCAAAACCACAACCACCAAAACUAAAAAUAGGAAAAGUUCUAAUCUAACACCAAAAUUUCCAACUCCAAACGGAACAAGACAUUUAUAAAUGCAAGUCACAACUUUAUCAAGUGAAGCACAAAUUUAAAUGACUAAAAUUCGAACUAAUACAUUUAGAGCUAAAAUUAAGAUGGUAGGCCACAUCAAACUCCUCAAAAAUCACCCCUAAGGUGAGUUCCAAACAAGGAUAUGCUAUUUGCAGAACCACUUCUACCACUUGAUGUCGUGACAAGUUGUUUAGUAGGUAAAAAAGCAUGCAUUUUAUUUCUUAACUCAGUUUCUACCAUCAAUCACCACUUAUCACAUUGGUUAGAGUAAAAGCCAUUGUUUUUUAAGAAGAAAGAAUUGAAUGUUACUAUUCACUUUAUCAUCUUUUGAAGAGAUGAUUAAUAAGAUCAGAACAAUGAUGAAAGCCCCAUUCUACAUAUCAAAGUAGAGGAAAUCUAGAUUUGAAUGAUUCACAGUAUACAUCAUUAUUGAAGCAAACAAAAUUGGGAUGACCCAUGGGAUCACCACCAUCAUUGCCCUGUUCCCAGCAUGAAUUUGGAUAGGGUAAAUCAUGAUAAUCCACCCAAAUUGAUGAUGAGAAUGGGAGCUUUGGCAGCUGCAAAAAGCAAAGGGAAAUCAAGCUGUAACAAGAUCACACAGAAACAAUGUCGGAACAUCUGAAUGCAUAAACCCAGCGAAAACAAAGAGGCAAAUGCCAGAAUCUCCGCCCCGUUGUCACUGUAGGCAACGUACAGCGCUGAAUACGCUAUUGGGAAAGCGUAUCAGAGACUCUAAUUUGUUGCCAUGCACUACCAAAAGCAAUAUCACAGAUGAAAUAAAAUCAUCCAAAACAAUAAUUUCAAAGUAAGAAAAGGCUCAGAGAGUAAUGAUUCUAGAUAGCAUCAACAAGCUUCCAAGCUUUCAUAGUUUGAUGGUAUACGAUUCUCGUCAUCGCUGCCUCCUCAUCAACAAUUUUGAUUAUCCCAGACAACCCAUGAAAAUUAAAGAGAUUUAACAGAGAACCCAUAAAAACUCAACUCCAAAGAAGGCGAGAUCAGACCUUAACCUUGCGAACUGCUGUUGGAUGGUGAAAGGGACCUGAGGAAUAGAAGGGUUUAUAUGGGAGAGCCACAAACCCUAACCUUGCUUUUGAUUUGGGCCUUAACGCAAACAUUCCGGCCCUAAUAUUUGGAAGGCCCAUAGACGAGCCCAACUCGGUCCAAGUCCACAUCUAGCAUUUAAAUAAAAAAAUUUAGCUCAAUUUAUCUAAAAAAAAACCACGUUUGAAUAAUGGACAUAUUUCUUAUGAAAAUAAAAAUAAUGAUAGUUAUUUUAGUAGUUAAUUUAUAUUUAAUGAAAAUUUUGUAACAAAAUUGUGCUUUUAAAAUCAUAAGUUCAACUUGGGUUUUAGCCUUAAAAGUUAAUAUGUCUAGUGAUAAAUAAAAUUAAAAAAAAAAAAAAAACCACUCUUCUUAGUAGCUCAUUUAAAAGACAGGUUGAUGAUACUAAAAGUUUGACCUAUAAGGGGCCUUAUUAUCAUCGACUUCAUGAAUAGUUGCUUUAUAAAGAAUAUCAAUUUAUUUGCUUGAUUUGAAAUGUGGUGGAGAUUUUGACUCUAAUAUCACUUUAAUUUCCCGUUGAGUGAUGGCUCUCCCAUCACUUUUAUCAUUUAAAUUAAUUUUGAUCAUUUUAUUAGUGAAAUUUACGUUUCUUAACUAAAUAUAAAUGGAUGAUGUUGAUGUUAUUAAUUAGCUGAAAGCAUGAUGAAGAUUUGGUUAUGAUAUUACUGUAAUUCCUAUUUUUCGAUGAUGGUUUUCUUACUUCUUUAUCUUUGUAAUUAAUAUUCAUCAUUUUGUUAGUGAAAUUUAUGUUGCUUGGAAAUAAAAAGAAAUAACAUUACUACAAUAAGGUAAUAUAAAGAUAGUUUAUUAAUUUAUGGAGCGGUUUAAAACUUUAUUUAUCUUUAAGUAACAUAGUAUACUACCAAGAAAAUAUUUCUUGUCUUUUGAAAAGUCAUUUUUAUUAUUUAAGAAAAUUGUCACAUGUUGGAUGACAAUUAGUUUGGGUUUUAGUAGAAUAUCUUUAAUCAAAAGACUCGUUAACUAAAAAGUUUAUUUAAUUAAAAAUAUUAAUUCGAUUAAAUACAUCUAAGAAGAUUGUCAAGUCAUGAUGAGUGGACGGAUUCACCCACUUGUAUACGGCUACGAGUUGAUGUGUAUGGAUUUAUGAUCCAAAAAGACGCAUAAAAUUUAAAGAGGAAAAAGGAUGCGUCGCCUGAGAGAUUCGAACUCUCGCGGGGAAACCCCAUGUACUUAGCAGGCACACGCCUUAACCACUCGGCCAAAGCGACGGUUGAAAGAAGACAACAGCUGAUAUUGUAUUUGAUAUAUUACUUUUAAUAAUAAUAAAAAUAGUGUCACCGUCAAGUCUGUUUGGAGUCUGGACUACCCACCGUCUCAUUCAAACUAAUCCAACCCCCGUCACCAAAAACAACUCUCAACCCUUGAGCCUUCUGGAUCCAAACAACAUUUUUGGUUUUCCUUCUUUCUCUCUCUUCCUCUCACCCCCAAACCACCCUCUGUCUCAGGUGACGUCAUGUCGGCCACCGCCGCCACCACCCCCACCACUCCCACCGCCGCCACCGCCAUUGACCGCCGCACCUACUGGUGCCACGAGUGCGACAUGAGCGUCACCCUCUCCCCGUCCUCCUCCUCCUCCCCCACCCUCCUCUGUCCCCACUGCCACAGCGACUUCCUCGAAGAAAUGGACUCCCCCAACCCCAACCCCAACCCCAACCCCACCGCCCCCAACUUCUCCUUCCAUUCCGAAAACUUCCUCCUCGACAGCCCCUACCUCCACCGCCUCAUUCACCACCUCACCCAUCCCUCCGACACCAACAACGACGGAAAUGACAGCAGCGACCUCCCCCCUCCUCGCUACCUCAAUCCCAAUUCCGUCGCCGCCUCCAGGGCUUCCCUCGAAGCCCUCCCUACCUUCAAAAUCACUCCCUCCUUCCUCCAACUCGAUCCCAUUUUGUUCUGUGCCGUCUGCAAGGAUCAGUUCGUCGUCGACGUUGAAGCCAAGCGGCUUCCCUGCAACCAUAUCUACCAUUCUGAUUGUAUUCUCCCCUGGCUCUCGCAGCAGAAUUCGUGUCCGCUGUGUCGGUUUCGGCUCCCCACGGAUGAGGGUGAGGAUUCGGGGGAUGCGGGGGCGACCGUCACGAUGACCUUUGGGGAUUUGAUGGAGGACCAUGAGCUGUUUGGGCUGGGGAGUACUUUGAGGCACAUUGCCCGGAGGAAUAGGCUGGUCUUUCCGGCCUUGUCUGCGGAGGGGCAGGCGCAGGCACAGGGUGAAAGUCUAGGGCCUGAUAACAGUGUGGAGACUGUUUCCAGCUGGCCUCGUCAGGUUUUGGUUGGCGGCGGUGGCGGCGGUGGUGGUGAUGCAGAUUUUGGGGCCGGUGCUGUGGCGAAUGAGGAUGCUGAUGCUAUGAUGCCUGAAGUUAGGGUAUCGGGUUCUGUUUCGGCUUCAUCUUGAGGUGUGUUUUAACUGCUUUCACCCUCUCCCAUACUCCAAUUUCUCAUUUAUGCAAUUGAUCUAUUUAACUAUAUUGAAAUUCCAAUUGAACUGAUGUAUGUCACCUGGAUGAGCACCAUAUCAGAGUUUGAUCCUAUUCUCUAGUUCUUCAGAUGGAGAGUAGUGCAAAUUGUGGGAUGCACCUCUCUGUAAUGGGUUUCUGGGUGCUAUUGCUAGUACUGGUUCACUGUCCAUGUUAUCCAUAAUGUUAGAGUGAUUGGUCCAUGAUGUUUUGCUUUGAAGUAGUUUUCUGGGGCCUAGAAGUUUUGUUUAUCUGGAGACCUAACUGCAAACAAGAGGAAGGUAGAAUUUGGCUGCAGUAGAGGCCUUACACCAACUGGGUUUCAGUUGCAUUCCCACAUCGAUUCCAGUUGGAAUUGGGAUUGACGACUCAUUCCUUAGAGCUUAAACCAAGUAAACCAAACUCGUGGAGUAAUGAUAUUAGACAUUAGACCCUGCUAGCCCAAAAUGGACUUCUUGCAACCCAGCCUUGAUGGGAAGAGCUUGUGCCACUGGAGGAUCUGUAUACUCUGUCAAAUUUGUUGUUUCCCAGGAUGGUUCUUCUUUUAGAAGUUCAAUUGUUUGGAAUGGUGCAGGUUUAAAUAGUAUUCUUUUUUUAGAGGAAGUUAAAGCUUAGAAUCAUCAAACCUAACUAGUUAAGCUAGGUUGGCUAAAAAAGAUGCUGAUAUGCUGGCCAAUAGAGCAGACAACUCCUCUUUUAAGGAGUUUAAUGGGUGCUUUCUCCCCCAUUGAGCUUAUCCAUCUUAUGUUACUAGAUUGAGGCAUUGUUCUUUACUUCUUUUUCUUUUCUCCCAUUAUCUUUCUUCUUGCACCUCAUUUUGCCUUAAAGACUUCUCAUCCUUCUAUGUGAUUACCUCCUUUCUAUUUAUCCUCUUCUUGUUUCUUAUCCAAAAAUGGAAAAAGGAAAAGGAAAGGAAAGAUUACCUUGUUAAGUUCAAAUUAACUUUUUAUUCUCAUAGUCUAUCCAAAGUUUGUGGAUAUAAAGUUAGAUUAUGUGCUCAGGAACUUCUCAUGGAUGGUGAAGGGGACAAGUUUAAAUGUCGCUUGCUUGAAUGGGUGAAGAUUAGUGUGGGUAGAAUAAGAAGUUUUGAGCAAGUUUAAGACUAUGUUUGGUUCUCAGAAAGUGGUAAGGAAAGAAAAAAAAUGUUAAGGAAAAUGAUUUUCUUAUGUUUGGUUUUACUAUGAAAAGUACAAAAGAAAGUUAAAUAUAAUUAAAAUUAGUAAGCAACUUAUAUAUUUUUAAAUUAUUUAAUCUUUAUAUAGAAGAAUUAAAUAAAUGAAAUGAGUGUGAAGUAGAAUAUAAAAAUAAUUUAUUGAUUUUAAAUCUAUUUUUUAUUUUCUUUUACUUUUUUUUUCCUUCUACUUUUGUUCUCUAUUUUCUUUCCUUUGCAUUUUCCCGCAAACUUUCCAGAAACCAAACAUAGCCUUGAAAGGGUGAAGAUCACUGUGGGCAGGUAAGAAGUUUUAAGCUUUUAUUCCUGGUGUCUUAGUUCAACAUGAUUGUUAAUAAGUAGAACUUGCAAGGUUAGGUAAAGCACAUUGUAAUUUCUUAUGGAUGGCAAGGUGAAGGAAGCAAUAAGAGACAUCACAUGAAUGGGUAAGCUUAUAGUGGAGGAAGAUCCAUGAGGUCUGGACUUCUAAUCUUUUGGCCAUCUUCUUUUAUUAUGUUUGGUAUUGAAGGGGUUGACUGUAUAAGCUGCAAGGAGCAGUCAUGGUAAUCAUGGGCUUGCAAAAGAAGAUAGGCCACAUGUAAUUACUUAUGGGCCCUAUGAAUGGAAUUUACAUUGAAGAAAUUGAAAUCUAGAUGAAUUUAACUGGGAAAUCUCAUAAAGAUGGACAAAAAUGAUGGGUGCAUGUUUUAAGGAAAACAUUGUUGAGGCGGUUUUCCUUUAUUCACCUACAAAUUGGGGACUUCAAUUGAGUUGGUCGGCUGAUGAUUAGGUGUCUGCUUCUUUCUUUGAACUUGAUUUCAGCUGAGACUCAAAUAUGUUUGGCAAUUUUACAACAAUGUUGAACAUUUCUCUAAGAGGAAGAUUAAGUUUCAAAAAGUUGGAGUUGCAAUUCUUUUUGUGAUUUCUGUAGGUGUCAUUAGUCCUAGGGAUGAUAGAUUUAUAUAAUCCAGCCUUCAUCUCAUAUACACACUAUAAAGAUAAAAAAGGAUUGUAGUGUGAUGAUGCAUGACUCAUACGACAGCAUUCAGUGACCUCCCAUCUUGAAUCUGAAUGCUUCUCAAGACUAUUAACACCGCACCACAGGUGAAAGAGCCUUGGGGAGACUCUUCCCCAACAGACUGCUUUGUGAGUUCCUUUGAAUCCAUCUGAAUGAUAAAGGUGCUCAACUGCAAAAUUGUGUCGUCUGUUAAUCCUUAGAAAUGGAGCAUCUGUUGUUCUUAUCAGUUCAAUUAAAGUUUUUUUUUUUCAACAUACUAAUCUAGAUCCCUUACCAGGUGGGUUUAACUUCUCCCUUUUCAUCUGUUUGCAGGUAAUGUAUAGCUGACUGUUACAUGGAAUCUGAGGGGUAUUUUAUCACCAUACCUCGUCUAAUGAAGUGUAAAUCUACAGAGGAAGGCGGUCUAAUAACCCAAUGUUAUGUGUGAUCUGUAUUCUCUCUCUGUUGUUUUCUGCAGCAAUGGGGAAGGAACUCUUUGCUUUGUAAUGAUGCUCUUGUGAACUAGUUUCUAUCAUGUUUUUGGUUAAUAAAUUUCCAAGGUCAAGCUGCUUUUUUUCCCCCCCUUUUUUUCUCUAUUGCAUUUUAAUUGCCAGACUGCAGCCACUGCAAGGCCAUCAAACUGCCAAUUAUCAUCAUUGUGGGAAAAUAUUCAAAGUCUUGUUGUGUCCUUCACUUCAUCUAGAUGAGCAUCUUUCACACGUUUGUAAGGGUCCAGCUCCAUCUUACCAACAUUUAUCCCAUCAUUCUAACCCGGUGGGUGCAUUCGAGCAAGACCAUGAUUUUCUCAUUAGACCCAAUUCUUUGGCAGAUGAUUGGAUACUGAAAAUUCUUUAAAGGGAUUUUCGAUUUUGGGUUAUAAAAUUGUAUAUAAAAUUUGAGAUAAUUCUUACUUAAAGAUAAGGAAUACAUUGCCCACUGUGGGUGUGCUUCCUUUGUCCUCAGGCUGCUUGUCAAUUAGCCCACUAGAUGGUUCUAUGCUUAUAUUAAGCAUAUGCUAUUGUAGUAGUCAAGAGUCAAGACACGUUUCUUUUGGUUUUUUUAUUUUUUUUAUUUUUUAUUUAAUAUAUAUUUCAUUUUCAUUUUACAUCAUGUGGGCGGUGGACAAAAGCAAAGCGAUAUGGAUGAUGGAUUCCAAUAUUUAUAUCCACGGAAGCAACACGGCACGGACUCUAUCUGUUGGAUCUGGACUGUGACACGGACACCCAGGCUGCCACUCGUGUUGUACAAGCAAAAAUCCAACAUGCAGUCACACCCACACACUUGGAAACAAGCUCUGCCAAACCCUUCUCUUUUUUUUUUUUCACUGUUUGCCACAUCUUCAACAUUCUGAUCAAACUCCCCUUGAAUGAAGCUUCCUCAAUCAACUUCCAAGAAGACCCACAAGUCAGACAAUGACCAGACUUGAGGCCCUCAAUGAGGGAAAGUGAGAAACUUCUCUGCUUCCACCUAGAGCACCUUUGGUUUUACUUUUAUUUUGCCCUGCACCACACAUGACACCAUUCAUUUGAAUAUUUUGUUAUCCAUGUGGAUCUAAGUUGGAUGAGCUGAAAAGUCAGAGAGGUCGGCUUCCCCUUUUAUAUAAGAGACUUUGCAUGGAACAAUUUUCAUUCACUUCUCUCCGAUCCAAUCAGCCUUACAAAAUCAAUUAGUCUAGCUAAUCUUCAGCCAUGGCCUUUGAGAGCAGCUUAGCAGACAUGGUGUUGAAGGUGGGCAUGUUUGUUCUUGUCCAAGCUUUGGUUUAUCUGAUCCUUUCCAAGUCUUCCAACAUCUUCUCCAAGAACCCGAAGAGAUCUCACAGGUUCAAACCAGCCCGGUCUGUCAGUAUUCGUCGAGUUCUUGCUUGUCUUGCUGACCUACCCCCUGGAGGCGAACUCUCUCCUUCUCCUUCUCCAAAGGGCCCUCAGUUGCUUCCCCCACAAAAUUCAGCAACUGACCCUCAGACUCCCACAUCUUAAGAGACUUCCAUGCAUGGAUUUGUAGCAGAGCAGAAGAUUGCUGAUGGCUUGGCUUCUUGUGAUAGAUUUUAGACGUGACUUGAAUUUGAUAUUUAUCUGAAUUUAAGUUAUUCUUUUGUUUUGUAAAUUUGGUAGUCAAUCUAAAUACCAUAUUAUAGUUUUGAAAAUUUUACUUAUUAAGACUAGUUGUAUGCUUUAAGGUAGUUGAAUUUCAAUGAUCCUUUUGAUGUUUUGGGGAAACCACCCAUAUCCAGCCUCUGUAUUCCCUUGUGCUUUGUAAUGGUAAACAUUCACAAUCUUGUGGAACCCAUGUACUGUGAUUUGGUGCUUGGUCACUGGAGCUGUUUUCUUAACAGUCCUCAUAUGAGAUGAAACCUCUUCCAAAUCAUGGAUGCCACUGCUUGUUUUUAUUGAUAUCUAGAUGAGGGCCACACCUAACAUUACUUGAAACAGCAAGCAUGAAUGAUUGGUUUCGUACUUAUGCAUCUUCAUCUCCCUUACACCAACUUUUUGCAGCUAACAAGUGACCCUCAAUCUAUAUUCUAACCACAAUGGAGCCCUUACGGGGUCCCCUCAUGAUUUUCUGGUCUACAUCUACAAGUAACCUCAUUGCUAUUGUGGUAUAGAUUUCAUAUUCACAGCAUUUUCUGCACCUAAUGGUCCAGACUCCAGAAACACGUCAAUCGAGUUUAUUAAAGCUAUUAAUGCAAUGCAAUAAUGUGCCUAAUCCUAAGGUUAACACUUGAUACAAAUAUAGUUUUCCAUUAGGAGGCGGCACAGUCCACAGGAGCAAAAGAAAUGAACCCAGCAUCAAGGUCAUAUCCAACAUAAUAGUUCAUUUGCUGAAAGCUUCCAAGCAGGGACAUCUCUUCAAGCCCUUCAGAAGGUAGCAUUGCAAGGCACCAUAGCCCCUCUUGUGCUUCUAUGUAUGUAGUCUGCUUUGUUAGCAUGACAUCUGCACCAUCAAAAUGGAAAGUUAUGUCGGGUCCUGCAGCAUCCAGUUCAUCAAAACUCCCCUCGAAGCACAUCCUGUAGCGUCCAGAGUUAUAUUGUUUUCCUGGUAAACGUAUUACUUUGCUCAACAUAUAGACUAAAAGAUUGAAUGCUUCAGACCUUAAUACCGUGAAUUCUGAGCCAGAAUCAACUAUAAAUCCUCCUCCCUCUGAGGUCAUAUCAAAUAUCCCAUCUGGGAAGGGGGCCUUUUCGUCUCCAACACUGAUUCCCAGAAGAGUGACAUAGUAAUAGAUAUGCUCUCCUUGUAGAAAUGGAGUUUGUCCACCCAUGAGCACUGAGAGCGAUCCGAAAUACAUUCUGCUUCCCGAUCCUUGAUCAUCACGUAUCACCAUGCAGUAGGAGAACUUCUUUAUUUUCAACUGUGAGACUAAAGAGUGUGGAUCCCGGUUAAGGCCUACAACACCAGCUUCGUAGCCUUUAAAAGUCCCAAUUGUAUAAUCGGAGCAGCCAAACACCAAGUGGCCAACAUCAACCUUAUUCUGGUUAGAGUCUUCAAAGGCAAAUGCAUCACUUGAAAGAGUUCCUCCAGUUGAAGUACCACCAUCACCAUAUUCUAUCAUAUAGCAACAAUCUUUUUCAUCACUACCGCAGGGAAAUGCCCAGGUCUCCUCACAGGCUGGAGAAUCAGACGGUACUGUGUUGUAGGUGGAAGAUUUGGAGGGGUCGAAAAUAGGUGACGUUUGUUCGAAACACUUUCUGCAUGGAAGGCACUGAUGCCAUAUGAGUCCACUUCCUGUGUCAGGAACGGCAUAUAUUAGAUGAGGGGGGCUUCCCACAUUGUACAUCAUUAUAUAGCUGAAUCCCUCAGGAAUCAAUUUUGGGGACAAAUCUUCAACCAAGGAUUGGGACGUAUGUGAGUUGAGGUACCUGAGACGGGCUAUGGAGCGGUUAGCUGCCAGAAUGGCCCGAUCACUGGUGCUCAAAUUGGGGUCAUAAAAGGGGGAUGAAGGAGAGUCACGGUGGAUCAGAUGUACCACAAAACCGUCACUAAUAGUACUAAUAUUGUCGUGAUGGGGUGUGGUUGGAGGAAUGAGGAUACUUGAUAUUAGAAAGAUUACAGCUCUGAGGAAGAAAGAGGCAGCACCCAUGAUCAACUGAGACAAAUAAUGUGAUGUCUGGGCGCAUCCUUUCUAUGGGAACAAGGGUGUAUUUGAUCAUACUGGGACUAUAUGUACCAGUUAAUAGCCAGCAUUCCAGGAGGGUAAAAAUCACAGAAAGAUUGAGUUUAGUCACUAUGUACAUUCACACCCUUGAAAUAUAUACUUUCUCAUUACUCAUUCACUUGCCAUGACUACUAUUUUUUAUGUUUUGGUGAACUGAUUAUUCUGAUUACUAAUCUUAGAUUCAAUGCUUCUCAAGAAAAGGCUCGAAGUCUAUACUAGAAAUUGGCACAAUCCACUGGAGAAAAAGAAACCACCUGAGCUUCAAGGUCAUAUCCAACAUAAUAGUUCUGCUGCUGAAUAUUUCCAAGUAUAGAGACUUUCCAAAGGCUAUUAGACGAAAGCAUGGCCAGGCACCAUAGCCCCUUUUUCCCUUCCACAUAUGUAGUCUGCCUGGUCUGCUUCUGCUUGGCCAUUGGGAAAACAGGGAGAAGAGAAUGAGUUGCGUACACCAUAUUUUGAGCAGAACUGUUUGAACUUUGCACUGUCAAAUUGAGGCUCAUUAUCAGAUAAAAUAGCAUGAGGAAUACUAAAUCGGCAUAAUAUGCUUUUCCACACAAACUUGAUGAGAUCGCUAUCCUUCUACUCGAUUAGUGAAAUAGUCGGUGGCAACAAGAAGGAAUUUCUUUUGAGAGGGUGUGGUUGGUAGAGGUCCGACUAUAUAUAUUCCCCAUAAAGAGAAAGGCCACGGGUUAAUCAUAGGGUUAAGUUCUUCGGUUGGUGUGUGUAUGAUAUUUCCGAACCUUUGACAUUGAUCACAUUGAUUACUAGACGAGUUUCUAGUACGACAAUGACAAUGUCUAAUGUAGUCUAUUCCUCUUGAUACGACUUACACUCCUUUACAUAGAACCUCAACUUCUUAGCUUGCACCAUGCUUUCAACUAGGUGUUUUUGAAGUUUUGACAAUCAUCCAUGGAAUGGUCAUUGUCUUGAUUAUAGUUGCAAAAGCAUGAUCAACCAAUCGCAUUAUUUGAGUCCCUCCUCAUAGAUUAUGACUAGGUGAAUCCUUCCAUUCCCUCGAUCACGGGAAGGAGGCGAGAAUAAGACAUGGUAUGAUAGUUACAAGAGCAUGAUCAAUAGAUCGCAUUAUUUGAGUCCCUUCUCAUAGAUUAUGACUAGGUGAAUCCUUCCAUUCCCUCGAUCACCGGAAGGAGACGAGAAUAAGACAUGGUAUGAUAGUUACAAAAGCAUGAUCAAUAGAUCGCAUUAUUUGAGUCCCUUCUCAUAGAUUAUGACUAGGUGAAUCCUUCCAUUCCCUCGAUCACUGGAAGGAGGCGAGAAUAAGACAUGGUAAGGGCAGUAUAAGGGCGUCCUCGGUCGAAUCCUCAUUCAUAGUUUGUUCGUCUUCACUGGUUCUGUUGAGAAAAAGUUUUGUCCCUCCAUCGAUUGGUAGAGUCCCUUGUGUGGCGAUGACCUUCAUCCUAGGUUAAGGCCACCUUGCUUUGUUGCAACACGAAGGUCAUCUUCCAACAUUGAGUAUUUGUUAGCCCUUUGGAACAGUUCGUCUAUAAACCCGAGAGGAUUUAGAGAUAUGGAAUGGGAAAAUGGAGUAUUUGGAAAGAUGGCCUGCAUAACCGUGUCCAUGCUGACCCUAUCCAGUUAAAAUAUUGCUCCCUCAAAUCUUUUCAUGAAACUAUGGAUAAACUCUCAUCGCUCCAUUUUCACAUGAAAUAAACGAGCAACGGCUUGCUUCCGUCUCAUGAACACAAAUACUGGUUGGCAAAGAUUUCAGAUAACCCACGAAAUGAAUUGAUCCAGUUAAUCGAUAGUCGGGGAACCAAGAGAAAAGGCCCCUACAAACUUGACAGAAACACUUUACAUAAUAAAGGAUCAUUUUUGCUUUUAAGAGUCAUUACUUGGCGAAAGAGCAUCAAGUGAUUGAAGGGAUCUCCAAAUAUUCCAUUAUACAUGUUUGAAUUUGAGCAUUAAGAAAUGUUGUGGUGCCUCUUACCUUAGGAUGUUGUGCAUGAACGACAUGGUCGUCGUGUUGUUCAAGAUUCCAAAAGGUUGUGUUCUGGGUCCAUAUUGGUCGAUUUGUGAGACGAAAAGGGAUAUACCAUAAGACUCACAUGACAGUCCACAUCAAGCUGUCCUCAACCUGGCCAUUGCUAGAAUGUGAACUAGUUUUUUUUUUUUUCUUGCGAGCGAAGGAACCAUGUUGAGUUCCUCUUUUUCAGGGUGGGGAUUGGGUGUGGCACCAACACCGGUUCAUCAGUAGGUGUGGCCAGUUGGAGAGGAGGCUAUAAUCUACCGAUUAACUUAGAAUCAAUGUGUAUUGAGGGUUCCGAGCUACUACAACAACAUUGAGUAUCCGAUUUCCCCAUUGCAAAGCUUCAGUAGCGGAGAUGAAGGCCUCUAUUUGCUUGCAAUGCUCAUCUUACUGCUCUUUCCACUGUCUUGCCAUUAGGGCCAUCCACUCCUCCAUCGCUAGGUGCUAUUCUCUCAAUUGAUCCACCGACACUACCAAAUGUAAUGUCUCUAAAAAAUUCUUUAUACGCAAACCACCAUUAUAUACUCAUCGUGAUUCGUUUUUAUUGGUCACUUUUCCUAUCAAAGGAUAAAACCUCUCGCCUCUUCUGUGGAAACAUCCUUAGGAAGGUCAAAUCCAUAUAAGAGGACUAGUAUUAGCCCCUUGACAUACACGAACCAUGCAGCACUAAGGCUUCAUGAAGAAACACUAAGGCUUCAUGGGGCGGCACCUUGGUCUCAUGAGUGACAUGACAAUAACAAGGUGACACAAGGGAGCAAUGCCUUGCGGAAGGAGAUGACUUGGUGAGCCAUGGGCACAAUGCAAUACACAAAGGAGCAAUGUCGCGGAUGCAGCAGCAUGUUGCCUUGACAUGGAUGCAAUCUGAACAUUUAGGCCAAAAGAAAGCAUGACAUGCACACCAACCACAUAUAUAGAUGCAUGCCACAACAACAUGAAGAGUUGGACUCAAAGUGGGAUUGCAAGCUAAGCACGAGAAGGAGUCUUGAUGUCUAUUGUAAUUGUAGUCAGUGGGACUAGGACUCUAAGUCCUAGUAGGAGUGGGUGUACCAAAACCUAUUAGUAAGAGUCCUAGUAGAACUAGGAUGUGUACUCCUAGUCUGAUAAGGAGUGGCUGGUGACCACUCUAUAAAAGGAGGACCGAGCCUCCUUGACAAGGAGUGAGAUCUAGAGAGGGAGAUGUGAGGGAAACUUAAUCUCAUUGAGAUUAUUGUGGGAGUGUGGCCCAAAUCUUGUAUGCUUAUUCAGUUAUCUAAUAAAAUAAGUUGGGGUUGGUGCCCUAUAAGUCUCACGUGUGCCUUUGUGUGUUGUUGUCAUAUCUUGUGGGAAAGAUAUAAUGUGGACCCAUAUAGUGUAGACCUAUAUUUUUUAUGUGCGUCCCCAUUCAAUGACAAGACUCAUUUUUAUUAGUAAAACAUUAGUUUUAAAAAAAUUGGAGUCGCUACUUAUUUUAUUUUAUUUUAAAAGGGAAAAUAAAACAAAAAAGAAAAUCUUAAAGAAGUGAUUUCAUAGUUUUGGAAAAGUAAGUCUUGAAAAACCCGAGUCUUAGUUCGGGGAUCAGGUUACCUAUUGGAAAGGUACAUCUAAGAGGUAACACCCCUCUAAGCCCUAAAAAAGUCUUUAUUGACUAAGUUGAGGGAAAAGUGACAAUUAAUCAAUUAAUUGAAGGUACCUAAAUAGGCUAAGGUGAUUUUAGAACUAGUAUGCCAAAAAAGAAAUCAAAUCACAAUCGCAAAGGAGGGUUUGGAUGUGUAUCUAGACUGCCUCUUAAGCGCUAUCAUAAGACAUUAAAAUUAGCACAGAAAUAUAGCACAUGCAUGACAUGUAUUUAAUUAGAACAAAUUGAACAUACAUCUAAGCACCAAAGGAUUACAUCAAACAUAGAUAUAGAUAUGACUCACAACAACAUGCAUGUUCAUAAAAUUCCAAAAAGUAGGUGAUAGAGAGUGUACCUAGAUAAUAUGCAUAAUUGAUAAGAUUCCUCCGAAAAUGUUAGGGUGGUUAGGACAAGUAUAAAUUACAUAACAUCUUCAUUAUGUCUAAUAUGCAGUACCAAAGUCAAAAUUGAGUCAAGUUAAGUCAAAUGACUCAAAAAAAUAACAAUAAUUUCAAGUAAAGUACAAGAUCAUCAGCAUGCAAUUAGAAAAGGGAGCAUCACAAAAUAAUUUCUAAAAAAAAUGUCUUGGAGUGGAAUUUAAUUACGAAAAAUUUCAGGAAACAACACUUACACUUUUAGAACAACAUAUCAAAAACCGCACUCAUUCAAAUGACAAAUUGCAGCAAAGACAUCCAAAAGUUCUACAAAGUCUAGAUUAUGUAAAAAAAAAUAAUGACAUGCAUAAACGAAUUUUUAAAAAAAUAAUAAGAGAUCACAUAAAAUCAUACAAAAAAUCACACACAUUUUUCAAAGUGUUUGUAUCACAUAAAAAAUGAAUCCAAGUUAGAUAGUACUCAAAAAUAUUUUUAAAACACUUCAGUUAAUCAGAUAUUCAGAAUCCAUCACGUGCCGUAGGUACGAAUUUGAAAAAUCAUAUCUCCCUCAAAAAAACAUAUUUUUUAAUAUUUUAUAUGUCUAAAAUCAAUUUCAGGAAGUGUAGAAUUAAAGAAAAAUAUUAAAUCAAAUUUAAAAAGUCAUCUGUUAUUAAAUUUUUACAAAAAGAUUUCGGGUUUCCAGGGUGAAAAUAGAGCCCUUAAUACCCUGAAGUGUCUAGAGUUACAUUGUUUUCCUGGUAGACGUAUCACACUGCUCAACGUAUUGACUAAAAGAUCGAAUGCUUCAGACCUUAAUAUCGUCAAUGAUGAGCCAGAAUCAACUACAAAUCCUCCCCCCUCUGAGGUCCAAUUGAAUAUCCCAUAAGGGGACCUUUUCUUCUCCAACACUGAUCCCCAGAUGAGUGACAUAAUAGAGCUUCACUCCUUGCAGAAAUGGGGUUAGCCCACCCAUGAGCACUGAGAGCGAUCCAAAAUACAUUCUGCUUCCUGAUCUUCGGUCAUCACGUAUAACCAUGCAGUAGGCGAACUUCUUUAUUUUCAACUAUGAGACUAAAGAGAGUGAAUCCUGGUUAAGGCCUACAAUGCCAACUUCAUAGCCUUUAAAAGUCCCAGUUGUAUAAUCUGAGCAGCCAAACACCAAGUGACAAACAUCAACCAUAUUCUGCCUAUUGUCUUCAAAGGCAAAUGCAUCAAUUGAAAUUGUUCCUUCAGUUGAUGUACUGCCACUACCAUAUGAUAUCCUAUAGCAACAAUCUUCUUCAUCAAUAUGGCAGGCAUAUCCCCCGGCCUGGUAACAGGUUGGAGCAUCCCAUGGUACUGUGCUGUAGGUGGAAGAUUUGGAGGGGUCGAAAACAGGUGGUGUUUGGUUGAAACACUGUGCCACUUCCUGCAUAUGUCAGCAAUGGCAUAUACCAGACUAGGCGGGGUUCCCACGUUGUACAUCAUUACAUAGGUGAAUUCCUCAGGAAUCAAUUUUGAGGAUAAAUCUUCAACCAAUGAUUGGGAGGUGAGUGAGUUGAGGUAAUUGGGACGGGCAAUGGAGCGAUUAGCUGCCAGUAUGGCACGAUCGCUGACGCUCAAAUUGGGGUCAUAAAAGGGGGAUAAAGCAGAGUCUCGGUGGAUCAGACGUACAACAAAACCAUCGCUAAUAGUACUAAUAUUGUCAUGAUGGGGUGUGGUUGGAGGAAUGAAGAUAUUGAUGUGAGAAAGAUCACAGAUCUGAGGAAGAAAGAGGCAGCAGCCAUGAUCAACUGAGACAAAAAAUGUGAUGUGUGUAUCCUUUCUUCAGGAACAACGGUGUAUUUAAUUAUUCUUAUACCAUAUGAGCCAGUUAAUAGCCAGCAUUCCAAGAGUGUAGAAAUCACAGAAAGAUUUGGUUUAGUCACUAUGUACAUUCAUACCCUUAAAAUAUAUAAUUUCUUAUUACUCAUUCACUUGCCAUGACUACUAUUUUUGAGCUUAUACAAAAGAAGUUUAUACUAGAAAGUGGCACAAUCCACUGGAGCAAAAGAAACCACCUGAGCUUCAAGGUCAUAUCCAACAUGAUAGUUCUGCUGCUGAAUAUUUCCAAGUAUAGAGAGUUUCCGAGUGCUAUUAGACGAAAGCAUGGCCAGGCACCAUAGCCCCUUCUCCACUUCCACAUAUGUGGUCCGCUUGGUCAGUAUGAAGUCUGCACCAUAAAAAUGGAAAGUUAUAUCUGGCCCUGCUGAGGCCAAUUCAUCAGAUCUCCCCUCAAAGCAUAUUCCAAAUCUCCUGUAUUUCCUCCAAGGUAAAUGUAUGGCAUUGCUCAAUGUAUUGACUAAAGAAUUGUAUGCUUCAGACCUUAAUACUGUGUAUGUUGUGCCAGAAUCAAUUAUAAAUCCUCCUGUCCCAGUUGAGUUUAUAUUGAAUAUCCCCUCUGGGAGGGGUACCUUUUCUUCACCAACACUGAUGCCCUUGAGAGUGACAAAGUAGUGGCUGUAGUCCCCCUUCAGCAAUGGAGUUUUUCCACCAAGAAUGACUGCCCUUGAUCCAAAGUACAUUCGACUUCCUGAUCCAUGAUCAUCAGGUAUCACCAUGCAGUAUGAGAACUUUUUAACUUUCAGCUGUGAGACUAGCGAAUUGGGAUGCCGGUUAAGGCCUACGACACCAGCUUGGUGCCCCUUAAGGCGCGCCUUGGUGUCAUGGGAACAGCCGAAGGUCAAGUAGCCAACCUCAACGAUAGUUCUUGUGGGGUCUUCAAAAGCAAAUACAUCAGUUGAGAGAGUUCCUUUUGUUGUUGUGCCAUCACCAUAGGUGUGCUGAUAGCAACAACUUUUGUCACCUUCCCUGCAGGAAAUUCUCCUGACAGCAUUGCAAAUUGGGGAAUCACUUGAUACUGUUUCAUAAGUGUAAGACUCAGCUGGGUCAAAAAUAGGCGGUGUUUGGUUGUAACAAUGUGUGCAUGGAAGGCAUUGGAGCCAUAUGAGUUCACUUCCAGUAUCUGCAAUGCCAUAUACUAGAGUAGAGGGGACACCCAGAUAGUACAUCAUUAUGUAUUCAUAGUACUCAGGAACUAAUUUGGAUGAGAUAUCACCUAGCGAGGAUGAGGAUGAGGUGACUGAGAGCAGGUAAUUGAGGCGAGCAAUAGAGCGGUCAGCUGCCCAUAUGGAGCGAUCAGUGCUAGUCAUGUUGUGGUCAUAGAAAGGGGAAGAAGGUGAGUCAUGGUGGAUCAGAUCGACGACAAAACCAUCACUUGUAGUGCUGUUAAUGUCAUUGUGAGCUGUGGAUGGAGGAAUGAAGAUGCUUGAUGAGAAGCAGCUUACAACAAGGAAAAAAGAGGCAGUAGCCAUAGCUAAAACCGAAAAAAAUUGAACUACAAACCUAGAACUAGUCCAUUUAGAAGAAGAAUGUAACUGUGGAGGAAACAUGUAAAAUCUCAUGUGAAUGAAGGCCAAGUUUUCACUAUACUCGACAAUAAAAAGACAGAGUAUCCUUUAAUUUCACUUCAAAUAAUACUAUUUUUGGCAUUAAUUGCUUAGGCGUUUAUAUCUUGAAAUGGAACUUCCAAUUAAACCUGCACCUUUGUGACUUCCACUGCUGAAUCACUAAUUAGUACUUAUCUUGCAAGUUUGCAACAGCAAUUUGUGACUACUUUUGGGGCUUGCCCAGAAAUUGAUACUAUCAUAGGCUGUACAAAUUUCAUUCUUAGCAAUGAACUAAAUUAAGGAAGAUUAUUCCGACAUCACGAGGAUUUGUCCAUACUACUAAUGGUUUGUAGGAAGCUAGAAACAACUCAUACUAGGCAAAGGAAUAGUGGGCAAAUGGCCUUGAUGAGAGUGACUUAUACCGGCUCUGCAGGAGUUUAUUCCUCAAAAUCCAUGUGAAAACCAUUAAAAACCAAUCUUUAGAGAUGAUUAACCAGUUGUGUAAACAAUCUAGAAUUCAAACAGAUUAAUUUAUAGCAAAAUUGGUCUUUAGAAUGACCUGAACAAUUUCUUAUCCCCCACUUCACUAGAAACAUGCUUAAUAUAUUACACCAUCCACCAAGAAUAUAUUCCUAACAGCCUUAAUUAAGCUUCUAAUUAUGAUCAUUUCUACUAACUUUUGACAUUUCAAUCACUAUUAGAACAGAUUCUAUUGCCCACAAGAUUACAAAGAAGUUUCCUCCAAACCUAGAUUACCUUAGUACCCUUCAAUAUUGAACAAUAUUAAAAUAACCCUAGUAUUUUUUCUGUAGAAUUUCAAAUCUGAAACUAGUUACUGAUAUUUUUCCUGUCAUUGACUUGAGAUAUUGCCCGAAAGUCGUAUUAGAAGCCUUAGUUCUUGUAAUAAAUUAAGGUCAACAAGCCGGUGUUACAACUCAACAAUCUGAUACAAUGACUAGAGUUUUCCUCUUGGCAAUUAUUUUCGUCAACUGGUUUAUUGAUAUUACAAAAGCAUGUCAGCAUCAGUGGUUAGGCUAAAGCAAUCAGGCAUUACUUAAUGUGAAUCAAGACUUCUAAUUAAGAAUUUCACAUUUCCAUUAGUAUUAAUAUAAAGCUACCUGUCCGUACCACAAACAGUGGUUGAAUAAAGUUUUGAAUCCAGAAAUGGCUUCCACAGAUUGAUUUAAUUUUUUAUUUAUCAUCUUAUCCUCAAUUAUUGUUUAUGUGGGUGUGCAAUAAAAAAGUGGUUCAACAAGAGAUACAGGUGGUAUUUGUUUUUUUAACUUUUUGCUGAAAACAAUUUAGCUUUAGAAUUUAGGUUGUUUGUUUUUCUACUUUUUCAUGACUUAUUAUAAACUUUUUACUAAAUAGAAAAAGCCAAAAUAUGUAGCUUUUUCUAAAUAGAAAAAAUAACAUAUUGAUUUUUUAUAUUUUUUAAUAUUUAAUAGAAAUAAAAUACUACAAAAACAAACAAUCUAAUAUUUAACACUAUUAAGCAUUAAUGUUCUAUUUAGAAUUAAGUAAAAAAACAAACACCAUCAUAGUCAACUUGUUAACUUUAAAAUCAACCGAUAACCAGGCGGAUAUGCAAGCAAAUGAGCUUCCAAGAUACUGUAACAGGUCUAAUAUGGAGGGUUCAUAAUUGAUCUAGAACUGUUGUCUAUUCUGUUACUUGGAACCAGCCACAAUGGUUGGUGAUUAGUACUGGCCUUCUCCCUUUCCGAUGGUUUUGGAUCAAUUCUAUUAUGAUAAUAAAGAAAAGAACCUCCACUUUGUGCUUGCAAUUCAAGAAUUUCUACAUAUUCACUAGAGAAUUUGAAAAUAUACAUCGAAAUUCAAAUCCAGACCUUCCAUUCUCAACUACCCAGCCAGAAUCUUCUGAGUCCUUAGCAACUUGUCUGCAGUUGAUAUUUUUUUGUGGACUUCUUGCUGAGAUGGUAUAUGGCUCUUUCCUUCCUACUCCUUUCAUCAAGCUGACCAAGAUAAGGAUUCAUGUGGAUGUAUGUAUGUCCAACCAGACAUAUGAUCAUAGCAAUCACCCCUUGCCCUUACCUAGAGUCAUAUUACCGCAAACUAAGCCAGCCUUGCCGGCAAGUUGGGAAUAUUGAUAGUUUGACUUCUCUUAAAUAGGGAGAGAGGAAUGGAUUAAGCAGCUGACUUCGAACCUAAAAAAAUGGAGAAUAGUGGUCAACUUCCAAGUUGCUGGUAAUUAAGAUGAUGAACAUUGGAUUAUCCUUACCAUAACAUUUACUUAUUCCAUCUAUGUAUGCAUAAUAGUAAUAUAAUUAAUGAUCAUAUUAUAUGCAAGUUUUGGUCAUUAUAUCACGCAGCAAUAUGUAACCAAAGUCUAUGAGAGAGAGCAUAUAGGUCAAUAUAUUUAACUUGGAGAGGAUGAUCUCCCCCUCUUGCCCAUUGAAGUUCUAUUCCUUCAUUGACUUUUGGCAGACUAGGAUCAGUACUCCAAUGUAUGCUACUCUGGCCUCCAAAAGGCACAGUUUGUUUUUUAUAUUCAAAUUUGCAAUGUUGUCUUCCCAUCAACCAGCUGAUCAUUUAUGACCUUUCUGAUCUUCUAUUUAAGCGCAGACCUUUUUCUAUCUUCCACAGAUAAAGCCAACUACUUUCUCUUUCUCAGAGUGGAUCGGAAGAGGAGAUGAAGGCACGCUCUUGUCCUCCUAUCUCAGGCCCAUCUCCAUGUAGUCUAGCCAUGAACAAAGAUUCACAUGAAAUAUCAAAAUUCAAGCCAAAGAUUCGCAUAAUUCACGUAUUUGCACCAGAAAUCAUACAGACAGAUGCUGCAAAUUUUCGCGACCUUGUACAGAGGCUCACUGGAAAACCUGCAGCAAAUUUUAGAGGCCGUAAGAAGAAAAGAAGCAUGAGAAGCAAAGACGUACUGAAGACAUUGAUCCACCAUGAAUCGAGCAAGACCAUGGAAUUGCCUGAGGAGUUUCCAUGUUUGAAAAAUGGGGAGAGAGUUAAGCAGGAGCAAGAAAAGAUGUGGAGAGAUGAGAAUUCAAAUGGGUUCUUUGGUGGGUUUGCUGAUUUGGAUGGUUUCAUGCAAGAGUUAAGUCAAUUUCCCCUACUUCCUUUUGAAUCCUCUAGGAUGGAUGUGUUCCAGGAGAUGCCACUUGCUUAGCUGUAGAUUGGGAUGAUAAUAUCAAUAAAGGAUUGGAUUUCUCUUGCUCCUUUUUUAUGAUGUUUUCUACCUUCUUUGAUGUAAAGGAAUGGAAACUAUUGUCAUAGUUACAGUAAAUUUCUUUCUUCCCUGCACUGAGCUAUUGAAUUUUCAUAGGAUUAAUGCUUCUGCAUAUUGCUGCUUUAGUAUGACUAUAUUCAUUUCUGCUUCCAAUUUGAUUGUAAUUUUUGUAUUCCAUAAGGAGUUCUCUGUCUCACUCACAUACAAGGGCAGAUAAUGAUUCAAGGACUCAAAUACUCCACCCAGAUCCAAUGUAUGUGAUGGUAUUUAGAGCCUUAUACCCCAAACUCUCUGCAAAGAUUGGAGGAUUCAUGCUGUUUGCAUUUUCACUUCCUCAAAAUAUCUGAAUGGUGAAAGCAAACUACACUAUUAACUGCUGUGCUGCAAUAAUGCUAGGUUUAAGCCCCGGGAUGGAUCAUCCAAAUGAUGGUAAUGUCAAAUGUCAAAAAAGGUUUAGCCUACCCUUGCUGGACACCAAUACCAUUUAGUUUUCAUAUGAGAUGUUAAAAGUCCAAUCCAACAGUAACUCGCAAGCAAGACAGAGAUGAAAGGUCUUCUACCUUGUUUACUGGUAAUCAUGGCAGACAGAUUGACAAUUAAAUUGAGUCUCUAGGGUAAUGGUGUUAAAAUAAGAGAUCUUUAUAUUCUGAGCUUAUCAAAUGAAUACUAAGCUGCACAUGCCCAUUAUCAGUUUGCAAUUUCAAUUUCUUCCCAUUAAUAUUGGUGGUCUUAAACUAUAUGAUUGCCCAACCUAUUCUGUCAUCAACAGUCAUGGCUUGUUUUUUUCUUCUUUUUCCAAAAAUGUGAUAAAUGAGGCAGAUGUUUCUGUCCUGCCCUUGACUCUCUCACAAGAAGACAUUAGGUUUGGAGUUUACUGAAAAAUAUCUUGGUUUCAUAUCCUAAUGAGAGUGUUAACCAUGUUUCAGAUUAAUUAGGGCUCAAAUCAAGUUUAAGACACUUCUCUCACACAGUUUCCAUAUUAUAGAGAAGAAAAUCCAAGUUUAGGGGGGGCUAAGUAUGAACAAUGACUUUUUAACCGCUUGAAGACGGCACCAAAGUCAAUUUUUAUUCUCAAAUUGCAAGUUCAAAAUCUCCACCAAAUUCACCAUGAAAACAAAAAUGUCCACUAAAGUGACCGGACCCUCCAACCUACCCCCCUGCAAAUUGAAAAUUUCAUUGAGAUCUGGCAAAACAGUUGCUAAUUAUAGAAAAAUAUCUUCUGUUUUCAUAAUUAAAAUAAUGAUAAUCAAUCUGCAUCAUUCCCCACAAAACAACCCAAUUGAAAACUAAUUAAAUUUGUCAUUUUUGCCCAUCAGUUGGUUUUUAAUUAGCUGUAGGUUCAAUGUCUCUGGUUACCUGGAAUUCAACCCUUUUUGGUAACUUGUCCAAUUUGCUCAAAUUACUGUAUUAGUAUUACUUAGACGAAAACCAUUAACCCCGAAUCAAAAUCAAGUUCUGUUCAGUUUUCUUCCUCUUCAUCUUUAGCCCUUCCAGUCCAGUGUCACAUAUUAUCAUAUUGUAGGGGUCCAUUCAAGUUUUCUAACUAAAGUUCUAUUUUUUAUAGUAAUGACUAAAGAAAAAUAGUGUGGAAAGGAAAGAUUACAAAGAGAGAACACUUUCUAAGAAAAGUUAAGCAUAAAUUGACUCAGAUUUCCUGUUGAAAGAAGGCCAACAAGAGGGAUUUUGGAAGAGAAAUAGAAGCUCCCUGAACAAACAGUAUAGCUGAGAAGGGAAGAAGAUGGGAAAGCUGACCUCUCUAUGUGAGCAGAGCACCAUUCUGUUGAAAUUUGGCUCUGCAUGUGUUAGUGAAGCAGGUUCACACUCACCUUCCCUUCAUUAAUAAAUCAGUCUACACUUUAAAGCUUGAUGACUUUCAUUUGUGUUAUUUAAAGGUAUAGUGAGAAAAGUGUCAACAUAACACCAACCUUUGAAAUAGCUGAGGUUUUAAUGAUCCAGAAACUACCUCCAAGUAUUCUAAGAUUAGCCACCGUCUCCUCUUCCAUUGGCUUGAAUCUUUAUCUUCCACAUUAAAAAUGAAGAAGUAUCUCUGCUGAUGUACAAGGGUGAUCAUUCUCUAUCAGCAGCAAAAGUAAAAUACAUAAUUUAAAAAAAAAAAAAAAAAACCACAUACCCACGCGCGCACACACACGUAUGAGAGAAAUGGCCUAGCAAAUGAUGGUCUCAUGAGCUGCAUCCAAAGGAACUGUAGACAUAGAAAUCUAACAAGACUCUCUUUGAAUUGAAAAAUGGCCCUUUAAUGUUCUCCCUGAAAGGGUACUGUUCAUGAGAACUUAGGCUGACCCAUAUUGUUGAAGUGACUAUAGUUUGUUAUAGAAAUCUCAUGAAUUGCAGAGGAGCCUGAAAAGGAAUAAGGCCAUCAAACCUUAAAAAUCUUGUAGGUGAUCAUGCUGUCUUAACUCUUAAGUACUAGACUUCAGUACAGAAUUUUGACCCUUCAAACUCCACAGAAUUUUACAGCAUUCCAACAUCUUAACCAUCCUAUUAUUGAAAAUCUCAUGAUGAUUCAAUGAAAGGAUUUCAAGCAAAGGCAUUUGCUGUUCAAUUUUGAGAAUUAAUAUGGAUAACAGUGCACCAUAUUUUUGAUAGCAAUCAAUGCAAUAGAAAAUAAACCACCAAUUUUCAAUCCAGAUUGUUUUUUUCCAUACAAAGAAUAGAUUGAUCCAUACAGAACCUCAGAGAAACGAAUCAGUUGUGCAACAGUCCUUCACUGUAUUAGCAAAGAAAUUGAUGAUAACCUUAUUGAGGAUACAACAUAAACAAGAGUUCCCGUAUAAAUGAACUUAAUGGGUUAACACCUCUGCAUGCACAUCACUUUCCAUCUGUAAAUGGUUACAAAUAAAACAUGGAUAAAGUGCAAAAGUAUCUUUCAUCCUUUGUGUGGCAGAUUUAAACUGAAUGAGAGAGAGAAACGGCUGCACUUCCUCUAUGCCCCAAGCAAGUAAAACUUCCUCCAUAUAAUCUGAAACGAAGACUAAUGAGAGUUAAUCAUCAAAGUAAGUUCCCCGCCAAAAUUUGAUUGUGAUGGAAGUUGUUGUAGACCUCAGAAGUUAGAAAUGCACCAUAAUUUACAGGGUUCUUGCAAAACCUUGUAUAACGGAAUUCACUUAAACAUGCAUUCAUCAAAUCUGGAGUCAUCUGAAAUGUAAAUACAAAUAUUUAUGGUUUUAAAAUGUUAAGUAAGAAAUGGACUUUGUUAAAGGGGAAAAGAACAAGGCAGCCCUUUAAGAAUGUAGUUUUACAUAUCUCAUUUAAUGGAUGCAGGACAAGUUUCUAGUUGGAGGAGAGAACCAAACCUUAGCCACCAAUAUGUAUCAUGGGCCUAUUUGCGGUCUUUGCAAUGUCAAACAUUCCAGCAUGAGAAGCUUUCUUCCUCUUGACCUGCAGCCAACAAGAACAAGAAAUAUGAAAAACGUAUUAGGCAAAGACCAGACAAGGACACUUGAAAGCUGAAGUGAAUUUCAGGGCAAUGAUCUUGGCCACCUAGCCAUGCAAUGUGGUACAUAAUUUGGUCAGAGGAGCCAAUCUAUCAGGAGCACCAACAGAGCCUCCAAUAAAACAAACCAUAACCUAUAAGAGUACAGGGAUGAUAUAAAAACAUGGAUGGGAAAAGAAGCUUUAUGCUAUGUUUGGUUGCAGGAAAGUACUAACAAAAGAAAAAAAAAAAUUAAUUUUCCUAUGUUAGUUUUACUAUAAAAAAAUACAAAACAAAGUCAAAUAUAAUUAAAAUUAGCUAGAAACUUAUGCAUUUUUAAAUUAUUUAAUCUUUAUAUAAAAGAAUUAAAAUAAUUUAAAUAAGUUUGAAGUAUCACACAAGAAUAAUUUAUUGACUUUAAAUUUAUUUUUUAUUUUCCUUUUACCUUUCCUCUCUAUUUACUCUCCUUCACAUUUUCCUUCAAAUUUUAUGGGAACCAAACAUAGCCUUUAAAAUUUUUGACACUCAAUGGUUAAAUGUCUGCAACUAAUAGCAUCAUGAGAAGACAGUAAGAUGGAUACCGCUGCCCCAAUUAUUUCACCAAGUUCAUGAUCAUCAACACCAGAACGAAGGGGAUCUCUUAAGCUAACCUGCAAAGGAUAAACACAAUCAAAACCAGCAAGGAAAGCAUUUUAAUUGAACAUUAAAUUGUAAAGGAAAAAGAUUAAACUGCUCCACAGAAACCCAUAUAACUUUAUCUCAUCUUAUUGCUCUACAUGAGAAGACUAAACGCAUUUAGUAAUGCAGCUUUAUCACAUUUUAUUGCUUUAGAAAAUGCUGCAGUUACUAGGAACUAUUUCAAGGCCCUCACCAGUUAAACAGGCCAAACAAAUUCCCUAGUUGUUCAGAAGAGAGAAUUCUUCAAGGCAUUAAUCCUCUAAUUUGCUUUGGAUUUGCAACUCAACAUAGAUGUUGAUUAAAAUAAAUGAGCAGCAAUACCAUUUGAUAAGCCGUCAAACUCUUCUUUAAGACUAACUGCUUUUGAGUCUUAAACCUACUUCUAAUAAUAAGAAUUCCAAAUUCAAACACAGGCACUCACACAUACACACAGACAAAAUUAGACAUGAUAUUUUUCAAAUACAAAGCCAUAUAUUUUACUCAACGAUGCAAAUUAUCUGUGGAUGCUUAAAGCUCCAAACAAAUGCUUAAAAAUACAAAGGUCUUAGGACAAGUGGCAUGAGCAUGAGAAGUUGUGCAAGAUCAACCGUACUUUGAAUGGGAUGGAUUGAGUGGAUAUGAUAUGGUGUUGUGUGAACAAGAAUAUCAAAUUAAAGAGUUUAAAAUAGUUGAAGGGUCUUCCAUAAUUCAUUAUAAGAAUAGCAGGCAAUCGAAAAACAAUUUACCAUAAACUAAGCAUUGCUAGAGAGAUGAUGGUGAGAUAAUUGAGAGCAAGACAAAGAAUCAAACUGAAAAAUGAAUCAUGUAUGAGAAAUUACACGUAACCCAACUGAAUACAAAAAGAACAAUUCAGUAGAGAUGGUUUGGUUUUUUAUCAGCAAGGACAAUGACUACGGCAGAUGGGAUGUGAUGUGGUCAGGCAUGACAAUGGGAAGGGGAAAAAGAACAUAGAUCAAGGUUGAGAAAAAUUAUGGAAGGCCAAUGGUUUAACAAAAGACAUGAAAAAUUUGAAGGAAAAAACAUUGCAGCCCUAAGUCGAGCAAAAAGGUAAAAACUGAUUUAUAUAUCCACAACCCUGUAGCUGGGAUAAGGUUUGCUGAAGUCGACUUAAGUUUUAUAAUAUCACAUACUUUGCUUGAAAGUGUCUUCUAGGAGUUUGGAGCUUAUAACAUAUCCAUAGGGAAGAAAUUCACAGCCUUAAAAACAAUUGAAAGUUAACAUCUUUUAUUAGCAUACCAGAAAAUUUGUUACUGCCCUGCUCUGCAUGCCAAAUUUACAUAAGCACAAUACAACUGUUCCAUGCUAAAUAUAGCAUUUAAAAAUGGCAAAUUAGAAUCCAUAAACCCAAAAACUAAUUAGAUUUAGCAAAUAUGAUAAAAGCAUAUGACAUCAAAACAUGAAGCAAUGACUUUCAUAUCUACGACUGCAGGGUUUCACCCAAUUGGAAACAACAAAAAAUCAAGUCAAAAUAAAUUGCAUAUUCAAGUUCUAGCAUGAAUUGAAGUACAAUAGUGAAGAAGAUAAUUCACCUCUGACGGACCAAACAGGCAUACUUUGAAGUUCCCAUCAGCUAAAAGUCGCAAUCUAUUGCAACCAGCACAAAAAUUCUUAGUCAUUGAUGUAAUAAAAGAAACAGUACCACAAUGCCCAUCAAUCGUAAAAUUCUUGGCAGUCUCUGUAGGAUGAUCUUGAAGUCUCUUUAGGCUUGUAAACUGUUUCACCUGUCCAGUAAUAAUGACUGAUUAUGAAAAUGUACAAAGGGUUAUUCAAAAUCUAUACAUGGGAUCACCUGUCAGAGUUCUACCUUACCACUCUAUCCAACAUUUCUGCAUAAGGUACAAGUUUCUUGACAUUCCAAACAUUUCCAUCAAAAGGCAUGAACUCAAUAAACCGAAUAUUAAUUGGUUUAUCACGAGUCAUCUCUACGAAAUCACAGAUCUCAUCAUCAUUGAACCCACGCAUUACAACACAGUUCACCUGAGACAGCGUACAGAAUGAAUGGAAGGAAAAUAUGUUUUAAUCUUGCAUUAUAAAAGACAAUGAAUAAGACCUAAUGAAUAAGACCUAAUAUUACUUUGGCAGAAAGAGAAACUAUCUAAAAGAACAGAUUUUAGCAAGGAAAGGCAUGCAAUCAUAAAUUGAAAAGACAAAACAUACCUUAACAGGAUUAUACCCAAGGUCUAUAGCUGUGUGAAUUGAUUCCAUAACCCUUUCAUGCCCUUUACGCCUGGUCAUGAAUUCAAAUUUUGCUGGAACCAAAGUAUCUAAACUAAUAUUCACCGAACUCAGUCCACAUUCUUUCAGCUUUGGAAGCUUUCUGGCAAGAGUAAUACCAUUGGUGGUUAUGGCCAGUGUCUUUAGUCCUUUCAGGCUGGACAAUUGUGAGCAUAUUUCUUCAAUAUCUUUCCUAAUGGUUGGCUCCCCACCAGUCAAACGAAUUUUAUCCACUCCAGAGCUGACAAAAAGAUUUGCCAAACGAACAAUCUCAUUCUGGGACAGAAGUUGAGGGUUAGGAGUAAGCUCCACACCCUCAGCUGGCAUACAGUACAUACACCGCAGAUUACAACGUUCUGUCAAGGAGAUCCUCAAGUAAGUGUGUCGCCUUCCAAAUGAAUCAACUAACAUAUCAGACACUGGAUUAUCUCUUGCUGGAGCUUCAGACAACUGAGCACAAGAAGUUGCAUAUGAUAACUUAUCAGAAGUAGGAUUAUCUUUUAUCAGAGAUUUAGAUAACCUUUCACAAGAAGUUGCAUAUGCUUGUGACAUGGUUCCAUCAAUAAAACUGCUUGUUAGACCUUGACAAUUGCCACUUCCUUGACAGAAAUAGGACUCACUUUCACAAUUGACCUGGAAAUAAAAUAUGAACAUUGUUAUAGUUCUAAGGGUGGAACAGCACUUGUUAGAAAGCAUACUAAUAAAAUUCAUAACCAAGGUAAAACAUCCAUGCCCAAUAGACUAGCAAAGCUACUUAACUCAACAGUGCAAACUUGAUAGGCCUUAUACUUGGGAAAAAAAAAAUGACUAUCUAAUAAAAUCAGUGACAGAUUGGUAAAGCACUCUUACGACAAGUCAAAGGACAAAAAAAAUGAUACAAUCUGUGGGCAUUUGUUUGUCUCUCUUUGAUGAAGGAUUCGAGCAAAAACUUUUGUUUUUCCUAUACCAUUCACGGAUGUUUUAACAUACAUAACAAUUGAAUAGUUGGGAUCGAUAGCUUGUGGAUUGCAUUCAAAAUAUAAUACCAACAAGGAUGGGUGCAACACAAGGCAAGAUCCAUGUAGCUGCCAAAUGGUUUGUCUAAGGCUUAGUCCAGAUAAGUAUAAUCAAAAUCAGAAUAUAUAAUUAUACUGGGUGCCAUAGGGAGCACGAAAUGUAGAUAAACCAAAGAAAAAGGGAAUUUCAACGUAACCCAAAUAGCAAACUCCCACACAGAGCAUAACAAAAGGAUUAACUAUAUUAUGGGUAUCAGAAAUUGGCACGUAAAUUAAAAAUGAUGAUCGAUAUAUCAAAAAGAUUAUAGCUACCAAUAGUGGUUUCCCAUAACCAUCGGACAAAAACUCAUUUCUUGGCUGAUCAAACCAUAUGGGACCAUGAAACAAAUUUACAAAAUUUACAGAACAAACUAUUUCAUCAAGUAAAUUCAUAAAGAGAAAAACAGAACCCACAGUCAUACCGAGAAAAAAUUAAGCUUUUUUAAGCCCAGACGCCACCCGGAAGUUUUGGAUGCAUAUCUCCUCAUCGUCGCAGCUGAAACCACAAACACUAAAUCCCAAUAGAAAUCACCAAAAACCCAAUCAUUUUUCUGGGGCUUAUAGCCCCAGACUCUUUCCAAAACCUUAAUUCAGUUCUGAACAUGGGGUUCGGAGAAUUAAGCCAGAAUUUUCAGGAAUUGAAACCAGGACAGAGCACGAAAGACCCUUGUUCGGUAUUUUCAGUUGUACAUAAAUGAUAAAACCCAGAAAGAGAUGGAGGAAAAUAGAAAAAAAUAGAGGGCUUACGCAUCAUAUUCUCUGGUUUUCUUGUAUCUCCAUUCAACCAAAGUUCAAAAAGUGCAAAAGGGUUAGCUGUGAGCCUUUAUAAAGGUCCCAAAUAGGAAAAUAGAGAAGACAGCUUGGCUUGGCGGCAGACGUCUGUCCUCGUUCUGUUUGUGUUUAUCUUCGCAUCGCUUUGUCACCUUCUUUCAGUCGGUCGUGAUUGGAAAGAGGAAAUGAUUGGUCCGAGGUCUUCUAUUUCCAAGUGAUCAUAUUCAUUUCACAUUACAUGAAACGAUAGGUACCUGCAUCCGCAGUUGUUGAAAUUGAUAUGGUUGACCGUUGGAAUUUAGGGAAGGAAGGAUGAUAUGUUCAUCAUGGAAAAUGGCUACAGUACCGUGCCGGUUGGGUUCUAUUACCAGCCAUCCAAUUUAACCAAGCUCUGAUUCAGGAGGAUAAAAAAAAAGAAAAAAAAAAAAAAGGAGAUUGUUUUUCCUUAUCAUCUUUAUCCUUUUCCAUCUUAAAUAUAUCUACUAAAAAAUUUAUUCAUAGAAUUAAAAUUUUGUAAGAUAAAUAUUUUAUUUUUAAUUAAUAACAACCUUGGCCACACUAGCUUAUGUAAUAACAAGAGACUCUCAAGAAUCAUUCUAAUAAAUAUGUAGUAAAAUUUGAAUCAUUGCAUAAACAUAUGCAAUUAAAGUAUUAAAAAAUGAUAUGAAAAUCCAAAGUCAUAAAGCCUUAAAAAACCUAUUAACUAUAUGAUUGAUGACUACUUAAAAUUGACAUAGACCCAAAUUCAUUGCAAUGUCACAUAUGUUGCACAUGCCAGCCAUGAAAAAUGAAAAAGAAGCGGCUAUAUUGGGUUCAUGCAUUUAGAGAAAGGGAUGCCAAAAGUGUAAAACCCUAGAGACCACAACCAUUUCCAUGGGCCCUGCAUGGAGAGUAGAAGCACACCCACAAUAAAUUAAUGGCUUUAUAAAAUGCCCACCGACAGUGACAAUAAAACUAGUAGAGAUGUAUAUGAAUCCAUUGAGAUAAGCCCUUCUGCACGUUUUUAAUAUUGUGACAACCACUAAAUUGACCCCAACCACUUCCAAAAAUAAUGCCUACCUGAUCCCAUCCUUGACCUCCCAUUUUAUUUUUUUUACAUUUAUGUUUAAUAAUUAAUAUCUUAAUUAUAAAAUGAGUAUCUUAAAAUAAAAUUAUUAUUUUUAAAACCAUGUAUUAAAGAAAUUGUAGUUUUUUUUAAAUAAAUAAAUAAUUGGUGACAAGAUUAGGUAGAUUAACCCAUUUGACCAUGAGUUAUAUUUUUUAAACUCUCUCUCUAUAUAUAAACACUUAUGGGAGAACAAGUCAUCACAAUCAACCUAUUUCAACCUUUUGCUAGGCAAAUCAAGCUCUAAUUAACAUCUUUUGUGCCCUAUACGUGCUUUUAGGAUUGCUUUGAAGCCAUUAGUGCCAACCUUGGAGUUCCUAAUAACUACCAUCCCGAUCUAUAGCCUCUUAAGAAGGAGCAUUUUGGACCAUAAUUUUUUCAACAAGGAAAAAAAACAUUAGUAUCUCUAUGGAGUGGUUACUAAGAAAAUAUUAGCUUGCGAUUUUAUGACAAGAGAACAAGGAAUAGUAUCAUAUCCCCAUACCAAAAACCCUACAUUGAGAAGCCAUUAAAAGCCAUUGAAGCUGCCUUUGCAAGCAAUGGUGAUGCAUGCAAGGAAUCAAUACAUGCCACAAAGAAAGCUCUAUAUUCUUUCUUAUCACUGCCAUCCACUUCCUUUAAUUUCCCUCAAUGCUCCAUUGGUUUUUUUGGGCUACAUGCCAUUAUCAUCUUUCCUAAGAACCAAUCCAUUUCUCCCUAACCAUUCUUUAAAAUAAACAAAUCACCAAUACAUAUGAAAAAUGAAGAGUUAUUGCUUUUGCUCUUAAUAGUUGUCACACUUUGAAUUUUCUUCAAGGGGGACACCAAGCUACCAUAUACCCUUUUCCUACCUCCUUUCUUCCUUUGUUUUUCCUUUUUUUUUUUUUAACACUUUAUGACAUUCUCCAUAUGCUUAAUGGUAUAUCUUUAUCCUUUUAUCAUUUUUCCAUUUUAGUAAUAUAAAAAAUUAAAAAUUUAAAAAUAUUAGAGAGAAAAUUCUAAGAAUUUUUUUUUUCUUAAAAAAGGUCUACACUAAUGCAUUCCUCAUAAAUUUAAUAUUCCCAUAAAAGUCCCUCUUUUCAUAAAACAUCUUGUUUUCUAGUGACUUUUAAAGUCAGCCUUUUAUUUUAUUAUUAUUACUUUUAAUUCAUUUAUUAAAAGGUUUUUGACUUUAGAAAGAGAACACCUAACAAAGUUGAGCAUGGAGCUACUUGAGAAAAUCCUUUUUUAAACUUUUGUAUAAACAGUUGACUCAGAUUGCAUGAAAAUUUUAUUAUACCAAAAUUACCCUUUUGAUAUCAACUUAAAACAGAAAAUAAUAGAAUAAAAAAAAUGGCCAUUUAAAUUUUAAACUCAACUUAUAUAUUUAAAGGGUAAAAGAAGUUGUUUAGGCUUUCUUGGUUUUUGACUUGUUUUUAAUUUUUUUAAAAAAAUAUAGCUCCAAAAAUAAGAAAAUUAUAAGAACCACCCCAUAAUAUAAAAAAGGAAUAUAAAUAUUAUAGAUAUAAAAUAAAUAUUACUAUAAAUAAAAAAUUAUCUUUUAUGUAUUUGAAAUCAAAUAUUAUAUAUGUUAUAAAUAUUUUGUUUACCUAUUAGAUUAUGAAUUAUUAUAAAUGAAUAUAUUCUAUUAUAACAUUUUAAAAUAAGAAUAUGGUAAUAUAUAUAUAUAUAUAUAUAUUAUAAUAUCAUAUAUUUAUAUACAUUUUCAAGAAAAAUAAGAAAUGAAAAUUACCUACAAAAAAUAAAAAUAGAUAACAAAAAUAUUAUACCCUAUUGUCUAAUAAAAUUUAAAAUAUUAACAAACUUAUGUUUUAUUCCUAUCAAAAUAUUUUUUAAUAUUAAAAAAUAAAGAUAAAACAUCAUUAAAGUCAUAAAACCAAGUUUCAGUCCCCAUAGAUCCUCAGCCUUUUUAGUUAGGAACCAUAAUGAAGAAAAACGAGGAAAAGCUAGGAUGGUUAUUAAUUAUAAAAGAUUGAAUGAUAAUACAUAUGAUGAUGCCUAUAAAAUUCCGAACAAAGAUUCUUUGAUCAAUUCUAUUCAAGGAUGUAAAUAUUUUUCUCAGUUAGACUGUAAAAGUGGAUUUUGGCAAAUCAGAUUAGAAGAGGAUAGUAAACCAUGGACAGCGUUUUCAUGUCCUUGUGGAUUAUAUGAAUGGAAUGUAAUGCCAUUUGGACUAAAAAAUGCUCCUCAGAUAUUCCAACGAAUGAUGGAUAAUAUUUUUGGAAAAUAUUCUUUUGUUCUUGUAUAUAUUGAUGAUAUUCUUGUCUUUUCAUAUACUCUUAAAGAACACAUAAAGCAUUUAGAACUGAUUUUUGAAAAAUUAAUUAGUCAUGGAUUAAUAGUAAGUAAAAAGAAAUUGAAAUUAUUUAAGACUCAAAUAGAAUUUUUAGGAUUAGAACUAGAGGAUGGACAAAUAAAAUUACAAGAACAUAUAGUACAAAAAAUAAAUAAUUUUCCAGACAAACUCGAAGACUUAAAAACCCUUCAAAGUUUUUUAGGAUUAUUAAACUAUGCUAGGCCAUAUAUUAAAAACCUUAGUAGAUUAGCUGGACCCCUUUANNNNNNNNNNNNNNNNNNNNNNNNNNNNNNNNNNNNNNNNNNNNNNNNNNNNNNNNNNNNNNNNNNNNNNNNNNNNNNNNNNNNNNNNNNNNNNNNNNNNNNNNNNNNNNNNNNNNNNNNNNNNNNNNNNNNNNNNNNNNNNNNNNNNNNNNNNNNNNNNNNNNNNNNNNNNNNNNNNNNNNNNNNNNNNNNNNNNNNNNNNNNNNNNNNNNNNNNNNNNNNNNNNNNNNNNNNNNNNNNNNNNNNNNNNNNNNNNNNNNNNNNNNNNNNNNNNNNNNNNNNNNNNNNNNNNNNNNNNNNNNNNNNNNNNNNNNNNNNNNNNNNNNNNNNNNNNNNNNNNNNNNNNNNNNNNNNNNNNNNNNNNNNNNNNNNNNNNNNNNNNNNNNNNNNNNNNNNNNNNNNNNNNNNNNNNNNNNNNNNNNNNNNNNNNNNNNNNNNNNNNNNNNNNNNNNNNNNNNNNNNNNNNNNNNNNNNNNNNNNNNNNNNNNNNNNNNNNNNNNNNNNNNNNNNNNNNNNNNNNNNNNNNNNNNNNNNNNNNNNNNNNNNNNNNNNNNNNNNNNNNNNNNNNNNNNNNNNNNNNNNNNNNNNNNNNNNNNNNNNNNNNNNNNNNNNNNNNNNNNNNNNNNNNNNNNNNNNNNNNNNNNNNNNNNNNNNNNNNNNNNNNNNNNNNNNNNNNNNNNNNNNNNNNNNNNNNNNNNNNNNNNNNNNNNNNNNNNNNNNNNNNNNNNNNNNNNNNNNNNNNNNNNNNNNNNNNNNNNNNNNNNNNNNNNNNNNNNNNNNNNNNNNNNNNNNNNNNNNNNNNNNNNNNNNNNNNNNNNNNNNNNNNNNNNNNNNNNNNNNNNNNNNNNNNNNNNNNNNNNNNNNNNNNNNNNNNNNNNNNNNNNNNNNNNNNNNNNNNNNNNNNNNNNNNNNNNNNNNNNNNNNNNNNNNNNNNNNNNNNNNNNNNNNNNNNNNNNNNNNNNNNNNNNNNNNNNNNNNNNNNNNNNNNNNNNNNNNNNNNNNNNNNNNNNNNNNNNNNNNNNNNNNNNNNNNNNNNNNNNNNNNNNNNNNNNNNNNNNNNNNNNNNNNNNNNNNNNNNNNNNNNNNNNNNNNNNNNNNNNNNNNNNNNNNNNNNNNNNNNNNNNNNNNNNNNNNNNNNNNNNNNNNNNNNNNNNNNNNNNNNNNNNNNNNNNNNNNNNNNNNNNNNNNNNNNNNNNNNNNNNNNNNNNNNNNNNNNNNNNNNNNNNNNNNNNNNNNNNNNNNNNNNNNNNNNNNNNNNNNNNNNNNNNNNNNNNNNNNNNNNNNNNNNNNNNNNNNNNNNNNNNNNNNNNNNNNNNNNNNNNNNNNNNNNNNNNNNNNNNNNNNNNNNNNNNNNNNNNNNNNNNNNNNNNNNNNNNNNNNNNNNNNNNNNNNNNNNNNNNNNNNNNNNNNNNNNNNNNNNNNNNNNNNNNNNNNNNNNNNNNNNNNNNNNNNNNNNNNNNNNNNNNNNNNNNNNNNNNNNNNNNNNNNNNNNNNNNNNNNNNNNNNNNNNNNNNNNNNNNNNNNNNNNGUUCAAAAACUAAGGACACAGAAGAACACACAGAAGAACCAAAAAGUCCUGUAAAAGAACCAAGGAAUCCUGAAAAAAUAACCUCAUAAAACCAAGUUUCAGUCCCCAUAGAUCCUCAGCCUUUUUAGUUAGGAACCAUAAUGAAGAAAAACGAGGAAAAGCUAGGAUGGUUAUUAAUUAUAAAAGAUUGAAUGAUAAUACAUAUGAUGAUGCCUAUAAAAUUCCGAACAAAGAUUCUUUGAUUAAUUCUAUUCAAGGAUGUAAAUAUUUUUCUCAGUUAGACUGUAAAAGUGGAUUUUGGCAAAUCAGAUUAGAAGAGGAUAGUAAACCAUGGACAGCGUUUUCAUGUCCUUGUGGAUUAUAUGAAUGGAAUGUAAUGCCAUUUGGACUAAAAAAUGCUCCUCAGAUAUUCCAACGAAUGAUGGAUAAUAUUUUUGGAAAAUAUUCUUUUGUUCUUGUAUAUAUUCUUAAAGAACACAUAAAGCAUUUAGAACUGAUUUUUGAAAAAUUAAUUAGUCAUGGAUUAAUAGUAAGUAAAAAGAAAUUGAAAUUAUUUAAGACUCAAAUAGAAUUUUUAGGAUUAGAACUAGAGGAUGGACAAAUAAAAUUACAAGAACAUAUAGUACAAAAAAUAAAUAAUUUUCCAGACAAACUCGAAGACUUAAAAACCCUUCAAAGUUUUUUAGGAUUAUUAAACUAUGCUAGGCCAUAUAUUAAAAACCUUAGUAGAUUAGCUGGACCCCUUUAUAGUAAAACAAAAAAUACAGGGCAGAGAUAUUUUAACCAAGAAGAUAUUAAACUUAUACAGAAAAUAAAAGAACUUGUGAAACAUCUCCCAACCUUACAUUUACCCUUAGAAAAUGAAUAUAAAAUAGUCCAAACUGAUGCUAGUCAAACAGGAUGGGGGAGGUAUACUUUUAGCUGUAACUAAUAUAGGAGAAGAAAAACUUUGUAGAUAUUGUAGUGGAACUUUUAAUGAUUAUCAAAAGAACCUUAGCUCUACAGACUUAGAAAUUGAAGCAAUAAUAUUAGUCUUAGAAAAAUUUCAAUUAUUUUUGAACCAAGAACAAUUUACUUUAAGAACCGAUUGUGAGAAUAUUAAAAAAUUCUUUGAAAACAAAAAUUCUUCAAAACUGUCCACCAAAAGAUGGAUAAAGUUUCAAAACUCUUUAAUUGGUUUCAAACCUAAAUUUGAACAUAUUAAAGGAAAAGAUAAUAUAUUAGCAGACUGGUUAAGUAGACAAAUAAUUAAUAAUGUCGAUAAUACUAAUGAUUGAUUUCAUGAUUACAGGAACAUGGCUCAAAGAAAACCUACGAAAGCUAGAACCUUUCAAUAUGGAACCAUAUGUCUAAACGAAGUGUUGAAUCCAAACCUAAGGUUUAACUCUUUAUUUUCUCAAAACCUUUUUGAAGAACAUAAGGUUAUUGUAGAUAAUUUUUGGUCUUUAAAACCACAAAGUUUUCCGAACCAAAAUUUAGAAUACGCUUAUGGAAAAACAGUGUCAACCAAUCAAACCAGCUGUUCAAACAGUCAACCUGAAGUAAUUAGUUUAAUUAAGAAAUCAGCUCUUCUGACUGAACAAUAUGAAAGGCUUGUUGUUAAAAACAUAAUUGGAGUUGAUAACUACUCUUUCGUCAAAACCUUUUUUCUACAAAACCAAUAUAACAAAGUGUUUAAAAAUCAAGAACUUUUGUAUAAACAUUUUAGAACUAAAAAUGUCGGGAUAAAAACAGGGUAUAUGGCAUAUCACGACCCUGAAUUUUUCUUUGUUAUAUAUUUAGCUUAUGUAAAUAUGUCUGUUGUAAAUAAAGAAAAUUUUGAUUUAGUACCGCAAUUUAUGGAUCAGGGAAUUUUAAAAAAUGUUUUUAUGAACCAUAUAUCUCAAAUCCCUGAAAAUUUCCCAGAAAAAUUGAAAGAUAUUUUAACUUAUCUUUUUAAAACCGAAAAAUAUAUAGAUAUUUCUUUUGAAACCAUUCCACCGUUAUUUCAACCCGAUGGAUCAGUAGUACCAGCCUAUCAUCAUGUAUAUAUAAAACAUAAUAAAGAACCACUCAUCCCUCAACAAGAACCAGAAUGGGAAAUGACCCGUUCAGAUGAAUUUCCAGAAUUUUUUACUCGCUAUAGAGCUUUUCAAAUCUAUGAUCUUAGACCAACCCGGAAUAAAUUAUUUCAUCUCAUUGGCGAAACAAAAACCAUGUCUAUAUGGAGAAUAAAACCUUUAGAACACAUCAUUGUUCCAAACCCUUUUAUUACUUCUGAAGAACAGGAUUUUAUAACCGAACUCAGUGUAGAUAUACCGGAACCAUCUUCCUACCUCAGCGAUGACGCAUUAUUUUGGGACAACCUGGACGAUGAAAGUUAUCAUAAUCUACAAAAUGCAAUGGAAGGAUGAUGUCAGCAAUGACGACAUUGAAGCAGUAAAUGCGUCUUCAACUACAAAAAUUAAACAUGGCAGUACAAGUUCAGAAGCAGUAAAGACAUCCACAAGCCACGUGUUAUGCAUGUAAUAAAAAGAAAAGAAAAGGACAAGAGAAAGAGACAAGAAGGAAGAGAAGAACGGAUGAAUAAAAGUCACAUGUCUCAAAAGUCAAAAGUCUUUGUAUUUAUUUUAUACCAAACCUCUGAACACCGUAAAUAUUUUUCCUACCAUCCAACCACUUGAAAUUAAUUCUCACCUGUAUUCUCACCUGUCCCUUGUAAAUGCUUUGCCUAUAAAUUAGUGGUAGUAAAAGGAAAGAAGUGUGCCCGAGAGAAAGUGUGUGCAAUAGUGUGCAAAGUUGUCUGUAAAGAAGCUCCAUCAUCUUCAGCCUUGUAAAUUCAUCAGCAAUCAAUAAGAAAGUAAGAAUUUUCUGUUAAAUUUUUUGCCUUCAUUUAAAUUUCUGUAUUAUGUAUUUUUCUUACCCUUAGGGGGUAAAAAGGGGUAAAAAGGUAAAAUAGGGAAAUGAAAAUUAUUUGAAUUAUUUUUAAGUUUUCUUUACUAGUUAAUAUCUGUAAUAUACAUGGAUCCUUUUUAUAUAACGUUCUCAUCAACAUAAAAAAAAAAAAAAAAAAAAAUCGGUUUAUUUAGAAAAUUUUGGGUGUAAAAUCAUGUUUUAAAACUAGAGUCUUUAGUCUUAACCCUUGACCUCAAACCCGUUUUUGCCGGAAAAUUGGCGUUUUAGGGAGACUAUGUCUGGUCAGAAGGGGGGUAUUACCUUGACACGAAGUGAUGUUUUAAAAAUUUUUGAAUUUUAUUACCUGAAUUUUUGAGAUAUCCGAUUUCAAAAGAUUUCAAAACUUUAUUUUAUACGUUCAAAAACUUUCACUAUAAGUUUANNNNNNNNNNNNNNNNNNNNNNNNNNNNNNNNNNNNNNNNNNNNNNNNNNNNNNNNNNNNNNNNNNNNNNNNNNNNNNNNNNNNNNNNNNNNNNNNNNNNNNNNNNNNNNNNNNNNNNNNNNNNNNNNNNNNNNNNNNNNNNNNNNNNNNNNNNNNNNNNNNNNNNNNNNNNNNNNNNNNNGUGUAUUGCAGUAUAUUAAUUAGGAAAGGAGACUGUAGAUUCAAAUUGAUUUUCAGAGUACCGAACUUUACCUUACCCCAUAUAAAGUCUGAUUAAUUUUGCUUAAUUUAUUCUGAAUCUUUAUUUGCUCUGCUUACUUAACAUGAAUUAGGAAUUAAUGUCUUUUAUUCCUUAUCCUCCUGGUAUAUAUAAUAUAGAUUAUGAUCGUGUAAAAGAACUUAAUAAUAGGUUGUAUUCUCAACGUAAAGAAUUUAGAGAAACUUGUGAUAAAUUACAUAAUUUAAGAACUACUGUAAAAGAUUUAACCACAGAUAUUAAAAACUUAACUUCUCUUAAAUAUUUGAAUGAAUACGAAGUAGCUAUACAAGAAGCUUUUGAUGAACUUUUUGCUACAGAAACCAUAAUUAGAAGAGAAAUUAUAAAAUAUUAUAUUGAUAAUUUAUAUGCUAGCUCAUCUAAUUAAAACAUAUUAGAGAUAAUGAACCCUCAUCUACAAACCCAAGAGGUAAAGCAGUUAAAAUUUUUAGUAGAGACACAAUUAAAAAUAACAAACGAAGUAUUACAAGAACAAAUUCAGAAAGAAAACCAAAACAAUAUAGAUAUUUUAAAAGAAAUCCAGAAAAGACAAAUAAAAUCUGUAGAAAAACUAAACACGAUUUUAGGAAUUAGAAAAGAAGCUGGAAGACUUUAAGAACCAUAAUUUGCUAAGAAAUAACCUAGAUUAUAUUAAAGAACAAUUAGCUAGAGAAGAAAAAUUUGUCAGAAAAGAAAUAGAACAAAUAAAAUUAGAACAACAAAAUUUAAAAGAAACUUUAGAAAAAAUUAACCAAAAAGUAGAUAAACUUUUAGAACAAAGAAAUAUAGUAAUAUCAGAGGAACAAAAAUUAAAUAACCUUUUAAAACAAUUUGAAAACUUUAAUUUAGGAGAAAAACCAAUAAUUAAAAUAGAGAUUUUAAUUUAUUCUAAUUUAGAGGUAUUUUGAUUCUCUAUUACAAGUUAUUUUUAAAUAUAUUUUUCAAAAAUUAAAAAAUUAAAGACUUCUGUUUUUAGAUAAGUUGUUUUUACAAAUAAUUUUUUUAUUUUGGAAAAAAAUACAAAUUAUAAAUUCAAUUAAUGUUUUAUUAAAAAUGAAAACAAUUUUAAAUUAUAAGUAAAUUAAAAAUAAAUAUUUUUUAAUAAAAUAUAAAUAUUAGUAAUAUAAUAAAAUCAUAAAUUACAUUAUUUUAUAAAUAUUAUAAAAAAAUAUAGAUAUUAACAUUAAUUGAUUUAUCUUGUUUAAAAUAAAUAAUAAUUCAAAAUCAAUAAUUUUUAAUACUAUUUAUAUGAUUUUAUAAAUAUUAUAAAAAUAUGGACAUUAAUAUCUUAUAAAAUCAUAAUUAAUUUAUUUUAUUAAAAAUAAAAAAUAACUACUCCAAAUUAAUAAUUCCUAAUACUAUUCUAUUUUAAAUGAAUAUAAAAAUAAAUAAAUUUUAAUUUUUUAAGGUAUAAAUGAGUAAAAAAAUUUAUCAUAUGCAUAUAAAUUUAUCAUUUGCAAAAAUUUGUUUUGAAACUAAAUUUUUAACAUUUUUUUGUAAAAUAUCUUUUGCAGCUUUGCAAUCGAUUUUCAAAAGAAAUUUUUUAUUUAUCAAAUCACUUUGAAAAUUUGAAAUACAUAAAACUAUUGAUAAAACUUCUUUUUUGACAGUUGAAUAAUUUAUUUGAGCGCCCAACCAGAUCCCUGAAUGAUAUCUAACUAUAUGCACUUGAUUGUUAUAUUCUUGCUUUAAUAUGCCUCCAUAACCUAAAUUAGAUGCAUCUGAUUCUACAAUGAGCAAUGCAUUUGGAUGAGGGAUGCUGAUGCAUGGUAAACGUUUGACUCUUUGUUUAAUUUCUUUGACCAAACUAGUAUGAUGCUCAGUCCAUGCAGGUGCCUUUUUUCUAAGUCUUUUGUAUAAGGGUUCACAAAUGAUUCUCAAAUCUUUGAAGUAAUUAGAAACAUAAUUUAAACAUUCUAGAAAUCUUUACAAUUGUUUUUUAUCUUUUAUUUCAUCAGGAAAUUUGUCAGCAAAUUCUAUUGACCUUUGAAUCGGUUUUGUUUUUCCUUGAAAAAUUUCAUGUCCUAAAAAUCUAAUUCUUGUUUGAAAUAAUUUCAUUUUUGGAGCUGAACAAGCCAUUCCAUUUGCUUUAAUGACAUUGAAAAACUUUUUUAUAUGAACAAAAUGUUUUUCUAAUGAAUCAGAAAAUACUAAGACAUCACCAAUGUAUACAAUUAUAAAUUGAAAAUGAGGAUUGAAAAUAUCAUUCAUAAUAUUUUGAAAUUCAGAAGGGGCAUUUUUGAGACCAAAAGGCAUGACAUUCCAUUCAUAAUGACCAAAAGGGACAGUAAAAGCAGUUUUGUACCUAUCUUAUUCUUUAAUUUGAACUAGCAAAAAUCCAGAUUUCAUAUCAAAUUUUGAAUAAAUUACAAAACUAUGUAAUCUUUUGAGUAAAUCUUGCUUAUUAGGAAUAGGGUAUCUUAUCCAUUGUAAUACUUUAUUUAAAGGUUUAUAAUUAAUGACUAAUCUUGGUGCUCCUUUUUCUAUCUCAGCAGCAUUUUGUACAUAAAAAGCGGCACAACUCCAAGGAGAUUUUGAGGGUCUAAUUAAUUUCUUCUUUAAUAAUGAAUCAAUUUCUUGUUUACAAUAUUCUAAAAGUUUUUCAUUCAUUUGAAUAGGUCUAGCCUUAGUAGGAAUUUUAGAUUCAUCAAAGUUUUGAACGUAAGGCAGACUUAUCUCAUGUUUCUUUCUAGACCAAAAAGCAUUUGGAAGAUCAGAACAAAUUUCUUUUUGAAAAAGAUCUUGAAUCUCUUUUAUUCUCUUUUGAACCUUUUCUUCUACAAGUUGUUCUUCUAUCUUUUUAUAUUGAAUUUCUUUAGAUAGAUAAUUUAUAUGAGCUUGUUUUCUUUGGAUUAAAUUUAUUCUUUUAUUUAUUGAAUCACUUUGGACUUGAUGUAUUUCUUUUUUAGUUAAGGGAUAUAUAAAAGGGAAAAAUAUGGUAUUUCCUAAUAUUGUAGUUUCGAGACCUUCAUCAUUUACUUGAAAAGGGUAAAGUAAUGUAAUAAAAGGAGUUCCUAAGAUUAAAGGUUCAGUCAUAUUUUGUACUAAUAUAAAUUGAGUUCUAAAACAAUAAUUAUCUUGACAUAUAUGAACAUUUUGAAGUUUAAAUUCUAUUUCUAAUUUUCCUUUAUUUGCAGCAAAAAGUUCUUGUCCGGUUUGUUCAUAAUAUUUAACAGGAAUUAAUCCUUCUUGAAUACAAUUCAUAUCAGCUCCUGAGUCUAUUAAUGCUACUAUUUCCAUUUCAAAAUCUUUUACUAUGAGUUUUAUAUUUGUAUACCAUCUUUGAAAUUCUAUUUCUGUUAUUGUAUUUAUAAAUGAUUCUAUAGGAGUUUGUUUAUUAGGUAUAAUUAUUCCUGGUUCUUGAUUAUCAGAGGUUUCAACAAAAUCUUGUUUAUAUUGUAUUACAUUUCUAAUUUGUUCAUUUUCUUGUUUUAUUUGCUCAUUUUCUUGUUUUAUUAUUUCGUUUUCUAUUUUUAUUUGUUCAUUUUCUAAUUUUAAUUGAUUUAUUUGAAUUUUUAUUUCUUUUAUUUCUUCUUUCAAGUCUUUAAUAGUUAUUGGCCUUUGAGUCUUUUUGAAUCUAUUAUAAAUUUCAUCCAUUGAAUAUUGUGUAGGUUUAAUUUGAAUUUUAUUUGAAUCUUCAUUGAGAAUUAAAUUUUUCAAAUUUUUUAAAUAAUUUCUUUGUGUUUCUUCAUCUUGAAUUUUAUCUACUACAUCAAAAAAUAUUUGCUUAUCUACUUUUGAAGAUAUUACAUUUAUUGUUUUUUUUUUCUUUAUUUUCUAUUUUUUUAUUUCAUUAAUUUCUUUUAUUGUUUUUUCUUCUAUCUUUGCUUCCUCUACCUCUCCCGGGACAGAAGAAAACAAAAUUUGAUUAAAUUUUGUUUCACUUGACUCUUCUUUUGAUUCUUUACUUGACUCUUCUUGAUUUGAGUUUUGUUUUUCUAACAGUUUUUUAUUAUGUGGAGAAUUUUCUAUUGCUUUUCUUGAAGUUAAUGUUGCAAUUCUUUUAAGGGGUUUCCUAUAUUUGAAAAACCAAAGGAAAAAAGGAAUAGUGAUCCUAACUUGUUGCAUAUAUUUUUCAUAUUGUUUUCUUAAAGCAUUUCUAACUUGAGGAGGAAGUUGUUGAAAAUAAUUUCUUUUGGCAGUAUUGUGGACCCUCACCCGAUCCACCGGACCGACGUGACUCGCUUUUAAAAGAAAAGAAAGAAAUGAAAAAGUUGGUGUUUUCCAGUUUUGAAAAACCCGCCCCCGGUGAGGAACGGUGUUGUUUGGAGUCGCCACUUACUUUUUAUUUUUGUUUUUAAAAUGGGGAAAAUUAAGUAAGAACAAAAACCCCUAAUGACCCCAAUAUGGAAAAAAAGGGUCUACGAAAACUAGAUUCUGGGUCCGGGGAUCAGGUUACCCGUUGGGAAGGUACCUCAUGCAAGGUAGCACCCCUCUAGGCCCGGAACUCGGUCUCUACUAAUGAAUUGGGUAUGUGGGAGCAUAUGGGUCAAAGGUCAAAUGAAACCCUAGGCUAAAUAGAUGUCAUGAAUCACACAAUCCUAAUUGGUAUUUGGCAUGCAUAUGAAUUCAACCAAACAAAACAAUGGGUGCGUACCUGUGGUCCCUAGCCAAGCGCUGCAUAAAAGGUCAGCCAAACAUAGAUAAACACAUAACAAACAUUCAAGAUUAAGUACCAUGCAUGCAUAUGAAUUCAACAACCAAAGCCAACGAUGCGUACCUGUGGUCCCUAGCCAAGCGCUGCAGCAGAGGGUGAGUCAGUCACGCAACAAUGUAUUCAAAAUCAAGCAUCAAAGCUUGUGCCAAAAAGGAGGAUAGCUGGUUGAAAUGAGGUAAGGGACUCCACAAAUGUCAUACAAAUUGAACUAGACUCAUCUAGACCACACCACCCAUAACUUCCAAAUUGCCCAUACUAACUGAAAUCAAACACUGACUUAAACCUUCAAGAUGGCUCACAAGUGCCCUAUAGCAAAUGGGUUUGAGCCCCCCAUGGAUAAGGGCUCGAAAAAUGCCAAAAUCAAGGGCUACCUAAAGUCCUCCAGCAGAACAGGUUUAACUAGUUCUCAACUGGUACAACCCAUUGAGAAGAAUUCCCAAAUUUUUCUAGAAAACUCCUAAAUGAGUGAGGAUUCAAACAAAAGAAACGACACUCAAUCCCGAGCCCGGAUGAGUGAGAACCAGACAAAGAAAGGCAGGUGUUCCUUAUGGCUGAAAGAGGCAGCCAGCUAUGGUGCUGAACCGAUUGAACCGGUUCCCAACCAGUACAUCCGGUUGAUAAAAAAUCCCAAAUUCAGUCAGUAAGUUCCUAAGUGAUUAAGGAAGCAAACAAAAGAAACGGUUCUCAAUCCUGAGCCCGGAUGAGUGAGAACCAGACAAAGAAAGGCAGGUGUUCCUUAUGGCUGAAAGAGGCAGCCAGCUAUGGUGCUGAACCUAUUGAACCGGUUCCAAACCAGUACAUCCGGUUAAUAAAAAAUCCCAAAUUCGGUCAGUAAGUUCCUAAGUGAUUAAGGAAUCAAACAAAAGAAACGACUCUCAAUUCCGACCCCGGAUGAGUGAGAACCAGACAAAGAAAGGAAAGUAUUCCUCAUGGCUGACAGAGGCUGCCAGCUAUGGUGCUGAACCGAUUGAAUCGGUUCCCAACCAGUACAUCCGGUUGAUAAAAAAUCCCAAAUUUGGUCAAUAAGCUCCUAAGUGAUUAAGGAAGCAAACAAAAGAAACGGUUCUCAAUUCCGACCCUGGAUGAGUGAGAACCAGAUAAAGAAAGGCAAGUGUUCCUCAUGGCUGACAGAGGCUGCCAGCUAUGGUGCUGAACCGGUUGAACCGGUUGGUAAAAAAUCCCAAAUUCGGUCAGGAAGUUCCUAAGUUAUUAAGGAAGCAAACAAAAGAAACGGUUCUCAAUUCCGACCCCGGAUGAGUGAGAACCAGACAAAGAAAGGAAAGUAUUGCUCAUGGCUGACAGAGGCUGCUAGCUAUGGUGCUGAACCGGUUGAACCGGUUCCAAACCGGUUCAUCCCGUUGGUAAAAAAAUCCCUAAUUUGGUCAUAAAUUUCCUAAGUGAUCAAGGAAGCAAACAAAAGAAACGGUUCUCAAUUCCAAUCCCGGAUGAGUGAGAACCAGACAAAGAAAGGCAAGUGUUCCUCAUGGCUGACAGAGGCUGACAGAGGCUGACAGAGGCUGCCAGCUAUGGUACUGAACCGGUUGAACCGGUUUCCAACCGGUUCAUCCGGUUGAUAUAAAAUCCCAAAUUUGGUCAGAAAGUUUCUAAGUGAUUAAGGAAGAAAAAAAAAGAAAAAAAAAAGAAACGGUUCUCAAUUCCGAGCUCGGAUGAGUGAGAACCGGACAAAGAAAGGCAGGUGUUCCUCAUGGCUGACAGAGGCUGCCAGCUAUGGUGCUGAACCAAUUGAACCGGUUCCAAACCAGUUCAUCCGGUUGGUAAAAAAUCCCUAAUUCGGUCAGAAAGUUCCUAAGUGAUCAAGGAAGCAAACAAAAGAAACAAUUCUCAAUUCCGAUCCCGGAUGAGUGAGAACCAGACGAAGAAAGGCAAGUGUUCCUCAUGGCUGACAGAGGCUGCCAGCUAUGGUACUAAACCGGUUGAACCGGUUUCCAACCGGUUCAGCCGGUUGAUAAAAAAUCCCAAAUUCGGUCAGAAAGUUCCUAAGUGAUUAAGGAAGAAAACAAAAGAAACGGUUCUCAAUUCCGAGCUCGGAUGAGUGAGAACCGGACAAAGAAAGACAGGUGUUCCUCAUGGCUGACAGAGGCUGCCAGCUAUGGUGCUGAACCGGUUGAACCGGUUCCAAACCGGUUCAUCCGGUUGGUAAAAAAUCCCUAAUUCGGUCAAAAAGUUCCUAAGUGAUCAAGGAAGAAAACAACAACAAUCAUGUGUGGCCUUUAUUAUCCACACCCAAGCAAUACAAUCUUCAUAUCAAAGGGAGAAAAGAUGAUGAGGAAGGAGAAAAAGCAUAUGAAGACGAGGAAGAUAAAUUGUAAGUAAAGAAAAUUCAGCGUGCUUACCUCAGAAUCUCCACCAAAUAUGAUCCGUGCAUGCCGAUGAUGACUUCCAAAACUGAGAGGCUGUCACUCUCCUCUUCAAAAAACCACAGUGCUGAAGCUUUCCCCCACACUCUCAACUCAGAAGAUGCUACUGAUCUUUUGUUUUUCUCACCAGCAGAAUUUCCCCUCUCCAAAAUGUCCAAGGUCCUUUGCUCUCCUAUCCUCUCACCUUUUAUACUCAUACCCCUCUUAGCAUUUGAGCCUCCUGGGUUCCUUCCCUUUCAGCACCGAAAUUCCCUUCAUCAGCAUGGGAACCACACCCCUCAUUACUUCUCUUAGACUUACAAGGCCAGCUCACUCCCUUCAGUUUUUUCAGCUUGCUUCACCACCAAGAAUCCAUAUGGAUUCGUGGUGGGCUGCAAGGAACCCAAACCAAGGCCCAAAAUGGACCCACAACAUUGCCCAAAACCAAUCUGGAGCUUAUGAGCCUGAGCCAUGUAGGAUUUGGGCCUCAAAAUUACUAGAAUUAGUGUUUUACCUCAGCUGACUCAAUGAACCGGCUGAACCGGCCGAACCGGAUGCCAACUGGUCGACCCGAUGGAGAAAAAUUCUGAAAAUUUGACAGAAUGUUCCUAGUAGAGUAAGGAAUCCAUUAAAAAAAACGGUGCAUGAUUCCAAGUUUGGAAGUGGGAGAUAUGAUCAAAACAAUUACCAAAAAUCAGUGUUCUACACCGGCUGACCUAAUGAACCGGCUGAACCGGCUGCCAACCAGCCGACCGGUUGCAAAAAAUUUUGAAAAUUUUACAGAAUGUUCCUGGAAGAAUAAGGAAUCCAUAAAAAGAAACGGUUCUUGAUUCCGAGUUUGGAUGAGGGAGAUACGAUCAAAACAAGCCCAAGUGCUCCGAACCUCAACAUGCCCCUAUAAACUCCAACUAAGCUAAAACAUCGGGAUGACCCCACUUCCUUCCUAUAGCGUGAUGUGAACGACCAGGAAAAUGGCCAUGGUGACCCUCCUAAAUGAACCACAUAUGCACCACAAUGGACCACACACAAACCCACACGAGGCUCGGACACUGACUAAGCCCAAAAGAGGCCCUAGUGGUGCCAUAUGCGAACGAUGGGUGGAUGUGACACCCGAAGGAUAAAUGCCAGUGUUGAGGGACAAAAUUGAGGGUCUACAAGUAUUUUCAGGAGAAAAAUAAUUUGCUUUGAUCAAUUCUACUUCAGGAACAAAAGGAUUUCUUUUAAUACUUCUUUUCCUAAUGAUAUUUAUGUUUAAAGGAGGUUCAUUAUGAGAAAAAAUAAUUGACUCAGACUCUUCUUUAAAAAGAGGAAUUUCCGGGACAAAGUUUGACAUAUUUUUUAGUUGAUUUUCUAUUUGACUCAUUUCUUCAUCUAAUUUUGAAAUAUUAAAUUUUAUAUGAUGACUAUAGAAUGAUGCAGAUGAUGAUGCAGCAGGUGAUGAUGCAGUAAAGUUGAUUAUCUUAUAUGAAGAUCUUUCUAAAUCAUAUGCAGAAUUAUUUAAUGCAAAUGCAGAACUAUCAUGGGACCUAAGAGAUCUGGAAGAACUAUUUCUACUUAAUUUCCUAAUACUAUUACUCAUUGUCACAUAAAAUAAUCACAAUUUUAUCCUUAAUCAAUUCAGAUAAUUUCCUGAACAGGGACCACCACAAGCUGAUCAACACGGGACUUACGCUCCUUCUACCCUUAAACACCGCUUAUCACAGGCUGACCAAUCCGUUCACAGGAAAUUCAACCCGAAUUAUGUCAGGACUAAAUCUGUGAUUAAUUACUGUUCCAACUCGUAACACCACUCGGUUCUCAAGCAGAAAAUGGCUCUGAUACCAUUUGCACCCAGGACAUACAACAGUUCAUGCACGCAAUAAUUAAUUCUGUCUAAUUAUCUCCAAGCAUAAAAACAGAAAUAUUUAAUGUCUAAUACUGUCUAAUUUAUUGCAGAAAUUUAAGCAUAAUAACACAAAUAUUUGAGUCUGAAAAUUUUGUUUAUUGAAAAUAUACCUUAAUACAGAGAGCUGAUGAAUACAAGUUGUUGACAGUAGAGGGAUGACUCGAACUCAAAAAAGAAAAUUACAAGAGAAAAUUUUUUGAAUUCUCAAAAUUUUUCACUCUCUAAUAUUUUUUAUGCUCUUGAGGCUCUCUCGAACUCUUUCCAAACUCUGCCUGAUGAAGAAUGUUGAGGCUCUAUUUAUAGGCGAGGAAUCAAACUUGAAAUUCUAUUGAAUCUUCAAAAUUGUUGAAAUUCAUCACGUGUAGAGACAGUUGGGGCAAUGAAGUCUGUAGAUGGAGAAUAUUUUUUCUUUUCUUUGUCAGAGACUUGAAAAGAGAAAACUUCUCUUUCCUUUCCCAUUCUCCACGUUGCUUGUAAAGUAGUAGAAAGUAGACAAAUUCUACUACUCACUACUAUUCAUGACUUUUGAUGUGAUUUUUUUUUUUUUUUUUUACUGGAUGAUCACAAGGGAGCAAAUUUACAUAGAUACAGAUGUACAAAAGAUUUUUGAAAUCUUUUAUCUGGAUUGACCCAUAGGUUCUCCGUAAAGGAUAAACUUAGGGUCUACGUAUGAGUCAUCUGAUAAAACUGCAUCUUUAGUUUCUUCAUUUUCUUGAUCUCCAAACUGUUUGAGGGUUUGAAUGAGUCCUUGACGAUAUUGCUCUAAAUCAGUAGCGGCUGCUAAUGAAGCUUGACAUUUUCUUUUCAAAGUUAGGAAUUCUUCUUGAGUCGGUCCUUGAGAAGAAGUUGUUGAAUCUUUUGAAUUUGAUGAUCCUGGCCUUGAUGUAAUUAGUUGCAAAACCUUUUGUUGACAUACAAAAUCAUGAUUGAAUUUGUCCCACCAUUUGAUGUUGAAUUCUCUUGAAAGCGAUAAUGGAAAUGGAGGAGGUUGCUUUUGCUUCUUGAUAAUAUUCCAUGAGAGAAUCCAUGGAAUUUUUAAUCUCAAACAGAAAUUCAGGAGUCUGGGCUGAGUGAUAGACUGAGAUGAAGUCUUGCUCUUGUAGAAGUUGAAUUUUUCUUGAAUUUCAGGAGGAAAUAAGGAGUCUAGUAGACCAAAGAAAGUCCACCAUUUUUGAAACCAAGUAGGAAAUUGGGUAUUGCAAUUUCUUGAAAAUUAGAUGAACUAAGAAUGCUGGUACUUUGUAAAUAAAACAUAUUAUACCAAGCAUCCAUGUAAUCUAUGUAAUUGUAGCUCAUGGGAUGAAAAGGUUGACUAAAAUCCUUGCAAGUGAAGGGUUUUUGAUUCCAAUCUGCAAUGGUCAUGACUUUGAGAAUUUGACAUUUGGAAAAAGCAAUCCUAUGAGGAUUGUUUUUGUCAGUGUUAUGAGUAAUUUCAACUGAAUCGGUGUCUACCAAGAUGAACUCAUAGAAUUGACGAGUUUUCAAAGGAUCAUUUGAAUUGAAGUUGACUCCUUGAGGAAAGAUGUAAAGAAGAAUUUUAGGAAUCUCUUCAAAAUUGAACUCUGGCUCGAUGAAAGCAAUUUCUAAGGUUUUGGGUUUUUUGACAUAUUGACUAUAAGAAAAUGAAGGAGAAUGAGAUUGAGAGGGAGAUUGAGAAGGAGAAGGUAAUGUUGAAAUAGUGUUGGGGCUGGAUUGUCUCUGAACAACAAUAUUUUUAGGGGUUGAUUUAGAAGCUUGAAUAAAACUUUUUGAAGGUUGAAGAGGAGGAAAGUCUGGACUCAAAACUUGAAAGGAAUUUGAUGUUUGUAAAGGAAAAGUAGAACGAACAUUUGAAAAGUUUGAAAUCAUAGCAUAUGAAGCUUUGGUUUUCUUGGAUGAUGAAGGAAGUUGAGGCCUAACGGGAGUACCCAUUAGGAUGGAGAAGGAUCCUUACCCUGCAAAAACUCCCGAGUAAAGAAGUCAGGAAGGGAAUUCAACUCUCCUUUCCCAUAAUUUACAAGGAUAUUAGACAAGUUCAACAACAAUUAAAUUAUACAAAUCAUUCUCUUCAACAUCUAAAUCAACAAACAACAAAAAUUUCUAAAUUUUUGUUUUCUUCUGCCCCGGGAGGGAAGAUAGGAGAAACAGAAACAUCAUCAUCAAAAUCCUUAAAAAUUUCCUCAACGUUAUCAUCAUUAUCAUCAUCUUCUAAAUCUUUAGAACAACCUUUUAUUAUUCCUAUAAAUGCUGCAAAAUCAAAUAUUCAAUUAUCCACACCAACAGAGACAACGUUAAAAGAAAUACAAAUUAGAUUAGACAAACUCAAUAUUAACGGUAUUAAGAAUCAAAUUCAAACUAUAACAAAAGGAAAAUUAGAAAUAAAUAAAUUAGAAGAACAAUUCAAAAUGUCUCUUAAUUCAAUAAAAAAACCUCAUGCAACAGUCAAUGCAAUUUCUAAUAAUUUUGUAAGUAGAAAAAAUUAUUAUUCAAAACCCUCUUUUCCCGACGUCCAAUUAGAAGAUAGAAAUUAUCAAUUAGCUGCUAGUUAUGAUGGUAGUAGUUUUUAUGAAUGGAAUAUAGAUGGAAUGAGUGAACAUCAAAUAAUUAAUUUACUUCAUGAAAUGAUGAUGACUGCUAAUGCUUAUAGAAUCAAAACUAGUAAUUUUGACUUUCAUGUUGUCGGUGCCCUAGUAAUAGGAUUCACUGGUUUACUUAAAGGAUGGUGGGAUCAUUAUUUGAGUCAAAAUGAUAGAGAAUACAUAUUAAAUGUAAAAAAGACAAUAGUUAAAGAAUAAGGAACUUCAGUCCAAUCCUAUGAAGAAGAUGUUGUCAAUACACUAAUAAUUUGCAAUAACAAAACAUUUUAUAGGAGAUCCAGUUUAUUUUCAAGAAAGAACUUCUGAAAUCCUUAAUAAUCUUAGAUGCCCAACACUUCAAGAUUUUAAGUGGUAUAAAGAUAUGUUUUUGGUCAAAGCUAUGACAAGACAUGAUUGUGGAAGUCAUUAUUGGAAAGAAAAAUUUAUAUCAGGUUUACCCACUUUAUUUGCAGAAAAGGUUAGACAAAGAAUAAGAAAUAUUCAUAAUGGUAGAAUUCCUUAUGAGUCAUUAACAUAUGGAGAAUUAAUUACUUUUGUCAAUAAUGAAGGAUUAGCCCUUUGUACAGAUCUUAAAUUAAAGAGUCAAAUGAAAAAAUAAAAACAAGAUAAUAAAAAAGAAUUGAGAAAAUUUUGUUCAUAUUAUGGUUAUGAUACAAUAGUUGCUCCUUCAAAAAGAAAAAAUAAACAAAAUAAAAUAAAAAGUAAAAAACCAUACAUAGAGUCAAAAUUUCAAAAGAAGUUUGUAAAAUCUACUCCUAAUAAAUCAAAAUCUUCAAAUAAAACAACUUUAAAAAAGAAAACACCAACAUGUUAUAAAUGUGGAAAAGUAGGACAUUACUCAAAAGAUUGUCAAUUAGAAAACAAGAUUAAUUCAUUAUAAAUAAGUGAUAAACUUAAAAAUCCAAUGAUAGGAUUAAUGAUUGAUAAAGAAAAUGAAGAAUCAAGUGAAAAUUAUGACUCAGAAGAAGACAAUCAAAUACUAAUAACACAAGAAAUAUCAAGUGAAGAGUCAAGUCUAGAAGAAGAAUCAGAUACUCAAAAGGAUUGUGAUGGUAUUUGUGCAUGCUCAUAUAAAUCAAUAAAUGUGAUUUCAAAAUAUUCAAAAACUCAUUUUAACAUCAUUAUUCGAAAUUAUGUUCCUCUCAUAAACUCAAUAUAUUUUCAAAUUUGGUAUGAUAAAGACAAAACCAUUAGAUAUUUGUUUUAUUCUUCAAUAGAGAUACUAAAAUUUGAAUUUUGUCUAUAGAUGGAGCAAGAAAGAAUUACAUUUGGGAAAUUUACUCUUCCAGUAAUUCCUAAAUGUAAUCUGUCAUUCCAGAUUCAUAAAGACAUAGAAAGAUUAGACAGAUCGCAAAAAUGCAUUUUAGACAAUCUCUGGAAUGCAAAAAGUGAUAUUCAAAAGUUGAAAGCUUUAAAUGCCUUAUCUUUCCAUUUUAAACAGUUAAAUGAUAAAUUAGAAAGUUUUUCUAACCCUUCAAGUUCUGAUAUACAUCGCACCCCAAUGGAUACAGAUCUUGAAAAUUUCAUUUGUAGGGAAAAAGCAGAAGAAUCCAAAGAUGCAUUUUCAAAAGCUUUUCAAAAUGAACAUCAAAAAGAACUUUCAAAACCAAAUGAAGAUUCAAAACUUUCUGAGGAAAGGCAAGAAUGUCAAAUUUCUAGAUUUUCAUUUUUCAAGCUAAAGAAUUUGGAUCUUCUUGAAAGCAUUAUACAGAUGAUCUGUGAAAAGGCUAAAGCUAUAGGGGAAGCAAAGCAAGAGCAUAUUAUGCAAUUUCUUGCUGACUGUAGCACUUUUGGAAUUACUAUUCAAGGGAUGAGCUUCACUUGGAUUUCUUAUUAUGACAACACUUAUAAUAAUUGUCCAAAUAUCGAUCCCUUGUGUAAGGAAAUUCCAUUAGAAAGGCAUGACUGUAAGUGUGCUCUUACUUACAGUAUUUGCAAAGCCAACAUUGACUUAGACAGUUACAAACCAAUAAUCAUUAAAUUCAAAAAUGAGUCAAUAGAGCUAACUCAUUCUCUUCUCAUGGAUUAUGGAGUUCUUUAUCAACUAAUUUUCUCUCAUCCUGAUCAAACCGAUGGAUUUGGAAGAAAAUUAGCAGUUUGUGUUUUAAAUGCUUUCAUCAGAGAUUUUAAAGCAGUUGAACUCAUCAUAGAAAGUAAACCUCCUGAAUGGUCAAAUGAUGGAGGAGUUUACCCUGCUCAACAUCUCAUCUUUCUCAAAGCCAAUCAAAGAAAAUAUCAAUUGUUCGGUACAGAGAGCCCUUGGCCUUGUACUAAAUUUGUCCUCAAAAAACAAAUCAGAUACUGGAGGUCAAAAAUGAUUUCAAGAAAUCUUGAUGCCGAGAUUUAUAGUUCUUCUAACUAUAAUCUCAUUGCUGAAAACAACAAUCAAAAAUUCAUUUCUUCAAUCUAUCUUCCAGAAGUCCCUUUUCUUUUCCAGACUCAAUUUACUUAUCUUGUUGAUAAGUACAGAAAGGAAUAUGUCCUUGAAGAAGAAGCCAGACAAACUUUUGAAAAAUAUCUCUUAGAAAUGCUCAGUUAAGAGAUAUCAAGAAUCUUUUGUACAUUUGUAACUAUCCAGUAAAAAAAAAGAAGGUGAAUAGUGUUUUUUGAAUAGUAAAUUUCGUCUUUUACUAUGACUCAAAAGCAAAAUAGUGACUCAAAAGCAAAAAGGAGACUCAAAGGCAACGUGAUGAAAAUGAAAAGCAAGAAAGGAGACUUACCUUCUGCAAUCCUCAUACACAUGGAAGAAAAUUAAAAACUCAAAGUUUUCUUGAAGCCUAGAGCCUCGCCUAUAAAUAGAGCUUCAAAGUUCUUCAUCAGGUAGAAUUGGGAAAGAGUUCGAGAGAGCUUCAAGAGCAGAAAAAUUAGAGUGUGCCAAAAUUUUGAGAGUUCAAAAAAUUUUCUCUUGUAAUUUUCUUCUUUGAGUUCGAGUCAUCCCUCUGCUGUCAACAACCUGUAUUCAUCAGCUCUCUAUAUUAAGGUAUAUUUUCAAUAAACAAAAUUUUCAGACUCAAAUAUUUGUGUUAUUAUGUUUAAAUUUCUGCAAUAAAUUAGACAAUAUUAGGCAUUAAAUAUUUCUGUUUUUAUGCUUGGAGAUAAUUAGACAGAUUUAAUUAUUGCUUGCAUGAAUUAAUUAUUGAAACUUUUAUAUAUAUAUAUAUAUAUAUAUAUAUAUAUAUAUAUAUAUAUAUAUAUAUAUAAAAGUUUUUUUUAAAUUAUUAAAUUUAUUAAUAAAUUCAAUACAAAGUGUCCCUUGAUUUAAAAUUUAAUUUUUAAAAAUACAAUUCUUUAUUUUACUUUGUUUUUUUUUUAUAAAUAACAAUAACUAAAUAAUGAUAUUUUUUUUAAAUCACACAUCUAAAUAGAUUUUUAUUAUUUAACAAAAAAAAACUCUUAAAGAUUAUUUCAAAUAAAAAUAAAAAAUUAUUUCAAACUAUGUACAAUGUGAGAUUUUUCUAAAUAAAAUAAAUUUAUUUUAAAUCAUGUGCAUAAAUAUUAUUAAUAAUUUAUUUCUUUUUUUUAUUUUUAUUAUCAUUUAUACUUACUAUUAAAACAGUAAUAAAUUUUCAUUUCAACGUUACGUUUCUUUAUCCAUCCAAUUAUAAAAUUUGAUAUUAUCAAAUUCAUUCCUACUUAAUGGAAUAGAAAUGGAACAAAUGUUCAUUCCCAUUCCCGCUUCUCCAUGCUAACACAGUGGAAUGAAGGGUAGUUGUGGAAUUUAGGAAGCAACGACCUUUGAGCGUGGCCAAAUCACAAAAUCUGAUAGUAAUAGUCUCCGUUGUUGCGCUAAUACCUCUCGCUUUCUCCUACUGCCAGCGCUUUCUCCCGUCUGACCACUGACCAGGUAUUUUUCUCCCCUUUGCCUUGUUCCGCUUCUCCUUCUCCUCCUCUUCACCUCCGAUUUUUCCAACUUUCCGGGAAUUAUUACUUGAUCAUCAACAUUUUUCUCCAUUUCAUGUCAUACAAACCCUAGAGCGUUCACGAUCUGUUUUGGUUUUUAGGGAAUUGUUGUCUGCAAUGGUCUUCUUCAGGAGCGUCUCUGCGCUCUCCAAGCUCCGUUCUCGCCUUGUAAGUUCCAUACUAAUCCUCCACUCAGCUCUUGAAUUUGGAAUUUGUUUUUUUUUUUCUUUUAGUGUUUUUACUUCCGUAUUAGGUUUGAUCAUGUUCUGUGGAGUGGAGCUAUGAGAUUGGAAUUUUCUGAUUUCUUUUAUCUUUGGUGCAUGUCUGUGAAUUGGUUUCGCUGCAGAUCCGAUUUCCUUGGUGUUUUUAAUCUGGAUUUUUAUUUUUUGUGGUGAUUUUUAUGUUACAGGCGCAACCGUCUAGUCUCAACGGUUCCGUACGAUGGCUUCAAGUCCAAACCUGUUCUGAUCUUGUAACGAUCUUUCACUUCAUUGUUCUUUUCCCGUUAUCUCUCUUCCGCCCAGUGCAAUUAUUAUUAUCUGAAAACAAAAGGGAAGAGAUCAACAUUAUGAAAAAUUUAAGAGAUCAACAUUAUGAAAAAUUUUGGCAUUAGAAUUCUGGAAUAUCCUUCACAAAUGGAUGAAAUAGGUUAUGUUGGGCGUGCAAUGGAUCAAAAGAAAGACUGGUAAUGACCAAUUAAAUUAAUAGGAAAAAAUAGUGAAACCCAAUGCAUAUCAGACAUGAUUUUUUUGAGAUGAAAAAUUAUAAAAUAAAUGUUUAAAGAUCAAGAGCAUAUGGAGAUGAGAUUAUGCCUGAAUAUUAAGUAAACUAGAAAGUAGUAAGGAACCAAGGUUGAAAUACAAAAGUAGUUGCACUAGUUGGUUGACUUACAUGGUUGUAUUAUGCAUAAAAUAUUUAUAUUUAUUGUUUCCAUCAUAUAUUUAGAGUUUAAAAGAGAAAGUCUUAGAUUUCUAUGAGGUAAUGCAUUUAGCAUGCUUGGGAGGGUGUAUACAUAUGGUCUUCUGUUAUAUCAAAUUAAAUGCCAACCUUAUCUUUUUUUAUUCUUUUUCCUAUUUGUUUAUCGCAUAUCUUGCUUAUACUUCUGUUUGUUUUUUUCUUCCUUUUUCUUUUUCCAUGUAGGACCUUCAUUCCCAGUUGAAGGAAUUGAUUCCAGAACAACAGGUUUGAUUUACUUCUUUUGUUACUUUAUUAGUUUCCAUCCCUAAAAUUUCUUUCUUUUCUUUUUUGGUGUUUUUCCCCAUUCCCAAUAGUGUGUUGAAUUGAAUAGGUUUUUAGAGUUUCUUUCAACUCCCUUCCCUUUUGUAUAUAUUAUGGAUAAAAAAUGGUUUAUGGUGAUUCAGAUCCAAGGUUUCAUACCAUGAUACAUCUAUCUCAAUAUUCCCCAGGGUUUUAUGAUCUGGAAUUACUGUGACUUUCAAUGGUGUAACUGAAACUGAUAUUACCCUAGAUCAAAGCUCCUAAAUAUUUUUGGUGGCAAUUACAGUAUUUCUUCUUGUUCCUCUUCAUUUAAUUUUUGUUUUCAUUUUUUCUUUUUCUUUUUUUUUGGGAUUGCAGGAACGCCUGAAGAAACUGAAGGCAGAAUGCGGAAAGAUUCAACUAGGGAAUAUUACUGUUGAUAUGGUAAUGAUAGUCUCUGUUUAUUCUGAUGUUUGUAAGUUUACAAUCUUAGAGCAACACGUACAUAUAUUACAGUGUGUAACCUCUCACUGAGUUAUCACUGUCACAAUUGCAAAGGUACUUGGUGGAAUGAGAGGAAUGACAGGGUUGCUGUGGGAAACCUCGUUGCUUGACCCAGAUGAAGUAAAUAUCCCUUUUAACCCAUUCUUGAAACUUUGUUAUGGAUUCUUUUAUAUUUUAUUUUAAUGACUGUUUGAUGAAUGUUGGGACAUGAGGGAAGAUUUUUAUUUUUUUUUGGGUUUCCAAUUUAGUUCUGAAAGUUGAGCUUCUGUUUUUCAGGGAAUUCGCUUUAGGGGUAUGUCUAUCCCUGAAUGCCAAAAAGUAUUACCAAAUGCAACACCUGGUGGAGAGCCUCUGCCUGAGGGUCUGCUUUGGCUUCUUUUGACAGGAAAGGUGGGUUUGUGUUAAAAACAAAAGACAUUACAGGAUACCUGAAUGAAUGAAAAUAGGAGGAAGACAUUGCAUGUCAUAUGAAAAUUGGUUUAUGAGGUUUUACAACUAGUGCAAGAUGUAAUCCCAGCCAAUCAUCUUGCUUAAUGCUGCAUUAUAAGUUCAAGCAUAAAAUUGAACUGCCUGUCACAUAAAAUCUAUUUAUUCCUAUUUGAUUUUGGAGGUUUUUUUGGCAUAUUUAACUAACCCCACCUCCUCCACUGCACUGUACCUUAGGUACCGACUAAAGGGCAAGUAGAUGCUUUAUCCAAGGAAUUGAGCACUCGUGCCACUGUUCCAGGUGCUGUAGCUGAUGUUUCUACCUUAAAAUUCUCAUAACUCGAUCACCUGUAAGAUAGUUUUGAAUUUUGAGAAUAUGCUUAUAUUUCUUCUGAUCCAUUAAGCUAUUUGCGGCUGGCUGGAUGAGGCUUCUCUGAGUUGAGCAUGUUUGUUUGAAGUUUUCUUUUAACCUUAGUUGAAAAAUCACUUCCUCAUUUGUUAGCUUCCAAGUUGAUUGUGUUUGAUGCUUUAAUUGAAUACGAGAGAGUUCAAUGUUGGAAUUUCUUUUAUUUUUCUUUUUCCAUAAAUUAGACCUUGGGUUUUCUUUUCUUUUUUUCCAAAAAUUAAACCUAGCAUCAGGAAAUUCUAAAUGUUCCUAUGGAUUGACUAUAGCCUACAGGUUAUAUGCCAGCUGUCAACCAAAAUGAACUUCUUCCUUUGACUUGGCUUGUGAUAGAUAUAAUGCCUAUUUAUUGGUGGGUUUUUAUUUUUGGUUGCAGAUCAUGUUUAUAAAGCCAUAGAUGCCCUACCUCAGUCAGCUCAUCCAAUGACCCAGUUUGCAACGGGUGUCAUGGCCCUUCAGGUUGAUUAAUGGACUCUGAAACAUAUUCUGUUGUUUAAUUGCAUUGUUUAUGGUUCAACCGUUUUUUCAGCUCAGUCAUAGUGAAUCUGAAUGGCUGUUUCUGUGUCCUUGCAUUUGGUUAUGUACUUUCUACUACAGCUUUUUUAGUGCUUAGGUAGGCAAAGCGGAGAGGCUUUUAGAAAUUGAAAGAGUUGGUGAUGCCAAGAAUAGUAGUAGGUGGGUGUAUUUAGGUGAGGAGGCUUUCUCCCUUUUAGGCUUCCUGGAGUGGAUAGCAUCCACUUAAGGGGAGGUGAUUCUUUUUGUCUCUGUUUUUUGAGGCCCUAGCCGUCUUGUAUACUCCCUGUAUGCUUUGUGGCGUUCUGUCUCUCUAUUAAUGCAUAUCCUUUUACUUAUCAAAAAAAAAAAAAGAAUAGUUGUAGUUGGGUGAGUAAUGACUGAAUUGGUCAGCGGGAAGGCAAGAAAUAUGGACUGUUAUUUCUCUUGAUCCCACUGAUCUAGCUAUCCUGUGGCUAAUCCUCUCUUGAAGAGGAGUGCUAUGAUUUCAGAAUUUGUUUCUGGAGCAUUUGUACAGUUGUAGUUGUCCUUUGUAGGUGUUAUUGAUUGCCUGUCUUCCCUGUUGUGCCUAUGUCUUCAUACUUCCAUUUUAGUGUAGACUUCUUCAUCCUCAUAGUGUAUCCUUGUCUUUUUAGCGACUUCAUUUGUAUGGUGACAUAAAAACCUUCAUCAAAGUGAAGGGACACAUCAAGCUAUUGGGUAUGCAGGUUUUGAUGAGCAGUUUAGAUGUUGAUUUUAACAAUAUUCAAUCACUUUUUAUUGUAUUUCAGGUUCAGAGUGAAUUUCAGAAGGCAUAUGAGAAGGGGAUUCCAAAAUCAAAGUAGGAUUCUUUUUUGCAGUCAUGUUUACACAACUUGAUUAUCUAUCAAUUAUGCAAGCACUUAAAUGUGAUGAUGUUUUCAGGUACUGGGAGCCAACAUAUGAGGAUUCUCUUAGUUUGAUUGCUCAAGUACCAGUUGUAGCUGCUUAUGUUUAUCGAAGGUCAGUUAAGCACAUCAUAUCUUGUUAAUAAUUGUAUACUUGGCCUAAUUGUGCUUGUGUAUGGUUCUGGAAUGAUGUUGGAUUGAGGGUUAUGGUAAAUUUUUAUAGGUAUUAAAUGAUCUGGGUAAGAAAUUAGCUUCUUAUAUAAACUAGUCUUUACUCAACAACUUUGGGUGAUGUUUAUCUAUCUAUUGAUAUGUGAUCCAACAUUAUCUAUUCACUGCUCUCUCUCUCUCUCUCUCUCUUUUGUUUGUGGUUCUUCAUAAUUUGACAAAUAGUGGUCUGUGUCUAAAUGAAUUUUCAGUGCCUCAUUACAUGGAAUUGUGCUUAGUAUGAAAUCAUAGUUUCCUUACAUAGUAUGGAAUCAUGGUUGGCCUCAUCUUUCUGUGCUUUUGAAGGGUAUACAAAAAUGGACAAAUUAUACCCAAGGAUGACUCUUUGGAUUAUGGUGCAAAUUUUUCACACAUGUUGGGAUUUGAUAGUCCAAAAAUGCAAGAGCUAAUGAGGCUUUAUGUCACCAUCCAUAGGUGGGUGUAUAUUUCUCAUCUUAUGGCAAUGAUAAUAUGUAGGAUUUUCUUAUUGGAUCAUAUAACAAUCAUAUGCUUAUUAAUUUUUAAAAUGUGUUCCAGUGAUCAUGAAGGCGGGAAUGUCAGUGCUCACACUGGUCAUCUAGUAAGUGAGCCUAGAUUCGUUCUAAUUAGUUAAAUGGAAAUGUGUAAUUUUGUUGUAUUUCCGAGGGUAAAGUCAUUAUUUUAUCCUGAAGUUAUUUAAUGGAAUUAUGGCUCAUAUUUUCAGUCAGUGUGUUUGUUAUUAUUUAGUGAUCAUGAAGAGGAAUGUUCUCUAUUGACUGAUAUUAUGCUCAAUUCAGGUUGCUAGUGCAUUGGCAGAUCCUUACCUUUCAUUUGCAGCUGCAUUAAAUGGUCUAGCUGGCCCACUCCAUGGUUUGGCUAACCAGGUAUUGCAUCUUCUGUUGAUAUACAUAGACAUACACAUUCCUAAUUUUUUGUUUCAUUGGCUGUUCAGAUCCUCAGCUUUUUUCAUUCACGUUUAUCCUUCAUUAUUUGACUACAGGAAGUUUUGCUUUGGAUCAAAUCUGUGGUGGACGAGUGUGGAGAGAACAUAAGCACAGAACAGUUGAAAGACUAUGUCUGGAAAACAUUAAAAAGUGGCAAGGUAAUUUGGAUAAAUUUGCUGUGUGCUUUGUUUUGGAAGUUAAUUAAACAAGAAAUUUAAAGACCUUUUACUAUAACGACUCCAUGAGCACAAAAAUAUCCAUUUUACCUUUAUAAUGGGAAAAAUUUUUAGUUGGACCUCUUUUUUCCUAUGUUAAAUUGUUCUUGUUCCUAGCAUAUUCUGUAAAUAUUUCUGUUCUCAGUGGCAAGUAAUCUGAGUUAUCUUUUUGUGAUUUCUACACCAUAGCAAAUUCUAUAACAAUCCAUUAAUGCAGUAGAAAAUUGUCAGCCAAACUUGUUUCUAUUGGGAUUUUAUAAAUGUUUUGGCAGUUUGAUCUUUGAUAGACCUCCAUUUGUGGUGAUUUGUUUGUUUUCCUCAGAAAUUCAUGGUUUUGUAGAUGCUAUUCCUGUUUUCUUUAGGAAUGAAAUUCAUCUGAUUCAUGUCCACCCAUCUGAGAAACUUUAAAUGAAUUUAAAUCCAUGAUCCGGGCUAUGUAUGAAUUCAAUCAAUCCCUACUUUACUUAUCUGUUUUACCACACACAUAGCAAUGAAUCUUAAGUUACUGCACUUGAUCUCUUUUUGGUUUUGUGAAUAAAAAUGAUUUCCCAGAAACAUUUUAAAAUUUGUAAUUGGUCUUCUGUGCAAAUUUUUAUUUUUUUUAUUUUUUUUAGGAAGUGAAAAUUAUCUUAUUAAUAGCAUGAAAUGGAUGAAGCCCAGUAGUACAUGAGUAUACAGGAGGCAUACAACAAUUUUGUGCAUCUUAAUUAUCCUUUUCUUUUUAUAGGUAUAUAGGAUAAAUACAUUAGAUAUGCACCAAAGUACACAAGUCAUAUACUAAGGGAGCUAGGAAAGCAACAAAAAACAAACACCCCAACAAAGCAAACCUAACCAGUCUAUAAAACCGACAAUGGUUAGGGAGCCUCUAUCAAAGUACACCCUCACCCAUAACAAAAGAUUUACAAAGAAAGGAGAAAACAAAUGGAUGAACAAGCAUUUAUAAGCUCUCAAAAGAUCUUUGGUAAGACUAUUUCCAUUAAGUCCAAAAAAUGCAUAAUGGGAUAACCCUCCAAACCUUCUUCCUUUUUUCACCCACAAAAGAACCAUGUCACUCUAACAAAGUCUCUUUGACCAAUUGAGGCAUCAACCACUCUACCCCAAACAAAGGGAAUACCAAACUCUAUAAGUCUCAAGCUUGGGCACAAUGAAGGAGCAUGUGGUCAAUAGUCUCUUCCUCCUUCAUACAAAAAAAACAUCUAUUCACCAGGUGUCAUCCUCUUCUCUGCUGCUGAUCCAAUGUCAAAACCUUGAAGCUUCCCACGAAAAAAAAAAAAAAACAUAUACUUUGGUUGGGACUAAUGGGUUCCUAAUAGCCUUUGAUGGAAAAGUAACUACUCUAUCCUACCUUGUAAAGGAGUAGAAGGGUUUAACUAAAAACUUCCCCUUCUUUGUAUCCAACCAAUCUAGCCUAUCAUCUUGAUUCCUUCUUACCGCCUUUCCUUGAAGUCUUGAGAGAAACUCUUGGAGCCUUUCCAAUUCUUGAUUAUUCAGAUUCCUUAAGAAACGGGGAUUCCAAAUCCAUCCCUAUUUGUGGGGGUUCCAAACAUUCACCACCCAAACUUCCUUUGUCAAGGAUAUGCAUCUUAAUUGUCAAAAACUAUUAGUUGGGUUAUUAAGUUGUUCUGGCUGUAUAAAGGCUGAGAGGGGAGAAGGAAACAGGAAGGAAUAUACUGAGCUUGAGCUUAUCAUAGCUACCAUUUAACUCUCAUCAUAUCAAAUAGGAUUACAAAUUUUUCUUACUAUAUAGCAUAUGUUAGCCAUCCAACCUAUAACUCUGAAAGCAGAUGUCCCAUCACAUUCAAUUAAAUGCAGAUGUCCAAUUGCAUUCGAUUAAAUGCAUAUGUCCAAUAAAGUAGAUGUCACACCUUGUCUGAUUACACAAUUAAAAGUUUGAGGGUUCUUAUACUAACUGAUAUAUCAAUCCUUGUGCUGGUUCUGUAUGAACAUAAUAACAUACCUGGGCUAAGAGUGAUUCAAUCCUGUUCUUUUUUUUUUCCUUGCUAUGAUUAGCAAUGUUCUUAACAUUGUUAUCCUAUCUUUCCUGAUGAGCAUCUUGGAUUUUAUUUACUUUCUAAUAAGCUAAUGAGCUGGUAGACAUGGCUUAAUAAUUUAUUUAUUUUUGUUAAUUAAUCAUUGUGCCUGUAGGUAUUUGGCUCCUGAUCCAGAUCAUAACAUAUUUUUUAUUUGAGAUUUUAUACCAUACAUUUUGAUUCUUCUCCCCCAUUUCAAUAAAGCCUAGCUGACUCCAAUUGAGUCAGUAGGAUUGAUCUACUUUUGGGGUCAUCAGCCACUAUCAUCAAAAUAAGGCUUGUGUCCAUCAGUUGGAAGAGCUUGAGUUUUGAUAGCUCAAUUUCUUCUAGUUCCCUGUGUCCUUAAGAAGCUACAAGAACUCAGAAGGAAAAACUGAGAAGUAGGUUGCUUGAAGGGACAAACCAUUCCAAGGAGUACUGUUGUUGUUCUGGUUCCAACUUCUUUUAGCCAGGACUUGUGCCAUCGGUUUGGUCAGCUUAUUAUUCAAAGCCCCUCUCUUCUCAGUUUCCCUAUUCUGUGCUUCAAUAGUUUAAUUCUCUCCAAUUCACUUGUCCUUGAGAUCUUGCCUCUUGAUUUUUUUGUCAAUGGCUGUCUGUUCACACUUCUUAUCUGUAACUAACCCACUUUUCUAAUGAUUCAUGAACAAAAUUGAGUUUUCAUCUUUCCCUAAUAUCUCACCAUCUCAUACUAACGUUUGAACCUCUUUAGGAGCCCUUUUUGACAAAUUGUUUCCAUCUCUAAUUUAUUGUUAUUGUGUGCAGGUUGUUCCUGGGUUUGGGCAUGGAGUUUUGCGUAAAACAGAUCCAAGAUAUAUGUGUCAAAGGGAGUUUGCAUUGAAGCACUUGCCUGAUGAUCCACUGUUCCAGCUGGUUAUUACUUAAAGCCCUGAUUAAAGACAAUGGUUUGUUUAUUUUUGUGUUCCAGUUCAUCCUUGAGCUGACUUGGUUUACCAUUACAGGUUUCAAAGCUUUAUGAAGUGGUGCCUCCUAUUCUUACUGAGCUUGGCAAGGUAUUAUCAUUGAAGGAAAGGGUAUCUAAAUAUUAUUGAGAAAUGAUGAGCUAAUGUGCAAACCUAAAAAUUAAAAGGAAGGAAAAAAAAAAAAGGAAAAAUGAUUCUUUUGUUGAAGUUUUUCCGAAGCACAAUAGCACUUUGUAUUUUCCUAAAAAGAGUAGCAAAAACUUUGAUGAGAUAAAGGCGGAAAGCUAGAAUAAUUCUAGGAGGAAGGAGGUAUAGAGGAACAUCAAUGAAAAUGGAGAUUUGGAGCGUAUUAAAAACCCUGUUCACUUGCAAGAUGUCAAUGACGUAUAUCAUCAUAGCAUGAUAGUAAGCCAUUUGAUUUGGAAGCUUGUGUUUCAUUGCAACACAAGCAAAACAAUGGACAACCUGAAGCAACAUCCUGGAGACACACAACUGAAUUCCAGAACUAGCUCAGCUAAUUAACAGUAGCCUGACUGAAAUUGUUAAGUUUUAACGGGGCAGAUUAAGCAAUUGAUAUGAGCUUUAGGUUAAGUCUCUACAAAGUUAGAGGCUAUUUUCCUGCAAUUUGAAGUUUAUGCUUUCUGCAGUUCAAAAGAAACAAGAGUUUGAUGUUCUGCAACAUGCCUACUAGAAUUCUGUAAAAUAAACUUUGGCUUCAGUGAUACCUGUGGAGUUAACAGUGAUUGUUUUUGGGAUUUGGGACACUUGUAGGUUAAAAACCCAUGGCCCAAUGUCGAUGCUCACAGUGGGGUCUUGCUGAACCAUUUUGGUUUACACGAAGCACGGUAAAGAGUUCUCUCUCACAAUCAUUAUAAUUGGAGAUUUCUUAAUUUGGCUAUUUAAUAGUAUCUUGGGUAGAUGGUAAAAAUCCUUUAACAAUUGAUCCCUUGCAGAUAUUUUACUGUUCUUUUCGGGGUAUCAAGGAGUAUAGGGAUCUGCUCUCAGGUUCUCACUAUGUCCCUCACCUUCUUUUCUCUUCUCCCUUUCCGUAUUUUGUUUGUUUUCUUAAAUCUCUCAUUCUUCCUUCGGGUGCAUCUGAAUCAUUAUUAUUAUUAUUUCUUUUCUCAGUUAAUAUGGGACCGUGCUCUUGGAUUGCCCCUUGAGAGGCCAAAAAGUGUUACAAUGGAAUGGCUUGAAAACCACUGCAAGAAAGCAGCCGCCUAAUUCUAAAACUCGAUAUAGGCAGAGAGUAACAAUGUAAAAUAGUUUUGAUAAUAAUGGCGCAAAAGGUACAGGCUUUGUGGGUGAUGGAGGAAUGCUUAAAGUCGAGAGCUUUGUAAGGUUAUAAGUUGCGCCUUGGGUUCAACCUUCUGGCUGGUGGGAGUUUCUUCCACUAAUUUUGAAUUUAGUUAAACGGUUUAAUUCUUGUUCUUUUAGUUCUAAAUUGUUUGGUUUUCACGGGUUUUCAAUGGUGUAUUUGAGGAAAACAUCAAUUGGGGUUUAAUGACCUUUGAAUAAAUGCAGUUUUAAUAUGGUCAUAUAUUUGGAUGAGAUGGAAGCCUUGUUCUAUGGGAAUCCACAUUCAAAGAAGGCUGUUGAUGAAAUGGGCUAUAUAACUAUAGAUUUGAUGUACAUGUAGCUCUUAGUCGCUAUAGAUUUGUUGUGCAUUGGUUAAAACUAAAGGUGUAAGACUCCAAGACUAGAAAUCUAGCACUAUUGUCUCAACCUGCUCAAGUGAUUUCUCACUAUAGCUUUUCCGUGAGAGCAAGCUUCUUCUAGAAGCGGCCAAAGACAUCUAUAAAUCUUCACAAACAGAUGGGAGAAAAUAGAAUGGUUUGGAAUAGUUUGUGACAAGUUGUGAUUUAGCAUUUAAUAUUUCUAAAAUUAGGAUAAGUAUUUCUGUAUUUGUUAAUAUUUUUAUUGGUUUUAUUCAAGAUAACCUUUUGUUUUUUUAGUGGAAGUGUAAUAUUAGUAUUGUAAAAUUUUAUUAAAUAUGAAAAAACUUUUUCCAUAAAUUAAAAUAAAACUUUUAUAAAAAGAAAUAUGUUUAUAAAUUUAGGUUAUGUUUGGUUUCCAAAAAAUUUAAGGGAAAAACAUAAGGGAAAGAAAGUAAAAAUGAAAAGUAUGAGGGAAAGAAAAGCGAAGGAAAAUAAAAAUAUAUUAAAAAUUAAUAAAUUGUUUGAUAUAAAGAUUAAAUAUUUUAAAAAUAUAUAAGUUUUUAACUAGUUUUAAUUAUAUUUGAUUUUCUUUUAUAAUUUUUUAUAGGGCAAUUAAAUAUGAAAAAAUUAUUAUUAUUAUUAUUAUUUCUUUCCUUGACAUUUUAUGGGAACCAAACACAACCUUAAUAUUAUGUUUUUCGAAUAAAAAUUAAUCAAACAAAUAGAAAAACUCUUUAUUAAGUGCAUAAAUUAAAAAAAUAAUGAUUAUUAAAUUCAAAUGAUUUUCUAUGUUUACUUAAUUUUAUUAAGUUUUGAGAAGUUGAAAUAUAAAUAAAUAGUUAGAUCAUAUUAAUCUUAUACAAUUAAGGUAUAGAAUACUUUCUAGGUGUUUAUAUAUUUCUAAAAUUAAUGCAAGAAUAUCCAUAUUUGUUAAUUUUCAUUUAAGGGGGAAAGAUUACAUUUUUUAAUGCUAAUUUAUUCAUAUAUUAUUAUUAUUAUUAUUAUUAUUUUGAAGAGGAGUUUUGGCAAAAAUAAAAAUGGAAAGAAAUGGAGAGCGAAAAAUGAAACCGGCUGGAGGCAGGUCAACUGCCAUCCGCCUUAAAAGGAAGUACUCAUCUCAGUAAUCUUACCACUCACAGCUCACAAGAAUCCAUCAUCUGCCGCCACUCAAAUGGCAUUUCUCUGCAGGGCACCAUCAUUUCAACCCCAAACCCAGUUGCUGAAUCUGGGGUUUCAUCGUGCAAUCUCCUCUCCUCAACUUCCCCCAGUCUCCAAUUUCCCCUGCACCCCUCUUUCUUCCAGGUAUUCCCCUUCCAUUUUCUGGGUUUUCUGUCUUUCUUUCACUAGGAAGUUUCAUAAUAUUGGUUUGAUUUCACUCCAUUUUUCCAUCACCUCCUACGUUCUCAUGUUUAUCUCUGUGCCAUUUUAGCUUUUCCUGGAUUGAAUACCCCAUUUCAGACCAUGAAUUCUUUGGGUUUUACUCAAAGAGUGGAAGAGCUCAGUGGGGUUUCUACUAUCAAAAACUGUUUUUUUCUAGGGACCCUUUUUGGAGUUGGGAAUUACUAAUCAAAAUAGCAUUACAUUUUUGAGAAUUCGUAUGAAUAUCUGUUGUGAUGUUGAUCAAAAUCUUCUAUUCUAUGGUUGAGAACUCACUGUGAAAUUCUUACUUUUAGGUUCAAUAAUGAGUUACGUUUGAGGGUGAGGCAAAGGAUGGCUGUCGUGUUUGCAUCAAAUACUGUUUAUCCUGUAGGGGGAGAUUCCAAGAAGGAGAAAUCAGAUGCCCAAGGUCCUCCAUUCUUGACCAUUUUGGCUGGAUUAUUACUAUUUCUCCUUGUAUUUUGGCUUCUAGGGUCCAUUGUGAUGUGGCUGUUUGGCCUAAUAGUCAAAUCACCUCCAUCUAAGUAAUGGUGUACUUUCUACCAUCUUCCAUGUCCAUGUUGAAGGGCUUUAGCCUGUACUUGUUCAUUUGAUUAUCCCCAUCAAUGGAAGCAACUCUGUUUUCUGCUGUAGUUUGAUCUGGGGUGAAUGGGGAUGGAAUGUGAAACCUGAUACAGCAGGUACCCGCUAAAAUGAAUGCUGUUUUCACUCAAAAAUUCGUCAAGCCUCUUGGGUCAUGCACCAUUAGAUUGUUUGGUGAAGAAAAGAAGAAUCACUAACCAUGCAUGAGUUCAAUUUUGUUCUCAAGUAACAAGAUUUCUUUCUCUUUGCUCGAUCUAUACUUUCAAAACCCCUAAACUGCCCAUUAAUGUGGGAUUGAAAAAAUGCUACCCAUUAACAUUAUAACAAUCAGAACAAUUGUUUACGCCCGGAUUGAUUUUGAGAGUUCCGCAGAAAUUUGAAAAUAUGUGGAAAAUCACUUGAAAAAAUUAUUCCUACAAAAUCAUUUAGUAGAUAAUUCUUCUAAAAAUUACUUUUCAAAAGCACUACAAAUUAAAAGCUAUAAAACAUUAAGAAAUACAAGUCUUCACUUCAAGCAAGCCCGUUGAAGAGUGAUAUCAUAGUUAAUAGUUAAAAUAAUUAAUUUUAAAAAUUUUAUUAAACACAUAAUUUCUGAAGAAAACAUAUCUAAAUAUUUUCAAAAAAAAAAAAAAUACUUCUAAUCAUUUUUAAAUGGCCAUGAAUUUAUAAAAAAAUUCAAACACCUCAUUUUUAAUUGUUUUAUUUACAAGAAAGCCCUACAACCCUCGAAUGGUCAAGCUCCAAACAGCCAGAUCGCCCCCCCAACAGCCCGACCGCGCUCUUAAAUGCUCAUCAAAUCAAAGUUUCUUCUUCCUUCUGAAGAGUUCCUUCUUGAGUUUAUACCUCCAACCAAAAAUACCGACAACAAAUAAUUGUUAAAUUAAUGCAUCUCAACCACUUCAACGUCCACCCGAGAAAUCGUCACAAUCAUAUCCAUGAUUAGUGAAUAUAGGUGAUUAUGACUUUAAAUUUAAACUUAAAAUUUAAAUGGGUCCAUUUGAUCAUUUGCAGUGGAAACCAAUAAUUCUUGACAUAGUUUCUAUUUCCUGAUUGAAGAAAGGACAGAUGGAAUCUAGGUUGGAAGAAAAGCAAGGAUGAUUCCCAUAGGAAAGUCGCAUGUAGCUGCCAUGGAAUGGCACAUUGGGAAGUUUCUGAAGAUACAUGCUUAAGCUUAAUUAUAGAAGCCUGACAAUUAAACCAACACCAAACAAAAGCAAGCAGAUGACAGACCAGUCUCAAUUAUACUAGCAAAGAAAACCUGUCUGCCAAGAGAAUUAUCAUCUUUAUCAUUCUUUGUAUAGAGUAAUGUUGGAUGAUCCUAAAAGAUGGUUCCAAAGUAGAAAAAAUGGCCAAAGACAGAAAUGCAAUAGUAUAAGAAAAAGGUCAUUUUAUUACAAUAUGAAAAGGGAUACAUCUAUUUAGAACUUGUUUUUUAAAGGUUAUCAUCCUCAACUGGUGCUGUAAAAUUACGCCUUUCAUCAGAAGUUGCAGUUAUAACCGGCAUCCAUACAUCAGCAGUACUGCUCAGGAGAGACCGAACCUCUGGGUCUUCAGCCAUGGUUGAGGAUAUCAUCUCAUCCACAUCAUCCAACUUUGCUGAUAAUUUAUCCAACUCCUUGGCUAUUUCCAGCUAAAUUCACAAGAAAUCAAACACCAAUUAGGCCAUGUUUGUAAUUCGUCCCUAACAAACAGAGAGCUGCCUCUUUUUGGAAGGCAAACAAAAAGAAAAGGUUUGAAAAUGGCUGUAACGGAUUCUCAAACAUACCUCGUCAAGGGGUGGUGUAGACUUUGAAGGAACUUUUGUAACCUCUAAUCCAAGGGCUUCGAUUUUGGCACGCAAUUCAACUUCCUCUUGAUUGGUUAGUGCUUCAACCUACAGAAUAGAAGUCAUUCAGAAAAAACCUCAUUGGAAAGAAAUGAUGGUGAAUAAAGAUAAAAGUAAGAAGCGGUUGCUAUGUUAUAGCCUGCUUUUGGUACAUGGGAUGACUCCUAGUAACAAAGCAUUCCUCUCUCUUGUAAGCCAACAAAAAGCUUAGGCUAUACAAGGGUAAUAUUCAGGUUUUGAUACCAUUGUUUACAGGGAGAGACCUAAAAAUAUUAGUUCUUUUAGACCUUAAGGAUCAAAAAUUGAGAGAGAGAGAGAGGCUGUCUUCAAUGAGAGCCCUCCUCACAGUAAAGGCAGUCUCAGUUUUUUUUUAUUGUAGAGAGCCAUCUUAAUAUUAGAUAAUUAAGAUGUAUAUAUAUGAUAUUGCCUUAAGUGCCUAAAAUGAUAAGAAUCGGCUCACAAUAUUUCGUGUAAAUCCAAGAGAUGAGCCCCAAUUCUACCAUGCUUAAGCCACACCAAAAUAAAAUUUUCAGCCAGAUGAAGUUCACACAUUGUAGAAUCUCAUUGAUCCCAAGAAGUUUUUGAUCCCCUAUUGGAAAAGCACUUUCUUUCCCAUAUGCAGUCAGCAAUUGAAUGAGUCCCAUGUUAUUAAAUUCAAACUCUUAAAAUGAGGGUGAGAUUUCUACUCUUAUCAUCAAAUCUUCAAACCAUCCUAAAUGUUGCUUCGUUCUGCCUUUCUCCAUUCUCAUGAGCCAAACUGUUUGAUACACAUCUCCUACUCAUUCAUUUUGGAAAAUAAACACUCCUAUUCUUUUUAAUCAGAUUGUUCAUGAAUUUCAUUGAUAAAACUGAGGUGUAUUAACAGGGAGAAACCUAAUUCAUUUCAAGAACAAAGCGCUGAGAUCAAGAACCCUAAUUCAAGCCUUCUAAAGCUUGAAACACCCAAACAAUCAAGUACAAUGUCAGAGAUUUACAUAGGGAAUAUGACUCCGGAGCAUCCAAUAAGUCCCAAAUAACCCCUUAAUCCACCAAUUGAAACCUAGUCUAAGAAGAAGAUUACAAUUCAAAAACCUAACAACAAACUGAUGCAAACCAAAUCCCAAUUCAAAUACCUAACAACUAACAAAAUCAAAUGCAGGCAAUUCCCCAAACACCCACGACAACAUAAAUUCAAAUGCCCUAUAUUAAAAAUUCAAUUCAUUUUCAAAGAAAUAACAUAUAUUCCAGAUACCCAGAUAAAAAAUUUUGCCAAUUUCAAUCCACAAACCCCAAAAAGGUCCAAAUCCAAGUGCCCACAACCCAAAAAAAAUGGAAACUUGGGAUGGCUUCGAAGAAUAAUUUUGCACUCAAAAUUGGAAAAAAGUAUACUCCUCAACCCAAAAUCAAAAUAACCCAAAAAAAGGAAACGAAGGUGAGUUUGAUAAAUAGAAUACCUGCUGAAGGAGAUUAGCGAGGAGGUCAAAGAGUUGCUCAUCUGCCUUUCCUUCUUCCGCCAUUGAUCUUUCCCUCCGUCUUUCUGUCUCUCUUUCACAGUUUGGCUGCUUGUAGCACACCGGUCUGACGUGUACACUUGGCACUCUUUGGUUGGGGUUUCUGAGGUUAUUUCUUUUUCCUUAAUUUAGAAAUUUGCUAACUGAAAAAAACAAAACAAAAAAAAAACCAAAAACUGGAAAUUAAGUAUAUCUAUAGACUAUAACUCCAGUUUUAGAAAAUCAAAAAAUAGAUUUUUUUUUUCUGUUUCUUUACUCGUUGUUUUCUUUAAUUAAAAGUAGAAAGUUAAAAGCUAAAAUUAUGUAAAUUUAUUAUUAAAAAGUUUUAUUAGACAAAAAUUAACAUUUCCGGACUAAAUUUAAAGAGAAAAUACUUUCAUAAAAGGUAAAUUAUACUUCUUUGUUAAAUUUUUCUUUUUCUAGUUCUAAACCUAUUUUUUAAUAAAUAAAAAACUCAAACACUUAUAUAAAUUUUUAUUUUAAAUUUAAAAUGAGUUUUUUUUUAUUUAUAAAUAUGAUUAUUGUUUUUAAGUUAAGGAUAAGUUAUUUAAAUGAUGGUGAUAUUAAAUGUCAUAAAAGAUUUGAUUUAUCAUCAUCAUUAUAUUCUAAUUAAUUUUUAAAUAAAAUGGUAAAGUCGAAUUUGAAAAUUGAUAUUACAGUCAAGGCUUCAAGUUACCGGAGCUUCAUGUUGGAAGAUCAGGGUGAGUUACCUGCAUGAUUGUGAUGUCUAAACAAUUUGACCUAUCCUUGUCGGACACCAUUUGGUUUUUGGAUGAAAUGAUCAAAGUCUCAUCCAAAAAUUGGUGUUAGAGCCAAUAUUAUGAGCCAUGUUGGAAGCUUGGGGAUAGGUCACUAAAAUGAUUACAAUGUCCAAUGUUAUAUAUUAGGUUUAUACUAAUUCAAUGUAAGGUAAACACAAAAGAGGAAUGGUGAAUUAGGUAUUGGUCACUUUAAAAAUUUUCUAAUAAGAUGAAUGCAAAUGACAAAUAUAAACAAUAAUAUAAACAAUAAAUUGUAAUUAUAGUGGUUUGCCCAAUAUCAACCUAUGUCCAAUUUUCUCUAACUUUAAUCCAAACUCGAAGUUCAACUAUCAACAUGGCUUCAAACAAAGCCUUAAUAUGGUACACUUGGAUUAUUGGGUUCAAGGAAUCUUUCGUAAUUCCUUUAGAGAUACCCUCGAGUGAUCCCUUAUACUUAGCAAACUCAAUGGAUACCUCACACUUAGCAAACUCAAGUGAUACCUCACACUUAACUAAUUUCCUCUCAAGAUUUACAAAGAAAUAGAAAAAUCCUAAUAACAAUUUUUGGUUAAGGAUUAUGAUACACACUAGUAUUGAGGCUAUACGAAAUGGAUAUGAAAGGUAUAAGAAGAAAGUGUACUUGUAGACCUUAAGGGAGAGAGGAAUGGUUUUUUUGUUUUUUUUUUUUUUCUUCUUUCUUUUUCUUUUUUUCUUACAACCUCGAGAAUGAGUUGUUCAAGGCAGCCAUGGGACUGAUGAGUGAGCUGUUUUUGGGCGACUAGAUGGGACUGGAAGUGAGCUGUUAUGGUAGCCAGACAGGACGACUUGAAAGAAAAAUUAGUCUAGAUAGGACUGGAAGUGAGCUGUUAUGGUGGCCAGACAGGACGACUUGAAAGAAAAAUUAGUCAAGAGUUGGUUUUGAAAAAAGGAGAAAGAUACGUGGGGGGGGGGGGGGGGGGGGGGGGGGGGGGGGGGGAAAAAAAAGGAAAAAACAAAAGGGGGAAAAAAAUUUUUUUUUUGGGGUUUCAAAAAAAAGGAAAAAAAAAAACCCCCCCUCUCCCCUUCCUGUCCGGGGGAGAAUUUCAAUUUUUUUUAAUUUUCCCCUUUGAAAAAAACCCCCCGGGGUUUUCCCGCCUAAGGGGGGNNNNNNNNNNNNNNNNNNNNNNNNNNNNNNNNNNNNNNNNNNNNNNNNNNNNNNNNNNNNNNNNNNNNNNNNNNNNNNNNNNNNNNNNNNNNNNNNNNNNGCGGGGGGAAGAAGAGGGAACGAGCAGAGAGGGGAAAGAGAUUUUAUUUUGGAGUUGCAAGAAGAAGGAGCAAGAAAUCAACCCAUCAUCCUCUUCCUAGUCCAGGUACGAUUUCAACUUACUUUACAUUUCCCAUUUGGAACUAUUCUCCUGGGUUUUCCUGCUAUUAGUGGGUUCAUCUUGGUCCUUGAAAGCAACUUAUGCAUGCUCUGUUUUUUUUUUUUUCUUUUUCCUUUAUUUUGGAGUUGCAAGAAGAAGGAGCAAGAAAUCAACCCAUCAUCCUCUUCCUAGUCCAGGUACGAUUUCAACUUACUUUACAUUUCCCAUUUGGAACUAUUCUCCUGGGUUUUCCUGCUAUUAGUGGGUUCAUCUUGGUCCUUGAAAGCAACUUAUGCAUGCUCUGUUUUUUUUUUUUCUCUUUCCUUUCUCCUCUGUUUUUGGCAUAUUUCAAAAUAUUGGGUGAUCACGAGACGAGGGUGUUUAUAGAAUGUGGGUUUAGAAAGCAGUUGUGGUUGUCUGAUGCAUUGAAAUCUCUAUGGGUUUAUUAUGCUUGAUCAUUUCCUGGUCUCUCUCUCUAUACUCUUCAUCAUCAUUUCUUAAGUGCCAGACCGAACCCAUCAUGCGAACCACCUCCAUCUCCAUCUCCAUUUCCAUUUCCAUCUCCACCUCCAUCUCUCCUUGUCUCUCUCCAACACCGAGUCCACCACUCGCACCAUCACCAAAACCCAUGCUGGCGUCAACGUCGGUGCCACCAUGGACAUGACCGAUAUGAAUGAGAUCAAGGCUCGGAGCGCACCUCUGAGAUAACGAACAAGGUCCUUCUUCGGCGGCAUUAUACGGUUCAGCUCGACCUACUCCAGCCAUGUGGCCAGUUGCGCCGAUCACUAGUAACGACGGUAGCGUUUUCUAGGUGCUUUCGGAUUGCCACCACUGCUUCUGUCUCUACUGCGUCGUGGUUGAAGCUCUACGCGUCGUGCCAUGCUUGCCAGAACUCAUGUGUUGCCAUGUGUAAAUGGGCUGCAAGUUGGUGCUUUUUUGUGGAGAAGUGGGGCUUCAUUACUCCACUUCCAAAAGCUGGCAGUUGACUAAUGGCAUGAAACUGUUUAAACAAUUGAUGAAUGGCAUGAGAUUUUUCAUAAGUGGCAGGGGCACUUCAAGUUCUUUGAAUAAAUAAGUGGCAGUGGCAUGGGUCCUUGUGGCCUCAUGGUGAUUAUUUUUUUUUCUUUUUUCUCACAUGUCAAAGUUUGAUUUUUGUAAAUUCUUUUUAAAUGAUUCUUAAAAUCUCGGUUUCUCGAAUACUCUCAUUUCUAUUCCAAUUUUCAAAUUUAAUUCCUAAAAAUACCAUUUUAAAAUCAUUUCCUGAAUCUUUAAUUUUCAAAAUUUAAUUUCCAAAACUUCUAUUUUCAAAUGAUCGCUAAAAAUUCUAUUCUCAAAUAAUUUUUCGAAAUUCCGAUUCUCAAAUUUAAUUUUUAAAACUUUGUUUUUUUAAAUAAUUCUUCAAAAUUCCAAUUUUCGAAUUUAAUUUCUAAUUUCCAAAAUUCCAAUUUUCACAUUCGUUUAUUAUUAUUAUUAUUAUUAUUAUUAUUUUAUUUUAUUUAAAAAAAAUCCAUCUUUAAAUAAUUCUUCAAAAUUCCGAUUUCCAAAUUCUAAAAUUCCAAUUUUCACAUUUGUUUAUUAUUAUUAUUAUUAUUAUUAUUAUUAUUAUUAUUAUUAUUAUUUUAUUUAUUUUUAAAAUUUUCAUCUUUAAAUAAUUCUUCAAAAUUCCAAUUUCCAAUUUUUGAAAUUCCAAUUUUCACAUUCAUUUAUUUAAUCAUUAUUGUUUUCGUUAUUAUUAUUAGUUUAUUUAUUUUUUAAAUUCCAUCUUUAAAUAAUUCUUCAAAAUUCCAAUUUCCGAAUUUAAUUUCUAAUUUCCAAAAUUCAAUUUUCAUAUUUGUUUAUUAUUAUUAAAUUCCAAUUUUCACAUUUGUUUAUUAUUAUUAUUAUUAUUUUAUUUAAGAAGUGCACUUUUGGAGUGACUUCUGGAAAGCUGCUGGGAUACAUGGUCAGUGAGAGAGGUAUAGAGGUAGACCUAGAUAAGAUCAGAGUCAUCCUUGACAUGCCUACGUCGAAGACUGAGAAAGAGAUCAGAGGCUUCUUGGGUAGACUUUAGUACAUUAGCAUAUUCAUUGCUAGAUUGACAUAUAUCUGCAAGCCCAUUUUCCGACUCUUGAAGAAGAGUCAACCUACUGUUUAGGAUUAUCAGUGCCAGCGUGCAUUUGAGAUGAUCAGAGAGUACUUGUUGUCACCUCCAGUCUUGUUGCCUCCUACACCAGUCCAUCUUUUACUCCUAUACUUGUUAGCUUCAGACGUAGCUUUGGGUUGCAUGUUGGCUCAGCUCGAUGAUUCGGGCAAGGAACAAGCUAUUUAUUAUUUGAGUAAGAGGAUGCUAGAUUAUGAGAUGAGAUAUGUCAUGAUUGAGCGCUACUGAUUGGCAUUGGUUUGGGCUACUCGAAGACUGAGACAUUACAUAACCGAGUAUUCAAUGCACUUGAUAUCCCGUCUAGAUCCUUUUAGAUAUUUGUUUGAUAGGCUUACUUUGGUCGGUCGCCUCAUGAGAUGGUUGGUACUUCUGACUGAGUUUGACAUUCAUUAUGUCACUCAGAAGUCUAUCAAAUGGAGCAUUGUUGCAGAUCACUUAGUCUCAUUAUCGGUUUCUAAUGGUAGAGUUAUUGAUGAUGAUUCCCCAGAUGAUGAUGUUGCUACUGUGACUAGUCUGUCAGGUUGGCGUAUUGUAGACCCUCAAUUUUGUCCCUUUAGCACAUGUUUUAAAGUUCAUUAUCAAUACUUUACAGUAAUCUCUUGGUAGCCCAUAGCUACUCACGCUACUUACCUUUCUUGAGCCACCUCGGAGACUUUAGUUGAGGGGUUUACCCGGCUCCACAUUAUGACCUUGGCUGCCCUUCAAGUUUAGAUUAGGCCUCACUUAAGUGCACUUCAGACUUAGUUAGGCCCACCUAGUCUCACCCUAGGCCCACUUAGGUAUACCUAGCCCACUUAAGUCCACCUUGACCCAUUUAGGUCCACCUUGACCCACUUAGAUUCACCUAAGCUCACUUAGGUCCACUUUAACCCACUUAGACUCACCAAAGCUCAUUUAGGCACAUCUAGGCCCACUUUGGUUUACUAGGUCCACUUAGGCAUCCUGGCCCACCUAUGUUACCUUUUAGAUAACUCCUGUAUGGCUUGCAUAGUUCGCAUGACUUGUAUUUCUUAACACUUGCAUGAGCUUGAUUUCUUAUUCAUUUAUCUAUUUAUUUAUUUAGUUAUUUAUUUAUUAUAUUUGUUUAGCUAUUUGUUUAUUGUUAUCUAUUUUUUUUUUUUACAAGAUUGCAUGUGAUCAAUUAUCUCAUCUCUUUUUAUGAUUACUAUUAUUAUUACUAUUAAAUGUUUUUACUAAUAUGUACGUUAAUAAAUUUUUUUAGUAAGUUAUUUUGUAUUUUAUUUUAUUUUAUUUGGUUAUUUUCUUAAAGUGCUUUUAAUAUAUUUUUUGGCAAGUUAAGUUUUUUAAUAUAUAUAUACAUAUAUUUGUUUAUACCAAUUUGAUAAGUUAUUAUUAUUAUUAUUACCUUUAAAAAGGUUUGUUAAUAUUUUUUUAAUUUUUGAAUUAUGAUGUAUAUAAAAUAGAAAAACACUUUCCAUAAAAGUUAAAAUACCACUUUGCAAUUAAAACAUCACUUUCCAUAUAUCCACGUACAUAUCCCAAAAGGAAAUAAAAUAUUCCAUGAAAAGGAUAGGUUGCCAUAUAAAUGGGACAAAAAGGAAUAGAAGAAGGACGGUGGGACUUUUUCUUGAAGGAAGAUCAACACAUGCAAGAGUUUUUUGGAGGGAGCGAUAGAGGACUUGAAGGACUAAUUGGGCUGCCAUUUCGACAUAUCAAGAGAGUAUUUUUCCGAUACAAUACAGGUUAGUUUUCGAUUUUUGAUACAAUAUUUCUUUUUUUAGUUUGGGUUUUACUUGAUUAGUUUAAUUAAUUGUUUGCGAUAAAUUCUUUUAAAUCUCGAUUUCGAAUAAUCUUUUAUUUUUCUUAGAUUAAAUGUCUCUCUUUUAUGAUUGCAAUUCAUUAGUUCUAUGCUAGUUUAUUUUAAUCUACAUGAAAGUUUAAAUAAAGUUUAUAUUUUUAAUUCCAAUUAGUUUAAAUUCUAGUUUAUUUUUAAUUUGAAUGAGUUAUUGAUCUUAAAUCUAUUAGUUUAAUUGGACUUGUAAGGUAAAGUUUAUAUUUUUAAUGCCGAUUAGUUUAAAUUCUAGUUUAUUUUUAAUUUGAAUGAGUUAUUGAUCUUAAAUCUAUUAGUUUAAUUGGACUUGUAAGGUAAAGUUUAUAUUUUUAAUGCUGAUUAGUUUAAAUUCUAGUUUAUUUUUAAUUUGAAUGGGUUAUUGAUCUUAAAUCUAUUAGUUUAAUUGGACUUGUAAGGUAAAAUUUAUAUUUUUAAUUCCAAUUAGUUUAAAUUCUAAUUUAUUUUUAAUUUGAAUGAGUUAUUGAUCUUAAAUCUAUUAGUUUAAUUGGACUUGUAAGGUAAAGUUUAUAUUUUUAAUUCCGAUUAGUUUAAUUCUUGUUUAUUUUUAAUUUGAAUGAGUUAUUGAUCUUAAAUCUAUUAGUUUAAUUGGUCUUGUAAGAUAAAGUUUAUAUUUUUAAUUCCAAUUAAUUUAAAUUCUAGUUUAUUUUUAAUUUGAACGUUUUAUCGAUCGUAAUUCUUUAGUUUAAUUGAUCUUGUGAGGAAAAGUUUACAUUUUUAAUUCUAAUUAGUUUAAUUUUAGUUAUUCAUGUGUUUCUUAAAAUCUAAAUGUUAGUUUUUGGAUGAUAAUUUUGUUAGUUUAUUUGAUUAGGAAGUUAUAAAUUUGUUGCCUUAGUGAUUGUUGGUCAAAUUUUUUUUUUAGGGCCACUGGAAACCCAUGAAAGUUGGCCUUUACUCUCACCACUUUAAUUGACAAGAUUUCCUAAAAUCUUUAUUUUGUGAUCUCUGUUUCCUUUUGUUUUGAUUGAUAUUUUGUUUUCUAUUUUUGUUAUUUUAAAAAUUAAUUUCCUUUAUUUUAAAACAAAACUCUUUUUCUCAAAAAAAAAAAAAAAAAACCCCUUUUAAGAGUUUUUUUUUUUAAAUUCAUUUAAAGCCUCUAGAAUCAAAAUCUCUUUUCUAUUUAAAAAAUAACAUGCAACCAUAUCUUAAUCGGUUUGCAUCCUUCUCAAUUUUCAAUAAAAAUUUUGGUUUUAAACAAAACGCGAAUCAAAGCUUGUGGUCCCAAAUAAAUGGGACAAUUGUAGGCUAAAUUCGUGUAUAUUAAUUUGGGGAAUUGGUGAAACCCUACAUAAGAAAAUCUUUUUCAAAAUUCAUUUUUGCUACCACCCUGCUAUUUAUUGUAAUUAUAUUUACAUUUUUCUUUUUAGGAAUUGUAUACAAGAUAUGUAUGAUAAUUAAUUAUUCCGAAUUCUAAUAAUUUUUGCUAAUUAAUUAGAUAAGCAUGCUAGGAUUUAUUAUUUAUUAUUUAUUAUCUAACCCCCAUGUCCUGAGGAAGCGCAUUAGGAGUUAUAUAUGCUAUCCAGGUAUGUUCCCAAAAUUUCAUGAAUAUGCAUGUCAUUGCCCUUGUUUGAUGUCAUACUUGAUUAUCUCAAUGCUUGUUUGAUCGUCCUUGAUAAAAUGCAUGUCGUGUGUCAUAUUUUUGAAUUAACCAUUGAUGUUUUGUGAUAGCGCUUAAGAAGUGGUUCAGGUGUGCACCCUAACUCUCAUUUAUUGUGAUUGAUCUCCUUAUUUAGCAUGUUACUUUCUGAAAUCACCUAGCUUACUUAGGUAUCUACAAUUAAUCAAUUAAUUACCACAUAACCCCCAAUUUAGUCAGUAGAGACCUUUUUAGGGCUUAGAGGGGUGCUACCUCCUAGAGGUACCUUCCCAAUAAGUAACCUAAUCCCCGGACUUAGACUCGGUUUUUUCAAAGACACGCUUUUCCAAAAAUUAUGGAGUCAUUUUUUUAAGGUUUUAUUUAUUGUUUUAUUUUCCCUUUAAAAUAAAAAUAAAAUAAGUGGCGGCUCCAACUUUUCCAAAACUAAAUAAUUUUUCACAAAUAAAAAGCGAGUCUCGCCGAUCGAGUGAGGACGCACGUGAAAAAUGCGGGUCUACAAAUUUGAGACAGUUUGCAUUUAACACUGUCAUUGAUGUUUCGAGGAGAGAGUUAGAGGCUUUGAGACAGAGGCCAGUGGAGUCGCCAAUUUGUGGACCCGCAUUUUUCAUGUGUGUCCACACUCGAUCGGCGAGACUCGCUUUUUAUUUGUGAAAAAUUAUUUGGUUUUGAAAAAGUUAGAGUCACCACUUAUUUUAUUUUAAUUUUAAAGGGAAAAUAAAACAAGAAAGAAAAACCCUAAAAUGUGACUCCAUAAUUUUUGGAAAAAAACAUGUCUUUGAAAAAACCCAAGUCUAGGUCCAGAGAUCAGGUUACUUAUUGGGAAGGUACCUCUAGGAGGUAGCACCCCUCUAAGCCCUAAAGAGAUCUUUACUGACUAAAUUGGGGAAAUGAGACAAUUAAUUUAUUAAUUAUAGAUACCUAAGUAAGCUAGGUGAUUUCAAAAAGUAGCAAGCUAAAUAAGGAGAUCAAUCACAAUAAAGGAAAGUUAGAGUGCGUACCUGAACCACUUCUUAAGCGCUAUCAUAAAACAUCAAUGGUUAAUUCAGAAAUAUGACACACGACAUGCAUUUUAUCAAGGAUGAUCAAACAAGCAUCAAGACAAUCAAGUAUGACAUCAAAUAAGGGCAAUGACAUGCAUAUUCAUGAAAUUUUGGGAACGUACCUGGAUAGCAUAUAUAACUCCUAAUGCGCUUCCUCAGGACAUGGGGGUUAGAUAAUAAAUAAUAAAUCAUAACAUGCUUAUCUAAUUAAUUAGCAAAAAUUAUCAGAAUUCGGAAUAAUUAAUUAUCAUACAUAUCGUGUAUAUAAUUCCUAAAAAUAAAAAUGUAAAUAUAAUUACAAUAAAUAGCAGGGUGGUAGCAAAAAUAAAUUUUGAAAAAGAUUUCUCAUGUAGGGGUUUCACCAAUUCCCCAAAUUAAUAUACACGAAUUUAGCCUAAAAUUGUUCCAUUUAUUUGGGACCACAAGCUUUGAUUCGCGUUUUGUUUAAAACCAAAAUUUUUAUUGAAAAUUGAGAAGGAUGCAAACCGAUUAAGAUAUGGUUGCAUGUUAUUUUUUAAAUAGAAAAGAGAUUUUGAUUCUAGAGACUUUAAAUGAAUUUAAAAAAAAAAUCUCUUAAAAGGUUUUUUUUUUUUUAGAAAAAGAGUUUUGUUUUAAAAUAAAGGAAAUUAAUUUUAAAAUAACAAAAAUAGAAAACAAAAUAUCAAUCAAAACGAAAGGAAACAGAGAUCACGAAAUAAAGAUUUUAGGAAAUCUUGUCAAUUAAAGUGGUGAGAGUAAAGGCCAACCUUCAUGGGUUUCUAGUGGCCCUCAAAAAAAAAAAUUGACCAACAAUCACUAGGGCAACAAAUUCAUGACUUCCUAAUCAAACAAACUAACAAAAUUAUCAUCCAAAAACUAACAUUUAGAUUUCAAGAAACACAUGAAUAACUAGAAUUAAACUAAUUGGAAUUAAAAAUGCAAACUUUACCUCACAAGAUCAAUUAAACUAAAGAAUCAAGAUUGAUAACACGUUCAAAUUAAAAAUAAACUAGAAUUUAAAGUAAUCAGAAUUAAAAAUACAAAUUCUACCUUACAAGACCAAUUAAACUAAUAGAUUUAAGAUCAAUAACUCAUUCAAAUUAAAAAUAAACUAAAAUUUAAACUAAUCGGAAUUAAAAAUAUAAACUUUACCUUACAAGUCCAAUUAAACUAAUAGAUUUAAAAUCAAUAACUCAUUCAAAUUAAAAAUAAAUUAGAAUUUAAACUAAUCGGAAUUAAAAAUAUAAACUUUACCUUACAAGUCCAGUUAAACUAAUAGAUUUAAGAUCAAUAACUUAUUCAAAUUAAAAAUAAACUAGAAUUCAAAUUAAUCGGAAUUAAAAAUAUAAACUUUACCUUACAAGUUCAAUUAAACUAAUAGAUUUCAGAUCGAUAACUCAUUCAAAUUAAAAAUAAACUAGAAUUUAAACUAAUCGGAAUUAAAAAUAUAAAUUUUACCUUACAAGUCCAAUUAAACUAAUAGAUUUAAAAUCAAUAACUCAUUCAAAUUAAAAAUAAACUAUAAUUCAAAUUAAUCGGAAUUAAAAAUAUAAAUUUUACCUUACAAGUCCAAUUAAACUAAUAGGUUUAAGAUCAACAACUCAUUCAAAUUAAAAAUAAACUAGAAUUUAAACUAAUUGGAAUUAAAAAUAUAAACUUUACCUUACAAGUCCAAUUAAACUAAUAGAUUUAAGAUCAAUAACUCAUUCAAAUUAAAAAUAAACUAGAAUUCAAAUUAAUCGGAAUUAAAAAUAUAAACUUUACCUUACAAGUUCAAUUAAACUAAUAGAUUUAAGAUCAAUAACUCAUUCAAAUUAAAAAUAAACUAGAAUUUAAACUAAUCGGAAUUAAAAAUAUAAACUUUAUUUAAACUUUCAUGUAGAUUAAAAUAAACUAGCAUAGAACUAAUGAAUUGCAAUCAUAAAAGAGAGACAUUUAAUCUAAGAAAAAUAAAAGAUUAUUCGAAAUCGAGAUUUAAAAGAAUUUAUCACAAACAAUUAAUUAAACCAAUCAACUAAAACCCAAACUAAAAAGGAAAUACUAUAUCAAAAAUUGAAAACUAACCUGUAUUGUAUCGGAAAAAUACUCUCUUGAUGUGUCGAAAUGGCAGCCCAAUUAGUCUUUCAAGUCCUCUACCGCUCCUCCCAAAAAACUCUUGCGUGUGUUGAUCUCCCUCAAAGAAAAAGUCCCACAGUCCUUCUAUUCUUUUUUAUCCCAUUUAUAUGGCAACCUAUCCUUUUUAUGGAAUAUUUUAUUUCCUUUUGGGAUAUGUACGUGGAUAUAUGGAAAGUGAUGUUUUAAUUGCAAAGUGGUAUUUUAACUUUUAUGGAAAGUGUUUUUCUAUUUUAUAUACAUCAUAAUUCAAAAAUUAAAAAAAAUAUUAACAAACCUUUUUAAAGGUAAUAAUAAUAAUAAUAACUUAUCAAAUUGGUAUAAACAAAUAUAUGUAUAUAUAUUAAAAAACUUAACUUACCAAAAAAUAUAUUAAAAGCACUUUAAGAAAAUAACCAAAUAACAUAAAAUAAAAUACAAAAUAACUUACUAAAAAAAUUUAUUAACGUACAUAUUAGUAAAAACAUUUAAUAGUAAUAAUAAUAGUAAUCAUAAAAAGAGAUGAAAUAAUUGAUCACAUGCAAUCUUGUAAAAACAAAUAAAUAGAUAACAAUAAACAAAUAGCUAAACAAAUAUAAUAAAUAAAUAACUAAAUAAAUAAAUAGAUAAAUGAAUAAGAAAUCAAGCUCAUGCAAGUGUUAAGAAAUACAAGUCAUGCGAACUAUGCAAGCCAUAUAGGAGUUAUCUAAAAGGUAACAUAGGUGGGCCAGGAUGCCUAAGUGGACCUAGCAAACCAAAGUGGGCCUAGAUGUGCCUAAAUGAGCUUUGGUGAGUCUAAGUGGGUUAAAGUGGACCUAAGAGUGGGUCAAGGUGGACCUAAAUGGGUCAAGAUGGACCUAAGUGGGCUAAGUGUACCUAAGUGGGCCUAGAGUGAGACUAGGUGGGCCUAACUAAGUCUGACCUGAAGUGCACUUAAGUGAAGCCUAAUCUAAACUUGAAGGGCAGCCAAGGUCAUAAUGUGGAGCCGGGUAAACCCCUCAACUAAAGUCUCCGAGGUGGCUCAAGAAAGGUAAGUAGCGUGAGUAGCUAUGGGCUACCAAGAGAUUACUGUAAAGUAUCGGUAAUGGACUUUAAAACAUGUGCUAAAGGGACAAAAUUGAGGGUCUACACGUAUGUACUUUGAUGGUGCGGCCAACCAUUCUGGAUACGAGAUAGGUGUUUUAUUGAUAUCCACUCAUGGUGACCACAUUCCUAGAUUUAUUCGUCUGGCAUUCUCAGAUCGACACCCUGCCACAAACAAUAUUGUUGAGUAUGAAGCUUGCAUCUUGGGACUAAAGAUAGCUCUUGAGCUCGGGAUUAGAUGGAUGGAGGUAUUUGGUUACUCCAAUCUGGUAUUGAGACAGAUUCAGGGCCAUUGGAAGACUAGAGAUGUGAAGCUUAGGCCUUACCAUGCAUACUUAGAGCUGCUGGUUAGGAGGUUUGAUAAUUUGAGUUAUACGCAUUUGCCUAGAGCACAGAACCAGUUUUCUAAUGCUACUCUAGCUUCCAUGAUUGAUAUUCUUACUGAUACCGUCGUUUUCCCUUUACUGAUUAAGUUGAGAUCUGUUCCUACCUAUUAUUGCUUGAUUGAUGAGGCAGAGUUGGAUGAUGGUUUGCCUUGGUACCAUGACAUAUACCAGUUUUUGAGACUUGGUGCAUAUCCUGAGGCCGCCAUGGCCAAGGAUAAAAGAACAUUGAGACAGUUAGCCAUUAUUUAAUUAUUUAAUUUUCAAUUUCAAAAAUUCCAAUUUUCACAUUAUUUAAUUAUUUAUUUAUUAUUAUUUUAUUAUUAUUAUUUUUAAAUUCCAUUUUCAAAUAAUUUCCAAGAUUCCAAUUCUUAAAUUUAAUUUUCAAAACUCCAAUUCUCAAAUAAUUUUCUAAUUUCUUUCAGAUUUAAUUUUUAAAGUUCCAAUUCCUUAAUUUAAUUGUCAAAACCAUAAUUCUCAAAUAAUUUUAAAUUUUCCAAUUUCUUUCAAAUUUAAUUUACAAAAUUCCAAUUUUUAAAUUUAAUUCCCAAUACUCCAAUUUUCAAAUAAUUUUCGAGACUCCAAUUUUCAAAUAAAUUUCAAAAAUCCAGUUUUCUCUCUAACAAUUUUAAUUCCACUCCGGUUUUCAAUAAUCUUUUGUUUCUUUUGAUUUUAAAUAAGUAAUAAUGAAUUUUUCAUAAUUCCAAAAUAAUGGAAUUUGUGAGUUUAAUUCAUGCAAGAUAAAUUAGGUUUUGGUGGGGGUCAUACAUAUGAGUUUUCUCUUCUGAUUGUCAAUUGUUAUACUUAAUGAAUAUUGUUUGAUCUUUGUCUUCCUCUUUGAUAUGCAUGUGAUGAUUUUAUACUUGAGCUAACUUUGGUUUCAUGAUAGUGCACUAUUAUUUGUUGUCAAGGUACACUCUCAUUCCCACUUUGUCUAUUCUCAUACAUGAUUCAUUUUAUUAUUUGAUUAUUUCAGUGUUAUUAAUUAAUUUUCUUAUCAAUUGUCACAUUUGUCUCACCUUAUUUAGUAGAAACUCAUUUUUAAGGGGCUUAGAGGGGUGUUAUGGUAUUUUACUGUACCUUCCUAAUAAGUAACCUAACCCUUGGACCCAAACUCAAUUUUUCACAGACUUGUUUUUCCUUCAAAAAUCACACUUAGGGUUUUUCUUUUUUAUUUUGUCUUUCCCUUAAAAAAUAAAACAAAAAUAAGUGGCAGCUUCAAGUCUUUUUUUAAAAAUCAAAUUUCACCAAAUAAAAAUAAAAAGCGAGUUUCGUCAUCGAGUGAGAACGCAUUGUGCGAAAUAUGGGUCCACAGUACUACAAAAAAAUAUUUACAAAGGCUUCAAAUGAUUUAUCAACAAAGGUUUGGAACUAUUCUCUCUUUUAUAAAUGAGGUUAUGAGCUUUUAUAUAGGAGUUGGAAUGUCAAACUACAUAAUUAGGCUCAAUCAAUUACAUUGUCGUUGGUAAGAGGAGACUGCAAGAUACGACCACUAGGUCCUGUAGCUCAAUUGGUUGAGCUUUUGGCUCAACUAGUGGUCACUAUUAAGGAGCAUCUUAUAAGCCCUUAAGCCAACUUGAAUGGUCGAUCUAGGUAGUUCGAUUGACUAAUUCCCCCUUUCUUAGAGCAUUUCAAUAAAAUAGGUAAGUUUUAGCUUAAAAACACAAAGAUUAAAUGACUAUAUAAACUCCUUAACAUUUUGAAAACUUUUUAAACAUGAAUUACAUUAGUCAAAUAUAGUUUUCAUUUAAAAAGAUACUUUAUCAAAUUUUAAAAAAAUUUAAAACAAGUUUGAGUUGAAUUUGAUGAGUUUUGGUGUUUUAAACAAAAUAUAUGCGAUGAGAACUCAGUGCACCCAUAAUUUUACAUAAAAUAAUUUAAAGAUAGUCUCGAUAAUUUUUUUUCUUGAUUUCUUCUUUAACUUCAUGUAGAUUCUUCUUUAAAAUACCAUUUUUAAAUAAUUUCUCGAAUCUUUAAUUUUCAAAAUUAAUUUCAAAAACUUCUAUUUUCAAAUGAUCACUAAAAAUUCUAUUCUCAAAUAAUUUUUCGAAAUUAUGAUUCUCAAAUUUAAUUUUUAAAACUUUGUUUUUUUAAAUAAUUCUUCAAAAUUCCAAUUUCCAAACUUAAUUUCCAAAAUUCCAAUUUUCACAUUUGUUUUAUUAUUAUUAUUAUUCCAAUUUCUAAAAUUCUAUUUUUCACAUUCAUUUAUUUAAUCAUUAUUAUUUUUGUUAUUAUUAUUAUUUUAUUUAUUUAUUUAUUUAAAUUCCAUCUUUAAAUAAUUCUUCAAAAUUCCAAUUUCCAAAUUAAAUUUCCAAUUUCCAAAAUUUCAAUUUUCACAUUUGUUUAUUAUUGUUGUUGUUGUUGUUGUUGUUGUUGUUUUUUCUAUUUAUUUAUUUUUUAAAAUUCCAUUUUUAAAUAAUUCUUCAAAAUUCCGAUUUUCAAAUUUAAUUUCUAAUUUUCAAAAUUUCAAUUUUCACAUUUGUUUAUCAUUAUUAUUAUUUUAAUUAAUUAUUUAUUUAUUUUUAAAAAUUCCUUCUUUAAAUCAUUCUUCAAAAUUCCGAUUUCCAAAUUUAAUUUCCAAUUUCCAAAAUUCCAAUUUUCACAUUUGUUUAUUAUUAUUAUUAUUAUUUUAUCUAUUUAUUUAUUUUUAAAAAUUUCAUCUUUUAAUCAUUCUUCAAAAUUCCGAUUUCCAAAUUUAAUUUCUAAUUUCCAAAAUUCCAAUUUUCACAUUUGUUUAUCAUUAUUAUUAUUUUAAUUAUUUAUUUAUUUAUUUAUUUUUAAAAAUUCCUUCUUUAAAUCAUUCUUCAAAAUUCCGAUUUUCAAAUUUAAUUUUCAAUUUCCAAAAUUCCAGUUUUCACAUUUUAUUAUUAUUAUUAUUAUUAUUAUUAUUUUAUCUAUUUAUUUAUUUUUAAAAAUUCCAUCUUUAAAUCAUUCUUCAAAAUUCCAAUUCUCCAAUUUCCGAAUUUAAUUUUCAAUUUCAAAAAUUCCAAUUUUCACAUUAUUUAUUUAAUUAUUUUAUUAUUAUUAUUAUUAUUAUUAUUAUUAUUAUUAUUAUUAUUAUUAUUAUUUAAAAAUUCCAUUUUCAAAUAAUUUCCAAGAUUCCAAUUCUUAAAUUUAAUUUUCAAAACUCCAAUUCUCAAAUAAUUUUCUAAUUUCUUUCAGAUUUAAUUUCUAAAGUUCCAAUUCCUUAAUUUAAUUGUUAAAACCAUAAUUCUCAAAUAAUUUUAAAAAUUCCAAUUUCUUUCAAAUUUAAUUUACAAAAUUCCAAUUUUUAAAUUUAAUUCCCAAGACUCCAAUUUUCAAAUAAAUUUAAAAAAUUCAGUUUUCUCUCUAACAAUUUUAAUUCCACUCCGGUUUUCAAUAACCUUCUGUUUCUCUUGAUUUUAAAUAAGUAAUAAUGAAUUUUUCAUAAUUCCAAAAUAAUGGAAUUUGUGAGUCUAAUUCAUGCAAAAUAAAUUAGGUUUUGGUGGAGGCCAUACAUAUGAGUUUUCUCUUCUGAUUGUCAAUUGUUAUACUUAAUGAAUAUUGCUUGAUCUUUGUCUUGCUCUUUGAUAUACAUGUGAUGAUUUUAUACUUGAGCUAACCUUGGUUCCAUGAUAGUGCACUAUUAUUUGUUGCCAAGGUACACUCUCAUUCCCACUUUGCCUAUUCUCAUACAUGAUUCAUUUUAUUAUUUGAUUAUUUCAGUGUUAUCCAUUAAUUUUCUUAUCAAUUGUCACAUUUGUCUUACCUUAUUUAGUAGAAACUCAUUUUUAAGGGGCUUAGAGGGGUGUUAUGGUAUUUUACUGUACCUUCCCAAUAAGUAACCUGACCCCCGAACCCAGACUCGGUUUUUCACAGACUUAUUUUUCUUUCAAAAAUCACACUUAGGGUUUUUCUUUCUUAUUUUGUUUUUCCCUUAAAAAAUAAAACAAAAAUAAGUGGCGGCUUCAAGUCUUUUUCUAAAAAUCAAAUUUUCACCAAAUAAAAAUAAAAAGCGAGUUUUGCCAUCGAGUGAGAACGCAUCGUGCGAAAUACGGGGUCUAUAGUACUACAAAAAAAUAUUUACAAAGGCUUUAAAUGAUUUAUCAACAAAGGUUUGGAACUAUUCUCUCUUUUAUAAAUGAGGUUAUGAGCUUUUAUAUAGGAGUUGGAAUGUCAAACUACAUAAUUAGGCUCAAUCUAUUACAUUGUCGUUGGUAAGAGGAGACUGCAAGAUACGACCACUAGGUCCUGUAGCUCAAUUGGUUGAGCUUUUGGCUCAACUAGUGGUCACUAUUAAGGAGCAUCUUAUAAGCCCUUAAGCCAACUUGAAUGGUCGAUCUAGGUAGUUCGAUUGACUAAUUCCCCCUUUCUUAGAGCAUUUCGAUAAAAUAGGUAAGUUUUAGCUUAAAAACACAAAGAUUAAAUGACUAUAUAAACUCCUUAACAUUUUGAAAACUUUUUAAACAUGAAUUACAUUAGUCAAAUAUAGUUUUCAUUUAAAAAGAUACUUUAUCAAAUUUUAAAAAAAUUUAAAACAAGUUUGAGUUGAAUUUGAUGAGUUUUGGUGUUUUAAACAAAAUAUAUGCGAUGAGAACUCAGUGCACCCAUAAUUUUACAUAAAAUAAUUUAAAGAUAGUCUCGAUAAUUUUUUUUCUUGAUUUCUUCUUUGACUUCAUGUAGAUUCUUCUCGAUUACUUUAAGAAAAUCUUCUUAUCUAUCAUACUUACUAUUAAAUGCUAAUUUCAAUCAUUGUAAAUUAAUGAAACCUUAGUCCAACACCCUAGACAACUUUUUAGAUAUAUUUUAAAAUUAAUUUUUAUAUGCAAUUCUUCAUUUUAAUUUUUUUUAUAUUUAUAUAAUUAUUUUUUAAAAUAGAACUAAAAAAACUUAAGUGAAAACAAUUCAAAGAUUUUUCCUAAAACACCUCCAAACAUGUUUCACCUCUUUUUCAUAACCAAACAUAAUUUAAAGGCAAAAUAAGUUCAUUAUGGUGCAUAGACCUUUAAGAAAACCUGGUUUAUUGCUAUGUGGUAUGUCAUAGGAGUUGCAUCUCUUAAUUUUGUUUCAUAAUCUUCUCAACCUAUGUAAACCCAUUUAAUAAAUGCAUUAUAUUUGAAUUUGACUACUUAAUUUGUCUAACUCAUUUACGACCUAAGUCACCUAAUUCAUUCACAACCUGUUUAAUUCGCAUAGAUUUAUUAAUUUUAUAUAUUUAUAAAUUAUAAAAAUAUUUUGUUUAAUUAUAAAUAUCAUUUCGUCAUUUAUUAAGUCUGGGGAUGGAUCUUAUUUUUAUUAGAUACCAAAUAAUUUUCAGAUGAGAUGGUCAAAAACCGUGUGCCCACAGACAGCCGAAAGAAUACGGAUCCAAGAAAGAAUUUUGCACUCUAGAUUGGCAAAACGGAACCAAAAGAACCCAAAAGAAAAUAACAGUAAUGGUGGGUUUUAUACUUUUAUCAAUAGAAUACUUGCUGCAGCCUGCAGUAGAUUCGAGAAGAAGUCAAAAGGUUGGCUGUCUGGCUUUCCUUUCUUCCGCCAUAGAUCUUUUUCUCUCUGUCUUUCUCAUGGUUGGCUGCUCGUAUUCAUAAUCGUCACCACAGCUGUAUGACUUUGAUUGAAGUUCCUUCAGAAAUUUGCUCACUGGAAAUUAAGUAUAACAAUUGCACCACUAUUGAAUUUUUCAUUUUUCGGGUUAUAAAACUAUUCUUAAUAACAAUAAUUCAAAUACUAAGACGUUCUUAUUUUAACUUAAAAAUGAGUUGUUUUUAUUUUAAUUAGGAUUAUCCAAGUAAAAUGUCCAUUGAUAGGACCUACGUAACUUAUAUUAUAAUCUUCAUUAAAGCUUUCAUAAUUUAUAAAUAAUUAUAAUCUUGAUUAAAAUUAUUAAGGUGAAACAAUAUUAUUCUUCUGUUCAUGAUGGAUUAGUCAAUUGAUUAUGAUGUUAAAUGUCGUUAAAGACUCGAUCUAUUUUCAUCAUAUACUAAUAGAUUUAGAUAAAAUAAUCAAAGUUCAAUAUGAAAACAAUAUUAUAGUCAAUGUAUAAAACUCGAUUCGAGAAUUGGUAUCAAAGUUGAGUUAUAAAUUUAAGUUAUAAGAUCAUCAUAUUAAGAGAGAGAUCAUUAAAGUUUUUAAAUUUGAGAUUUGAGUCUGAUGAUGGAUCUGAAGUCAAAUGUUAUAAAAAACUUUAAAUAUUUUUAUGUUUUUAUAUGAAACUUAUUUUCAAACCAUAUUUUUUAAUAAAAUUAUUCAAAUAAAUAUAUAAGAUUUUCAACUUAAAAAGUGGAAAAAAAACAAAAACAAAAAGAUGUUAGACUUAUCCAAAUCAAGGCUAUAACCCAAUCUAAGUAGAGCUAAUAGGUUUGCCAAAGUGGCAAAUUUGGAAUUUUGUAAAGAAUAAGUGGAUCAUGACUCUUGAAGUGGACCUUUCCAACAUUAUCAUAUCCUCAUUUAUAAAUCUUUAAUUUGUUUAGGCAAAGCAUGCAUUCCACUCCACAACAAACAAACCAUAACCAUUAUCCCUAGCAUAUGAUGCUUUUCCCUAAAGCCAAUGAGGGGCUCAAUCCAAUUUGGUUUGGGUCUCUUUCGCAACCCUCCCACCAUCUUUCUCUCAAAUGAAAAGAUGAACCUUAAGUUUAUCUUUAGUCGAGGAAAGAAAAAAACUGGUCGUGUCAGUUUUCUUAUAAAAAUUAUUAAAAGAAAUUAAAUAUAAUUAAGAUUAAAAAUUUAUAUAUUUUUAAAUUAUUUAAUUUUUAUAUUAAAUAAUUAAAAUACAUAAAUAAAUUUAAAUUUAAAUAUAAAAAUAAUUUAUUAACUUUAAAUCUAUUUUUUAUUUUUCUUUCUCUAUUUUGCAUUUUCCCUCAAAAUUUCUAAAACUAAACAUAACUUAAAUAUAGUGGAAUUAUAAAUACACCUUAUAUUUAGAAAGAAAAUCUAUAAUAUUAAUUUAAUAUCAUAUCAAUUUUUUUAUUCGAUCUAUUAAAGCAUAUGAUAAAAUUAGCAUCGUUAAAUAAAUAUACAAAUAGAUAAAAUCAACAUGAAGUAUAAAAAAGUAAAAUUAAAAUAUAAAAUAAUACGAUCAAAUCAUAAAAAUAAUGAAAUUAUAAUUAUAAAAUAUUAAGACCCGAGACACAAAAAAAUAAAACUAUGCUGCAUGAAUGGCAUUUCUUGAUUGGGCACGUAAGUUCAAUAAUGGUACCAUCGCCUCAUCCUUAUCAUGUUCUUGGUUGCAUGUCCUUUUAGAAAUUAAAUAGGUACGCUUGCCCAUCAAAUGUGGUUAGGCCAUCACUUGGACCCACCAUGGCCCCACAUAAUAACUUGUCUUUUGUCACCAACAUUCAUGUCAAUGCAAAUUGUCACAUUCAUGUAAUAUUUCGACCUUAACUUUCUCUCCUAAAAUUAUACACUAAAGUUUUAAUAUGAGCAUAUAUAUAUAUAUAUAUAUAAUUGUCUAAUAUAACCAUGUUUUCUUAUAAAAUAUAACAUCUAAAUUUAUAUUAAAGUCACAAUUUUAAGAUAGACUUUAAGGGAUGUUUGGUAAUACGUAACAUUUAUUACUUAAGUUAAUUUUAAGUUAUUGAUUUAAAAUUUUUUACUUAAUUUUUUACUUUUAAGUAUUAAAAAUAUUUAAUAAAAUUUAUUAUAAAUUAUCAAAUUGACAUAUUUAUCCUUAUAAAUUAUAAUUAUGGUAAAUGAGAUAAAAAAAUAAUGAAGGUGUAUAAUAAAAAGUAUCAUGAAAGUAAUUAGAAUAAAUAAUAGAUGAAAAUAUGAAUUUAAAAAUAAAUUAAUUAUUUUUAUUUAUUACUGAAAAUCAUAUUAUUAAGUUAUUUUAUAAAACAUAUUUAAUUUACUUAUUAACUUAAAUUAAAUUAUUAAGUCAUUUUAAAUUAUUAAAUUACUUAAUCAAACACCCAGAUACUAAAGUUAUAUUUUUUUUGGAUUGAGUUUAUUUUAUAAACUUGUUACCCUUUUUAAUAAAAGACUUCCGCAUGACAAAGAUCUAAAACUUAUUAUUUCAAAAAAAGAUCCGAAACCUAUAUAUUUUUUUUAUAUGUAAUUACAUUAUUUUCAUCGCUUUAUGUACUUUAAGUCUUAAAGAUUACUUUUUUAUAUUUAACCACACGUUAUUAUAUUUCUAUUAUAUAUAUAUAUAUAUUUUAUGUUCACCAUGUUUUUACUUCAAGCAUCUUUGAAUGGUAUAGGACAGACCAUUAUGAUGACUCAAAAAAAAAAGAAAAAAAAAAUCAGCACCAAAGAGCAAAGACUAACCCAUGGCUUAUAGGCUGUCCUAUUGCUUAAAAGGAUAAUGUAAAGAAAGAAGAAGAAGAAAGAAUAAGAAAAGUAAGGUCAUUUAGAAAUGGGUGACUGGCUUUUGGACGAACCUUAGCCCAUAAGGGUCGUGUGAAAGUGACUUGUGAACUCAAUUGAUGCAAUAGUUUAAUAUUAUUUUGUAUAAAAGAAUGACCUUUGAGGAUACCCUCAAUGGAAAAAUUCCUCAAAUCAUGAUUAAGACAAAGGCUCGACUCUCCACCCAUCCAAUAACUUUAAUAUAUUUUUAUUACUCCUCGAUCCUCACCCACUUUUAUAUAAAAAUAAUACAACACCCGUAAUUAUUAAAUGUUCGAUAUUUAAGGGUAUGGAACAAAUUUCUAACUUAAAAGACAUAAAUAAAUAAUAUAAUUAAUAAAAAGAAAAAUUUAUUGAUUGAAAUGUGACAAACACUGUCCUUAAAAUAGAUGAAUAUCAAUAAAAAUUCUUCCAAAAUACUCACUGAAAAAUUCUCUAAAAUAUUGGUAUUUGUCUAAAGAUUAAGGAGUGACCUACUUUUAUAGGUCACUAAUACAGUUUCAAUGAAAAUAUACUUAUAAUUAGAACAAGACUCAUAAUAGAAAGAGAUUUUACUUAUAAAAUGAAUAAGACUUCAUUAAUACAAUCCAAUAGAAUUUUUUCAAAAAAUAUAACACUAAUAGAAUAAAAUAAAAAUAAUUACCGAUUCUUUCCAAAAAAAAUAAAUUAUUUACACUCUUCAUACAUUAAAUACUUUAUACAUACAAAAAAAAAUGGAGUUCAUUGAAUGAGAAGUGAAGGGCUAAAAUCUAACUGCAUUUCGCCCAAAAGGAAGCAACUUCAAAUUAAGCCACCUUCACACAGUUUGGGAAAAUUCUUAUGUCAAAUCUUAUACCUAAAGAAGAUAUGCAUUAGCUUUUGUUUUGAUCAAAACUAGCAAAAAGUUGAAAAAAAAACCCAAAACUUAUAAAUAGUUGAUCUUAACUAAGAGAAAGGGUCUUCCACUUUGCAUUGGGAUUUUUUUUUUUUUUUUUUUGUGGGAAAACCAUAAUUAAUUAAAAGUUUAGAACCACAGAGGCAUCUAAAAAAGAAAACCUCUUUCUUAUGAAAAGGGUAGUCAUAGAAGGCGGCAGUAGAAAAGCUAUUUAGUAUUUACAAACAACAUUAAUUUUUGAAAAAAGAUAUGGAAAAAAGAAAAAUAAAAGAACGACAGGGUGACGUGCCAAAUUCUGAUUGGAUGGACGUAGACAGUUGCUUUCUUCUUCAUGUUACCCUCCUAAGUCACCUACGACUUCAUCUUCAUUGACUUACUCACUCACUGCUCUCUGCAAUCUCUCCUUGUCUUUCAUGGCGUUUUCUUCUCUGUUUUUUCUGAUGAUUUCAGCUGUUUCGUAGUAAUCUGGAGCUCUUGGGUUUUGGGAUUUUUGGGUUUUUCUCUUUUUAUGUCUUCUGGUAACACUACUUCUCUUUCAUAUCUUCUUCUUCAUUUCUCUUCCCUGCUCUGUUUUCCUCUUAUUUUUCUUCUCAUGGCCAUGACCCAGUGUAGGUUCUUGAUUUCGCCAUUUGUAGAUACAAGUACAGCACAAAUCACAUAACUAUUUGAAGCCUUCUUGUCUUUUGUUUUUUUUUUUUUUUUCCCCUUAGCAACCAAACAGUAGGUGAUUGGAAUGUUUGGAUUCUGUUUUAGUUUGAAUCUGAGUUUCAUUUUUCUGUUUGCUUGAUUCGCUUUGGGUAUUUGGAUUCCUUUGAUUUUUUCGUUAGUGAGAUAGGAAUAUUCAAUAUCGAAAUGUUGUGUUUUCUUCAAUUUUCUGAGCAACCAAACGGGCUUUUGCCUUAUUUAUGUGUGGUGGAUUUUGGGGAUGCAGGUAAAGAGGGAACUUGAAGUGGGUAUUUGGUUGGGGGAGAAGAGAUGGCGUACAGAAGAGGGUCUGAGCAGCAACCGCCGAGGCGGAUUAUGCGGACUCAGACUGCAGGAAAUUUAGGGGAGGCGAUGAUGGAUAGUGAGGUUGUGCCAUCAUCAUUAGUCGAGAUUGCUCCGAUUCUUCGUGUUGCCAACGAAGUUGAAUCCAGCAAUCCAAGGGUUGCUUAUCUUUGUAAGUUCCAUCUCAUCCAGCAAUUGAUGAUUUGUUGUUUCUUUCCUGAUUCUACAUGCUUAAUUUUUGUAUUAUCUUUUAGAAUUAAACUUCUUUGUUGUGAUUUUAUAUUUUGGAAGCUUCUGUUUUGUUUUCUGCAGUGCUUUCUGCAACUUCUACACAUACUCAUUUCUUCCCUAUCCCAUUUUUUUUUUCUUUUUAAUCACCAUCGUAGUUUGAUCAUAAGCCAGAUAAGAGCUGUCUUUUUUGCCCUAUAGUUGAAACUUCUAAAUUUCCCUUACGGUCUACUUCAAGCUUUCCCCUUAAUUCCAGCCAUAACCUAUUUGAAACCGUAUUCUUUGUAUCCUUACUCAAUCCACAAAUCCUAAUUCUACCUUUUUCCCUCCUUUUUUUUCAGACGCAUUGUAGUCUCCCUCUUUCUCAUCUCAAAAGUUGCUCAUCUUCUUGUUUGUGUCACUUCCUGCCAGUCAUUCCUUGAAUUUUGACAGUAUGCUCAGGUAAUUUACUUGGAGUAGUGGGGUCAAAUUAAAUCUUCAAUGUAAAAAGAUUAUAUGAAAUUAAAUGGUUGAAUUUCUAGGUGUUUUCAGAUCAGUAAAAAAUUGUAUGCAGCAGCUCUCACUCAGAUCAACAUAUGAAACACAUACUGCUUAUGAAUGACAUAAGCAAUAUUUCCUCCGAGUAAAUUUUAAUGAAUGCACAAAUUUUAAUCCCCAGAAGAUGUUAUUACUUAAACAUGUGAAUGUUUGGCUUUAUUUUCAAUAUAUAAUGCUAUAUGAAUCAUUGGUUAUUUGAUGGUGCAUAAAACAUAGAAGUGACAAUGCCCAUUUGUUCCUUUGUUUGUUUUUAUCCCUUCAAAUUAUUUAUCCUCAAACCAGUUUGUACUUAGUUCCGUUUUAUUUUAUAUCAAUCUUAAUCAAGUUUAAGUGCACUUAUAGGUUCUGUACAUUUUUUUUUUUGUUGGCUUUACUUUUCCAUUUUUACUUGUUCCUUCUUUCUUUUGAUCUUGGCAUCUCUUAUAACAUACUCUGUUGUCAGUGAUUCAAUUAUAUUUCAAAAUAGAUGCAAAUUGGUUGUUAAAUGAGCUGAUUUAAAUAUGGACUCUAAUGCUUAUCUACAUUGGUGCUCAAAUUAGGUCGAUUCUAUGCAUUUGAGAAAGCUCACAGAUUAGAUCCCACAUCAAGUGGACGUGGUGUUCGACAAUUUAAAACUGCACUUCUUCAACGCUUAGAGAGGGUAAGCACUGUUGUUAAGAUACUCAUAAUCUCGUAACAUAAGAAUGAGCAGUUUAGAUGAACAAAACUAUUAUUCUUGUGGUUUUAAGGCCAAAAUUUAAGUAUAAUUAUUAUUUAAGGCAUUCAUGUUGAGUAGGGAAAUGUCCUCACUUGUGAAGUGAGAAACGUCCAAUUAUUAGAUCAAUAAAUCAUAAAGAAAAAUUAGUAAGCAAAAACAGUUGUUUCUUUUUGUGUAAUCAAUUUGUUAUUGACAAUAGUUUUAAUACCCUUGUUUCAGUAAGAACUUUUGUUCCAGCCUUUUCAGAAGUUUCUAUACCUCUUCAUUUCUAUGAUAGGUGGCAUCAAUCAUUUGGUCCUUUGGCUUUGAUAUGAUUAUUUCUUUUAAAUGCAACAUUGAUAUUUUCUAUUUUUUCUGAUAAAAUGUCAUGGUUAGGUGUUUUUUUAAAGGAAAAAUAAGUUCAUUGUGCUAACAUACCCUUUCAGAAAGCCUUUUUCUAUUGUAAGUUUUUGUUUUUCCCUUUCUGUUUCUUUUAUGGCCUAAACUAUUUAUGCCUUUCUAGAGGAUAAUUUGGGAAUCAAAGAAAGAAGAGAAGAAAGAGACUUGUUUGAGUAGUCUCCUUAUGGAAGUUGAAUAUUUGGGGUUGCAAAAAAGAAAGUAGAAGAAGAAGAGAAAGGGAGUUGAGCAACAGAUGUUGUCUCUGAGCCUCCACUUGUUUAUAAACCGCAUCUGUGUUUAAAUUGAACUUAUUGUCUUUUUUGAAAACAACAUCAUUAUUUAUCAAAAUUUUCUGUGCAAUUAGAUCCCAAAAUUUAUACCCUUUCAUAACUUUUCUUCAUAUCCCAUAAAAAUGCAUUAUUUGGAGUUUGGUUCCAUCAUUAACUGCUAUGACCCCUGCACACAAACAUGGACCUGGCAAGAAAAUCUUCUCAAACUGGAGUAGUUAACCAGUUUUUCUGUCACAAAUCUCUCUAGAGAUCUUUGUGUUGGUAAUCAAAGAUGGUGAACUAUUGACAUCAUAGCAUGCCAUAUUAACAGCCUUAGACAAUAAUGAUUUUGGCAAGCCUACACAUAUCAUCAUAUCUCUAGCUCAUGAUCAUUCUUUCUGCUAUACCAUUUUGUUAUAGCUUACCUGGUGUAGUAUAGUGUUUAGUGCUCCCUUUGCCUUCAUAAAAUUUCCUAAAUUCAUUGAGUUUAUAUCCAGCUCAAAAUGCCAUGAGCUGCUGGGCCGUGAUUCUCACCAACAAAUAAAAUUUCUUCCUUUGACCUGUGAAAAUGUAUACUCUGGAGUUUCCCAUCUCCCUCCUGAGUGGCAACAUGGGGGCAAGAAAAGGAAAGAGGGAUGGGGUUUCUCUCGCUUUUGGCAUAGCGGUCCCUCAGUGGGAGGCCUGCACUGCACAAUGGGCUAUUAGCUCAAUGGUAGAACACAACUCUGAUAAUUGUGUCGUUGUGCCUGGGCUGUGACAAUGGAAACACCUAAAAGUUCUACUUCACUCUUUGCUCUAUAUGGAGUGCAUCUAAUAUGGCAGUGUUUUAGCUUUUAAGGUUGAGAUGCUAACUUUACUAGAAAGCUUGAUUCUGGCAUCCUCAUUAGUUGUUAGUGAUCUCUUGGUGGAGAGGAGUCUUGAUGAUAAUACUUUCAUGGAUGUUUCCAGGUAGGAGAUGGCUGUGGAGAAUUUAUUGCUGUAUUCCACAAAUUGUUUUAUCUUUCUAGAAGGUUGGGAUGGUCCUCUCCUUUAAAGCUAUAGGCUUUCAGAGAGGAGAACUGAUUUAUCUGGCAGUUUGUAGAGGAUUCCUCCCCCUUAAGUGUUGUUAGGUUUUGUUUGGGAUUUUGGAGUUUGGUCACUUGUUUCUGGGAGUUGCCUUUUUUACUUGCACACUUUAUUUUGUUUUUGCUGAUCUUUUUGUAGAUGUCUCAUCCUUCUUUGUAUUUUCUUCUCAUAGAUAAUAAUAUUUUCCAGUUUCCUAUUGUGGUAGUUGCUUUUUUUUUUUUUUGUUGUUGUUAUUGUACAUAGUUCUAUGAUUUGGGGUUCAAAGGAUGAGCCUUACUACAGAGAAGUUGAGUUAGAGAGGCAGAAUUCUUCCCAGUUGAUGCUGUGUGUGCAUAAGAAAGAUGGAGAGAUAGCAAGUCACCUUUUAUACCAAUGAGAUAUCUCAUAGGAGUUGCAUCUCUUUUCCUAAAUAUCUCUGAGGUGCAGUGGUUGAUGCUGAGGUCAGAUUGAGAGUUUUUGGUUUGUCAUGAAUGGUUUAUGGUAAAAUGGAGAAAAUCAGUUGGGUGACUGGUGGUCCCUAUUCUCUCUUUUGGUGCAUGAAGAAAGAAUGCUACAAGCAGCUAAAGGAAUCAAGCUUCAAUCCUUAUGUUCAAAUCCUUAUUUUUACAUUCUUUGUUUUUUUGGGGUUUGGUAUCAACUGGUUGGAGUAAUGAGUUUUUCUUGGAUUUUGUACAUGACCUAUUUUGUAGUUGAUUCUGCUAGUUCCAUUUCUGAGGUUGAUCCUGUUUACUCUGGAUAUACAAGGCUUAUGCUUCCCUUUUCUUCUGGUUGACAUUAAUAGUUCAUAUUAGAAGCAAAGAUAGAAGGAAAGAAGUUGUCUCUAUAGUUAUGAGGGUCCAUGUUUGGAAGUGUGAUAUAAGAUAGUUCAUCCUUUCUAUUCUUCCCAGGAAAAUGAAAUUACACUUGCAGGAAGGGCGAAAAGUGAUGCUCGUGAAAUGCAAAGUUUUUAUCAACAUUACUACAAAAAAUAUAUUCAAGCUUUGCAGAAGGCUGCUGAUAAAGCUGAUCGGUAUGUUGUCUUGAGAUUUGAUACAUUUUUCUGAUGAUUUGCUAGAAACUGUUUUGUUUGACGGCAUUUUUCCUAAUUCAGAGCUCAGCUUACAAAAGCGUAUCAAACAGCUGCUGUUCUCUUUGAGGUCCUGAAAGCUGUCAAUCUGACAGAAUCUGUUGAAGUUGCUGAUGAGGUGAAACUGAUUGCUUUUCACCAGUGAAUUUUGAAUGAUGUCCAUUAUUUGAAUGAACAGUUAUCUCAAUGCUUUUUCAUGCUGAGAGCAGUCCGCUUCGUCUAAGAACUUUCUAAUGCUGAUGGCAGCUAUCUUAUGUGAAUAAUGAUAUGAUGAAUUUUUUUUCUUUUGUACAUAGAUUUUGCAAGCUCACACUGAGGUCAAGGAAAAGACGGAGCUAUAUGCACCCUAUAAUAUUCUUCCUCUUGAUCCCGAUAGUGCAAAUCAGGCUAUUAUGAGAUUCCCUGAGGUUGAUUCCCUAAUUUAUCUGUCAUACGUUUAUACUUGAUUUCCUUCUUUCUUGAUUUUAUCAAGUUUGAGAGGCUUAUGCUCUUUGUAGAUUAAAGUUUCUGUUGCUGCACUUCGUAACACCAGGGGUUUACCAUGGCCCAAGGGUUACAAGAGGAAAGCUGACGAAGACAUUCUAGACUGGCUUCAGGCUAUGUUUGGGUUCCAGGUGACUAGCUAACUUUUUUGUUAUCACUCAAUUAGUUUCUCAUGAUUCAUGAUCCCCUUGUUAAUGUGCAGAAAGAUAAUGUGGCAAAUCAAAGGGAGCACUUGAUUCUGUUGCUAGCAAAUGGGCACAUAAGACAAUUUCCAAAGCCUGAUCAGCAACCAAAGGUUUUAACUUCACAGAUUACUCUGCCUUGUGAUCUAAAUUUAUGAAAAAUACUAUCUAUUGACUUAAUAAAAUAACUGUGCACUAUUUAUGUUUAGUUGGAUGACCGUGCAGUGACAGAAGUGAUGAAGAAACUUUUCAAAAACUACAAAAAAUGGUGCAAUUAUUUAGGUCGCAAGAGUAGUCUCUGGUGAGUCUUCUAUUCAAAUCUUUUUAUUCUACUCAUUCAUUUUUGGCUACUACGAGGGCCUUGCUACUGCUUUCUUUUUUUUAAUUGGCAACAUGGAACAACAUUCUUUAAUAAAUUUAUAAUUUUGUACUUUUCUUCUGGCUAAUUUAAUUAAUCUCAUUUUUAUUUGAGUUUUCUUUUGUAUAUUUUUCAUGUUUGUUUUUAAAUGGCAGGUUGCCAACUAUUCAGCAGGAUGUGCAGCAGAGGAAAUUGUUAUACAUGGGUUUAUAUCUUCUAAUAUGGGGGGAAGCUGCAAAUUUAAGAUUCAUGCCCGAAUGCCUUUGCUAUAUAUACCAUCACGUACGCAUUUCAUUUUAGUUUUUUCCUUGCAUAUGACACAAAUUUUAUUAUCUCAUCUCCUAUGGGAUUUUUUUAUCCUUAUAUUUAUUUUGUUUCUCUAAAAGUUGUAACCAGCAUUUUAUAAUCAUUGGAGUGGUAUAAUCCUAAGCACAUGUUUACACACACAUACACACUAAUGGUGUGACCAUGGAAAACGCCUAUUCCAAAGCAUAACAGUGAAUGAAUAAAUCAUUGGUUGAUUGCCCACUAGCUAAUGAAUAAUGCAUCUGUUAUCUCAAGGGCUUUAUAAGGCUUCUGAUCUGAAACACAUUAUUGGUAUUAACCGUCCCUCUAAUUCCUGCUGCAAAAGCUUUGAAUUUGGAAGGGAUUUUGGCUUUCUAGACUAGUUUGCCUUGGUUUGAAACAUGGGUGCAUUCUUGAAAAGGAACUAGGAAAAGAUCUGGAAGUGAAAAAGCCUCUCCUAUCCAAAGACCAAGAUCACAUUUUGGAAAGAGAGAGAAAUGAAGGUGGAAGAAAACAAAGCAUUUUUUUUUUUGCUUUAGGACUUUUAUUGACAUUAUUGGAAGUGAAAAUGGAAAAGAUCAAUGAAAAAGAGAAAUACUACUAGUCUACUACCGCUACUAUUGUCAAUAUAUAUAUAUAUAUAUAUAUAUAUAUAUAUAUAUAUAUAUAUUUUUUUUUUUUUUUGAUAAGUAAAGAAAAUUCAUUUAUAAAGAGACGCCAAAAGAGCGACUCAAGGUAUACAACCUAUGUAAGGUAUACAAACCUAUACACCCACCACCAAAAGAGGCCAAAGACAAAUAAGAGACCCACCAACCAAAAGGCCCAAAACCUUACAAUGAUCCCAACCAAUCUAUAAAAUUCACCAAAGUUUGAGGGCAUUCUACUAUAAACAACUUUGCCUCAUACCAAAGCGAGCAUAAAAAGGAAUAUUUCAAUCUCUGUAUUGAUAUUUCAUCAUCCUUGAAGGCUAAUCGAUUUCUCGCCUUCCAAACCGUCCAAAAAAUAUGCAGGGGAGCCGCUUUCCACACUUUCCUGUGUUUCUUUCCCACAGAAGAAGUCUGCCAACUAAGCAAAGUCUCUCUAACUGAACACGACAACACCCAAGACACCCCAAACAAAGAAAAAAGCAACUCCCAUAAGACCCUUGUUUUUGAGCAAUGGAGAAGCAGAUGAUCUAUGGUCUCCUCCUUUUCAAUACACAUGUAACAUCUAUUUGCCAAUGACCAUCCUCUUCUCUGAACAAGAUCUAGGGUAAGCGCCUUACCCCAUGCGGCCUCCCAUGCAAAAAAGCUGAUUUUGGGUUGUACCCACACCUUCCAAAUACAGCUAGAUGGGAAAGAACUAGGGCAGUCCGCUUCUAGGGCAAGGUAUAGAGACUUAGCCGAGAAAAUGCCGCUCUUUGUUUCAGUCCAAACAGCCUUAUCAUCUACGUCUCCAAGGACUCUCUUCCCGUGAAGACACCCCAAAAAUAAUUCCGCCUCCUCCACCUCCCAGUCGUUUAGGGCUCUUGAAAAACAAGGGUUCCAACCCCCCCUACCCCCUUGUACCAAGGGAUCCCAAACAUCCGCCACCCAAGCUUCCUUUUCAAUCGAUAAGGCAUAGAGGGAAGGAAAUGACUCGCUCAGAGGGGCAUCCCCACACCAUCUAUCCCUCCAAAAACUCACCCUCAAUAUAUAUAUAUAUAUAUAUAUAUAUAUAUAUAUAUAUAUAUAUAUUCAAAAAGUUUUAUUAGAGGGAGAGAUCUAGAGAGACUUUGGAGGAAAGAUCAAUGAAAAAAAGAAUUACCACCACCACCACUACUAUUAUUAUUAUUUUGAGGUUUCUUCAUUUAUAGAAAAUUCUUGGAUCUUUCUUCUUUUUCUUUUCUUGGAAUUCUCAAUUAUACUGUUGUUGUUUCCUAAUUUAUAUAGAUGGCAUUUGAAGUAUACGGGUCACUGUCUGGUAGUGUCAGUCCCAUGACUGGUGAAAAUGUAAAGCCAACAUAUGGAGGAGAAGAGGAAGCUUUCUUAAAGAAAGUAGUAACUCCAAUCUAUGAAACGAUUGCGAAGGUCUGCUUCUGCUUCUGUCCUUGAGUCCAUAAAAGCUCUUAUUUAUUUAUUUUUUACUUUUAAUUGCUCCAUAUAUAUGUUAUUUGGUCAUUUGAGGUUUGCAGGAAGCUGAAAGGAGCAAAGGUGGAAAAUCAAAGCAUUCCCAAUGGAGGAACUAUGAUGAUUUGAAUGAAUACUUUUGGUAUUAUCCUCUCCAUUUUUUUUUUUUUUUUUACACUGUGUUGCUCUAUUUUGUUUUAAUUUUCAUAUUGAUUCACCAGCGCAAAAUUGUAGGUCGAUGGACUGUUUUCGGCUGGGUUGGCCAAUGCGUGCUGAUGCUGAUUUCUUUCGUCUGCCUCCAAAACAGUUUAACUCUAGCGAAGAUGAGGUAUGCAUAAAUUUUGGCCUGCAUUGUUUGUUUGAUAUUUUUUCUGUUUAUUUUUCUCAUUUUAACAUUUGAAUAUUGAUUUCCUAAAUGAAAAAUUCUUGGAAUAUUAUUCAUUCUCUUUAGCAAGUUACAUAUUCUCUUUGCAUGCAGAGCACACACUAUCACAAAAGAGGGUUAAACUUCUUGAUUUAUUCCAUCUUUAGAGAGUAAUGUGGCUUUUGUUUCAAAAGGUUGCUUUUUUUUUUUUUCAUUUUUUUCUUUUAUACUUUUCUUCCACAAGAAAUAGAAGCAGCAUUAUAUAAAAAUGCAGCUAAAGAAUGAGGACUUCUUCAAAAGGAACCUAAGGAAGAGAAACAAGUACAUUGCAAGAGCUACCGCAUGAAAUGAUGAUCCACACAACAACGAGCUCCAACUCAAGCGGUAUAAGAAUUGCCCAUAAACUCAACCAAAGACUUGAUGCUCCUGUUGGAAAGCUUAUCAGUUGCCUAGUUGGCUGACUGAACUAUUAACAAUUAACAACCAGUUAGCACAAUCUGCGCAAAUAAGAGAGCAAUUCAAUUAACAAGAUGGCUGCCAAUAGUGCACGAAUUUUGUAGUGGUUUUGCCUUGAACCUUCUCCAUUCCUAGACCCAUCUAUUAUUGCCUUAAUAAAGUACACUACUAAUGUGUACAUUGUUGUACAUUAAAUCCAUUGUCAGGACACAUUCAGGUCUACCCACAAGGCCUGUUUAAAUUAAUCUUAAGUCUCAUGCCAUACAUGCUGGCCUAUAUACCUACUAGUGGAGCUUAACAAAUGCCUACAAAAAACUUUUGGCCCAAUUCAAACAGGUUUUGUCCAGCCAAACAGCAACCAAAACUAGAACACUUAGAAACUUGGGAUUGACAAACUCAAUGAAAGAAUACUCCUUGAAGGUUUUCAAGACUUGACAAGCUUCAAAAUCUUCUAUGAGCAGUUGCCUAGCUUGAAGCUGGUCUUAAAAUGCAAGGAAUACAUGUACAUUCAACCUCACACAAGACCGUAGAAACUUUCAUAUAACUGUGCAUACGACACCAGGCACCUUGCGUUCACAUCUUUCAUCCAAUGAUCACCUGCAGUAGCUUUCAUCUCUUAGAUCUUGCUGAUGACAUGACUGCAUUUGAAUUUCCUUUAAUGAGAAGAUUCAUAAUCCCUAUAGAAUGCCUCUCUCAAGCCUAUGUACGAGCAUUAGAUUGUGCAUCAAAAUCAGAGCAUGUUAGCUUAUAGAAAAUCCAGAUCAUCUCUUCUAGUCUUCUAUGGUUCUCUCUGGUUCUUAACCAACGUAAGGUUACCUCACAAAGGACCAUCAGAAUUAAGCUUAAGGUUGCCAAACAGGGGAUGGGGUAAAAUUUGGCACAUAAUUUUUCCUUUCCUCCUCCUACCUGAGCAAAUAAUCAUUCAGUAUCUCAAAAUAACACUUUAAGGACUUAGGGACUGACACCCAGAUAAAUUGGAAACUACCCACUGUAGUCUUAACCAUUAAAUAGUUGCUGUAGAAGAUUCUUGCAAUCCUUUCCUACUGAAUAACCAAGUUUUACUAGGAUAACCAUAAAUCACCUACACUAGCCAUGAGAGGCUAUAAUCAUCAUAUCAGGCAUCUCCACUGGAGCCACUGAAUUAAUCCUUGCCCAGGAGAACAAUCUGCUAGAGUGUAAUUGUAUAAGAAACAUGAAUAGUCUUGUUUAUCAGUAACUUCCUUAGGACUAUUAUGAAUAAUUAAGUUCAUUCAACUCCUCUUAUGUAAGUUGUAAUUCCAGAUUUCAAGUUUAUAAACAUUACUUCAGAUGGCAAGAAGUGAUGGAGCUAUUACCCACAUCACUCAUUGGUGACAUACUGUCUCAAUAUGAUAGCAAGUCAUACCAACACUACACUUCAAGUUAAGGCAUCUCUCUUCUGAACCUAACUUGCCUAGUUAUUUAUGAAAGGUUGUCAACAAGUUUGUCACUAGUAGCCUUAAGCUUCACCUUGUUGAAAUGUCUGUCUACCACAAUAGCUGCAGUCAUAUUAUGACAGGCCAAAUAGUGUCCAAUAUUAUUGACUAAGCUAUCAUCAGUAAAGAAAUUCAUGGGCAAUGGCACAUAUUCAUUAAACUGCUUAGCGGCAUGGUAGUCACAUGAGUUCAUAAAUGCUUGGCCUUAUUAACUGACAAUAACUACUAAUACUAUUAGAAUUACAAUUAUGUGAGUGGUGAAUCUUUGAAGAGAGUUAGAAAGUCAAUAUGAACCACAGUCCUCAUGAGUUGUGAGUGAAUCGAAUUAUUUUCCAUGUGAAAAAAAAGGAACUGAGUUUAAGAUUUUGUGAUACUAGUAACUGACAAGAAAAUGGAAAAACUCAGAAUAUAAAGUAUUGGGUGGAAAAACAAUGAAGGUGAAUUAUUUCUCGUGGCAAAUAAAUCAUAUCAUUAACGGAACUAUGAAGCAUUCUUCAACCAUAUUUAUUCUGAACACCAAAACACAUCAUAGUAUAAUCUGAUUCAUUAAAACAAAUGUGGAACAGGAAUACAGGGCUGCCAGCUUAACAAUCUAAGACAAAAACUAUAAUAAAAGCUCUACUUGUCCCACAUAUCAUGAAGAAGCUCAUUCUAAACCAAUUGCAGCACUAAACUGGCUACUGCAAAUAUACCUUUAAUUUUGUUAAGUUAGACGAAUAUCCUCCCUCACUUGCAUACUUGAACCUGAGAUGUCUAAUUUUCUAGAGCACUGAUACCAUGUUAAGUUACAAAGUUUUCUAAAAGUUUAUGUUAUUUGAUUAUGGGCCCACAAUGUAGACCAGAAUAACAAUUGCAAAAUCAACUUUUUGUAAACUUAGACCAACAUAGCAGGAUGCACACCAUUUUGGAUUCUGAUAUUUGUUUCUAGAGACUUUGAGUGUUUGUUGCAUAAUUGUAUCAUCUUUUCACUGUCUUUAAAAGGAUUAAUCCUUGUCAUUGUUGAGAGCUAGUAAAUCAGGAUUUAUUUCAACUAAAAUUUUCCAAUCAAAACAUACUUUCUUAUUUAAUACUCUUCAAACAUAACUCCAAUUAUUUCUCAGCCUGACUUUGAUUAGAAAACUGUUUUUCUUAUAUAACGGAUUUUCAUGAUAUUCAGGAGAAAAAACCAGCUGCUAGAAGAUGGAUGGGAAAAAUAAAUUUUGUUGAGAUACGCUCUUUUUGCCAUAUAUUUAGAAGUUUUUAUAGAAUGUGGAGCUUUUACAUUUUAAGUUUACAGGUAAUCCCCUUUUCAUUUGUGUUUCUGAUUUCCUUGUUUCCUGUCCUUUGUGGUUAAUGUUACGAUGCCAUGUUGGUUGUCGAACUAGGCAAUGAUCAUAAUCUCUUGGAAUGGAUCGGGGAAACUAAGUUCCAUACUUGAUGGUGAAGUUUUCAAAAAAGUGAUGAGCAUCUUCAUAACUGCUGCAAUAUUAAAGCUUACUCAAGGUAGAUAACAAUAAUUGAUGUCUCUAUGUUGUUCUCUACCUAUUUAAUUGCUUUCUUUAAGGUAUUAUCAUAAUCCUAAUUUCAGUUUACCAGAUACCAAGCAUCUGAUCUAUGGACUUUGCAUUUUCUUGAUUCAUAUUGCACUCAAGCUGUCAACUAAUUGACAAUGAGCUGGAUAAAAGGCAAAAUGUCUUGAUAUUUCAAUGAGAGGAGAGGACUGUAACGGAUUAUGAGGCAGUCCUUAUCUUUAAUUUGUAAUUUGUGAUAAAUAUAAAUUACAGUGAUCAUCUUGUGUUUGUAGUCACUAUAUCCUAUUUUUUUGGUGGAUCCAUCCAUCUGUUUCAUGUUUAUGGGGAAAGCAAUCUGGGGCUUUCUAUCUUUUUUCCUAAUCCUAAUCCAUGCCUUUUAGGCAUAUAAGUGCUCAGCAUUUUUGCUGUGGCUUCACUUUAGUGAAGGAUACGGAUGUCUCAUUUCUUUAUUUACUUCAUCCUGAUUUUUAAUAAAGUAAAAAAAAAAAGGAAAAAGAAAAAUAAGCCUAUUGUAAUAGGCAACACUGAUAAGCCACAUCAAUAAUUUUCCCGAAAUUUAGUUAUCAAACUAGUUCUGCCUUCUUAUAAGCCCUGGUUAAAACUAUAUGUGAACCAUCACUUUUCUUAAACUUUUCUGUGUCUAAUUUUUUAGGUCAUCUUGUUAGUCUUCAUGAUACGUUUCCGGGUUCCCUUUAUCUUUGAACAAAAUGUUUUGAUUUCCUAGUGAUUUGUUCUGGCAUUUUAUUUUAACUUUAUUAUGAGUUUGUUCUCCUCAUUGAGUCAUCAAUAUAACAAGCAUUUACUUAACAAAAGCUGCAAUUUGAUUUUACAUUUUUGUUGUUUUUUUUCCCCAGCUAUUCUUGAUGUAAUUCUGAGCUGGAAAGCAAGGAAGAGCAUGCCAUUCUAUGUCAAGCUAAGAUAUUUGUUGAAGGUUGUUUCUGCAGCAGCGUGGGUGAUAAUUUUACCAGUAACUUAUGCUUAUAGCUGGAAGAAUCCUCCUGGGUUUGCACAGACCAUCAGGAAGUGGUUUGGCAAUAGUCCAACUUCUUCUUCUCUGUUCAUUUUGUUCGUCUUCAUUUACUUAUCCCCAAACAUGCUCUCUGCAUUGUUAUUUCUGUUCCCAUUCAUUCGCCGGUAUCUUGAGAGAUCAGACUAUAAGAUUGUGAUGCUCAUGAUGUGGUGGUCUCAGGUAUGCAUAAACUGAUAGGCAUAUGUGUGAAUUAUUAUUUUUUUCUUGUUAAUAUGUUUUUUGGUUCCUAAACUAGAACUUUGUACAUGCCUGUAGAUAAAUUAACUUAACUGUUGAUAUAAUUAUUUGGUUAGUUUUUCUUCUGUCACAAUAUCCAUUAUAUUACGUGAUAUCUUGCAGCCUCGGCUCUAUGUUGGGAGGGGAAUGCAUGAGAGUACACUUUCUCUCUUCAAGUAAGAGAACAGACUUUGAUUCUUUGUUUGAGGAGGCGGGGGGUUUGCAUGUCUUGAUUUCUUGCUGAAACAUUUUGAACUAUUUCCAUUUUUAGGUACACCAUGUUUUGGGUUCUAUUGAUGAUGUCAAAGUUAGCAUUCAGUUACUUUGUAGAGGUAUUUUUCUUUUUGAUCCUUAAAAUCUUGUGUUCCAUAGAAUAGCUACCAUCAAUGCGGUGAAUAUAUGCCGUUAUCUUGAUCUUAUUUCUGGUUCAAAUGACCAAUCUUGUGGGGAUAUGGGAAUGCUUUUAAAGAAAUCUAUUCAUGAAAUGCUUUUAAAUUUUUUUUCUUCCUUUGUUUAGAAAGAAAAGGAAAUAAGAGGUAAUCUUAGAGUGUUGGGGUUGAUAUAUGUUCCUUGAAUCCACCCUGAGACUGCCAUCUGUUUUUGUUCUUUAUUGCAGAUAAAGCCUCUUGUGGGUCCAACAAAAGCCAUCAUGGAUGUUCACAUUACGAAGUACCAAUGGCAUGAGUUCUUCCCUCAAGGUAGUGACAUGAGUAAAAUGAUCUGAACAAUUAUUUUCUUUCUUUUCUUUUUUUUUUUGUUUUUUUUGGAGAAAUAAAAUUAUACAAGAGGUAUGUAAUGCUGCUAUUUUCUGUUUGCAGCCAAGAAAAAUGUUGGUGUUGUGGCUUCACUAUGGGCUCCAGUUGUUCUUGUAUGUUCUCUUUUGUCCCUGUGCUGGAUCCAUCCUAUCCAAUUUUUUUUUUUUUUUUUUUUUUUUGAUAUGCACUUUAAUUGCAUCCUAUCAUUUUCAUCUUAAAUUGCAAUGCCAUUGAUUUUUUUCAGGUCUAUUUUAUGGACACUCAGAUUUGGUAUGCAAUCUUCUCCACAAUAUUUGGAGGCUUAUAUGGUGCAUUUCGGCGUCUUGGAGAGGUUAGUGGAACUUCCUUCCCUCUAUAUCUCCUAUUGAUUGUGGUUGUCUUCUGCCCUUUCCCUCUGUGCAAGCACAUAUUGUGCUUCCAUAUGAUAAAUAAUUCAUGCUGGUAUAAACCUUCCCACUGUGGUUUGAAUUCAUUUGUCACUUCUUCCUUUAAGUUUGUUUAUACCAUCUCAUCUUUGCCCCGUUGUGGAUGUGCUGAGUGGGAUUCUGAUAAUUGACUCUCCUACCUUGUGUUAGUGGGGCUCUGAUAGUUGACUCUAUAACCUUGUGUUAGCACAACCUAGCCUUAUUGGGUUCAUUAUUGAAUUUGAUCCUUUUAAGGAUAGAGCAGACAAGGAUUUAAUUGGAUUUCAUGAGGGGGGCUUUGACAGAAGAUUCACUGAUCCUGAGUUACCCUAAUCAUUUGAAAGUCAGAAAUAAAAAUAAGAAUUAAAAAAAAAAGAAAAAGAAAAAAAAAGAAAGAGAGAAAGAUUAACUCCCUUCAACAGAGGCAUUCUAAAUUUCAUUGACCACUUUGGCCACCAUUCUUUUCAAUCUAUUUGCAACAACUUAGAGAGACACUCCAGUAAGCUAAUGGGUCAAGAAUCUCAAAUAUCCUCUGCAUUACCUUUCUUCAGGACUAGGAAUAAGCAGGUAGCACAACUAUAAUUUUGGACUCACAAGAUCGUAUCAGAGAUUAUUGCUGGAAUGGUCCUCUACCUCUUAAAAGAGUAUAUAAUAUUUUUUUUUGAUAAGUAAAUAAGAUUUCAUAUAUAAAAGAGACGCUAAAAAAGCGACUCAAGGUAUACAAUACCUAUACACCCGCCUCCAACAAGGCCAAAAAACAAAGAUAGCCCAACAACACAAUCCUACUUAGAGCCCAACCAAUCAAUAAAAUUAGCUAUAGUUAGAGGGCAAUCAUCUACGAACAACUUAGUCUCGGACCAAAAAGAAAGGAUAAAAGAGUGUUUCAGUCGUUGAAUUGACAACAUAUCAUCCUUGAAUGCCAAUUUAUUCCUCGCCUUCCAAACCGUCCAGAAAAUGUGAAGAGGAGCAGCUCUCCACGCCUUUUUGCGUUUUUUGCCCACGAAAAAACCAUUCCAGCAUAGAAGGGUCUCUCUAACUGAAGAAGGCAAUACCUAAGACACCCCAAAUAAAGUAAAAAGUAGAUCCCAUAACACCUUUGUUCUUGACCAAUGAAGGAGAAGAUGGUUUAUGGUCUCCUCUUUCUCAAGACACAUAAAGCAUCUAUUUGCCAAUGCCCGUCCUUUUUUCUGGACCAUAUCCAAGGUUAAAGCUUUGCCCCACGUAGCCUCCCAUGCAAAGAAACUAAUCUUGGGUUGUACAUUCACAUUCCAAAUAUAGCUUGAAGGAAACAGAGAUGAACAACCCGCUUCAAGGGCAACAUAGAGGGACUUGACCGAGAAUUUACCACUCUUAGUUUCAGUCCAGGACACCAUAUCCUCCACAUCCUCAAUAACUCUCUUACCAUGUAGUCUCUCCAAAAAUCUUUCCGCCUCCUCUACCUCCCAAUCAUUGAAAGUUAUUAAAAAACAGGGGUUCCAAACCCCCCAACCCCCCUCAGCCAAAGGGUCCCAAAUAUCUGCCACCCACGCUUCCUUCUCAACAGUCAAAGCAAAAAAAGAAGGAAAAGACAUACACAAAGGAGAAUCCCCGCACCAUCUAUCCCUCCAAAAUCUCACCCUCUUCCCGUUGGCCGUUACCAACAAUGAAAACCAUCCUACCACUCACCAACUCCCAAUCCAUUCUUAUUCCUUUCCACAACCCCAUACCAUGAGCCUCUCUCACUUCCCGAGAGCACCAACCCCCUCUAUCUUCUCCAUACUUCCCUCUAAUCAUUUGAUUCCACAAAGCCUUUUAUCUCAUUUGCGAAACGCCAAUUCCAUUUAGCAAGGAGAGCCUUAUUGAGAAUGGAAAGACAUUUGACCCCCAAACCUCUUUUCUUCUUACUUAAACACACCAACUCCCAUCUUACUAAAUGAGGCUUUCGCUCCAAAUUGCCCCCACCCCAAAGGAAGUCCCUUUGGAUUUUCUCUAAUCUUUGUCUGACUGAGCUUGGUAAGCACAAUAAUGACAUGAGAUAGAUGGGUAAAUUCGAUAACGUGCUUCGAAUAAGAGCCACCCUCCCUCCCUUGGAUAAAUAUUGUCUCUUCCACAUGGCUAACCUUCUUCGGAAGCGCUCUUCCACACCAUCCCAAACUGUAACUGACUUAAAAGGAGCACCCAAGGGCAUCCCUAAAUAGGUGGUUGGAAGACUACCUAGUCUACAACCAAAUUCCCAAGCAAGAUCAUCCAUAUUCUCUACCCUCCUUAUUGGAAUGAGUUCACUUUUUUCCAAAUUUAUUCUCAAUCCCGAAACAGCCUCAAACCACAUAAGUAACCAACUGAGAUAAGUUAAUUGAUCUUGUGAAGGUUUACAAAACACCAGUGUAUUAUCAGCAAACAACAAGUGGGAAAUUAGGACCCCUUCUUCACUCCUACCCUUCACUCUACAACCGGAUAAGAAACCUCCCUCUACAGCCCUUUUGAGAAAAGCACUAAAGACCUCCAUAGCUAUCACAAAGAGAUAAGGGGAAAGGGGAUCGCCCUGUCUCAAACCCCUGGAGCUUUGGAAGAAGCCCAUAGGGGUUCCAUUGACCAACACGGAGAAACUUGUAGUGGAUAUGCACCACUUAAUCCACCUGAUCCAUUUAUCCCUAAAACCCAUUUUCUGCAUAAUUGUGAGAAUAAAAGUCCUGUCCACUUUAUCAUACGCCUUCUUUAUAUCCAGUUUGCACAAAAUGCCACUCUCAUUAUUCUUAAGGACCGAAUCAAUGGCUUCAUUAGCUGUCAACACUACAUCUAGGAUUUGUCUACCUUCCACAAACGCCCCUUGAGCCUUGGAGACCACCUUUUCAACCACCUUAAAAGAGUAUAUAAUUAUACUCUAAUCAUUGUGAUGAAAGUUGAGAUGUACCUUGGGACAGACACAUGUGGGUAAUGACAGUUACCUACAGCUGUAACUGCAACUGCAAGUAAUCAAAAAGGAGAACAAGAUAAGGUUAAGAAGCCUGCAUGGAAACUUAAAAGUUUUAACAAUUGAAGCAAAUUGAAGUGUGAGCAUUAUGUGGUACCUUCUUUUUGAUGGGUAAAAAGAAGCAAUUUAUAAAAGAGAAACACCAAAAAUGGUGUUCCAAAGUACACAAGAAGUAUACAAAGAAAAUGCCUAAAGGCGCCACAAAAACAAAGAGGGACCACAAAAGACAACUUCCUUAACCCAAACCCAACCAGUCCACAAAGUCUGGAAAGAGGACUAGGAAUUAUAUACAACUUGCACUACGCCUGAAAAUUACAAAUGAAAGAGAAUUUAAACCCUUGAACCAACCGCCCCUCAUUUUCAAACGCCCUACUGUAUUUAUGUGGUAACUAAACAAACCUAAGAGGCAUUCUAUGAUUUUGGUUAGCUUUCAAACUAGGUUGCAAAGUCAAAGGCCUCAAAUGGAUAAGGUUCUAGUUCUGAUUCCAUGAUUGUAUUGAAGAUCGGUUUGGGUGUACCUGGACCAUUAAAGUAGGUACAUCAAAGGAGGCUUCAUUCCCAUCUCCAGGAGACUUAGGAAGAGUUAAAUGUUUCACGAGUUAUGGCACAUCUAGAGGGUUCCACUGCAGCAAUAACACUAAUGCCAUCAUGCUUACAUUUAAAAUGUGAUUAUGUAAAAGAAUGUGGAAAUCUGCAUUAGAUGUAUAUGCAUAUACUGGCUCAAUUUGCUUAUAUGUAUAUAUGUAAUAUGUAUAUGUAUGUGUACAUUUAUUUAUCUAUCUAUCUGUAUAAAAUAUCAUUUAUGUAAAAGCAUUUAUCUAUGUGUUGAGCCUUUUUCAGGAGUGUGUCUAUAAUAAUGGCUUCCGGUUGAUUUUUCAGUAUAUUUUUGUUUUGGCAUCAAUUCAAUGAGGUUCAAACUUUUAUAAAACAUGAUAAUUAAGUACCAAUUUUAAUUGCAAUUUGCCACCAGGAAGCAUAGAUGUUUUCAUGGGCAUAAACACAGAUGCAUGCAUGGCAUAUAUAGACAUGAAUAGCUUGAAUAUUUGCACCCACUUGAGCUCCAUAGCAUGAAUAAUUUAGUCCAAUAUGUUCAAACCUCAUUGAAUCUUUUUUUCCCGAGAGUGGUUUGAUUAGCAUUUCAAAUAAACCUGAUGCAUAGAUUAACAAAAACAUUGUGGGUUCAUUUCAGAAAAGUUGGCUUGUGUUGAUCCUUAAUUACUGGUUCUUGAAACACCUAACUUACUGUUAAUUUUUUUUUUUCUCAGAUUCGAACAUUAGAAUUGCUGAGGUCUCGAUUUCGGUCACUACCAGGAGCUUUUAAUUUCCGCUUGAUUCCAGUAGAAGAGAAUGAGAAGACUAAAAAUAGGGGAUUAUUGGCCACAUUAUCUCGCAAAUUUGAUGAGGUUGAGUGACUGUUGUGUAUCAUUAUCUGUAAUAAUCGAUAAGGAUCUGCGUGUUUGCACCUGUUUCUUUUAAAUUGAUUCAUUAAAAGAUCUUUCCUGGAGAUUUGUUGAGUUGAUUGGUUAUUGCAGAUCCCAUCAGAUAAGUCAAACCCGGCAGCAAAGUUUGCUCAGUUAUGGAACAAAAUAAUCAGCAGUUUCAGAGAAGAGGAUCUGAUAAAUGAUAGGUAAAAUGAUGAUGCUGAAAUUGUAAAGUGUUUCCCUUACUCCAAACUGGUCAUUUGUUAUUGACUUUUGAAAUUUCCAUUUUUCUUUUGGAGCGAACAGUUUCCCUUACUCCAAACUGGUCAUAUGUUAUUGACUUUUGAAAUUUCCAUUUUUCUUUUGGAGUGAGCAGUUUCUGCUUUAUAAUGCUGUCUUUCUUUUAAUUUUCAGCGAAAUGAGCCUAUUGCUUCUCCCAUAUUGGGAUGACCCUGAUUUGGACCUUAUCCAGUGGCCUCCAUUUUUACUUGCUAGCAAGGUCUGUUUUUUCUGAGUUAAUUUCCUCUAUUAGACUUUGGGAAACCCCUAUAUAUGCAUCUAUCUUGUAUCUACCAUGUAGAUCCCCAUUGCAGUGGAUAUGGCUAAAGAUAUCAAUGGGAAAGAGUCAAAAGUCAGUGAGCUGAAGAAAAGAUUGCAGCAAGACGAGUACAUGCAGUGUGCUGUUCGUGAGUGCUAUGCCUCCUUUAAGAACAUAAUUAAUUUUUUGGUUCAAGGGGAACGUGAAAUGCUGUAAGUUUAUUUACCAUCUGCAACAUUUAACCAAGUCUUGGACUAAGUUGUUUAUAGAUGAAGGUUCUUUAUCUUUAAUCAUUUUUUUGAUUGGUUAGGUUCUAGAUGAGGGUGGAUAAGUUUUUGGUUUCCCCUCUUCUUUUUUGCUCUUGCCUUUAGGCACCUGUUGUACACUCCUUAUAUGCUUUGGGUUGGCCUUUAGGCGCCCUUUAUUCAUUAUAUAUACUAUCUUUUUGUGCUCUUACCUAUUAAAAUAUAAUUUGAUCAUUCCAUGAUGCAUCUUCUUGUUGACAUGAUGGUUUACUCUGUGUAGGGUUAUAAAUGAUAUUUUCAACAAAGUUGAUGAUCAUAUAAACAAAGACAACUUGAUGGAAUUGAAUAUGGGUGCUCUCCCUGACCUCCAUGAACUAUUUGUUAACCUUAUUGUAUUUUUGGUAAGUUAACAUGGCUCACAAAAGCUUCCAUAUUUUGUUAUUAAACUAAGGGUGAUAGUGUGUCCUGACUGAAUCAGUCUAACAAAUACAGAAAGACAAUAACAAAGAGGACAAAGAUAAGGUUGUAAUUCUCCUACUUGACAUGCUAGAGGUUGUGACAAGAGACAUAAUGGACGAUCCAAUUCCGAGGUAAAUCAUUUCCAUACUGCUAUAACUUCUAGUAUGUCCAAAUGUUGAGGCCAUUAGUGGGUUCACUAUUUUAUGUAUGUAGUUUGCUAGAUUCAACCCAUGGUGGAUCUUAUGGAAAGCAUGAGGGCAUGAUGCCCCUUGAUCAGCAACAUCAGUUCUUUGGUGAACUUAAUUUUCCAGUACCAGAUUCAGAAGCUUGGAAAGAAAAGGUAAAUUUCACUGGCACACACUAUGAUGGUAUUCUGAUGAGAGCAACAGAAUAUUUAUCUUCUGUUUAUAAACUUGGAGAGCCACUCAUGAAUGUGCAUUAGUCUAUCAUGACUGCUUUCUUUCUCCCUUUCUCCCACAUCUUCUUCUUAUUCUCCUCCUCCUUCAUCUCUUUCCUGUUGUUGAGACAAGUGAUGGUUUUCUAUAUUACAGUAUAAAAUUCCUGUCCUAUAUGAAGCAUUCUUGUUGGCAGAUAAGAAGGCUGAAUCUAUUGCUUACUGUCAAGGAGUCUGCUAUGGAUGUGCCAUCCAACAUAGAUGCUAAAAGACGCAUUUCUUUCUUCUCAAAUUCGUUGUUUAUGGACAUGCCUCCAGCACCCAAAGUUCGAAAUAUGCUUUCAUUCUCGUAAGCUUUCUUCUUUCUGAACUUUCUUACUGGAAAUAUUGUAAUUUGGAUUUCAUGAUGCUAUAUUACAGUAACACUCGAUAAACUUUCUUCACUUUAAAUAUUGCAACUUUUCUAUCAUUCUUCAUCUAUUUCAAGUUUGCAACUAUACUUGAUGAAAUUAAGGUUUAAAGUUUGGCCGUCCUAAUGCCAAAGUCAAUUCAGAUUGUUGUUCUAAAAUGUCAACAAAAAGCACAAUAGAAAAUGUUGUUCUAAAGUAUCAUUUUGUCUGCAGCAGCAGGAUUUUUUAGUAUCUAUUAGUAGCAUGUAGUUUGGAGGGAGGUGUCUUCUGCUUUUGACUUGGGCUGAUAUCUUUUCUACUACAUAUCUUAUUUGCAACAUAUAUCAUCUGAUACACCAAUAUUUUUGUUGCAGUGUCUUAACUCCUUACUAUAAAGAGGAGGUGCUGUUCUCCCUAAAAAGCCUGGAAGAGCCAAAUGAAGAUGGUGUUUCUAUAAUUUUUUACUUGCAAAAAAUCUUCCCAGGUUAAUUUGUUGUUCUCCUUUUCUCCCUCAAGAGGUGUCUAUACAGUUUUGUGUAAAUUGAACUGGUAUUGCUCUUUUAUCAAUUAAUGAUCCAUUUAUAUUAUACGGACCUAUGUCAUGCAGAUGAAUGGAAAAACUUUCUUGAACGAGUCGAUCGCAACAGUGAAGAAGAUCUUAGAGGACAUGAAGACUUGGAAGAAAAACUUCGUCUAUGGGCAUCAUACAGAGGACAGACACUCACUAGAACUGGUAUAAGAUUUACUUUUUGAGAUUUUACCAGUUUUGUUAAUAUGAUAAUGAUUUUUCUUUGUAUUUUGAUUAUUUUCUCUAUGAUUUCAACAAACAAGUGCGAGGCAUGAUGUAUUAUCGGAAAGCUCUGGAGCUUCAGACUUUCCUUGAUAUGGCACAAGUUGAAGGUACUUACAGAAAGCUUGGUUGUAAUUGUACUUACCUCAUUACCUGUUCAAUACUUAGGCAAUUUUUAAUUUUUGAUUUUUCUUAAGAUCUAAAGAAAGGGUAUAAGGCUGCUGAAUUAAAUUCUGAGGAACACUCCAAGAGCGAAAGGUCAUUAUGGUCUCAAUGUCAAGCAGUAGCUGAUAUGAAGUUUACAUAUGUGGUGUCAUGCCAGCAAUAUGGCAUUGAUAAACGAGCUGGUGAUCCUCGUGCCAAAGAUAUUCUGAGACUCAUGACAACGUAAAUCUCACAAAUUAAUUUGUUGUUAAUUUGUUUAUUGCAUUGGCAUGCCACUGGUCAUUACAUUUCCUUAAUUCCUUGUGGCAGAUACCCAUCUCUCCGUGUAGCCUACGUUGAUGAGGUUGAGAAAACUAGUAAAGAUAAAUCCAAAAAGACAGAAGAGAAAGUUUAUUAUUCAGCUCUUGCAAAAGCUGCUUUACCAAAGUCUAUCGAUUCUUCUGACCCAGUUCAAAAUUUAGAUCAGGUAAAAGUUUUGAUAUUGAUGCUCUUAUUGUUUAGAAUUUAAGGCCUAUGACACUGGUUUCUAUGAUGAGAAGUGCUUCACAGGGAAGGCCUUUGUUGCCUGGCUUCAACAGUAAUUGGCAAUUGAUUGCUUUGAGGACACUUCAAAACCAAAAAGUUCUUUCAUUUAUAUGAAAAUUCUUUAGUUACAAGCAAGAAGUAAAAUAUCAAUGUUUGCAGUCAAUGAGAAUCUGGAAAUACAGACAUAUUGAUGUUGAAAUUUGAAAAAUCAUAAUAGUUAGUAGCAAAACCAGGAAUUUUUGUUGGAACUUUGAAAAAUAUAUGUCAACACUUAUAGGCAAUAGAGGUGCUAACAUAUCAAUAUAUUUAAGACAUUGGUUAUUAGAACUAAUGCAUGCCCUCUCCCAGUAGCAUUAUGUUGAAAUAGUACUCUCACUACAUAUUUAAUUUAAUAGAAUUGCAUUUUUUGAAUCCCAUGUUUAAUCAAGAACAACUGUACUCCUGCUGAUUUUGUAGACACUCCUCUUUUAUUCUAUUCUUUUCCUUGAUAGAAUCAGCUAUGCUCUGCAAUAGUGUUCUCUACAAUGUUAUCAAACUAAGAUUUCAUUUGAAAUUACAAAAGAAAGCAAAGAAGGGUUUUUACUGUAGCAAUAGUAUGCUAAUCAGAAAGUAUAAACCUUAACCAGAAAAAGAAAAAAAAAAAAGAGAGAGAGAGAGAGAGAGAACUGAGGAAUUAUUAAUCAUAAAGCUAAUUUAUUAGAUUCACAGAUAGCUGAGGAACAUAUUAGAAAAAGAUAGCCUCCCAAGGAUGAGUUAAACUCUAUAUCAAACUGUUGCAAUGAGGAAAACAUUGGUUAAGGUAUCAAGUGUUUAGGAUUUUGUAUACAGGAGGCUUUUGUAUACAAAUCAUUGUCAUAUUAUAAUGCUUUGUAAUUGAUGUUUGGAUUUUCUUCUGCAGGAUAUUUAUCGGAUAAAACUUCCAGGACCUGCUAUUUUGGGUGAGGGAAAGCCAGAAAAUCAAAACCAUGCCAUUAUUUUUACACGUGGUGAAUGCCUGCAAACAAUAGAUAUGAACCAGGUAUUAUCUUGGAUGUGCAUGCUUAGAAUUUGUGGUAAACUUGGUCCCUUGGCCUAAAGAUGGAUCUUUUAAAUGUUCAACUCGAUAGGAUAAUUAUAUGGAAGAAGCCUUCAAAAUGAGGAACUUGCUGCAAGAAUUUCUUAAGAAGCAUGAUGGUGUUCGAAAUCCAACGAUACUUGGACUUAGGGAGCAUAUAUUCACUGGCAGGUACUUUAGUUUCUGUUGUUAAUCUGAAUUGGAUUCCUGGUUGUGGCUCUUCUAGUAAAGCAGCAGUCAAUAUAACUAACUAUUCUGUUGUUCAUGACAAUUCUUCCAUUAAUUUGUGCAGUGUCUCUUCUCUUGCAUGGUUUAUGUCAAACCAGGAGAAUAGUUUUGUAACUAUUGGUCAGAGAUUAUUGGCUAACCCUUUGAGGUAGGAUUUAUGAAAAUAAUGCUUCAUAUUUCUGGUGCUAAAGGAUCCCAGUGAUGCCACCUUUGUGAGAUUUUAUAUAGACCUGGUUUAGGUGUGAUGUUAGCAUGCUUAUGCGUAAUCCAUAUUCAUGUGGGUAUAUUUUAUUGGUUGCUGUCAAGCCAUUAUUUGGUGUCCUUACCUGAACUUGGGACUGGAUUAACAAGUGCAUUAAUUAAAAUCUCUAAAACAUAUAUUUUUGACAGAUCAAGGAAUUUGAAGGCUAGGAAGCUCACAAUAGUAGAUAUUUCUAGAGAAAGCUAACUUAGCUAGUGAUACAAUUCUUCUCUCAUACUCUUUUCGUGUUCUCACUAGAUUUGUGAGUCAAGAGGUCUAUCUGAAAAUGGUACAUAUGAGACAUAUUGGAUUCCAGAAGGCGAGAUUCAAGAUUGUGUAAAUGAUAUGAGGAACACCUUUCCUCCCCCAGUGAGCCCCUUUCUCCUUAUUCCACAGAGACAAAACAUAGAAUUGGUGCCAAUCUCAGUUUUUGCCCAAAGCAGUAUCAUUUCAUCUGAAAUGGAUUAUAUCUCCAAUACAAAUUGAUACCAUAUUGUCCCUGCUGAAUGGUAUAUGAAGCCUGCCAACUAGAUGCCCCAUUGAAAUAUUGUUGUUUCAUUUUAUUUGAAAACUUGAAGCAUUAAAAAACCAGAGAGACCCUGCUAAUACACUGCUUUUGAGGAUCUAAACAUCAAUUCUUUACUUGAAAGAGAUUUUUAGAUUACUAAAAUAUGGUGAAAGUGCUCUUUGUUGAUAUUUGUGUUAUUUCUUUCACAAGGUUCUUAGGUUUCAAGGACUAUUCUUAUUGAUUCAAAGCCCAAAUUUUCUGCUUUUUGAGAAUAAUUAUUUUGUUAUAUAUAUAUAUAUAUAUAUAUAUAUAUUAACCUGAUGUGUAUAUUGAUGUUCAUCGGAUUUAAUAUUCAUAAUCUCUGUGUUUCCCCUCAUUCAGGGUUCGCUUCCACUAUGGUCAUCCAGAUGUGUUUGAUAGACUUUUCCAUCUGACUAGAGGGGGUGUUAGCAAAGCUUCCAAGGUCAUCAAUUUAAGCGAAGACAUAUUUGCAGGCAUUUCCAUAACCAUUGACUCUUUCUUGUUGAAGUAAAGAACUUGUGAUCUGCAUGUUUAACUUCAUUUGUCUUUUUUCGUCUAUCUGUGGUCUACAGGUAUCAAUUCUACGCUACGUGAAGGCAGUGUUACUCAUCAUGAAUACAUACAGGUUGGUAAAGGGAGAGAUGUGGGCCUUAACCAGAUUUCUAUGUUUGAGGCAAAGAUUGCUAAUGGAAACGGCGAGCAGACAUUGAGUCGUGAUAUUUAUAGGCUUGGACACCGAUUUGACUUCUUCCGGAUGAUGUCAUGUUAUUUCACCACUAUUGGUUUCUACUUCAGUACCUUGGUAUCAUAUGAAUCAUUCUCUCCUUACUCUGUGGAUUAUAUGAUCUUUUAUUAUUAUCUGAAUCACUCUGGUUCUGGUUUGACAGCUAACCGUGCUCACGGUGUAUGUGUUUCUUUAUGGCCGCCUUUAUCUUGUUCUGAGUGGUCUUGAAAAAGAGCUGAGUAAUAAGCCAGCUAUUCGGGACAACAAGGCUCUUCAAGUAGCUCUUGCUUCUCAGUCUUUUGUGCAAAUUGGUUUUCUAAUGGCUUUACCUAUGAUCGUUGAAAUUGGUUUGGAAAAGGGUUUUCGUAAGGCGUUAACUGAUUUCAUAAUAAUGCAACUACAGUUGGCCCCUGUAUUUUUCACUUUUUCUCUUGGAACAAAGACCCACUAUUAUGGACGGACAUUGCUUCAUGGGGGUGCAGAAUACAGGGGUACGGGUCGCGGCUUUGUGGUGUUCCAUGCCAGGUUUGCUGAGAACUAUAGGCUCUACUCACGCAGUCAUUUUGUUAAGGGAAUGGAAUUGAUGAUCCUGCUCCUUGUAUAUCAUAUCUUUGGUAGCUCAUACAAAGGCACAGUUGCAUAUAUUUUGAUCACUAUAUCGAUGUGGCUCAUGGUGGGUACAUGGCUUUUUGCUCCAUUCCUCUUCAAUCCAUCAGGGUUUGAGUGGCAGAAGAUUGUUGAUGACUGGACGGAUUGGAAUAAGUGGAUAAGCAACCGCGGAGGUAUUGGUGUAUCUGCAGAGAAGAGUUGGGAAUCCUGGUGGGAAAAAGAACAGGAGCAUCUCCAUCAUUCUGGGAAACGUGGCAUCAUAGCCGAAAUAUUGUUGGCCUUGCGCUUUUUCAUCUACCAGUAUGGGCUUGUAUAUCACUUGAGCAUUACCAAGAGCAAAAGUUUUCUGGUAAAUGCCUUUCUGCAUUUUCUUCAAUGUUGACAGUGAGAUUUAUCAUGUUUAUGAAAUGGAUACUAAAUUGGACUUAACACUUUUUCUAUGGGUUUACAGGUUUAUGGUAUCUCAUGGGUGGUGAUCUUUGGAAUUUUGUUUGUGAUGAAGGUGAAUGCCUUUCCUACCAUAUAUCUUGAAAAAGCACCAAGUUUUCAUGGUUCAAGUAGUUACAUAGGACUUCUCCCUUCAUAACAUAGUAAGAGGCCAGAUCUUUUAGUCCAAAAAUUAAAUACAAGGAGGUUUCCCUCAUGGUUCUUCUUGGUGCAACCAAAACCGUAUCCCUGGCAUGCAUAAUGGAAGUGGCUUCAGACAUGAAAAGUAUGCUUCAAUGUAUUGCUAUUCUAAAAGAUUGUGUCCAACUCCAUCGUUCCAUUUAGCUUCCUCCAUAUUAGAACUUUAACUACUGGAUUGCAGCACAAUGUCUAAAGCCAGAGGCUUGUACUAAACUUGAACACUAGAGUCGUUAUAGUUGGAUGCACAUCAACUAUGUUUGUGAAACCAGCAAGUCAAGCUGGUGAAAUCACCAGGUGGGUUGCGCUGUAAACUUUGGAUUGAAUCCUGCCUUCAGCAAAGUUCUAGGCAGUUCAAUUUAAUCCCACCUUCAGCAAGGUUUUGAGAGUUUAAAAUUUAGCUAAAGGCUACUCCAAAAGGGAAAAUUUUGUUUGAGGCUUUCACUUUUGACUUGAAAAUAAUACGCAUGCCUUCUUCCAACUGUGUUGCAUUUGUUUUUAACAAGAUUGGUCAAAUUUUUGCAGGCUCUCUCUGUUGGAAGGCGAAGAUUCAGUGCAGAUUUUCAGCUUGUGUUUCGACUGAUAAAGGGUCUUAUCUUCCUCACCUUUUUUGCCGUUUUGAUCAUUCUAAUAGUAGUUCCCCAUAUGACAUUUGGCGACAUCUUGGUGUGCUUUCUUGCAAUUUUGCCAACUGGAUGGGGAUUGCUGCUGGUCAGUGAUAAACUCUAGUCCCUAUCUUGUUUGUUACUUUUUCUUUUCUUGUCUCAUUUCUUUACCUUGUGAUACUGGUUGCACUGUGAUUGUUGUUGUGAAACAAAAUCCAGUCUUGUUCCUUCAGUUUCAUUAUCUGAAAUCUGUUUGUGUCACUUCUCUUUGUUGUUUAUAUAGAUCGCACAGGCCUGCAAGCCUUUGGUUGUGAGAGCUGGAAUUUGGAAAUCAGUCAGGACACUUGCUCGUAGUUAUGAACUAUUCAUGGGCUUGAUUCUAUUCAUCCCAGUUGCCUUCCUGGCUUGGUUCCCAUUUGUUUCAGAAUUCCAAACAAGAAUGCUCUUCAACCAAGCAUUCAGCAGAGGUCUACAGAUUUCUCGUAUUCUUGGUGGACAGAGAAAGGACAACUCCUCCAACAACAAAGACUAAAUCCAUCCCCUUCUCGCGAAUUCUCCAAAUCUUUCCUGUACAACUCUUGCUCAUUCCUCAGAUCAUAUAAUCCUAAAAAUGUAAACUGUCAUAGCUACCUCCUUCAGUGUAAAGGUUCAAACUAUGAUCACUUCAUUGUGGAAACCGUGUUCUCUUUCUAAUGUCAAAAUGCAAAUGCCCUUCUAUUCCCAGUUUUUGAAUUCAUAUCUGACUCAAGAUCCACACAUUACACUACAAAAAAUAUUACUAUACAAAAUUUUCUCCCUUCCAAAGAGCAAAAUUUUCCAUAUACUUCACUAGGAUUUUGAUUGAAAUAUUGAAAUCUGAUGCAUAUUUUAUUUAAAUUCUAUGACGAUAUAGUAUAUAUCGUCUACAACCCCUCUCAUACAGACAUUAUGUUCUUGUCUUGGCCCAUGAAGAUUACAGAUGGCCAAAUCCUGUAUUUUUUUUCGUCUGGGAAUUGGCUUUUCUAUUAUUUAUCAUGAUGACCUUUCUAGAUAUUGUCCUUUUAGAUUCAUUGAUUCUCACGGUUUUAAAAGAUGUCUACAAGUAUCAAUGAGUUGCUUCUCGUAGGUUUAAGAAUUUCCUCGAAGACCAUGUGAGAUAUCAUAAAUAAAUACAGCCAGGAAUUUAAACAAAAAAAAAAAAAAAAUGAUAUAGAUUGAGACUGAAUGAGACAUCUAGGCCAAACUUGCUCCAUUUUAUGCCAAGAAGUUUUUGAGGUACCAUUUCUGAAAUCAAAAGAAUUUAAGGAAAAUUGUGUUACAAAUUUUUUUUUUAAAAAGGGUCAUGUAUACUCCACCUUCUGCCUCUUCACCAUUUCUUUAUCAUUCAUUCUCUUGAUAAGGACUCUGGUAGUCUGGUGGUUGACGAACUGUCCCUUAAAAUGCACUUAGCUUUGAGUCACAAUGAAUCCUAUACCUUCAAAUUCAUUGCCCACCAAUCAAAAGGACCCCAGUGCCCUAAGAUGAUUGGUUGGGUUUUAACAAAGCUAAAUGAGGGUUUUUGUUUUGGGGAUUUUAACAAAUUUGUUUCGAAAUUACAUAAACAACAUAAAACAAUUUUCUAAUUUUAAAAUUUUGUUAUAGAUUUUUUACUAAAAAUAAUUUAUUGAAAAUAUGCUAUUUUUAAAAAUAAAUUUGAGGUAUUUGUUUUUUAAAAAAUAAUUAAAAAUAUGAAGAAUAUUGCAUCAUAUAAUACCUUUUAAAAAGUAAAUUAAAAUAUAAAAAAAUUUGUGUUAUAUAUAACAGCAUAAUACCUUCACUAAAAAUAAGUUGAAAAAUCUAUUUUCGAGAAUUAUUUUCAAAAUUGUGGUUCACACUAUUAUUAUUAUUAUUAUUAAAAGGUGGAGUGAAAUAAAAUAUUUUUUACAAAAAGAUUUAUUAUUAUUAUUAUUAUUAUUAUUAUUAUUAUUAUAACUUACCUAAAAAGUUGGUUUUGAUUGAGCAUUUAUGAUAUUAAAAAAUUUAAUUCGUAUUUAAUGAAAUUGAUAUUACUCAUUUAAAAUUGUAGGUUUUAUUUCAAAUUUUAAGAUAUCAUACUUGUCCACUUGAAAUUAUAAAUUUCAACUUUUAACUUCAAAUUAAAAUUUAAAGGGCAAAAAAAUGCUAAAUUAAAAAACAAUAAUGUCACAUUAACAAGAUUUUUUUUCGAUGUUUAAGCAAAUUAGGUUGGAUUAGUAACUAAUCCAAGCCUAGUCCGACAUGACUUCUAAUUCAAGAUAUUUAAAAAAUAAUAAUGUCAAAUUAACAAGAUUUUUAUAAUAUUUAAGCAAAUUAGGUUGGAUUAGUAUCUAAUCCAAGCCUAGUCCGACAUGACCUCUAAUUCAAGAUAUUUAACUUGAAAACAAAAUAUUUUUUUCAACCUUAAGUUGAUUUCAAAUUGAAUUUAUAUCAAUCAGGUUCUAUCAAUCUAAAUUGAAUCGAAUAAGAUUGGAUUUUGUUGAAUCUACUUUUCAACAUUAUUUUUUAGAACUUGUUUUAUAUAUUCAUUUUAAAAUAUAAAUAUUAAAUCCAAUAACAUUGUAAAAUAAUAAUAAUAAUAAAAAUAAAGUAAAACAUAAAUUCAUGUAUAUAUAAAUUUGAAUUAUAAAACCUUAAUCAAAGUACAACCUAAGUAAUAAAAAGAACUAUUCAAGUAUAGUGAGAGAUCAAUUUCCCAAUCCAUCAAAAUUGUAACCCUAACAUUGUUUUGAUCAUCACUUUAAGAAUCUUAUAAUUGUUUUGUUAAAUAAGUAAUAAUAUUAAUAAAAAGGAAAAUAGAAGAGGGCACAUCGUAAAUAGAAGGCAAGGGAGGGAACAUUUGGGCACCGAAUCCGGAUCUCGAGGCAAGACUGACGAUCUGAGCCGUCCAAAAUCGAAACUAAAAUCCAACCGUCCAUCACCUCCUCGUUCUACUAUAAAUAGCCCAACCCCUCCCGAGUCGACCCAACAAACAAACGGCUUCCUAAUAUCCGGAUUGUGAAUUUCCAGGUCUCGGCAACAUCCCUCUCAUUUUCUAGGGUUUCUUCCCCUUCUAAAAUUCAAAAUUUUCUUCUUUCCAACGGUUAUUUUUCUCGAUCCAGGCCAGACACUCAGUGUAUCAGUUGAUUUCUAGGGUUUUUACAACGGUUCUGAUCUCCCAUUUCUCUGUGGAGAUUGGAUCCGAUGAACGAACAGUCUCAGAUGAUGGAUCAAUCUCAGAUGCUGAAUCGAAACUACGUCGCUUGGCCGCCACCACCGGUUCCUCCGCUGGAGGAGCCGAUCAAGUUCCAGGCGUCUCAAAGACCUGUGUUUGCUGCCACUGCGAAGCCGGGCCGGGGCAAUUGGAAGGGGAAGAAGUCCGAUAAGCGCAAGGAAAUCCGGCGGAAGGACCCCCUCGGAUUAGGUACCGCAGUCGCUGGCGGAGUUGGCGGGUACAUGCCUCCCAAUCUUAACGAGUUGCAGUCUCAGAAUCGGUUGAAGGCUCGCAGGUUUUACCCAAAGAAAAAGUUUAAUAAUAGAUUUGCCCCGUUUGCACCGAGAAAUACGACGUCUUUUAUAAUUAGGGCUAAGAAAUCCGGGGGUAUUGCCUCUCUGGUUUCGCCAUGUCCGGUGACUCCAGCGAUACUUCCGACGCCGAUAUUCUCGCCGUCGAGGGAGGUUUUGGUGGAUAUGGCGAAGGAAGAGUGGGGUGUCGAUGGUUACGGGUCUAUGAAGGGUUUGAUUCGGCUCAGAUCACCUGGGCACGAAGCGCGUGACGAUGAGGAAGAAGAGGAUGGUGGGUCGAGUGACAGUGAUGUAGAAGAACAUGUUGAGGUGGAGAGGAGGUUGGAUCAUGAUUUGAGCCGCUUCGAGAUGAUUUACCCAAAUUGUAGUGAUGAGCAGACCAAUCUAUUGGAGAACAGAGUGGACGAUCAGGAUACGCAUAUCGCGCAACUAGAGGAGGAGAAUUUGACGUUAAAGGAGAGGCUUUUCUUGAUGGAGAGGGAGUUGGCGGACUUGAGAAGGAGGGUGCAUUGUUUGGAAACUGAUGGCGGCCGAUUAAGGGAGAACAAUGAAGAGGCUUCCGAGAACGCCUCAGAUAAUGAAGGGGGUGGAGAUGUUUGCUCUGAGAAGAGUGUCGGUGACGGUGAUGGUGAUUGAUUCAAUCAUCCCUCCCGGUUACCGUGUAAGUCUCUUCUCUGAAGACACAACUGUAGCUAUGCUGAAUGGGUUUUUGCCCUGCUUUUCUGCUGGUUUUAUCUGUGCAAAUUUCUGUAUAUAUGUCCUGUAGUCUAGAGUUGUGUGGUAGAUUUUAGUGGAGUUCACUCUCUCCCUCUUACCUACAUUUCUGUUUAAUCUGACUGUGGCUUUGUGGACUAGGUUCUAUCGACUCCAAGAUAGGAAUUCAUAAUGUUCUGCAGAGUCCAGACUCCAAACAGACUCUUUUAUUUCUGACCUAUAAAUUCCUUGUUUGUUUAAAUAUGCUCUUUUAAUUCUACUAUUGCAGUUUUCCGUUUUCCUCAAGAAAAACGGAAAUAUUUGAAGCUGGUAAGUACCCCUUGUUUAUUCUCUUUCAUCAAAAUGCUUUGUUGUUCUUCUUCUACUAGAAUUUUAUUGAGUGAAGAGAUAUGGGUAUUACUUGCAGUAAGUUUCAGUCUAAAAUGUGUAGGAUGCUAUUUUGAUGGCCGAUAGUAUAAAAGAAGCUCGAGUUUUCUCUGUAAGUUCUCUCUUGUGGUAACAGCUCAGGAAAAUGGAAAAAGAAAGCCUUUUGAUCAUCUGCAGAAGGAGAUGAAUUAUAUGAGGAGGCAUACGGAUUCAGAAGACAUGCUUAGAUGGUUGUUAUGCUGCUUCAUAUCUUAAUUCUGAAUAAAAUACUUGGGUAUUUGUAUUUGAAGUUUGCUUGUCUGAUAGGGUAAGAGAAUUUUUGCUGAGACUCCAGGGGAGUGGUCAUUGAAAAUGAAGAUGUAGAAUAAAUGUUAGUAACAUGCAUCACUAUAGACCUGCAGGUGAGGUUGGAUUAUGAAUCUUAGGACGUUUGCUUUUGGUGGUCCUAAAGAGGACUUGAUUGUACUAUUUGGAAUCAGAAUAAGAAUACCUUUUAUUUUUGGAGGCAACUGCUCUCAUCAUCUUUUUCCCCUUUAAUUUUGAUCAGCUUGUGUAUGUAAAAUAAAUAUAUGAUUCAUUUGUCAUAUGUGAUUGAGUUUUGCAUACUUCUGAUAUUCCAGCUUUUUAGAUUUGAGAACAUCUUAAAUUAAUAUUUUGGGUAUUGAAAUUAAUACAUAAGCAUUAUUGAUCAGAUAGAUGGGGAGGUGGGUUGCAUGUAUUUGCUUUUGUUAGUUAAGCGACGAUUAGAUAGAUGAGGUGGUUUGCAUGUAUUUGCUUUUGUUGGUUUUAAGAUAUUCUCUUCCCUUCUUUUCAAUGUAUUGGACCUUUUGGAAAUUAGCGAGAGAUGCGGUUGAAAAAGUGCCAAAGUGCCACAGUGACAACAACUAUUUGAGCACUUCAAGUGUUGUAAGCAAAAAAAAGCAAAUAGCCUUUUCCUUUUCUCAUGAAGAUUUUAGCGUUUGUUGAUUUAAAAAAUACAAAAAAUGUAGGGUUGAUGAUGCAAUUGUAGGCUUGUGAAAGUUGGACCUUUUGAAAUCCAAGUGCUAGGAGUGGAUUUCUGAGCACAGAAAGAUGUGUUUAUGCAUUCUGCAUCAUACUCUUGUAUAAGCUCUUAACAUUUGCCCAUUCUUGUUAUGGCCAUUAUUUAGGGGGCAUAUUGUAUUGUGUCAAAUCCUUUUUUGCCCCUCUUUUUUGCUUCUCUCUCAAGUCAUCCUCUUUGCAUCAACUUCUUUUCCUGCAAAUGUUGGCGUGUUGGGAUGUGGGUGGAGAAAGAUAAGAAUGACAUUGAAAGACUUGUCUUGGGGUUUAGAUGCCCCACUGGUGAGGUUCAUGCAUUAAAAUUAGAGUUUGAUAAAAAUCUAGGUAUGUGGGUGGAGAAAGAUAAGAAUGACCUUGGAAGACUUGUCUUGGGGUUUAGAUGUCCUACUGGUGAGGUUCAUGCAUUAAAAUUUGAGUUCGAUAUAAGUCUAGGUAUCUGGACUUUCAUCCAAGUUUCAAAGGAAAGCCCCUUGGAUGAAUGAACUAUCAUUUGAAAUGAGGCCACCCUGAGCAGAUAGGACAAGUGUCAAGCUUCAUAUAUUUAAGCUAAACAGCCUAAACCUAUUGAACUCAAAUUUUUAAUGAACUUGAAGGUGCUUCCCAAUUGCAUUGCAGGUGGGAAAAUCAUCACCCGCAAUUUCACCUGCUGGCUGUUGCAGGGAAUCUCAUCCACUGCAUGUUCACUCAUCCCUAGAACAGCUUUGCUGUCAUCCCAUUCUUUCAAAGCUGCCACCACUUUUGCCUUUCGAUCCAUGAGUCCAUGUUGGCCUGUAUCACACUUGGAAUAAGGUAGAGAAGGAAUUGCAGAGACAAGUCAUCAACAGAUUAGAGAUCAAUGUGCAAGAAUUGACACUGCAAAUUAACAGAAAAUAACAGGCAACUUGCUUACCAGUUACUAACAUUUGAUCAAUUAAAGAAAUAUACAAGGGUAUAGGGGUAUGCAACAAAUGAAUGCUGUGUGUUUGCUUCCACCACUUGCACACAACUAUUGCAUCAUAUGUUUUUUCUCCUUUUUUUUUUUUUUUUUUUUUCUCUUUAUGCAUUUCUAGCCCCAGACAACACAUGCAGAGAUGAAGCGGUACAGGCCCGAGACUUUGGCAUCUGUGGCUCCAGGUCUUCCUUAAGCAAGACGUUCAGAUGCCAAUCUCCCCAGAGGGAAAGAGAUAGCUGCAGUUAAAAAGAGGAAGAUCAAGCUCUUUAUCAGCCAAUAUCAAUAAUCAGCCCUCAGACCAAACUCAUGCUCCACUCUUCAACACGUCAUCAAUGGUUAGAGCUGACAUCUUCAGCAGAUGGAUUUACUAUUAUCAACAGUGCAAUUACGGAUGCUGCCUGAACUAAACAACUGUUGAAGAAUGCCCAAAGAUAGGAAUCAGAAGAUCUAAUGGUUACUGGUGGCUGGAGAACUAGUAACCAACUCUGCUCAUCUGCAUUUGCUCAGAGGAAGGAGGAGGAAUAUGAAUCAGCUAACAAAGGUCUGAUUUCAUCUAAUGUUGGUAGCAUUGCCUUGAAUUUGCUUAGAGGAAAAAUCCCAUCAUUGUUUUUUCAAUAGGUUUCAUUACUUUACAUGUAAAAUGUUUGUCUCUGUGUUAGGAUAUAUACACACCCAUCAGUGAACUAAGGAAUGAAAGAUACAUGCUCAUUUCUGUAUCGGAUUCAUUUGAUAAUUUUAAUUUGUUGUAAUAGUUGCACCGAGUUUUGUUUGAAUACCUUGUAUCAAUAUAACAUUGAGACUGACACGAUCUUUUCUGUGUAGAAGAAAAAGUAAACCUGGAGGAUCAUAGGAUGAAUGUGAAAAAGUGUCUCAUCACUUGGGAAUAUAUAGCUUUGUUCAUAGGAAGCUUCAACUUGGUCCCCUGGUAGGUGAUAAAGAGUACAUGUAAUGUCAAAACUCCCAUUGUCAAGGAAUAUUACGCGGUUGCUUCAAGAAAACGCUUCUAGAAAACACUACAAAGUAGUAAGAAAAGAAUCCUCGUGUUUGAAUGCCAAUCACCAAGGAAUAUUAUGGGCUUUGCUUAGAAAGAAUCAUUUCAACUCUAUCAUCUCGUUGCAGAUGAUUUUAUGAGAAAAUCAAGACAGAAGAGAAGAGGCAUUGCAACAUUGUUAGUGGAAGAAAACCAUACCCCUAACGUCCUCCACAGAAAGAGAGGCCUUUAACUGCAAUUGAAGAGGAAGGAAGCCUUUACCGCAAUGUAUGCAGCUUCCCCAUUAUAUUUUGAGGAAAAGACAAGAUUAUUUACUAUGCUUGUGAAAGAGACCUUUUGAGUUUCAGCUCACAGUUGGAAGUUGGAAUAAGUACUUAUUAUUUGGGCUUUGGAUCACGACAACUGAUUCUGUGGGCAUAGAGUGAACCAUAUGAUGAGAAUUUAAAUUGCAUAGGAUCACAUGUUGAUAAUUAAGCAUGCAUUUAACAGCAAAAUUCAAUCCGUUACCUUGGUUUGUGCUUUGGGAAGUCAUUUUUGCUCUCCUUUGAUAUCCAAUUAUCUGCUUUUCGGGUGCGUGAUGGUCCGAGAAUGAGCGAUUAAUGAGCUCUUCCCUUUUCUCCCAAAAUUCAGUCCAAAGUGGAGUGUGUGAGUGUGUUUGCCGGGAGAGCUCUUCAAAUAGAGAAGAAAGGAUGCUCACAAAAAAUGCAAACACAUCUCUAUAUAUAUAUAUAUAUAUAUGUAUUGCACAUUACACACUUUAGUUGGACGACUUGACUUAAUGGGUCAGUCAAGUGAAUUAGGGUGAGCCCAUAAAAAAUCAAGCAACAAUAUGUGUCCAGUUUCAUUAUGGACCACAAUGCAAAAAUAAAUUAACACUGAUUUAUGAUAUUAUCAAAUUAAUUAUGUAAGUUCACACAUAAAAAUUCCAACACCAUACUGUGACCGUCUUUGGCCUAUUAACAGAUGUGAAUUUUAUAAAGUUUAUAUAGUGAUUAGUCAGGCCGGGAGAGAGAUAAGGUACAUGAGCCUUUAUGUAAAUGUAUUAUCAUUCCCUCAAAAAGGAAGAUUUCAUAUCUGUUGCUUAUUUUUAAGUCAUACGGACCUUGACCCAGAAUGUGUAAUAUCUACAUAUAGCGGGCAGUUCCCAUUUACAAUUUUACGUGCUUUUAUCAAUCAGAGUCAUAGGAAAUGCUCUUGCCAAUGGUGGUAUUUCUCUCUCUUAUUUGUCUCUGGUUUUUUCCUGCUUUACAUCAAGUUUCAAAUUCGUAGUCUCAAGCUAUAAUGUAUAUGGUAUACCCUCAAAACAACUUAAUGCAAUGAAUCUUGGGAAAAUGAGAUACGUAAUCGAUCAAGGCCAUCUUAUCUCGAACUCUUUAAUUAAAUAUCAUUGAUGAACCCAACUGUUCAUUUCCUAAGCUAGCUAACUGCCUUCACCCUUCUCGACUUCUGAAUACAACACUUUUAUUCGAAUGCACAAAGCUAGUACAAGAAGAGCCAAACAAAUUGCAACCACAACAUGUCAUUUCAAACUGAACACAACAUAAAAGAAAUCCACAAAUCCACCCAAAUAUAAUAACUCACAAUGAUAAGAGGCUUAAAACCUCUUAAGUUGGUCUGGACAACAUCCGUGCUGCAUCAAUUAUACUCUCUGCAUUUUGUUGAGCCAAUUGCAUUUGAAGUUGAAGCAGUUUUAAUCGACUUUCAGCUUCAGCCAUGGAAUAUUCUUCUGUUCCUUCUUCUUCUUCUGCCACUGGACUUGCUUCAGCUGUAGCGCAGCCCAAAUGAGUCCCAUAAUCACAACUCUUGCAGUAGUAGAUCCAGCAGCCGUCGGGGACAUUGCCAUGGCAGACAUCACAGAUGAAGGUGUUGCCUUCCUCUUUGUAUCCGCAGUAGAAGAGAGUAAGUGGGUGUUGAUGAUCUCCACGUAUCACUGUUUCAGGCAGAGAAGCACAUCCAACAUGAAGGUCAUAGUGGCAAGUGGGGCAGUGGUAGGUAAAAUCAUGGCCACCAUGUCGACAAGCAUCACAAGUGAAUCCACCCCCAUAGUAAGGUGGGGUGGAGAGAAGGAUCAGAGGAUGCCAUGGGUGGGACUUGUGUUGGAUCACUUGUUGAGGUAAGGGGGGGUGGUGGUGGUUGAAAUAGUUUGCCAUCUCCCUCUUCUCUCUUUGGGUGAUCUUGUAAUGAAUCAUCUCUUGCAGAGAAAAUGUAUAUACAUAUAUACAAGUUGUGGCAAUGCUGUUAAGCAAGUUGUUGUUCAGUUUUAUAUAAUGCAUGCCCUUCUAGGCCUCAUUUUUCCAUUCUUAAUCUUCACCUUUCUCUCUAGACAAGAAAAUAGGCACCAUGCCACUCAUGGGAAGUACCCAUUUUCCUUGUUCAUUUUUUUCCUUGUUUUCGGCUAGUUGACCAAGUCGUGUGUGUCUGCACAUAGUUCUAAGUUCUUCUGCAAUACCCUCUUUUUCAAAGUUGACUUGUUACCGUCUAUGAAGCUUUCGAAGUCUAUUCUCGCUAAACAUGUCACCUCAGUGAAAAGAUAAACUUUGCUCCCGAGUAGAUAUUAUUUGGGGCAAAGCUUUCAUGAUUUUGAAACGAGAGGGGUUAAAAGGAUUUUAUUUUAUGCGUAGUGCAAGAAAAUUUUUUCCCAAGCACGAUAUUCUCAUCUUAUAAAGUGGGAUUGUGGGAUCAAGCACAUAAAUACCUUGUAAACAAAUUGACUCUUAUGUUAAGUUAUAGACCAUUUGUAAUAAUCUGUUUCAUCCUAUUGAUUUAAGAUUAGUACAACAUUGAGGAACUCAUAUUUAUAAGGGAGAAAAGUUCUUGACACUAUACGUGAAAUCUGUCAACUAUAUGAUCCCACAAUCCCAUGGGAUGUGAUCUCAAAUCAAUUAAAAGAAAAUUCAUGACAAUGUAUAUGUAUUCAACUCUCUUCAUUAUAUACUUGAAUUUUUAAGUUGUUUGGACGUUGGCCAUCCACACACAGUGGGUCACUACAUAUGCAAUUUUUUGUGCCUUCAUGGAUAAUUGGCGAACAUGAAGGUCAAAUUGGCAAGCGGCACAGUGGUAUACAAAAGCAUGGCCGUAGUAUAGACAGGCCUCACAAGUGAAGCCACUGUCAUCAUAAGGUGGGGAGGGGAGAAGGGUGAGAGGAUGGUGAGGGUGGGACCUCUGCUUAAUCACUGGGGCUAAUUUGAAGCAUGAGUCAUGGAGGAGGAAGUCACAGUUGGAGAUGGUGCACUUGUAGGCUGAGCCUGAAAGGCCUAGCUCACAACCAGAGCAGACGAACCCAUCUUCCUCUUUCACUUCUGCAUGGCACAAGGGGUGUUUGUGGCUGAAAUGCUUCACAACUGCCAUUUCUCUCUGAUCUUUUCUUAUCCUGUAAUGAAUCAUUUAAUACAUGGAUGAGUAUAUGUAUAUACAAGUAGAAGCUUAGAUUUGGAUGCCAGCUUAUUGUCUUCCCCAGUGGUUAGACUUUCUAUCAUUCUGUGCCUCACUAAUUUCCAUGUAGAAAAAAUGCCUGUGGCACGUUCAUGGCAAGUUGCAGUUUUCUUAGCAUUGUCCGCCCCUUCGGCUAGUUGACCAAAUUGUGUGACCACUUAGCAUAAACAAAUGGUUGACUCUAAAAAUUACGAGUGGGCCUUUGAAUUAUGAAUUUUAAUUUAUUUAUUUAUUUUUAAAUACUAGAUUAACUUUAAGUAUGGUUUGUGUUCAAUUUUAAAUUGGAUUAUUAUGAAUAUCUACAAAUUGUUAUGCAAAAAAAAUUCAUAUAUAUUGUCACAUAAGCAUGUGCUAUUUUAGAUUGAAUUAUUAUGUGGUGAUGUAAUAGGUUAGAUUACAUACUGUUUGAGAUAUAUAACCGUAAUUUUUCUAACAAAAGUAUAGGGCUCAAAACAAUAAAUUAAAAUCAAUAUCUUGCUAUAGAUGAGAAUCUGUUCAUCGUUGACAAGAUUUAUUGUAGAGAAAGUAAAAGCUAAAUGAAUCCAGGUAACAUCAUCCAUCUUUCAUUUUCAAGGAGCCCAUUAGCUUAACGAUAAGGCCAAGUCAUUAGCUGUGCAAACAUCCUGGUCCUGUUCAUCUCAUUCUGCAGCCUCAUCAUCUCAAGCUGAUUCUCCAUCAUCUCAUCCACCACUUGCUUAAAGGGAUUAUUAGCCCCAUCAUCUGACCCACAUGGCUGAUCAGUCUGGGACUGAUCAGCCACCUCACCGCUGGCCGGCUCCUCCAUCCCUGGCUGCUCAAUCGCCGCCGUGGCACAUUCCAAGUGGGUCCCAAAGUCACAUUCAGCACAGUAGUACACCCACUGAUGGCGGUCCGCCUCAGACAAAACUGACCUUCUCGUCAUCAUAAGGAGACUCAAAGGUCAGCUUCAGUUCAUGUGGGUGUGCAUCAAGAAGUACAGUGCUGGGUAGAGAGGAACAGUGAAGGUGAAGAUCAAACUCACAUUCAGCACAGCUCUUGCUGAAGGAGUUUGCAGCUGAGCCACAAGCAUUGCAGGAGAAGGAUCCAGAUGGGUAUGUGGGGGCUGGCAGCAGGGUGAGUGAGUGGGAAGGAUGAGAUGGGUGUUUGAUCCAGCGAGGUAAGUUGAGACACCGGUCAUGGAGGUAGUAUUUGCAGGCAAUGCAGCCAUAGAAGGUCUGCUCAGCUAUGAGUCUGUCACAAGCCUUGCAAUUGAUCUCUUCGCCUUCAUCCAGUCUCAAGGAAAGCAGGAGAUGGCUAUGGUUGAAAUACUGAUAACUCAUAUUUUUCUUUCCCUCCUCUCUUGUGCUUCUCACAUUGCUGUUCAUGUUCAUAUAUGAGAUGCAGCUUAUGUAUCAGCAGGCACAUCCCUUCUGGCACACUCCCCCUUUUUUUUUCCUUUGUUGGGUAACCUUCUAGACAGGCUCAUCUGAGUCAAGUCAAGAAAGCAAGUCUUUAAUGGGGUUUAGGAUAUGCAUCUUCUGGUACAUUGGAUCAUGAUCAUCACCAUCUCAGUAUCCCUGCAUUAAGUCAAGUCAACGGUGAAUCUGCAUAGGUAGGCAGAUCUGCUUUGGAUGCGUGUGGAAAACAGAUCCCUUGUUUUCAGACCAUUAAUUAGUCCACUUGAGGGCAUCAUUCUCAUCAGCUGAACCCAAUACCACAGCCUUGGGCCACAAGGUUUCUUUCAAUAGGUUUUGUUGUGAAGUUUUCUCCAUUGGAGUAGACCCACCGGCAAACUCUAGUGUGCUUAAUUGAUCUUACUUUUUUUUUUCAUGAUUUGAUCCUUGAAUUCUAACAAAAUUUGACUAGGAAACUUCAAGGAAAGAACACUAGAAAUUUUGAAAAUAGUUCCCAACAAACAGUUUUUUAAAAUAGGAAAUUCAUGCUAAAUUCCGUUUAUUUGACUAGGAAAAUCUUCUUAGAAAUUAAGAAGGUUUUGCUUGGAAACUCUGAUUUAUGAAACAAUUUUCUCAGUUUAUUAUUCAUGAAAGUUGUAAUGACUCGUUCUCUCUUAUAUAAAUAUCAUCUACUCUAAGACCAUGGUCCCUGUAAAAUACAUCUACUCGGUUGAGAAAACUUAGGUAGGAACUCUUCCAUGUUCAAUAUAGGAUAUCAUAAAAAUAAAUUUCAAGUUUUCUUCAUAUCUUUAAUUGUUUUUCAAAAGAAAAUAAGUUAUCAAAAAGUCUUUUUCAGCUAAAAUAAUUGCAAAACGUAUGUUUUAAGUUAAAAAACUGGCUCCAAGAACACUCUCCAAACGGCCCAGAGAACGAUUCUUUGAAGCUUUGUUUUCCAUGUGAAUGCGGAAAACCAUGCCAUAUCGGCAGCAAAGGAUAGAAACCAUGGAGGUUGACUUUGAGAGCCAACCUACCGACCAGUAACUUCAUUCCAAGUUUCCACUUAGCUCACAAUUCAUUGACAAAGUCACCUACCUACUCACAAUUAUCAAACCCAAUAUUACGUUUCCCCAGUAUCCUUCCGCGUCCUCUAUUGGUUGACUUGGUCUCCUGUUGUCAGCAACUUGAUGCUAUUGCUUCAAUAAUAAAAUUAUCUCAGGAGCUUGAACCCAUUGAGAGAGAGAGAGAGAGAGAGAGAAAGAGAGGGAUGGGAAGAAUGAAUCAGCAACCUGAAACUGUAAUCCACCAUUUCAGCCAUUCACAUCCCUUGCAGCUCUCCAAUCAUCAUCCCCAACAAACCCUAACCCUUGCCUCAUGCUCAGGAUGCAAGCUCAAAGCCAGUGGAUUGAUCUACGACUGCAAGCGCUGUAACUACUUCCUCCAUAUCUCAUGUUCUCAAAUGCCUCAACAGAUCACUCACUCAUUUCACAAAGCCCAUGCCCUCUCCCUCCUCCCAAAUCCUGCAUACCCAGAAGGCUUAUUCAACUGUGAUGCAUGUGGAAAGCAGGGCAAUGGCUUCUCCUACCAUUGCGGAGUCUGCAACAUUGAUCUCCAUAUCUUAUGUGCUUCUAAGCCGUUGUUUCUCAAUCACCAAUCCCACCAUCACCGGCUUGCCCUUUCAUUCUCACCUCCUUACCAUAACAAAAGCUUCUCUUGUGAUAUAUGCCGGCAGAUAGGGACCAGCCACUGGCUCUACCGAUGCGACGAGUGUGAAUUUGAUGCCCACUUGAGCUGCGCAACUGCUACGCCUGCAGCUCCAAUCCAAGCCCCACUGCAACAAAAUUUUAUGCAGCAGUUCCAAACAGCAUCACGAGCCACUCCUCAUGGCCAUUUUCCUAGGAACCAAUCAGCAAUAGGUCAGAACUAUAUGCAGCAGUUACAAACAACACAACCCACUCUCCAUUGCCAGUUUCCAACUGGGCAGAACUAUAUGCAACAGUUCCAAACAACACCACGAGCCAUUCUUCCUGGCCAGUUUCCAGGGACCCAGGUUGGAACUGGGCAGAACUACCCACCAAUGAAUCAAGUAAACAAUCUCAACCCAGGGGUGGUUUAUAGACCUGUUAGGCCUGCUGCGACAAGUGGGCAGGGAAAUUCUUUGUUGAGCCAGGCAAUUGACGGCCUAGUUAAUGGUGCUGCUCAGCAGGUAGGCAUGAACAUGGUGCAGGGAUUACUGGGUGGUGGUGGGGGUGGUGGCAGCACAGCCCUGGAUGCAGGGGGUGGAGGCACAUGGGAUGGAGGUUCUUCCUCGGUGUCUUAUGACUGCUACAGCGGAACAGAUGGGGGAUGAGGAGACUUCCAAGACACGACCUACUAAAACCAUCUCUGUCAUGUGAUGAAGAAGUUGUGUCUUCCUUCUUUUUUUUCUUUUUGGGUUUCCGAUCUGCAGUUAUAAUCAGUAUCAACUAGAAGGAACGAUAAGAUUAUGUUUAUGAAUUUUCUUUCUCCCAAAUUAUGGCUAAACUUGAGCACAGAUCCUUUGCGAUCCCCCACCAUAGGAAGAAGUUGACGUGGGGAAUUAAAGCCUUGAAAUGAAUUAAUAUCAAUAUUAAUUAUAGCACCUUCCCAACAUCUUUUUCAUCAUUUAGUUCCUCUGCCAGGCUUUGCAUGCACUCAAAAUCAUAGAUCUGGGAUUUUGAUUAUUUCAUCCUAAAAAUCUUGAAAUAUUGGUUUAAUUUGAUUUUGUUGGUAUUAGCUGCUUCACCUUCACCCAAUUUUCGAUAUUCCUUUUUAUUUAUCAUCAAACUAAUUACAUAUUCUUAUAAUUAGAUCUCAUAAUAUUAGGAAAAUUAUUUUUCUAUAUUUGAAUAAUAUGAAAAAUAAAGAAAAAUUUAAUAAAUUUUUCUUUCCUUCAAAUUAAAAAAUUUAAAAAAAAAAACCCAUUUGAAAAAAAAAAUAGUGAAGAAAAGAAAAAAAAAAAAAAGAAAAAUGAGAAAAAAAAAAUUUAAAUCAAUACAUUAAUUUUAUAUAUUACUUCAAACUUAUUUAAUUUAUUUUAAAUCUCUUAUACAGAGAUUAAAUAAAUAAAAAAUGUAUAAAUUUUUAAUUAAUUUUAUUUUCUUUCAUAUUUUGUAUAGUAAAACCAAACAUAACAAAAAUUAUUUUUCUUAUUAUUUUUUUUCUUUCCUUUGAAACCAAACAUAAUCUAACUUUUUUUUUCCUCUUUAAUUUCUUUCCCUCAAAUUAUCAAAAAAAACAUCCAUAAUGUAAAGUUAUGUUUGGUUUAGAAAAUAUUAAGGAAAAAAAAAAAGUUAAAGAAAAAUUAUUUUCUCAUAUUUGUUUGUAUUAUGAAAAAAUUGAAAGAAAAUCAUAUAUAAUUAAAAGAAAUUAUAAAUUUAUAUAUAUUUUAAAUUAGUUAAUCUUUAUAACAAAUAAUUAAAAUAACUAAUGAGUUUGAAGUAACAUAUGAAAAUAAGUUAUUAACUUUAAAAUUAUUUUUUUAUUUUUCUUCAUUUUUCUUAUAUUUAAAAAUAUUAAAUGGACGAAUAAAAUGACAAUUUACACAUUUUUAGAAUCAAAACCAACCUAAUAAGACCUUCUUCUUUUUUCAUGCACAUGUAAAAUCCCAAACUACACUUAUAUAGUGUGUUUUAUUUUUCUAUGAUUAGCAUGAGCUGUAACAAUGGUUAUUCAUAUCAUUUGUAAUAAUAAUAUGAUUUGAAAUUAGUUGUAAUAGUUUUAUUUAAGUUUUUUCACCCAAAAUAUCUAAUUAUGAGUUUUUUUUGUUUGAACAAAAAUAAGGUUUGAAUUCCUAAAAUCUAAAUUGGUUGUUUCACUCAUGAAUCUUCAUUUCAAGUCGUGAAUGAAAUUAUAAAAAUUGAAAAUCAUUUUAUUUUCACAAUAUAAUGCCUUGAUAUUUGUUUUCACGGAUAAAAACAUAUAAAAUUAUAAGAGAAAAUACUUUGUUAUAUAAGCGUGUUCUUUCAUAUUUUUAUCUUGAGAGUAAUUUUUGCUUAUAAUUAAGUCAAAUUUUGAGUAAUUUUAAAACUCGUAAAAAUUGUUCUUUCAUUUUUUUUCAUUUAUUCGAUUGGGUCGGAGCAACCAAACUCAACUCUAAUAGAACCGGAAUAAAGAAAAAACUUAAUUGAAUCAAAAUAAAAUGCACCAAUUUAUAUAGGUUCAUGUUAGUAAAUUAAAUGCAACCUAUCAAUUCCUUCUUCAAAUUCAAAUUCAAAUAAUUUUGAAUUUGUUUUUUAAUAAAUUAAUCGAUUUGAUUUUAUUUUAAUGGCUCCAACCAACUAAAUACAUUUGAUUUUUCAAACAAUUGUUAUUACUAGGCCUUUGACAAAACGGCGUCGUUUUUGUAUGAACGACAUCGUUUUGGAGGAGAAUCCUUUGACCGGACCAGCUGGUACAAAAGGGGAGCAGUAACCAGACGCUUAUCUCCUUCGUUUCGGGCCUUUUGGCGCCUCUCUCUCCCUCUAAAAGCCAUGCCUACAGUGAAGAAGAACAAGAAGCCAAGGACGAUCCUUUUCCUGAAACCCUAGAUAUUGCUUCCACCAGCGCCCUCAGUUGAUCCUCAUCCUCUCUUUCUCAGCAGGUUUUCAAUUUUGUUCUCUCUCUCUCUCUUUUAUUUCGCCGAUUCGUAAUUCACCUUAACAAGCUUGUUUGGGUUCUUAGAAAAUAUGGGUAAAAAAGGGGGAAUUGAAAUUUCGAGCCUUGGGAUUUUCAUUAUUUUUUUCAGACCCACGACGGCUAGUGAUUUUGGAAUGUGAUGAAAUUUGGGGAGGUGCAUUAUUACGACGGUCAUUUGGUACUGAUCGGUAUAUAGAAGGAUUUGGGUUUUGUUUUAUGGGAUUAAUCGCCUAGUUUGUGUAUUAAAGUUGAUAUCUUUCAUACUGGUUCCUUUAUUUGCUUGUUUCUGUAAUUUAUCUAAAUCCAUCUUGUGUGUUAUCAAUGCGGUUCACUGAAUUCUGGUGGUGUUGUUAGGUGGGCGAUGGAGAUAUUUGUGUCUCUGCUUCUAUUAGCUUCCUUUUUUCUUUUUUUUCUUUUUUUUUUUCUGCCUUCUUUGCUAUGGCUCUGAGAGUUAGAAUCCUCUUUAUGAGCUGCAAAUUCUUAGUCCGGUAUGUCUAUAGGUGUUUCUUUUCUGAUUUGCACUGCCAUUAGUUGAAACUACGUGAAAAUCCAUUAUCAUUGUUUUCUUCCUGCUCCCAAUCCAUAUCCUAUCACCUCGAUUGAGAUGGAUUCAAGAUCUGUUUAUCAACAUUUCUCCUAUCUGGUUUAGAUUUUAUGAAAUCUCGUCAUAGGCUUACUCUCUGUGGUGGUGGAAUGAGUGUUAAGGUCCUUUGAAAUUGAAGAUUUUCUUGAAUGAAUGUGUUAAUCCAGAUUCCAAUUUGACUGCACAAUGCCAGGGGGUUGUUCUGUAUUCCAAUAAAAUAAUAGGUAGUUUCUCAUGGCUUUGAAUGAAAUUCUUUUACUUUUAGUUGUUGAACCAGGUGUUGGAACUUGUUAUCCAGCCUGUGAGGGCAAAGUUAGUAACCUGUUUGACACAUUCUUACUGGACUGUUGAGUUUUUUGAGUUCAAGGGCUUGGAGCAAUGCAUUUCCCGCCCAAAGCUGUCACGAGCAAUGCAUUUCUUGCCUAGUCAGAUGGCUAUAUCUAUUUAUUUCCAGGCUAUUUCUAUUGAGGUCGACAUGUGUUGUAUUAAGCCUGUUUUAGGCUGUUUUUCAGUUAAUUGGCCUGUUUUUAGGCCCAUGUGAAGUUCAUGGACGCCUAGUUUCAGUUGGAUGCAUUGUUAAAGGGGAUGAACACUUUCUUCAGGGACCUUUGUUUCCUAUGGUUUGAUAAUAAUGGGUUUCUUCUUUACAUAGAUUGGGAUAGUUGCAUGGAAAGAGUGUGUGUGUGUGUGUUUGGUAAAUUGAUGGAACAUCAAAGUGAGGAGGAUUGCUGGAAUGUGAAGAACUUCAGGAGAAUUGCAUUAUAAUUCGGUGUACUAGGGUAGUCUGAAUGGACCAUAUCAUUUGGCAUGGAUUGAUAUUUAGUUCGAUUGGAUUGCAUCAGAAUUGUCAAUAGAUUAUUAGAGUGUUAUUUUUUUAAGAUUUAUUGCAUUGAGGGUAUGUUAGAGUUUAUAACCCAACUUGAGUAUUAUGAAUGCAAUUCAGUUAAUUCCAUUGCUGUUUCUUAUUUCCCAGCUUGGUACUAGAGGCUUCAGAGCUUCAGGUUAGAUCCUUGUGCUGAGUGGUUGCUUGGCAUCCAACUACUUCUCAGCAGAAACCAGCAAUUUGUGGGUCCUUUUCUCUAUUUGCUUAUUUCUUGCCUUGUUUUAUAAUAAGGGUCAUCUAAGCUCCAAAUUUAUAUUGGCUUUAGUGUUUUAUCUUCCUUUUUAAGUUCCUUUUCUUAUGGUUCUGAUAAUUAAACCCUCUCUAGAAGCAGCAAAUAUCGAGUCUCUCAAUUAUGUCUAUCUAAUUGUUUCUCUAUUUGUUGAUUCCUUUGCCUGUGUUUUCUAGUAGGAGUCAACUAAGCUCCAACUCUGCAUUGAUCUUCCAUUGUCUUUCUUCUUGCUAUGAUUCUGAUAAGCUUUAAUUCAUUUGCUCUCUAGAAGCAGCAAAUAUAUAGUAUCUCAUACAUGUAGAUCUUUUUAGAAUUGUACUUCUUGAAUGUGAACUUCUAUUUUUAUUUUUGUUUUUAUUUAUUACAACCACAUUCAAGGAGUGUGAUUUUGUGUCACAAAAUUGGAAAAGAAAAGAAAAGGUGUUUUUCUAAUCCCAUAUAGCAAAAACAUAAUAGAUUGCACAAAUUUUUUGUUCUCAUAUUUAUUGUAAAAAAAAUUCUUCAACAAUUAAUAUUAUUUAGGGUGAAGAAUCUUGCUCAGUGGUGCUAUAAGAUAAGGGCAUUUUCUCAUGGGUUGGAAAGAAAAUGCCCCAUUUUAGUUUGAAGAGCUGCAAGAGUUUGUUCCUCUCCUAUGGGUUCAAAGUAAGUAAUCCACUUGACAGUUUCUGAGGUGAGCCUUGGAAUUUUUCAUUCAAGCGGUUGGAGGAUUAUGUCUCCCAUCCAAACUUUUCAGGGAAAAAUGUUUCACAACCUUUUUGAGUGGUUAUGCUUAGUGAGGUUGACACUUGUUCUGAGCCUGUUUAAGUUCUUGUUCAAUUAUUAGCCUAAUCUUAGUUCUUUGUGAUGCUUCAGGAAACAUACUUUCAAUUGGAUUCAUUGCAAAAGGGAGUUGCACUUUCUUUCAGGGCCUAGGUUUUCAAUUAGCAAUGAAUUUUCUUUUUCAUGAAGAUUGCAAUGAAAUUGUGGAAAGCCUUUUUUUUCUUUUCUUAUUUUUUUGUCAUUUUUUUUCUUUUUUGCAUACUGAUGGAACAUUAGUUUGAGCGGAGGGAGUCAAGUGGAAUAUAAAUUAGUGUGGGAUUCACUGUAAUAUAUUACAAUCACAUACACCAUGUCAUUUAGUAUUGUUGUAUGUCUAGUGGGACCUUUUUAGGUUAGGAUUUGACAAUACAGUCAUAAUUGCCAACUCAUGGUUUGUAUCUUAUCAUGCAUUCUGUGUUUUAUGCAAAUUGGAAGAUAAAUAGAAAACAUAUGCGUACAAAUUGAAGCACAGAUAUCUUGCAAGAAUGACAUAUAUGCUUUGAGCACAAAUAUUGCAAGAAUGACAAAUAUGUGUUCAUAUGCCAUGUUUGAAGUUUCAACUUCCAACUUCCAAUGCUUUCUACAUUUAUAAGUUAGCAUGACUCCUUUGUGGGAAGAAAAUGACAAAAGGUUUGGAGAGUCAAUCUCCUAUGUAUUUUUGGACAAUUUGGAAGGAAAGGAAUUAAAGUGGAUUCAAUAGCAAGGUGCAUCUGGUUCAAGCACUAAAACACUCUUUCCUUAUCAAUCUCGUGACAUUGGUUAGCUUGAAUGUAGAAUAAGGCUCAAUGCUUUUAAUAGAUUUUGUAGAUUGGCUGAGAUUUGGCCAAGGGAGGGAGUAGUUUUUUGUGUUUUCUCUCUUUUUGGCAACGCUUUUUUGUACCCAUUAUAUACAUCCUGUGUACUUUGGUGUAUAAUUUUCUUUGAUAUUUAUAAUAUUUUCUUGCUUAUAAAAAAAAAAAAAAAAGCUUCCAAGUUCUUCAUCAUACCCACUAAAAAGGAAGGAAGAAAAAACUUUAAAAAGGAAAGAGAAAAACAAAUAUAUUAAUUGAAAUAUUUAUUCAUCAAAAUCCUCAAGGUUAUAUAUAUUUCUAGUCCAGUGACACCUUUAAUUCCAGCAAUACCUCUCCAAAUUAAUCAGAGGAAUGGUUACGCACUUGAGCCUCCAUAUUACACAAGUGCCUUUCUAAUAGAAAAAUGUACUACAUGUGUGCCUUCAACAACAUGUGCACUAAAUUUCCAUGCAGAAUUAUUCUUUUUCUUCCGUUCUUUCUUGUCAUUCAUUUCUAACCUUAAAGUGCCUUUUUGAACAGUAAUACAAUAAUCUUUUUGAAGAAAGAAAUUCAAACUUAUUGUUCUUAAAACUGUUAAAACUAGUCACAUGGGCUCCUACCAUGCUUAUAUAAUAUUGUAUAUUGUUUAUGUAUCAUGAGAUGCUUAAGAUGUGGUACAUAGCAGUCAUAUGUGUUGCCUAUCAUAAAAACAAAAAAUAAUGAUCAUGAAAAAGUAAUAUAAAAAAAAAAAAAAAAAAAACAGAGCAGUCAUAUGUAUCACUUCACAUGCAAAUUGUAUCAUGUAGUAUGUUUUUUCUAAUUGUGUAUGAUAAGUUUUUCACCACUGUGAGUAGCAUGUUAUUUUAUAAAGAUGUAUUGCCUUGCUUUCAUGCUUGGUCAUUUCUUUAUACACUCAUCUUUCAUAUUAUCUGUGGAAUUCAAUGAAUUCUACCCUUGUUUCUUAACUCCAACUAACAUCUCAAUUUAAUUUGGUCAUAUGGUGGCAACUAUUUGACUUUGUUGAGCUUAAUUUUUUCAUUUUUGACAAACAAACAGAUGUGAACUUCUCUUUUUUGGCUUGGGAGAAAUAUUGCUGCAAUCUUGAGCAUAUAAUCACAAGGGAAUUUUAUUUUGAUUUUGAUUUUUUUCAGGUGAAGAUUUUGCUGGAUUGGUGUGGUUUUGAUGGAGAAUAAUUCAAGGGGAGAUAUAAUGGAUCUUGAUUUAAACCUAGAGCCUUUAGACCCUCCUCAUGAUUCCAUGUUGGGAUUAGGAUCUUUAUUGACUGAAAUUGAAACUGCACAUGGACGGAUUGAAGAACGUAUCCGACAACUUGAAGCCGUUAAUUCCAGGGCUAGGCAGCGUCAGAGAUGGCGCCAAGGUCGAAUACCCCCUCAAACAACAACAAUAUCCACAGAACCCAUGCAGGUUAACUCAAUUGAGGGUAGAGUGCAAAAUGGUGAGUGUAGUGUCGCUGGCCAAGAAAGAACUGUUGAGAAUAGGGAGGGCUGUAAAAGGAAUGGAGCCUAUUUGGUAGCUAAGGCGUUGGGAAUGGGUACAAAUGCUAAUGGUGGGGCGUUGGAAAUGGGUACAAAUGCUAAUGGUGGGAGCUUUUUUGAUUGUAAUAUAUGCUUGGACAUGGCCAGAGAUCCUAUACUGACUUGUUGUGGUCACUUGUUUUGUUGGCCAUGCUUCUAUCAGUUGCCCAAUGUUCAUUCAAAUGUGAAGGAAUGCCCUGAAUGUAAUGGAGAGGUGAUAGAAACACACAUUACUCCAAUUUAUGGCCAUGGGAGCAAUAACCAUAAAGUGGCUACAGGGGAUUUAGGAGUGAAGGCCCCCCCUAGGCCUCAUGCACAUAGGAUUGAAAGUAUGAGGCAGCAACGUGUUGCCCGAGGCAUACCUUCGUUUCCAUCUGAGGAAACACUGCGGAUUAUUAGCAGCCAGAUUUCACGGCAACAGGCACGCACUACAACUGAGAGAAGCAAUGUCUUGCCCAGCCAAAAUUCUACUUCACAGGUACCACCCGGCUCUGAGGCUGAGCCCAGCCAGGGCCUCCGUUCUGUUCAGUUUUCAAGAUUAUUAUCACAAGGAACGGCUUCCUUUUCUUCCCUUUCAUCUGCAUUGAAUACUGCACUGAAUUCUGCGGAAAGAUUGGUUGAGGACCUUGAGGAGUAUAUUCAUAGCCACCUUACAAGAAGCCAUGCUUCAUCUGCUGUUAAUGAGAGAGAGACUCUUACAACCAUUGCAGCUGUUCUACAACUGGAAAGCCAAGCUCUCAGCACUGGUGUUAACACCACUGUGCCCCCUUCUUCUUCAUCCUCCAGAACUGAUGUGUCUGCCAUUGCUAUGCGCUCUGAAGACCAGGUAACAGAUUCUACCGAAAUCAAUAUAUCAGUGCCCCAUUCUUCAUCUUCUAGGAGAAGAAAUGAUGCUCCAGGAGCCUCAGAUAUGGAGACUGGAGAUACCCGUGAGCCUCGAAGGAGAAGGUUGAGAUGAUAAGUCUUUUCCAGAGGAAAAAGUUUGGCUCGAGAUAAGCUCCCUCUGACUAGAAACUGCAAUCUAGUUGUUUUCCAAAUAAGAAACUAUAAUGAAGUCGAUGAAUUCAUCAGGAUGUUGAACCAUUUUCUGUAUUCCUUUGUCCAAUGAUCGGUCUUCUGCAGGGAGAACCUGUUCAUGCUUGCAUGGUGUCCUCCUUUCAGAAGGGUAGGACUGGUGUUGCAAGCUACUGCAACACAGCCCCCCCAUAUAUGCCUUUGUACAAUUCUACUGGUAUAUACAUGUUGAAUAGCUUUUUCAUAUUUCAGAUUAUCAUUUUGCACCACUUUUAUCCCCUUUCCUCCAUCUUCAUUUUGUAGCCUAUGCUGAUGGAUAGCAUCAAAUGUAGCUUUUUCUUGCCCUUGUCAUAAUGGGGCUCAGGGAUUUAGACCAUUCAUCCUUCUAUGUGCUAUUUGUGGAAUCCAUUGAAAAAAAUCUAGAUCACUUGCUUGGCCAGGCCAUUGUUUUGUUGGAGUGAGGAAGACUAAAGCAGAUGUGGAGUGACAUGACUGAAGAAAAAUGAAAGAGGAAAGGAGGGUAGAGUUUAACUUAUUUGGACUUCAAAGAAGCAAAGAAAGAGUCUGAAUGACAGGGGUGAGGAUGAAGCUGAGGAAAGGGUUGGGGUCUUUGCGUGAUAGUGACUAGCCUCAGAAAUGAAAUGAAAUGAGAAGAAAAAAAGGAAAAAGGAAAAGGGUAAAAUGAAAAAGAGAGGAUAUCAAUCACUGCGAUAAUAAUUGGAGCAUCGGAGCAUCGGAGCAGGUAUAUGCAUAUAAUGUUAAGAGAAAGAAGGAAAGAUAAGAGGGGGUGGUGGGCCAGCAGGAAACCACCAAGGGCAGAGGGAGUGAGUUGCAGAACCGUACUAAUGAUUGCUCAUGUUGGAGCAUUGUCCCCUUUUCACUAUGCACCCUGCCCCCCACCCCCAACCCCCAACCCCCCUCCUUGGCAACUAACCCCUGCCCCUCCGGGCCCUCCCAUUUGCACCUCCACGGCCCCCACUGCUCCCCACCAUGGCCAAUCUAUAUCCUAAACAGGAUCUUUCUAAAGCAAAGAAAAGUGGAGACUGUCCUUUCCUGCAUGCAAAGUUAAAGACGUAUUUGUCGAAAGAAAGUCUCUUUAUUUUUUUUAUUGAGAUACAUUUUUAAUCUUAUUUUUUUUAUAUUUAAGUUUUUGUCUUUGCACCCUCAUUUAAUUAUACACGUGUCAGAGGUUUAAGUGAUCAAGUAAUUCUGGGAGGUUACGAUAUUAGGCAUGUGCUCAUAUAGUGAGUUUAUUUUAAUUAUAUAAUUACGAAUUUUAAAUAUUUUCAUCCCAUAAUAUUACCAUAUGUUAUGAAUUAUGAUUUUAAAACACGUUUAUAUCAUUUAAAAAUAAUGUAAACGGGGAACUUAUCCAUAUCCUCUCGUGUCUUUGGAGCACUUGUGUCCCUACUUCGGACUUGUAUUAUCCUGCAAUAUUGUAUUUGUCGCCAAAUGUAUACGUGAUAAGGAUAUAAUACGAAUAAUAUUAUACACUUGAUUAAUUAUUAUUAUUUUUUUAUUGCCUUUGCCCAUCUCCCACGCCCUCUUCACGUGACCCCUCCUGACCCACUCACCUUUUUCACGCUCCCUCACCUUGACUUUUGAUGUUCCACCCCCUCACGUGACCUCUCACUAUCGCCAUCACUAUCCAUUCGUUCCACGCCCUUAUCCAAAAAACAUUUCCCCAUCCUCCACGCGCCCAUCACAAAAAUGAUUAAAAAUUUUCCCUAUAAAAAUGACUACCUCGGUCCCACCCAUUUGCCAUUGGCGAGUGAACGCACGCGAAACAGGUGGGAGUGGGCCUACAGAGGCAACUCUGGACUAUGUCAUUUCCUCCUCUCUUUAUGAAGUCUGAGCAACGCAUGGUCUGACGCACCAUAAAUACGAUACUACCCCUCGAGUUCAACCCUGUGAUUAGGGGUAAUUACGUCAUUUUAAUCACUCUUUAUCACACGCUAACCUCAACCAAGAUCCGCAAAAGAUCUUCUGAUUUUCCCUUUUAAUUCCAGUGCGCAAAUCCACCAGCCCCAUUCUCCUCGUUGCGCGUGCUACCCACGCCCCCACACAAAAUCCAAGUAGAUUCCACUCCACGCGCUUCUGAGAUGUGUGUGGAGCCAUGUCUUGAACAAUAAUUCACCUAGAUUUCCCCGGGUAUUAUGCGCUUGAAGAAUAUCGUACGGUCAAAUAAUAAUAUACCCAUUAUUAUUAUUAUUGCUACUACCAUAUGGACAUUUUUAUUUUUUAAUUAUUUUUUUCAAUUUGAGAUAUUAGGAGGAAUAAUGCAAUACACUCACUCACACCAUUGACUGGUUGUGAGUGCCAUGUUGAAGUUGAUAAAAGGUUUCAAUAAAAAGAAUUUAGGAUUUUAAAUUAUUUUUAAAAACUCCAAAAAUUUCCUCAUAAAAAAUGGAAUUAUUUAACAACUCUUUGACUAUCUUAUGCCCACUUCAAAGUAUUACAUUCAGUAUAACUAUAUAUCAAAAAGUAGAAUUUGGAAUAAUAAAUCUAUUAUUUUUAUAAUAUAAAUAAAAAAUAAAAAGUAGAUCAAACUUUGGAUUAGGGUUUGACCAAAUCUAGGAUAGGUGGGAGGACAAGGUUCUGGUCGGGAAUCAUGAUAUAUCAUCUUAUUAUAAGUUUUUUUUUUUUUUUUCUUCACAAAUUAUCUUAUCAUGAGUAGAAUAAAUAUACAUGUAACUUUGAAAUGAACAACAUGGAUGGUGACCACAUCAAGUUGUUGGGACAUUCAAUUAUGAUGUGAAAUUCUUUUUUCUUUUUUUUCAUUAUGGAUACUGGUAGAAUAAAUAUGAAUGAUAUUUUUUUAAAAAAAUUUUAAAUAAGGAAAAGAAUAAAAUAAAAAACGUUAGGGUUUGUGAAAAGGGUUUGAAAGGUCACUUUCUAAUCAACCAUGGUCUCACAAAUGAUGCUCAUGAUUAAAGUUGUGCAUGGCUUCAAUUAUUGCAAUGACCCUUAAAGCAUGGCACAUGUUACAUCACCACCCCCAUUUUCCACCGGCUAUUGCCGGUCACCACCACCACCACCAUCCCCACCACCCUCCACCACCCAUCUCCACUUCUCAUUAAAGCUUCAAUUAUUGCCAUCACCCCAAAAGCCAGACACUUGAUAUCUUCUCUUUCCCACCCUCUACCCCCUUUAUUUGGAUUUUGGGCAUCUAGAUUUAUUGGCAUUGAUGGUGAAUUAAAACCUCAAAAGUUGCCACUUGGUUUGGUCCAAUUUGGGAAUGCUCUAGUCCAUUGGUUUGGUUCAAUGCAGUUGGUUGAGAUGGCUUGGCCUUUACAUGGAAACCCCUCAACAUUUAUCAUUAUGAUGUCUAAAAUUUGUGUUAUUUUUCUUAAAUAUGUUGAUUGAGAUAGCGAAAAAUGUACAUUAUCGUAUUGGCUAUUUGGUUUGUCAACUUCUAGUGAGAAAAUAAAUUCUCUAUCUACCAUAAAGUCGCAUAUAUGCCCCCAACAACUUUCAUGUGAGAGACGUUAUUAUGAUUUAUUUGACUCAUACCUUAAAGGUCUUUAACCUUGACGAAGUCACCAAAGAUAUAUGAAAGAAAAUUAUUUCCUAUCACUCAUUUUUGAGCAAGAUAACCACAUCCAUCUUCAUUACUCCUAUAAAAUUACAAAAAUUCUUGUCACCAACUCCAUCAUCAUAUGCCAUACUUUUUACACUCCACAACUUGCAUUAUUGACUCUUUCGACACGUCUAAAGAAUUCUCUACAACUUGCAUACUAAUCCACCUUUCAAUUCAAGUGCUUUUCAAAAGAGCCCCACAUCGAUAAUUGAACUCUUAAUCUGAUUUAUUGAAAUUUAUGAUAGCAUCUCAUCAAGAUAAAAAGUAGUGAAACCGCUUAUAGUAUAUAUAUAUGAGAUAUUAAGUACAGACAAUAGAACCAAGAUGUAUACAUGGCAAUCUCUAAUUGGUAAUGAGUUUAUCAUGCACUAGGAUAAGCUAAUACCUUAAGACUAUGUUUAGUUUUAGAGAGUAUUAAGAAAAAAAAUAUAAAGAAAAAUAAUUUUCUCAUAUUUAGUUAUUUUAUGAAAAAUAUAAAAGAAAAUCAAAUAUAAUUAAAAUGAAUUAAAAUUUGAAAUGUUUAUAAAUUAUUUAAUUUGAUGAAUUAAAAUUUAUAAAAUGAGUUUAAAAUAAUAAAUAAAAAUAAUUUAUUAACUUUAAAUCUUUUUUAUUUUAUUUUUCAUUUUUGUUUUCUUUUUCUCCCAUUUUCCCUCAAAUUCUCUUAUACCAAACAUAGCUUAAAAAAGAAAACAUUAAAACCCUUUAAUUAUUAUAAUAUUUCUUGAGUUUCUUGGAUUAAAAAAAGAAAUAAAAAGGUAAGAAACAAAAUCUAAGGAGAUUUGACUAAUGGGUGAGCCAAAAAGGCAGCGGAAAUUAUGGUCAAAUUGCAGGGCUAAAGCAUCACCCUUUUUUUUUCCAUCAUCAGUUAAUUUCCAACUAACGUUUCAAACUUCCAAGAAGUUUCCCUUCAUCCAACUCAUUUAUGACACGUGGCCAAUAAUACGUUAUGUUUGUUGGUGAGUCAAUAUUCAAUAGCCAUUUCCUCCCAAUCAAUAUCCCUCACUUCCCCAAAUUGCCCUCACACAAACAUUGAAUGGACAAUACUACCAUUACCAAUUUUAUUAGGUUAUUUUAGAAUAUAGUCAUGAAGUGGUUACAUAGACAAAAGCAUUUUCUCAUGAGUGAUUAUUACCUAUUAGUAGUAGAGGUCAUCCUAAGUAGUUGAAAUAAAGGUGCUACAAUAGUCUAAUGUUGCUAGAAGGAGUUAGAACGAGUAAAUAAAUUUAAUUGCAAGUCUCAAAUGAUCCAUGUAUUUGCACUUUAUAUAACAUACACCCACAAUGAUUUAUAAAAAUGUUAAUAAUACUCACAAGUCUUCAUAAUUAAUAUUUGUUGAAAGCUGACUGACUUAUGUUUGUACGUAUACGAGUUGGUUAUGAAGAGAUCAAUUCAACUUUUAGUUUUGACUAUUUUUAAGAAUUUGGUAAUCGAUAUUUUACUGUAACGUAAAAACUUGGUAAAACUCCUUGAUAAAUUAUUAUUUUCAUUUGCCUUGUUCAAUACUUCAGUAUGUUUACUUUCAUCGGUUAAUAUUUUCAAAUAAAAAAUAAUUAGGGUUUUCAUUACGUGGAACUGAAUCAUUACAUCACCAAGUAGGUCAAGUCCAUUUUUUUUUUCCUUCUUUCAUAUUUCUUACAAGGAUAAACUUUUGGUUGUCGAGUCUUAUUUUUGUAUCCUAAAAUUGAGGUAUUAAUAACGCCACCUACUUAUAGUACACCUUAUUAUUAAUAUGGUGAUAUUAAAAUGAUUGUGAGAGUGCGACAAUAAAAACAACAACAAUAAUAAUGAGAAAUUAUUGCAACGACUACCCGAAUAUUGAUAAAGUGGAUCAACCAUUAAAUAUAUCUAACCCAAAAUAAAUUAAUGUUGCAUGUGAGCAAUCCUAAAAGCCCAAAAAAAUUAGAUAUUGAGAAAAUGUAACAUUAAUAGCAAUAAUGCUUUAAAAUAUUGUUACCUAUGACUUAUGGGUAAUAAGAAUUUGGAAUACUUGUCAAAGGGGGAUGCUUAGAGUGUGCCUUGAAAAUAUGUGUGGUACAAUUAAAUAAAUGUAGUAACAAGAAACACAAAGGAAAAGAAUUGUCACUACUUUUGAUAAACCUAAUUUAAGAAUAACAUAAUAUUAUACACACAUAUUCAUAGCUUGUGGUCCAAAAAUUAGGUAUCAAUAAAUCAUAAGAUUAAUGUUGUCAAAUGCUACCUAUGAUUCCUAUAACUUGGAAUAUUUAUGUUUGGCCCCCUUAUCAUUACUAUGAGCAGGUGUAGCAGUAAUUUAGUGUCUUUUUCAAUUUCAGAAAUAGCUUAAAUAGUUGUUCUUUCUUUUUUUUCUUUUUUUUUUUAAAUCAAAUUUUGGUAAAUAGGUAGUAUUGAUAGUAUGAAAAAUUUUACAACUCUUCAUAUAGUUUUUUUGGAUAAGUUUUAAGAUUAGAUUUUUGUGGGAAAAAAGGAAAAAAUAACAAUUGUUAUUAGAACCUUGUUGAAUUGGGUCCCAUCAAUAAUCAAUAAAAAAUAAAAUGCUCAACAAAAGGAAAAAGGACCGGGCCAAGAUGCAAAGCCCAAGAAAAUGGCAGGGCAGUUAAUAAUUGGGCCUCUUUUGAAAUAGGCCUGGAUCGGAGCACACGCGCCGUGAAGGAGAGUGGGGAAAGUCCCACCAAAAUCACGAAAAAACUCAUAUUAUAGAGGGUUUCACGUGUGUUUGUUAACCUGAGCUUGUCGGUCAAACUGGUUUCAGGAGAAAAAAAAAUUAAAAUUAAAAUUAAAAUAAUUUCUUUUUUAAAAACAAAUAAAUUAAAGGACUGUUUGGGACUCUGUUUAUUUUAAUGAGAGAAGGGAUAGAAUCUCUAUAAAGACUCUUUCCACUGCUCUAAUCAUCCCAGACUCCCCCUCCUUCUCUCUCUGCUUUCUCUCUCUAGAUGGAGCUGGAGCUGAGCCUGGGCGAUGCUUCUUCGAAGCCCUUUGCUUUCAUGGAGAAGGCUCACCGUCAGGUUGCCAACAAGGGUUUAGGGUUUAGCAUGGGUUUAGGGCUGGGUUCUGCUGGAAGAGACCAGGAAGAACAGAAAAUCCAUGAAGUGGCUGAUGAUGACGACGACGACGACGAUGGAGAAGACGACGAUGAUGGAAGGGACCAAAGGCCCUCCAUGGGUCUGCCUCUUCAGCUCGAUCUUCUUCCUCUCGCUCCAGUUCCAAGGAAUCAAGCUUCGCACCAGGGCCUGACAUGGCCGUCUGACAACGGUAAUCACACCCACAAGGCCUAGAAAUCAGAAGAUUCAGACGGGGAUUUUUCCUGGGUUUUCUUUCUUUUUAUUUUUUUGUGGGAUUUUUAUGUGUUUCCUGUGGUGGGUUUAGGGAGCUCCGAGGCGGGCUCGUCCGGAAACGUGGGGCUACCGGCGAGGGGGCUUGACGUGAACAGGCUGCCGUCUACGGCGGUGACGGCGGCGGCGGGGGAGGAGGUGGAGGACGGGGCGGCGGCGGAGGUGGAAUCGUCUCCGAAUAGUGCAGCGUCGUCUUUUCAGAUGGAUUUCUGCAUUUACAGAGGCGGAAAUGGCGGAACCAAGAGGGACUUCGAAAGUGGUGAGGCGGAGAGAACUUCUUCCAGAGCCAGCGACGAAGACGAUAACGGCCUCACCAGAAAAAAGCUCCGUCUCUCCAAAGAACAGUCCGCUUUCCUCGAAGAAAGCUUCAAAGAACACAACACCCUCAAUCCUGUAAGCAUCUCUACUGAUAAUCAUUUCGCAAUCGAAACAGCACACUAUUAAUGGUGAUUUUGACGAUAAUAACUUUCUCAAUAUCCAUACAGAAACAGAAGCUGGCGCUUGCAAAGCAGUUGAACCUGCGGCCACGGCAAGUGGAAGUUUGGUUUCAGAAUAGAAGAGCAAGGUGGGUGCAAAACCACUAUUAUCAAGCAAAUGGGAUUGCUUUUCAUUUUCCAUUUUUUUUUCAUUAACCAAACGGGGUUUGGGUUUGGCUUCCAUUACAGGACGAAGUUGAAGCAGACGGAAGUGGACUGCGAGUAUCUGAAGAGGUGCUGCGAGACACUGACAGAAGAAAACAGAAGACUCCACAAGGAGCUUCAAGAGCUGAGGGCUCUCAAGACUUCCAACCCAUUCUACAUGCAGCUCCCCGCCACCACCCUCACCAUGUGCCCCUCCUGUGAGCGGGUCGCCGCCACCUCCACCGCCCCCUCGGCCGCCGCGUCCACCGCCACCACCGCCACAGACCCCUCCACCACCACCACCACCACCGCCAACAGACCCAGAUUCUACCCUUUCUCACAUCAGCCUCCUGGAGCUUCAUGAAUGGUAGUGGGUUGAUCAUCAUCAUCUGUACAUACUUCUCAAAGUCUCUGUUUUCUAGGGGUUGCUGAAGAUGGGGUUGUUUGAUAUUGGAGUUUCUGAAAUUGGUUUGUUCAUUUUGGAUCAUGUGGGGAUACAGAGGUGCCAGACACAAAAGUAUGGAUCUAGGAUAGACGAAGACAAUUUUUUUUCUUUUUCCUUUUUUCUUUUUUCACUUUCUAGGAAAGUAAAAUUGGGAAAGAAAAUACAACGGGAAAUAUUUGUUGACAAUUAAAUUAUUAUAUAUGAUAUAAAUAUAUGAAUUUAAGCAUAUAGUGUUGAUUGGUGUUCGUGUUUUUGUGGUGUCUCCUUUUCUUUUAUACCAAAUGAUUCACCCAAACACCAUUCAUUAAAGGGGAGACAUUUGUAAUUUCAUAUGAGCAUGUUCAAGUACAUCCCCCGCGUGAGGGGUCAUGUGACUCUUACCUUUUUAUAAAAAAAUAAAAUAAAAAUUUUAGACAACAUUAAAACAAUAAAGCAUGGAGGUCCAUGAUGGUAUCUGUCACAUGGGCUUGGCAGAUUUGUUUACAUUUAUACCAUUCUUUUUUUUUAUAAAUAUUUUAUUUAUUUAUUUAUUUAUUUUUUCAAAAUUGGCUCUCUCAUGGCAUGGGGGGUCGCACAAGAAAACACAUGCAAGGAAUUCAAAGGGCAUGAUUUGAAAAAAAAUAAUAAUAAUGAAGGGGGGAAGCAAGGAUGGACCCAUUUGAAAAUCCUUAUUGGGAAUUAUAAGGUAAAAGGACAAGACCUAAUCACCCAAAUGGAAAGUUCAACUCCCAUUAUUAUAUGCCACCCAAUGAUUUGUGUCUAUCUCACUGAUUGCAUAAGCAUCUUCAAAUAAAUUGAUUAAUUCUUUUCUUUUAAGAGACACCCAUAAUGUGAAUACGAAUUAACACCCAAGUGAGAAGACCUUCUCUCUCCAAUUAGACUUUUAACCAUUUUCAAAGAUUGUGAUGGACCAAGGAGUUGGUAGUCUUCUUUUUUAUUUGGUGAAGGAGAUUUCCUAUGUAAAACCCGUUUAGUGGGGUUUCCACCUUUUAGAGAUUUGGAGUUGAUGGGCACCCUAUAAUAAUAUGCCCUAAGGCCCCUAACCUCUAACCUCACCUCUCUUUUUCCAAGCAAUUAUCAUGUGAAAAGCAAAACCCCAACCUAGAGGACACCAUCCCUUUGAUUUGUAUGUAAUGUUGAAGGGACUUUUCCUUUGUCAUACCCAUUGUUAUUUGUAUCUAAUUUUUUUUUUAUUUUUUUACUUUGAUUAAUAACUUAUUAUAAUAAGAAAACCAAGUAGGUAGGUUAACAUGAAAUAGACACCUACAUUUAAUUUUUGGAUUAAUUAUGAUUAGAUAAGCAACCAACUCUAAAUAGUUUUUCUAAUCAUAUAAACAUGUGUUUUCGGGCAAUUAAGCAUCAUAAUCAUGACAAGAUUCAAACACAAGUCAAAUUUUGUUUCUCUUUCCCUUGUAUUAAGCUUAAGCUAAACCACCCCCCUAAUGGCUUUUCAUGAGCCCUUUUUAAGAUUUAGGCUAGGUUCUUGACAUGAGUGAUGGGAUAAGAUGAUGGCCACAACCCUUUUGAAAACUCAACCCCCAAAAUCCAAAAACACCUUGAAUGUCAAUAUUGCAUGCUCAAAAUCUUUGAGAAGUCAAGAAAAUCAUUAAUAUCAACAAAACAUUUGCAUACAAUUCAAUGGAUUCCAACAAUUCCAUCAUUAGGGUAAAAUACUUUAUUUAUUUUUUAAAAAAAGGGAAAAUUGUUUCAAAAAAAAAUAAAAAUGGAGGGGGGCAAGAUCAUGUGAUUUAUGUGUGAAAUGGCCCACAUGGGUGGUGCCAUUUUCUACACGCAAGGUGUAAUGAUUUGGAAUUGAAGAGUUGAAAUUAGAAAAAAAUUAAAUGCCCCUUUGACCAUAAGGAAAAAUCUUUCAAACCCCAUUCUUAAAAAUCAUUGUGGGUGAGAAUUUGGGAUUGUAACAGACAACUUAGAAUUUAGAAAAAGGAAAAUUUGUAGAAAAGUAGAGGUAGUUGGUGGGUGGUGGUGCUAUUUUGAUGUAUAUGAUUAGUAUAUAAUUAUUUUAUGAUUUGAACAAAAAGUUGGAAAAUUUUUUCUUAGGAUUUUAGUAUGUGACAUUACUUUAUUUCUUCAAUUUUGGCUUUCCCAUUUGUAAUCUAUGAAUGCUGUGCCAUAUUUUUUGAGUCCAUAAAGUCAAAAAAAUGACCAUAUUGGCAUUAGGAAAUUGACGAAGUUUAUUUGCUUUUGUGGUGUUGGGUUGACUCAUAUCCCAAAAUACUUUGUUUUUGGGUUGACAAGGGCAAAUGGGUUUGAAGAUAAAAUUAUAAAAUCCAUAGUCUUUAUCUUAGAUUUGACUAAUAAUGAUAAGAAAAUAUGGGAAAAAAAACAAAAACUUAUAGAUCAAAGACACUAGGGCUAAUGGGUCAAAAUGAGACUUGGUAUUCCAAGUAUAAAAUACAUUUUCUUUUGACAUCGUGGACACUGAAAUGGUGAUUCAUGAUCAUCCAUCUUUGGAGUGAGUCAAACUUCUCAAAGAAUCAUUUGGAAUUUUCAAAGGACAUUUAGCAUCGGGGUUGUUUGGAACGCAAGAAAUGUAAACAUUUUCCAAGGAAAUGGAAGCUAGAAGCAAAACGUGGGUAUUGGAGAGAGAGAGAGAGAGAGAGAGAGAGCCUUUGGUUCAAUUUUCAAAAGGAAUAAGGUGGCUGUUGAAGGCACAUUCAAGGUUCAAGGUAUGGUUUUGGGUGAGAAAAAAAUGGUUAAAGAUGGCAAAGAGUAAAGGGUCAUCGUUCAACCCCUUGAUUGACUAUACCAAUGGGUUUGGUCCCCAUGACCCAUCAUCUACAACCUUUAAUUCACAUUGUGACUUUCUUUCCGCUUGCAUGUGGUUCAAUAAAUACAUAAAAUGAUUUAAUUCAUAUGAUAUUUUUAGAUUUACACAUAAACUUAAUAAAUAAAUGAAUCAACGAAAAAUUUAAAAAAAAAAAAAUGGGUCAUGAAUUAUCAUAAACCAAUGGAUUUGGUCCCAAGACCCAUCUACAAAAUCAAGUUUCCAUGUGAAUAUCGACUUGCACCCGACUCAAUAACGACAUCAAAAGACAAAAUCCGCAUGCCAAUUUUUGUCUUGCACGGAAGUUCUAUAAAUGGAUACGAUCGAUAAAAACGACAAAUAAACAUAUGCUUGAAACACAUGAACUUCGUGGCUCAUGAACCGCUAUAAAUCAAUGGGUUUGGUCCCAAUGCUCCAUCUACAAACUUUAGUUUCAUGUUUUGGAUUUGCACGUGGAAACGACUUAGUCUGUCUACAAACUUACAUUUGUUAUGUGACUUUUUGCAUGUGAAUUUAAUAAAUAAAUGAAAUGACUUGCAUGUCACCCCAAUGAGCAGGAAAGAUAAAUUUAUAUGAUAAAAAAAAAAAAAAAAAAAGUUAGAAGCCAUCCAAAUCCAAACAGACCCCAUGAACAUGUCAUGCCAGCUUUACAUUUGUUAAAGCCAUAACACAAACAAAAUGCCCCAUAUUGACUUCUUCACUCCAAUCAGCAUGAAGAAUGAUUGAGACCCAUUAUUUAAUUCAUAUUGGUAACCAUUCAUGUCUAGUGGGUUUGAAUUUUCAGUGAUCAAGACAUACGGAUGCAAGGAACAAUUAUAUAGAAACUUCAUGAGCAAUAAGAAACACAGUAAAGUACUAGCGUAGUAAGAAUUUAGCUUAAAAUCAGACAAGACUUGUUCCACAAAUAACUUUUAUGGCACUCUACAUGGAAACUCGGUGAUUCUAAUGGGAAAUGGGUGGUAAUUCAGUACAUAGGAACCCUAGAAUUGUCAUCAAAGUCAGAACUGACAGCCCCCGUGACUCAACCUUUGUCAAAACCUAUUACUAUACUCUGAUCUUUACAUGAGAAAAGGCAACAUGAUUCUCCAUCUGUUUAAUGGUUGCAGAAUUAUGUAAACGACAAGAUCUCAAUGGCAUAAACCAAGAUUCAACGAUUUAGAAGUCAAGUUAUUCAUGGAAGAACUAACCAUUCUGUCUGUCCUUUCCUCUGGUUGGUGUACCAAUCCAGUAACUCCACAGCAACUUCAUAACCCACCAAAUGUGAGUGCUGCCCCCUUUUCAGAUAAACUCAGAGCAUCACCAUGCUUUGGCAUGAUAACGUGAGGGAGCUCAAUAUCCACAGGAUGUGAAAUCGUUAGGCGUUUGUCAGUUUCCAGCACCUGUAUCAUUUCUGAACCGUUCUACAGGUGGGGGAAGGAGAAGAGCAAGCCUAGUUUUGUAUCUUGCAAUUCGUUUUAAUCGUUGUUCCCUUAAUCUGCAGGCAAUACAAGAAUGUCGGUAGAUUAACAUUUGCACCUUAGCUUAUGGCCACGUAUGGAAAAUCAGAGGCUUGAAAUACUCAACAGUUUACAAUCUAUAUUUUCGGUGUAAUAUAUUGACAAAUAUAUCAAUUUACCUAAAAGGAAAUCAAUGAUCCCUGACAGAUGAGAUAAAAGCACCAAGUGGUAAAAGAGAGACUUACCGUGCCCGAACCUUUUUAGCACGCUUGAUAUGCCUUUGUAACAGAUCUUGUGGAAGUAAGUUCUCAACAGACCCCUCAUCCUGAAAGCAGAUGCAGGCCAAAUCAAGCUACUUCUUCAACCAAAUGGCACAUAGAAACUAGAAGAAGAGGUGGGUAGGCAGGUAGAUAGAUAUGGAUUAAAAUAUCAAAACUGAAAAGAGAUCACCAGAAUUCAAUUCCUCUGCUUCUUGAAAAUCUCAAAUUGAAUAAGAUAACCAUUCAAAAUCAAACAUAUCUUCUAUUAUAAGCUAGAGAUUCUCAGUGAUCCAUUUGAUGAUCUAAAGAUGACCACAGAAAGUAUGCUUCAACCAUUAAUCAAGGAUGCAACCACAACUACAUUGCUGCAACUAUGAUGUGAUAUACAACUUCACUUUUAUUUUUCUUAUUAAUUUGAAAGUAUAUAGAAUAUUAAAGGUUCACCAGUCUGCAGAUGAAGGACAAGUGACCAUCUUUGAUAACAAAAUGCAAGAAAUGCAAUUGAAACUGGUUGUUCUGAAAUCAUGCAAGUAGAAAUGAGGCAUGGCCACUCUUAAAGUGCAUGAAGCAAAACUGUUGUUUGGGGUCACAGAUUGUGUCUUAGUCUACAACACAUAUCUUAUAGCUUAGUAAUUUCAUAUGAUUAUCCUAGUUUUAAAUGAUCAUAUGAUAUUAUAUGUUUAAUCUAUGAAAUAGAUGGGGUUUCUAGAAACAGAAACAGAAACAGAAAAGAAUGAUUUAGCUUCAGGGUUUAGGGUUGGGCCAAUACCACACUCCACUUAGUAAUUUCUGUCCAAAGCAAAGAAUCUUCCACUAAAGCAAUGACCAAUAGUUUUAAACGGCACACUUAAAAAGUGCCUAGCCUCAAGGCACAAACACUCCCUAGUUAUAGUGUCUUGCUUGCCAAAACAUGUGCCUUGUUGAAAAGGCGCCCUUGCCUACUUUACUUUUCCUUUUUAAACACCUUUUAUUCUUGAAAUUUCGAACUGUAUAUUAAAAUUUAUAAAGUUUAUUACUUUUUGCUAAAUACUUCUUUUAAAUGUUUGGAAUCUUAAAUUUGUUAUUUAUUGGAUUAGAUGUUGGAUCAUAUUUUAUAAAACUGAUAUGCAUCUUAGCUCAAGUCUCUCUUCACUUAGGCACCUACCUUGCGACCUACCUUGCAUUGCGCCUUAUGCCUAAGUUAUAGGAGACUUUUGUGCCUGGCGCCUCUUAAAAGUAUGCAUUGCCCCCAUAAUCAUGGAAUAUGGGUAAGGCAACUUGUGGAUGACGCCAUUAUCUGGUUAAAACUAUAUCAAAAGUGAGGAUAAUAUGUCAAUGCCCCCAUAAUCAUGGAAUAUGGAUAAGGAAACUUGUAGAUGAUGCCAUUUUCUGGUUAAAACUAUAUCAAAAGUGAGGAUAAUAUGUCUUAGAGUUCCAAACCAUAAUACACAAAAAUGGAGUUGUACAGACAGACAUCAAUGUCUAAAAAGCACCAAAAAAAAACAGGUCUCGAGGAUAAAUUAGUUGUUUGCUCACAAGAAUUUCAAUCACAUUCCUGUCUAUUUAAGUUCCCAAUUCCUUUGAGCAAUGUUCAAAUGCACAAGUAAUAAAGUAAAAAAAAUAUAUAUAUACACAGCAACCAUAUAAUAACAAAACAAAUGCAAUUGCCCUCCAUUCACUGUAAGCAUGGCUAGCCUCAGGACAUGAAUUAAACAUACAUUUCUAUCACUAGACAGUUCUAUAAAAAUUUUAGAACAAUGGAAUUAAGAGGCAACUGAGUUUUGUGUGAGAAAGGGCACUGGAAACCUUGCUUUGUUCAAAAUUCCCGAGAUUGGGAGUUGGAUAGUGUUGUUUGUCCAUUAAGGAGACCUCAUGAGGAGCCAUGGCCUAUAGAUGGAGAUAAUAAGCUAUUGUGGUAGAGCUUCACCAGACAGAAUUUUCUGUUAAGUCUUUCUACGUGACUUCGGAGUUAUUGGAUGAUGAAGCCUUCUUUCCAACAAAAGAAGUGUGGGUUUCCUAGCCCUCCCAAAGGUGGAAUUUUGCCCUUGGGAAGUGGUAUGGGGCUAAAAUUUGACCUCAGAUCAGCUCAAAAGAAGAGGGUCAUUAACACAUUAUUGUCUAUGCGAAAGAAAAGAGGAAUCAACUAAUCAUCUUCUUAUCCAUAGUGGGAAAGCAAGGAGUUUGUGAGCUUUGUUCUCAUUUGGGGUUUCAUGGGUGCUCGCUGGUACAACAAAAGAAAUUCUGUUGUCUAAGCAUGGAACAUUUGUGGGAGAAAAGAGGGGAAAAGCUUGAAGAACCACCCCAUUUUGCCUUUCUUGGACUAUUUGGCAGGACUUUUGAAGGGGUGGAGUAGUUGGUUCAGUCCCUUACAGCCUCUCUCGUUUCAACCAUGUUUGUUUGGUGUUAUUAGUUCAUAGAUGUCAGCCCCUUAUCCUUGCUUGAUUUAAUAGAUUAGUUGGGGACUCCUUAGGCUAUGUUUGGUUCCUGGAAAUUACUAAGGAAAGAAAAAAAAUGUUAAGAAAAAAAUAUUUUUUCAUGUUUGAUGUUACUUUGGCAAAUAAGAAAGAAAGGCAAAUAUAAUUAAAAUUAUUAAGAAAUUUGUAUGUUUUUUAAUUAUUUAAUCUUUACAUAGAAGAUUUAAAUGUGAACAAAAAUAUGAAGUGGUACAUAAAAAUAAUUCAUUAACUUUAAAUCUAUUUUUUAUUUUCCUUCACUUUUUUUUUCUUUUUUUUUUUUCUACUUUUCCUUUCUAUUUUCUUUCCCUCACAUUUCCCUCAAACUUUUUGGAAACCAAACAUAGCCUUAGUGUUUUGAGGCCUUGUGGGUGUUUUUUUCUCACAUGUUAGCAUGUACAUGGUUUAUGCCCCCCUCCCACCCACCCCGCCUCUUUUUUUUAAGUUAGGUGCUUGCCUAAUAAAUUUUGCUUUGCCUAUCAACCUUCUUAAUAUAAUUUUGAAGUGACUAUAUAGAUAGUUUCUAGCCUUGUGUUUCCAUGUUUUAAAUAUCACUUAAAUAAUAAUAACAGCAACAAAAAUGAUAACGAUAGGAUGACAAUGGCAGUAGCAAAUAAAGGACAAUGAUGAUAAAUUAACCAACCUCUUCUUCCUCGUCAUCCUCCUUUUUCUUCGGCAAAUUGGGAUCUGUCACAGGUAUAGGCAAAGGUCUUGGAAGAGACUUCAUACUAUCAUAAUGUUGUGGCUGCCAAAAAGAUAAAAUAUUAGAAAAGCAUGGGGAGUGGGAUGGGACCUACUACACAAACCCAAAGCAAAAGAUUCUAUAGAUUCCUCAAUUACAUAGUUGUCAUAAUUAGAAAUUAGAAAUGAAUUCAUGGAAAUUAUAGAAAUACUUACUAAUGGUACCAACGAGCACAGAAGCAAAUGGCAGAAUCUUACAAUUUUUUUACAUUAUUUUGCCCAAAAUAUCACAAAAGAAAGGACUAUAAACGUAUCCUGACUUUUUUUUAUGAAAGAAAAAAAAAAAACUAAAUCCACGUUGUUAGGUGUUGCCCAAUACUGAUAACAAGUUUUACUUUAACUUUCUGCCUUCAUAUCAGACAAGUACAACUUUCUUUUGCUCCCAUAUAAAAAGUGACAUUUCCAGAACUGUGUAAGAAUACACUUUACCAUGAACCAACUAUAUUUUGGUGGUUGCAUUACCAUGAAUAAUUCAGGAGCCAUUGUGACAUUUGACACUCCUAAAAUCUUUGAUUCAUUGACAAAGGAUAGUGUAUUAUGCAGAAGCCACAAUAUCCACAAAAAAGCAAGGACAAGCACACACAAAGAAACAAGAUUUAUGUUGUUCAGCAGUGUUCCAAUGUUGCUGAAAGAGAGGGCAUCAAACCCACAAAAGUGCCCUCAUUUUUUGGGAGGAAAAAACAAGAUUAAUUUUUUAUCCUUGUUCGUAGCCUGACACAUGCAAAUUUCACUUGCCUCGAACAUACCUUAACCCAACAUCUAUCACCUUUUUAGAGAUAACGACAUUUCUAGAACGAUGAAAGGAUACACCUUUUCCAUCUAACUGACUACAUACUGGUACAGCACCACCCCCGCCCUGCUGAAAAUGUUAAAAAAAAAUAAAAAUUCUACUUCUCACAAGGGGAAUCGAAGACCUAGUGUUUGCCCCCCCUAAAAAGUGUCAUGGCUGGUCAUUGGGUUAAAGCCCACAUCUUUUGUGAUUGGCAAACUUUACAUAUGUUUUAGAAGUUGCCCCCCGAACUAAAAUCCUGGCUACUGUAUUGGUGGUUAAGGAGGGUCGGAUGGGGGGGGGGGAAACACUAAAGAAUUUUGCAUUAUCAGCAAUAGUCCUGGAGCAAUUGUGACAUUUGAUAAUCCUAAAAUCUUGAUUCAUUUACAAAGGGUUGUGUAUUAUGCACAAACCACAAUAUUAAAAAAAAAGCACUUAAGUAACUAAAGCACAAUCACACACAAAAACACAAGAUAUGCAUGGUUUAAGAUGAAAUCAAUUAGAGUUAUGAAAGGUUGCAACCUCUCAAGUCUCAACCCAAAAACUCCAUGAAGAAAAUGCAAUCCUAAUCUUGCUCCAACAUAGCAUUUGUUACUGUUGAAUAUAAUGUAUGUAUAGUAUACUAUCUUUCCUUGUUAAUAUAGGUCACAUGUAUGGUAGUUAGGACUCCUAGCCUUGUAUAUAUAUAUCUCUCAAUUGUAAGUAGAAAUACAAGAAUGAGAAUAAGGUUUUUCUCCUCUCUCUCUCUCUCUCUCAACAUGGUAUCAGAGCCAAAGGAGAAAACCUAAUUUUUUCGGUUUAUCCGUGUACUCAAUUCCGGCGAACCGUCUAGUGACCGUGUUUCACUCCGGUCCCCUCAUCCUCUUCCCGAACCACCCCGGACUACCUCAUCGCCGUCGGAUCUCCACCACGCCGGCAACCUUUUCCGGCGAAAUUUUCCGGCGACCUCCUUUCCGGGAACCGACCACAUAUUCUGAAACGCCGGAGGCUGAUCUACACGCCAGUGGAAACCCCAUCGGCAACCGGAAUCUCACGCGCCCCCACGCGCCUCUCUUCUCCUCCGGACUGUCACCCACGCGCCGGCGCGUGACGGCGCGUGGCUCACUUUCCGGCCACUUCCGACACCUCUCCAGGCUCGUCCGGCGCCGUCUUGGACUUCUAUCCCUCCGGCAGUCCUCCCCGAGCCCUGCAUCUCCAUUUUGUCCCUGUUUUUGGCUUCCUUGCCAUUCCAGCCACCUCCGACAGGGCUCCCCCUCCAUCUCCGAGGCUUAGGUGCUGCUCCUCUUCCUCUCCAGGCACGUCACGACCGUUUUUCUCCAUUGAUUGCACCUCUCACAGCCGUGGUUUCACUGUUUUUCUCUCUCCGCCGAAAUCUGAACCCAUCUUAGGGCUCUCUUCGAUCCAAAUACGUGAAUAUGACCACCAAAAAUCAGAUCUUUACCUUUGUUCUCUCUGGAUCUCCUCUGAUUACCUCAGAGAAAUUGGUUGGCAAUGAGAAUUAUCUCUCCUGGUCUGCCUCUGUCGAACUUUGGUUUAUGGGUCAAGGAUAUGAGGAUCACUUGGUUACCCAGGAGGCAGAUAUCCCUGAGGUUGACCGCGUACAGUGGAGGAAGAUAGAUGCACAGUUAUGUGGUGUAUUAUGGCAAUCGGUUGAUCCCAGGAUUCUUCUUCAUCUUCAGGCCUAUAAAACUUGUUUUAAAUUUUGGACUCAGGCCAAAGGAUUAUACACGAAUGAUAUCCAGCGUCUUUAUAAGGUGGCUUCUGCUAUUGUCCAUCUCAGCCAACAGGACUUGGAUCUAUCUACUUAUAUUGGUCAGAUUGCCUCUCUUAAGGAGCAGUUCUUGACUGUGAUGCCUCUUACUCCUGAUGUUGGGGCCCAACAAACACAGCUUGACAAGUUCUUCAUGGUCCUUACUCUUAUUGGUCUCCGUCCGGAUCUUGAGCCUAUUCGUGAUCAGAUUCUUGGUAGUUCAUCAGUUCCGUCCUUGGAUGAUGUGUUUGCUCGCCUCCUCCGUAUCUCGUCCACUCAGACUUUGCCAUCUGAUAGCGCUUCAGAUUCUUCUGUGUUAGUUUCUCAAACUACCUCUCGAGGAGGACGCAGUGGUACCCGAGGUAGAGGCCAACGUCCUCAUUGCACCUAUUGCAAUAAACUUGGCCACACUCGCGAUCGUUGCUAUCAGUUACAUGGAAGACCUCCUCGCACUGCCCAUAUGGCCCAGUCCUCUGAUUCUCCGCUACCUCAACCUCCGAGCUCCUCCGCAUCUCAAACAUCUCAGGCUUCUAUUGCCUCUGUUGCCCAGCCUGGUAAUGCCUCUGCCUGCCUUACCCACACAUCUUCUCUUGGACCCUGGAUUCUAGAUUCUGGAGCAUCUGAUCACCUAUCUGGUAAUAAGGAUCUUUUCUCCUCUAUUACUACUACCUCUGAUUUACCUACUGUUACCUUAGCUAAUGGUUCUCAAACUGUGGCUAAAGGUAUUGGUUUGGCCCUUCCUCUGCCUUCUCUACCUCUGACUUCUGUCCUUUAUACUCCUGAAUGUCCUUUUAAUCUUAUUUCCAUCAGCAAACUCACUCGUACUCUUAAUUGCUCUAUUACCUUUUCUGAUAAAUUUGUGACCUUGCAGGACCGGAGUACAGGGAAGACGAUUGGCAUAGGACGUGAGUCUCAAGGCCUCUAUCACCUCACCUCAGAUUCAUCUCCUACAGUUUGCAUUUCCACUGAUGCUCCUCUCCUCAUUCACAAUCGUCUGGGCCACCCUAGUCUCUCCAAGUUCGAGAAGAUGGUUCCUCGUUUUUCCACUUUGUCGUCGCUUCCGUGUGAGUCAUGUCAGCUUGGGAAACAUACUCGUGUCUCGUUCCCAAAGCGUUUGAAUAAUCGAGCAAAGUCUCCUUUUGAGCUUGUCCACACUGAUGUUUGGGGUCCUUGUCGGACUGCGUCUACUUUAGGAUUUCAGUAUUUUGUCACUUUCAUUGAUGACUAUUCUCGAUGUACUUGGUUAUUUUUAAUGAAAAAUCGAGCUGAGUUAUUCUCUAUUUUCCAGAAAUUUUAUACUGAAAUCCAAACCCAGUUCAAUAUUUCUAUUCGUGUGUUACGCAGUGACAAUGCCAGGGAAUAUUUUUCAGCCCAAUUUACUUCGUUUAUGUCUCAUCAUGGGAUUCUUCAUCAGUCUUCUUGUGCUCAUACUCCUUAACAAAAUGGGGUAGCUGAACGCAAGAAUCGACAUCUUGUUGAGACAGCUCGUACUCUCUUCCUCCAUAGUCACGUUCCUUUUCGCUUUUGGGGGGACGUUGUUCUUACCACUUGUUAUUUGAUUAAUCGUAUGCCCUCCUCUGUCUUACACGAUCAGAUUCCUCACUCCCUUCUUUUUCCUGACCAACCACUUUAUUUCCUUCCUCCUCGUGUCUUUGGUUGUACUUGCUUUGUUCAUAUUCUCACUCCUGGACAGGACAAGCUUUCCGCCAAAGCCAUGAAGUGCCUCUUCUUGGGAUAUUCCAGACUUCAGAAGGGUUAUCGUUGUUAUUCCCUUGAGACUCAUCGGUACUUUAUCUCCGCUGAUGUCACCUUCUUUGAGGACUCACCAUUCUUUUCCACCACUUCUGAGUCUCUUCCUGUUUCUGAAGUCUUACCCAUUCCCAUUGUCUCCCCACCUGAUGCUAUGCCCCCUCGACCACUUCAGGUUUAUCAUCGUCGCCCUCGUGUCGUUGCUCCUCUCCCUUUUCCUGAGGCACCUGCUGACUCACUUCUUAUCCCUUCGGCUUCACCUGCCCCGGCUUUGCCUUCUCCUAAUGACUUACCCAUUGCUGUUCGGAAAGGUACUCGCUCUACUCGUAAUCCUCAUCCUAUUUACAAUUUUUUGAGUUAUCAUCGAUUAUCUUCACCCUAUUCUGCCUUUGUUUCUGCUAUAUCCUCUGUUUCUCUUCCAAAGAGCACCCAAGAAGCUCUUUCCCAUCCAGGCUGGCGACAGGCAAUGGUGGAUGAAAUGACUGCUCUGCACUCUAAUGGCACUUGGGAUCUUGUUGUUUUACCCUCUGGUAAAUCCACAGUUGGUUGUCGUUGGGUCUAUGCAGUUAAGGUUGGUCCUGAUGGUCAGGUUGAUCGCCUUAAGGCCCGCUUAGUUGCUAAAGGCUAUACUCAAGUUUAUGGUUCUGAUUAUGGUGACACAUUCUCCCCUGUUGCCAAGAUUGCUUCUGUCCGCUUGCUUCUCUCCAUGGCUGCUAUGUGUUCUUGGCCUCUUUAUCAGUUGGAUAUUAAAAAUGCCUUCCUUCAUGGUGAUCUUGCCGAGGAAGUUUAUAUGAAGCAACCUCCUGGUUUUGUUGCUCAGGGGAAGUCUGGUUUAGUGUGCAGGUUACGCCGUUCUCUAUAUGGCUUGAAACAAUCUCCUCGAGCAUGGUUUAGCCGUUUUAGUUCUGUUGUUCAAGAGUUUGGCAUGCUUCGCAGUACAGCAGACCAUUCAGUUUUUUAUCAUCAUAACUCCUUGGGGCAGUGUAUUUAUCUGGUUGUUUAUGUGGACGACAUCGUCAUUACAGGCAGUGAUCAGGAUGGUAUUCAGAAACUAAAGCAACAUCUUUUUACCCACUUUCAGACCAAAGACUUGGGGAAACUCAAGUAUUUCUUGGGAAUUGAGAUAGCUCAAUCCAGUUCUGGUGUGGUCCUUUCCCAAAGGAAGUAUGCUUUAGACAUCCUGGAAGAAACCGGUAUGUUAGACUGUAAACCGGUAGACACACCUAUGGAUCCGAAUGUCAAACUUGUACCAGGACAGGGGGAGCCUUUAGGAGACCCCGGGAGAUAUCGACGGCUCGUAGGUAAAUUGAACUAUCUCACCAUUACUCGUCCAGACAUUUCCUUUCCUGUGAGUGUUGUUAGUCAAUUCCUACAGUCACCAUGUGAUAGCCAUUGGGAUGCCAUAAUCCGUAUUCUUCGAUAUAUCAAAAGUACACCAGGCCAAGGUGUAUUGUACGAGAACAGAGGUCAUACUCAAGUUGUUGGUUACACAGAUGCAGAUUGGGCUGGCUCACCCACAGAUAGACGUUCCACUUCAGGGUACUGUGUUUUUAUUGGAGGUAAUCUAAUAUCUUGGAAGAGUAAGAAACAAGAUGUAGUGGCCAGAUCUAGCGCUGAAGCCGAGUAUCGAGCUAUGGCUUUGGCAACAUGUGAACUCAUAUGGUUGAGACAUCUUCUUCAGGAGUUGAGAUUUGGAAAGGAUGAACAGAUGAAACUCAUCUGUGAUAACCAGACCGCAUUACAUAUUGCAUCCAAUCCAGUCUUUCAUGAAAGGAUCAAGCAUAUUGAAGUUGACUGUCAUUUCAUUAGAGAGAAGAUCGCAUCAGGAUGUGUUGCUACAAGUUUUGUCAAUUCAAAUGAUCAACUAGCAGACAUCUUCACUAAAUCUCUCAGAGGUCCUAGGAUUAAAUAUAUUUGUAACAAGCUUGGUGCAUAUGACGUAUAUGCUCCAGCUUGAGGGGGAGUGUUGAAUAUAAUGUAUGUAUAGUAUACUAUCUUUCCUUGUUAAUAUAGGUCACAUGUAUGGUAGUUAGGACUCCUAGCCUUAUAUAUAUAUAUCUCUCAAUUGUAAGUAGAAAUACAAGAAUGAGAAUAAGGUUUUUCUCCUCUCUCUCUCUCUCUCUCAACAGUUACUAUACAACAAAUGCAACCCUAAAAUACUCACAAAGAAAUUCACUGUUCAGCCUCUGCCCAUUAAAGAGCCUUGUGCAGUGCUACAUACAAGUAAACCUGAAGAAAAAUCAUGACAUGGGUGUCAUUUUUUUGUUUUACAUUUUAUUUUUUUCUUAAAGCACCCUGACCUUUAUAUUAUUUAAUAUGAAGAAACUUGUUUUCCCUGAAAUAAUCACCACAUGUUUCUACUUUUUCUUCAAACCUCUUGCUUCAGUUUCACAUUAUGGUUUUAUUGUUGGUUCAGGAACUUAUGCUGGAGGAGUAGAUGCAGAAAUUAAUGGAUGUGGAGAGAGAGAGAGAGUACUAUUUUAAUUUCAAUACAUCUUAAAUUUUUAUCUCUUGUAACUGGAAACCUUAGAUGGCUUUCGGGGGCAAAUUUGAUGAUUGAAACUAGAUUGUCUUAAAUAGCAUCAUGAAAGAGUAGAUGCAUUCUUAACAUAAAAGGCAAUCAAACAACAUGGCAUGCUAAAACUUAUAAAUAAAAGACACUGUCCGGUCAACAUGAUGCAAACCUGAGUUUCUUCAGAAAAACCAUUCCUUAACCAAGAUCGACAAAGUGCAUAAAUUGAAGCACCAUCUGAUAUUCUGACCUAAAAACCAAAACCAAAUGUAACAAACACCAGCAUAAGGAUCAUACCCACAGUCAAAAUAUAAAUUCAAAGUAAUAGUGCAUAACCAAUGAAAAUUUGGAUAGCACAUCAAUGGUUCAGCAUGCUUCGAACAUCAAUGCAUAAAAUUAUUUCCUUUUUUUGUCUUUGAUCCUAGGACAGGGAGACUAGUUCAUUCCAGAAGCACCAUUUAUCCACUGAAAUUAAUGAAGUAACAUAGGGCCCAUUUGAAUAUAAUUCUUAAAACAUUUUCUUAUUAUACACACAUAUCUCAAACUUGAGACCUCCAAUUAACAAGAGCUCUUAUAUCGUGUUAAGUUACCAACUUUCUUAAAAGCUUAAUCUAUUCAAAUUUAGGCUCACAAUGCAUAUGAUGCUCUAACAGUAUUAUUUUUAAAAUAAGGAAAAAAAGAGGACAUUCAUUUGGAGUAUGAGUUUUUUUUUCUUUUAACAAAAUGAAAAUAUCAAAAGCAUGACGAUCAUAAAAAAAUUUAAAAAAAAUUCUAAAACAGAAGUGGAAAACAAUAAAUGAUACCAAGAAAACCUAAAGGGUUCAACAUGUUUAAACCAUCGACACUUCAAAUUGUGGCAGUCAUUUUUUCAAUCUAUUUGUUCUUUUAGGUGGGUGGGUUCUUUCCCCAUUUCUUAUGGGUGGGUAUUUAGGGGUGUUCUAAAAGGACUGUUCAAUACAUAAUAUAGCGCAUGCAAGCCUUUCUCUCCCCUUGGUAUUCUAAACCUAUCAGAUGCUCUAGAAGAUAUGUGCUUUAUUGAAUCUUGCAAAGUUAACACUAUUUAUCGGAAAAUUAUUUCAAAUUUUCAUGUGCUUUUGUGCAGUUUGUGCUAGUACAACUUUGAAGCAUUGCUCCAUACAAUAUAUAGGAGACUCUUAUAUGCAAGUGCACUGGGCCACUGGCACCUCUGUCCAGCACCAUGGAGAUUCUUACAGCUUCUGAUAUGUUUAUUCCAAUUUUUCUCUUGUGACAAGGCCUUCUCCAUGUUUUAUUCCUUUUCCAUCUUUGACUAAAUUUUCUCUUAAUCAAAAUAAAAAAAGGAAGAAAUUGGCAUUAUAUUGCAAAUCUAGAGACCAUGACUUCAUCAAGAUGUCAUAGGGAUACAAACAGAAAGCAUCAAAUUCUUGCUUACUUUUCGGUCUCUAACAGUCACAAAAGUAUCAUCUCGAUUUCUAUCCCUACAAAAUGCAUAAGAGGAGAACUAUGUUAGUUCACAACACAACCAAAUGAAUAAUAAAUGGAGAGAAAAAAAAGGAAAUGGAAGGGAAUAGAUGAUAAAUUAUAUACAACACUACCUUGAGUCUUUAUAGCCAUUACAAUCAGAAACUGAUGGUGGAGAUGGAGCAACCUACCACAAGUAAACAAAAGUCUUAUGAACUCACUGAACUCGAUAUGAAAUAUGAGCAUAAUGAGGUAUCACUCAUAGGAUCAAAUUAAACAUAAUCAAUAAUCUUGGUCCAAAGACAUUGCAAGAAAGAUAUGCAGAAGUUAACAUUUAUGAAUUGGCUUCAGAAAAGGAAGCAAUGGUUGGGACAUUUUUUGUCAUACAGCUCUCAUCUAAAAAUAGUGUCUAAGUCAAAAACAGUCAUAGAAAUAAAACUAAUAGAGAGAUGAUACAAAUAAAUCAUUCAUCAAUUCAAAUCCAAUGCAGGUCAGAGAUAUUCGUAAGCAACUGCAGCAGUUCACAUAUUUCCAUCAUUAAUUGACAUAGAUUUUUAAUCCUUUUAAUGAUGUAUGUAUGAUACGAGGAGAUACAAUGCUUUUUUUUUUUUUUUUUGAUCAGAAACGAAGAAAAAUAUAUUAAUAGAAGAAAAGAUACAAAAGAAAGAGAAGAAAACAAGGGAAGGAUGAGAGGUCCUUCCUACACAAACUGAACAAAAGAGAAAACUCCCAACAAUAGAAAUCUAAAAACAAAGAGAAACCCCAACAUUCUCAAACUUUAAUAGAAGAAAAGAUACAGGAGAAAGAAAAGAUACAAUUGAAUUGCCUCUGCAUUUGCUGGCGGACCAUAAUAGUGGACAGAAAGCGUUGUAUCUCUUUGUUGGGGUUUCAUGCGCAAUAUUAUGUGUCAACUUAAAGACCUCAAAAAGUAAUGUUUUGGAUAAGAAAGGGAUUUAAAAUCAUAUAAAAUUUAGAACCUUGACUCCAAUUAAAUUUAUCGCUGAGGUAUUAAAAUCAGGUUUCUAGGUAGUUGGCAUGAUUGAACUUUGAAGCCAUACAAACAAGUUUCUAGAUUUUGAUUUCCUUGGUUAACUAUUGCAAAAAUAGACAACUUCAUAAAAAAUAAUAAUAAAUACAAAUAAAGGAACAAAGUGUUAAUCCCUUAAGUUUAUAGGGCAACUAAACUUUAAAUAUUUAUCUCAAGGUUCUAAAUUAAGUUUACCGACAAUAAUGAAGGGAUGGCAUCAACAAGCCUGAAAUGUGGCACUUGGGCAGGCCCAAGAAGCCAAAUGGGUUGGGAUCUAAGACCAAACCCACAUCCACCUGCCAGCACUGCAAGGGGAGGCAAGCAAUGGAAGCUUAAGCUCUCUGCCAAGCUCAAGAGUGAGGCGUUCUAUGGUGGCAUAAGAAAGGGUUUACACUCUUGUAAAGAAAUUGGGAACCAUCUCUAGAAGGAAAACUGUUUAGAUGAUAAGAGGGAUGCCACAAUGGCCAUUUGUGACACCUGUUCUCAGUGCUUAACCACAUAACCACAAGGUUAAUUCAAGUAACCCUAGCUGAAAGAGAGGUAUAAAAGCCCAUCACUCUUUCUAAAAAAGGGUCUACACAAAUACCUUGGCAUUUGCUUUUCCUAAAAAAACCCUCUUCUUCUCUCUUGCAUAAGAGUGUUAAUACCAAGGUUCCUCCAGUGUGUUCUUUCAGGUUGAUAGCGAGUUAAGUACUAGCUGACCCCUCCAAUUCCAGAUUCUGCAGUCCUCAGUUUCUGAGUCUCCACAAUUAUGAAUACGUCUUUUAGUUUACUAUUUUUUAUAUUCUUUUUGCCUUCGAAUGGACCAAAGGGUAUCUUUAUAUCCAUAUGUGAAAUUUCAGUUUUCAACAACAAUUCCCAACAUGUUUCUAAAAGUUCAUCAAUUUAUGACUAAAUUUAAAAGCAAGGAAAAUAUUUAUUCCAUAAAAAUAAAACCUUCUAACUCCAUCUUGAACAAAAUCUAUCACAUCAUUACAUACCACCCAUGGACCGGAAAAAUGAUAGCAUUUCAUUAUUCACAUAAUUAUGUAUGGAAAUGUUCACAAAAAUCAAAUUAGCCUAAUUUAAACCCCAUCCAUAACAAGACAUAAAAACAGAUCGAUUCAGUACACGCUAACCAUUAUUAAAGCAACCAAAAAACCAACCAAUCAAACAAAAAUUACUCUACAAAGAACACAUAAUCUGACCCUUCAGGCACAGGUUGCUAAAUAUUCCUAACUCAUGCUUAAAUAAAAACCUCUAGCUUCAUCAUGAACAAAGGUUUUGUGUCCGUUACCUAACAUCGUUGAGUCAAUAUCAGCAUCCUCUAUUCACAGAAUCAUAUCAUUGUACUCACACAAAUCAAAUUAGCACAAUAUAAAAUUAAAAUAAAUUCCGACGGAAAGGAUAAAAGAAAGAAAAUUCAGUCGAAAAAAACCCAUUACCAAAGCAACCAAAGAAGAACGAAUCAAAAAUGCAUUCCUCAAAAUAAGAAAAUUAACGCAGAAUUUGAACCUUGGGGUGUGCGGAAACCGGAAUUCCCUUGAUGGGAGCCGAACCAGGAACCGCAGUCACACCUACGUGAGAAGGGAGCAAGUGGGGCAUUCUCAUGGAGUGCACAGGGUAGUUGAGGUCCGACUGGGGAAACCCAAAAGGGCGAGCCUGGUGGGAGAAGGCGGCGGCGGCGGUGGCUGCUGAUCGAGGAGGGAAGGCGGCACCGGGGUUGGCAACUGUGACGGUGUUGUGAUCGGAGGAUUGGGGGCGUAGGGGUUUGGGGAUGAAGCCGCGCCCGGAGGAGGCGACCGGGUAGAGAAUCCCCUGUGGAGGGUCAUGGGGUUUGGCCAAUUGAGGGUUUGGGACUCUGAUUGUGGAGUAUGGAAGUGGGUGGGGGGGUUGGCCUACGGGGUAUCGGACUAUGGCCAUCGGAUCCACGGUUAGUGGUGCCGCUGGGGGUGGGAGUGUAGAGAAUGAACGGAUGGUGGCCGUGGUCAUGGCAGUGGUGGCGGUGGUCGUGGAAGUGGUAGCAGUGGUGGCGGCGGGCGUAGCGGCGGUGGUGGGAGGAUCUGGAGAAGCCAUGGGCAGUGUGGUGGCGGGGGAUUUCGGGGGAGUCUUGGGUUUCGAUUUUGAAAUUCUGAUGCCAAAACUGUUUUAUAUGUCACCCCCAAAACGGUGUCGUUUUUCUCCUCCCAAAUUAACUCCCUUGAUUUAUUAAAAUAGUGGAAUAUUUGAAUAUAUAUAUAUAUAUAUAUAUAUAUAUUCCUCAUUUUAUCUUUUGAAUAAAGAUUAUUUUAAAUAUUUGAAUGGAAUAUUACUAAAGAUAUUAAUACAUUAAAAAGUAUUGAGAAAAUGGAAAUAAAAUAAAAUCAAAAUACUUUAGAACUUAUAUAUUAUUCUAUUCUAAUUCUUUGUAUUAAAUUUUAAAAUUUAAUAUUGGAUUAUGCCUGGUUGCAAGAAAAUUCCAAAAAAAAAAAAAUGCUAAAGAAAUUAAUUUUCCAUUCUUUUGUUUAAAAGAAAAGUUAAAUAUAAUUAAUAUUAAUUAACAAUCUAUAUAUUUAUAAAUUAUUUAAUUUUUAUAAAAAAAAUAAGUAAAAUUCAUUUAAAGAAACAUUUAUAAAAUAAUUUUAAUUUUUUUUUCUUUUUUCUUUUCUGUUUGGAAGGAUUUCAAAAUUAAUUUUUGAAAUUUAUCCAUUUCUAAUUGUUUUUAAAAAUAAAUUUUAUUUGAUGACUAAAAUUUAAAUUCUUUUUUUUUAAAUUUACUCUUCAUGGUAUUUUCAAAUAUUCUUUCAUAUUCUAAAUUAUUUCUCAAAAUACUACAAAAGAAUUGAAAAUACCUUAAAUCUGUUUUAAUAAAAUAUUUUUCAGAAUAAAUUAUAUUUUUAAUAAAAAUUCCGUUAAACAUGUUUUUAAAAUUUUUUAAAAUAAUUUUCAGAUAAAAUUUGUGUUUUUCACUAAACAUUAUUGCCAAAAAAAAUGGUAACUGCAUAAUAACAAAAGAAUUAUAUGUCAUAAGCUUAAUUUUUUCUAAUAAAGAUGGGAUUUUCAAUUUAUUUUCUUUGCUAAUAGAAUGAUUAAGAUUUGAUUUUCCGACUGAGAUUUGAUGGGAUAUGUUGGUAAUUGGACACCAUAGAAAAUUUCGACCUAUUAUUUUUAUUAUUAAUCAUAAAGUGAUAAAUAUUAUUUGUAUCACCAAGAAAAGACUCAAAAUUGUAUUGGGAUUGCUCCUCCCUCUGCUUCAAUUGACUUUCUCAUAGGUGGUAGUUGACCAGGGAGAGUGUUUUUCUCUCAAUUCCCAGAUCAAAUCCCACAAAGAAAGAUGAUUUUUGUAGGUGGGUCGGUGGUGGAUCCAUCUGAGACUCGAUCAUCUCCGUCUCAGGUACCUUCUCUUUUGUUUUUUGUUUUUUUUGUUUUUUCUCUAAACAUGAUUUUGUAUGAAUCAUGGUGUCAUCUACAAAAACCCCAACUUCAUUAUUUUGUUCAAUUCCAAUUCAAGAACCCCGAUUGCUUGAUGGGUUAUUCUGCUGUGAAGGUGUUUGUGAAAAUGUCGCUCUGAGCUAUGAAAGGAAGGUGUUUAAGUUUGAUAUCCGAUGCUUUCACAACCCUAUUGCUUCUAUUAGAAUUAUCUUUUUCCAUGUCAUGGUUUGAUUUGUUACAUAUGGGUUUUGGCUUAUGAUUCUAUCUGCAAAGGGUAGGGGUGGGCACAUAUUGAAGGUUAUUAUGUUGGUUCUGCAUGUGGAUGUUUUUGCCUAUUGAUUUCUCUUGCUGGCUUGUGUCUCUAAGGGUUUCUGAGAAUCUUGGAUCAUGGGUUUUCUUCCUGAGUGGAAUUUGUAUGAUCACUUGUGGUGUUGAGUAGCUCACAGACUCGAAAACUUGUGCUUAUCAACAGGCAGGUGAUCUUCUGAUGGCCUUGUGGGAACACCCUGUUCUGGUAUCUUCUUCACAUUCAUUCAAAGCUAUCCCAGAGAGGAAGUUUUCAGUUUCCGAGCAGGCUGGUUCAGAGGGAUCAAGUCAGAGCAAAUGUGUUUACGUGUUCCAGAGAGAGUAUGCAACUGUUGACCCUGAGCUCGUGGAUGUAAGUUUGUUUUGGUAUUUGCUUAGGCAAGUAGUUACAAAUAUAUCCUCAAGAGGGUUUUUCUAAUUUCAUAGGUGAUGGUAUUUCCUAAGCCUUCUAUGUAAGCUUGUUUGCCUGGCUAAAUAUGUGGUAUCAUCCUUAUUUUGGAUUAGUUCUCGAUCUUCCUAUCAUCAUCAGUCCUGGAUAGUCCAGCAGACACCAAAAUUUUAAAGGGACUUGUACACUGCAUGUCAUAUAUGGGCACAUUCUCGAGCAUAACACUGUUGAGGAUCUCAUGCACUUGAGGUAGUCCACAUCUUUGCAGGAUAGCAUAUUAGCUAGGGAUUCUUGUGUUACAUAUCACUACAUGAAACUGCAUGACAUGAACUGCUGUUGUUAUUUAAGCCCGGGUUGUCAGCUGCCUGAUGUUUUUAUAAAAAGAUGGGAUGAAAUGCAUUUCUUGUUGGAUGGCUGUCAUCAUAUUUUGUAAAAUCUAGGGGUAUCCUUUUGAUAUUCCAGUUUUGUGGAUUUGCAUACUCUCCUUCCCUCCCCAUUUUCUUUUGCAUUGUGUCUCUAGAAAAUGAAAAAGUGUCUGAAACAUUUCCUUUCUUUUAACCUUUAGAAGCAAAAGGAACCAGUUAUUGCCCAACAGCAAAGAGAUUUUGACUCUGUUUGGAAACUGUUCUUAAAAGCAGUUUUCUAACUUAGAAAACACAUUUGGCAAACUUUGAUAGAAAACAAUUUUUGAAAAUUUGUUCUAAAAGUAGCUUGUUUUUUAAAAUAAAUUUUAGAUAUUUUCAAUUGUUUUUGUCGGUGCUUGAGUAACAAUUGAAAAUAUGGAGAAUACUUUUAAAACUUUUGCAUUGUAUAUAAGUAUGUUGUAUAUCUCCAUAGAGAAUAAGCUGAGAAAGCUGGUUUUCAUAUUUAAGUUCCCAAACAGAAUUUUGUUCCUAAAAACAAUUAAGGAUUGUUUUUCUCAAAAAAAUGUUCCCAAAUAGGCCCUUUACUACUGAACCUUCAUUAUGCAAUAGCAUCCAGAAAGUAUACUCCCAAUUCAGUACCCUCACAACAAUGUUUUCUCUUUUCUUUGCUAUAUGUUUGAGACUCUGAAUUGACAUUCUCAACAUUGAAUUCACACUGAGAGUUUGUUACUUUAUUUCCCAAUUCCCUUUCACCUAUGAAUUCUUUGUUUUUUUUCUUCACCUUGAAAAGUUGGUUGGCACCGAUGAAGCAACAACUUGUGUGGGCAUUGUGAUCCGAAACCGAAAAUCUGGAAUGUAAGAAUCCACUAUAUCCAGUAGGAUUUGUAAGGAACUUCAGAAUUUGCGUAAUUCUGCAUUUCUGAUUUUGUUUGUUUGGGACCUUUGAUUUCAGGAUCUCUGUUGCCCAUAUGGAUUCUCCCACUGUUGUUGAUGGAGGCCUCACCCAGAUGUUAUCACUUGUUCACAAUCACGGCUUUGAUGCCGAGUUGGAUGUACUCUUCUUUUUCUCCUAAAACUUUGUCACUUUAGGGAUAAUCUUGAUUGAUCGACUUCUGACACUUCUAUGUGGGUUUAAACUUAUUCAAAACUAUCAAAUGCAGGUGCAUCUUAUUGGUGGUUUCGACGAUUCCUCACCUAAAGUCUGGCCCAUGAUCCUCAACUUUGUGUUUGAUUUUCCAGAGCUCUAGUUACCAGCUCAGAGGCAGAAUAAUAGUUGAAUGUAUUGAAUUUUUGAUGCAGCAGGCCAGCCAUAAAACUAGAUCAAAAAGGCAGGAAAAAUGGGAUGGUUAUUCCCUUCCUUUGUGCAUCAAAAUUAUUGAUGCUUUGUGGAGAAGCCGAGAAAAUUUUCACAUUCAAACUCUGUGUGUUCUUGGGCACAACACCAGAAGGGAUUCUGAAGGAAAUGGAUACCCCAUUUUCAAUGGGUUCUUGGUCAGUUUCAAACUCAAAUGACUUCCUUUUCCUUUUCUGCUAUCUGUGUUCAAACCUUUUAAAGAUGACUUUGAGAUUUUUGUCAAACUUAUUGUUUGGAUGAUAUUCCACUGGGAUUCAUGGAAGGAAUCUUGAUUGAAACAAUGUCUUAGAGGGAGUUCUUCUAAUGAUUUCCAAGCUGAUCAAAUUUUAAUUUUCAUAUUCCAUGUAAACAUUUGAAGUUAAACACAUACACAUGCAUUGAUUGUAUGCACUAUAAAUCAUAUUUGACAAAAGAAAAAUAUGAAAAUAGUUUCCUAUUGAGAAUAGAAAAUAGUUUUUUAACUUAGAAACCGAGGUUAGUAAACUUUUGGCAAAACACAACAUUUUUAGAAUUUGUUCUAAAACCAUGUUAUUUUUAGAGCAAAUUUAAGGUGUUUCAGUUUUUUUUUUUUCUGGAAUCUUCUUAGCAAUAAUUGAAAAUACAAAGAACAUCUUCAUAAAGAAUAAGUAGUGUGUUUUCAAACAGAAUUUCAUUGCAUGAAUCUUAAGUUAUUGAUAUGGAAUCUGUUAUGAGAAAUUGCAUCUCUUUGGUUGUAUCAUAUGAUUUCUUUUAUUGAAUAUGCAGCACACUUUAAAAAAAUGAAGUUAUUUCCAAUGAUCCAACACCUUCCAGAAUACAAAAACGAAGAUUCAACCACAAUUUUAAUGUGUUGAUGUUACCAUUGAGAGAUGAGAUGUUUCAUUUCUUGAAUCUUUGGAAUUCGUUUCUAUGUUUGAAGCAUUUUAAACUUGUUUUCAGGCAGAAACUUCCACCGGGCGGAUCCUCCCAGCAAGCUUUGACAGAACUACCAGAUGCCCAGAAGAAAUCGUCCGGCGGAUUCGAGUGUCUGUCUCCUACGAGGAUCCCAGUUGGGAUGGCCGGUUACUUGAGACAUAUGAUACUCGGACCGACCAAUUCAAAAUUGCGCCCUGCACCUGGUAAAUGCUGUUGCUUCAUACUUUCAGCUUCCAUGGGUUGGGCCAACUGAACUGUGGGUUAACUUCUUUUUGUUUAGGACCAUGCGCCAGUUACAUAUUGCUAUGACACUACAACAUCUUUCUGAUUCAGAAAUUCUCCAGACAUGCUCGACUUCACCUUCUGCAGAGGCCCCGGAUUUCUUGGACAAUAUCAGAAGGUAAAUAAAGGUUGAAAUAGAACAUGGAUUUCAUAGUCCUCAAGCUACCCCCAGAUUACAGUGAUUGAUGGCAAGCACUUAUCAUCCUGUAGGUGUUGGGACUACUUGAUUCAUCGACCAGACUGGAGGGAGACCUUUCCCAUGAAGCAGCCUCGCGUAUUCAAGAGGACUGCAGGAGGCUGGGCAAGAUGCACACAGGGUUCUUCCAUAAACCACCCUGCUCGGGUUGAUUACUUGGUAAAUUAAUUUCCAUGGCAGGAAGACAUUAGGGCUAAGUGCAACUGGUUUCAUCGUACACAACAGCUUGAGCAGAGAUGGCACUGAGAUUUGGUUGUUCACUAAUAGGUCUUACUUCUUGGCAUCAACUUUGCCAAGGGAAAAUUCGACUUGUUGGGUCGUUGUACUCGUUAUUCCCACUCCGACUAAGUUAACAUAUUUAAUUGAAAACCUAUUUAAAAAAACUGUUUUUGGGGAAAUGUUUGGAACGGUUUCAAAAAUACGACUAAAAUUUUGAAUUAUUUAAACACAUGUCCCAAAGCAUGCUGAUACAAAAAUCAAAACUUUUACUAAAUCCUGUGAGUUUCAUUCAUGGGGUCCUCAACCUCAAACCACCACCUACACCAAAAGAGAAAACAAAGGCACAAAGGCGCAUAAUGGACAUGGCUAUAAGGUUAUGAGGGUAAGAAUAAAACAGAAUCCAACCAAGAAUGGAGUGGAGAGGUGCUUGGGAAUGUGCGGGAGUGAAGCUCCUCUCUGCUCCAAAACGGGAGGGAUAUGCAACCAAUCUGAUUGGUCCAUUGAAGAUCCGUGGCCAUCCAAAUGCCAAACAUCCGAACCACUAGCAUACAAAAAUCCUCAUCAUCCCAAGCAUGUAUGCGUCCAAAAUAUCAUCCAUGCCUAAAUCUCUUUUAUGUGCCCAUUGUAUGGGGAAGAUUAAUUAAUUUAGCAAAUGAAUGAUUAAUUUAGCAAGCAUGUUAUGUCACAAUAUCUCACUGGAGGAAAGAGGGGCCGAUAGAACAGAAACCAAACUAUCAUACCAUAUUGUUGAGAAAUACCUCAUCUCUUUCUUGAAGGUGAUGAAAUAGUUUAAAGGAAAUGCAAAUACCUAAGCCACUGGCUUCCGCAACUCAUUAGCUCCAUGAGCGAAAUGGCAUCUGUCUCCAAAGGUGCAUGAACCCUUGGCAAAGUUGUCACACAUCUUUGUCUUGAAAUUGUUUGCUGAAGCGGCUGAACCUGUAGGAUUUUUAGCGUGACCUGCGGCAGAGCCAAUGUUGAAGAUGAGUUCCCGUACCAUUGCACUAGCCUGUUUGAUCUGAUCAAAGGUUCCUUCGAGUUCAAUGUUUCGUUGAUUUGGGUCUGAUUCAUGCUCCUUUAUGGAAAGCUUGACACCAGUGAGGCGACAAAUCUGCUUUGAGUUUACCCCACCUUUUCCAAUGAUGGCUCCUGCAAGAGAUGCAUCCACACUGAUCUUGGCAGUAGCUGAUGCACCAAAGCUGGCUGCAGCAGCCAGGCCUGGUGGCGGUGCCUCAAGCCGUCCAGCUAACCUGCCACCCAUUGGUCCCAUUGCUCUGGGAUCUUCAUGGGUUGGGACAAUUGGCCUGCCAAGCUCCAAUUCACCAUGAGCAAAAUGGCAUUUGUCACCAAACUUACAUCCCUCUGGAGUGUUGAAUUUGUUGCAGAUCCGAGUUUUGACAGUAGGAGGGCCAUCAGGAAUUGUUGGUGGGGCCAUGGGAUUUCUCGCAAUGGGAGGCAUAGCAGGAUUUCCACCCAGGUUUGUCAUCUGUGUCACUGCACUAUAGCCACCAGGAACGUAAUGCAGGAAGUGACAUCCCUCACCAAACGGGCAUCCAGAAGUGCUGCAUCCAAAAUCACACGAAUAAACUACAAUAAGUGACACAGAGAAAAGAAAACUGAUUAUUGUACUGAAAGGGAAGCCUUAUCUCACAAAUCACAAGGCACAGCAGAAUCAUUACUUUUAACUAGAUCAUAAGUCACUUGAAAUCAUGCUUGUAAAAUGCCAGAAAUAAAUGUCUUAAAGAAAAAUUAUCACAGCAGCUAACAAAACCCAAAUUGUAACAAAAAAGGAUGACAAUUGAAUCGACACAAGACAUUGAAUAAGUCCAUUUGGUUUUACAGCCACAGAAAUUGAUACUCCAAUACAGGAAUAGCAAAAUAUGAAGAAAUAAAAUGGAGAUCACAUUGGUUAAUCCCUAAAAAGCCCAAUUUAGGGGCAAGUGAUCAGAAGAACAAUUGGUUUAAGCACUAAAAAACAGAAUGGCUGUAUCAAAUCCCAAAAAAGAAAGGGCUCGUUCAUUCUCUAGUCUUCAAUGGGAAACCCAAACAUCCCAAAAGGAAACAAAGUGGUUUGAGAAUUUCAAAAAUUUUUAGAACAGCAAAUUACAAUAACAUUGGAAGUUGUCAAACUUCGAAAGUUACAAAAAAUAGUCCCAAAAAGUAAGAACACAAACAGAAACCAGACAAACACAAAACUUCAUGCCUUUCUAGCUUACCCACUCCAAUCAUUUGAUUUAUUUCCUCAAAUUUCUACAAUUGUUUCUUUUUGUCAUGCUAUAAAGUGAAAUCACAUGCCUUGAAAGGAUGAUACUACUCUUAUUGCAUGGGUACUAGUAAAAAAGAAAAAUUGGUGGCAAUACAAAUAUAGUAGUCACUCCUUUUCCAUCAAUUCAACUAUAUUUAAUAAAUUACCCCUGUUAUAUUAUACGGUGUCAAUAGAAAAAGUUUAAACCACUUUCUUUUGGAAAUAUAAAAAAUAAAUGUCACUGCAUAGAAAUAACUAAGGGUUAAGAUGUAAAUGACUUGAGAGUAUGAAAGGAGAUAAUCCCACAAGCCAUUGAACUUCAAUUCAGGAAGGGCAAUGAAGGAAGUGAGGGACACAAUAUAAAUCUGACUCACCAUAAGAUUCUUGCUAUAAAGAGGGAAGGACAUAACAAAAGAUGUAGGCAAGGCACAUAUAUGCAUAUCACAUGUCAACUCAGAUCAUUGCUCACUUUCCAUUUUUAAUGUUUGGACUCCCAAAAAAAGAAAUGCCUGGACAUAUUUUUAAAAAAUAAAUAUAUGCUAACCCUAAAUGUUAACAGUUCUCACUGUCACUCCAUAUUCAGAGAUACCUUCUACAUCAGUAUACCCACAGUAAAGUUCAAAGUGACACCCUCAACAUAACCCAUUUGCCCUGUUUUGUUUUUGUCUUCACAGAAUGAUUUUUUCAUUUUAUUUUUUUUUAAAAGGAGUUAUCAGGUGAUAUAAUAAAAGGUGAUUAUUGCAGCUGAACUGAUUAUUAACCUCCACUCUUUUGUUGCUGCAACACCAAUCAGGAUUUGAUUACAUCCAUAGUUGAUUUAGAAUGCUUAUAUUCCCUUUGAGAUGAAUUAAUUUCAUGCAAAAACAGUACAUCUGUGCUCUAGCAUCAGGACCAAGGAUGCUUACAAUCAAAAUGAAUAGGGAACUAAAACCAAUUGACUAAAAUUCAACAACUAAUCAGAAACAAUGUAAUCUACUUGUAUAUCAAUGCAAGAACAGAUGCAAUGGUUAGACUUAAAACAAUGAUGACAGGAGCACAUUCUUGAUCAACUGCUUAUAGAUUAAAUAUUGCAUUAUGAUCAAUGAUUAGACUUAAAACAAUGAUGAAAGGAGCACAUUCUUGAUCAACUGCUUAUAGAUUAAAUAUUGCAUUACAAAUGGGCAUAUAUCACAGUUGUAAAGACAUCAUCUCUGUUAAAAUUUGGAUUUACAUAUUUAUAGUUGAAAAAAUAUAACCUGUAUCACAAUCUAGAUGCCAAAGUCAUAACCUGGAUCACAACAGUCAUGCUUGUGAAACUGCUGUGCAAAAUUUUAUUAAAAGUUAGAAGCAUUUGCAAUAUAAAAUUUAAAAUUUAGAGUAUUUAUCUUGGGUAGGUUAAGAUUAGAACCUGAAAAACUUGGUGCAUGGCUUCGAUUUGCUUCCUAUACCAGUUGAAAAGGACUCCGUUUCUGUGGCAAAAAAUUAAUUACUUUGUUUCAGUUACGAUUUCAGUGAGUUUUGGAUCUGCGAACUUUUCAAGAAAAUCCAGGACUCAUAUACCAUUAUUUAUUGUAAUUAAGUUACCAAAGACUAAGAAUUCAUUAACUAGAAAUUACAAGAUCACCAAUCCCAAGCAGGCAAUGAAUCAAUAAAGUGCUAAGUUUAGUAUUGUACAUCACCCUUGUGCAAGUGAAAUUUACCUGUGUCAUUGCAUGCAAUUAUAUGAUUAUAAAAACAAAAAUCAAAGCAAACAGGUAUUAAGGUAUCCAAAUAAGUUGACAAACCUAUAACAAAAACUAAUGGAACCACCAAUAUGUCUUAGUGGAGUACGUAUACGAUGCUUGUCAAUUGGAGUCUCAUGAUAAUACCACUAAAAGGCAGGCACCAAUUAGCACAGCUUUGAACAGUUCUAAAGCACUUCCAGGCUGCCAAAAUGCACAGAAUGUGCUUGGAUAGAACUUAAAAGCUCCUUUCAGCAAAGAUGGGAAAAAGCUUUUGUAGAACAAAAGGUUUCUAAAAAUGUGUUGUGUUUUGGAUGGCAACCUCGACUCAACAUGGCUCUUCUCAAAGAAGCACUUUGCUAGAGGAUAGAGCUUCAACAAAUGAGCCAAAAUAUAUAAGCAACAUACAUUACAAUUCCCCACACACAAAAUGAAGGGAAAAAAAGGGCAAAGAAAACAAACAGAUAUCAAUAUUACCAAAAAUCGAAUGGAAUCAAGCAAUGAAAAAAAAAAGAGAAAGGAAAGAUCUCCUAAACAUAAAUGUAAGCAAUGUAGUCAAUAAUCACCUAAAUGAAUUCUCACAUCCAAACAAUUGUCAAACAUAAUCACUUUCUUUGGAACCAGUCAUUGAGGGAAAUGCAUCUUAAAAACUAAUAGAAAAUAAAAGAAAUCGGAUUUCAUUUCCUUUUCCCUUCUGUAAAACUAAUUGUACCUUGACACAUUUUGAUCUUCAUAUUUUGAAAAUUUGAAGGCAUUUACGAAUUGGGAAAGGGAUAGAAAAAAGAUUGUACAGGGAUGUGAAAUAACUAUUGGAAACAAAAACACUCUAUUUGGAACCAAAUAGUUGAGGGAAAGAAAUAGAUAUUUUGUUUAAAGUUGUGAACAAAUAAACUGUAUAUGCUACCAUUUCCUUCUUUCAUAGUAUACUGGACACUAUUUUACAUAUUGUAAAAUAGAUAGAAAAAUACAUGCACAAGUAUAAAAUACACACUGUAUGAAAUAUAUAAUUGAUUUCAUAAAAAUUUGUAAGGAGGCAACUGAACCAAAAGAAAGAGAAAAAAAAAAAACAGGGUGUCAGAUUAAUACUCCACAAAGAGAAGAUCCAUGUUUCAUUAGAUGCAAAAGAAAAGCAAAGGAAAGUUUCUAGUGUUUUAUAUCAACUUCAAAGUACAUCCAAUAGUACAAUAACAUUGUAAGGGGAAAAAAUGAAAAUUUUUCUUCCUUGCAGGCUAAUUAAACUAGCCAAGCACUUAUGAUUUUUUAAUAGCCAAAUAUAGCAUAUAAGGAGCACUAAAAGGGGUAACCCCUAGUGCUUUGGAUGUAACAUAGAUCACCCAUAUAAUGAUAAGCAGAAGAAUCCAAAACAGAGGAUACAACAAUCAGAGGCCAAAACAAAGGCCUUAAACCAUUCUAAAUAUAAGCUUCACUCCCAAGAGAACCCCUAGACUAUGAAAAAGCAAAAACUUGAUAAAAUUUACUUUUAACUCCAACAACUUCAACCCGUCAAAGAUUCUCCAAUUCUGUUCAUUUAUAUUGCAUGGCAUGCCUUAUAUGUGUAUUGUAAAAAUAUUCUUGUACCACAGCACAUAUCAAUGCCGCCUAGUAUUUAUAUCAUAGAAAAUAAGAAAGUCAUAAAAUUUUAACCGAAUUCUUUCAAAGCGCUAUCUUAAUUGUUUUCCAUCCAAAUUCAUUAAUUUUAAAUUAAUAAUGAUCAAUUACUACCCACCAAUCUCCCAUGCCGAUCUAAUGAAUAAACAACAACGUAACAGCUAAAGCAGAUACAAAAUAAAACACUUGAAAAGCAUCUGCAAUCCAGCAAAGAUUCAGCUCCUUCCCACUCAAACAAAAGAUUAAACUGCCUUCACUGAAAUAACGAAGUACGAAUAAAACAUAUACAAAAUCCCACCUCACAAGACAUAACGCACAAACUACAACUCUAUAGUAUGGAUAACCAGAGAAAUCAAUUCUCCGAACUAAACAACAAUUAGAGCAGAAAUGACUGAGAAACAAAAACAACACCCGAUUGGAUCUCACGAAAAAAAAAAGGACGCCAAACAAAGCAGAUUUCAGUACUCUGCUCCACGUUCCCAUCCUCCUCCCAAGAUCCAAACAGAAACAAAGGCAACAGUCUCGAAUUCAACCACCGGAGCUUCUAGGAAGAGAAGGAAAAUAAUAACAAUAAUAAUAAACGAACCUUGCUUGGAUUUCUUGAAGCCUCCGUUGCCGAAAGCGGCGCCGUCCGGACGACCUCUCCUCUUGCCUCCGACCUCCAUUUCAACAAGCUAGAGACUCCAAACCAACAGAAGAUUUCUGAAUCGAGAGAGUGAGAGAGUAAAAACCCUAGGGUUUGAAGAGACGGAGGCGGUAAGACGGAAAAAAAAAGAGUUCGUGAGAGAAAAUAAAAAUAUAUAUCAUAAAAUAAAAAAUUAUAUAUACAUAUAUAUUUAUUAGUUUUUUUAUUUAUUAUUAUAUAGGAUUUGAAAGUUAGGGUUUAAAUUUGGUUUGUAUUUUGAGUUGGCGCCCGUCCAGUUGUGAUGUCACGCAUAUCUAGUUGGUUCUGCCGUUCUGGGCCUAGUAUUUUUGUGGGCUUUGGGCCCACGCUUCAUCAUUAAGGGGCCUUAAUUUGGUUUCUUACACUAAUUUUGAUUAAAACGUUUAAAAUCUUUGGAGCGAAUUCGAGAGGAUUAAAACAUUUUCAAUCCCUCGAUGCAUUUUUUUUUUAAAUUAGGUGUUUGACGUAAUUCUAAAAAUUAUUUUUAAAUAAUUAAAAUAAAUCUUAAAUUUGGUAUUGGUAAGUGAUUCUUCCAAUACUUUUUUAUUAUAUCAUGAAAAAUAUUGUUAAAAAAUAUAUUUUUAUUUUUUAUAUUAAGAGAGAAAUUAUAUUUUCCCCAUCCUUUUUCCAAAAUCAAAAUAGAAUUUAUAGAAAAAAAUUAUAAAAUAAAAGAUAAAUUUUAUUUUAAUAUACAAUAAAAAGUGUAAAAUAAAAUAAAAUAUAAUGAAUUUGAUUAGAAAAUAUUUAUUUUUAUAAAAAGAAAAAGAAAAAUGGCUUUGAAAUAAAAUUUGUUAAAUUUAAAUCUAUAUCUUAUUUUUCUUUAAAAUUUUUCAUUUAUUCGAUUUAUUGUAUUUCAUUGUCCAUAUUCUCUUCAAAAUUUCUAACGUCAAACCAAGACUAAGGUGAUAUUUAUUUUUUUUGCUUAAUUCUAAAUAGAAUCUUAAUGUUUAAUAAUAUUAAAUAUUAGAUUGUUUGUUUUUAUCUUGUUUUAUUUCUAUUAAGGAUUAAAAAAAGUUAAUACGUUCUUUUUUUAUUUAAAAAAAAUUACAUAUUUUGAUUUUUUUACAUAUUUUGAUUUUUUAUUUAACGCUGGCAAAAACAAAUUACUUUAAAAAAACACAAAAAAAAAUAAACACCACCUAAAAAUCUAUCCAAAAAUAAUACUAAUCUUCUAAAUUUUCAGAUUUUACAAAUAUCUUAUAAAACGUGGCUUAUAUAUAUUAAGAUAUGUUUUAAUUUAUUAUAAUAGAUAUAUAUUAAAUUUUAAAAAACAAUAUUUAAAAUUAUAUUAUAAUAAUACCAUUGCUCCAUCCGCCACCGCGAUCAUACAAGAAUGGCGGUUCUACUGUAACAGUUCCAUCUUAUUUGAACCUGUAGUGUGUUAGGGUUUUAGAAGAAGAAGAUGAUGAAAGCUUCAGUUAAGUUUCGAGAAGAUGAGAAAAAACCUUUAUUCAGAGCCAAAGUUGCUCUCAACAUCUUGGGCUUUCCAUUUCGGUACGGCGUCGAAGCCGGAGACGCCACAGACCUGCGUUUUAACCUCUCCACCUUCUUUGAAUCCGGGCCGUUGAUCAAAUUCUCUUACCGCCACAAUGAUUCUCUCACCCCUUUCGCCGUUGCCGUCAAGACCGGAAUCGGCCGCUUCGGGUCCCCGAUCGGGGCUCCCAUAGCCAUGGCUGCUGAGUUCAACCUCCUUGGUACUGGAAGUCCCAGUUUCUUCAUCCAUUUCAGGCCUCAGAUCGGUGAUUUCUCCAUCAAACGAUCUAUGCAGUCGCAGAUCGCUUUGCCGCCUCAGUCUUCGAUUUUCACUCCCAAAUUCAAGGCGCCUGCUGACGGCGCCGAUUUGGAGGUCGAUGGAUCGGUUGACGAUGCAGAACCGCCAGGGGCAACCGGGAAGAGAAUCAGUUUUCCCGUUGGAAAAGUGAUCGAUAGUGUGUUUUCUGGCGUGGAGUUGAGUGCGGGGACUGCUGUACGGUUGAUGAACCGUGCCGUGCUGAAACUCAGGUGGAACCUUAAGUUUCCGGCGGAGUUCAAACCUACCUGCGCCGGAGACAACAUCACGAAUCAGACGGCCGGGAUAUCUGGCGACAAAGCCCCUUUCCUUGUGCUAAGCAAAAUCGGAAUCGAACACGUGGCAGCUGAUAACAGCCCGCACAGCAGCACUGGCGUGGCAGGGACGUGUUUGUCAAUGAAGCGUGAGCUGGACGCUUUACGAGCACAGAACGAGUCAUUGAGAAAAGGAAUAGCCGAGCUCCGGUCAGAAAUCAACGCUGGAAAGUAUUCUCCGGUACAGAUAAUUGGAGGGAAGGCUCCAGGAGACGACGGAGUCACCGGUAAAGAAACUGACGGGAAUGCCACGAGCAGCGCCGGUACGUAACAUCUUUGGGCCUCAUUUCGUGUUUCGGAUUUGCCAAAACUGAUGGGCCUAGGGCCUCAGGCCCAUGUCCAACAUCUCAUGGUCCGAAUUGUGAGAAAAACCGUAAAAACAAUGAAAUCCGAUGGUUGAUUUCAGCAUAAUGCUUCCAAGAUAGAUGUUAGAAAUGGAUCCAAAGUACAAUACAUGUUGAAGUGGCCCAGAUUGCAUGUAUUCAAAUUAUAGAAGAAAGGGUCUCUAGGGCUAGAGAUGUUAGAUUGCUUUGUUAUUUUAGGUUCACUCUUUAUCCAAUGUAUGGGUUGUAAAACUUUGGAGAAAAUGACAAAAAUGUAAGAAUUAGAAAAUAAAGAGCAAAAAUAAAAAAAGAUAGAUGUGAAAAAAUGAAGAAUAAUUCAUUUUUAUAAGUUUCUUCAACUUCAGAGUUUUUAGUAUUUUUUUUUUAUUUUUUACUUUUUUUUAAUAAUAAAUCAAAUAUGAGAAAAAAAAUAUAUUUUUAUUUAUUUCCUUAAUAGUUUCUAAAAAUCAAAUAUAUUCUUAUCGUAUGUUUUGUUCUAGACAAAUUUAGAAGAAAAAAAAAGGAAUAAAAUAUGCAUGAAAAUGGAACAAAGAAAAAAUUAAAUGAAUGUUUUUUUGGUAUUUAUUUUAGAUUCAUUUAAUUUAUUUUUACUCUUUUAUAUUGAUAUUAAAUAAUUUAAAAAUGCAUAAGUUUAUAACCUAUUUCAAUUUCUUUUUUUUUUUAAUUUUUAAAUCAUGUGAGAAAUCAUUUCCAUCGAUAAUUACCUUAAAGACUUUCAACUUUCUUUGGGUUGAACAAACGAAAAAGCCUCAUUUUUCAAUUUGACCAAGUAACAGUCAAAAAUAUUUAAUAUAAUGUAAAAACUUUAUCUUUACUUAUACCAAAAAACCUAUUUUAUAUUUAAAAAAAUUAUAAUUCUAUUAUUAUUUAAAAUAUAUAUAGAACUUUGGCUUCCAUCCAAUUAAUUUUUAAAGUGUAUGAAAGAAAACAAAAGGCUAUUUCAAAAUAAGGAUAAGGGAAAGUGGGGUUGCUUAGGCUUUCCACUCUAACGUUGUUGGGUGUUAUAAAAAUAUUACCUAAAAAAAAAUGAAAACUUAUAUUUAAUUUAGUUAUAGAAAAAAAAUAAAAAUGAAUGUGUUUGUUGUUUUCGUCGGUGUGCUUAGUUGUAUAUAAUUUAUAAGCUGGCAUAGUGCUCGGGCUUGACACCUCUUCUGUGUAGCAAAUAAAACAAAUAAUAUGGUCAAUUCUUGGUGUACUUUUUAGUUAUCGGCUCUGUUUUUAAAUUUCAAAAAAUCCGCUUCAUACAAAAAAGUAUAAUAAAUUUAAAUUAAAAAAAAAGUAGAAUAAAGAUAAAUUUACUUCCACCCAUAUCAUAUGGAACCAACCAUAUGUCUUUCAUGUCAUUUAUAUUAAAAGAUCAAUUUUACAUGCAUGUGUCUUUUGAGAGGAAAUUCUAUGGUCCAAUUUGAUAUCAUAUCUUCAUUCUAAUCGUAGAUUUUUAAAAUUUAAUUCCAUCUAUUGGAGAAAAAAAAAAUCAUAAUGUCAAAGAUUUCCUUAUUUUCAUGUAUAAUUUUAAAGGGAUAAUUUAAUAAUUCAAUGUUUUUUACUAAAUGUAAAAUAAUCUUAUUAUAAACUAAACUAAACAUAAGCGAUUUGAACCCGAGGAUUAUACUAAAUUUUCAAAGUUAAUUUUAACAAGUUUUAUUAAAAUAAAUAAAAUCAAAAUACAAAAUAAUGAAAUUCUAAAUGCGCAUAAUAAUAAAUAACAAGUUAUAAUUAAUUUCUAAGAAAUAAAUAUAUAUAUCUGACAUGUCACCUUUCAUCUUUACAAAGUCUCGCAGGAAUCUCUAAGAAAUUUGAUGGUAUUGGAAAAAGUAUAAAAAGGAAAAGUUAGGUAACUAAAAGGUUGUGCCGUGUAGGAGGAUACACUUGACUUUAGAUUGAAUGAUUGUCUUAUCAAUUAAAACAUCAAACAAAAGAAAUCAAUUUUAAUAAUUUAAUUAUAAUUAUUUAUUUUAAAUUCAGAGGGAAGCAUAACAAUUAAACGAUGAGGUAUUUUUUAUAAUAUUUUUUAAGAUAGUUAAUAAAUAUCAAUUUUCAAAUAGAAUUAUAAAAAAAAACCCUCUAAAAUACCUUGAAUUGAUUCUUAAAAAGGUAACUGUUUUUUCAAAAACAAAAUUAAAAAAAAAAAUUCUUUUAUUAAUCACAUUUUAAGAGGUGAAAAAGUAUUUUUAAAAAUAAGUGAAAUUGUAAUAAUGAAAAAUAUUUCUGAAAAAUCAAUUUUAAGUUGUCAUUCAAAUUACAGAAUAUAAUUUGGUGUUUACAAAAUUAAGAUAAAAUCCUAUAAAUAGACAUGUGGGAUUACCAAAAUAAAACAACAUUUUGUUUUAACGUAGUAGUAAAAUUCAUAUGAUUAAUCCUUACCCGGCCCAUUACGUGAUUUGGUUUCAAUGACAAAAUCCAAUUGGUUCGAGAUUCGGGUCGACUCGGCCUAUCCAGCCCAUUCAAAACCUAACCUUUACCUACCUUACCACGACGACAAAAGAUUGAGGGCCUUUUGGUAAAUUCAGUGAGCGGCGCUCUAUAAAACAUUUGAACGAGGGACAACUAAGGGAAAUUUCACAUUACAUCGAGGGCAAUUACGUAAUUUCAAAAAACUCGCGAUCAGGUCCGUAUAUAUACACGGAACACACCAACGCAAUGAGAGAAGGUUGGAAUUUCCUGCUUGGCUAUCCGGAAAAUAAAAAGAAAAGAAGGUUAAGAUUCUGGGAAAAUUAAAACAAAAACCCUAGGUUUUGAAAAGAAAUGGAGGGAUGAGCAAAAACACACCAAUCAUCAACGUCAGUAACGACGACAACAACAUCAUCAUCGACAUGGCUAGAACAGAGAAAAGAGAUAACGAUACCUGGACGACUUGGGAGGAGCUGUUGCUAGCAUGCGCGGUGAAGCGGCACGGCUUCCAGAACUGGGAUUCAGUUGCCAUGGAAAUACAGACUCGAAGCUCUCUUCCUCACCUUUUGACGACCGCUCAGAACUGUCAGCAGAAAUAUCACGACCUCAAACGUAGAUUCACGGCCACGGCCAAAGACAACGACGCCGAGACCCAAAGCCAAAACCAAGUCCGCGACGAAACCGAUACGAUUCCAUGGUUAGAAGAGUUGAGGAAGCUCCGAGUUGCAGAGCUUAGAAACGAGGUCCAUCGUUCUGAUGUUUCGAUCCUGUAAAGUUCUUUUUCGAUUUAUUUUUUUAUAAUAAUUUUGGAAUGGAAUGAUUUAUCGUGUUCUUUUAGUUAUGGUAUUAGUCCUUGGAUCUGAGAGAUUUAGAUGGAUCUGAUUUUUUUCUACAGUUCGUUGCAGUUGAAGGUGAAGAGAUUAGAAGAGGAGCGGGAGCAGUCCACGAAGGAGAAUGACAACGACGUCGUAAAACCAGAUCUGGACGAUGAGGUAAAGGAGGAGAGAUCUAAAGACGAAGUAAAGGAAGGAGACGAAGUGCCGGAAAAAUCCUCUCCCGAAGGAGACGCCGGAAAGUUGAUCUCCGGCGAGGAAUCCGACCGGGAAAACCGGUCGGUCAACGAGUCGAACUCGACCGGAGUGAAGGGCGAGAAUAUAGAAACCGCUGUGGAAGAGGCAGCGAGAGAACCGGAACCAACAGAGCCCGGUUCGACAAAACCGGAUCCUGUUUCCAGCGAUUCGAAACCGGUCGGAGAAGACUCGUACAAUGGAAGCUCCGAGCCGAACCGGGCCAAAAAAGCCGAUGACUCGUCCGAGUUAAGAGAAUCGGCGGCUCACUCAAAGGACGGGACAAAGGAGAGCAGCGACGUGCAAAGCUCAGCCAGCCUUACGAGAAAGAGGAAGCGUCGCCGCAAAAAGGAAAUCUCCGGCAGUAGCUCCGGCGAUGAGCCGGAGACCGAAGCGGUAUCUCCGGCGACCAAGCGGAUCUGCGUGAAAUCACAGCCAUUGGUUAGCUUUUUGGAGAUUAUCCGGUCGCACAAACACAGCUCCUUGUUCGAGCGCCGGCUCGAAACCCAGGUAUUCGCCAUUAUUUUCUUUUUUCAAUAAACUAACUCAAAAAAGAAAAAAAAAAAAAACCAGAAUCCUCUAAAACGCGUCACAGCCAAACACCCAUCCUAAUCAUCUUUCACAACCAAUCUUCACCGUUCCAUUCCCGGGCCCAGUUCGCAAAUCUUAAUUACCGACUCUGCACAUCUAAAAGAGUCUGAUCUAAAGAACGGAAUGGAGGGUAUAGAUGCGUGAGUGACGUGUACCCGCCAAAUCACAUCCAGUAUUUAUUUAUUUAUUUUAUUUCAAAGGAAUAAAAUAAAAAAUAAAGAUAAAAAUAAAAAUAAAGCAUAAGAGAGUAAAUCCUUGGUUAUAUAGGAGCUCCAUCAGUCAAUGAAAAGCACGUGGCAUCCAUGCAAAGUGAAAUAGAAGAGAAGUCGAUUGUAGCCAGCUACGUUGCUCGACCGUCGGAUAAGAUAAAAAGCAAUCCACCACCGUCGGAUCAUUUUGUGAGGAUAAAAAGCUGAUGUGGUUGUUGAAUUAUGUUGUAGAUGAAAGUAUGCCUUAUUCUCUCCAGAAUUUCCGGAUAUUCUUCUAAUUUAACUCCAAUUUAAAAUAAUAAGGAGAUUUAUUACAUUUAUUACAGGAGACGGAGGUAUACAAAAGCAUUGUUAGGCAGCACGUGGACCUCGAGUCCAUACAGACCAAGCUGGACGAUGGCACUUACUCCUCUUCCCCACGAGCGUUUUACAGAGACCUCCUCCUCCUUUUCACUAACGCCAUUGUCUUUUUUCCCAAGGCUUCGGCGGAGGCCCUGGCUGCCGGAGAACUGCGGGCAAUGGUCUUGAAUGAAGUUCGCAAGCAGCAACCCCCGGCGCCCGAACAUCUCCUACUGCCCCAACCCAAACCGGAGCUUGAAAGAUCGGAUUCCUUGCUUGCGAAGCAAAAGUCGUCCGCUCCCAUUAUUGUCUGCCGCAAACGGAGCUCUAUCUCGGCCAAGGCUUCCAGUUUUGGGGUGAAGGCGGGGGAGUCCAGGAGUGAAGAGAAACCAGCUGUGGAUAUCAAACCGUCGGUGAGGGAAGAGCAGAGUUUGGUGAAAGCCGGCACAAAGGAGAAGUCGACAACUGGUGUGAGAAGCUUGAGGAGAGGCGGGAAGAACCGGUCGGGUAAUCUCAAUAAGAAUCAAAGCACAAGCACCAAUCAUGGGUCGUCGGAUAAAGGAGAGACGCCCAAAGCAGAAAAAAAGAAAGCUGAUGCCUCUGCUUCCGCCAAAAAACGGGGUGCGGCGGACUUCUUGAAGAGGAUUAAGAAGAACUCGCCCAUGGACAUGGGGAAGAGUACGGUGAAUGACACGAGGAGUGGCAGAGGAGGGGGAGGUGGGGAGGAAAAGAGGAAGCGGAAUGAGAAGGGAGAUGGGAGGAGAGACAGAGUGUUGAGGCAGAGUGGGGGAGGGAAGCAAGGCAAGGACGAGAGCAGCCCAUCAAAACGGAGUGUAGGGCGGCCGCCAAAGAAAGCGGCCGCAGACACAGGGAAGCGAGGGAGGGAGAGUGGCGGCGAGAAGGAAGCGGCGCCGGCAGCAUCAUCAUCAAAGAGGGCAAGGAAGCAGGCCAGGAGGUGAUGACUGGAUGUAAUUUUCAUUGUGAAUUACAUGUAGUGUUCAUGUUUGUGGUGAUGAUCAUUUGGUCUCUGUAACAAAUUUAUUUUAAUUUAUUUCACCAUUUCAUAGAAUGAAACCCUCCCAAUCACCACCAAACACAGCCUCAAGCAUUUCCAAAGUUUUCAUUUAACAUAUCAGUCUCAGAUCUUAAGUCACAUAUGCAAAUCAAGGUCGUAUUUUCCCUACUCAAUGCCCUCAGCCUGAGGCUUUAGGAUUUAAGGUUACCAUCAUCCACCGUUAACUGACAAAUAUAUCAAGCAGUUUUUUUCCAUGAUUGACCGCAAAGUCUUCUUCCUCUUUCACCACAACCUGCUGGGGAAAACAACCCAGAUGAAGCUACAGUUUCUUCAGAAGGAAAAACUAGAGCAAUGGCCAAAAGAAAGACAUCUCAUUUGUUUAAAAAUCAACCAAGGCGGCAGUGUGGCAAUUUCUAAAAUCCCAUCAAUGAUUAAAAUUCUUCGGAAAUAUCGAUACUAAUACCAGUCAUUUAGAAUAUGUACUUCAAUAAAAGCACUAGCAGGGAGAGGUUUCGUAGGUGCUAUGUUCCAAAAUGCAAUAUUUUUAAUCAUACCAUGUUAUCACCUACAUUGGAUUCCGCAUUCCCUUCGUUAACCCAAAAACAAGACAACAAUAUUCCGGUAAUGGGUUUGUUGGACAAACAAUUUACCUGUGGAGGCACGGAUUGCAGUAACAGAAAACAAGCUCAGCGACAAUCAUUUUUUCUAAAAGCUUAAACCGUUAAGGUUUUAGCGCACAAUGAGGAUAAGUUUUCCUACUAUUAAGGUUCAAUGACUAGAAACUAUAUUGAAUAAACCAAAACUGCAUCAUCAAAUUUAGAAAAAUUUGUUGUUGCAGUAGUAUAAAAACAAAAUAUCAGUAUAUCUGCAAACAUAUAAUAAAUAAAUAAAGAUGGGUUCACGUAUCGUUUCAAUUAUAACCUUUUUUGUUUCUUUUUAAAAUUUGAUGUUAUUAUGAUAAUAUCUUUUUAUGUGGAUGAAGAGCAUGCUAAAAAUGCCAAGAAUGGAGUUUAUGCUUGAAUUCAAAGUGAUAAAACCGGGAUUGAAAGCAAUAUUCUUUCUUCUUACCCAUGGCCUGAUAUCAUCCAAGUCAUGAACUGCUGCAGAAAAACCUGGAGAAACAUUCGGGCAACUUGAAUUCCAGGAUGGGUGAUCCGCAGUGUUGACAGGCCCUGUAACCAUGAAAAACAAACACAAAAUGAAUAACCAUGAUUCUUAAUUCAAAUGAAGAACUCUGAUUGGAUUGAAGCAGAAAAUCAAAUAAGGAAAGCUUACAGGCAGAGGGCCAAAUCCAAAUUCCAUGUAGGGUUGGUAAGCAGCAAGCACUUCAGAUGCCAUCCUACUGGCUGUGUGCACGGUACCAACCCGGAACAUUCUUUUCUUCUCAUACCUGUUCAUGAUGAAGCCAUACAGAUUAUGGAGCACUCUGCAUUUUUCUGUAUUGACGGAAAGAAAUUACCUGAUCUUUUGGCUAGAACCACAUUCAAGGAAGAGCGAUUUAACCUUUGGGAACUCCACAGCUUCCUAUUUGCUUAGUUCUAAAAUAGCAUUAACCAGUAACCAUCCAGAAGUUUUGUACUAAUACCCUUGUAAGUUUCAUGUGAAAAAGGCACUUUUGAUCAUUUCCCCCCUUAUUGUCCAAAAAUUCUUAAGCUAUGAUCAGGGUGAACUAGCUGAUGAUGUACUUGAAUCAGUUUUAUUUACAGGUCUUAGAGGCUAGAUUUCUCGUUUUUUACCUUCUAAGGGCGGAAACAAUUUGAUCCGACAGUAGAAUGCUGGAGCCACUGUUGGCAAUCUUAUCAAGCUCAAGAAUUAGUUGGUAACAGUCCUGCAAAUAUAAUUGCCAACAUGAUAAGUCCAUGGCAAUUCAAACGGUUUAGUAAAGUGCAAUCACCCCUGAUCAAUAUCCUUUAACAACCUUACUAGAUAAAUUGGAAAAAUGUGCUCAAACAACCUACAACCUAUCUUACUAAUAAUAACAAAGGGCCUGAUUUACAACCACAAGCUAUAGCUCGAAACCCAGUCUUAACUUCUUUGGUAAAUUGCAUUUACCUUCUACAAGUCUCAGUAACAAACUCUCCAACUCUUUUUCUAUUCAAUCAGCUAGAGAUAAAAUUCAGUCACAUAUAACUUACCUCAAUUGCCAUGCAACCCCCUUGGCCGAGAUUCGGUUGCAUUGGGUGAGCGGCAUCACCUACUAGAGUCACUCGCCCCGUUCCCCAGGAAUAGAUCAUAUCUCUGUCGUAUAUGUCCCUCUGUAAAAUCAUAUGAUCUGGGGUUUUCAAAAUUAGUGUAAUCACUUCAUCACACCAACUCCUGAAUAGUUCCAGAAGCCUCUGUUUUUUACCUGCAGAAUGUAAAAGGAAGGUUUCUCAAAAUCAUAGAAUUGAGUUCCUUUAAAAGUAACAUUACCACAAGCAUAUUUUGAGGGAGAUACCUUUGGGAGAAUCAGUAUUAUUCAUGGGAGGCUCCCUAUUGAAGGCAUACCAUUGCAUCUUUCCAUUCCCAACAUCUGAAGCAACAAAGUACUGGUUCAAUCCCAAGAAUACUCGAUACCUUCAUAGCAGAACAUGAAACUAAGCAAACCAAAUUUUGCAUAACUGCAAAAAAUAUCACAAAUUUCGCUGAUAUUUUUUUCUAGAGAAAAUUUAGAGAAACUUCCCGAUUUGCAUAUUUAAGUCUUGUUCUGGGAAGUAUUCCAAAUGAUUGUGCAAUUCAGAGGCAUCAACAUUUUCCUAUUUGGUUACUUGUCUUUAUAGGAAAGAAGUUGAAAGUAAUAAUAUAAACUCUUCAUUAAUUUUCCCAACUUCUACCAGGCUUUCUUUAUUAACAUAGGGCUUUUCCUUUUGAAAAAUAUAUUUUCCUGAGUAAUUCCAAAAUCCCAAAUUUCAAUAAUGCCAGCAUAUUGAGUUUGUCAACAUGAUGCCAAAUUACAUACCCGACAGUAUUGAUGUAUGGCGGCACAAAGUUUGUCAGACCACUAUAACAUGUGUAAUUCGAAUAUUUUGCUUCUUGCCUUCCAAAUAGUUUUGAUCGCACCUGACAAGAAUGGCAAAUCAGAAUUUGGGAACCCCAAAAUGAGGAUAGAAGAAUCGAUCUGUUACAAAUAAACAAAAGGAAUGAAUAUACAAAAGGAGAAGUAGCCUACUUCUGACCAUAUCCCAUCUGCCCCAAUUAGAACAUCACCAUCAUACUGGCGUCCAUCUUCAAGGGUGACAGUGACCUGAAAAUUCAAGCAAAGAGGUCGAAAAUUAAUUCAGAUCUUCAUCAGAUGGGUAAUAAAUAUUCUAGGACAUUACAGACCUUGUUAGAGUCUUCCAUGAAGUCCACAACUUUAGAUUUGUUACUUAAUAUCUCGAGCCCAACUGCAUUGACUAAUAUGUCUUGCAGUGACAUCCUACAUAUUACUUGAGUCACCGGGAGUCCCCUCCUUAUGGCAGGAGUUAAAAGAUCAAACUUGCUAAGCCUGAUAUGAGAAGAGAAGAGCUAGAGAACCAUGAUCGUAUACCAAGACUUAAAAAAUGUUUCUCUCAUGUAAUUGAAAAGUAUGUCAAUGUUAUUGAAAUUCCAAGAAUAAAGGAAAGGAGGAGCGUUGUGUCGGGUGCAAACCAGUAAAGAUACUUUAAUCAGACUGAUGUCCAAAUGAAAAUUUCAAGCCUAAGCUACAAUGGUUUUUAAAAGGAAAAUGCAGAAUAGAAUAUCCAGUCAGCCCCGAAUGGUUUGGAUUCGUGGGAUAAACCUAGUGGAAUUCAGUUGUAAGAAAAUAUCUAGUCCUGCCUCCCCUGCACCCAUAUCAUCAAACACAACCACAAGGAAAAUUAUAAAAAAGAAAGAAACCCGUUUGAAAAAACUCCAUACGCAAAACCAACAAUCGCAGGGGUAAUGAAAAUAAUGUAAUGAUGGAGAAACCCCAUUAUUUUGUCUUAGAUUAGACAGUAUGCAUUGUUUGGAGAAGAAUACCAAAUAGUAUGCAUGGUUUGGAAAAGAGUAAUAAACCUUUCUCAGGCUUGUUCAUGGCAGGGUCUUAUAAGUUCUAAUCACAAAAUUCAGCCAUAAGAAACAAAUGUAGUUCCUGAAACAAGGACAAACUCAAACCCAAAAUUCUAAUCAAACAACCUUGUAAAGGUAGUCAAGAAUGCAAAUAAACGUAAAUUAUUCUCAUCGGUAUAGCGUAAGCAACUAAACAAAUUCAGUAGAAGAAAUGCACAAUUUAAUUCUAUAUUCAAACUUGUGAAUAGCAAGGAGUAAGAUGUAUAUACCAUUCGCCCGAAAGACCAUCUGCAAGGCCAUUGAUCCUAUCACCAGUAACACAACCAGCUUCCAUAAUUUGCUUUGCAACAUUUUCAUCAAUGGCUUCCAACACUGCCAAAGCACUACUUAAGAGUUGAAUCGGGCCACGGUGGCGUCCCUCCCCUCUCACUGCACUCAAAUCCUUCUCAAACACCUUCACCUCAAAACCCCUAUGCUUCGCAGCCAGAGCCAGUACUAGCCCUCCUAUUCCUCCGCCAGCUAUCAAAACCCUAAACCUCUUCUUCUCCUUCUUUCCAUUACCAUCUCCAUCUAAACUAACAUAAUCUCUACCCUCACACCUAAUAUAAUAGCUCUUCAUACUCAACUUUUCUACCCUAAAUUCAGAGAUAUUGAUAGAAUUUUGAUAUCGAUUGCAAGAACUAAGACCUUGCAAUGGUGCCAUUUGUAACAGAACCUGAGGUUCUUCCACUGAUUGCCUAAUGGGGUUCUUAGUAUCUAUGACAGGGAAGACAAUCAGCAGGCUCAAAUGUUAAACUUGUACCAUACAUGAGGUCCAUCAACUGAAUAAAACCCUAAAAACAUCCAAAUUUCACAACAGGAAAACACCUCAGAAUUCUCAAAAAGUGGAGAAACUUUAAAGGAGGAUCACAUGGGUACAAUGAUUCCCAGAACGAAAAAAAUGGACAAAAUUCAGUUGAAUUUGAACGCCCAUGAAGAAAGAUUGCAUCCCAUUUGGAAAAAAACACCAAAACCCGACAAAUCCGCACAGCAGCAAGGCGGAACUACAAAACCCAGUUUGAAAAAUCUUCAAGAACUAAUCUUUUCUUUAUUGAAUGCGCAAAAUUGAAGUGGGAAUUCAGUCUUUUUGACAAAGAGCAGUACAGGGGAAACGAAGAGGAAGAUACAGAGGGAAAAACGAACUGAAACUCAAAACCCAGAAAGGGAAUAGAUUGAACUGGAUUAGAAAUGUCCCAUGAAACGAACCCACAAAAGCCUAGAUGGGGUUGAAGCAUUUGUGAUGGAGACAGUGACCAAAAGGAAGUAGAGAUUCUUGUAAUAUAGUCAGCCAUCAAGAGAAGAAGUGGGAAACAACACAAACUUUCUCCUGUAGCUUUCAACAGAGAAGACAAAGUCUCAAAACGCAGCGUUAUGAUAAUUCAGAAAAAGGAAAAAAAAAAAGAAAAAAAAGAAAUAGGAAUCACUAAAUCUGCUGCACACGUGGCUCUAAUUGAUUGGUAAUUAGUGUUUUUAUGCAAAAUCGCGUGAAUCUCUUGGGUUCUCCUGUUUCGGAUAAAUUUUGGAAAAGUAGUGACCCUUCCAAACAGACCUUUGCUUGCUGGUAAAAAAAUAAAAUAAAAUAAAAACAGAAAAAAGGGAGUUUGGGAUAUUCUAAAAAAACAUGUUUUCAAAAUUUUAUCCAAUGUGUUUUCUAAUUAAAAAAUAAUUAUGAAACAUAUUCUUAUUUUUUAUAUUUGAAAGCAAGAUAGUGUAAAAAACAAUUGAAAAUUCUCAAAAAAAAAAAAAGUUUGUUUUGAGAAUAAUUUAAAUUUUUUUUUUUUUUAGUAAAAACAAAAAUGUUAAAUACAUUUUUAAAUAAAAAUAAGAAAACUGAAUGUAAAAGAAAUAUUUAUGCCAAAAAGACCAAAAUACCCAUCGUUUUGAAAACAUGACUCCCAUGUGUUUUGAAAUCCACUUUUGUCAUCAUCAUUCAUGGAACCCUACUUUUGCAAAAGCUCCAUUAUUUGUGGGGACAUCAAAGCUCCUUUUAUUUUGUUUGAGACACCUUAAGUUUUUUGAACAUUGCUUUUUAAAAAUACAACAAAUUUUAAAAAUAAAUUUAAAAUAUUCUAAAAAACAAUUUAAAAUAUUUUUUUAGAACAAGAAGUAUUUGAUAAAUUUUUAACUGAAAUAAUUUUAAAAAAAUUUAUUUUUAAAUUAAUUAUAUUUUCGUGUAUUUCUUUUGAAAAAUAUUUUAAAAAAAUUAUUAAAAAAAACAACAAAUAUAAAAACUUACUUAUCAUAUGUAAACAUUCCAUGUCUUCACCAAAAAGGUAAACAGGAAAAACUAUUUUUAGAUCUAAAUUCCCAAAUAAAAUUUUAUUACUCAAAACAAUGAAAAACCAUUUCCAAGAAAUACUUUCAAAAAACUGUUUUCUCCAAACAUUCUCAAAUAAUAAACCCCUAUGUUUGAAUUCUCAAGCUUUGAGGUUCCCAAAUGCUGGUCUAGGAACCCAAUUUGAAGAUCCCACAUUAAACCUAGAAAAAUUCCACUUCUGAAAGAAUAUCUUCUUCUAUGACUAACCCUAAUUAGCAAUAAUGUGGAAAGAUAAAGAGUCAAAAGACAUCCCUUUUUAAGGCCAAAAAUCUUUUACAGAAUCACACUAAUAAUCAGCAACAAUCUGCAACAUGGGAAAUCCAAUAAAAAGGCCAAGAAUAUUUUACAGGAUCACAUGUUAAAUCACUACAAUAAUUUUACACAAGCAUCAGCCUUUUACCUCAAACUGAUUAUACUGUUAGCCGAUAAACUAACCGCCCCAGUUAACUCAAAGACCCAAGCCCAGAAUUAUUAUUUCAUGUCGACAAAAAUCAUCUCAUCUGAGGACUGGCAUUAUAGGAGAAAAAUCAGUUUUGAUAAUCUCUUCAACAUCUUACGGGUCAUUGCCAUUUACAUAUCCUUCUGCAACCAGUUUAUCGCCAGAGUCUAUGCCUAUGUUGGAUCUUCUCAUCAUAUGACAUGCCAGGUCCUCCGGUCAUUCUCGGUCCAUUGAGUGCCCAUGGGAGAACUGAUGGCCACCUUCAUCUGCCUCAAGGAAAGGGCCAACAUAGACAUCAGAAAAAAAGGAAAGAAAGGGAAGGGAGGAACUGAAAAAGAUUAGCUGGGAGACGAGUACUUCCAUGCCAACUACUACCAUGCUAAUGGUUGGCAUAUGUCAACAAAGAUACAAAGCAUAUGGCAACCGGAAUUUAGAUUCUACUAGCACAGAAAUAGGAGCAAAGGAUUAUUCAUUUGGUGAAAAUAAUGUCAGAAAUUUGAAGAUAGAAAAUAAUAACCUAUUCGAGCUUCCAGAUGAUAAUAAUAGUAGUACAUGUGUGUGUGUGCUUUUUUUCUUUUUUUCUUUCUUUCUUUUUUUUUUUUUUUAUGGUGGGUGGGGUGUUUAAAAUAGGUUGAUUUUUCUUUCUGUUGCAUUUGAUAUGAGUGCUUCCAGAGCACUAUCAAAUGCCAGAAACUGAUGUGCAGCUCCGUUUUCAGCUAUGCCUCCAUUCUAGUGGAUGCAAUUUGUCAUCCACUGAGACUGGAAAUCAAAUAUAUCCCUUCAAUUUCAAUGGAACUCUAAAUGCCAAACUAUUUGUCACAGCCACAAUGGGGCAAUGCUAGCUUUGAAUAAUCAACUGAAGCAAGAUAAAAGAAAAAGAGGAGAAGAGAUGUGAAUAUUUGUACCGCUUUCGCCAUCAGAAAUAUCUGCAAGCCUCCCAAUUGCAUCAAGUAAUGCUUGUUCAUGCUCCUACAUUACCGUAAACAAUUCAGUUAUGUAACUUGAUGCAGAGUCAAAGGAAACUUCAAAAGGAAAUUGAAUAAGACGGUUCAUUUUCUUACCUUCAGCACUUUCUUUGCUUUGUCAAUCUCAAGAGGGUCCGGAUGAUUUGCAGUAAAGACCCUCUCCACCUGCCAAGAUCACCAGAAAAAUUAAAUAUAUGAAUAUAGUAAGAACAAAUUCAGUAUUAACAUGGAUCAGGCUGCUUUCAUUUACCUCCUUAAUUAGAGUGUCUGUAUGAAGUAUUUGAAUAUCAUCUGGUGCCUUCUUCCCAAUGCCAUUCUGUGAUGGCAGAAAAUCUUUUUUAGACUGCCCCUUUGGGAGCCCUCUACCUCUACCUGCACCCUGAACACUAUCACGACCUACAGCUCUAUUCAUCCCAUGACCUGAUCCAUCAUAACCUCCUCUACGAGAGAUUCCAGGGUCCUCACCAUCCCACUGUAUAUCCUCUGGAGAAAUCUGAAUUGAGAAACAUCGAACCAAUAACAAGUAAAAUUAGAACACUUCGAUUGUGAUGGUUCUGCUGCUCUGAUAAAUUUUUUUGAUAUGCAAAUAGGAUAAUUGUAUUAAUAGAAGUGCCUACAGAAAAAGGUGCAGUCCAUGUGUAUAUGAUCCAUACAAGCUGCACAAAAAACAACAUAUAGAAGAAUCAACCUAGCUAACCAAACCCCAAACUAUCAACAAAAUUCUUUGGAUGGUUGAACCCACCCCUUUAACAGCAAAGACAAUGUCUUAAGAAAAAACACUUUUUGCCACAAAAUUGACCAGCUCCACUGUGUCAAAAGAUCUAUUAUUGAGCUCUGGAAAAAUAACUCAGAAUAAAACAUCCACAUCAUCUUGCACUUUGUACCCUAUAAAAGCGCCUUUCCAACUGAUCAGGACAUAACCAUUGUAGGGGAGCAACCAAGGACACAGCAAACAAAGAGAAUGCUAAUGGCCAUAACUCAGAAAUCCAAUUGCAGUGAAUGAGGAUGCAGCCUACAGACUCAAAAAUCUUGUUUACACUGGCAACACCUGAUUAACCUUUAUUCCAGUAAGCUGGUAGACAGUAAUGAUUCCCCCCCCCCCCCCCCCGCCCCCCCAAGCUGCUCCAGCAAAAAAAAGUCAAUCUUUGAUAGCACCCUGGAUUCCAAAUGAGCUUAGCUGGGCAGAUGAGGGAUUCUCCCUGUGUCACAGAAUAGUAGAAGGAUCUAACUUGAGCCCCACUUGGAAAUUCCAAACCAACUAGUCUGCAAUGACUCUAGAAACAGAAAAAUAACUCAACAGCAGCAACAAUGACUCCACCAAAAUUAACCCCCAAUCUGAAAAAUCCCUUCUAAACCCUGGAUUCCAGCAGAGUCCAUUCCAAUAAUUCAACACCCAAGCCACUUUAUGGACUGCAAGACUAAAAGGAACCAGAAGACAUUCUUUCAAAAGCCCCCCACCACAAGAAGGAUCAUACCAACACUUAACACAAAGACUAUUCUCAAUGGAAGAACUCAUCCCAAAGAAAAAAUGGACCACCCUCCCUCAUUGCUUUCCAUAGGCUCACACCAUAAGCUUCUCUACCCUUUCUAGAGCACCAACACAUACAGAAUUGGAAGGAUAAUUGCUACUCUAUCAGAAAAAUAGUUGGCCCACCUGAAGUAUAUUUUAAAUGGCUCAUCUAAAGAAACAUGUUUGCGGCAACGGAUGCAUAUAAAUACAUACACUUAAUCAAUGUCAUUCAAUUGGUUUUGCAGGUUAAACCAAUAAUCCCUUCCUUUUUGUACAAAUUUUAGAUGCAACAAGUGACAUAUGCUCAGCUCACUCCAAGGCGACGCUAGUUAAAUGUUCAAAUCUGCUAAACUCAGAUGUGUGCAUAGCCCAUAUAGCCUGUUGGUACACAAGCUGACUCUGGCCUAGCUUAGCCUGUUUGCAUUAGACUCCUUGGUAUUCAGACUGGGAUGUGAAUCAGCUUCAAGACCACUCUAUAAAAUGGGCUGAGAUCAGGAUGACAGUUGUGGGCUGCAGUAAGCCUCUAACUUCAGGUUAAACUUGGUCCAGCUCAGCCCUGGACCUGAAUGACAUCCCUCUGCAAUUCCUGCCAUCUAUACAUCGUUCUUGCCAUUACAAGGGUUAUUUGCUGGCUGAGAAAACAAUUGCUACAUGAGGCCCCUCUCCAUGGUGUUGAUUGAUAUCUCUUCUAGCAGUUGCUAAAGCUCUUUGGAAAAUUUUCAUGUUUUACCAAUAAAAUAUACAAUAUUUAUUUUUAAUUUCCAACAUUCAAUUUGACGUAGCAUCCAACCAUAAAUCUGUAUUUUACAACCCUGACUUAUCUAUCCAUAUCAACAUUCAAACUAUAAUUAUAAAUCCAACUCUACCAAAAUAAAAGAUGAUAAUCAAUUCUUGAAAACCAGAUUUAUCAAAUUACAUGAUGACCAAUUGAUUCUGGUAGAAGAUGAUUCAAGAAUUAUAUGAUUCAACCAUAAAACGGCAAGAGGCAUGGGCAAAAGAAAAGGGCUCUCAUAGCUGACUCAAAGUAAGUGAGAUUGUGUUUUCAUAAUAGUUACUAGAGAAAGAAAAUAAAGUGGAGAAUCAAGCAAAAGGUAGAGAAGGUGAGAAACAAGGCUCUUAGUGUAGGAAGAAGUACUGAAGCAAGAAGAACCUAGGAUUUUGAAGAGGCAUUUUAGGAGUACAUCAAAGAAUAAGCAGUUAUGAGAAAUAAAUUUGUCAAAACUCACAAAACAAGUUGAUUAACUAAUCUUAGUAAUGGGAAGUUAAUCUUAGAAAUGAUCAUGCCUCAAAAAGGAAAACAAAAUCUAAAUGAUCAUAGAAGUGGAAUUCUGGACUCCAAGUAAUAUAUUUUCCUCUUUAAAAUUUACAGUGUAUGAUCUUUCACAAGAAGUGUGAACUAAUAUAUAGCAAUCAUGAAUUUGGUAGCUCUGAAGUUCAUCCUUGGAAAAUGCAGGAGCAUAUAACUUCCUGCUUCAAAAGUAUGCUUCUGCAGAAGUACUGUUCAAACCAACUAUAAAAGGAUCCGCCAUCUAGGGGUUAUGUUUGCCUAAAAAAUUGCCCACAUGCAGUAGAUAUGGAAAGUAAGAAAGAAUAUCUUAGAAACCACAAAGAGAGAUUCAGAAUUACCUCUGAAAGAUUAACCCAUUCCCAUGUCUCAUUUGCUGAACCCAUAUCGUAUACCAGAGCAUGCCGUCCCUGACAUGGAAGGAUUUGAAGGAAAAAAAAAAAAAAGUAAUAUCAGCUGCCAAACCUGCAGGAUACUGAAUCCCUUCAUAUCUGAGAAGGUAUACCUCAACUGGAUUGUAAUCAGUUAUAACAGCUUCAUAAAAGUUGUUAUCAUCAGGCCACCUGGUCCUCACUUUCCUCCCAAUCAAUGGAUCAAAUGUUGCUGCUUCAGCAGGCUCAUUCACUCCCCGAUUAGCAACUUGACCUCUUCCAGUUGGACCUGAGGAAGCAUACUGCAUGGACUUCAUUGAAGAUGCCCCAGGCAAUACCUGACCCAGUUAAAUAAAUGGAACAGAAACAAAACAUAAAAAGAUAUUCAGACAUAAAUUUUAGUUACUGAGCAUAAUACUGGACUUAACAUUUAAAAUAAAAAAUACAAUGGCAUUCAAUGACCUUGUGUGAACCUCAGACUUUAAAACUUACAGAUUUAUGCUUCUUUCCCUUGGGUCCUAAAAUAGGUCCUCGUUUUGCAGCUGAUGAAGAUGGCUGGUUGGAUGCAGCUAUUGCUUGUGGGUGAAAAGAUUGAGAUGGCCCACCAAAGGAUUGAGAAGGUAUUGACUGGGUUAUUUUCUGUUUCUUGCGAGAAGCUGAGACGGUGGGACUAGGUAUGGGAUCAUGCACAGCUUGACCAGUAGUGAGCAUGCCAGGUUGGAGCCCGCCUGCCUGUCUCCACUCCCUAGUGGGAUCAUUCAAUAUAUAUCCAUUAACAAAUAAAGGACAACAAGGCUUACUGAAACCUAAGAAACAGAUUUCCCUCAUAAGAGCAAAAAAUUUGGAAUAAAACACUAAAAUACCUUAUCCUACGGAUGACAUCAUCUGCAUUAACCCUGCCAAGAAGCUCUCUGUGUUCCUCAUUUGAUAAUCUUAACUCUUUUCUAAGUUCUGUUAUUAAACUUUCCUUCUCCUGAAGAAAAAACAUUGCAUUUAGCAGUUACUAAACCUGGUAAAAAAAAUUCCUUAGAAUAUUAGGUUCAUGCAAACAAAAUGACAGAAAAGUACCCAAGUAAUGGCAUCAGCUUGAGCUUUGAAGGCUCUUAAAACUGAACUAUAUGCUUCUUGCUCUAGUUGGUGAAUUUGGGUCUCCAUAUCAGUUUCACCAUACAUUCUAGAGUAUGGGAUGGAACCUACAACAGCGGAUCUUCCAUUCCCAGCGACACGCCCUCCUCUGGGGAUUCUAUUUUGAUGUGGUGGAGGAAGAUCAUCAUCAGUUCCUGCAAUUAUUUUAGAAUGGGACAUGUGAAUAGAUCCAUGAGAUGUGGGUGGUAAAUCAAUCAGAACUUCAAUAUGAGAUAGAAAAGAGAGCAAAACUGAUUGGUUAAUCUGGUUAAAUGAUUGAAACGGCAAAGUCCAACAUACUCACAGAUGGAGACAACUUAUGUCAGUUGACUCUUUAAGUGUAUGUUUGUUGUCUCUUUCAAUUGGUUGACAGUCAGUAUUUUUAUCUCCAACAAAUUUGGGAGUCAUUUGUCAAAAAAAUACCUUAACUAUGUUGUGUCAGUUACUCCUUAAAGCAUACAAUGAAAAGAUUCAGUAUAUUCCUGUUUGCACUGAGGCCACAUUUAUUAGAUUGCAAAUUCUUAUAAAUGCAUUUAUAAGCUUUGGAGGAUCCGUCAUCCAGUACAGAAAGGAAAUCUUCCCGUGCAUCCAAAAUUUUGAAUAAGAUUUUAAUUUUGGAGUUACAAAAUUGGUCAACAUGCAACCAACAAGGGUUGUGGGCCCAAAAAAACAGCGUUCAAAGCACAUGUAUAGACUGGCACAUGAGACAUGGAAACAAAAAACCUGAAAAGCGAAUGCCUAUGUAGGAAUGAAACACUCUCUGAUACAAAGUUUGCCAACAACUAAAUCAUUAUGUUUUCCAAGCAAAAUACCCAUGCUCUGAUCGAGGAGCUAGACAGCCAGAUAGUGUUCUAUCAUAAAAUCAAACAUUCUCCGAAAACUUCUACUGGGUUUUCUUAUUCCCAACGUUGUGAAAUCCCCUAAACAAACUUCAGAUCCUUACUACUUCAUUUACCAUAACAUUCAGCAACAUAAUUUCAUCUCUCUCUUUCUGUAGCAUCACAGAGACGCCAUAUUUAACUGUAAUUUCAUCCAUGGCUGAGAAAAAAACUUGAAUACCUGCAACGCACAAAACCUCCCAAAUUGCAAAAAACAGAAGAACACAAAAAACCAAACUUUUCGAGUUCUUUAAGCCCUUUCCCUCUUUCUGCACAAGAACGAUUACAAUUUACCCCAAACACCAAAGUUCACGCGAAAAAACCGCCAAUAUCUUAUACAUGGAGAUUCAAAGAGCCAAAGUAAAGCUAAACACACAACCCAGACCACGAAAACCGCACUAAACCCUAAUUUCACCCCUCCAAGCUGCCAAGCGUCAAUAACUGCUUCGAGCAACACAAACCCCUCCAAGAACGCGAAUGCGGACCCCAAAUUUAACAAAAAACUAACCCUAAUUCAUCAAAACAGCACUACAAAAACCCUAAAAUUCACCAGAAAACGCAAUAAAGAUUGGAUCUUUCAGAGCAAACUCACCACUGCUAUCGAAAGGCUCGUAGUCCAUAGCCAGCUUGUACCCCAAAAAUCCAACAAACCCUAAUUUCCCACGCCUCAAAACCCAGACCAGAGACCAGAUUGCUCAGACAGAUUUCGCCUCAAAUCGCCCCCAAAACUACACGGAACGAUACCGUUUCGCCUGGAUUCUUCAGCGGCUCGUGUCCCGGGCGCUAUGUAGGAGAAAUCGACGGCGAUUGCGACGCUCGGACGAGAAAUUAGUGUGCUACAAACACCGGAAAGUUUCUCUUUUGAGUUCGAGUGACUGUCUAUGCAGCAAAGCCUGGAGAGGGAAUGAGAGAGAAAAAAACACGGACUUGAAACGUGUUUUAUAUCGCCUGCCUUUUGUAAUUAAUAGUUUUUUUAUGUCCGCCUCCAUAUCGCAUUAAUGGAAAUUUGAAAGAAAAAAAUGGAAAUAAUGAUGCCAUAUUUAGUAAUAAAAAACUUAGUCUUAUUUUUGGAAACUUUCCCAAAGAGAAUUUCGUGAGUUAAUUUCCACGGAAUAAAAUAAUAAAAUUAUUUUUUAAAGAGUAUGGACCGAUAAAAUGAUCUCAUUUAUGUUAAUAAUAUGUCACCAUGUGUAUAUUUAAGGAAUUGAAUAGAGAAAUAUAUUAAUAACUACAUUGUUAAGUGGUCUUUUUUUCUCUUCGAUCUAUCAAUUCAAAAUAAGGUUAGUAACAUUUUAACCAACAUGUUAAUCGACUUGAAUGACCUCCAACUCUAAUGCAGGGCUAAGGCAAGAGGGUUUUAGAGGUUAGGGCUAUGGUUUAAGGAAAGAUUCGGGCUUUUACAUAAAUGGGUCAAGUGUCAGGUGUCUAGUUUAUGCUCUUACAAAUAUUUAGCCAAUGUUGACACUCCUAAAAGGUGCCAAGCUUGGCCGUUCCCACAAAAAAAGGAUAAAAAAAAAAAAACCUCUUUUGGCUUUCUUAAUUAUGGUUCAUAUGUAUAUUAUGUGUUUUUAAAAAUAUCAUAUUAAAAGAUGUCAUUGUUGAUAAUUUUGAUGGUAGUGACAAGAUCUUCAGAUUUGAAUUAUGCUAUAUAUUUGAUAGUAGCUAAAUCAAGCUCACCGUUAGGGUGUACUAAGCUCAAUAUUCGAAUUAUAUCAUAUAUUCAAUUGUAGGCAAAUCAAACUCACCAUCAAGGUGCACUAAGCUCAAUUAAGCUUCAUGAAUCUUACUAACAACUCAAUCAAAUAUUAAGCAUUAAGAUUUGUUAUACAACCAAGUACCCCUAAGAGAAGUAUUGGUGAUACUCAAUCUAUUGUUUCCAAGCCCAAACAACCUCUCUCACUAAUGAUGUUAGUCAAGGAUUUUACCUCAUAAAUUUUGAUGAUUACAAAAGAAUGAAUAAUGGUUUAAUCAUAUUUUUUAAGUUUCUUGAGUAUGUUUUAAAGCUAAAAAUUUUUCUCUUUCGAAGAUCAAAAGUGCAAACCAAGGAUGUAAGAGCAAAACAUGCACCAAAAAGGCUUAAAGUUAACUUUUUAUUCUAAGUUUUCAUGGAAUGUGAGGUUGAGGCAUAUUAAGGUUUUUUUUGCAUACCUUUCAACGAUACCUUGCCUUACAAUUUUUUAAAAUUCUUAUCCAAUCAAUCUUUUAUAAAUUACCUUAUAAACAUGUUUUAAAUUGGAUGAAAACCAACCCCACAUCAAUGUUUAUUAAAGCUUAUUAGUUUUCAAAAAUUAUAUUGAGAUUUAAUCUAGCUAGACCUUUGAACAUUUAUGACUCAAACGAUUGAACAAACUUAUAUUAAUUUUUGAAGUCAAGGGUGAUUGAUUGACAAUCUUUAAUUGAGUAAUGUGUAAUGGGGUUGGAUAACAGUGGCUACUGGUUGCUCAAUUGGCUAAGGGAGGCCUCAGUUGGUAUUGAAAUCGGUUGACUUGCAUCAUCCAACAGUUAAUUGUUAAAGUGUAAUGGUUAAUUAUGUGGUUCACCACCUAAUCAAUUGGUUGAAUUGUAACACUUUAUUUUAAGUUAGUGGUUGUAAUCUUGAGAAAAAUUCAUUCUUAUACUUCAACAAAAGAAGAUUUGGUAAGUGUAGGAGAAUAACUAUAAAAGCUUGUGAAUGUCUAUUGGAACCUUAAAUUUGAGUAUAAGAAGAAUUUGAACACUUUAGUUGAGAAAUCCUUGAUUUAGUGGAAAUGCCUUAGUUAAGAGGAAGUAAAAGAGAUAAGAUGUAGAUAAUUAUUGAACCACUAUAAAAGUUCUGUGUAAAAUUGAGGUAUUAACACUUUUGAUUUUAAAGAGAUUGUCAUGACUCAUAGAGAAUCUAUGAAGAAACUAAUAAAUUCAAGGGUCAUUCAACCCAUAUUACAAGCAAAAUUAGGAAAUAUUAAAGAUUAUAGUCAAACAUUAGAUCGAGUUGAUAUAUUAUAUUAUUUAUCAGAACUCUUUCAUUCAAAUAAGAAAUGUAACAUUUUGCCAUAACUCUCUCACCUACGAAGUUUAUGCAACGAGACUUAGGCCUAGAGAUUCAAUCGGAUGGUGAGCCCAAUAGCACUCUCAUCAAAGUAGAAAGAGUCCAUAUGUUUUGAACAAUGGUAACCAAGGAAGGUUUGGAGGAUUACCCAGCCUUCCCCUUAGAUAAACAGGUUAGUGAAAGGUCAUGGAGGAAUAAUAGCAUGAGGCUAGGCAAAGGAAGACUAUACAUAUAUUUAGUAACAUGUUUAAAAAUGAUUUUCAAUUUUUUACAAAAUCAAAACUCUAUUUAAGAAUGCAAAUAUGAACAAUAGUUUUCUCAAUUUACUCUCUUUGAAGGUAAUAUGUAUUUGUGUAUGAUGCAAACGUUAAUUCUAUUUUUUUUUUAAAACACUUCACAAAAACAACUUCUUAUUUGUUUGAGUCUUUAGAAAACUUUUAGACUAUAUAUUGGAACUUUAGAAUAGAGAAUGUGAUGGGAAAUCAAUUCAUUAAGGUGUUUGGACUCAAAAAUUUAUUCUCAUAGAAAUCAAAUUCUAUUCUAAUUAAUGUUUUGAUUUGUCCUUUUUAUAUGAUCGUAUGAUUCAUGAAGGACAACAUGAAUGAAUAGCUUCCCUUUUUGUUAAACCGAAAUAAGACUAAUCAUACCCUUACUUGAGUGUACCCAUAUUAGUGGAUGUAGGUAUGAUUGGUCGAACACCAUUAAAAUCCUCAUAUACCUUUAUGUGAAUUGUUCUAUUUUUGUGUCAUUGAAGUAACAUUGUUUACAUUAAAACUUCCACUAACAUAACAAAUUAUGUGUUAAAUGUGGAUGGACUUAGAAACAAAAUGAUCAAUGUGAAUACUGGCAGGCAAGUGGGGUGAUUUGUAAAGCCUUUUUCAUCAGAAAACUUAUCUCACUAUAUGGUAUGCAAGUCAAAGGGGUUCAAUCAGGGUCUUAUUUGGAUUCUGUUGCUGUCCAGCAUCUUCUUCAGCUGCUUCCCUUGUUCUUCAAUCUGCAUCUGUAAAUUUCUUUGAAUCUGAUUCCAAGAAAGAGGAAUUAACUGUUAAGGUAUAUAUAUGCAGGAGGCAAUUUGGGUUGAGUAGCAAAGGAAACAACCCCAAACCUCUAAUUGUUCAUGGAGACGCGUCUGGACUUCUAGUUGCAGUUGCAGUGCUUCUGCUACCCGCAAGCCUCUGCCAGAAGAAAAACACCCAAAGAGAUUAGAGAGAGCAUGACUAGUGAGUAGUGAUAUGAGAAGUUGGCGCUUAGAGAGAGCAUGGGUAGUCUGUCAUAUCUUACGUUUCGGGGUCAAACUUUGUUAUGAAAUCUGCACAAGUUCCCUUCUCAGAUUUUUCUGCAUUUAGAAUAGAUUAUUGUUGAAAAGUAUCAUAGACAUUGUUUCUAAAUUAAUUGUUCAACAUGGUACAUAUCAAAACUGGGUUAUUCAAACAUGUAUCGAAACUAGGCUAGCUUAGUAAAAGGUCAUUAGUUUAGAAGUCAUAUAUUUAUUUUCUUAAUUUAUUGAGUUCAUGUAUAAAUCCAAUAAAAGUUGUUAAUGAUUCAUCUAUUAACAGACCCAUCUCUUAUGUCCAAUAAUAAUCAAUGGUGAUUUCAAAGAACAUUGGAUGGAUAGAAGAUAUUGAAUCACUAUGCAUCGGAAUUUUUAAUAAGUAAGCUAAUAGUAAAUGUUAGGAGUUUAAAAAUGUUGAUUUGGUUUAGAUUUUUGGAGGAAAUAUUUGCUGAAUUAACUUAGUUGGUUCACGUUCUAGCAAAAAAGACGGUACUAUAUGAUGAAGAGAUGCAAAAAAGUCCAUUUGAUAAAACCAACAUAAUUGGUUUAUGCUUGAAGCAAAACUAGUCAAACCAACCUUCUAGCAAUGAAAAAUUCAAAUCAAAAGCUUGCUUAAGAUCCAUUUAUUUGGCUUUGAUUUGCUUUAAAUGAUUGGUUGGAUAUAAGCUAUUUUAGACCUUAGGCCCAUUUGAUUUUUAAAAGUUAUUUAAAAUUUUGGGAAGAAUUACUUAUCAAUUAAUCACUUCAAGCAAUUCUCCUAUAAUCAUUUCAAGUGAUGUGCAAGAUUUUUAAAAGUGAGUUUUCAAAAGUUUGUCAAAUGUCCAAUUCUUGUAAAAAAAAAGCACUUUCAAAACAUUAGGAAAUGCUUUUAACUUUCUCAAAAUCAUUCAAAAUGGGCUUUUAAUGUUCGAAUAUAAACAAAAAAAUAAAAUAGAAGUGCGUGAUAGUGCUUUCUAUAACAUAAUAUAUAGCUAUAAAGUGAUUUUUUUUUUUUUUUUCUAAAGAAUCACCUACAAUGGUUAUGAAUAAUCUCAAAUGUUCACUUAAAUUUUUGAAAGCUUGAUGAACACUUAAUUUCUAUACGAAAACUCUUUUAACCAUCUCAAAUUGACUGUCAAAUGACUCUCAAAUAAGUUCCAAGUUGGUUUCCAUAAUUCCCAUACCAAGCUUAGCUCCAUGGUUAUCAAAAACCAAACCAAUUUAGUCCAUUUCAGUGGGGUUGGAUUGGUUUUAUUGGUUUUCAAUUUCCAUGAGAAUUCCUACUAGCAGAAGCCCACAUGUUAAUGUUCUUGCCUUAGCAUUCAUACAUACCUUCUGUUGAUCCUGGUAGGUGCCUUGCAAUACGAUACUUCUGAAAAGCAAAAAUGGAAGAACUCUCAUUUCCAGACCCAGAAAAAAAAUGAGGAGAAACAGUAAGCCAAACAUUCUGAAUUGAGGAUGAACAUUGAAACCUGCAAGUGACUUUUGAUUUGGAAGAUGGUCAGUCCCUCAGAGCCCAUCAGCCUAAGGAUUCCCUUUGGAGUUGCCUCUGCAUUCAACCAUCAAAUUAGCAUUGAAUCAGUAAGUUCUUGUGAACUGCAAACACUACAUACGAUCACCAUUGCUGUAUGCUCACUUGCAGCUCCCCCUAGACGAUUUACAGACUCAACAAAUCGCUUGUGAAGAUCAUGAGUCCAUCUAAUCCGCGACUUGUUUGAGGCUGCUGCAGCCGGUGAAGAAGAAUUGCCUGAAGCAACAGAGUAAGUACUAUGAGAAGGAUUUGCAGACUGCCUCCUUAGUUGAAAUCUAGGGCUGGGUUCCACAAGCUGAUAGGGAAUCUGUAGAGUACUCCAUUGAAUGAAGAAGAAGUCAUGGAAUCAGUAAUCAGCACACAGAAAUAAAAUAACCAUAAGCAGUAGCCGAGAACUCACUCUUUGAUUCUGAUUUUCCCGGAGAAUUCUGUAGGGGUGCUCAUCUUCAACCUCAGACUUGAUGAACAAGAUGUCACAAACCGGUGAAUUUCGGUAUGGGGUUCCGAAGGACUUCUCAAGACAGCUGGGGAUGUUCUGAGUAUCCCUUGAUUGAGAACUUGCCGGAUCAAGGUUAGAGGAUGGAUAUGAUAGGGUUUCUGAAUCAACAGGAUAGGAAUCACAUUCUGGAAACCCCAUAUAGACUUCAGUUGCAUAGAAGGCUGAAGCUGCUGGAGAACCGAAAUGGCCAGCAAUGGUGGUGGACAUAUUAGCUGUAUUCCCCAAGUUGAUCAUCUGCUUGGAGGAGCCUCCCUCCGAGGCCGGAAACUGAUCAGGCUGGAAACAAAGUUCCAUCUUCCAUGGCUGCCGGGAAAAAGUACUACCUUUUCCAGAAUAACAGUUGACUGAUCCAGUUUUCUGUUUUUGGACAUCAAUCUUCUGAGUAUUCAUUAUGGGCAAUCAACAAGAAAUGCAAGAAAAAAAAAAAAAGAACUUUUCGUUUUGAUUGACUACUUCUCAAACUGACUGAACCAUUAUGUGAAUAUAUAAAGGAUGAAGAAGAUAAACAAUUCACAAUGAAUAUGGACUCUUAUAGGGACUAGGGACGGAUUCACUAUGAAUAUGGACUGGGGGAGUCUUCUCUCUGCAAUUCCCGUGCCCUAAAUUCAUUUUGUAUGAACCCAUGCUAGCCUUUUCAAAUACUUGAUGAAGGGUGGAUUAGUUGAUAUAGAGUCUAACAAUGAUCAUAUGAUAAACCUAAGGGAGGAAUUUAUUAAUAUAAAAGCUUUCCAUGUAAGUAAACAAAUCAAUGAAGUUGAUCCCAUCUAUAAGGAUCAUAUAUUAUUGGAAUAGGUCCUAAGAAAGGGUUAGUUAGCAUGCUAAUGUUGAUUAAUGUAUAGCUAAGGCACAGUUUUUUGAGGUCAACAAGGAUUCGAUACUUACAAAAAGCCUUCACAUUUUGUUUAUUGAGGGGCAUUAAACAAAGAUGAAAUGAUUCUUAGAUGACAAAGACAACUCUUGUACCAAGGCAAGCAUGUUAUCUUUCAAUAAACAAAGAGGAAUUCUUUUGGCUCCUUCUGUGGGCUUUACCAUGCAAACUGACCCUUGGGUGUUUGAAGGGACCAUGCAAAUAGGUUUGCCCUUAAUGGAUAAUUUGUCCUUCAACUUGUUGAUCAUUUUGUACGAUUUGUACGUCCUUCAACUUGCCGAUCAUUGUGUACGAUUUGCAAGAAUAUAUAGAUGGAUAUUAAGAGUUAUGAUUUUAUGAACCAUGGAGUUGAAUUAGAAACGCAGACUUAAAUCCUACUUCAAAUAAUAGAUAAUAAAAAAUAAACCUUGAAAGAUUUACUUUGGAUGCAUUUUUUAUUUUUUGUUUUUAAAAUAAAAAUAAACUCCAUAACAUUUAGUGUCUCUUUGGAUGCAUGGCAUAUUUUUUGUUUUUAGAAUUGAAAACUUUUAUAUAAAAGUAGAACAUAUUAUACAAAAAAGUAUAAAUUUAUAUUAUGAUUUAAAAAAAUUUUAAAUUUGAGAUAGUGAAAAUUUUUAUAAUAUCUCAAAAUUUUAAAUCAUUUUCAAAACCAUUAAUUUUUUUCACGUCUUUCAGAGUUUUUAUAUCUUAUAUAAAAAUUACUACUAUUUUAAAUUUAAAAACAAAAAAAUAGAAAAUAUAUUCAAAUAAACACUUUUUUUUUUUCAAAAAUUAAUGUAAGGGAAAAUCAUUUCAACACACUAUUAUUGGAAAGUGUUUUAAAUUUCUAUUAAAUGAGAAAAAUUGUUGGGAUGUCUCUUUCUAUAUAUAUACUUAUAUGUUUAUAAGUGAUGUGAGAUAAAAAGUUAUCAAAUGGAGAUGAACAUGUAAUGAUUAUAUCUAAUUUAUUUAUUUUUUAUUUGUUAUAAUUUUUUUUAUAGUUUCUAUCAUUUAUCUACAUAGGAUAUGAUUGACCAAACCAUAUUAAAACUUUAUGGACAUUUGUAUAGAUGAUUCCUUUUCUUGAUGUUAUUACGCCAAUAAUCGAGCAAACUUCUUCCUUUUGCAAUUAUUUGGAAGAUGACUUGGACCAUCACAACAUGUUGACUCAGAAAGCUAUAACUUGUCUUCAUUAAUUUGCAUUUUGUCAAUGGAGAAGGACACUCUAUUCUCCAACUCCCUUUGUAAAUGGGGUUUGGUAGAAUCACUUAGGCAACUGUCAAACAUAAUAUGCUCACACAUUCGUGUGUAUGAAAUUGUCUCCCACUCUGAUGGGCACUGCACAAGUGGGACAUAUGCAUAAUUGAGGUGUGAAUGUGGAUAUUGUAGACAUUCCAAAUUGAAAAAGGAGAUUGAUGCCAUAAGAGGACUGUUUUGAUGCCAAUUUGCAGUUUCCAUAUUUCCCUUUUUAGGAAUAUUGCCCCAUCACAACAUCUGCUACGAGCUUUUACAAAAGUCCGUCCACUUGGAAGCCAACAUUUAUUAAUCCAAUUUUUUACUUUUGAUCACAUCCUAAUCAGAAUUUUGUUUUUCCCUCAUACAUAUAUGCAAUACUGUAUAUAUGCACUUGGGCAGUCUAAGUAGCUCCAUUGAGUCCAACUGCUCCCCUACUUCCCCUUCUAAAAGUCAAAAUAAUAAUAAUAAUAAUAAAAAAAGAAAAAGAAAAAGAAAGGAAUAAAUUAAAGAAAUGAAAGCUCUAUUUGACACCAUGUCUGGCACAUGGGAAAGUGAGGAGUCCUUUCCUUCUUUCCUCCUUUCCUCGAGAUCCUAAAUAUAUAUUUGAUAGUAAUUUGAAUUCACUAAUUGCAUAUUAUAGAAAAACAUCAGUCCUUUAACAGAGAUUAAUUAAAUUAAUUGAUCAAUCAUCUUUUAAAUGAUCAUGUGGACAAAAACUUAGGGAUCAUGUGGGUUAAAUCAAGGGUCACGAUCAUGUGGACUAAAUUAAAUAUGUUUACAUAGUUAAAAGGAACUCUCAUAUAUUGGGUGGUGGUUAAUGAUCGACCUUGAUAUCAUUUGUUACUAUUCUCUUCCUCUCAUAUAAAUAUUGUCUAUUCCGAACUUUCAUGAUUUUAAAACAUGUUUAUAUAAUUAAAAUGAAUUAUAUGUAAAUGGUACGAGAAACUUUUAUUAAAAGAGUAUUGACAAGUCUAUUAAUAAAACUCAUUUGAAGAAUUAAUGAAUUAUCACACAAGACAAGAAAACUUGUAUAAAUUUAUUUUUAUACAAAUGAUAAAAAAGGCAAUAAUUCAAGAUGAACCGACAAAAAUUCCUAAAGGGCGUGGGGGCACAAAAACUUCAACUACACCCUCCAGCGUCAGUAUAACCUUCUUCAUUGCUGGCCUUAGAGCUGGAUCCUCUUGAAUACACCAAAUUGCCACCAUCACUAGCCUCUCCAGCCUCUCCAGCCUCUUUAUAUCAUUCAUAAUUAAGUUUCCACCAGCUUGCCUCCUCAUCAUCUUCUACCAGUUUGCCAAUUUCCUUUGCACCAACCAUUCAUAAGCUCCAUCCACUAGUGCACCCUCUUCGUCUUCCUUUGCAACCGAGGAUUUCUAGCGACAUUCCACCAAAGUUGUAAACAUCAACUUUAGCUGUGAUUGUUCCUUUCCUGAACCAUUUCGAGGCGAAGUAGCAUAUGGUCCCUCUUAUGCCACCUCCUCCUAAGAGUAGUUUAAGUUUGAUCAGCAAACAACAGCUUUGCUUGUUCAAAAUCUGAAAUCCUAGGCGUGAAAUGCCGGUCUAGGAGAAUGUUUCGGGGCUUUAUAUCACAAUGGAUGAUCUGGGUGCUGCACUCUUUUUGAAAGUGCAUUAGCCUUAUUACAACCCCAAAAGUGAGUGAAGAGACAUUGCUCAUGUAUUCGUGUACCAGAAGCCGACUAAAUUGGUCAAUCUCCUCUGCUUGAUAUCUCCUUGAAGCCAUGGGUGGCUGCUUCAAACUCUGUGUAUGAAUAAUGUGUCACAGUAGUAGUUCCCAAUAUGCUUGAAACAAACUGGAGACUGAUCAGUUUCUUUCUGUAUCAAAAGACAGAAUCCACAGCUAUAUGUCACGAACUGUUUGAUUGGUGUCUGUGACCAUAGCGAAGGUGCCGAUCAAGACUAGUAUGUUGGCUGGUUUGAGCAUAAUGAAAUGGAAAUUGCUCCAAGGAAAGGGUGUGUACGUGAUGUUGGAAGCUUCUUUAGAGUUAGCCGACCCGGUUAAUUUUGGGGAGCUUGUUUCUAGACUUGACAAUGAAGAAGAGAUUGACCACUCCUACACAAACUGGUUGGGAGCUGGAGUCGUUCCCUGAUGAGUCCAUGACAGGACGAAACCAAUCAGCAUAGUGAAAUUGAAAUGCAUGACAUACAGACCGAGUCCCUUGAUUCUUGCCCAAUGUGGUCGCCACACAGACGUGCCACCACGUUGGAAAUCUAGGCCUGUGACAUAUAGCUAACCAAAAAAAGAGAUAGAAGAACACUGAGCUGCCAAGGAGCAGUGGCCUAACAUGGAUCAAGGCAGACUUAUCAACAGCCUGUCCAAUCUGAAGUUCAUAAUUGGAGAAUGGCCAGUCUGUGUUGUUUAAUGCUAUGAACUCUACCGCAUUCUUGUCUGCUUCCCCUUCAUCUGCUUGGCAACUAGGCAAUGGAAAAUUUGGUCUUUAGAAUCUGGAGCCAAGAAAGACUACCUUUACAGGCACUCACAUCUGAACAACCCCCUUUCCUCAUCAAACAAUACAAUAGCUGUUAAAUCCACUCGCAGCUACAUUGCAAUUUUCAUCAGUAAUUGCCUGCAGAACAGACCAAGAAGAAGUAUUAAUGCAGUCCCAGUGGUUUGCAGUGUUCUUUUUCGAGUGCUUAUAGAAUCAAAGUCAAGUCUUGUCCUGUGGUAAUAGUCACUCCCAAAGUCUGUCUUCUGAUAUGAGGUUAACUUAUUUGGCAAGAUGGUAUCAGUGGGAUUCUUGAAGCUCUCCCAGGCAUAAAUAAGUAAAGCUAUAUUUUAAAAAAAAGAUUGGUUACCGAUCAGAAAAAACCUAGUAGAAUUAGCAUAGAAUAUGUAAAAACUGGAAAAUACCAUGUUAAUUUGGGCAGGUCAUCAAAACAUGUGGUUUUGGCCUCUUAAAUAUUCAAUCACAAGUACAUUCUAUAUGAUUUUAAGCUACUAGAGAAGUAGGAAAAAGAAAAUUAUGAGAAUGUCAACCAGUGGAAAAUAAUUUCCUCAAAUAACUUCUCUCAAUAUCCUUUUCCUUUGUGACAAUAUUAAAGACCGUAGGGUUACAAGUUAAUUUUCAUCUCCGGACUCCAUGUGAACGUACUUGAGUCUGAUUAUAACUCGACCCAACCGCGAGAGGUAGGCUAUUGGGUCAGUAUUUGGAUUGAGCCAUCUCCCACAAAUGAGGAAGAUGUUAGGCACAUGUGGCCCAUCAUUAAAAAAUUUAAAUUGAACUUCCCACUAACAAUUAUUUUCUCUGAUAUUGUGUGUAUAUGUUGAAGGAGGAGAUAACCAUCCAUCCAACUCUUUUUUCUCUUCUUUGAUAAGAAUAGACCAGAGUAAAAAAAUAUACAAGCAUUGGAGGGAUAAGGGUUCUAUAUAUUGCAUUUCGUGGAUUAUUUUCUAACCAAGGCUUUCGCUGAAUUUAACUACUAUGGUUGGAGGUAUGAUGUAUAGCUUAAGUUUUUAUAAUUCACUGUCUAGAAUGGAUGAACAUUACAAGUCUCGCUUGGUCUCUCCUCGAACGAACUCUAUGGGCUGGCCUAGGGCAUGAAUUUCCGGGUUUUCCACCUUUCAAUGAGUUCAACUUCUUGUCGUUUUGGGCAGAAUGCUGCAUGGAAGAACUUCAUAGAACAAAACCCAGUAUAUAUAAAUAAAGAAAAUGAUUUUCUUAUUCUAUCAGUUUUCUUGUGCUCUUAAACAACAAUGAGCAUAAGCUCUUUUCCCGAUUCGCUUCUCUUCAGUUUAUUUAGAAAUCGCAGUGUUAGAUUAUCAGUUAUAAAUUCGAUGAUGGAGAUGUAUAUAGACUUAGAAAUUAACAAAAUGAUCGACGUACAAUACUGGGAGGCAAAUGGGGUGAUUUCUAAGUCCUUUUACAUCAGAACUUAUCUUACUAUAUGGUAUGCAAGUCAGGGGGGUUCAGGGAGUUCAAUCAGGGUCUUAUUUGGUCUCUGUUGCUGUCCAGCAUCUUCUUCAGCUGCUUUCCUUGUUCUUCAAUCUGCAGCUGUAAAUUUCUUUGGAUCUGAUGCCAAGAAAGAGGAAUUAAAUGUCAAGGUAUAUAUGAAAGUGGCAAUUUGUGUUGAGUAGCAAAGGAAACAACCCCAAACCUCUAAUUGUUCAUGGAGAUGCCUCUGGACCUCUAGUUGCAAUCGCAGUCCUUCUGCUAUCCGCAAGCCUCUGCCAGAAGAAAACACCCAAAGAGAUUAGCUUUUAAUAUUGCUUUGCGUUGGUCACCAAAAAUCUAUUAAUAUCUUGUCGAAAUCAUUGAGUAAUCUGUCAUAUGAAAAGUUGGCGCUUAGAGAGAACAUGUGUAAUCUGAUAUAUCUUACGUUUCUGGAUCGAACUUUGUUAUGACAUCUGCACAAGUUCUCUUCUCGGAAUUUUCUGCGUUUGGAAUAGAUCAUUGUUAGAGAGUAUGAUAUACGUUGUGUUUUAUAUCCUAAGAUGUUUUAUUAAAAUUAAUUAUCCAAAGACAUAUCAAAACUAGGUUGUCUAACAUAGUAUAAUUAGAGCUAGGUUUAUUUAGUAGGAGCAAGAUAAUGGGUUUGAACAUCAUCAUAUGCUUAUUUUUCUAAUUUGUUGAGUCCUUUACAAAUCUAAUUGAAGUUAUUGGUGAUUUGUUUACUAACGGGUUGAUAGAUAUAUGUUUUAACAAAAAAGAUGGUAGUAAAUAGAAGUAUAAAAAGUUUUGGUUUGAUGGGUUUUUGAAGGAAUACAAUGGUAAUUGUAUGCUUGAAGCCAAACUAAACCAAGCUUCUAGUGAUGGAAAAUUCGAAUCAAACUAAGCUUGCUUAAAGACAACUUUGAUUUGGCUGAGUUUAGAUGAUUGAUUUGAUACAAACUAUUUUAGACCUUAGGCCCAUUUAGUUUUUAGUAGUUAUUUAGAACUGUAUUUGGCAUGAAGUCCAACAUACAUUUAAAAACUUUAGUCUGAAUUAUAAUGGAUACAUCUAAAAAUUAAUUUGACCAGCUAUAACCUAAUGAUAAUAAAUCACUUUAAUCGGUCCAUAAAUAUAUAUGCAGUAAUGCAUAUAAAAAAAUUCAUUCAACAUCAAAUAAUUAUAAAUCAUAAAGAAAAAAGAAGUUUUAGAACUUGAUUUGGUUUGAUAAAAAAAAACCAAAUAACUGAUUAAGAGUUAAUUUGAGAGUGAUUUUAAUUCAAGAAGUUUUAGUUUGUAGCCUUUUAUUGACAAAUUUUUUUAAAGGAAAAUCGCUUUGAACUCAUUUGGAAGUCAUUUUGAUUAAAAUGCCAUCUAUAGUGCUUUUGUUUAAUAACACUUUCAUUUAAAAUAUUUUUAAAAAGAAUCACUAAGUAUUUGAAUAUAAACUAAGAAACAAAAGCUUUAAUAGCAUUGUAUAAUGUAUUGUAUUGUGUAACAUAUCAUGCAUCAAAAAUGUUAUUUUGGAAAUUAUUACUUAUCAAAUCACUUCAAGUGAUUCUCCCAAAAUUGAUUUUCAAAAGUUCGUCAAAUGCCUAGCUAACUUUUGUAAGAAAGCUUUUUCUAACAUUAGGAAUUGUUCUUAACCCCUCUCACAAAUAGGUUUUUAGUAUUCAAGUAUAAACAAAAAACAAAUGUGUUUUUGGUUAGGCCUUAUAGAGUUCUAAGUGAUUUUUAAAAGAAUAGUCUGAAAGUAAUUAUGAAUAGUUACAAAUUACUCUUUAAAUUUUAAAAAGGUCCCAAAACAUCUAAUUUUAAAGGUAAUUAGAUAGAGACGAGUUUUGAUACCAUGUUAAAUUAUCAUUUUUCUUAAAAGUUUAAAUUUAUAAAAUUUAGGUUUAAUAUACAUAUCAUGCUCUUUAACAUUAAACAUUUCAAAAUGACUAACAAAUAAGAUCUAAGUAUGUUUCAAUAAUUUCCAAACCAAAUUAAUUGAGUUUCAUGAUUGUUAAAAAUUGAACCAAUUUCCUCAAUUUUAAUUGGGUUGGAUCGGUUUUAUGGGGUUUCUAAUGGGAAUGGGUCAUCUACCAAGACACCGGAUCAGAAAACCAAUUAACUCAUUCAAAUACUUUUAUAGCAACACGAAAAAUUAUUUCAAUUUCCAUGAGAAUUCCUACUAGCAGAAGCCCACAGGUUGAUGUUAUUGCCUUAACAUACAUACAUACCUUCUGUUGAUCCUGGUUGGUGCCUUGCAAUACGAUACUUCUGAAAAACAAUAAUGGCAGAACGCUGAUCUUCAGACCCAGCAAAAAAAAAAAAAGAAAAAAAAAAAGAAAAAAAGAAAAAAAGGAGGAACAAUAAGCCAAACAUUCAGAAUUGAGGUUGAAAAUCAAUCAAACCUGCAAGUGACUUUUGACAUGGAAGAUGGUCAGUCCCUCAGAGCCCAUCAGCUUAAGGAUUCCCUUUGGAGUUGCCUCUGCAUUCAACCAUCAAACAAGCAUUGAUUCAGUAACUUCUUCUUAACUGAAAAACCCUAUAUAUGAUCACUACUGCUGCUCACUUUCAGCUCCCCCUAGACAAUUUACAGACUCAACAAAUCGCUUGUGAAGAUCUUGAGUCCAUCUAAUCCGCGUCUUGUUUGAAGCGAAAGAAGUAGUAUUAUGAGAAGGAUUUGCAGGCUGCCUCCUUAGUUGAAAUCUAGAGCUGGGUUCAAUCUGUAGAGUCCAUUGAAUGGAGAAGAAGUCAGGAUAUCAGAAAGCAGUAUACAGAAAUAAAACAGACAAGAAGAACCAGUGGAGAACUCACUCUUUGAUUCUGAUUUUCCCGAAGAAUUCUGUAGGGCUGCGCAUCUUCAACGUCAGACUUGAUGAACAAGAUGUCACAAACCUGUGAAUUUCGAUAUGGGGUUCUAGUGGAAUUUUGAUUUUCACAGCUGGGAAGGUUCUGAGUAUCCUUUGAUUGAGAACCUGCUGGAUCAAAUUUAGAAGAUGGGUAUGAUGAGGUUACUGAAUCAGCAGGAUAGGAAUCACAUUCUGGAAACCCCAUGUAGAAUUCAGUUGCAUAAAAGGCAGAAGCUGCUGGACACCCGAAAUGGCCAGCAAUGGUGGUAGGAGUACUCCCCAAGUUGAUUAUCUGCUGGGUGGAGCCUCCCUCUGAGGCCGGCAACUGAUCAGGCUGGAAACAAAAUCCCAUCUUCCAUGGCUGCCGGGAAAAAAUACCUUUCCCAGAAUAACAGUUGAAUGAUCCAGUGUUUUGAUUCUGAACUACAUCAAUCUUCUUAGUAUUCAUUAUGACAAUCAACCAGCAAUGCAAGGAAAAAAAAAACAGAACUUUUCUCUUGAUUGACUACUUCUCAAACAGACUGAACCAUCAUAUGAAAGUAUAAACGGUGAAGAAGGUAAACAAUUCACUAUGAAUAUGGACUCUCACAGGGGCUGGGGGAGUCUUCUCUCUGCAAUGGAAAAAAGCUUCUAACUUAGGAUGUGCCAUAAAUUAAAGUAUGAACUAUGAACCCAUGCAAGCUUUUUUAAAUACUUGAUGAAGGGUGGAUUAAUUAGUUGAUCAUAGUCUAACAAUGAUCAUAUGAUAAACCCGAAGCAAUGAACUCGUUACUAUAAAAGAUUAAUUUCCAUUUAGGUAUACAAAUCAAUGAAGUUGAUCCCAUCUAUAGGGAUCAUAUAUUAUUGGAAUAAGUCCUAAGAAAGGGUUAGUUAACACGCUAAUGUUGAUUAAUGUAUAGCUAAUGCAUAGCUUUUUGGGGUUAAAAUUUGGCUAUGCGGCUAAGUGAUUAUGACAAUGUACAACAGGUAGGUCAACAAGGAUUCGAUACUUACAAAAAGCCUUCUUAUCUUGUUUAUUUAGGGGCAUUAAACAAAGAUGAAAUAAUUCUUAGAUGACAAAGACAACUCUUUGUACCAAGGCAAGCAUGUUAUCUUUCAAUAAACAAAGAGGAAUUCUUUUGGCUCCUUUUGUAGGCUUUACUAUCCAAACUGACCCUUGGGGGUUUGAAGAGACCAUGCAAAUGGGUUUGCCGUUAGUGGGUAAUUUGUCCUUCAACUUGUUGAUCAUUUUGUACGAGUUCCAAGAAUAUAUAGAUUGAAGUACAAGGACUUGAAGAAUAAGUUAAAUCAAGCAUGGAGUUGAAUUUGAAACACAAACACAAAUGCAGCCAUUCAAUCUAGAGAUUACUUCAAAUAAUAAAUAAAUCUUAUAACAUUUAGAAUGUUUGGAUGCAUUUCGUAUUUUUUUUUUAAAUAAAAAACUUCAAAAAAAUAAAAAAUAGACCUUAUAAAAUUAGUGUCUUUUUUGAUACAUUUUAUGUUUUUUUUUUAAUUAAGAACUUUUGUACAAAAGUGGAAUAUCUUGUACAAAAAGUAUAAAUUUAUCUUAUAACUUUUAAAAAUUUUGUUCGAGAUAAUAAUUUUUUUUAAUACCUCAAUUUUUUAAAAUAAUUUUAAAAUCAUUAUUUAUUUAUUUAUUUUUAAUGUAAGUCUUGAAGAGUUUUUAUAUGUAUUUUAUAUAAAAAUCACUAUUAUUUUUAAAAAAAAAAUGAAAACUAGACAAUACAUUCAAAUAAGCACUUAAUUUUUUUGCAGAAAAAUUGAACUUCAUAGAACUAGAAUAAGAGAAAAUCACAGUUGUCCACACACUUAUGUACUACAAAAAAGUGUUUUAAAUUUCUAUUUAGAUCUUUUUAUUGGACAAGAAAAGCUAUUAAAACAUACUUCUCUCUAUAUAUUCUAAGUGAUGAAAAAGAAAAAUUAUCAAAUGGAGAUAAACAUGCAUGUAAAGCUUAUAUUGACUAUAUAGUAAGGUUUUAAUAAUUGUAUCUAUUUUAUUUAUUUUUUAUUUUUAACAGUAUGUCCUAUGAUACAGUGGAAUGAAUCUCUAUCAUCCAGUGACGUAGACCAUGAUUAGUCAAGUCAUGUUAAAACCUUAUGGAUAUUUACAUAAAUGAUUUUUAUCAUGUUACUACACCAAUACUCCAUUAGAGCAAACUUCCUUUUGCAAUUAUUUGGAAGAUGACUUGUGCCAUCACAACAUGUUCAAUGAGAAAGCUAUAACUUGUCAUUUCACUAAGUUUUCAUUAAUUUGCAUUUUGUUUAUGGAGAAAGACCCUCUACUAUCCAACUCCCUUUGAAAAUGGGGUUGGUAGAAUCAUUUAGGCAACUGUCAAACAUAAUAUGCUCACACAACUGUGUAUAUGAAAUUGUCUCCCACUCUGAUGGGCACAGCCGCACAGCACAAGUGGCACAUAUGCAUAUUGACCAUGUAGCCAUGGUAGUAUGCUUUAUAUGUAAAUAGGCGGCAUAUGCGUAUAGAAUUUAGUGGCAACUCUUAUUGCUUUUUGCUUGUUCAUGAUUGAGGUGUGAAUGUGGAUAUUGUAGACAUUCCAAAUUGAAAGAAGAGAUUGAUGCAUGAGAGGACUGUUUUGAUGCCAAUUUGCAGGUUCCACAUUUCCUUUUUUAGUAAUAUUGCCUCAUUACAACAUCCCCACUUGCUUUGACAAAAGUCAGUCUACUUCGAAGCUAUAAUUUUUUAGUCCAAUCUUUUACUUCUGAUCACAUCCUAAUCAGAAUCUUGUUUUUGCCUUCAAGUUAACUGAUCCAAAGUAGCCCAUAUUCUUUUCUCCUCCUUGGAAAAAUCUGUACGUCUAUGCAGUAGUUUUGCAGUCCCAGAGCUCCAUUGAGUCCAUUUGGAUGCUGGAACAUGUUUUAAUUGAGCUCUGAAGAAUCUUGGGGAAGUUAGUCUUGUUUGUUUCUUUGGAAGGAGUUGCCUUCUGAAACAACUGGGUUCCCCUGCUCCCCCUUCUAAGAAUUCCAAAAACUUUAAUAUCACAUUUGGCAAAAAGAGAGGAGAGGAAAGGAGGAAAAGAAAUAAAAGCUCUAUUUGGCAUCAUGUUUGGAAAAUGGGAAAGGGUGGAAUUUCUUUCUUUUUUCCUUGGAGACCCGAAGGUUAUGCUUGGUUCUCGAAAAAUUUAAGGGAAAAUGUAAAAGAAAGAAAAUUGAGAAAGAAAUUAAAAAAUAAAUUUAAAGUUAAUAAAUCCAUUUUUAAUCAACAGACUGAGGUCUCCAUUUUUGGUGACUUCAAUCUUGGACCUUCCCCCACUUCUUUAUCCACAUACCAAACUAUUGUUUGGUAAUCCAUGUUCACUAAUAGCAUAUAAAAGAACAUAAUUAGUCCUUUGAAACAAAACUAAUUAAUUUGAUCAAUCUUCUAAGAUGGCAUGUUACAUAAAAGGUAACAAGAUUAUGCUACUUCUUAAAAUUUUUUCUUAUAGUGUCAAUGCCAUAAUGUGGGUACAAACUAACAGUAUAGGAACAAGUACAUUGAUAAAAAUUAAAAAAGAAAAAUUGGAAAUUUAUUCAGAGAAGUAGCAUCAAUUACCCAGGGAAUAAGUGCCUGCAGAUGUCAUUCCUUAGUCCCCAGUAUGCUUGAAACAAACUGGAGACUGAUCGGUUUCUUACAGUAUCAGAAGACAGCAGCCACAGCUAUAGCUAACCACACAAAGAGAUCGAAGAACACUGAGCUGCCAAGGAGUAGUGACCCAACAAGGAUCAAGGUAGACUUAUCUAGGCCUGUCUGCAAGCGUUUUGCUCUGUCUUCCACAUGAGAGAAGAAAUCUCUUCUGCCAACACAUUGUCUGUAUAAAUGGCUACUGCACAGAAGCAAUACUCUUUCUUCUCCUUGUCAACAGUCCAUCCAAUCUGAAGUUCAUAAUUGGAGAUUUGCCAGUCUGUGAUGUUUAAUUCUUUGAAUUCUACCACAUUGGAAAAUUUGGUCUUUAAAAUCUGGAGCCAAGAAAGAAUACCUACACAGGCACUCACAUCUGAACAGCCCCCUCCUCAUCAAAAAAUACAAUAGCUGUUGAAUCCACAAAUCCCACUGCCACAACCACUUGCAGCUACACUGCAAUUGUCAUCAGUAAUUGCCUGCAGAACACACCAAGAAGUAGUAUUAAUACAGUUCCAGUUGUUUGCAGUGUUAUUUUAGUGUUUAUAUAAUCAAAAUCAAGUGUUGCCCUGUAGUAAUGGUCAUUCUCAAAGUCUCUUAUCUUCUGAGAUGAGGUUAACUUAUCUGGCAAGAUGUAUCAGUGGGAUUCUUGAAGCUCUCCCAGGCAUAAAUAAGUAAAACCAUAUUUUCAAAAAAAUUUGGUCAUCAAUCAAGAAAAACUUGGAAGAAUUAGCAUAGAGUAUGUAAAAAAACUGGAAAUCACCAUGUUAAUUCGAGCAGGUCAUCAGUUAAUUUGGUCAAAACAUGUGGUUUUGGCCUCUUAAAUAUUCAAUCAAAAGUACAUUCUAUAUGAUUUUAAGCUACUAGAGAAGUAUGAAAAAGAAAAUUGUGAGACAAUGUCAACCAGUGGAAACUAAUUUCCUCACGCAACUUCUCUCAAUAUCCCUUUCCUUUGUGACAAUAUUCAAGACCAAAGGUUACAAGUCACAACUUAAUUUUUCAGCUUAAGACUCUUACCGUGUGAAGGUACUUGAGUCUAAUUGUAACUUGACCUAGGAAAGUAAGGGUCAUCCAUGCUUGAUACCAUUGACAUUCGUCGAACAGAAUUGAGUCACAUAAAAUGCUCAUCUCCACUAUUUGGGCUAGUUCAGCUCGAUUCAUAGUCAAAUUCUCUCUCAAAAUGAACUUUCCUGGGAUUAAGAACAAACCUUGUAUCGUAAGAAGUUUAUAAAAAUAAAUCCUAAAAAUAUUUAAGAUAGUCAACAACCAACUCUCUUCUUGAUAAGAGGUGGUGAACAAGUUCAGAACAUAGAAGAGUAAAUUUUCUAAAACAUGAAGGUGGGAAAUAAGCUCAAAAUCAUAAUUUCUAUACAAAAUCAAAAAGUUCAAUCAAGGAAUUGCAGUCAACUACUUUAAGAUAAUGACAACAUUGAAGUGGAAAACAAAACUGAAAAAAGUAUUAAAGUAAAGACAAUUUAAUUACAAUAUUCUUGAUGGGAGUAUCAUGGUAUAGAUCUUCAUUAAGACUUGGACUCUAUAAUUUUCUUUAUGAAUAAACAGCUGGUUCCUGUUCAAAUGAGAACCAAUGCUCAUAGUCAGAGACAGAAGUGUAGGCAUGGCACUAACAAUUCUGCAAAUGAUCAUCUUAAUAAUCAUCUAGUCAUACUUAAGACCUAAGAAAAACCAAAACAAGAACAAAAGAACAUCAAAAUUGGGACAGAAACAAGUGUAGCAACUACACAACAAAGAUAUAAGUCUAUCUGCUCACCUUUUGAAGGUAGUCCAUUGGGUUAGUACAAAAUAGACCGGCUUUUAUUUACAGGGGCUCUCAAUCAGUGCAGGCUGUUGAAUCAGAAGAGAGAUGAGAUAACUAAAAGAUUCAAUAAAUUCAGUACAAUAAAAUACUUCAUAUUAAAAUGUUGCUUUUGAAACUGUAAUUUUUCCAAUGAUCCAAGAUCUAAAAAUAUAUUGGCAUAAAAUUACUGUUGUUUACCUCACAUUUUUUUUUCCAUAGUGAUAUCAAACUUUGUUCUCAUAAUAAGUCCUCUAUGCUGAUCCUGGUUGUUUGAUAUGAGACACAAAAAAGAAAAAAAAAAAAGGGUAGUGCUUAAUUUAGCUUGAUGUUGAAUGGAGCAAAGUUACAACAUGUACUUAUGCAGCCAACUAAGACAUAUUAUGAUGUUGUAAGAUUCAAUGCAUUUUUCAAUAACCAUCAAUUACCGAAAAAUGCGUUCACAUGUUCUUACAUGAGAUAAAUACACAGAUAGUUAAGAGUCAUCUUUACCCAUUUAGAAAGGAAAAUUGAAGAAGACAUGAAAAUAUGACAACUGGCUUUGUUAAAAUGUGAAUUACUGAGGAUCAAUCUUCCUUUACUCUUCUUUUCUUCAUUGGAAAAUUCUUAAAUCAAACAAACAGAGCAUGCUGCACAACCAAAUUCCCUACAAUAAGACAAACAAAUGAACAGACAUCCAAUUCUAGAGAUUGUUAGAAAUUUUGAAACAUGAGUACCUGGCGAGCUACUUUAUGAAUUGGAACAUAAAUUUUCUGAACAAAAUAAGUUUAGGCAUAGAACAAAUUAUCUGACCGUAUAUCGGUGCCAUACCACUUUCAUUAAAAUAACACACCAUCGAUCCCUACUUUUGGAGUUGAGAGCAGACAAUUGCAAUCCCUCUGAUUUGCAAAUAACGAAGAGAGACAUGGGAUUAUGUUUCCUCUGGAACUUGAUUUUGCUUGUCAAUAGCCCAUCCAAUAUGAAGUUCAUAAUUAUAAGAACUCCACCGCAUUCUUCUCUGCUUCCCCUUAAUCUUCUUGGAAACUGGGCAUUUGAAAAAAUUUGGUCUUUAAAAUCUGGACCCAAGAAAGAAUACCUAUACAAGCACACACAUCUAGACAGCCUUCCCUCUUCAUCAAACAAUAUAAUAGCUGUUAAAUCCACAAAUACCACUGCCAUAACACUGGUGCCUAUGCUGCAAAUGUCAUCAGGAAUUGCCUGCACAACAGAUGAAGAAGAAGCAUUUGAGUGCUUAUAUAAUCUAAAAGCUCCAUCAUAGUAAUAGUCACUCCCAAAGUCUCUUAUCUUCUAAUAGGAGGUUCACUUGAUCUGGCAACCAGUGGAAAAAAACCUUAUAUUGAGAUGGUCCACAACCAACUCUGCUCUUAAUAAGUGGUGAGAAAUACGUAAAAUGUGAAAAAUAUAAAGAGGAUAGGGAAUAAAUGUUUAACAUUUCACAGUUUUUAAUUAUCUUGGAGUAAUGAGUUUAUCAUUUUUUUUCAAUUAUUGAAGUACUUUAGAAAGUUGAGGUUUGAGUAGGUGAGUUACCAUUUAUUGGAUUGAUUAAUUCACCCAUGCUUUAAUCAUUAGAAAGUCUGGAAAUAUAGAAGAGUAUAUUUCUAAUUCAAGAAGAUAGUGCAUAAGCUUAGGAUUUUCAUUUCUACACAAAAUCAGUUAGUUCAAUGAGGGAAUUACACUCUUAACUACUUCAAGAUAAUAACAACAUGAAAAUGGAAAAUUGAACUACAAAAGACAUCAAGAUCAAUUUAGUUACAAUAUUCUUCUUGGGAGUUUUACAGUAUAAACCUUUGUUAAGAAUUGGACUUCUUCAUUUAUACUAUGGAACCAAUACUCAUACUCACCAACAGAAGUGCAGGCAUGCCAAUGAGAAUUCUGCUAACGAGACCCUAGCAUAAGAAGAUUUAUGUCUUCUUUUGUGAUCCAUAACCACAUUCUGAAAUGGGAUCCAUGACAUUGAUGUCAAUGAUCAUCUUCACAACAACAGGAAAUAUACAGAAAUUCCUAGCCGUUGUCAAGACCUAAGAAAAGCCAAAACAGGAACAAAACAACAUCAGAAUUGGGAUAGAAACAAGUGCAUCAACUAUCAAAGUAUGUCUAUUUGCUUACCUUUAAAAGGUGGUCCACUUGGUUAGUGCAAAAUAGACUACAUUUUGUUACAGGGAUAACCAAGAAAGGUAGGCUGCUAAACCAAAAGAGAAGUCAAACAGCUAAGAAAUUUGAUCAAUUUAGUAGCAUAAAAAUACUCUACAUAAAAUUAGUAGUUUUCGAAAUGAUUCCAUAUCUAAAAAUACAUUAACAUAAAAUUAUUGUUGUUUACCUGACAUGGUUUUCCAUAGUCAUAAUGGAACUUUAUUUGUCAUGACUCAUGAGAAGUCUUUUAGGCUCAUCCUAGUAAUUUAAUAUGAGACAAAUUUUUAUUUUUAUUUUUUAAAAAAAAACAACAAAAAGUAGUGAUUAAUUUAGUUUGAUUAUGAAUGGAGCAAAGUCACAACAUGCACAUAUGCACCCAACUAAGAAUAUAUUAUGGUGUGGGUAGAGAUUCAAUGCAUAUUUGAAUAACCAUGAAUUACCUAGAGUUCUGGCACAUGCCCAAAUCUCCAACAAUAGGACUAGCUAAUGGCUUGUGUAGAUGUACAAUUCUUAAACAAUGAGACAUUUUUUUUUUUUCCUUUUGUUUAAUUUAGCACAUGCAAUUUGUUUUCCUUUGAAAAUUACUUACUAAUAAGUAGCUAACUAGAAAAUGUCCCUGGUUUCUUCCAUUUCUAUACAUGAGAAAUAGACAGAGAAAGUAAGAAAAAACCACAGCAUCCCUAUUCACUUACUGUCAAAUCAAAACAGAAUAUGAAGCGUCAAGAAAAGGAAAAUAUUAAAUAAUAAUAAAUAAAUAAAUAAAUAAAUAAAACAGAGCAUGCUGCACAACCAAAUCACCAACAACACGACUAGCAAAAGAAUUAUGCAGAUGCACAAUUCUUAAGAUUAUUAGAAAUUUUGAAACAUAAGUUUGGCUGUCUACUUUAUGAAUUAAAAGUUGAAACAUAAAUUUUCUGAAGAAAAUAAGUUUAUCCAUACAACAAUUACCUGAUUGAAUACUGAUGCAGUACCACUUCCAUUAAUACAGCACUUAGUUGAUCACUAUUUUUGGAAUGUGAGCUAUAUAACACCAUUCUAGCCCCUUCUCAAAUUGGCACCGUUGUUCCAGUGAAGGACAGUCGUAGACAUGUAGAUAAGAGAGGGAGUCUGACAGUCUCUGUUUUGUCAAGUAUUGGAGCUUAGAGCACCAUUGGAUAUUCAAUUUUUCAAGAGAGGUGAGGUGUUGAAGACCCACUUCUGUCAACGAUUGGAGCUCACAACAUUUUAUGAUCCCUAAUUCUACAAGAGAGGUGAGUUGUUGAAAACCCAAUUCCCUCAAGGAUUGGAGCCUAGGGCAGUCGCAGAUUCGUAGUACCUUGAGAGAUAUAGGGUGUUGAAAAACCGACCCUGCAAAGCAGUGGGGCUCAGGGUAGCUACUGAUCUCUAAUUUUAGAAGAAAGGUGAGUUGUUGAAGCCCUUUGCUGUUAAGAGACUUGAGAUUAGGAAGUUUUGAGAUUACAAGAGAAGUCAGAGAGGAGGGCAGCAGAUACUUAUUGGGAAAUAAAUCCACAUCUUCACAUCCACAUUCGAUGCUCAAUCGUGUAAGAGAAGCUAGUCUUUGCAAACCCCAGUCCACCUGAGGUGUGAGUUGGUUGCAGUUCCGUAUUUCAAGUUCAUGUAGGUUGGAAGGCAAACCCUCUUUCUGAAACAACACUAGUGGACAAUCCUGUAAACUCAGUUCCCCCAGAGAUGAGUGGGUGAGUGCCAGCAGCCUAAGCUGGGAGCAGCGGUCGAUGCAACAUAACUUCAAGUUGAGAGCAGACAACUCGAUAUGUACAAGAUUAGGGCACGCACUGAUGCGGAAGUCACAAAGAAAUGGGGGAUCCCCAUCUGAAAUCGAAAUGGAGAGGGAUUCAAGCCCCUGAAGACCAACGGAUGUAAAGCCAUGGUUGUUAAUAUUAUUUUACAAUAUAUUCUAUAAAUAUUUUCUUUAAUUAUUUUUUUAUUUUAACUUUAAUUUUAUAAUAAAAGUUUUUAUUUUCUAAAAUAACUAAUAUAAAAAAAUUAAAAAUUAAUAAAAUAAACAAAAUUUAUUAUACAUGGGAUAUGCAUUCUACGUCUUAUCUUAGGAUUAAUAUAUAUUAUUCUAUCAUUUUAUUUGAACUCAUGUUAGGUGAAAAGAAUGUAUUUUCGUACAAAUGAUAAAAAGGUAAUGAUUUGAGAUGAACAGAAAGAAAUUCCAAAAGCCCGUGGGAACACGGAAACUUCAACUGCACCCUCCAACAUCUAUGUAACCUUCAACUACACCCUCCAGCAUCUAUGUAACCUUCCUCAUGGUUGGCCUUAGAGCUGAAUCCUCCUGAAUGCACCAAAUGGACACCAUCACUAGCCUCUCCAGCCUCUUCAUAUCAUUCAUAAUUUGCAUCCUCAUCAUCUUCCACCAACUUUUCCAACUUCCUUUGCACAAACAGUUCAUAAUCUCGAUCCAUUAGAGCUUCCUCUCUGUCUUCCAUAUGAAAGAGGAAAUCUUCUUCUAACACAUUGUCUUUAUAAAUGACUACUUUGAAGAAACAAUCCUCUUUACAUGACUCUUUACACUUUUCCUGCUCAACCAAUUUGUGUUGUUUAAUUCUUUCAACUCCACUUCACUCUCACUCUCAAGAACAAAGUUACCAUUGUCGAGCAUGGCAGCAUGAGUAACCCUGGCCCUUUAACAGCCAACUAAGUUCUCUGCAGCUCAUAUCCUCCUUUGUCAGCGAGUUUGAACUCCCCAUUUUUGGUGAGUUCAGUCUUUGUACCCUUCUGCCACUUCUUUAUCUGCAUACCAAAUUAUUGUUUGGUAAUUCAUGUUCACUAAUUGCAUAUAGAACAUAAUUAGCCCCUGUAAAAAAAUAAUUAAUUUGAUCAAUCAUCUUCUAAGAUGGCAUGUUACAUAAAAGGUAACAAGAUUAUGCUACUUUUUUAAAUUUUUCCUUAGGGUAUCAAUUUCAUAAUGUGGGUACAAACUGAAAGUAUAGGAACAAGUACAUUGAUAAAAAUUAAAAGAGAAAAAUUGGAAAUUUAUUCAGAGAAGUAGCAUCAAUUGCCUAGGGAAUAAGUGUCUGCAAAUGUUGCUCCUUAGUCCCCAGUAUGCUUGAAACAAAUUGGAGACUGAUCAGUUUCUUACAGUAUCAGAAGACAGCAACCCAGAUAUAGCUAACCACACAAAGAGAUUGAAGAACACUGAGCUGACAAGUAGUAGUGACCCAACAAGAAUCAAGGUAGACUUAUCUAGGCCUGUCUGCAAGCCUUUUGCUCUGUCUUCCACAGGAGAGAAGGAAUCUCUUUGGCCAACAAAUUGUUUGUAUAAAUGGCUACCGCACAGAACCAAUCCUCUUUACAAGACUCUUUAAAAUUUCUCCUUGUCAACAGUCUGUCCAAUCCGAAGUUCAUAAUUGGAGAUUUGCUAGUCUGUGUUGUUUAAUUCUAUGAACUCUACUGCAUUCUUCUCUGCUUCCCCUUCACCUGCUUGGCAACUGGGCAUUGGAAAAUUUGGUCUUUAAAAUUUGGAGCCAAGAAAGAAUGCCAACACAGGCACUCACAUCUUAACAACCUCUUCUACUCAUCAAACAAUACAAUAGCUGUUGAAUCCACAAAUCCAGCUACCACAGCCUCUUGCAGCUGCACUGCAAUUGUCAUCAGUAAUUGCCUGCAGAAUAGACUAAGAAGUAUUAAUGCAGUUCCAACGGUUUGCAGUGUUCUGUUUUCAGUGCUUAUAUAAUCAAAAUCAAGUGUUGUCUUGUAGUAAUAUCACUCCCAAAGUCUCUAUCUUCUGAUAAGAGGUUAACUUAUGUGGAAAGAUGGUAUCAAUGGGAUUCUUGAAGCAUGCCCAGGCAGAAAUAACUAAAGCCAUAUUUUCAAAAAAAUUUGGUUACCAACCAAGAAAAACUUGGUAGAAUUAGCAUAUAAUAUGUAAAAAUUGGAAAAUCACCAUGUUAAUUUGAGCAGGUCAUUCAAGUACAUGUGGUUUUGGCCUCUUAAAUAUUCAAUCAUAGGUACAUUCUAUAUGAUUUUAAGCGACUACAAAAGUAUGAAAAAGAAAAUUAUGAGAAUGUCAACCAGUGUGGAAACUAAUUUCCUCAAGUAACUUCUCUCAAUAUCAUUUUCCUUUGUGACAAUAUUAAAGACCUAUAGUUACAAGUUACAACUUAAUUUUCAUCUCCGGACUUACCAUGUGAACAUACUUGAGUCUGAUUGUAACUCGACCCAACCAAGCAAGGGCCAUCCAUAGUUCAUACCAUUGACGUUGGUUGAUGGAAUUGAGUCACAGGCUAGUCCAGCUUGAAUAAUAGUCAAAUAUGCUCUCAAAAUGAACUUUCCUGAGAUUGAGAACAAACCUUGUAUCAUAAAAAGUUCAUAAAAAUAAAUCCGGAGAACAUUUAAUAUAGUCAACAACCAACUCUUUUUCUUCAUAAGAGGUGGUGAAUUAGCUCAUAACAUAGAAGAGUAAAUUUUCUAAAGCAUGAAGAUGGGGAAUAAGCUCAAAAUCAUCAUUUCUAUACAAAAUCAGAAAGUUCAAUGAGAGAAUUGCACUCAACUACUUUAAGAUAAUGACAACAUCAAUAUAAAAAACAGGACCACAAAAGUCUUAUAGUCAAGACAAUUUAAUUACAAUAUUCGUUGUGGGAAUUUUGCAGUAUAGACCUUCAUUUAGACUUGGACUUUUUAAUUUUCUUUAUGAAUAAACAAUUGGCUCCUGCUCAAAUGAAAAAUGAGAACCAAUGCUCAUAGUCACAGACAGAGGUGUAGGCAUGGCAAUACUAAUUUUGCAAAUGAUCAUUUGGUCAUAGUCAAAACCUAAGAAAAGCCAAAAGAAGAACAAUAGAACAUCAAAAUUGGGACAAAAACAUGUGUAGCAACUACAUAACAAAGAUUUGUGUCAAUCUGCUCACCUUUUGAAGGUGGUCCAUUGGGUUAGUGCAAAAUAGACUGACUUUUUUUUUACAGGGGCCCUCAAUCAGUGCUGGCUACUGAACCAGAAGAGAGUUCAGAUAACUAAAAAAUUAUAUAAAUUCAAUACCAUAAAAUACCUCACAUAAAAAUGUUGCUUUUAGAACUAUAGUUUUCCAAAUGUUCUCAAAUUUAAAAAUACAUUGGCAUAAAUGUUUACCUCAUAUAUUUUUCCAUGGUCAUAUCAAACAUUGUUCUCAUAGUAUGUCUUCUAUGCUGAUCCUUGUUACUUAAUAUGAGACACAGAAAAGAAAAAAGUAGUGAUCAAUUUAUUUUGAUAUCGAAGGAAGCAAAGUCAUAACAUGUACAUUACAUAUGUAGCCAACUAAGUACAUAUUAUGAUGUGGGUAAGAUUCAAUACAUAUUUCAAUAACCAUGAAUUACCUAAAAAUGUAUCCACAUGUUUUUACAGGGGAUAAAUACACAAGUAGCUAAGAGUCAUCUCUACCCAUUCCGAAAGGUAAAUUGAUGGUGUCAUGAAAAUAUGAUAACUGACUUCUUUAAAAUAUGAAUUACCAUGGGUCAAUCUUUCUUUACUUCAUUAGAAAAUUCUUAAAAAAGAAAAAAGAAAAAAAAAGAAAAAGACAAGAUUGAGUAUGCUGCAUAACCAAAUUCCCAAUAAGAAGACUAGAAAAUGAGUUAUGGAGACAUGCAACUGUAGAGAUUGUUAGAAAUUUUGAAACAUGAGUACUUGGGCAGCUACAUUAUGAAUUGGAACUUAACUUUUCUAAAGAAAAUAGGUUUAAGCAUAGAACAAAUUACCUGACUGUAUAUUGAUGUAGUACCAUUUUCAUUAAAAUAACAGACCAUUGAUCACUAUUUUUAGAGUUGAGAGAGGGCAAUUGCAUAUAUACAAGAUCAAUGGAUUAUGUUCCCUCUGGAACUCGAUUUUGCUUAUCAAUAGCCCGUGUACCACAUUCUUCUCUGCGCCACUUCAUCUUCUUGGCAACAGGGCAAUUGAAAAAAUUUCGUCUUUAGAAUCUGUAUCCAAGAAAGAAUACCCAUACAAGCAACAAUCUGAACAACCUCCCAUCUUCAUCAAGCAAUACAAUGGUUGUUAAAUCCACAAAUUCCACUACCAUGGCUACUGAUGUCUAUGCUGCAAAUGUCAUCAGAAAUUUCCUGCACGAAAGACCAAGAAGAAGCAUUUGUUUUUAAAAUCAGAAGCUUCUAUAUAUAGUAAAGCAUCUUAUACAAAUUGUAUAGAUUUACCUUGUAUCUUUAAAACUUACAUUUUAAAAAAUUUUAAAAUUUGAGAGAAUAAGAGCCUGUUAGACAAAGUUCUUAAAAAUAAUUUUUCGUUUUUAAAAAUAGAAAACAGUUUUAAAAAUUUAAUAACAUUGUUUGGUUAUUCUUCUCAAUUUCCCGUUUUUAAAAACAAAGUAAAAUAAAGAAUAACUUUUAGAGAAAAAGUAAAAGUUAUUUUCAUCUGUUUUUUAAAAUAAUAGAAAAACACAUGCAUUCUAUUAUUUCUCUUCUACAUAAAAUUAUCAUUUGUUUUUAAAAAAAAUUGUUUCAUAAUUAAAAACAAAAUUAUUUAUCUUUAAUUAAUAUAUAAUUGUGUAUUUAAUUUUUAUUUUUUCAUAAGACUUAACUUGAAUUUGAUUUCAUAUUAUUAUAAAUUAAUUUUAUAAAAUAAAAGUAAUACAUUGUUUUUAAAAAUAAUACAAAUUCUUUAACCUAAACAACAUUAUUGUUUUUUGUUUUAAAAAACUAUUUUUUUAAACAUCUUGCCAAACAUUCUAGUUUAUAAAAAUAUUUUAAAAAACUGUUUUUUUUUGUUUUUUAAUUUGAAAACAAUUCUUAAAAACAAAUUUUAAAAAACACCACCAAAUGAGCCCUAAUUUUUUUUUGAUACCUUGAUUGUUUUAAACAGUUUUUAAAAUUAUUAAUUUUUCAAUGUAAGCCUUUAAGAGUUAAAAUACAAAAGUUACUGUCACUUAAUUUUAGGCUUAACAAUGUAGGAGAUUUAAGUGGAGGCAAGGAAUUAAGCAGAUAUAUUCUUGAGAUUAGAAAUUUGGGUGGAACAUCAAUUUUGUAAAGAAAUUAAGUUUAAGCACACAACAAUUACCUGCCCAUGUGUUGGUGCACUGCCACUCCCAUUAAAAUAGCACCCAAUUGAUCUCUAUUUUUGGAAUGUGAGAUAUAUAACGCCAUUCUUGCCCUUUCUCGAAUUGGAGCCGUUGUUCCAGUGGAGGACAAUCGUAGACGUCCAGAUGAGAGAGGGAGCCUGGCAGUCUCUCUUUUGUCAAGUAUUGGAGCUUAGGGCAAUCCGAGAGAGUUAAGGUUUCAAGAGUGGUGAGGUGGUGAAGACCCGCUUCUGUCAAGGAUUGGAGCCUUCUGCACGACCAGAUUUCUAAUUUCUUGAGAGAGAUAAGGCGUUGAAGAACAGAUCCUGUCGAGAAUUGGAGCUCAGGGCAGUUCUCGAUCCAUAAUUCUCGAAGAGAGGUGAGUUGUUGAAGCCCCUUGUUGUCAAGAGACUUGAGAUUUGGAAGACCCCAGAUUGAAAGAUGAGUUAGAGAAGAGGGCAGCAGACACUCCUUGGGAAAUAAUUCCACGCCUUCACAUCCACCAUUGAUUGUGAAAUGAGUAAGAGAGGUCAGUCUCUGCAAAUCCAAGUCCAUCUGUGACGUGAGUUGGUUGCAGCCCCGUAUUUCAAGUUUCCGUAGGUUGGAAGGCAAACCCUCUCUGUGCAACAACAAUUCUGGACAAUACUCUAAACACAGUUUCUGCAGAGAUGAAUGGGUGUGCGCCAACAAUUUGAGAUUGGAGCAAUUGCAAAUCUCAUGGCACAUCAAAUCGAGAGCGGGCAAUUGGAUGUAUACAAGAUUAGGGCACCCAUCGAUUUUCAAUUGACGAAGAGAUGUGGGAUCCCCCUCUGAAAUCGAGAUGCAGAGCUCCUCAAGCCCCUUAAGACCAUCCAUUUUGAAAUAAGUCAACCUGGGAAAGAUGUCCAAUAUUGAGAAGGACAACGAGAGAGAAUCACAGGUACCGCCAUUGAUUGAUAGAUUUUCGAGAACCGGGUGAUGGCAUCUGAACAACUCAGGUAGAAGAAGGUCCAAUUUGGUACAAUCAGAGAUUGAUAGCGAUUUCAAUGUAGUGGGUAAGCCAACUUUGUUUGGGGAUCUGUAAAAAGAGCAAUCACAAAUUUCCAAACUGUACAUGUUGGUUUGCAGGAUUUCCUCCUCUAGUAGAGACUCCACAGAAUCACAUUUUCUAAUGUAGAGAUAGUGGGGUACCAGUGGAAGUUGCUUCAACUGAGAGACGUCUGAAAUUUCAAUUUUUGAAGUUUGACUAGCUGUGAACCCACAAGUUUGCCUUUUCAACUGUAAUUCACGAGCAGCAGGAACGUUGAGUGUAGGCACAAGCAGUUGCGGACAAUCUUUAAGGUUAAGUUCCUGCAAUGAAGAAAGGUGCAUUGGUAAUUCCCCAGAGAAUUUGCGACACCGCCAUAUAGAAAGCUUCUGGAGACCAGGGAAUUCUCCACAUAUGCCUCCACAACAUAACCAUUUCUCCCAAUUGGACAUAUCUUCAAAUGAUAGAGUUUGCAGGGAUGGGAAGGAGGGAUGAAGCGAGGAAGAAGAAUUCCCAUAAAACUCACUACCCACCAUCACUACUCCACUCAUUUUUGAGAUCUUUAUAUGUUCAAGACAAGGUAGCUGCCCCAGUGGCGGCAAUGUUGAGCAAUUCCCACAAUUCGAAAGCUGAAGGGACACGAGAUUUGAAAAUGAUCCGUCUCCAAGCCAAUCUGGAAAUGUUAGACCAGGAUACCCUCCAAUGGACAGUUUUUUUAAAUUUUGAUGAGGUGAUAACCUGUUGAGAAUUUCAUCUUGUAUAGCAUCAUGACUAAUCUCGUAACUCCAAUUCAAGGAUAACUCAUCAAGGUAUUUCUUAUCCUUCAUAUUCGCCUGCAAUGCAUCCUCAACACCCACCACAUUCUCCAUUUUUGAAAUUUCAAGUCUUCCUUGAAUCUCUGAAAGCUUCCACAAUUCUCCAAAUCGGAAUCCACUUUCUUUGCCCACAAUAAAAUUAGGCAAUUUAUGCAAACUUUUUAAUUGAUCUAUAUCAUUUGGCAUUUCUUUCAAUGAAGUAGACCCGCUAAUAUCAAGAUAGCACAAAUUAAUCAACUUCCCCAUUUUCGAAGGCAAUUCAAGAAGAAGGGGACAUUUACUCAGCAUCAUUGUUUGUAAAUUGCACAAACAACAUAUUGAUUCAGGCAAUCUUUUAAUCAUUGUUGUAGAGAGAUCCAAGUAGCGCAACUGUUUUAAAUCGUGUAUUGAAUCAGGCACAUCUGUUAUGCAGUAUUCACACAAUGACAAUACGCGCAAGGAUUUAAAUUUUGGUAAUAUAUUUUGUAAAACUCUUGUACUCAACGAAUAAAAAGGAUGGUGCCAUAAUGUCUUCACCUCUAAGAUUGUUCUGAGAUGUUUGGCUUCACAAACAGGCUCAAAAGUUUCAAAUACAACUGCCCAGUCAUCGUCACUUUUAAAGUGGAGAAAAUGGCGAGCCUUAUCAGAUAUUUUUUGCACCUUAUAAUCUUCCAAUCGAAUGCAAAAUUCUUGGGAGAUAUGUUGAGCCAAGUCAUGUAUUAAAUCAUGCAUUACAAAGCAUGAUUUUUCUCCUUUAAUACAUUUUUGAAAGAAUGACUUUGCUAAAAGUUCAUUAAAAUAUGAAUCACCUACCUCUUCCAUUCUUCUGUUACUUUGUCCUGAGUGUAAAAGCCCUUCUGCCAUCCAUAAUAGAAUCAGCUUCUCUUUGUCAAAUUCAUAAUCCUUGGGAAAAAUUGAACAGUAAGCAAAACAACGCUUCACAGGAGGAGAGAGAUGCUGAUAACUCAAUCUAAGAGAUGGAAGAAUUUCAUGAUCAGUCUGAGAAUGCCAUGUUUUGCUAUUCAAAAUAUCUUCCCAUUCUCUUCUUUCGGGCUUAGAGUACAAGAGACUCCCGAGUGCUUUCAUAGCCAAAGGCAAUCCUUGGCACUUCUUCACAAUCUCUCUGCCUAUGGGUUCAAGCUGAGGAUAAGCGCAGGGGUCUCCACUUGGAAAUGCAAGUUUUGUAAAUAGGGACCAACUAUCUUCAGGGCUUAAUGUUCCCAGCUGAUGAGUAUGGAUUGCACGCAUGACUUUUGCAACAGUUUCGCUACGACUGGUCACAACAAUCUUGCUUCCCUGGGCUGCAGCGUGGAGUGGAGUUCGUAGUCUAUCCCAACUUUCCCAAUGAAGAGACUCCACAUCCCAGACGUCGUCGAGAACGAGCAGAAAUUUCUUGUUGCCAAGGUUGUCUUUGAGUUGACGUUGAAGCAAAUCUAGGCUGUGAUCGGAAGUAGGUCUACAACCGAUUGCCUCAAGAAUUGAUUUGGUUACACCGAUAAGAAGAAACUCCGUGGAAACACAGACCCAUGCUUUCAGGUGAAAGUGUUCCUUCACUCUGUCAUCGUUAUAGAGAAGCUGAGCGAGUGUGGUCUUGCCGCUGCCGCCCAUGCCCACUAUGGACAUCACAUCUAUGACGUUGUUGGCUGCUGCAGUUUCCUUGUCAGAAAGCAACCACUUCACCAACUCCUCCUUAAUUUCACCCCUGCCGUACACGAAGGAGUCAUCCACCAAAGAAGAGGAUGGUAAUUUUGGUGACAGUUUCUCACCAUCACCUUCUUUCAGCUCAAGCUCAACUUUUUCUUUUGCUAUGUUUUCAAGUCUGGUCAUCAAGCCCUUGACCCUGGACUCCAUGCUUUGGUUGGCAAAGGGAGCCUUAACCCUGGUAGAGAACUUGUUCCACACCUGAUAAAUUCCGCCAGUUUGGACCUCAGCAGCUUCUAUCUCGCACCGCAAGGCUUCGGUAGCGAUCUCGUCCAACAGGUCCUCCGCAUGAUACACAACAUCCUUAACUUGGACCAGCCACUCUUUGACCAGUGGGUCUGAAAAUUGCUUCACCUCCGCAUCAUUGAGCGCUUUGUGGACAACCAGCAAUUUCCUCUUAAAGUCGGUGAGGAGUUCUUGGCUAAGCUUCUGUCCCCGGAUGAAGUUGACGAGCUCCGGAGAAGCCAACUUGUCGAAUAGAACUUGAAGAGAAGCCGAGAGGAGUGCGUCCGCCAUUGCAAAAGGAAUUCAGCGAGAUUGAAUACAGGAAAAAUGAAGGUAAGCGGAAUGCAGAAUCACAGCAGCAAACAGCAAAGUGAAGAGUAAAGACUGGUCUCUUUUGCCAAGGGCUUGAACUUGAAGGAAUCAUUGAUGGUGGUGGACCCAGAUGCAGACUUUUUUGCCAAACACAAUAAUUGAGUGGUGACCGGUGAGUAAAAGAAAGCAAAGGGGAAAGCAAAAGCGCAAAAAUAAGCUGAUGCCAGACUCUAAUGAGUAAGGUGGGUAGAGCUUUCCAAACAGAAAGCAAAAGCCACAAAGCAUGUACCAGCUUUUUUAUUUGUUUCCUCUUAAUUAUUUUUCUUUUUAAUAUACUCAUUUCUUUUUCUACUACUAUUAUUAUUAUUAUAACAGACGAAUAUUUGUUUCAACAUUAAUAUUCCUAAUAUUAUUACUUUCAUUUUUUGUAGUAAUAAUAAUUUCAAUAUUUAUGUUAAUACUAUUAUUUUUAAUAAUUAUAAAUAGUAUUGCAAUUCUACAAUUACUAUCAUUAUUUUUAUUGCUUAUAAUUAUUAUUAAUAGAAUUUAUUAAUACAUAUAUAUAUAUAUCCAAUCACAAUUACAAUUCAUUCACAAAAUAAUUAAUUAUAAAACAUUGUAGUCACAUUAAUAUUUAAUAAAAAUGUAGGUAUAAGCACAAGAUCGAGGAGAUAUUUUGUUUUCAUUUUGUAUUUCUAGGUUUGAAAGAAGCGUAUUUUAUAAUUUUUAUAUAACAUAUGUCUCUAUUUUUUCUUUUCUGUUUUAUUUGUUGAAAUUUUAUUCCUUAAAAGUUAAAACCAAAUUAAAAGGCAUGGUAAAAUAAGUAUUCAAGCUUAACUUGGAAUUACAAGAAUCAUUUUCAAUAAUUAGCAUUUUUAUUUUUAAAAAGUAAUGACUAAAAUUAAGAUUUAAUUAUGAUUAUAAAUUUGUUGCUUUUUACGUUUCCAUAAUGAUAUUGUUUUUUACAUAUUAAAUUUUUGGAUUUUUAUGUGACUUUUCUUUAAUUGGGGUGUGUAAAAAAGAAAAAGAAAUAAUCUUAUUUCCAUCACUGUUUGGAGUUCUUUUUUUCCUAUUAUGAAUUUGAAAAUCAAAUUAAAAAUGCUUUUGAUAAUGUUUCUAUUCAAACGUUAUGUUUAGCUCUCAAAAAUAUUAAGAAAAGAAAAAAAUAUCAAAAAAAUAAUUUUUUAUUAUACUAUAAAAAAAUAUUAAAAAAAAAAAAAUUAAAAUUAAUAAAAAAAAUUAUAUAUUUCUAAAUUAUUUAAUUUUUAUAUAAAUGAGUUAAAAUAAGUUUGAAAUAGUAAAUAAAAAUAAUUUAUUAAUUUUUAAUCUAUUUUUUAUUUUCUUUUAUUUUUUAUUUCUUUUUACUUUUCCUUUACAUUUUUUUUCCCAUACAUUUUCUCUCAUUUUUCGGAAAUCAAACAUAAUUGAAGUGUUUAUAGUAGAAGUGUUUUUUCUAAAAAUGAUUUUAGAAGAAUCACAUAUCAAAUAUUAAUUUUUCAAAAAAUAUUAUAAGUAAUUUUUUAAUACUAAAAGUGGUUUUUUAGAUUUUUAAUAAUAUUUUUAAAAUUUUGUCAAAUACUUCUCUUUUUCAUAAAAAGAUCGAAAUACUUUUAAAAUUAUUGUUAAAUCAACUUUAAGAAUAUCGAAACUAUCAAAACAUACUAUUUGAAAAUCAUAAUAAAUAUUAUGUGAAUGAUCCAAGUGGGCAUGGAUUUUCCUUUCUUUUCUUUUAUUUUAUUUUUUGUAACCCGGAGUGUUGGGUUGAAGUUGAUAUUAACACAAAAGGCCUCAUUUUUGGAAUUUAAUUAACACAAAAUUUCUUUUCAAGUUGAUAUUAAUAUAAAUAAUCUUAUGGAGUCCAUUAUUGGGUUUUCUGCAAACAUACUUCUUUCAUUGAAUCAAUUUUGGUAGGUGGUGGACCCAAGAUUCGGACCAUUUAUUUUUUUCUUUUAUUAUUAUCAAUUUGGUGGAGUUGGUGGGUAGAUUGGUGGAAUCGGAUAGUGCCAAAAAAGCAAAAGCAUCCUAGGCCCAAUAGGAUGAUGCCUACCAUUCCUUCUUUUCCACUUUUAUUUUUUGAAAUUUUAAUCCUUCCACUGGACUUGACAACCAUCUUAAAAUAAUUAUUCGGAGCUAUUGAUUUAAAAUAAUAAGAAUCAUUUUUAAUAUUUUUUUUAAGAAAAAAUAAUUAUUGUCCUAGACUCUAUUUGAUUAUAAUUUCAAAAAAUAUUUUUAAUUUAAAAAAUAUUUUUAAAAAUAUAAAAAAUUAUUUAUAAUAUUAAAAAAUCACUUAUUAUGUUUCCUAAAAUAACACUCGAGUGCUGAUUCUACUCUCCAACUUGUCAAGGAGUUCAUGGCUGAGCUUUUGUGCUGGAUGAAGUUGAUGACCUCCGGAGAAGCCAACCUGUCGAAUAGAACUUGAAGGGAAGCCGAAAGUGCGUCCGCCAUACCUGUUGACUGCAAAACUGAAGGCUGGUCUCUAUUGCCACAAUGCAUAAGGCUUGAAGGAAUGAUUGAUGGUGAUGGACCCAGAUGAAACACCAUAAUUGAGUGGUUAGUAAAACAAAGCAAAGGGGAACCAAAGGCCAAAAAAGCUGUGGUGGACGCAGAUGCUGACUUUUUUGCCAGACACAUUGCCUUGUGACUUGUUAGUAAAACAAAGCAAAGGGAAAAGCAAAAGCAGAAAAAGCAAAAAAAUUUCUCUAAAAUAUCUAUUAAAGUGUCCCACAUUUCUAGACGGAAUAUAUAUUUUUUUUAAUAAAAAAAUUAUUAUAUAGAUUAUUUUCUAAAUUUAUGUAUAAAUGUAAUUAGAUUUUUUAUAAAAUAAAAAGGCAAAGGAUUAACUAAUGACAACCACAUACAAUUUAAUAAUUAAUUAAUUAAUUAACUAAUAUUAGGUUAAUUCAGACUCAAAUUAUUUGGCCAUCAGAGUCAUGAAAGCAUAAAAAAGAAGCUAACAGCAAAAAGGGUGCAUACAAUAAAACCAAAAUUAUGUGGUAUUCCUUCAAGGAUCUUAACUCUAAAAAGCAUUAAAAUUUUGGAGAUCCGAAUAGGAUUCAAGCAACUUGCAAAGAAAUUUCCCAUAUGAAGUUGGUAAUUAUAAGGAAAAGAAAAUUUUUAAUGGAAGAAGGAUCGGACUGGAAGUAAUUGUUUGAAGUCGUCAACAUCAUGACAAAGUUGUUGGUUACUAUGGGGCUAAGAGAAAUUAUUUUUUGAAACAUUAGAUUAAAUACCAACCUCUUAUUUCGUUAUCAUGAAAAGAUGGCGACAAGAAAAUUUAGGCUAACUAGUAGAUAGGUUUAAUCGCAUGGUCCAAAUUAAGAUUGAAAUAAGAAUGCAAGUUCCGUGUCCACAACAUGCUUUCAUACCGCUGAUAUAUGAAACCACAGGUGGUUUUCUAAGUUUUGAAUCUUCCAAAAGCUUGAUAGACUUUUGGUAGGGUUGCCAAAAUUUCUAUAUAGAUAGAGUUCACAGUUGGUUUUGAAUUUUCAAAACACUUAGAAAAGAGACCUUUUGCAUCAAGUACUCGCCAAUUUUUCAAUACCUGUAAAGUUGAGAACAUGGGUUGGUGAAUCAUGUUACAUCAACUGGAAGAGAAAAAGACCUUCUUGGUGCUCACCUACCACCUUGAAAUUUAUAACCAUGGUGUAACAACCUGACUUUUGGGUUAAAAUGACCCAUUUACACAAAAAAAAAAAAAAAACAUAUAUGAUAACCACUUUAUGAAACUUAUGUUUAAAUUAGCCUUUUUGAUGCCACAUAGGAGUCAUGUCAUAGAAACAACCCAUUUACACCAAAAAAAACAUAUAUGAUAACCACUUUAUGAAACUUAUGUUUAAACUAGUCUUUUUGAUGCCAUCGUAGGAGUCAUGUCAUAGAAACAUAUCUUUUUUUUCAUAAUUUUAGUUAAAGUCUCAAUUAACAACUGAUGCUUCAUUUUUAAAUUAAAGUCGUAAUUGCCAACUGAGACUUUAUUUUUUAAUUGAAGCCUCAAUUGACAACUGAAACUUCAUUUUUUAACUAAAACCUCAAUUGCCAACCGAAGUUUCAAUAUUUUUUUAAUUUAAAAUUUAAUUAAAAACUAUUAAAUUACAAUUUAUUAUUUAAAUUAAAAAUAUACUCUUUAAUAAUAAAUUAAUCAUCAACCCAUCACCUCAUCAGUGUCAGCAUCAUUACAGCCCCCUACCUUUUUAUCCCUACGAUUAGUACAGUCACCUAUCUCUUCAGACCUACCAUCAGUGCAAUUCCUUAUCUCUUUAGACCCAUCACCAGCUACCUCUUCAGACCCACUAUUAAUACAACCCCCUAUUUGUUUAAUUUCAAUAAUAAGUUGUAAUUUAAUAAUUUUUAAUUUAAUUUGAAAGUAAAAAAAAAAAGAUAUUAAUUGAAGGCUCAGUUGAUAACUAUGGUUUAAAAAUAUCCUAUUAUUUCGAUAAAAAUAAAAUUGUCAUAUUACACAUAAAUUAAUAUAUUAAAAAACAACAAAUUGAAUAUCUUAAAUUAAUAAAUUAUACAAGUUUAUAUCUUAUUUAUAUGUUAUUUAAAUUUAUUAUUUUAAAAUUAUUAAUUCAUUAAUAAAUAAAAUAUUCAUUUAUAUUAUCUUUUAUUUAUCAAUUUAUAUUUGUUAAAGUAAUACUAGAUUCUUAAGUUUAAAUAUAAAUAAUUUAUUAUUAAAGUAUAUAUUUUUAAUUUCAAUAAUAAAUUAUAAUUUAAUAGUUUUUAAUUAAAUUUUAAAUUUAAAAAAAAAUAACUGAAGCCUCAAUUGACAAUUGAAGUUUUAGUUAAAAAAUGCAACCUCAGUUAACAAUUAAGGUUUCAGUUAAAAAAUAAAGUCUCAAUUGACAAUUGUGACUUUAGUUUAAAAAUUGAAGCUUCGGUUGCUAAUUGAGGCUUUAAUUAAAAUUAUAAAAAAAUAUAUAUAUUCCUAUGACACUUUUCCUAUGUGACACCAAAGAGAUUAUUUUGAACAUAAGUUUUAUAAAGUGAUUAGAUGUUAUAUUUUUUAUUUUAUUUUAUAAAUGGGCUAUUUUGACCCAAAACUCGUAGAACCCUUGUUCGUACAAUUAGAACAAGAAAAUGAGACCAUACAAACAAAGAAAACACUAUAAGAACAAACAUAUGUUCAACUGAAGUUCAUGAUAUAUAGAACUUCCAAGAUUACAAAAAAGAGUAGGUGCAUAUACACUGUCUUAGGGAUGUGUAGUUUCAAAAGGUUGAACUAAAGGGGAAAGGACAAGGGGGCACAGGAGCUUCAACGACUCUUUCAAGCAUCAGUAUGACCAUUCCCAUGUAGGGCAUCGAAGAAGGGUCCUCUUGGAUGCACCAAAGGGCAACCAUCACUAUCCACUCCAGCAUCGCCAUCUCAUUUCUUGCUUCCAUCAUCAUUCUUCACUAGCUUAUCCAAUCUGUGCCCUCUAUAGCAAUCAUAAGCUCAAUCAGUUAGUAUUGCUUCCUCGUCAUUUUCCGGCUGUGAAUGUUGAAAAGCACAGAAAUGGAAACAAGGACACAGAAUUUGCAAUUGAAACUUAGGGCAGUUUCAAUAGUCUGAACUAAAGGGGAAAGUACAUGGAGGCACAGAAACAUCAACCAUGCCUUCAAGCAUCAGUGUGACAAUUCUCAUGGAAGGUCUUAAUGAAGGGUCCUCUUGCAUACACCAAAUUGCUACCACCACUAACCUCUCCAGCCCUCCUCAUGUCAUUUCUUGCCUCAUCAUCAGUCUCCACAAGCAUAUCCAAUUGGUGACCUCUAUAGCAAUCAUAAGCCAAUCAGGAAGGAUGGCUUCCUCUUCAUUUUCUGUUUGGAAAUCAAUGCACAUCCUGCAACAAAUGAUCUCCAGUAACAUGACCCCCAUAACUAUAAGCGUCUAUUUUUGCUGUAAUUGACUUGCUUCUGAACCAUUCUGACACAAGUCCCUCUGAUGGUUAUAAGUGCCUGAGUUUCAUCACUCAUCACAAGCUUUGUCAAUCCAAAAUCGGAAAUCCUUGCUGUGAAUGAAUCAUCCAGAGGACAUUUUGAGGCAUGAUGUCACAGAGGAUGAUCUGUGUGCUACACUCCUGAUGUCACAGAGUACAUCAGCACUCUUGCAAUCCCAAAUCUCAUUCGAAAGUGGAUAUUUCUUCUUCCAGAAGGUCCCUUCUUUAAUUUAAGGACAGCAACCACACAAUUGUAGUCAUAUACAUAAGAUAUUCAGCAGAGGUCUUCACCUAAGCAUUCUAUCUUCUCAAAGUUUGCAGUGGCAGUUCAAACUAUGUUAAGACUUUUCUUGUUAGUCCUCUGGGUUUGAACCUUCUCCUUGUUCACCUUUUUGUACUAUGUUCAGCUUACAGCCAUGCAUUGGGCUUGUUGUAUGGAUCAACAAGGGAAAACCCAAAAAGGGACUCACAAACUGGUCUUCCAUUUGAGUCAGGUAUGCAGUAACUGUUAAAGCCACAACUCUCAGUUUCCCACCUCCCAAAUCUCCCUGAAUCUCAGAGCAAAUGUCCUUUGGGUGUAUUAGGACUGAACCCAGCUUCUUUUGCUCUGGAGCUUGGGCGAGUAUAUUUUCUGAAAACUCCAUCAAAAUCCAGCAUUUCCCAGUAGUAGUAAUCUCUGGUUGAAUCUGCACUUCCUGACUUGAGGUUAGCACUCCCUCUGUUUCGUAGAACAACAUGAAGGUCAUCCGAAUCAUCAAAAAUCACCCAUUCAUUAGAAUUGCUGCCAUUUCCAGAUUAAAGGUGUUAAGCACAAAAUUUCCAUCAGGCAGCAGACGAGGCUGGAACCUUCCCUUCGAGUAGUUGCCUUCAUCUUACUGAAAAGACGCAACGCCACCAGUUUCUAAUAUUUGAGUUGGCAAGAUUGUAUCAAGCAUGGCGGCGUAAACAACCCCAUUAACACCAGACCCAGCUUUCCAUAUGACUUGGUCCUGACCAUCAAGUGUUAACUGACCAUCAAUCAUAAGCUCUACUUCAUAUUCCAAUUUUUUUUCCAGGGAUUUUGUCAACCAGAUAGUUAGCCUGCUAGUGGACGAAAUCCAAAAGCCAAGACCCUGAUGGCAAUUUCCAUGAAAAUGAGCAAUCAGAAGCCAGAAGAGACAAUCCUAAACUAGCAUUAUACUUGGUUUCAGCCACAGCAAGAAAUGGUAGAACAAAGAGAAGCAAGAGGCAUCCAUGGCCAACAACAGGAAAAUCCAUGUUGGUAUAGAGAAUUUGGAGAAAUUGUUCAAAUUAUACCACACUUUUUAAGACGAAAAGAAGGUUGAUUGCAGAGACCCUAUGAUCAGAUUUGAAGAGUACACCAAUGGAAAGUUACUGAAUCCAUUAUCAAGCUAAUUACCUAUCAAUAUCUAAGGCUUGAUUUUCCAUUUUUAGUAGAAAAAAACUGUUCUGAGACAGUCAUAGAAGUCAAUAGUUUUCUUAUUGAUGGAAAACAAACAAUUAAAGAUAUGUCAUAAAUUCUUGUUUGGAACUCAAUCUUGAAAAAAAGUUUGUGGUUUAUUUCCUUGUAAAGGAGUUCUAGCCUUUUGCAUAAAUCAAUGUUUUGGUCUUCCAGGUGGAUCAUAUUUUUUGAUAUCUAGAAUCCACCAAGGUAUGUAGUAAGGCAUUUAUCCUAAUUGGGGUUGAAACAAACCUGAAUGAUAUAAAUCUACCCUCUAUCUUACAUCACUUCAAUACUGAAGAUACCCAGAACUCAGAACCUCGCCAAGCUAGAAGCAAUUGGAUUAACUCAACUACAAGAAAUUUUUUUUUUAUCACAUAAUUGGUUGAUUCCUUACAAACAAAAAAGUGGCUCUUGACAGAAAAUGAUUAGGAAGGCAUGCAAGCAACAAAUACAAAUUAAAUAUAAUGUAAGAUUUUCAUGGAUUAAAAAAAAUACAGGGCAAAAUAGUAUAUAUUAUUUCAACCAGUGAACAUAUGUAAAUGUUGUAUUCUAUUCCAUAAGGGAAACACUCUAUACUCAGUAGCAUAAACAAGCCCAGAAAGCCACUUAUCUCUUUCUUUUUUGCUUUUUUGCCUAUUCUCAUCUCUUAUGACCAGAAGUGCUAAGGAUGAUAUAACCUCACCAAAUAAGUUAGAAACCAGCCAAUCUAGCAGAUUCAGUAGCCGACUUGCUCUCAAUCUUCUUUGAGUCACCAAUAAGUUGGGCAUUAUGCCUCCAACAGUGGGUCUGGAAAUAUUAGAUCUGGCAGCAGGGGUGGCUAUAAAACUCUCCUUUCCAAAACACCAAGUUUCAGGGCCAGAAGUUGCUUCUGUGGCUGGUUUGUUGUGAUGACCAUUUUCUGGUCCUAAACACUAUCCUUAUCCCUGGAAAGAGGCUGCUGCUGUUUGGGCUUGUCACCAAAAGCCUGCCAUGGCUUAGAGUCUGGUCGGGGGAAUCAGAUUUUCUGCGCUGGAGUUUCCAGACUGUUGCUUCAAUCUUUUCUCUCUGCUGUUAUGAGAAGAGAAAAUAUCAGAAAAAUGAAUCGAUGGAAGAAAUUGUUUGAAAUCCAAUAGGCAUGUGUGAGAAUAGGAGAUGAUACUGGAGGAGUAGCAGUUGACUGAAGUCCAGUCGGGGUUCAGUUUUUCAAAGCAUCUCUGUUGGGUGAUGGAGUUCAAGCAGCAAGAGCUUGCAUGAGUUCCUGUAUCUUCUUCAAUCCCCAUUUCUUCAAGCUUCUUCUAGUGCUUAUGAUUGGUGGAGGUGCUUCCAUAAUCCAUCAGGGUCCGAUGGAAGAUUCUCAGCUUUUAAGUCUCUGAAUCAUACAAUUAAGAAAAUGAAGAAUGUCGAAUAAGACAAUACAACUUUGUGGGCAGGACCGCAAAAUGAAGGAAUAGUGGGAAUAUCAAUUAAGAGCAUAAUAAAUGACAAAACUACCAUAUGGCAACACAACAAAAAAUGAUUAUUGUUGUUUACCUCACAUGUUUUUCCAUAGUAAUAACCAAACUAUGUUUCUCAUAAGAAGUCUUCUAUGCCCAUCCUGGUUGCUUAUGAUGAAAUACAAAAAGGUAAAGAAAAAAAACAAGAAGUAGUGAUUGAUUUAGUUCGAUAUUGAAAUGAACAAAGUCAUAACAUGAACAUACACAAGUAUGAUAUCCUAAAAACAAUUUGCAAAAAUCCCCAACUAUUUAUCCAUAUAUUAUGCCAAUAUUAUUUACACACAUUACUUUAAUUCCAAGCAUAUUUCAAAAACCAUAAAUUACCUAAAAUGUAUCAACAAAUAGAGUUUGCUGCAUGGCCAAAUUCCCCACAAUAGGACUAGAAAAUUAUUUCUGUAGAAACAAAUUGAGAAGAUUGUGAGAUUUGGAUUGCAAAAGGAGGUCAAGACCUUUUCAAUGUAGAAGGUUUAAGUAAUUUUGUCUAUUAAACAGUGAUCAGAUGUUUUUAGGCCAUUGAGAACAUGAACAAAAAUAAAGAAAACCUUUUUGCUUUAGUGAAAAAUAAGACAUUGAAAGGAAAUGCAAUCAUAAAUCUUGCAAUUUUGUAUAUUGCAGAUUUAAUUCUCCACUUUUAUUACAUUGGAAAGAGAAUAGCAGCAAGAAAAGACCAAGCAAUCAAAAGUACUUACUGCCAAAGCACAAUACAUCCCUGGUUUCUUCCAUGACUGUAUAAGAGAAAAUAGACCAAGAAAGUGAGAAAAAAACCGAAGCAUCCAUGGUUUUCCAUAGUUAUCAAGUGGUUCACUUGGCUUAGGCACACUGCCAAAUAAAAACAGAGCAUGAAAAUGAGAGUACCAUUAGAAUAUGGCAACUAUUUGUAUCAAAAUGUGAGCACUUUGGUUCAAUCCUCCUCCACUUCUCUUCAAUAUUUGUUUCAGAGUUGAAGCCUCGAGAAAAAGAAAAUCUCUAGCACACCCCUGCCACCAUUAAAAAAAUCAGCCAUGGAAAACAUACAUAAAAUUCCUCACCUAACGUUGACAUGGACUCAAACUAUCUGAAGCUAACCUAAAUUCAUGGAGAUGAAUGGCCAAUCAAGCGAAGAACGUGCCUGUGUGAUGUUCAGUUGAUCAUCUGGAGAAGCUUGGAUCGUGUCCAUGAUUAGAUCUGUCACAUAGGAGCUGUAUGUUGGUAAUUGUCAAAUGCGGUAGUUUCCAUUUGAGAUAAUAGAUGGUGAGAAAUAUAUAGUCGGAAAAAUAAUAAAGCACAUAACCUGAUAUUCUAUUGAUUGAUUCACCCAUUCAAAAAUCAUUAGAAAGACUGGAAAUAUAGAAGAGCAAAUUUUCUAAUUCAAGGAGAUGGUAUAUAAGCUCAGAAUCAUCAUUUAUAUACAAAAUCAGGAAGUUUAAUGAGGGAAUUGCACUCAACCACUUUUAAGAUAAGAACAUCGAAAUGGAUAACAAAGCUUCAAAAAAGUCUUAAAGUCUUAAAGUCUAGAUCAAUUUAAUUGCAAUAUUCUUCUCGGGAGUUUCACAGUAUGAACCUCCAUUAAGACCUGGACUCUUCAAUUUUCUUUUCAAAUAAACAGUUGACUUGGAUAAACAAUGAGAACCAAUGGCCAUGGUCACUUACACAAUUGUAUGCAUGACCAUGACAAUUCUGCUAAUGAGAAGCUAGCACAAGAAGACUACCACCUCAAGGAUCCAUGUCAAUGAUCUCAAUGAUCAUCUGCAGGGCAACAAAAAAUAUACAGAAAUUCCAACUCAUAGUCAAGAUCUAAGAAAUUCCAAAAGAAGAACAAAACCAUGUCAAAAUUGUGAAAAAAACAAAUUCAGCAACUGCCUAACAAAAAUUUAUGUCUUUCUACUAACCUUUUGAAGUUGGUCCACUUGGUUAUUGCCAAAUAAACCGCCUUUCGUCAUAAGGACUCCAAAUAAGCUUGGGCUGUUAAACCAAAAGAGUGUUUAAACAAAUAAAAAAUUGACCAAUUCAGUACCAUAAAAUACUUCAUAUAAAAUUAUUAGUUUAGAAAUUGCAACUUUCUAAAUGAUCCUAGAUUUAAAUAUACAUUAGCAUAAAAUUGCAGUUGUUUACCUCGCAUAUUUUUCUAUUGUCAUAAUUGAACUUUGUUCCUCAUAAGAAGGCAUCUAUGUUCAUACUGGUUACUUAAUAUGGAACAUGUAUAGAAAAGAAAAAGAAAAACAAAAACAAAAAGUUAGUGAUUAAUUUAGUUUGACAUUGACUGGAGCAAAAUCACAACAUAUGCAUAUGCAAGUAUAUUAUCCUCAAAACCAUUGGCAAAAGGCACCAAGUACCCAACUAAGAACAUACUUGAAUAAACAUGAAUUACCUAAAAAUGUAUCCACAUGUUCCUAUGCAACAUAAAUACCCAAAUGCUUAGUAUCAUCUUUGCCCAUUCUAAAAGGUAAAUUGAAGAAGUCAAGGAAAUAUGAUAAUUGGCUGUGUUAAAAUACAAAUUCCCUGGGAUCAAUUUUCCUUCCCCCCCCCCCCCCCCUCCCCCUUCUUUUUUUCUCUUUCUCUGUUGGAGAACUUCUGAAAUCAAACAAAUAGAGUUUGUUGCCUGCCCAAAUCUUCAACAACUGGACCAGCCAAUAACUUGUGUAGAUGUACAAUUCUUCAAGAGUGUCAAGCAGAUUAAAAGCCUUUGAAUGCAAAAAGGAGGUCAAGACAUUAACAAUGUAGAAGAUUUAAAUAGUUCUGGUAUCAAACAUAAUAAAAUUGAUUAAACAAAACCUUAAACAAUGAGGUAUUUUCUUCAAAACAAGAUGAGCUCCACCAUUGUGUGAGCUAUUGAGAAUAUAAAAAAUAAUGGAAUCAUAAGCAAUUAAAAUUACUUACUAAUAAGCAGCUAACUAGAAUGCAUCCAUGGUUUCCUCCAUGCCUGUAUAAGAGAAAUGGAAAAAGAAAGUGAGGAGAAACCAAGGCAUCCAUGUUUUUCCACAGUAAAUAAAAUUUGUGUUCACUUGGGUUAUGCAUACAGCCAAAUAAAAACAGAGCAUGAAAAUGUGAGUUCCAUUAAAAUAUGAGAAUUGUUUGUGUCAAAAUGUGAGCACCUAGGUUGAAUCCCCAUCUACAACUCCUCAAUAUUCGUCCCAGACUUGAAGCUUCAAGGAGAAGAAAAUCUUAAAUCAAAUAAACAGAGCCAAGGAAUCAUGUAGAUAUAUUUUUUAGAUUAGAAAUUGGAACAUAAAUUUUCUAAAGAAUAAGUUUAAUCAUAGAACAAUUACCUGCUGAUGUGCUGGUGCAGUGCCACUUUCAUUAAAAUAGCUCAUCAUUGAUGAUUAUAUUUGGACUGUGAGAUAUAUAACACCAUUCUGGCCCUUUCUCAAAUUGGCACUGUUGUUUCAGUAAAGGACAUGGGUCCACAAUCAGACAAGAGACGGAGUCCGACAAUCUCUUUCUUGUCAAGUAUUGGAACUCACGGCAGCCGUAGAUAUGCAAGAUUUCAAGAGAGGUGAGUUGUUGAAGCCCCUUGCUGUCAAGAGACUUGAGAUUUGGAAGACCAUAGACUGCAAGAAAAGUGAGAGAAGAGGGCAGUAGGCACUCCUUGGGAAAUAAUUCCACGUCUUCACAUCCACCAAAGAUUGCGAAAUGAGUAAGAGAGGUCAGUAUUUGCUUCAUCUCCGCAUCAUUGAGCACUUUGUGGACAACCACCGAUUUCCUCUUCAACUCGUUGAGGAGGUCAUGACUGAGAUUCUUUCGCCGAAUGAAAUUUACGAGUUCCGGAGAAGCCAACCUGUCGAAUAGAACUUGAAGUGAAGCGGAGAGGAGUACGUCCGCCAUAUCUGUUGACUGUUGCUUUGCACAAGGAAUUCAGCGAUUCAAUUCAGGGAAAACGAAGGUAAGCAGAUGCAGAAUCACAACCAAACUGUAGAAGACUGGUAAUGUCAUGUGCACUUGGGGCCCAGUUGUGUAAUGCUUAUUAUUUAAUUUGUUGGUUGCUUAUUAUUUAAUUUGGUUGAGUCAGAGUCAUGUUGAGUUGAUUAAUUUAAUUAGUUGGGUCCAAUAAUUGUACGUGGGCAUCAUCUGUUAAUUCACAGCCAAGUAUUUUGGCUUAAGAAUAGGUCUUUAGGUUGGGUUGUUAGCUGAAUAUCAGCGUUAUGGAUUGAGUCAGUUGUUAUUUUCAGUUGUAUUUAAGUCUUUCAUGUUAAUGAGAAAGGUAUCAAAACAGUUGCAAUCAGUGAGUAUUGGAGGCUGUGGAUUUCCUCGAAUUAAUCCAACACUUUCUUAAGCUUGAACGUGACAUUGGUAUCAGAGCCAGGUCGUUCCAAUGGCUGAGGGUACAGGUACCAGAUAUUCCCAGCUUGCUGAAUCUUUGGCAGCUGUCAAACAAAAUCAAGAGCAGUAUCAGCAAAAUCAUAAUUCUUUGCAACAAGUGGUUGAAGGGCUGGCCCAUCAAUUAGAAGUGGUUGCCUCCAAUGUGCAGACAUUAGUGCAAAUGAAGACUAAGCAUAAUUCAGGUGAUUCAGAAGGGUCUAAACGACAGAUGACUAACCCUCUUUUUGAAGAUAAUGGGGGAAUUCAGACUCGUGCAGUACGGUUGGAUUUUCCUAAAUUUAAUGGAGAAGACCCCAGUGGGUGGGUCUAUCGAGCUGAUCAAUUUUUCAAUUACCAUCAAACCAAUCCACAUCACAGAGUCCUAUUGGCAUCCUUCCAUAUGNNNNNNNNNNNNNNNNNNNNNNNNNNNNNNNNNNNNNNNNNNNNNNNNNNNNNNNNNNNNNNNNNNNNNNNNNNNNNNNNNNNNNNNNNNNNNNNNNNNNNNNNNNNNNNNNNNNNNNNNNNNNNNNNNNNNNNNNNNNNNNNNNNNNNNNNNNNNNNNNNNNNNNNNNNNNNNNNNNNNNNNNNNNNNNNNNNNNNNNNNNNNNNNNNNNNNNNNNNNNNNNNNNNNNNNNNNNNNNNNNNNNNNNNNNNNNNNNNNNNNNNNNNNNNNNNNNNNNNNNNNNNNNNNNNNNNNNNNNNNNNNNNNNNNNNNNNNNNNNNNNNNNNNNNNNNNNNNNNNNNNNNNNNNNNNNNNNNNNNNNNNNNNNNNNNNNNNNNNNNNNNNNNNNNNNNNNNNNNNNNNNNNNNNNNNNNNNNNNNNNNNNNNNNNNNNNNNNNNNNNNNNNNNNNNNNNNNNNNNNNNNNNNNNNNNNNNNNNNNNNNNNNNNNNNNNNNNNNNNNNNNNNNNNNNNNNNNNNNNNNNNNNNNNNNNNNNNNNNNNNNNNNNNNNNNNNNNNNNNNNNNNNNNNNNNNNNNNNNNNNNNNNNNNNNNNNNNNNNNNNNNNNNNNNNNNNNNNNNNNNNNNNNNNNNNNNNNNNNNNNNNNNNNNNNNNNNNNNNNNNNNNNNNNNNNNNNNNNNNNNNNNNNNNNNNNNNNNNNNNNNNNNNNNNNNNNNNNNNNNNNNNNNNNNNNNNNNNNNNNNNNNNNNNNNNNNNNNNNNNNNNNNNNNNNNNNNNNNNNNNNNNNNNNNNNNNNNNNNNNNNNNNNNNNNNNNNNNNNNNNNNNNNNNNNNNNNNNNNNNNNNNNNNNNNNNNNNNNNNNNNNNNNNNNNNNNNNNNNNNNNNNNNNNNNNNNNNNNNNNNNNNNNNNNNNNNNNNNNNNNNNNNNNNNNNNNNNNNNNNNNNNNNNNNNNNNNNNNNNNNNNNNNNNNNNNNNNNNNNNNNNNNNNNNNNNNNNNNNNNNNNNNNNNNNNNNNNNNNNNNNNNNNNNNNNNNNNNNNNNNNNNNNNNNNNNNNNNNNNNNNNNNNNNNNNNNNNNNNNNNNNNNNNNNNNNNNNNNNNNNNNNNNNNNNNNNNNNNNNNNNNNNNNNNNNNNNNNNNNNNNNNNNNNNNNNNNNNNNNNNNNNNNNNNNNNNNNNNNNNNNNNNNNNNNNNNNNNNNNNNNNNNNNNNNNNNNNNNNNNNNNNNNNNNNNNNNNNNNNNNNNNNNNNNNNNNNNNNNNNNNNNNNNNNNNNNNNNNNNNNNNNNNNNNNNNNNNNNNNNNNNNNNNNNNNNNNNNNNNNNNNNNNNNNNNNNNNNNNNNNNNNNNNNNNNNNNNNNNNNNNNNNNNNNNNNNNNNNNNNNNNNNNNNNNNNNNNNNNNNNNNNNNNNNNNNNNNNNNNNNNNNNNNNNNNNNNNNNNNNNNNNNNNNNNNNNNNNNNNNNNNNNNNNNNNNNNNNNNNNNNNNNNNNNNNNNNNNNNNNNNNNNNNNNNNNNNNNNNNNNNNNNNNNNNNNNNNNNNNNNNNNNNNNNNNNNNNNNNNNNNNNNNNNNNNNNNNNNNNNNNNNNNNNNNNNNNNNNNNNNNNNNNNNNNNNNNNNNNNNNNNNNNNNNNNNNNNNNNNNNNNNNNNNNNNNNNNNNNNNNNNNNNNNNNNNNNNNNNNNNNNNNNNNNNNNNNNNNNNNNNNNNNNNNNNNNNNNNNNNNNNNNNNNNNNNNNNNNNNNNNNNNNNNNNNNNNNNNNNNNNNNNNNNNNNNNNNNNNNNNNNNNNNNNNNNNNNNNNNNNNNNNNNNNNNNNNNNNNNNNNNNNNNNNNNNNNNNNNNNNNNNNNNNNNNNNNNNNNNNNNNNNNNNNNNNNNNNNNNNNNNNNNNNNNNNNNNNNNNNNNNNNNNNNNNNNNNNNNNNNNNNNNNNNNNNNNNNNNNNNNNNNNNNNNNNNNNNNNNNNNNNNNNNNNNNNNNNNNNNNNNNNNNNNNNNNNNNNNNNNNNNNNNNNNNNNNNNNNNNNNNNNNNNNNNNNNNNNNNNNNNNNNNNNNNNNNNNNNNNNNNNNNNNNNNNNNNNNNNNNNNNNNNNNNNNNNNNNNNNNNNNNNNNNNNNNNNNNNNNNNNNNNNNNNNNNNNNNNNNNNNNNNNNNNNNNNNNNNNNNNNNNNNNNNNNNNNNNNNNNNNNNNNNNNNNNNNNNNNNNNNNNNNNNNNNNNNNNNNNNNNNNNNNNNNNNNNNNNNNNNNNNNNNNNNNNNNNNNNNNNNNNNNNNNNNNNNNNNNNNNNNNNNNNNNNNNNNNNNNNNNNNNNNNNNNNNNNNNNNNNNNNNNNNNNNNNNNNNNNNNNNNNNNNNNNNNNNNNNNNNNNNNNNNNNNNNNNNNNNNNNNNNNNNNNNNNNNNNNNNNNNNNNNNNNNNNNNNNNNNNNNNNNNNNNNNNNNNNNNNNNNNNNNNNNNNNNNNNNNNNNNNNNNNNNNNNNNNNNNNNNNNNNNNNNNNNNNNNNNNNNNNNNNNNNNNNNNNNNNNNNNNNNNNNNNNNNNNNNNNNNNNNNNNNNNNNNNNNNNNNNNNNNNNNNNNNNNNNNNNNNNNNNNNNNNNNNNNNNNNNNNNNNNNNNNNNNNNNNNNNNNNNNNNNNNNNNNNNNNNNNNNNNNNNNNNNNNNNNNNNNNNNNNNNNNNNNNNNNNNNNNNNNNNNNNNNNNNNNNNNNNNNNNNNNNNNNNNNNNNNNNNNNNNNNNNNNNNNNNNNNNNNNNNNNNNNNNNNNNNNNNNNNNNNNNNNNNNNNNNNNNNNNNNNNNNNNNNNNNNNNNNNNNNNNNNNNNNNNNNNNNNNNNNNNNNNNNNNNNNNNNNNNNNNNNNNNNNNNNNNNNNNNNNNNNNNNNNNNNNNNNNNNNNNNNNNNNNNNNNNNNNNNNNNNNNNNNNNNNNNNNNNNNNNNNNNNNNNNNNNNNNNNNNNNNNNNNNNNNNNNNNNNNNNNNNNNNNNNNNNNNNNNNNNNNNNNNNNNNNNNNNNNNNNNNNNNNNNNNNNNNNNNNNNNNNNNNNNNNNNNNNNNNNNNNNNNNNNNNNNNNNNNNNNNNNNNNNNNNNNNNNNNNNNNNNNNNNNNNNNNNNNNNNNNNNNNNNNNNNNNNNNNNNNNNNNNNNNNNNNNNNNNNNNNNNNNNNNNNNNNNNNNNNNNNNNNNNNNNNNNNNNNNNNNNNNNNNNNNNNNNNNNNNNNNNNNNNNNNNNNNNNNNNNNNNNNNNNNNNNNNNNNNNNNNNNNNNNNNNNNNNNNNNNNNNNNNNNNNNNNNNNNNNNNNNNNNNNNNNNNNNNNNNNNNNNNNNNNNNNNNNNNNNNNNNNNNNNNNNNNNNNNNNNNNNNNNNNNNNNNNNNNNNNNNNNNNNNNNNNNNNNNNNNNNNNNNNNNNNNNNNNNNNNNNNNNNNNNNNNNNNNNNNNNNNNNNNNNNNNNNNNNNNNNNNNNNNNNNNNNNNNNNNNNNNNNNNNNNNNNNNNNNNNNNNNNNNNNNNNNNNNNNNNNNNNNNNNNNNNNNNNNNNNNNNNNNNNNNNNNNNNNNNNNNNNNNNNNNNNNNNNNNNNNNNNNNNNNNNNNNNNNNNNNNNNNNNNNNNNNNNNNNNNNNNNNNNNNNNNNNNNNNNNNNNNNNNNNNNNNNNNNNNNNNNNNNNNNNNNNNNNNNNNNNNNNNNNNNNNNNNNNNNNNNNNNNNNNNNNNNNNNNNNNNNNNNNNNNNNNNNNNNNNNNNNNNNNNNNNNNNNNNNNNNNNNNNNNNNNNNNNNNNNNNNNNNNNNNNNNNNNNNNNNNNNNNNNNNNNNNNNNNNNNNNNNNNNNNNNNNNNNNNNNNNNNNNNNNNNNNNNNNNNNNNNNNNNNNNNNNNNNNNNNNNNNNNNNNNNNNNNNNNNNNNNNNNNNNNNNNNNNNNNNNNNNNNNNNNNNNNNNNNNNNNNNNNNNNNNNNNNNNNNNNNNNNNNNNNNNNNNNNNNNNNNNNNNNNNNNNNNNNNNNNNNNNNNNNNNNNNNNNNNNNNNNNNNNNNNNNNNNNNNNNNNNNNNNNNNNNNNNNNNNNNNNNNNNNNNNNNNNNNNNNNNNNNNNNNNNNNNNNNNNNNNNNNNNNNNNNNNNNNNNNNNNNNNNNNNNNNNNNNNNNNNNNNNNNNNNNNNNNNNNNNNNNNNNNNNNNNNNNNNNNNNNNNNNNNNNNNNNNNNNNNNNNNNNNNNNNNNNNNNNNNNNNNNNNNNNNNNNNNNNNNNNNNNNNNNNNNNNNNNNNNNNNNNNNNNNNNNNNNNNNNNNNNNNNNNNNNNNNNNNNNNNNNNNNNNNNNNNNNNNNNNNNNNNNNNNNNNNNNNNNNNNNNNNNNNNNNNNNNNNNNNNNNNNNNNNNNNNNNNNNNNNNNNNNNNNNNNNNNNNNNNNNNNNNNNNNNNNNNNNNNNNNNNNNNNNNNNNNNNNNNNNNNNNNNNNNNNNNNNNNNNNNNNNNNNNNNNNNNNNNNNNNNNNNNNNNNNNNNNNNNNNNNNNNNNNNNNNNNNNNNNNNNNNNNNNNNNNNNNNNNNNNNNNNNNNNNNNNNNNNNNNNNNNNNNNNNNNNNNNNNNNNNNNNNNNNNNNNNNNNNNNNNNNNNNNNNNNNNNNNNNNNNNNNNNNNNNNNNNNNNNNNNNNNNNNNNNNNNNNNNNNNNNNNNNNNNNNNNNNNNNNNNNNNNNNNNNNNNNNNNNNNNNNNNNNNNNNNNNNNNNNNNNNNNNNNNNNNNNNNNNNNNNNNNNNNNNNNNNNNNNNNNNNNNNNNNNNNNNNNNNNNNNNNNNNNNNNNNNNNNNNNNNNNNNNNNNNNNNNNNNNNNNNNNNNNNNNNNNNNNNNNNNNNNNNNNNNNNNNNNNNNNNNNNNNNNNNNNNNNNNNNNNNNNNNNNNNNNNNNNNNNNNNNNNNNNNNNNNNNNNNNNNNNNNNNNNNNNNNNNNNNNNNNNNNNNNNNNNNNNNNNNNNNNNNNNNNNNNNNNNNNNNNNNNNNNNNNNNNNNNNNNNNNNNNNNNNNNNNNNNNNNNNNNNNNNNNNNNNNNNNNNNNNNNNNNNNNNNNNNNNNNNNNNNNNNNNNNNNNNNNNNNNNNNNNNNNNNNNNNNNNNNNNNNNNNNNNNNNNNNNNNNNNNNNNNNNNNNNNNNNNNNNNNNNNNNNNNNNNNNNNNNNNNNNNNNNNNNNNNNNNNNNNNNNNNNNNNNNNNNNNNNNNNNNNNNNNNNNNNNNNNNNNNNNNNNNNNNNNNNNNNNNNNNNNNNNNNNNNNNNNNNNNNNNNNNNNNNNNNNNNNNNNNNNNNNNNNNNNNNNNNNNNNNNNNNNNNNNNNNNNNNNNNNNNNNNNNNNNNNNNNNNNNNNNNNNNNNNNNNNNNNNNNNNNNNNNNNNNNNNNNNNNNNNNNNNNNNNNNNNNNNNNNNNNNNNNNNNNNNNNNNNNNNNNNNNNNNNNNNNNNNNNNNNNNNNNNNNNNNNNNNNNNNNNNNNNNNNNNNNNNNNNNNNNNNNNNNNNNNNNNNNNNNNNNNNNNNNNNNNNNNNNNNNNNNNNNNNNNNNNNNNNNNNNNNNNNNNNNNNNNNNNNNNNNNNNNNNNNNNNNNNNNNNNNNNNNNNNNNNNNNNNNNNNNNNNNNNNNNNNNNNNNNNNNNNNNNNNNNNNNNNNNNNNNNNNNNNNNNNNNNNNNNNNNNNNNNNNNNNNNNNNNNNNNNNNNNNNNNNNNNNNNNNNNNNNNNNNNNNNNNNNNNNNNNNNNNNNNNNNNNNNNNNNNNNNNNNNNNNNNNNNNNNNNNNNNNNNNNNNNNNNNNNNNNNNNNNNNNNNNNNNNNNNNNNNNNNNNNNNNNNNNNNNNNNNNNNNNNNNNNNNNNNNNNNNNNNNNNNNNNNNNNNNNNNNNNNNNNNNNNNNNNNNNNNNNNNNNNNNNNNNNNNNNNNNNNNNNNNNNNNNNNNNNNNNNNNNNNNNNNNNNNNNNNNNNNNNNNNNNNNNNNNNNNNNNNNNNNNNNNNNNNNNNNNNNNNNNNNNNNNNNNNNNNNNNNNNNNNNNNNNNNNNNNNNNNNNNNNNNNNNNNNNNNNNNNNNNNNNNNNNNNNNNNNNNNNNNNNNNNNNNNNNNNNNNNNNNNNNNNNNNNNNNNNNNNNNNNNNNNNNNNNNNNNNNNNNNNNNNNNNNNNNNNNNNNNNNNNNNNNNNNNNNNNNNNNNNNNNNNNNNNNNNNNNNNNNNNNNNNNNNNNNNNNNNNNNNNNNNNNNNNNNNNNNNNNNNNNNNNNNNNNNNNNNNNNNNNNNNNNNNNNNNNNNNNNNNNNNNNNNNNNNNNNNNNNNNNNNNNNNNNNNNNNNNNNNNNNNNNNNNNNNNNNNNNNNNNNNNNNNNNNNNNNNNNNNNNNNNNNNNNNNNNNNNNNNNNNNNNNNNNNNNNNNNNNNNNNNNNNNNNNNNNNNNNNNNNNNNNNNNNNNNNNNNNNNNNNNNNNNNNNNNNNNNNNNNNNNNNNNNNNNNNNNNNNNNNNNNNNNNNNNNNNNNNNNNNNNNNNNNNNNNNNNNNNNNNNNNNNNNNNNNNNNNNNNNNNNNNNNNNNNNNNNNNNNNNNNNNNNNNNNNNNNNNNNNNNNNNNNNNNNNNNNNNNNNNNNNNNNNNNNNNNNNNNNNNNNNNNNNNNNNNNNNNNNNNNNNNNNNNNNNNNNNNNNNNNNNNNNNNNNNNNNNNNNNNNNNNNNNNNNNNNNNNNNNNNNNNNNNNNNNNNNNNNNNNNNNNNNNNNNNNNNNNNNNNNNNNNNNNNNNNNNNNNNNNNNNNNNNNNNNNNNNNNNNNNNNNNNNNNNNNNNNNNNNNNNNNNNNNNNNNNNNNNNNNNNNNNNNNNNNNNNNNNNNNNNNNNNNNNNNNNNNNNNNNNNNNNNNNNNNNNNNNNNNNNNNNNNNNNNNNNNNNNNNNNNNNNNNNNNNNNNNNNNNNNNNNNNNNNNNNNNNNNNNNNNNNNNNNNNNNNNNNNNNNNNNNNNNNNNNNNNNNNNNNNNNNNNNNNNNNNNNNNNNNNNNNNNNNNNNNNNNNNNNNNNNNNNNNNNNNNNNNNNNNNNNNNNNNNNNNNNNNNNNNNNNNNNNNNNNNNNNNNNNNNNNNNNNNNNNNNNNNNNNNNNNNNNNNNNNNNNNNNNNNNNNNNNNNNNNNNNNNNNNNNNNNNNNNNNNNNNNNNNNNNNNNNNNNNNNNNNNNNNNNNNNNNNNNNNNNNNNNNNNNNNNNNNNNNNNNNNNNNNNNNNNNNNNNNNNNNNNNNNNNNNNNNNNNNNNNNNNNNNNNNNNNNNNNNNNNNNNNNNNNNNNNNNNNNNNNNNNNNNNNNNNNNNNNNNGAAGUCUUGCAUCCCAAAAUUAUAAACAAAGGGAUGGAUUAUUAUUUUACAAAGGAAGAUUGUAUAUUCCAGCUUCAAAGGAGUUGAGAGAACAAAUUCUUUAUUUGCUGCACAGUAGCCCACAAGGAGGACACUCAGGAUUUCACAAGACUCUCCAUAGAGCUAAGUCUGAAUUUUAUUGGGAAGGAAUGAGGAAGGAGGUCAGAAGGUUUAUCAAGGAAUGUGAUAUAUGUCAGCAAAACAAGUCUGAGAAUAUCCACCCGGCUGGAUUGCUGCAACCAUUGCCAAUUCCUACUAAGGUAUGGACUGAUAUUUCCCUUGAUUUUAUUGAAGGAUUACCGAACUCUGAAAGCUAUAGUGUUAUUAUGGUGGUCGUGGAUCGGCUGUCUAAGUAUGCUCACUUUAUUCCUAUUUCUCAUCCGUACACUGCCUCAAAGAUUGCUCAGGUGUUCCUAGCCAAUAUCUUUAAAUUACAUGGGCUGCCUAAUUCCAUUGUUACUGAUAGAGAUCCUACUUUUACGAGUACAUUUUGGAAGGAGCUCUUUAAGCUGCAGGGAACCACCUUGAAAUUUUCAUCAGCUUACCAUCCUCAAACGGAUGGCCAGACAGAGAUUGUCAACAAGAUGGUUGAGCAAUAUCUUAGGUGUUUCUCGGGGGACAAGCCAAAAGGAUGGGUUAAAUGGCUUCCGUUGGCUGAGUGGUGGUACAACACUAACAUUCAUGCAUCUACCAAAUUAUCCCCUUUUGAAUCUGUCUAUGGCUACCCACCCCCAAAAUUAAUUCCUUAUACGCCAGGAACCACACAACUCCAAGAAGUAGAAAAUACUUUGAAGACAAGAGAUGAAAUCAUCCGCAUCCUUCGUACAAAUUUGCAGUUGGCAUAAGAUAGAAUGAAAAAAUUUGCAGAUAUUAAGAGGACUGCGAGAAGUUUCAACAUUGGGGAUUUGGUUUACCUUCGCUUACAACCAUACAAGCAGCAAUCGGUGGUGCAAAGAAGGAAUUUGAAAUUAUCUCCAAGAUUCUAUGGUCCAUAUAGAGUGCUGGAGAAGAUCGGUACUGUUGCUUAUCGGCUUGAGCUUCCUCCUGAGGCAAAAAUACAUCCGGUGUUUCACGUAUCUUGCUUAAAGGAGAAGUUGGGAGAAAGGCACCAGCUGGUUGUUACUCUUCCACCAGCAGACAAGGAUGGAGUUAUUCGACCAGAACCAGAAGAAAUAUUGCACAGGAGGUUGAAGAAGAAAAAAAUCAUGCGGUGACCGAAGUACUGGUGAAAUGGAAGGGGCUCGGUGAAGAUGAAGCAUCUUGGGUGGAAUAUUCUACCUUAGUCAAUGAAUUUCCAGACCUUGUGGACAAGGUCAUUUAAUGAGGGGGGCAAUGUCAUGUGCACUUGGGGCCCUGUGUAAUGCUUAUUAUUUAAUUUGUUGGUUGCUUAUUAUUUAAUUUGGUUGAGUCAGAGUCAUGUUGAGUUGAUUAAUUUAAUUAGUUGGGUCCAAUAAUUGUACGUGGGCAUCAUCCGUUAAUUCACAGCCAAGUAUUUUGGCUUAAGAAUAGGUCUUUAGGUUGGGUUGUUAGCUGAAUAUCAGCGUCGUGGAUUGAGUCAGUUGUUAUUUUCAGUUGUAUUUAAGUCUUUCAUGUUAAUGAGAAAGGUAUCAAAACAGUUGCAAUCAGUGAGUAUUGGAGGCUGUGGAUUUCCUCGAAUUAAUCCAACACUUUCUUAAGCUUGAACGUGACAGGUUUGUAUUAACCAAAUGCAAUAUCAUGCCUACCAAACAGUGGUGAUAAAAAAUUAAUAAAAUAAAAUAGAAAGUCAUAGAAGCACAGGCUGUCACCACCAACCAGAGAGAGAAAGAGAGAGAGAGAGAGAGAGGAGCACGUGAUCCGUCACUCACAAGUUUAAAUUAAUUAAAGUGGGCAACUAGGUUAUAUCCUAGUCUUAUUUUGAUCGGCACUCACCCCCCAAGGUUCCUUUUGUUUUUUCACUAUGUAACAUGUAACCAAAAACAUUAAGGAAAUAUUUUUUGUGUCCAAAGAUUUAUUAAUUCUCCAUAUCUGUUGCGCUGCAGAAGGAAUUCUAAGCAGAUCCAAAAAAAUGCACAUGGGGCUGCACCGAACCCCGAGAGAACCACAUGAUCUGUCACCCACAUGAUCUUUUCAAUUCAUAUAUAGUUUUAUCUAUAUCUUAUUCAUGCAUGUUUUUAAAAUAAUACAUAUUUAUUAAAUUGAGUUUUUUAAAUAUUAAUGUAAGUAUGAUAUGGUAUUAUUGAGUUAUAAAAUAAUAUAUGAUGAUAUCAUCAUAAAAUAAUACAAGUUGAUAUUAUUAUCCUAAAAUAGUCCGAGCAUAUAUAAGUUUUGAUUUCUUCUCAUUGUUUAUUAUAAAUACAAGACUACUUGGAUUUCUCUUUACAUUAUAUAUAUUUGAUAUUUUACGUGAUAUUUCUCAGAUCCAUUUAGGUCAUGAUUAUUUGUUUCACUCUUGCUUACAAAGAGUAUAUGUCAAAUUUCAUGUCAUUAAUUAUUUUAUUAUAAAUUGUAUGAUUGUGAUCAUUUAAGGGGGUACAAUGUCUUAAAACCAUGAAAUAUCAUAGAAUCUCUAUUGGGAAUAUAUAUUGCCACCUCUUUAUACCACUAGUCACCUAAUCCAUAAAAAAUAUAUUAUCAAUUUAGGAUCUCACUUAUAGGUUAAAACAAUUAUUGAUCUAAUGACUAAUGCAAUAUUCUCUCAAUAUUGAGAAUUUAUUUAACAUAGUAGCUUGGAGAAUUUGUGACAACUUGAUAGUAAUUCAAUCAUAUAACCCUUCAUAACUCUUAUUUAAUAUAUAACCAUAUAAACUAAUACAUCAAUUAUGAAGUAGUGUAAUACUAUAACUUUUGAUAAAUUGUCUAAAUUUAUGAACCAAUUAUAAACAUAUUUAUCAACUGUGAUCAAAAUAAGAUGAGUAUAUUUAAUGAGUGAAAUUUGCUCUUAUAUUUUUAAUAAGUUUUUAUAUAUUAUAUAAAAAUUAUUAUUAUCUUUGUAUUUAGAAAAAAAAGAAAAAAAAAAAGGAGUUCGUGUGUAUCAAAACAUAUCCUAAAUUAGAGAUUUUAUUUUUUAUUUUUUAUUUUUCAUUUGUUAUAGUAAAGCUAAGCUGAAGAUUUUAAUUUCUUUUUAAUCAGUCAUUUUCCAUAUGACUUGAGAAUCCAAUGGUCAAUGAGCAAACAUAGAAAAGCUAGCACCCAUAAAAAAAGAAAUUCAGGGAAAUUUUGGUGGAUCUAAUGCCAGGAUUUGUUACCAAACCCCACAAUCUCAAGAUCGGUUAAAAAGCUAUUCUAUAUCAAUACGGUGGAGUAGGUAGAUGGAUGUUGAUUGAUUGAUUGAUUGUCUCAAUUCAAUGGUAGGUCAAAAAGCAUUUUUAUAUCAAUUGGGCCAAUUUGGUGGAGUAGGUGGAUGGAUGUUGAUUGGAGGAUUGCCUCAAUUUUUUCUUUUCUAUUUUAUUUGUUGAAAUUUUAUUCCUUAAAACCAACUUAAAAAGCAUAGUUAAAUAAGUAUUCAAGCUAUUAACUUGGAAUUACAAGAAUCAUUUUCAAUAAUUAGUAUUUUUAAUUUUAAAAAGUAACCACUAGAAUUAAGAUUUAAUUAUGAUUAUGAAAAUGACAUUUUUUUUUUAUGUUUUUAUAAUGAUAUUGUUUUUUACAUAUUAAAUUUUUAGAUUGUUACGUUACUUUUCUUUAAUUAGGAUGUCUAAAAAAGAAAAAGAAAUAAAAUCAUUAAUAAUCUUAUUUCCAUCAAUGUUUGCGGUUCUUACUUUCUCAUUGUGAAUUUGAAAAUUAAAUUAAAAAUACUUUUGACUAUAUUUCUAUUCGAAUGUUAUGUUUCGUUCUUGAAAAAUAUUAAGAAAAAAAUAUAAAGAAAAAUAAUUUUCUCAUAUUUGAUUAUGCUAUGAAAAAUAUAAAAGAAAAUCAAAUAUAAUUAAAACUAGUUAAAAACUUAAGUAUUUUUAAAUUAUUUAAUCUUUAUAUCGAUGAGUUAAAAUAAGUUUGAAGUAGUAAAUAAAAAUAAAUUUUAAAAUUUUAAUCUAUGUUUUAUUUUACUUCAUUUUUUUUUCAUACUUUUUCUUUAUAUUUUCUUUCUUUUUUAUUUUUUCUCAAUUUUUUUUGGAAACCAAACAUAGUCAAAGUGUUUAUAGUAGAAGUGUUUUUUUUUUAAAAUGGUUUUAAGAGAAUCACUUAUUCAAAUAUUAAUUUAUCCAAAAAACAUUAUAAGUAGUUUUCCAACACACUUAGUGAUUUUUCAUAUUUUUAAUAAUAUUUCCUAGAUUUGAUCAAAUACUUCAAUUUUUCAUAAACAUUUUUUAAAGUUCUUAAAAUCAUUAUCAAACCAACUCUAACCAUCAAAACAUACGAUUUCAAAAUCAUAAUAAAUAUUCUGUGAAUAAUUUGAGUGGGUGUCAAUUUUAUUUUAUUUUAUUUUUAUUUUUUGUAACCUGAAGUGUUGGGUUAAGGUUGAUAUUAACACCAAAGGCCUCAUUUUUGGAAUUUAGUUAACACAAAAUUCCUUUUCAAGUUGAUAUUAUUAUAUGUAAUCUUAUGGAUUUGAAUCAAUGUAGGUGGAUGGUGAACUCAAGAUUCUUUUCUUUUUAAUAUCAAACACCAACCAAGUAAAGACAAUUUUUUUUCUUUUUUCUUUUUAAUUAUUAUUAUUAUUAUUAUCAAUUUGGCAGAGUCGGUGGGUAGAUUUGGUGGAGUCGGAUACUACCAAAAAAGCCGACAUUGAGAGUGUAUGGACAAAAGCCAAAAAGAUGAUGUCUACCAUUCUUUCUUUUCCACUUUUAUUUAUUGAAAUUUUAAUCCCUCUAAUGAACUUCACAACCAUCUUAAAAUAAUUAGGAUCAUUUUCAAUAAUUAACAUUUUUUUGAAAAAAAAAAGAGAGUAAUUAUUAACUUAGAACCUAUUUGAAAGUGAUUUUUAAAAAAUAUUAUUAGCUUAAAACAUGUUUUUUUUUUAAAUAAAAUAAAAUAAAAUUUAGCGUAAAUAAAAUUCAAGAAACAUUUUUUAAAAUUUAAAAAAUUACUUAAAAUAUGUUUGAUAGUAAUUUUAAAAAAUAUUUUUAACAUUUUUAAUACUAUGACUUUCAAGUAUUGGAAAUGCUAUAGAAACGUUUUUUAAAAACACUAUCAAAUAAAAUAGUGUUGAAAAUCACUUGUAAUGUUUUUUGAAGAAAGAUUUGAUAUGUGAUUCUCCUCAUCAAUUUGUUGUGGAGUUCAUGGCCGAGCUUUUGUGCUUGAAUGAAGUUGAUGAGCUCCAAAGAAGCCAACUUAUCAAAUAGAAAUUGAAGCAAAGCUGAGAAGAGUGCGUCCCCUAUUGUAAAAGAAAUUGGGCUAGAUUCAAUACAAGAAAAAUGAGGGUAAAUUAUUGUAUGAACUAUGAACCCAUGCAAGAUUUUUUAAACACUCAAUGAAGGGUGGAUUCAUUAGUUGAUCAUAGGGUCUAACAAUAAUCAUACGAUAAACUUGAAGUAAUUAACUAUUUAAUAUAAAAGAUUAAUUUUCAUUUAAGUAUACAAAUCAAUGAAGUUAUUAAUUUAUUAAUAGAAGGGUAUAAAAGAAGGAAAAUAAAAAAAAUGAAUUUAAAAUUAAUAAAUUAUAUUUAUAUGUUACUUUAUACUCAUUUCACUUAUUUAACUUCUAAAUAAUUUGAAAAUAUAUAAGUUAUAAACCAAUUUUAAUCAUAUUUUACUAUCUUUGAUAUUUUUACGGUACGAUCAAAUAUGAAAAAAUAAAUUUUUAAAAUAUUUUUUUUUCAUUUGUUGAUACUUUUUGGGAAUGGAACAUAACCUAAAUCUUUGAUAGUAAUAUGGAUUCACUAAUUGCAUAUUAAAAAAGAAUGUCAAUCCCUUGAUAGAGACUAAUUAAAUUACUUGAUCACUUAUCUAAGAUGGCAUAUUGUUAUAUAAAAUUUAAAAAUAUUAUAUGAAAUAUAAUCAAGAAGACAGGAAAAUAUAUUUUCAUACAAAUGAUCGAAAAGGGCAAUGAUUCAAGAUGAAUUGACAAAGAUUCCAUUUUUGAUUAGCAUACUAUGUCUCCAAAUUUCGUCGUCCCUUUGAUCAAUGAGUUUGACCUCCCCAUUUUUGGUGAGUUCAAUCUUGGACUCUUAUGCCACUUCUUUGUCUGCAUACCUAAUUAUUGUUUGGUAAUCCAUGUUCACUAAUUGCACAUAGAAUAACAUAAUUAGUCCCUUGAAACAAAACUAAUUAAUAUGAUCAAUCAUCUUCUAAGAUGCCAUGUUACAUAAAAGGUAACAAGAUUAUCCCACUUUUUUAAAAAAUUUUCCUUAGGGUGUGAAUGUCAUAAUGUGGGUACAAACUAACAGUAUAGGAACAAGGACAUUGAUAAAAAUUGAAAAAGAAAAAUUGGAAAUUUAUUCAGAGAAGAAGUAGCAUCAAUUGCCUAGGGAAUAAGUGCCUGCAGAUGUUACACCUUGGUCCCCAGUAUGCUUGAAACAAACUGGAGACUGAUCAGUUUCUUACAGUAUCAGAAGACAGCAGCCCAGCUACAGCUAACCACACAAAGAGAUUGAAGAACACUGAGCUGCCAAGGAGUAGUGACCCAGCAAGAAUCAAGGUAGACUUAUCUGGGCCUGUCUGCAAGCCUUUUGCUCUGUCUUCCAUAGGAGAGAAGGAAUCUCUUCUGCCAACACAUUGUCUGUUUAAAUGGCUACUGCACAGAACCAAUCCACUUUACAAGACUCUUUAAAAUUUUUCCUUGUCAACAGUCCGUCCAAUCCAAAGUUCAUAAUUAGAGAUUUCCAGUCUGUGUUGUUUAAUUCUAUGAACUCUACUGCAUUCUUCUCUGCUUCCCCUUCAUCUGCUUGGCAACUGGGCAUUGGAAAAUUUAGUCUUUAAAAUAUGGAGCCAAGAAAGAAUGCCUACACAGGCACUCACAUCUGAACAGCCCCCUCUCCUCAUCAAACAAUACAAUAGCUGUUGAAUCCGCAAAUCCCGCUGCCACGGCCACUUGCAGCUGCACUGCAACUGUCGUCAGUAAUUCCCUACAGAACAGACCAAGAAGUAUUAAUGCAGUUCCAAUGGUUUGCAGUGUUCUAUUUGCAGUGCUUAUAUAAUCAAAAUCAAGUGUUGUCUUGUAGUAAUAUCACUCCCAAAGUCUCUAUCUUCUGAUAAGAGGUUAACUUAGGUGGCAAGAUGGUAUCAAUAGGAUUCUUGAAGCAUGCCCAGGCACAAAUAACUAAAGGCAUAUUUCAAAAAAAUUUGGUUACCAAACAGGAAAAACCUAGUAGAAUUAGCAUAAAAUAGGUAAAAACUGGAAAAUCACCAUGUUAAUUUGAGCAGGUCAUUCAAGUACAUGUGGUUUUGGCCUCUUAAAUAUUCAAUCACAAGUACAUUCUAUAUGAUUUUAAGCUACUACAGAAGUAUGAAAAAGAAAAUUAUGAGAAUGUCAACCAGUGUGGAAACUAAUUUCCUUAAGUAACUUCUCUCAAUAUCCUUUUCCUUUAAGACAAUACGGUUACAAGUUGCAACUUAAUUUUUGUCUCCGGACUUACCAUGUGAACGUACUUGAGUCUGAUUGUAACUCGACCCAACCAAGCAAGGGCCAUCCAUAGUUGAUACUAUUGACGCUGGUUGAUGGAAUUGAGUCCCAGGCUAGUCCAGCUUGACUAAUAGUCAAAUAUGCUCUCAAAGCGAACUUUCCUGAGAUUGAGAACAAACCUUGAAUCAUAAAAAGUUCAGGAAAAUAAAUCCGGAGAAUAUUUAAUAUAGUCAACAACCAACUCUUCUUCCUUCAUAAGAGGUGGUGAAUUAGCUCAUAAUAUAGAAGAGUAAAUUUUGUGAAGAUGGGGAAUAAGCUCAAAAUCAUAAUUUCUAUACAAAAUCAGAAAGUUCAAUGAGAGAAUUGCACUCAACUACUAAAAGAUAAUAACAACAUCAAAAUAAAAAACAGAAAAAAAAAAAGAACCGUAAAAGUCUUAUAGACAAGACAAUUUAAUUACAAUAUUCGUCGUGGGAAUUUUGUGGUAUAGACCUUCAUUUAGACUUGGACUUUUUAAUUUUCUUUAUGAAUAAACAAUUGGCUCCUGCUCAAAUGAAAAAUGAGAACCAAUGCUCAGAGUCACAGACAGAGGUGUAGGCAUGGCAAUGCCAAUUUUGCAAAUGAUCAUUUGGUCAUAGUCAAAACCUCAGAAAAGCCAAAACAAGAACAAUAUAACAUCAAAAUUGGGACAAAAACAUGUGUAGCAACUACAUAACAAAGAUUUGUGUCAAUCUGCUCACCUUUUAAAGGUGGUCCACUGGGUUAGUGCAAAAUAGACUAACUUUUUCUUUAUAGGGGCCCUCAAUCAGUGUUGGCUGCUGAACUAGAAGAGAGUUCAGAUAACUAAAAAAUUCUAUAAAUUCAAUACCAUAAAAUACCUCACAUAAAAAUGUUGCUUUUGGAAUUGUAGUUUUCCAAAUGUUCCCAAAUUUAAAAAUACAUUGGCAUAAAGUUAUUGAUGUUUACCUCAUAUUUUUUUCCAUGGUCAUAUCAAACAUUGUUCACAUAGUAAGUCUUCUAUGCUGAUCCUUGUUACUUAAUAUGAGACACAGAAAAGAAAAAGUAGUGAUCAAUUUAUUUUGAUAUCAAAGGGAGCAAAGCCAUAACAUGUAUAUUACAUAUGUAGCCAACUAAGUACAUAUUAUGAUGUGGGUAAGAUUCAAUACAUAUUUCAAUAACCAUGAAUUACCUAAAAAUGUAUCCACGUGUUCUUAUAGGGGAUAAACACACAAGUAGCUAGGAGUCAUCUCUGCCCAUUUCGAAAGGUAAAUUGAUGGUGUCAUGAAAAUAUGAUAACUGGCUUCUUUAAAAUAUGAAUUACCAUGGAUCAAUCUUUCUUUACUCUUCUUUACUUCAUUAGAAAAUUCUUUUUUUUUUAAAAAAAAAGAUAGGGCAGAGCAUGCUGCAUAACCAAAUUCCCAAUAAGAAGGCUAGAAAAUGAGUUAUGGAGACAUGCAACUAUAGAGAUUGUUAGAAAUUUUGAAACAUGAGUACUUGGCCAGCUACUUUAUGAAUUGGAACAUAACUUUUUUAAAGAAAAUAAGUCUAAGCAUAAAACAAAUUACCUGACGGUAUAUUGAUCACUAUUUUUGGAGUUGAGAGAGGGCAAUUUCAUAUAUACAAGAUCAUGGGAUUAUGUUCCCUCUAGAACUCAAUUUUGCUUGUCAAUAGCCCGUGUACCACAUUCCUCUCUGCUCCCCUUUCAUCUGCUUGGCAAUCGGGCAAUUGAAAAAAUUUCAUCUUUAAAAUCUAUAUCCAAGAAAGAAUACCCAUAUAGGCAACAAUUUGGACAACCUCCCCUCUUCAUCAAGCAAUACAAUGGUUGUUAAAUCCACAAAUCCCACUACCAUGACUACUGGUGUCUAUGCUGCAAAUGUCAUCAGAAAUUGCCUGCACGAUAGACCAAGAAGAAGCAUUUGUUUUUAAAACCAGAAGCUUCUAUAUAUAAGUAAAGCAUCUUAUAUAAAGAGUAUAGAUUUACCUUAUCUAUUUAAAAAUCACAUUUUCAAAAAUUUUAAAAUUUGAGAGAAUAAGAAUCUAUUUGGUGAAGUUUUUAAAAAUAAUUUUAUGUUUUUAAAAAUUGAAAACAGUUUUAAAAAAUUAAUAACACUGUUUGGUUAUUCUUCUCAAUUUCCUUUUUAAAAACAAAAUAAAAUAAAGAACAACUUUUAAAGAACAAGUAAAAGUUAUUUUUAUCCAUUUUUAAAAAUAAUAGAAAAACAUAUGCACUCUAUUAUUUCUCUUCUACAUAGAAUUAUUAUUUUUCAAUUUUUUUGGUUAAGUAAAUUAACUCCAAAUUAAACAAAAUUUAAUGUGUUGUAUUUGUUAACAAGUCUAUUAAUUUUUAAAAAUAAUUUAAAACUUAAAUAAUAAACUCAUUAAUACCAUAAAUUUAUUAAUAUAAUAAAAUAUCUUUUUUUCUAACAAAUAAUAAAAUAGUAUAAUUUCUACUAAAAAUAUAAUUUAUGAUUUUAUUAUAAUAUUACUAUUUAUGUUUUACUAAAAACUAUAUAUAUAUUUUAAUUUAUUUGUAAUUACAAAAUUAUUUUCAUUUUCAAUAAGAAUUCAAUUAAAUUUAAUUAAUUAAUAUUAUAUAAAUUGAAUUAAAAAUAUUUUUACAAAAUUAUAAUAAUUUAAAAGAAAAAAACAAUUGAUCCGAACAAGUUUUUUUUUUUUAAAUCCUUCUAUAAUAAUAACUUACCAAAUAUCCUUAAUUUUAUAAAACAUUAAAAAAAACCUUUUUUGAUUCUUUAACAUUAAAAAAGUUUCUAAAAAAAAACAUAAGAAAUCAUGUUCAAACAACAAAUUUUAAAAAAUUAAUCAAAGUAUUUAAUUGACUUGUAUUAAAAAUGAAUAUUAAAAUUAUUUUUAUAUUAUAGAAAUUUUUGUUUCACUAUAAUAAAAAUAUUGUUUCAUAAUUAAAAACAAAAUUAUUUAUCUUUAAUUAAUAUAUAAUUGUAUAUUUAAUUUUUAUUUUUUAAUAAGACUUAACAUGAAUUUGAUUUCAUAUUAUUAUAAAUUAAUUUUAUAAAAUAAAAGUAAUACAUUGUUUUUAAAAAAUAAUACAAAUUCUUUCAUCUUAUUGUUUUUUGUUUUUUAAAAAAUAUUUUUUAAAAUAUCUUGCCAAACAUUCUGGUUUUUUUAAAAAAAAUUUUGCCCUAAAUUUUUUUUGAUACCUUGAUUGUUUUAAACAGUUUUUAAAAUUAUUAAUUUUUCAAUGUAAGCCUUUAAGAGUUAAAAUACAAAAGUUACUGUCACUUAAUUUUAGGCUUAACAAUGUAGGAGAUUUAAGUGGAGGCAAGGAAUUAAGCAGAUAUAUUCUUGAGAUUAGAAAUUUGGGUGGAACAUCAAUUUUGUAAAGAAAUUAAGUUUAAGCACACAACAAUUACCUGCCCAUGUGUUGGUGCACUGCCACUCCCAUUAAAAUAGCACCCAAUCGAUCACUAUUUUUGGAAUGUGAGAUAUAUAACGCCAUUCUUGCCCUUUCUCGAAUUGGAGCCGUUGUUCCAGCAAAGGACACGAUCCGACAUCCAGAGAACAGAGGGAGUCUGGCAGUCUCUCUUUUGUCAAGUAUUGGAGCUUAGGGCAACGGACGAUACUUAAGGUUUCAAGAGUGGUGAGGUGGUGAAGACCCGCUUCUGUCAAGGAUUGGAGCCUUCUGCACGACCAGAUUUCUAAUUUCUUGAGAGAGAUAAGGCGUUGAAGAACAGAUCCUGUCGAGAAUUGGAGCUCAGGGCAGUUCUCGAUCCAUAAUUCUCGAAGAGAGGUGAGUUGUUGAAGCCCCUUGUUGUCAAGAGACUUGAGAUUUGGAAGACCCCAGAUUGAAAGAUGAGUUAGAGAAGAGGGCAGCAGACACUCCUUGGGAAAUAAUUCCACGCCUUCACAUCCACCUCCGAUUGUGAAAUGAGUAAGAGAGGUCAGUCUUUGCAAAUCCCAGUCCACCUGUGACGUGAGUUGGUUGCAGCGCCAUAUUGCAAGUUCCCGUAGGUUGGAAGGCAAACCCUCCCUGUGCAACAACAAUUCUGGACAAUCCGCUAAACACAGUUUCUGCAGAGAUGAAUGGGUGUGCGCCAGCAAUUUGAGAUUGGAGCAAUUCCAAAUAUCAUGGUACAUCGAGUCAAGAGCAGGCAGUUGGAUGUAUACAAGAUUAAGGCACCGAUGGAUCUUCAAAUUACGAAGAGAUGUGGGAUCCCCCUCUGAAAUCGAGAUGCAGAGCUCCUCAAGCCCCUUAAGACCAUUUAUUUCGAAAUCAGUCAACCUGGGGAAGAUGUCCAAUACUGAGAAGGACAACAAGAGAGAAUCACAGGUACCGCCAUUGAUUGAUAGAUUUUCGAGAACCGGGUGAUGGCAUCUGAACAACUUAGGUAGAAGAAGGUCCAAUUUGGUACAAUCAGAGAUUGAUAACGAUUUCAAUGUAGUGGGUAAGCCAACUUUGUUUGGGGAUCUGUAAAAAGAGCAAUCACAAAUUUCCAAACUGUACAUGUUGGUUUGCAGGAUUUCCUCCUCUAGUAGAGACUCCACAUAAUCACAUUUUCUAAUGUAGAGAUAGUGGGGUACCAGUGGAAGUUGCUUCAACUGAGAGACGUCUGAAAUUUCAAUUUUUGAAGUUUGACUAGCUGUGAACCCACAAGUUUGCCUUUUCAACUGCAAUUCACGGGCAGCAAGAACGUUGAGUGUAGGCACAAGCAGCUGUGGGCAAUUUCGAAGGUUAAGUUCCUUCAAUAAAGGAAGGUGCAUUGGUAAUUCCCCAGUGAGUUUUGGACAGUUACUUAUAGAAAGCUCCUGGAAACGAGGGAAUUCUCCAUGUUUGCCUCCACAACAUAACCAUUUCUCCCAAUUGGACAUAGAGGAAAAUGAUAGAGUUUGCAGGGAUGGGAAGGAGGGAUGAAGCGAGGAAGAAGAAUUCCCAUAAAACUCACUACCCACCCUCACUACUCCAUUCAUUCCAAAGAUCUUUAUAUGUUCAAGACAAGGUAGCUGCCCCAGUGGCGGCAAUGUUGAGCAAUUCCUACAAUUCGAAAGCUGAAGGGAUACGAGAUUUGAAAAUGAUCCGUCUCCAAGCCAAUCUGGAAAUGUUAGACCAGGAUACCCUCCAAUGGACAACUUUUUUAAAUUUGGAUGAGGUGUUAGCCUGUUGAGAAUAUCAUCUUGUAUAGCAUCAUGACUAAUCCCCCGACUCCAAUUCAAGGAUAACUCAUCAAGGUAUUUCUUAUCCUUCAUUUUCGCCUGCAAUGCAUCCUCAACACCCACCACAUUCUCCAUUUUUGAAAUUUCAAGUCUUCCUCGAAUCUCUGAAAGCUUCCACAAUUCUCCAAAUCUGAAUCCACUUUCUUUGCCCACAGUAAAAUUAGAUAAUUUCUGCAAACUUUUUAAUUGACCUAUAUCAUUUGGCAUUUCUUCCAAUGAAUUAGACCCACUAAUAUCAAGAUAGCGCAAAUUAAUCAACUUCCCCAUUUUUGAAGGCAAUUCAAGAAGAGAAUCACAAUUACUCAGCAUCAUCGUUUGCAAAUUGCACAAACAACAUAUUGAUUCAGGUAAUCUUUUAAUCCAUGUUGUAGAGAGAUCCAAGUAACGCAACUGUUUUAAAUUGUGUAUUGAAUCAGGCACAUCUCUUAUGCAGUAUGCACGCAAUGACAACACCCGCAAAGAUUUAAAUUUUGGUAAUAUAUUGUGUAAAACUCUUGUACUCAACAAAUAAGGAGGCCAUGAUGUCUUCACCUCUAAGAUUGUUCUGAGAUGUUUGGCUUCACCAACAGGCUCAAAAGUUUCAAACACAGCUCCCCGGUCAUCGUCACUUUCAAAGUGGAAAAAAUGGCGAGCCUUAUCAGAUAUUUUUGGCAGCUUACAAUCUUCCAAUCGAAUGCAAAAUUCUUGGGAGAUAUGUUGAGCCAAGUCAUGUAUCAGAUCAUGCAUUACAAAGCAUGAUUUUUCUCCUCUAAUACAUUUUUGAAAAAACGACUUUGCUAAAAGUUCAUUUAAAUAUGAAUCACCUACCUCUUCCAUUCUUCUGUUACUUUGUCCUGAGUGUAAAAACCCUUCUGCCAUCCAUAAUAGAAUCAGCUUCUCUUUGUGGAAUUCAUAGUCCUUGGGAAAAUUUGAACAGUAAGCAAAACAACGCUUCACAGGAGGAGAGAGAUGCUGAUAACUCAAUCUAAGAGACGGAAGAAUUUCAUGAUCAGUUUGGGAAUGCCACGUUUCGCUAUUCAAAAUAUCUUCCCAUUCUCCUUUUUCGGCCUUGUAGUACAAGAGGCUCCCGAGUGCUUUAACAGCCAAAGGCAAUCCUUGGCACUUGUCCACAAUCUUUCUUCCUAUGGGCUCAAGCUGUGGAUAAGCGCUGGAGUCUCCAUUUGGAAAUGCAAGUUUUGUAAAUAUGGACCAACUAUCUUCAGGGCUUAAUGUCCCCAAAUGAUGAGUAGGGACUGCUCGCAUGAUUUUUGCAGCAGUUUCACUGCGACUAGUCACAACAAUCUUGCUUCCCUCUGCUGCAGUGAGGAGUGGAUUUCGUAGGCCUACCCAAUCAUCAGACUUCAUAUCCCAGACGUCGUCCAGAACAAGAAGAAAUUUCUUGUUACCUACUCUCUCUUUGAGUUUAAGCUGAAGCAAAUUUAGGGUGUCAUCAGGUUUAGUUUCAGAACCGAUUUCCUUGAGAAUUGAUUUUGUCACCUCCUCGAUGAGAAAAAUCUGAGUGGAAACACAGACCCAUGCUUUCAAGUGGAAGUGUUGCUUGACCGUGUCAUGGUUAUAGAGAAGCUGAGCGAGUGUGGUCUUGCCGUUGCCGCCGAUGCCCACUAUGGACAUCACAUCUAUGUUGUUGCCUGUUGCAUUUUCCUUAUCAGAAAGCAACCACUUCACCAUCUCCUCUUUGAUUCCAUCCCUGCCCACCACAGAGGACUCAUCCACCAAAGAAGUGGUUGGUGGCCUUGGUGACAGUUUAUCGCCCUCACCUUCUUUCAGCCCAAGCUUCUCUUUUUCUUCAGCAAUAUCUUCAAGCUUAGCAAUCAUCUCCUUCACCCUGGACUCCAUGCUUUGAUUGGCAAAUGGAGCCUUAACCCUGGUAGAGAACUUGUUCCACACCUGAUAAAUUCCACCAGGUUGGGAGUCAGCAGCUUCAAUCUCGCACCGCAAGGCUUCGGUAGCGAUCUCGUCCAACAGGUCCUCCGCAUGAUACACAGCAUCCUUAACCUGGACCAGCCAGUCUUUGACUAGUGGGUCUGAAAAUUGCUUCAUCUCCGCAUCAUUGAGCGCUUUGUGGACAACCAGCAAUUUCCUCUUCAAUUUGUUGAGGAGUUCAUGGCUAAGCUUCUGUCCCCGGAUGAAGUUCAUCAACUCCGGAGAAGUCAACCUGUCGAAUAGAACUUGAAGUGAAGCGGAUAGGAGUGCGUCGGCCAUAUCUGUUGACUGUUGCUUUGCAAAUCAAAGGAACUCAGCGAUUCAGUUCAGGAAAAAACGAAGGUAAAGCAGAUGCAGAAUCACACCACCAAACUGUAGUGGACUGGUUUGAACACGAGAUCCAAAAAUAAUGGAAAAAUAAAGAAGGCCACAGAGAGGCACAUGGGGCUGCACCAAACACCAAGGGAUGCACAUGGUCUGUCACCCUCGAGCAUAAAACUCAUGUUAUGUUUAUUAAUGACUCUUAUCUUUUUCAAAUCCAUAUAUAAUUUUAUCUAUAACUUCAUGCAUGUUUUUUUCAAUUGUUAGUAUUGAUUUUUUAUUUUUUUGUUUUUAAUAUAUUGGUGAAUCAAUUGGUGGAGUUGGGGCAGAUCUUUUGACAUUGAUCUAGGUCUUCAAUUUUUUCUAGAUUUGCUCUUUAGAAUAUUGUAUUUUAUUUACCAUUGCAAAAUAAUUAUUCAAGCUCUUAACUUGAAAAUAUUAAAAUUAUUUUUAACAAUUAGCAUUUUUGUUAAAAAAAAUAACUCGGUAGUUUAUGAAUUAAAGUAUGAAAAUUGUCAUUUUCUAUGUUUUCAUAAUGAUGUAAUUGUGAAACUCCUAACCCCCCAAAAAAAAAAAAAAGGAGAAAAGAAAUUUCACCUUAAUUGGCUUUUGUCAAAGGCAUAUAUACCUUUUACUCGCAUUAGUUCUAUACCUACUUGGAUAUCCUUGGUUUUGUACAACCGAUAAUGAAUUUCAUUCAAUUUGAUCGAUUUUGUAGUUCUUUAGUCGAUUUUAAUCAUAAUAAAAGAUUGUCUAUAUUUGAAUGUUUAUGUAAAUUCAACUGAAUUAAGAAUUUUUAUAUGACAAAAAUAAAUCUUAAUUAAAUAACCUUAUUAUUGCCUUCUCUAGCUAUAGCAGUCAUAAAACUUCUCAUAAUUACAUCAUCACCACCUUCACUUUCCAAUCUUGAAGCCACCUUGCAAGAUUCCUUAACAACAUCAUUAUUCAAUUCAAAAAAAUUUCACAUAAAUUAAAUAUAUAAAAAAAAAAAAUCAUUUUUCUCAAUUUUUAUUUUUUUUCUUUUCUGAGCAUUUGUCAAGCAAAUAAAAAAUAGGCUAAAUAACUUGAAAAUAAAUUGAAUAAUAAACCAAAGGAUGGAUUGGUAAGAUUAUUUAGUAUUGUUUAAUCAUAAUAAACAAAAGAGCAUUGCAAAGAUUAUUAUAAGAUGCCUACUUAAAUCAAUAAUAUCCUCCUCACUUCCUUCCAUAUACACGAGAUUCAAAAAAUAAAAAAAUAGAAUAAGCCAUGCGCAUGAGAUUCAUUUAGUUUUAUCGAGAGAGUUGUGCCUCUCAUGUACACACACACGCCAGAUUAAAUUGAAAGAUGAAAUAAGUCAUAGAAGGCUCAUGGGGCUGCUUAAAGCCUCACAGAGAGAGAGAGAGAGAGAGAGAGAGAGAGAGAGAGAGAGAGAGAGAGAGAGAGAGAGAGAGAGAGAGAGAGAGAGAGAGAGAGAGAGAGAGAGAGAGAGAGAGAGAGAGAGAGAGAGAGAGAUGGUUUUUUUUCUUUUCUUUACUUUUGUGAAAAAACAAUCAUUUAUGCUAUGUUUGGUUGGUUCAUAGAAAGUUUGAAGGAAGAUCGUAAGACAAAAAAAAAAAAAAAAAAACAUUGCAAAGAAAAAAAAUGAUUUAAAAUUAAUAAAUUCAUUUUACAUAUAUAUUAAUUCUUUGAUAUAAGAUUAAAUAAUUUAAAAAUAUAUAAUUUUCUUAAUCAUUUUAAUUACAUUUGACUUUUUUUCAUAUAUUUUUUUCCAUAUUUUAUAUGAUAUAAUAAAAAAUGAUAAAAUCAUUUUUCUUAACAUUUUCUUCUUUUCUUGAUAAUUUUCAGGAACUAAAUAUAAAUUUAUAUUAAAAGUAAUCCUUUAUAUUAAAGUCAUACUUGGUUCUCAUAAAGUGUUCCAAAAAAAAAUGUUAAAAAAAAAUUAAUUUUCUCCUGUUUGAUUUUACUAUUAAGAAUAUGAAAGAAAGUCAAAUAUAAUUAAAAUUAGUAAAAAAAUUUAUAUAUUUUCAAGUUAUUUAAUUUUUAUAUAAAAGAGUUAAAUAAGUAAAAUGAGUUUAAAAUAUGAUAUAAAAACAAUUUAUUGACUUUUCACAUCUAAUUAUCUUAUCCUUCAUUUGUAAUACUAGAAGUAUCAAAGAAAUGAAAAAAAGGAAACCUACAUGAGAAUUUAAAAUCAUAUGUUUGAAUGAGAGUGAAAUCUCAAAUACUAAAUUACAUAUAUUUUUAUUAAUGAAGAAAAAUGAGAAAUAAUAUUUUUUUUAAAAAGGAUCUAAAUUUUUUCCCUUUACUUUUUUUACAUGUCACAAACAUGGUUCUCUUAGUUUCUAAUCUUUCCUAAUUCAUCAAAGAAUAAAUCCCCAUAGUCAAUGACACAAGUACUGCAGACAUGGCAAUGAGAAUUCUGCUAAUGAGAAGCUAGCACCAAAAGAUUUAGGUCUUCUCUUAUGACCCAUAACCAUGACAUUCAUCUCAAUGAUCAUCUCUAUGAAGACAAAAAUUCCUCGUCACAAUACCUAAGAAAUGCCAAAACAGGAACAAAACUUCCUACCAAACUUCAAGCCCAUCUGCCUACCUUUAAAAGGUGGUCCACUGGGUCAAUGCAAAAUAGACCAGCUUUUAUUACAGAGACUCCCAAUCAAUGAAUGCAGGCUGCUAAACCAAAAUAUAAAACAAUAAGAUGUUUUUAGGUUAUUGAGAACAUGAACCAAAACAAAGAAAACUUUUUUGUUUUAGUGAAAAAUAAGACAUUGAAAGGAUAUGCAGUCAUAAAACUUGCAAUUUUGUAUAUUGCAGAGUUAAAUCUCCACUUUUAAUACACUGGAAAGGGAAUAGCAGCAAGAAAAGACCAAAGCAAUUAAAAUUUCUUACUGCCAAAGCACAAUACAUCCCUACUUUACUCCAUGCUUGUAUAAGAGAACAUAGACCCAGAAAGUGACAAAAACCUAAGCAUCCAUGGUUUUCCAUAGUUAUCAAGUGGUUCACUUGGUUUAGGCAUACUGCCAAAUAAAAACAGAGCAUGACCUUGCCAGUACCAUUAGAAUAUGGCAACUAUCUGCAUCCAAAAUGUGAGCACUUAGGUUCAAUCCUCCUCGACUCCUCUUCAAUAUUUGUUUCAAACUUGAAGCUUCACGAAAAAAGAAAAUCCCUAACACACCUGCCAUCGUUAAAAAAAUUAGCAUCAACAAGCAGACAUAAGAUUCCUUGCACCUAACAUUGACAUGGACUCAAAUUAUCCAAAACUAACCUAAAUUCAUGGAGAUGAAUGCCAAUCAAGCAAAGCACGUGCCUGUGUGAUGUUUGGUCAGUCAUCUGGAGAAGCUUGGAGCACGCCCAUGAUUAGAUCUGUCACAUGAGCUGUAUUUUGGUAAUUCUGGAAUGCGGUAUUUUCUAUUUAAGAUAAUAGAUGGUGAGAAACAUAUAGUCAGAUGAAUAAUAAAACACAUACUCUAGUAUUCUACUGAUUGAUUCACCCAUUCACUAAUCAUUAAAAAGUCUAGAAAUAUAGAAGCUUAAAUUUUCGAAUUUAUGGACAUAGUAAAUAAGCUCAUAAUCAUCAUUUCUAUACAAAAUCAGGAAGUUCAAUGAGGAAGUUGCACUCAACCGCCUUAAGAUAAUAAGGACAUCAGAAUAGAAAACAAAGCUACAAAAAGUCUUAAAGCCAAGAUCAAUUUAAUUAUAGUAUUCUUCUUGGGAGUUGCAUGGUAUAAACCUUCGUUAAGACAUGGACUCUAAUUUUCUUUUCAAAGAAACAGCUAACAUCCUGAUCGGAUAAACAAUGAGAGCCAAUGCCCAGGGCCACUAACAGGAAUGUAGGCAUGGAAACAACAAUUCUGCUAAUGAGAAGCAGCACAAGAAGACCGUCACCUUCAGGAUCCAUGUCAUUGAUCCAAAUGAUCAACUCAGCAACAGUUAAAAAAAAAAAAAGUAUACAAAAAUUCAUAGUCACAGUCGAGAUCUAAGAAAUGCCCAUAAAAGAACAUAACCACAUCAAAAUUAGGACAAAACAAGUACAACUACCUAAUAAUAAAAAAAUUGACCAAAAUACUUCAUGUAAACAAAUAAAAAAAGUUGACCAAUUCAGUAUCAUAAAAUACUUCAUAUAAAAUUUUUGCUUUUAAAAUCGUAGUUUGCUAAAUGAUCCUAGUUGGUUGAUAUGGAACACAUGGAGAAGAAAAGAAAAAACAAAAAGUAUUGAGUAAUUUAGUUUGAUAAAAAUUAAAAAGAAAAUGGAAAUUUAUUCGGAGAAGUAGCAUCAAUUACCCAUGGAAUAAGUGCCUGCAGAUGUCUCCCAAAGAAUCUUAAUUCAUUCGUAAAGCUACAAUAUUGACUACAAACUAACCAAAAAGAUCAAAAACUUUAAAUUCAUGCAAAUUAAUUUAUAAUAAAACAAAAAGAAGAGAAAUUCAUUCUCAUAUACAAAUUCUAAAAGGAAGAGUGACAAGAAAAGAUUAACUAAUAAAAACUCCAAAGGGGUGUGGUGGUAUAGAAACUUCGACCUUCCUCAUUGUUGGCCUAAUUACAGCCUCAAAGAUGAUUAAAGAGCCAUUGCUCAUGUGAUUAAAAUAUGAUAACUAGCUUUGUUAAAAUGUGAAUUACCAAGAAUCAAUCUUCCUUUACUCAUCUAGAGAUGCGUAAAUUCUAGAGAUUGUCAGAAAUUCUGAAAAGUACUUGACAGCUACUUUAUGAAUUGGAACAUAAAGUUUCUGAAUAAAAUAAGCAUAGAAUUAAUUACCUGACUGUAUAUUGGUGCGGUACCACUUUCAUUAAAAUAUCACACCAUUGAUCACUAUUUUUGGAGGUGAGAGCAAGCAAUUGCAUAUAUAUGAGAUCAGGGUACCCUCUGAUUUGCAAGUAACGUCAAUAGCCUGUCCGAUAUGAAGUUCAUAAUUAUAUGAACUCUAUUGCAUUCUCUGCUUCCCCUUCAUCAGCUUGGCAACUAGGCAUUUGAAAAAAUUUGGUCUUUAAAAUCUGGAUCCAAGAAAGAAUAACCAUACAGGCACACACACCUGGACAGCCUCCCCUCUUCAUCAAACAAUUCAAUAGCUGUUAAAUCCAUGGCCGCUGGUGCCUAUGCUGCACAUGUCAUCAGGAAUUGCCUGCACAACAGACCAAGAAGAAGCAUUUGAGUGCUUAUAUGAUCUAGCAGCUCCAUCAGAAUCAAGUGUUGCCCUGUAGUAAUAGUCACUCCUUAAGUCUCUUAUGCUUAAGUCUCUCCCCAUGUGCAGGUAGGUAUCUGGGUCUGAUUGUUACUCAACCCAACCAAGCAUGGGCAUCCAUACUUGAUACUUUUCAGGUUGGUCAAAUUGAAAUGAGUUACAUAUAAUGCUCAUCUCCCGUAUCGUUUUUGAAGCUAGUUCGGCUAGACUAAUAGACAAAUAAGCCCUCAAAAUAAACUUGCCCAGGUUGAGAACAGACCUUAUAUUGAGAUAGUCCACAACCAACUCUGCUCUUAAUAUAUAAGAAAUAAUGAAAAAUAAAUAGUCAAACAAAUAAUAAAAUGCAUAACCUAAUAUCCUAUUGAUUGAUUCACCCAGUUUUUAACCAUUAGAAAGUCUGGAAAUAUAGAAGAGUGACUUUUCGAAUUCAUGAGGAUGGUGAAUAAGCUUAGAAUCAUCAUUUCUACACAAAGUCAGUUGGUUCGAUGAGGGAAUUACACUCUUAACUACUUUAAGAUAAUACAACAACAUCAAAAAUAGAAAAUUGAACUACAAAAGGUCUUAAAUUAAGAUCAAUUUAGACAUAAUAUACUUCUUGGGAGUUUCACGGUAUAAACCUUUGUAAAGAAUUAGACUCUCCUUCUUUAAGACUAUGGACCCAAGACUCAUACUCACUGAUAGAAGUGCAGGCAUGCCAAUGAGAAUUCUGCUAAUGAGAACCUAGCAUAAGAAUAUUAAUGUCUUCUCCUGUGAUCCAGAACUAUAGUCCGAAAUGGGAUCCAUGACAUUGAUGUCAAUGAUCAUCUCCAUGACAACAGAAAAUAUACAGAAAUUCCUAGUCAUAGUCAAGACCUAAGAAAAGCCAAAACAAGAACAACGAAACAUUAAAAUUGGGACAAAAACAAGUGCAUAAGCUUCCUAAUGAACAUUUAAGUCUAUUAGCUUACCUUUAAAAAGUGGACCACUUAGUUAGCACGCAAUAGACCAGCUUUUGUUACGACUCCCAAUCAAUGCAGGUUGCUAUUAUCAUAACCGAACUUUGUUCCUCAUAAGCAGUCUUUUAUGCUGAUACUGGUAACUUAAUAUGGAACAUGUACAAAAAAGAAAAGAAAUAACAAAAAGUAGUAAUUAAUUUCGUUUGAUAUUGAAUGGAGUAAAGUCACAACAUGUGCAUAUGCAAGUAUAUUAUCCUAAAAACCACUUGCAAAAGGCACCAAGUACCCAACUAAUAUCAGACUUGAAUAACCAUGAAUUACCUAAAACUGUAUCCACAUGUUCCUGCAUGAGAUAGAUACACAGAUAGUUUCAACUUUGCUCAUUUGGAAAGAUCAAUUAAAGCUACAAUGCAAAUUACCUGGGAUGAAUUUUCCUUUGUUGGAGAACUUCUCAAAUCAAACAAAUAGAGUUUGUUGCUUGCUCAAAUCUUCAACAACUGGACCAGCCAAAGACUUGUGUAGAUGUACAAUUCCUAAAGAGUGUUGAGCAUAUUAGGAGCCUUUGAAUUCUGAAAGGAGGUCAAGACCUUAACAAUGUAGAAGGUUUAAGUAAUUCUGUUAUCAAACAUGGUAAAAUUGAUUAAACAAAACCUUGAACAGUGAGGUAUUUUCUUCUAAAAAAGAUGAGUCCACCAUUGUGUGGACUAUUGAGAAUAUAAAAAAUACGACAUCAGAAUUAUAAGUAACUAAAAUUACCUACCAAUAAGCAGCUAGCUAGAAUAAAUCCAUGGUUUUCUCCAUGCCUGUAUUAGAGAAAUGACAAAGAAAGUGAGGAAAAAAAAUCAAAGCAUUCAUGUUUUUCGACAGUAAUUAAGUGGUUCACUUGGGUUAUGCAUACUGCCAAAGCAUGAAAAUAUGAGUACCAUUAAAAUAUGAUCUGAACUGUCUGUGUCAAAAUGUCAGCACCUAGGUUGAAUCCUCAUCUACGGCUUUUCAAUAACAUUUGUCCUAGGGUUGAAGCUUCAAGAAGAAGAAAUCUUAAAUCAAAUAAAUGGAGCUAAGGAAUUAUGCAGAUAUAUUCUUGAGAUUAGAAAUUUGGAUGGCUACAUCAGGAAUUGGAACAUAAAUUUUCUAACAAAAUAAGUUCAAGCACAAAGCAAUUACCUGCCGAUAUGUUGGUGCAGUGCCAUUUUCAUUAAAAUAGCACAUCAUCGAUCACUAUUUUUGGAAUGUGAGAUAUAAAACGCCAUUCUUGCCCUUUCUCAAAUUGGCACUGUUGUUCCAGUGAAGGACACUUGAGGACAUACAGAUAAGAGAGGGAGUUUGGCCGUCUCUCUUUUGUCAAGUAUUGGAGCUUAGGGCACUUGUAGAGAUCUAAGGUUUCAAGAGUGGUGAGGUGGUGAAGACCCGCUUAAUAAAAAUUAAUAAAAUAAAUGAAUUUAUUAUAUCUGGAAUAUGUAUAUAUGUCUUAUCUUAGGAUUAAUAUAUAUUAAAUAUCCAUUAAUAGAAAACCCAUUUUUUCUCUUUCCACAAUCUAAUCCUAAUACGAAAAAUCUUGAAAUAUUAUUGGUUUUCUAGCUUUCUUUUAAUUUCUCUAAAAUUUUUCAUUAAGUAAAUAAAUUUGGAAUCAAACUAUACCUCAUAGGUAAAAUUUAUUAAUUUUUAAAAUUAAUUUCAAACUCAAAAACCAAUUUAAUUAGUACUAAAAAGUCAAAAACACAAUAAUAUUAUAAAUUCAUAGGUCAAAAUUUAUUUAAAAUAACUUGGUUAGCUUCUUCUUCACAUAUAACCUAUUUUUAUAAAUUUUUUUCAUGAAGCAAAUAAACUUCAAAUUAAUCGAGACUUGAUGUGUUGAAUUCAUUAAUGAGUUUAAUAAUUUUUAAAAAUAAUUUAAAACUUAAAUAAUUAUGUAAUUAAUACCAUCAAUUUAUAAAUAAAAAUUGGUUUCAAAUGACUCUAUUUUUUUUUAUUUUCUAUGUAAAAUUAUUAUUUUCUUAUUUUUUUGUUUCUAUUAUGCAAAUGGACUCCAAAUUAAACAAGACUUAAUGUCAUAUUUUUAUCAAUGAGUCUAGUAAUUUUUAAAAAUAACUUAAAACUUAAAUAGUGAACCAAUUACUAUUAAAAAUUUAUGGACAAAAAUUGAUUUAGAAUAAUUUUAUUUAUUCUUUUUCUUUACAUAAUCAUUAUUGUCCGAUUUUUUAAACAAAUAAACUUUAAAUUAAACAAGACUUAAUACAUCGGAUUCAUUAAUAAGUUUAAAAAAUUUUAAAAAUAAUUUAAAAUUCAUAUAAUAAACUCAUUAAUAUAAGAAAUUUAUGAAUUAAAAAUGAUUCAUAAUGACUAUUAUUUGUAUUUUUGGUUUUAUUUUAAAAAUAAUUUUUUAAAAAUAAGCGUUAGAAGACAUGUUCAAACGGACCCUUAGCUUUUAAAAAACAAUGCAAUUAUGCAUUUUACAAUCUUUUCUAAAGGUAAUUACAAAUUGUUUUAGUUGUUUUUCCACCUUUCAACCCAAAAAAUUGUUGAAAAUAUAAAUAAAAAAAAAUAUUGUGAUAUUCAACUAUUUCACUUGAAGUUACCCAAAUAUGAAAAUAAGGAUUGAAGGGUGCAAUCAUGCAACCCAAUGGCAUUGAUUUAACAUAGGUUUUGUCCAAUUUACAACCAUAUAUAUUAGUGCAAUCACUAAUAAAAACUCAUUUUAAUGAUCAAGAUAAGUCAUUCUUCUAAUUAUGAGGUAGUAUGCUACAAUUUUAGAUUGAUUGUUCAAGUUUAUGAAUUGGUUGUAAACAAUCCAUCAACUUACAAUAAACUUAUGACUUGGAUCUUUCGUAUAACUUUUUAUACACUAAAAUCUUAUACAAUGCAAGUGAUGUAAACCCGAGUGUUCAAAUAAAUAUUAAUGUAAAUAAUGGCAGAAUAAUGGAAAUAGAAAUCAUAAUAUUAUAUAUAUAUUUAUGAAAUUUCACUUAGUUAAAUCAUGUUAUAUUUUUAAAGGCUUUGAUUUUUUUAAUUGGAUCUUGGGCUUUUAGGAUUUGAUCUUGGGUUUUAGUUGUUUCAUUCGAUGUUAGGCAUUUAUAAUUUUAUUUGGGAACAAUUCAUUUGAUCGAGGCUUCAAUUUUUUGAUGUGGGCUAUAGGCUGUGAUUAUUUCGGGCUUUGGGUUUUUGUGAUUUGGGCUAGUUUUGAUCAUUUAAUUUGUUGUUUUGGGCUUUGGUUUGGAUUGAUAUUUGAUUAGGCUUUGGGUAUUGGAUUUGUUGUUUCUUAAUUUGGAAAUAAUAUUUGACAUUGGCUUUUGGGCUUCGCUUUUAAUAUGUAGUUUUGACCUUGGUUAAUUCCUAUUUGAGCCCCUGGUCGGAUUAUUUCAUUUUGGCCUAUUGAUUUGUUGACUUGGACUUUGUGUUUGUGCUUGUUUGUGAUUUAGGCUUGGUCUAUUGUUCUGGGGUUUUAGUUUGAUUGUGGGCAUUUGUGUAUUACUUUGGGCUUGGCCUUUAUAAUUGUUUUGAAUUUAUUUAUGGUAUGGGCUUGGUUGUUUGAUUUUGACCUUCUAUAUACUCUAUUUGACCUGGGCUUAGGGCUUUCAUUUAGUUUAUUUGAGCUUGGUUAAUUUGAUUUGGAUUUGGGCCUGUUAUAACUUGUAAACUAUUUAGGCUUGCUUUUCUUUUAUUGAACAGAAUCAACAAAAGUAAGGUGUAUAUUUUUUUAAACAAGCAGAAUACGCGCAUUCAAAGUUUUGAAAAAUAGUUUUGAAAAAUUAAUUUUAAUCUUUUUUAUGUAUAUAAAUAUUUUCCAAAAAUAACUUUAUGAUAUAUAUUUCUUCAAGCAAUCAUAAACGAAAAAAAAAAAAAACAAAUGAAAAUAACCGAAAACAACUCAUAUAUUUUUUCAAAAAACACCUAAACCGGCUUGCUUUUUUUUUUUUUUUUUUAUCAAACAGUUUUCCUAUUUUCUUGUUCUUAAAUAUAGAUAAACAAAAGUGGUUCAUUGUGACCCUAUCAUUUGUCUUUUGUUUUUUAAUUUUAAAAUAGGUUUUAAAAACAAGUAGAAAAAUAUGAUGAAACGAACCCUUAUCUUUUAAAAAAUAAGGCAAUUCAAAAUACAUUUUAAAAGGCAAAUUAUAAAUUUCUUUAGUUGUUUUCUCAUCUUUGAAUCGAGAAAAUUUGUUUGUACGAUCUUUCCAUCUAAUUAGUCCCUUGAAAUAUUUGUCCCCUUUUUCAGUAUUAUCAAUAUAUUUAUGACUAUUUGAAUGAAAAUAUAAGAAAAUAUCAUAAAUAUUCUCAUGAAACUCCUUGAUAGCAAUUAUUUCACUUAUCAGUGAAAAUAAAGUUACCCAAAUAUAAAAAAGGAUCGAAGGAUGCAACCCAAUGGCAUUCAUCGAGAUGGCAAAGUUUGAUACAAUUUGCAAAUACUUCUAUAUAUACUCAUCUUAUCUUAUAUUUCAUUGAAUAUAAGAUAAGAUAAAUUAAUGGAUAUUUAUCAUAUAGUAUCCCUACCAAAAAUGUCCCCUCCUUUAUUUGAACUCAUGGUAGGUGAAAGAAUGUAUUUUCGUGCAAAUGAUAACAAGGCAAUGAUUCGAGAUCAUGAAUAGAAAGAAAUUCCAAAAGCGCUACACAGUAACCUUCCUCAUGGUUGGCCUUAGAGCUGAAUCCUCCUGAAUGCACCAAAUGGACACCAUCACUAGCCUCUCCAACCUCUUCAUAUCAUUCAUAAUUUGCAUCCUCAUCAUCUUCCACCAACUUCUCCAACUUCCUUUGCACAAACAGUUCAUAAUCUCGAUCCAUUAGAGCUUCCUCUCCGUCUUCCAUAUGAAAGAGGAAAUCUUCUUCUAACACAUUGUCUCUAUAAAUGGCUACUUUGCAUAAGCAAUCCUCUUUACAUGACUCUUUAUACUUCUCCUGCUCAACCAAUUUGUGUUGUUUAAUUCUUUCAACUCCACUUCAUCCUUCGCUUUCUUCACUUUCUUCGCUUCAUCUUCAUCUGCUUGGCAACUCCACUUCACUCUCACUCUCAAGAACAAAGUUACCGAGCAUGGCAGCAUGAGUAACCCCUUUAACAGCCGACUAAGUUCUCCAAAGCUCAUAUCCUCAUUUGUCAGCGAGUUUGAACUCCCCAUUUUUGGUGAGUUCAAUUUUUGUACCCUUCUGCCACUUCUUUAUCUGCAUACCAAAUUAUUGUUUGGUAAUUCAUGUUCGCUAAUUGCAUAUAGAACAUAAUUAGCCCUUUUAAAAAUAAUAAUUAAUAUGAUCAAUCAUCUUCUAAGAUGGCAUGUUACAUAAAAGGUAACAAGAUUAUGCUACUUUUUAAAAUUUUUCCUUAGGGUGUCAAUGUCAUAAUGUGGGUACAAACUGACAGUAUAGGAACAAGUACAUUGAUAAAAAUUAAAAGAGAAAAAUUCGAAAUUUAUUCAGAGAAGUAGCAUCAAUUGCCUAGGGAAUAAGUGCCUGCAGAUGUUACUCCUUAGUCCCCAGUAUGCUUGAAACAAACUGGAGACUGAUCAGUUUCUUACAGUAUCAGAAGACGGCAGCCUAGCUAUAGCUAACCACACAAAGAGAUUGAAGAACACUGAGCUGCCAAGUAGUAGUGACCCAACAAGAAUCAAGGUAGACUUAUCUGGGCCUGUCUGCAAGCCUUUUGCUCUGUUUUCCACAGGAAAGAAGGAAUCUCUUCUGCCAACACAUUGUCUGUAUAAAUGGCUACUGCACAGAAGCAAUCCUCUUCACAAGACUCUUUAAAACUUCUCCUUGUCAACAAUCCGUCUAAUCCAAAGUUCAUAAUUGGAGAUUUGCCAGUCUAUGUUGUUAUUCUAUGAACUCUACUACCUGCUUGGCAUCUGGACAUUGGAAAAUUUGGUCUUUAAAAUAUGGAGCCAAGAAAGAAUGCCUACAUAGGCACUCACAUCUGAACAACCCCCUCUCCCCAUCAAACAAUACAAUAGCUGUUGAAUCCACAAAUCCCGCUGCCACUGCCACUUGCAGCUGCAUUGCAAUUGUCAUCAGUAAUUGCCUGCAGAACAGACCAAGAAGUAUUAAUGCAGUUCCAAUGGUUUGCAGUGUUCUGUUUUCGGUGCUUAUAUAAUUAAAAUCAAGUGUUGUCUUGUAUUAAAAUCACUCCCAAAAUCUAUCUUCUGAUAAGAGGUUAACUUAUGUGGCAAGAUGGUAUCAGUGGGAUUCUUGAAGCACGCCCAGGCGCAAAUAACUAAAGCCAUAUUUUCAAAAAAAUUUGCUUACCAACCAAGAAAAACCUGGUAGAAUUAGCAGGUCAUUCAAGUACAUGUGGUUUUGGCCUCUUAAAUAUUCAAUCACAGGUACAUUCUAUAUGAUUUUAAGCGACUAGAGAAGAAUGAAAAAGAAAAUUAUGAGAAUGUCAACCAGUGUGGAAACUAAUUUCCUCAAGUAACUUCUCUCAAUAUCAUUUUCCUUUGUGACAAUAUUAAAGACCUAUAGUUACAAGUUACAACUUAAUUUUCAUCUCCGGACUUACCAUGUGAACAUACUUGAGUCUGAUUGUAACUCGACCCAACCAAGCAAGGGUCAUCCAUACUUGAUACCAUUGACAUUGGUUGAUGGAAUUGAGUCACGGGCUAGUCCAGCUUGACUAAUAGUCAAAUAUGCUCUCAAAACGAACUUUCCUGAGAUUGAGAACAAACCUUGUAUCAUAAAAAGUUCAUAAAAAUAAAUCUGGAGAACAUUUAAUAUAGUCAACAACCAACUCUUGUUCUUCAUAAGAGGUGGUGAAUUAGCUCAUAAUGUAGAAGAGUAAAUUUUCUAAAGCAUGAAAAUGGGGGAAUAAGCUCAAAAUCAUCAUUUCUAUACAAAAUCAGAAAGUUCAAUGAGAGAAUUGCAUUCAAUUACUUUAAGAUAAUAACAACAUCAAAAUAAAAAACAGAACCACAAAAGUCUUAUAGUCAAGACAAUUUAAUUACAAUAUUCGUCGUGGGAAUUUUGCGGUAUAAACCCUCAUUUAGACUUGGACUUUUUAAUUUUCUUUAUGAAUAAACAAUUGGCUCCUGCUCAAAUGAAAAAUGAGAACCAAUGCUCAUAGUCACAGACAGAAGUGUAGGCAUGGCAAUACCAAUUUUGCAAAUGAUCAUUUGGUCAUAGUCAAGACCUAAGAAAAGCCAAAACAAGAACAAUAGAACAUCAAAAUUGGGACAGAAACAUGUGUAGCAACUACAUAAUAAAGAUUUGUGUCAAUCUGCUCACCUUUUGAAGGUGGUCCACUGGUUUAGUGCAAAAUAGACUGAUUUUUUCUUUACAGGGGCCCUCAAUCAGUGUUGGCUGCUGAACUAGAAGAGAGUUCAGAUAACUAAAAAAUUCUAUAAAUUCAAUACCAUAAAAUACCUCACAUAAAAAUGUUGCUUUUGGAACUGUAGUUUUCCAAAUGUUCUCAAAUUUAAAAAUACAUUGGCAUAAAGUUAUUGAUGUUUACCUCAUAUUUUUUUCCAUGGUCAUAUCAAACAUUGUUCUCAUAGUAAGUCUUCUAUGUUGAUCCUUGUUGCUUAAUAUGAAACACAUAAAAGAAAAAGUGGUGAUCAAUUUAUUUUGAUAUCGAAGGGAGCAAAGUCACAACAUGUACAUUACAUAUGUAGCCAACUAAGUAUAUAUUAUGAUGUGGGUAAGAUUCAAUACAUAUUUCAGUAACCAUGAAUUACCUAAAAAUGUACACGUGUUCUUACAGGAGAUAAACACACAAGUAGUUAAGAGUCAUCUUUGCUGGGCAACCAGGCAAUUGAAAAAAUUUGGUCUCUAAAAUUUGUAUCCAAGAAAGAAUACCUAUACAGGCAACAGUCUGGAUAGCCUCCCCUCUUCAUCAAGCAAUACAAUGGUUGUUAAAUCCACAAAUCCCACUACCAUGGCUACUGGUGUCUAUGCUGCAAUUGUCAUCAAAAUUGCCUGCACGAUAGACCAAGAAGAAGCAUUUGUUUUUAAAAUCAAAAGCUUCUAUAUAUAAGUAAAGCAUCUUAUACAAAAGUGUAUAGAUUUACAUUUUCAGAAAUUUUAAAUUUGAGAGAAUGAGAGUUUAUUUGGUGAAGUUUUUAAAAAUAAUUUUCUAUUUUUAAAAAUUGAAAAAAGUUUAAAAAAAUUAAUAACACGGUUUGGUUAUUCUUAUCGAUUUCCUUUUUUAAAAACAAAGUAAAAUAAAGAAUAACUUUUAGAGAACAAUUAAAAGUUAUUUUUAUCUAUUUUUAAAAAUAAUAGAAAAACACAUGCACUCUAUUAUUUUUCUUCUACAUAGAAUUAUUAUUUUUCAAUUUUUUUGGUUAAGCAAAUUAACUCCAAAUUAAACAAAACUUAAUGUGUUGUAUUUGUUAACAAGUCUAUUAAUUUUUAAAAAUAAUUUAAAACUUAAAUAAUAAUCUCAUUAAUACCAUAAAUUUAUUAAUAUAAUAAAAUAUCUUUUUUUUCUAACAAAUAAUAAAAUAGUAUAAUUUCUACUAAAAAUAUAAUUUAUGAUUUUAUUAUUAUAUUACUAUUUAUGUUUUACUAAAAACUAUAUAUUUUUUAAUUUUUUUGUAAUUACAAAAUUAUUUUCAUUUUCAAUUAGAAUUCAAUUCAAUUUAAUUAAUUAAUAUUAAAUAAAUUGAAUUUUAAAUAUUUUUACAAAAUAAAAAUAAUUUUAAAAAAAAACAAUUUAUCCAAAGAAGUCUUUUUUUAUUUUUUAAAUUCAUUUUACAAUAAUAACUUACCAAAUAUCCUUAAUUUUAUAAAACAUUAAAAAACCUUUUUUGAUUCUUCAACGUUAACAAAGUUUCUAAAAAAACAUAAGAAAUCAUGUUCAAACAAAAAGUUUUAAAAAAUUAAUUAAAGUACUUAAUUGACUUAUAUUAAAAAUGAAUAUUAAACUUAUUUUUAUAUUAUAGAAAUUUUUUAUUUCACUAUAAUAAAAAAAAUCGUUUCAUAAUUAAAAAUAAAAUUACUUAUCUUUAACUAAUAUAUAAUUUUAAUAAGACUUAACUUGAAUUUGAUUUCAUAUUAUUAUAAAUUAAUUUUAUAAAAUAACUAAUAUAUUAUUUUAAAAAAUAAUACAAAUUUUUUCAUCCAAAGUUCUUGCUUUUUGUUUUAAAAAACUAUUUUUUAAAACAUCUUGUCAAAUACUCUAAUUUUUAAAAAAUUAUAAAAAACAGAUUUUUGUAGCCCUAAAUUAUUUUUUUGAUACCUUGAUUGUUUUAAACAGUUUUUAAAAUUAUUAAUUUUUCAAUGUAAGCCUUUAAGAGUUAAAAUACAAAAGUUACUGUCACUUAAUUUUAGGCUUAACAAUGUAGGAGAUUUAAGUGUAGGCAAGGAAUUAAGCAGAUAUAUUCUUGAGAUUAGAAAUUUGGGUGGAACAUAAAUUUUGUAAAGAAAUUAAGUUUAAGCACACAACAAUUACCUGCCCAUGUGUUGGUGCACUGCCACUCCCAUUAAAAUAGCACCCAAUCGAUCACUAUUUUUGGAAUGUGAGAUAUAUAACGCCAUUCUUGCCCUUUCUCGAAUUGGAGCCGUUGUUCCAGCAAAGGACACGAUCCGACAUCCAGAGAACAGAGGGAGUCUGGCAGUCUCUCUUUUGUCAAGUAUUGGAGCUUAGGGCAACGGACGAUACUUAAGGUUUCAAGAGUGGUGAGGUGGUGAAGACCCGCUUCUGUCAAGGAUUGGAGCCUUACGCACGACCAGAUUCGUAAUUCCUUGAGAGAGAUAAGGCGUUGAAGAACAGAUCCUGUCGAGAAUUGGAGCUCAGGGCAGUUCUCGAUCCGUAAUUCUCGAAGAGAGGUGAGUUGUUGAAGCCCCUUGUUGUCAAGAGAGUUGAGAUUUGGAAGAACACAGAUUGAAAGAUGAGUUAGAGAAGAGGGCAGCAGACACUCCUUGGGAAAUAAUUCCACGCCUUCACAUCCACCUCCGAUUGUGAAAUGAGUAAGAGAGGUCAGUCUUUGCAAAUCCCAGUCCACCUGUGACGUGAGUUGGUUGCAGCGCCAUAUUGCAAGUUCCCGUAGGUUGGAAGGCAAACCCUCCCUGUGCAACAACAAUUCUGGACAAUCCGCUAAACACAGUUUCUGCAGAGAUGAAUGGGUGUGCGCCAGCAAUUUGAGAUUGGAGCAAUUCCAAAUAUCAUGGUACAUCGAGUCAAGAGCAGGCAGUUGGAUGUAUACAAGAUUAAGGCACCGAUGGAUCUUCAAAUUACGAAGAGAUGUGGGAUCCCCCUCUGAAAUCGAGAUGCAGAGCUCCUCAAGCCCCUUAAGACCAUUUAUUUCGAAAUCAGUCAACCUGGGGAAGAUGUCCAAUACUGAGAAGGACAACAAGAGAGAAUCACAGGUACCGCCAUUGAUUGAUAGAUUUUCGAGAACCGGGUGAUGGCAUCUGAACAACUCAGGUAGAAGAAGGUCCAAUUUGGUACAAUCAGAGAUUGAUAACGAUUUCAAUGUACUGGGUAAGCCAACUUUGUUUGGGGAUCUGUAAAAAGAGCAAUCACAAAUUUCCAAACUGUACAUGUUGGUUUGCAGGAUUUCCUCCUCUAGUAGAGACUCCACAGAAUCAGAUUUUCUAAUGUAGAGAUAGUGGGGUACCAGUGGAAGUUGCUUCAACUGAGAGACGUCUGAAAUUUCAAUUUUUGAAGUUUGACUAGUUGUGAACCCACAAGUUUGCCUUUUCAACUGCAAUUCACGGGCAGCAAGAACGUUGAGUGUAGGCACAAGCAGUUGCGGACAAUCUUUAAGGUUAAGUUCCUGCAAUGAAGAAAGGUGCAUUGGUAAUUCCCCAGUGAGUUUUGGACAUAGCCUUAUAGAAAGCUCCUGGAGACGAGGGAAUUCUCCACAACAUAACCAUUUCUCCCAAUUGGACAUAUCUUCAAAUGAUAGAGUUUGCAGGGAUGGGAAGGAGGGAUGAAGCGAGGAAGAAGAAUUCCCAUAAAACUCACUACCCACCAUCACUACUCCACUCAUUUUUGAGAUCUUUAUAUGUUCAAGACAAGGUAGCUGCCCCAGUGGCGGCAAUGUUGAGCAAUUCCCACAAUUCGAAAGCUGAAGGGACACGAGCUUUGAAAAUGAUCCAUCUCCAAGCCAAUCUGGAAAUGUUAGACCAGGAUAGUGUUGAAUGGACAGUUUUUUUAAAUUUGGAUGAGGUGUUAGCCUGUUGAGAAUAUCAUCUUGUAUAGCAUCAUGACUAAUCCCCCAACUCCAAUUCAAGGAUAACUCAUCAAGGUAUUUCUUAUCCUUCAUAUUCGCCUGCAAUGCAUCCUCAACACCCACCACAUUCUCCAUUUUUGAAAUUUCAAGUCUUCCUCGAAUCUCUGAAAGCUUCCACAAUUCUCCAAAUCUGAAUCCACUUUCUUUGCCCACAGUAAAAUUAGGCAAUUUCUGCAAACUUUUUAAUUGACCUAUAUCAUUUGGCAUUUCUUCCAAUGAAUUAGACCCGCUAACAUCAAGAUAGCGCAAAUUAAUCAACCUCCCCAUUUUCGAAGGCAAUUCAAGAAGAUGCCUACAUUUACUCAGCACCAUCGUUUGCAAAUUGCACAAACAACAUAUUGAUUCAGGUAAUCUUUUAAUCAUUGUUGUAGAGAGAUCCAAGUAUCGCAACUGUUUUAAAUUGUGUAUUGAAUCAGGCACAUCUGUUAUGCAGUAUCCACACAAUGACACAACACCCGCAAAGAUUUAAAUUUUGGUAAUGUAUUUUGUAAAACUCUUGUACUCAAUGAAUAAAUAGGAAAGGGUGGUACUUUGUUCUCCGCUAAGACUGUUCUGAGAUGUUUGGCUCGACCAACAGGCUCAAAACCGUCAUAGUCACUUUUAAAGUAGACCAAAUGCCUAGUCUUAUCAGAUAUUUUUUGCACCUUACAAUCUUCCAAUCGAAUGCAAAAUUCUUGGGAGAUAUGUUGAGCCGAGUCAUGUAUUAGAUCAUGCAUUACAAAGCAUGACUCUUUUGCAAAUGAUUUCUUUGUAAUAGACUCUUGAAAAAACGACUUUGCUAGAAGCUCAUUAAAACAUGACUCACCUACCUCUUCCAUUCUUUCAUCACUUUGUCCUGCGUGUAAAAGCCCUUCUGCCAUCCAUAAUAGAAUCAGCUUCUCUUUGUCAAAUUCAUAAUCCUUGGGAAAAAUUGAACAGUAAGCAAAACAACGCUUCACAGGAGGAGAAAGAUGCAGAUAACUCAAUCUAAGAGAUGGAAGAAUUUCAUGACCACUCUGGGAAUGCCAUGUUUUGCUAUUCAAAAUAUCUUCCCAUUCUCUUUGCUGGGCCUUAGAGUACAAGAGCGUCCCGAGUGCUUUUAGAGCCAAAGGCAAUCCUUGGCACUUGUCCACAAUCUUUCUGCCUAUGGGUUCAAGCUGAGGGUAAGCGCUGGAAUCUCCAUUUGGAAAUGCAAAUUUUGUAAAUAGGGCCCAACUAUCUUCAGGGCUUAAUUCUCCCAGACGAUGAGUACUGACUGCACCCAUGAGUUUUGCAACAAUUUCAAUACGAGUCGUCACAACAAUCUUGCUUCCCUCUGCUGCAGCGCGGAGUGGAGUUCCUAGUCUAUCCCAACUUUCCCAAUCAAGAGACUUUACGUCCCAGACGUCGUCGAGAACGAGCAGAAGUUUCUUGUUACCUACGCUCUUUUCCAGUUGACGCUGAAGCAAAUUUAUGUUGUCAGAGGAAGGAGGUGUAGAACCGAUUUCCUCGAGAAUUGUUUUGGUGAGGUUGGUAAGAAGAAACUCAGUGGAAACACAGACCCAUGCUUUCAAGUCGAAGUGUUCCUUCUCUGUGGCAUGGUUAUAGAGAUACUGAGAGAGUGUGGUCUUGCCGCUGCCGCCCAUGCCCACUAUGGACAUCACCUCGAUGUUGUUGCCUCUUGCGUUAUCAGAAAGCAACCAGUUCACCAUCUCCUCCUUAAUUUCAUCCCUUCCGUACACAAUGGACGACUCACCCACCAAAGAAGAGGAUGGUAAUCUUGGUGACGGUUUCUCGCCCCCACCUUCUUUCAGCCCAAGCCCAACUUUUUCUUGAGCAAUAGUCUCAAGUUUAGUAAUCAUCUCCUUCAUCCUGGACUCCAUGCUUUGAGUAGCAAAUGGAGCCUUAACCCAAGCAGGGACCUUGUUCCAGUUCCACGCCUGAUGAGUUCCGCCGGUUUGCGAGUCAGCAGCUUCUAUCUCGCACCGCAAAGCGUCGGUAGCGAUCUCGUCCAACAGGUCCUCCGCAUGAUACACAGCAUCCUUAACUUGGACCAGCCACUUUUUGACUUGUGCGUCUGAAAAUUGCUUCAUCUCCGCAUCAUUGAGCACUUUGUGGACAACCACCAAUUUCCUCUCCAACUCCUUGAGGAGGUCAUGGCUGAGAUUCUUUCGCCGAAUGAAAUUUAUGAGUUCCGGAGAAGCCAACCUGUCGAAUAGAACUUGAAGAAAAGCCGAGAGGACUGCGUCCGCCGUUGCAAAAGGAAUUCAGCGAGAUUGAAUACAGGAAAAAAUGAAGGUAAGCGGAAUGCAGAAUCACAGCAGUAAAGAGUAAAGACUGGUGUCUUUUGCCAAGGGCUUGAACUUGAAGGAAUCAUUGAUGGUGGUGGACCCAGAUGCAGACUUUUUUGCCAAACACAAUAAUUGAGUGGUGACCGGUGAGUAAACGAAAGCAAAGGGGAAAGCAAAAGCGCAUAAAAAAGCUGAUGCCAGACUCUGUUGAGUAAGGUGGGUAGUGCCAGCUUUUUAUUUGUUUUUCUUUUUAAUAUACUCAUUUCUUUUUCUACUACUAUUAUUAUUAUUAUAACAGACGAAUAUUUGUUUCAACAUUAAUAUUCCUAAUAUUAUACUUUCAUUUUUUGUAGUAAUAAUGAUUUCAACAUUUGUGUUAAUACUAUUAUUUUUAAUAAUUAUAAAUAGUAUUGCAAUUCUACAAUUACUAUCACUAUAUUUUUAUUGCUUAUAAUUAUUAUUAAUAGAAUUUAUUAAUAUACAUAUAUAUAAAACAUUUUUACAUCAAUUUAAUGGAGUAGGUGGAUGGAUGUUGAUUUGACCAUUUUUACAUAUUGAUUGAUCCAUUGUCUCAAUUCAAUGGUGGGUCGAAAGCAUUUUUAUAUCAAGUUGGUGGAGUAGGUGGAUGAAUAUUGACUGAUAAAUUGUCUCAUGAAUUUCUUUUCUGUUUUUUUGUUAAAAUUUUAUUCCUUGAAAGUUAAAACCAACUUAAAAUGCAUUGUAAAAUAAGUUUCAAGCUAUUAACUUGGAAUUACAAGAAUCAUUUUCAAUAAUUAACAUUUUUAUUUUUAAAAAGUAACUACUAAAAUUAAGAUUUAAUUAUGAUUAUGAAAAUUGUUGCUUUUUACAUUUUUAUAAUGAUACUGUUUUUUACAUAUUAAAUUUUUGGAUUGUAAUGUGACUUUUCUUUAAUUGGGAUGUCUAAAAAAGAAGUAAGAUAAUUAGAAAUCUUAUUUCCAGCACUGUUUGGAGUUCUUACUUUCUAUUGUGAAUUUGAAAAUUAAAUUAAAAAUAUUUUUGAUAAUGUUUCUAUUAUAACGUUAUAUUUAAUUCUCAAAAAAUAUUAAAAAAAAUACAAAAAAAUGAUUUUCUUAUAUUUAAUUAUGAUAUAAAAAAUAUCAAAGAAAAUAAAAUAUAAUUAAAACUAAUUAAAAAUUUAUAUAUUUGUAAAUUAUUUAAUUUUUAUAUAGAUGAGUUAAAAUAAGUUUAAAAUAGUAAAUAAAAAUAAUUUAUUUUUAUUUUCUUUCACUUUUUCUUUUUUUUUUAAUUUUUCUUUCACAUUUUCUUUCAAUUAUUUUGGGAAUCAAACAUAAUUGAAGUGUUUAUAAUAAAAACGCUUUUUCUAAAAAUGAUUUUAAGAGAAUCACAUAUCCAAUGUUAAUUUUUUUAAAAUAUUAUAAGUAAUUUUUUAAUAGUAAAAGUGAUUUUUAAAAUUUUUAAUAAUAUUUUCUUAAUUUUAUCAAAUACUUCACCUUUUUUUUUUUUAAGUAGAAGCACUUUUUUAAAUUAUUGUUAAACUAAUUCUAACAAUAUUGAAACCACCAAAACAUACUAUUUAAAAAUCAUAAUAAAUAUUAGGUGAAUGAUUCAAGUAGGCAUGGAUUUUCCUUUAUUUUAUUUUAUUUUAUUUUUUGUAACCAGGAGUGUUGGAUUAAACUUGAUAUUAACACCAAAGGCCUCAUUUUUGGAAUUUAAUUAACAAAAAAUUCCUUUUCAAGUUGAUAUUAAUAUAAAUAAUUUUAUGGAGUCCAGUUUUCUGCAAACAUACUUCUUUCAUUGAAUCAAUUUUGGUGGGUGGUGGAAUUUUUUUUUCUUUUAUUAUUAUCAAUUUGGUGGAGUCGGUGGGUAGAUUGGUGGAAUCGGAUACUGCCAAAAAAGCAAAAGCAUCCAUAGGAUGAUGCCUACCAUUCCUUCUUUUCCACUUUUAUUUUUUGAAAUUUUAAUCCUUUCACUGAAUUUGACAACCAUCUUAAAAUAAUUAUUCGGAGCUGAUUUAAAAUAAUAAGGAUCAUUUUUAAUAAUUUUUUUUAAGAAAAAAUAAUUAUUGUCUUACACUCUAUUUGAUAAUAAUUUCAAAAAAUAUUUUUAAUUUUAAAAAUUAGAUAUUUAUUAAAAUAUAAAAUAUAAAAAUCUAUUUAUAAUAUUAAAAAAAUCACUUAUUAUGUUUCCUAAAAUAACACUCGAGUUCAUGGCUGAGAUUUUGUACCGGAUGAAGUUGAUGACCUCCGGAGAAACCAACCAGUCGAAUAGAACUUGAACUUGAAGGGAAGCCGAGAGGAGUGCGUUCGCCGUACCUGUUGACUGCAAUUCUGGAGGCUGGUCUCUAUUGCCAAAAUGCACAAGCUUGGAGGAAUGAUUGAUGGUGAUGGACCCAGAUGCUGACUUUUUGGCCAAACACCAUAAUUGAGUGGUUAUUAAAAGAAAGCAAAGGGGAACCAAAGGCCAAAAAAGCUGUGGUGGACCCAGAUGCUGACUUUUUUGCCAGACACCAUUGCCUUGUGACUUGUUAGUAAAACAGAGCAAAGGGAAAAGCAAAAGCAGAAAAAGCAAUUUUUUUUCUCUAAAAUAUCUAUUGGAGUGUCCCACAUUUCUAGUCGGAAUAUAUAAUUUUUUUAAUAAAAAAAUUAUUCUAUAGAUUAUUUUCUAAAUUCAUGUACAAAUGUAAUUAGAUUUUUUAUAAAAUAAAAAGACAGUAGAUUAACCAAUGACAACCACAUACAAUUUAAUAAUUAAUUAAUUAAUUAACUAAUAUUAGGUUAAUUCAGACUCAAAUUAUUUGACCAUCAUAGUCAUGAGAGCCUAAAAGAGAAGCUAACAGCAAAGAGGAUGCAUACAAUAAAACCAAAAUUAUGUGGUAUUCCCAUCAAGCAUAUCCUCCAUCACUUCUAAAAAGCAUUAAAAUUUUUGAGAUUCGGAUAGGAUUCAAGCAACUUGCAAAGAAAUUUCCCAUAUGAAGUUGGUAAUUAUUAGGAAGAGAAAAUUUAUAAUGGAAGAAGGAUUGGAUUGGAAGUAAUUGUUUGAAGUCGUCAACAUCAUGACAAAGUUGUUGGUAACUGUGAGGCUGAGAGAUUAUUGUGGGCUCUCCUCCACAUGCCUGCCCAUGUGUCGGACCACGUGUCGCACACCCUCAGCCUUGUCUGAAUAGAUGUCAUAGUGACCAUUCUAUUCGGACCACACCUGCACCCCACCUAAGUGGGCAACAUCCCCCAACCAGACUCUGUGUCCUCUUUGCUAUAUAUAAUUAUUUUCAUCUAACAUAGGAAUGACUAAUGCGAUCUUCUUCAACCUUACGUCCAUGUUAGUGGAUUCUCACACAUUGUCCCACAUCUUCAGCAAGUUGAAACGACGGGCAGCUGCAUCAUGACAUAUUGGCUGACGACACUUGCCAACCGCUCUAAAUAAUGAUGAUUGUAAUGGGCAACCAUCAUUAUAGGAAAAGUCAAAGUGCCAACUUAGUACAAUAGUGACUCCCUCCUAAAGACUAUAAAAACCCUCCUAAAGACUAUAAAAACCCUCCUAAAGAUUCCCCCAUUUUCUCUCCUCUCUAAAGGUUCCUAUCUACCUGUGCCUGAUUUAAGCUUUGAAGGGACGUACUUGAACAACUUGUCCGAACAUCCUUUAUGCAGGGAAGAAGCUUGUCAAGAUUCCAAUUUAGCAGAAGCUCUCAAUGGCACAACAAGGGGAGAAUCCAUCUCUAGUUGACUUCGCAUCAACAAUUAUUAUUUGAAACAUCAUAUUAAAUAUCAACCUCUUAUUCAUCAAAAGAUUGGCAACAAGAAAAUUUGGCCUAACUAGUAGAUAGGUUUAAUCGCAUGGUCCAAACUAAGAUUGAAAUAAGAAUGCAAGCUUUGUGUCCACAACAUGCUUUCAUAUUGCUGAUAUACAAAACCACCGGGUGGUUUUCUAAGUUUUGAAUAUUCCAAAAGCUUGAUAGACUUUUGGAGUUGCCAAAAUUUCUAUAUAGAUAGAGUUCACAACUGUUUUGAAUUUUCAAAACACCUAAAAAAGAGACCUUUUGCAACAAGUACUUGCCAAUUUUUCAAUACUUGUAAAAGUGAGAACAUGGACUGGUGAAUCGUGUUACAUCAACUGGAAGAGAAGAUGACCAUCUUGGUGCUUACCUACCAUCUUGAAAUUUGUAACCAUAGUGUAGCAACCUGAGUUUUGGGUCAAAAUGGCCCAUUUACACAAAUAUAUAUAUAUAUAUAUAUAUAUAUAUAUAUAUAUAUAUAUAUAUAUAUAUAUAUAUAUAUAUAUAUAUAUAUAUAUACAUAUAACCAUUUUAUGAAACUUAUAUUCAAAUUAGCCUAUUUGAUGUCACGUAGGAGUCGUGUUAUAAAAAUAUAUAUAUUUUUUCAUAAUUUUAGUUAAAGUCUCAAUUGACAAUUUAUGCUUUAUUUUUAAAUUGAAGUCGCAAUUGCUAGUUGAGGUUUCAUUUUUUAACUGAAGCCUCAAUUGAUAACUGAGACUUUAUUUUUUAACUAAAACCUCAACUACCAACUGAGGUUUCAAUGAUUUUUUUUAUUUAAAAUUAAUUAAAAACUAUUAAAUUAUAAUUCAUUAAUUAAAUUAAAAAUAUAUACUUUAAUAAUAAAUUAGUCGUCAACCCAUCAUCUCAUCAGUGUCAACAUCAUUACAACCCCCUACCUUUUUAUCUCUAUAAUUAGUACAGUCACCCAUAUCUUCAGAUCUACCAUCAGUGCAAUCCCUUACCUCUUCACACUCAUCACCAAUGCAACCCCUUACCUCUUCAAACUCAUCAUUAGCAUAACCCCCUAUUUUUUAAAACUUAUUUUCAAUUUAGCUCCUUACCUUUUCAUACCCACCAUUAGCACAACCCCCUACCUCUUCUGACCCACUAUCAGUAUAACCUCUAACCUCGUUAGACCUACCUCCAUUACAACCUCCUACCUCUUCAGACUCACUAUCAGUGUAGCCCCCUACCUAUUCAGACUCAUUAUUAGUACAACCACAUACUUCUUCAGACCCAUUUUUAGUGUCUGCUAACCCAUAUGUCGAUCCCCUUUCAUUGCACCUAGAUGUUUCCUUAGCUACUUCACUAGGACCUGAGUUUAGGACAUUAGUUCUACUAUCACCGGAGUCAUUUAUAUUUGAUUCUAUACCUAUGCGAUUGACACAUCUACUCAGUUAGAUUUAUCCCCAACCAUUUUGAAAGGUAGGUGUGACCUACAUUGACUUAGAUUGCUACCUCCACCACCACCUCUAUUCCAACUCUAGCUUCAACACAAAUAGAUGUUCUUCAUAUGUCAAAUGUAGUAUCUACUACAGUUAGAAAAGAGCAACCAAAACAGAAGAGAGUACCAAUUACAUAUGAGUUAUCUCCUUGUGGAGACAUGUGAGAUUAUAUAUGUUUUUUUUUCCCACUAUAUAAAUGUUUAAUGGGUAUUUUUUUGUGACUUUGAUGAAACUACUAAAAAUUAUAUUUUGUAGUAGACUUUUUCUAAUUAAUUUCAUUAACUAAUUUUAUCAAAAAAUCUAUAUAUGUCAACUUAAGGGUGUACUAUUAUUUUAAUAAAGAUAAAUUUGUCAUAAUACAAAUAAAUUAUUAUCUUAAAUUAAUAAAUUAUAUAAUUUUAUAUCUUAUUUAUAUGUUAUAUAAAAUUAUUAUUUUAAGAUUAUUAAUUUAUUAAUAAAUAAAAUAUUCAUUUAUAAUGUCUUCUAUUUAUCAAUUUAUAUUUGUUAAAGUAAUACUAGAUUCUAAGUUUAAAUAUAAAUAAUUUAUUAUGAAAGUAUAUAUUUUUAAUUUCAAUAAUAAAUUGUAAUUUAAUAGUUUUUAAUUAAAUUUUAAUUUUUUUUUAAAAAUUAACUAGCCUUAGUUAACAAUUGAAACUUUAAUUUAAAACUGAAACCUCAGUUGACAAUUGAAGUUUUAACUAAAAUGAUGAAAAAAAAAAAUUUUAUGACAUGACUCUUAUGUGGCAUCAAAGAGACCAAUUUGAAUAUAUAUAUAUAUAUAUAUAUAUAUAUAUAUAUAUAGAUAUAUAGAUAUUAUAAAUGGGCCAUUUUGAACCAAAACUCGUAGCAACCUUGUUUGUACCAUUAGAACAAGAAAAUGAGACCAUACUAACAAAGAAAACACUAUAAGAACAAACAUAUGUUCAACUAAAGUUCAUGAUAUAUAGAACUUCCGAGAUAACACAGAUUGAACUAAAGGGGAAAGGACAAGGGGGCACAGGAACUUCAACAACUCUUUCAAGCAUCAGUAUUACCAUUCCCAUGUAGGGCCUCAAAGAAGGGUCCUCUUGGAUGCACCAAAGGGCAACCAUCACCAUCCACUCCAUCAUCGCCAUCUCAUUUCUUGUUUCAUCAUCAUUCUUCACUAGCUUAUCCAAUCUGUGCCCUCUAUAGCAAUCAUAAGCUCAAUCAGUUAGUAUUACUUCCUCGUCAUUUUCCGGCUGUGAAUGUUGAAAAGCACAGAAAUGGAAACAAGGACACAUAAUUUGCAUUUGAAACUGAGGGCAGUUUCAAUAGUCUGAACUAAAGGGGAAAGUACAUGGAGGCGCAGAAACAUCAACCAUGCCUUCAAGCAUCAGUUUGACAAUUCUCAUGGAAGGCCUUAAUGAAGGGUCCUCUUGAAUACACCAAAUUGCUACCACCACUAACCUCUCCAGCCCUCUGUAGACCCUCAAUUUUGUUCCUUUAGCACAUGUCUUUAAAUUCGUUUUCAAUGCUCCACAAUAGUUCCUUGGUGGCCCAUGGCUACUCAUACCACUUACCUUUUUCUAAGUCACCUCGGAGAUUUUGGUUGAGGGAUUAUUUGAUCCUUUAUUGUGACCCUUGGCAGCCCUAACUUAGACUUAGGCUUUUCUUGUUUUUUUAGGAUAGCUUUUAGAUACACUUGGCCCAUUAGGCACUACCCUAGGCCCACUUAGUCUCACCUUAGGCCCGUUUAGGCACACUAGGCCUACGAAGACUUUUAUUUUAUUUUAUUUUAUUUUAUUUAUUUAUUUAUUUAUUUUGUUUUUAAUUUUAAUUUUAUGAUUAUCAUUCACUUUUUAUUGGUUAUCUUCCUCUUUAUAUUAUUUUCCUUAACUUAUUUAUUUAUUUAUUAUUUUUACCAUUUUUUAAUUUAUUUACUUAUUUAUCUAUUCAUGCAAUUAUUUAACUUCAAAAAUUUCAUGUUUUUGCAAGGAAACUUACCAUUGGAGUUUAAGGAAGACGGGACUCUCCUUGGAAGGUUUUGGAGGGGAAGUUGAAAUUGGGAAGAUUGCUUUUGAUUGGAGGAUUUAAAAAAAGAAGAGAAGAAGAAAGGAAGGGGGAGAAUUUUCCUUUUUGGAAACAAAUUUAGGUCUUGAGGGGUGAUAUAUAUAGGUGAGAAAAGGAAAAGAAUAGAGAGAUUUUUCUUGGGGGGCAGAGCACACGGAAUUUUGGAAAAAAGCAAGGGACUUCGAACGGAGAUCGGGCUGUCAUUUAAUCAUCAAGAGAGGAUUUUCUCUUUCACUUCAAAGGUUAGUUUUCUAUAUAGUACUUUUAUUUAGCCUAGAUUUUUUUUUUUUUUUUUUUUGGAAAUUUUAGUUUUUGAUUAAUUCUUUGUGUUAAAGUUUAUAUUAUUUUCUUUUUAAAUCCCCAAUUAGUUUAAUUCUAAUCUAUCUUUUAGUUUAAGUUUGUUAAUGAUUUUAAUUCUUAAGUUUAAAUAAUCAUAUUGAAUAAAGUUUGUAUUUUUAAUCCCAAUUAGUUUGAUUUCAAUUCGUUUUUAAUUUAAAUGCAUUAGUUGAUCUUAAUUCUUUGUUUUAAAUAAUCACGUUAAAUAAAGUUUGUAUUUUUAAUCCCAAUUAAUUUGAUUUCAAUUCGUUUUUUAGUUUAAAUGUAUUUUGUUGAUCUUAAUUCUUUAGUUUAAAUAAUCAUAUCGAAUAAAGUUUGUAUUUUUAAUCCCAAUUAGUUUGAUUUUAAUUUGUUUUUUAGUUUAAAUGUAUUUUGUUGAUCUUAAUUCUUGACUUUAAAUAAUCACGUUAAAUAAAGUUUAUGUUUUUAAUCUCAAUUAGUUUGAUUCCAAUUCGUUUUUAGUUUAAAUACAUUUUAUUGAUCUUAAUUCUUAAGUUUAAAUAAUCAUAUCGAAUAAAGUUUGUAUUUUUAAUCCCAAUUAGUUUGAUUUUAACUUGUUUUUUAGUUUAAAUGUAUUUUGUUGAUUUUAAUUCUUAAGUUUAAAUAAUUGUAUUGAAUAAAGUUUGUAUUUUUAAUCCCAAUUAGUUUGAUUUCAAUUCAUUUUUAAUUUAAAUGCAUUAGUUGAUCUUAAUUCUUUGUUUUAAAUAAUCACGUUAAAUAAAGCUUGUAUUUUUAAUCCCAAUUAAUUUGAUUUCAAUUCGUUUUUUAGUUUAAAUAUAUUUUGUUGAUCUUAAUUCUUGACUUUUAAUAAUCACGUUAAAUAAAGUUUGUGUUUUUAAUCUCAAUUAGUUUGAUUUCAAUUCGUUUUUAGUUUAAAUACAUUUUGUUGAUCUUAAUUCUUAAGUUUAAAUAAUCAUAUCGAAUAAAUUUUGUAUUUUUAAUCCCAAUUAAUUUGAUUUUAAUUUGUUUUUAGUUUAAAUGUAUUUUGUUGAUUUUAAUUCUUUACUUUAAAUAAUCACGUUAAAUAAAGUUUGUGUUUUUAAUCUCAAUUAGUUUGAUUUCAAUUCGUUUUUAGUUUAAAUGCAUUAGUUGAUCUUAAUUCUUAAGUUUAAAUAAUUAUGUUAGAUAAAGUUCAUGUUUUUAAUCCCAAAAUAGUUUAUUUUUAAUUUAUUUGUUAGUUUAAAUAUGUAUGUGAUUUUAAUUUAUUAGUUUAAAUAAUCAUGUUAGAUAAAGUUUAUAUUUUUUUUUAAUUCUAAAUUAGUUCAGUUUUAACCUAUCUUUUAGUUUAAGUAUAUUUGUGAUUUUAAUUCAUUAGUUUAAAUAAUCUUGUUAGAUAAAGUUCAUAUUUGAAAUUCCGAUUUAGUUUAGCUUUUAUUUAUUUUUAAUUUGGAUGUGUUUGUAAUUGUAAUUUAGUAGUUUAAUUAAUCUUAUUAAAUAAAGUUCAUGUUUUUAAUUACAAUUUAAUUUAGUUUUAAUUUGUUCUUCACUUGUAUGUGUUUGUGAUUUGAAUACAUUAGUUUAAUUAAUCCCGUUAGAUAAAGUUUAAUCUUGAUUUAAUUUAUUUUUUUAGUCUAGAGGCAUUUAUGUGUUUAGUUAAUCUUAUGUUAAUUAUGGAUUGUUAUUCUCAAUUUAUGCGCUUCUUGAAUCCUUGUUGCUAAUUCUUGAUGGAUAUUUCAUUAGCUUAUUUGAUCUAAAUAUUAAUAAUUUAUUGCUUUGAUAGUUUCCUUUUUGUUCAAAGGCCAUUGGAAAAUCAUGAAGAUUGGCCUCUACCAUCACCAUUAUCAUUUUUGUUAAUUAUUAAAAAAAUUUUACUUUGAGGUUUCAUUUUUGUUUUGUUGGGUAUUUUAUUUCUUAUAUUUUAUUUUUUCCAAAUUAAUUCCUUUUAUUUUAAAAUAAAAUACUUUUCUCAAAAAAAUCAUUUUAAAAAUCUAUUUCAAAAACUCAUUUAGAGUCCUCAGGAUCAAAAUCUCUUUUUUUUUUUUUUUAUUAUUUAAAAAUAAUAUGAAACCAUAUCUUGUUCGGUUUGCAUCAUUCUCGGUUUUUAACAAAAAUUUUGGUUUUGAACAAAGACACGAAUCAAAGCUUGUGGUCCCACAUAAAUGGGAUAAUUCUGAGCUAAAUUCGUGUAUAUCAAUUGGGGAAUUGGUGAAACCCCUACAUAAGAAAAUCUUUUCAAAAAUUAUUUUUGUUGCCAUUUUUGUCACUUGUUGAAAUUAUGUCUAUCUUUUUUAGGAAUUGUAUAUAAGAUGUGUGUGAUAAUUAAUGUUUUCAUAUACUUUGAUAAUUUUUGUUAUGCCAAUUAGAUAACAAGCAUGCUAGGGUUUCUUUAUUUUAUUAUUAUCUAAUCCCUCAUGUCUUAUGGGAGCGCAUUGUAAGUUAUUUAUGCUAUCCAGGUACGCCCCCCCCUAUCGCCUACUUUCUAAAUUUUGUAAACAAUCGUGUCACUAUGAAGUAUGCAUAUGUUUGAUAAUCCUUAGGUGUUUAGAUGUGUGUUAUACUUCUAUACUAACUCUGAUGUUUUAUGAUAGCGCUUGAGAAGCGGUCCGGGUACGCAUCCUAACCUUUCUUUUAUGGCAAUUUGAUCUUGUUUAGCAUGCAAAUCUUUUGAAAUCACCUAGCCUACUUAGUAUCCAUAAUUAACCGAUUAAUUGCCAUAUUCCCCUUAACUUAAUUAGUAGAGACCUCUUUAGGGCUUAGAGGGGUGCUACCUCCUAGAGGUACCUUCCCAAUAAGUAACCUGAUCCCCGGACCAAGACUUGGGUUUUCGAAGACACGCUUUUCCAAAAAUUAUGGAGUCAUUUUUUUAGGGUUUUAUUUCUUGUUUUAUUUUCCCUUCAAAAAUAAAAAUAAAAUAAGUGGCGACUCCAACUUUUUUUAAAAUUAAUUUUUCACAAUAAAAAGUGAGUCUCGCCGAUCGAGUGGGGACGCACGUGAAAAAUGCGGGUCCACACCCUCCUCAUGUCAGUUCUUGCCUCAUCAUCAGUCUCCACAAGCAUAUCCGAUUGGUGACCUCUAUAGCAAUCAUAAGCCAAUCAGGAAGGAUGGCUUCCUCUUCAUCUUCUGUUUGGAAAUCAAUGCACCUCCUGCAACAAAUGAUUUCCAGUAACAUGACCCCCAUAACUAUAAGCGUCUAUUUUUGCUGUAAUUGACUUGCUCUUGAACCAUUCUGACACAAGUCCCUCUGAUGGUUAUAAGUGCCUGAGUUUCAUCACUCAUCACAAGUUUUGUCAAUCCAAAAUCGGAAAUCCUUGCUGUGAAUGAAUCAUCCGGAGGACAUUUUGAGGCAUGAUGUCACAGAGGAUGAUCUGUGUGCUACACUCCUGAUGCAAGUACAUCAGCUCUCUUGCAAUCUCAAAUCCCAUUCGAAAGUGGAUAUUUCUUCUUCCAGAAGGUUUCUUCUUUAAUUUAAAGACAGCAACCACACAAUUGUAGUCAUAUACAUAAGAUAUCCAGCAGAGGUCUUCACCUAAGCAUUCUAUCUUCUCAAAGUUUGCAGUGGCAGUCCAAACUAUGUUAAGACUUCUCUUGUAAGUUCUCUGGGUUUGAACCUUCUCCUUGUUCACCUUUUUGUACCAUCUUCAGCUUGCAGCCAUUGGGCUUGUUGUAUGGAUCAACAAGGGAAAACCCAAAAAGACACUCACAAAUUAGUCUUCCUUUUGAGUCAGGUAUGCAGUAACUGUUAAUUAAAGCCACAACUCUCAGUCUCCCACCUCCCAAAUCUACCUGAAUCUCAGAGCAAAUGUCCUUUGGGUGUAUUAGGACUGAACCCAGCUUCUCUUUCUCUGGAGCUUGGGCGAGUAUAUUUUCUGAAAACUCCAUCAAAAUCCAGCAUUUCCCAGUAGUAGUAAUCUCUGGUUGAAUCUGCACUUCCUGACAUGAGGAUAGCACUCCCUCUGUUUCGUAGAACAACAUGAAGGUGAUCCGAAUCAUCAAAAAUCAUCCAUUCAUCAGAAUUGCUGCCAUUUCCAGAUUAAAGGUGUUAAGGACAAAAUUUCCAUCAGGCAGCAAAAGAGGCUGGAACCUUCCCUUUGAGUAGUUGCCUUCAUCUUACUGAGAAGACGCAAUGCCACCACUUUCUAAUAUUUUAGUUGGCAAGAUGGUAUCAAGCAUGGCGGCGUAAACAACCCCAUUAACACCAGACCCAGCUUUCCAUAUGACUUGGUCCUGACCAUCAAGUGUUAACUGACCAUCAAUCAUAAGCUCUACUUCAUAUUCCAAUUUUUUUUCCAGGGAUUUUGUCAACCAGAUAGUUAGCCUGCUCGUGGACGAAAUCCAAAAGCCAAGACCCUGAUGGCAAUUUCCAUGAAAAUGAGCAAUCAGAAGCCAGAAGAGACAAUCCUAAACUAGUAUUAUACUUGGUUUCAGCUACAGCAAGAAAUGGUAGAACAAAGAGAAGCAAGAGGCAUCCAUGGCCAACAACAGGAAAAUCCAUGUUGGUAUAGAGAAUUUGGAGAACUUGUUCAAAUUAUACCACACUUUUUAAGACGAAAAGAAGGUUGAUUGCAGAGACCCUAUGAUCAGAUUUGAAGAGUACACCAAUGGAAAGUUACUGAAUCCAUUAUCAAGCUAAUUACCUAUCAAUAUCUAAGGCUUGAUUUUCCAUUUUUAGUAGAAAAAAACUGUUCUGAGACAGUCAUAGAAGUCAAUAGUUUUCUUAUUGACGGAAAACAAAAAAUUAAAGAUAUGCCAUAAAUUCUUGUUUGGAACUCAAUCUUGAAAAAAAGUAUGUGGUUUAUUCCUUGUAAAGGAGUUCUAGUCUCUUGCAUAAAUCAACGUUUUGGUCUUCCAGGUGGAUCAUAUUUUUUGAUAUCUAGAAUCCACCAAGGUAUGUAGUAAGGCAUUUAUCCUAAUAGGUUGAUCCCUUACAAACAAAAAAGUGGCUCUUGACAGAAAAUGAUUAGGAAGGCAUGCAAGUAACAAAUACAAAUUAAAUAUAAUGUAAGAUUUUCAUGGAUUAAAAAAAAUACAUGGCAAAAUAGUAUAUAUUAUUUCAACCAGGGAACAUAUGUGAAUGUUGUAUUUUUUGAUAUCUAGAAUCCACCAAGGUAUGUAGUAAGGUAUUUAUCCUAAUUGGGGUUGAAACAAACCUGAAUGAUAUAAAUCCACCCCUCUAUCUUACAUCACUUCAAUACCGAAGAUACUCAGAACUCAGAACCUCGCUAAGUUAGAAGCAUAUGUAAAAGUUGUAUUCUAUUCCAUAAGGGAAACACUCUAUACUCAGUAGCAUAAACAAGCCCCGAAAGCCACUUAUCUCUUUUUUUUUUUUUUGGCCUUUUUACUUAUUCUCAUCUCUCAUGACCAGAAGUGCUAAGGAUGAUAUAACCUCAUCAAAUAAGUUAGAAACCAGCCCAUCUAGCAGGUUCAGUAGCUGACCUGCUCUCAAUCUUCUUUGAGUCACCAAUAAGCUGGGCAUUAUGCCUCCAACAGUGGGUCUGGAAAUAUUAGAGCUGGCAGCAGGGGUGGCUGUAAAACUCUCCUUUCCAAAACACCAAGUUUCAGGCCCAGAAGUUGCUUCUGUGGCUGGUUUGUUGUGAUGACCAUUUUCUGGUCCUAAACACUAUCCUUAUCCCUGGAAAGAGGCUGCUGCUGUUUGGGCUCAUCACCAAAAGCCUGCCAUAGCUUAGAGUCUGGUAAGGGGAAUCGGAUUUUCUGUGCUGGAGUUUCCAGACUGUUGCUUCAAUCUUUUCUCUCUGCUGUUAUGAGAAGAGAAAAUAUCAGGAAAAUGAAUCGAUGGAAGAAAUUGUUUUAAAUCCAAUAGGCAUGUGUGAGAAUAGGAGAUGAUACUGGAGGAGUAGCAGUUGACUGAAGUCCAGUUGAGGUUCAGUUUUUCAAAGCAUCACUGUGGGGUGAUGGAGUUCAAGCAGCAAGAGCUUGCUUGAGUUCCUGUAUCUUCUUCAAUGCCCAUUUAUUCAGGCUUCUUCAAGUGGCUUAUGAUUGGUGGAGGUGCUUCCAUAAUCCAUCAGGGUCCAAUGGAAGAUUCUCAGCUUUUAAGUCUCUGAAUCAUACAAUUAAGAAAAAUGAAGAAUGUCGAAUAAGACAAUACAAAUUUGUGGGCAGGACCGAAAAAUGAAGGAAUAGUGGGAAUAUCUAUUAAGAGCAUAAUAAAUGACAAAACUACCAUAUGACAACACAGCAAAAAAUUCAUAAACAGCCCUGAACAAACAAUAAAUUCUCAUUUUUUGAAUAGAGAAGAACCAUUAAAAUGUGCAGGAAAUGUUUUAAAGUAAAAUCUAUUAAAAACUUUCACUAAGACUUGGACUCUUUAACUUUCUUUUCAAAUAAUCUGAAAACCCCUGCUGAGAAAGAAUAAUGAGAACCAACUACUAUGGUUGCCGAUAGAAGGGUAGGGAUGGCAAUGAGAAUUCUGCUUGUGAGAAGAUAGAAAAAGAAGAUCGUCACUUCCUGGACCAUAACUAUAGUCCAAAAUGGGAUCCAUGACAUUGAUCUCAAUGAUCAUCUCCACCACAGUAGAAAAUAUACAGAAAUUCCUAGUCAAAGUCAAGACCUAAGGAAAGCCAAAACAAGAACAAAACAUUGCCAAAAUUGAAACAAAAACAAGAGUGCAUCAACUUCCAAACAAAGAUUUUUGUCUAUCUGCCUACCAUUUGAAGGUUGUCCACUUGGUUAGUGCAAAAUAGACUAGCUUUUGUUACAGAGACUGCCAAUCAAUGCAGAUUGCUAAACCAAAAGAGAGUUCAAACAACCAAGCAACCAAACAGUUUUCAAAAUGAUUAUUGUUGUUUACCUCACAUGUUUUUCUAUAGUCAUAACCACACUUUGUUUCUCAUAAGAAGUCUUCUAUGUUAAUCCUGGUUGCUUAUUACAAUAUACAAAAAGGAAAAGAAAAAAAACAAAAAGUAGUGAUUGAUUUAGUUUGAUAUUGAAAUGAACAGAGUCACAACAUGAACAUACACAAGUAUGAUAUCCUAAAAACAAUUUGCAAAAAUCCCUAACUAUUUAUCCAUAUAUUAUGCAAAUAUUAUUUACACACUUUACUUUAAUUCCAAGCAUAUUUCAAAAACCAUAAAUUACCUAAAAUGUAUCAACAAAUAGAGUUUGCUGCAUGCCCAAAUUCCCCACAAUAGGACUAGAAAAUUAUUUCUGUAGAAACAAAUUGAGAAGAUUGUGAGAUUUGGAUUGCAAAAGGAGGUCAAGACCUUUUCAAUGUAGAAGGUUUAAGUAAUUUUGUCUAUUAAACAGUGAGAUGUUUUUAGGCCAUUGAGAACAUGAACCAAAAUAAAGAAAACCUUUUUGCUUUAGUGAAAAAUAAGACAUUGAAAUGAUAUGCAAUCAUAAAUCUUGCAAUUUUGUAUAUUGCAGAUUUAAUUCUCCACUUCUAUUACACUGGAAAGAGAAUAGCAGCAAGAAAAGACCAAAGCAAUUAAAAUUACUUACUGCCAAAGCACAAUACGUCCCUGGUUUCCUCCAUGCCUGUAUAAGAGAAAAUAGACCAAGAAAGUGAGAAAAAACCGAAGCAUCCAUGGUUUUCCAUAGUUUUCAAGUGGUUCACUUGGCUUAGGCACACCACCAAAUAAAAACAGCGCAUGAAAAUGAGAGUACCAUUAGAAUAUGACAACUAUCUGUAUCAAAAUGUGAGCACUUUGGUUCAAUCCUCCUCCACUCCUCUUCAAUAUUUGUUUCAGACUUGAAGCCUCGAAGAAAAAAGAAAUCUCUAGCACACCUGCCACCAUUAAAAAAGUCAGCCUUGGAAAACAGACAUAAAAUUCCUCACCUAAUGUUGACAUGGACUCAAACUAUCUAAAGCUAACCUAAAUUCAUGGAGAUCAAUGGCCAAUCAAGCAAAGCACAUGCCUGUGUGAUGUUUGGUUGAUCAUCUGGAGAAGCUUGGAUCAUGUCCAUCAUUAGAUCUGUCACAUAGGAGCUGCAUGUUGGUAAUUGUCGAAUGAGGAAGUUUCCAUUUGAGAUAAUAGAUGGUGAGAAAUAUAUAGUCAGAAAAAUAAUAAAGCACAUAACCUGAUAUUCUAUUGAUUGAUUCACCCAUUCACAAAUCAUUAGAAAGACUGGAAAUAUAGAAGAGCAAAUUUUCUAAUUCAAGGAGAUGGUGAAUAAUCUUAGAAUCAUCAUUUCUAUACAAAAUCAGGAAGUUCAAUGAGGAAAUUGCACUCAACCACUUUUAAGAUAAGAACAUCGAAAUGGAAAACAAAGCUUCAAAAAAGUCUUAAAGUCUAGAACAAUUUAAUUGAAAUAUUCUUCUCAGGAGUUUCACAGUAUAAACCUCCAUUAAGACCUGGACUCUUUAAUUUUCUUUUCAAAGAAACAGAUGACUUGGAUAAACAAUGAGAACCAAUGCCCAUGGUCACUUACACAAGUGUAUGCAUGACCAUGACAAUUCUUCUAAUGAGAAGCUAGCACAAGAAGACUGCCACCUCAAGGAUCCAUGUCAAUGACCUCGAUGAUCAUCUGCAGGGCAACAAAAAAUAUACAGAAAUUCCAACUCAUAGUCAAGAUCUAAGAAAUUCCAAAAGAAGAACAAAACCACGUCAAAAUUGUGACAAAAACAAAUUCAGCAGCUACCUAACAAAAAUUUAUGUCUUUCUAGCUACUAACCUCUUGAAGUUGGUCCACUUGGUUACUGCAAAAUAAACAGCCUUUCGUAAUAAGGACUCCAAAUAAGCUAAGGCUAUUAAACCAAAAGAGUGUUUAAACAAAUAAAAAAUUGACCAAUUCAGUGCCAUAAAAUACUUCAUAUAAAAUUAUUGCUUUAGAAAUUGCAACUUUCUAAAUGAUCCUAGAUUUAAAUAUACAUUAGCAUAAAAUUGCAGUUGUUUACCUCACAUGUUUUUCUAUUGUCAUAAUCGAACUUUGUUCCUCAUAAGAAGGCAUUUAUGUUCAUCUUGGUUACUUAAUAUGGAACAUGUAUAGAAAAGAAAAAGAAAAACAAAAAGUUAGUGAUUAAUUUAGUUUGAUAUUGACUGGAGAAAAGUCACAAAAUAUGCAUAUGCAAGUAUAUUAUCCUCAAAACCACUGGCAAAAGGCACCAAGUACCCAACUAAGAACAUACUCGAUUAAACAUGAAUUACCUAAAAAUGUAUCCACAUGUUCCUGUGCAUGUGCAACAUAAAUACCCAGAUGGUUAGUAUCAUUUUUGCCCAUUCCGAAAGGUAAAUUGAAGAAGUCAAGGAAAUAAGAAAAUGGGCUUUGUUAAAAUACAAAUUACCUGGGAUCAAUCUUCCUUUCCCUUUUUUUUUUUUUUUCUUCCUCUGCUGGAGAACUUCUGAAAUCAAACAAAUAGAGUUUGUUGCCUGCCCAAAUCUUCAACAACCGGACCAGCCAAUAACUUGUGUAGAUGUACAAUUCUUCAAGAGUGUCAAACAGAUUAAAAGCCUUUGAAUGCAAAAAGGAGGUCAAGACAUUAACAAUGUAGAAGAUUUAAAUAGUUCUGGUAUCAAACAUAAUAAAAUUGAUUAAACAAAACCUUAAACAAUGAGGUAUUUUCUUCUAAACAGGAUGAGCUCCAUCAUUGUGUGAGCUAUUGAGAAUAUAAAAAAUAACGGAAUCAUAAGCAAUUAAAAUUACUUACUAAUAAGCAGCGAACUAGAAUGCAUCCAUGGUUUCCUCCAUGCCUGUAUAAGAGAAAUGGAAAAAGAAAGUGAGGAAAAACCAAGGCAUCCAUGUUUUUCCACAGUAAAUAAAAUUUGUGUUCACUUGGGUUAUGCAUACUGCCAAAUAAAAACAGAGCAUGAAAAUGUGAGUUCCAUUAAAAUAUGGGAAUUGUUUGUGUCAAAAUGUGAGCACCUAGGUUGAAUCCUCAUCUACAACUCCUCAAUAUUCGUCCCAGACUUGAAGCUUCAAGGAGACGAAAUUCUUAAAUCAAAUAAAUGGAGCCAAUGAAUCAUGUAGACAUAUUUUUUAGAUUAGAAAUUGGAACAUAAAUUUUCUAAAGAAUAAGUUUAAGCAUAGAACAAUUACCGCCACUUUCAUUAAAAUAGUUCAUUGAUGAUUAUAUUUGGAAUGUGAGAUAUAUAACACCAUUCUGGCCCUUUCUCAAAUUGGCACUGUUGUUUCAGUAAAGGACAUGGGUCCACAAUCAGACAAGAGACGGAGUCCGACAAUCUCUUUCUUGUCAAGUAUUGGAACUCACGGCAGCUGUAGAUAUGCAAGAUUUCAAGAGUGGUGAGGUAGUGAAGACCCGCUUCUGUCAAGGAUUGGAGCCUUGGGCAGUGCUGGAUUUGUAAUUCUUUGAGAGACACAAGGUGUUGAAGAACAGAUCCUGUCAAGGAUUGGAGCUCAGGGCAUUUCCUGAUGUCUAAUUUUACAAGAGAGGUGAGUUGUUGAAGCCCCUUGCUAUCAAGAGACUUGAGAUUUGGAAGACCAUAGAUUGCAAGAAAAGUCAGAGAAGAGGGCAGCAGGCACUCCUUGGGAAAUAAUUCCACGUCUUCACAUCCACCAAAGAUUGUGAAAUGAGUAAGAGAGGCCAGUCUUUGCAAAUCCCAGUCCACCUGGAACGUGAGUUGGUUGCAGAACCAAAUUUGAAGUUCACGUAGGCUGGAAGGCAAACCCUCUUUGUGAAACAACAAUUCUGGACAAUACAUUAAACUCAGUUUCUGCAGAGAUGAAUGGGUGUGCGCCAGCAAUUUGAGCUUGGAGCAGUUGUGAAUUUCAUGGGACACCGAGUCGAGAGCGGGCAGUUGGAUGUAUACAAGAUUAGCGCACCCCUUGAUUUCCAAUUUACGAAGAGAUGUAGGAUCCCCCUCUGAAAUCGAAAUGUAGAGCUUCUCAAGCCCCUUAAGACCAUUGAUUGUGAAAUUAGUCAACCUGGGGGAGAUGUCCAAUAUUGAGAAGGAUAACGGGAGAGAAUUAUCGUAGGUACCGCCAUUGAUCGAUAGAUUUUCAAGGGUAGGGUGAUGACAUCUGAACAACUCAGGUAGAAGAAGGUCCAAUUUGGUACAAUUAGAGAUUAAUAGCGAUUCAAUGUAGUGGGUAAGCCACCUUUGCUUGGGGAUCCGUAAAAAGAGCAAUCACAAAAUUCCAAACUGUACAUGUUGGUUUGCAGGAUUUCCCCCUCUAGUAGAGACUCCACAGAAUCAUACUUUGUAAUGGAGAGAUUGUGGGGUACCACUGGAAGUUGCUUCAACCGAGAGACGUUUGAAAUUUCAAUUUCUGAAGUUUGAAGAGCUGUAAAGCCACAAGUUUGCCUUUUCAACUGCAAUAUGUGUAAAUCCUAAGUUUCAUUAUCCACUCACAACCAUAUAGAUAUUGUUUAUUUUGGGUCUAAUAAGACCUCAUAACUUUAAAAUACGUUUACAUGAUUAUAAACAACUCAUACAUCAGACAAAGGUCAAAAAUUGACUUUCAUACUAUUUCUUACAAUCCAUUCUCUCUUAUAUAAAUAUUAUCUAUUCUGGAUCUAAUGAGCUCUUAUAGUUUUAAAACACACUUAUAUACUUAAAAAAAUUCAUGUACAUAUGGUAUAUAUGAGAAACUUUUAUACCAAUAUGAUGUGAGAUAUCCCACUAAAAGAGUAUUAACAAGUCCAUUAAUAAAACUCAUUUGAAGAAUUAAUGAAUUAUCAUGCAAGUACUAAUAUCAAAUGAUGUAGAACCACAUACAUUCCUAAAAGUUUAAGCUAAUGGGAGGUAGAGAUAGAUCUUAUAUCCUGUUGAUUACUAAUAUUGGUUGGAUUGACCUUAUAUAUAUAUAUAUAUAUAUAUAUAUAUAUAUAUAUAUAUAUAGACACAUACGUAGGAGGAAAGAAAGUUCAAUAUGAGCAAUUUUAUUUACCCAAGUUCUGACUUUGCAAGGAGCCGGGUAAUAAAACUAAAGUGGUCUACAUCCCUAAACUCACUGUUAUGAGUAGUAAGACCAUGAACCCAAUUAGAUGUGAAUAACAUUUUCUAUCGAGAGAUGACAUAUACCCAUGUAUGCCUCCACCCCACUCAUUAAAACCCCCCAGCAUGCAUACCGUGUGCAUGCAGUGUGCCAUCCAUGGAUAGAUCCUGUCCUUUUGGAGGAACACACAAUGACCAGCCCUGUAAUUGGAAUUUUGUCAAUCAAUACAGCACCUUCAGGACCAUGACCACAUGGCAUGACAGCAAGAAAUAGCUAGCCCUACAAACUAAAGGACCCACGAAAUGGACCAUCUAAUAACAAAAUACCAAGUCUAGCUACCCAGAAGAUGUGGUUGUCUUCCUUGUUUCUUUUGGUGGAAAUCAGAAUAAACCAGAUCACCAAACUUGUGGGCAGCCUGACUUUCAUAUAUAUACUCUGACCAUUCAGUUUGGUUUCUCCAAUAUUUACCAAAAUGAAAACCCCAAUUAAGAAAUCGAAGACGAGGAAUCUUAUAUAUGACUAAGCAUCCAUCACAACGGAAAUCUUAAACAUUGAUUGAAAUAUAAACAAGAACACAGGAAACUGUAUUUUUCAUACAUGAUAAAAAAGUGCAAUAAUUCAAGAUGAACUGAUAAAAAUUCCAAAGGGGCGUGGGGGCACAGAAACUUCAACUACACCCUCCAACAUCUGUGUAACCUUCCUCAUGGUUGAUGUCACGCCCCAAGACCCACUCCAAGGGUGUGACGGUCAUUUCACACCUCAAACCCGAAGGCUUAAAGUAUAAUCUGACCCAAACAGUCAUAUUGUAACUGGAUGUUACCAAUUACCAAAUACCUGCUCAGAGUAGCGGAAACAAAAUCUAAAAUCCUCAAAAUUCAAUUUCCAAAUAACUUCCAAAUACCAAAUGAUCCAAAAUAACAUAACUAAUAGUUAAACAAAAUCCAACAUAAAAUCCUAAGUCAAAUCCUAAUGAUGACCAUUCCUCAGCCUAGCCAUCACUCCUCACCCGAACUAAGAGUACCUGAAAAAUUUUCAACAAUUGGGAAUGAGCUCACAGCCCAAUAAGGAAUAUUAAUGCAGUUCAUGGAUCAAAUAUUUUCAUUUCAAAUAAGAGAUAUCAUUUUUUUUUUCUCAUCAAAUAUCAGAGUUUCAAAAAUACCAAUAUAUUCAAAAUUCAACCAACCAAUUUCAUAUCAAAUUCAAACACUUUCACAUAAGAUUCAAUCAAAUCCAUUCAAAUUUUCAUUACUCUGGUUAUCAAAUAUCAAAUGCCCAGUUAGGUGGGACUUUUCAAAUGGGUGGCUAGCCUCAGAUUGUUCCUGGUGGACGAAACCAAACACUACUAGUACUAGUAACCUCUAACCAAACCCCUAGAGGCUGGGGUCCAAAUCAAUUACAUUCCCACCAUGAAAUGUAAAGGUCAACUAUUAUAUCCCGUUGACAGGGCCGAAUAGUCAACUAUUAUUUCCCGUUGACAAGGGCCAAAUAAACCAGAGUGAUGUUCUUGUUCAAGUAUUCAAAUUUACACAACAUAUUAUCUCCAUAUUUUGUGUCAUAAAUAAAACAAAAUAUUUCAACAUAAUAUUUAGUGCAAAACAGUUUGAUCCAUGCAUGGUAACAAAAUAUCAUUUUCUUUUCCACAAUUCAAAAUAACAUAUAAAAUAAUUUAAUUUUAUAAAUAUUGCAUUAACUUCCCUUACCUCAAAAGAAGUCCUUGAAAGCUUGGGAGAAGAAUAAUUCUGAAAAAAAAUAUAAUCUACUCUUCACCUAAUAUAACAUAAGAGAAACAAUUAUUACUAUUUAUUUAUAAUUUAACAAAUCUAUUCCUUAUUUAAAUAAAACUAAUAAAUUCCCAAUUUGUUUCUAAUAACACAUUACUAAUUUAAUUAAAUUAUAACUUUAUUUCAUUAUAAAAUUCUAUAUAUAUAUUGCUAAAUCUCUUAUUCUAUUUAUUACAAAAAUACCAUUAUUACUAUUAUCUUAUUUAUUAAUCUAAAACUAAAUAUCAUUUUUUUUUUUUUUUAUUAUCCAAUUCAAUAGCUACCUAACCAUUACUCAUUCUCGGGUACACACCAAAAAGCAAGUUUUUUUUUUUUUUUUUUUUUUUGCCUAAUGAUGAUUCAUUAUAUAUAUAUAUAUAUAUAUAUAUAUAUAAGCCUCCAUAGCCCUCUGUCAUGCCCCACCUGCUUUUUUUUUUUUUUUCCUUCCUUCUUCCUUCCGGUGUGCACACGUGUCUCUUCUUUUCUUAUCAUUAUUAUUUUUUUUAUUAACUUUUUCUAAUCCCUUCCACCACAAAUAACAAUAUAUUUAUUUACUCUUUUUUUUUUUAAAUUAACCCUAAUCUAAAAUCGAAACCUUCCAAGGAACCCCUUUUUUUUUUUUUUUCAUCUAAUAAAACUUAAGAUCUCCCAAAUUCCAAUACUAAAAUCAAAAUCUUAGAUUUUCACUAUUUGAUAUUAAAACGAAUAAAAAAUAAUCUAACCCUAAUCUAGAUUUGGGGUUUUCCAAAAAAAUAUAUCUAAUGUGUUUGAAAUUAAUCAAUGAAUCUAAAAUAUUAAACUAGGGGUUAGAAUCUUACCUAUAGAGAUCUGUUCUUCAACCCUGAAAUCUGACUCCAACCUUACAUUCUCUGGAAUUCUACGAACAGGAACUCUAUUCAGAAAAGAAGGGAAAUAAUAAAAUUUCUAAUUUAUACCUAGGGUAUUUAUUUGUAAAAUUACACUUUUAGCCCUCUUCCACUUUAUUAAAUUAAUUAUUUAACUAAUUAAAUUAUUAAUAACAAUUUCCUAAAUUACCCUUAAAAGAAAAUGUCUGGGCGUUACAUCCUCCCCUCCUUAACAAAAGUUUAGUCCUCUAAACUUGACAUACCUGAGUCUUGGAAUAAUUGAGGAUGUUUUUCUCUCAUCUCUUCUUCUAACUCCCAAGUGGCCUCUCGGAUACUAUGAUUGCUCCACUGGACCUUUACCAACUUGACAAUAGCAUGUUGUAGUACCUUAUCCAUCACAUCCACAAUUUGAACGGGUACCUCUUCAUAGGUCAAGUCUUCAAAAAUUUGAAUAGGCUCCAACUCCACAACAUGAGAAGGAUCAUAAAUAUACUUCCUUAGAGUCGAAACAUGAAACACAUUAUGAACCUUAGACAGACUUGGGGGUAAGGCUACUUUAUAUGCCAAAGUGCCUACUCUUUCUAAUAUUUCAAACGGACCCACAAAACGAGGACUAAGUUUUCCUUUUCUCCCAAAUCUCAUCACAGACUUCAUAGGUGAAACUUUCAAGAACACAUGAUCACCCACCUCAAACUCCAAAUCUCGCCUACGAUGAUCAGCAUAACUCUUAUGUCUAUUUUGAGCUGCUUUUAAUAUUUCUUUAAUCAAAACAACUUUUUCAACAGUCAACUGCACAAGUUCAGGCCCCAAAAGUUUCCUUUCUCCAACAUCAUUCCAACAUAUAGGAGAUCGACAUUUCCUACCAUACAAUGCCUCAAAAGGUGCCAUCCCAAUGCUAGCUUGAAAACUAUUGUUAUAGGCAAACUCUACUAAAGGUAAAUGAUCAUCCCAAUUACCUUGCAGGUCCAAAAUACAAGCUCUCAACAAGUCUUCCAAAACCUGAAUUACCCUUUCUGAUUGGCCAUCAGUUUGAGGAUGGAAAGCAGUACUAAAACUCAACUUAGUGCCCAAAGCUUUUUGUAGACUAUGCUAGAAUCUAGAAGUGAAACGAGGAUCUCUGUCAGACACUAUAGAAACUGGUACUCCAUGCAUUCUCACAAUCUCCUUCACAUAAAGAGAAGCUAAACGAUCUAAAGAAAAGUUGACUUUCAUAGGCAAAAAGUGAGCAGACUUUGUCAACCGAUCAACAAUCACCCAAAUAACAUUAUUACCCCCUAAGGUUCUUGGCAAUCCUAUCACAAAAUCCAUGGUAAUAUGCUCCCACUUCCACUCAGGAAUAGCAAGUGGCUGUAAAGACCCUGCUGGUCGCUGAUGUUCAGCCUUCACCUGUUGACACACUAAACACUGAGCCACAAAUUGUGCAAUAUCACGCUUCAUACCUGACCACCAAUAGUUUUGCCUCAAAUCCUUGUACAUCUUUGUCUCUCCUAGGUGGAUUGCAAACUUGGAACAAUGAGCUUCCUCUAAAAGCUCCCUCCUUAAGUCUUCAUCAUUUGGGACACAAAGUCUAGUCCCAAAUCUCAAGAUCUCAUCAUCUGACAAAACAAAAUCAGGCUUACUGCCCCUCUUAACUUCCUCCAUAACUUGCACUAAUUGGGAAUCAUUCUUUUGUAGGGUCUUAAUUCUCCCAACUAAGUCUGUUGUACUCUGAAAUUUGCUACAAGUGCUCCUAAGCCCAUAACUCGAAAGUGGACUUGUAAACUCCUCAACUCUUCAAGUAACUGCCUUUGACAACCUCUAAUAGCUGCUAGAGAACCAACUGACUUCCUACUCAAGGCAUCAGCUACAACAUUCGCCUUCCCAGGAUGAUACUGAAUAAUACAAUCAUAGUCUUUAAGUAGUUCUAUCCAUCUUCUCUGUCUCAUGUUCAACUCCUUUUGGGAAAAUAGAUACUUCAAAAUCUUAUGAUCUGUGAAUAUCUCACAAGUUUCACCAAAAAGAAAAUGUCUCCAAAUCUUAAGUGCAAAAACCACAGCAGCUAACUCCAAAUCAUGAGUAGGGUAAUUCCUUUCAUAAGGCUUCAACUGUCUAGAAGCAUAAGCUACAACUCUCCCAUGCUGCAUAAGAACACAACCCAAACCCUGAUGAGAGGCAUCACUAUACACCACAAAUCCUCCUGAACCUGAAGGGAUAGUCAAAAUAGGAGCUGACACUAAUCUAUUCUUCAACUCUUGGAAGCUACAUUCAUAAUCAUCAGACCACUCAAACUUAACUCUCUUUUGUGUCAACUUAGUUAAAGGUAGGGCAAUCUUAGAGAACCCUUCUAUAAACCGCCUAUAGUAACCAGCAAGUCCCAAGAAACUUCGAAUCUCAGUCACAGUACUAGGUCUUCUCCAAUUAGCUACAGCAUCUACCUUGCCAGGGUCAACUGAGAUGCCAUCAUUGCUUACCACAUGCCCAAGGAAAGAAAUUCGGUCUAACCAAAACUCACACUUCUUCAGUUUAGCAUACAACUGCUUAUCUCUGAGGGUCUGUAAUACAAUACUCAAAUGGCCCUCAUGAUCCUCUCUACUCCUUGAGUAUACUAAGAUGUCAUCUAUAAAAACCACCACAAACUGAUCUAAAUAGGGUUUGAAUACCCUAUUCAUCAAGUCCAUAAAAGCAGUAGGUGCAUUAGUCAAACCAAAAGGCAUAACAAGAAACUCAUAGUGCCCAUACCUAGUUCGAAAAGCAGUCUUGGGUACAUCUUCCCCUCUAACCCUCAAUUGGUGAUAACCUGAUCGAAGAUCUAUCUUAGAGAACACACAAGCACCUUGUAGCUGAUCAAACAAAUCAUCAAUCCGAGGAAGGGGAUACUUGUUCCUCACUAUCACCUUAUUCAACUCCCUAUAGUCAAUGCAAAGUCUCAUUGAGCCAUCCUUCUUUUUCACAAAUAAAACAGGAGCUCCCCAAGGUGAAACACUAGGCCUGAUAAAACCCUUGUCUAAUAACUCCUGAAGCUGAACUUUCAACUCCUUAAGCUCCACAGGUGCCAUCCUGUAUGGGGGCUUAGACAUAGGACCUGUUCCUGGUACCAGAUCGAUGGUGAACUCCACCUCUCUCUCUGGUGGCAAGCCAGGCAAAUCCUCUGGAAAGACAUCAGGAUACUCCCUUACUAUGGGUAUGUCUUCCAACUUCAAAUCACUUUCAUUACUCAUCACACUAGCCAAAAAUCCUUGGCAACCCUUCUUGAGCAAGCUACUAGCUCGCAAGGCUGAGAUCAUACGCAGUGGUCUAUCCACAUGCUUUCCUUCAAAGCUAAACUUAGGCUGACCAGGAAUACUAAACGUCACCCUUUUCUCAAAACAGUCAACAGAGGCAUGGUAGGAAGCUAACCAAUCCAUCCCCAAAAUCACAUCAAAAUCCUGAAGGUCAAGGAGUACUAAGUCAACUGGCAUUUCCCUAUAACCAAUCAUCACAAUACAAUUUCUAAGCAUUCUACUGGCCACAACAGAAUCUCCCAUAAGAGUAGCAACAAUCAAAUCAAAGUCCAUGCUAGCAACAGGCAAACCCAACAAACCAGCAAAAGAUUCUAAAACAAAAGAGUGUGUUGAUCCAGGAUCAAUCAAGACUCUAGCAAAUAAGGUGUGGAUUCGAAGAGUACCUGUCACCACAUCAGAAGUGGCCUGAGCAUCAUGAUGAGUCAUAGCAAACACCCGUCCUUGGGCUUUGGGUUUCUGUUUAUCCUCCUUAUUUUCCUCUUUAGGCUUUCUAGUGAUGAACUUCCUAUUCUCUGGACAAUCUCUGAUCAAAUGUCCUUGCUUCCCACAACCAAAGCAAGCUCCAGUCUCUCUAUAGCAUGGCCUACCCCCAUGCUUCUUACCACAAGUAGGACAAGCCCCAUCUAAAUUCUGCGCUGCCUUCCCUUUAUUCUGAUUUCUUCCUGAUGUAGACCUUCAUUGUGCUUGAUUACCAUGAGCACCAUCACUCCUAUUUCGCUUCCUUUGCUGUUCCCUAUACUGAUGAAGCUCCUCAUUAUCUUUCUUUGCUAUAAGGGCUCUGUCAACAACCUCUGAAUAGACACCAAGCUUCAGAAUAGAUAUCUUGUUCUUCAAAUAAGGCUUCAACCCAUCCUGAAACUUUAAUGCCUUUUCCUCCUCUAUAGCAAUCAACUGUGGGGAAAAACGUGAUAAAUCUGUAAAUUUGGCCUCAUACUGAGCCACAGUCAUAUCCCCCUGUUCCAAACGAAUAAACUCUCCCACCUUUUGCCGCCUAACACUGUCAGGGAAAUACUUCUUGUAGAAAGCCUCCCUAAAUUGUCUCCAUGUUAUGGGUCCCUGAUCCUCCAAAAGUCUCUUAGUCAUACGCCACCAAUGAUCUGCCUCUUUAUCUAACAUAAAAGCUGCAUAAGAGGCUUUUUGCUCCUCAGAGCAAUCUAUGACACCAAAGAAUUUCUCCAUCUUAAGGAUCCAAGCCUCUACCUCUGUGGGAUCUGUAGCACCAGAAAAGUAAGGAGGACCCAAUUUCUUGAAGUCAUCAAAAGAGCUACCCCUAGAAGAUGAAGACUGUCCCUGAACAUUAGUCCCAACAGCUCGAGCUUGGCGUUCAACUAAACCAGCUAGUGUCCCAAGAUACCUAUAGAUCCCUUCUGCACUCACGGGAGGCAAACCCUCAACUGGAGGUACAUCAUCAUUAGCCUGACUGUUUUGGGAAGAUGCAGGUCUUCUUGGUGGCAUGGUGUCCUAUAAAGCAAUAGGUGUAACUAAAUUAGUCACUAAAAAGUCAAAUAAGUAAAUCAGAAUUGUAAGGAAUAAAAGGAAUCAGACUAGAUGAAGUUAAAACUUAAACUAAUACGUCACUCAUCUAUUCCCAAAGGUACACUAAACAAGUUCCCAUCAAGAUCACAACCUAGUGCUCUGAUACCACUCUGUCACGCCCCAAGACCCACUCCAAGGGCGUGACGGUCAUUUCACACCUCAAACCCGAAGGCUUAAAGUAUAAUCUGACCCAAACAGUCAUAUUGUAACUGGAUGUUACCAAUUACCAAAUACCUGCUCAGAGUAGCGGAAACAAAAUCUAAAAUCCUCAAAAUUCAAUUUCCAAAUAACUUCCAAAUACCAAAUGAUCCAAAAUAACAUAACUAAUAGUUAAACAAAAUCCAACAUAAAAUCCUAAGUCAAAUCCUAAUGAUGACCAUUCCUCAGCCUAGCCAUCACUCCUCACCCGAACUAAGAGUACCUGAAAAAUUUUCAACAAUUGGGAAUGAGCUCACAGCCCAAUAAGGAAUAUUAAUGCAGUUCAUGGAUCAAAUAUUUUCAUUUCAAAUAGGAGAUAUCAUUUUUUUUUUCUCAUCAAAUAUCAGAGUUUCAAAAAUACCAAUAUAUUCAAAAUUCAACCAACCAAUUUCAUAUCAAAUUCAAACACUUUCACAUAAGAUUCAAUCAAAUCCAUUCAAAUUUUCAUUACUCUGGUUAUCAAAUAUCAAAUGCCCAGUUAGGUGGGACUUUUCAAAUGGGUGGCUAGCCUCAGAUUGUUCCUGGUGGACGAAACCAAACACUACUAGUACUAGUAACCUCUAACCAAACCCCUAGAGGCUGGGGUCCAAAUCAAUUACAUUCCCACCAUGAAAUGUAAAGGUCAACUAUUAUAUCCCGUUGACAGGGCCGAAUAGUCAACUAUUAUUUCCCGUUGACAAGGGCCAAAUAAACCAGAGUGAUGUUCUUGUUCAAGUAUUCAAAUUUACACAACAUAUUAUCUCCAUAUUUUGUGUCAUAAAUAAAACAAAAUAUUUCAACAUAAUAUUUAGUGCAAAACAGUUUGAUCCAUGCAUGGUAACAAAAUAUCAUUUUCUUUUCCACAAUUCAAAAUAACAUAUAAAAUAAUUUAAUUUUAUAAAUAUUGCAUUAACUUCCCUUACCUCAAAAGAAGUCCUUGAAAGCUUGGGAGAAGAAUAAUUCUGAAAAAAAAUAUAAUCUACUCUUCACCUAAUAUAACAUAAGAGAAACAAUUAUUACUAUUUAUUUAUAAUUUAACAAAUCUAUUCCUUAUUUAAAUAAAACUAAUAAAUUCCCAAUUUGUUUCUAAUAACACAUUACUAAUUUAAUUAAAUUAUAACUUUAUUUCAUUAUAAAAUUCUAUAUAUAUAUUGCUAAAUCUCUUAUUCUAUUUAUUACAAAAAUACCAUUAUUACUAUUAUCUUAUUUAUUAAUCUAAAACUAAAUAUCAUUUUUUUUUUAUUAUCCAAUUCAAUAGCUACCUAACCAUUACUCAUUCUCGGGUACACACCAAAAAGCAAGUUUUUUUUUUUUUUUUGCCUAAUGAUGAUUCAUUAUAUAUAUAUAUAUAUAUAUAUAUAAAAGCCUCCAUAGCCCUCUGUCAUGCCCCACCUGCUUUUUUUUUUUCCUUCCUUCUUCCUUCCGGUGUGCACACACGUCUCUUCUUUUCUUAUUAUUAUUAUUUUUUUUUAUUAACCUUUUCUAAUCCCUUGCACCACAAAUAACAAUAUAUUUAUUUACUCUUUUUUUUUUAAAUUAACCCUAAUCUAAAAUCGAAACCUUCCAAGGAACCCUUUUUUUUUUUUUUUUUCAUCUAAUAAAACUUAAGAUCUCCCAAAUUCCAAUACUAAAAUCAAAAUCUUAGAUUUUCACUAUUUGAUAUUAAAACGAAUAAAAAAUAAUCUAACCCUAAUCUAGAUUUAGGGUUUUCCAAAAAAAUAUAUCUAAUGUGUUUGAAAUUAAUCAAUGAAUCUAAAAUAUUAAACUAGGGGUUAGAAUCUUACCUAUAGAGAUCUGUUCUUCAACCCUGAAAUCUGACUCCAACCUUACGUUCUCUGGAAUUCUGCAAAUAGGAACUCUAUUCAGAAAAGAAGGGAAAUAAUAAAAUUUCUAAUUUAUACCUAGGGUAUUUAUUCGUAAAAUUACACUUUUAGCCCUCUUCCACUUUAUUAAAUUAAUUAAUUAACUAAUUAAAUUAUUAAUAACAAUUUCCUAAAUUACCCUUAAAAGAAAAUGCCUGGGCGUUACAGUUGACCUUAGAGCUGCAUCCUCUUGAAUGCACCAAAUUGCCACCAUCACUAGCCUCUCCAACCUCUUCAUAUCAUUCAUAAGCUUCCACCAGCAUGCCAAUUUCCUUUGCACAAACCAUUCAUAAGCUCCAUCCAUUAGUGCAUCCUCUUCGUCUUCCUUUGCAAAUGCAACACUGGAAUUGCAGCAUAGGAUUUCUAGCGACAUUCCACCAUAGUAAGCAUCAACUUUAGCUGUGAUCGUUCCUUUCCUGAACCAUUUUGUUGCAAAGUAGCAUAUGGUCCGUCUUAUGCCACCUCCUCUUAAGAGUAGUUUAAGUUUGAUCAGCAAACAACAGCUUUGCUUGUUCAAAAUCUGAAAUCCUAGGUGUUAAGUGCCAAUCUGGGAGUAUUUUUUGGGGCUUUAUAUCACAAUGGAUGAUCUGGGUGCUGCACUCCUUCUGUGCAUUAGCCUUAUUACAACCCCAAAGGUGAGUAAAGAAGCCAUUGCUCAUGUAUUCAUGCACCAGAAGCUGACUAAAUUGGUCAAUCUCCUCUGCUCGAUAUUGCCUUGAAGCCAUGGGUGGCUACUUCAAGCUCUGUGUAUGAAUAAUGUGUCACAGUAGUAGUCCCCGCUUCCCCGGUAUGCUUGAAACAAACUGGAGACUGAUCAGUUUCUUACAGUAUCAAAAGACAGCAGCCACAGCUAACCACAAAAAGAGAUUGAAGAACACUACUGCCAAGGAGUAUUCUCAACAAGGAUCAAGGUAGACUUAUCUGGGCUUGUCUGUAAUACUUUUACUAUGUCUUCCACAGGACUGAGGAAAUCUCUUCUGCCAACACAUUGUCCGCAUAAAUGGCUACUGCACAGAAGCAAUCCUCUUUACAAGACUGUUUAAAAUUUCUCCUAGUCAAUGGCCCAUCGAAUCCGAAGUUCAGAAUCGGAAUGGCCAGUCUGUGUUGUUUAAUUCUAUGAACUCUACCUCAUUCUUCCCCGCUUCCCCUUCAUCUGCUUGGCAACUGGGCAUUGGAAAAUUUGGUCUUUGAAAUCUGGAACCAAGGUAGAAUACCUAUACAAGAACUCACAUCUGAAUAGCCACGGCCGCGGCCACUAACAGCUGUACAAUUGCCAUCGGUAAGUGCCUGCAGAACAGACGAAGAAGUAUUAAUGCAGUUCCAGUGGUUUGCAGUGUUCUUUUUUUAGUGAUUAUAGAAUCAAAAUCAAGUCUUGUCCUGUGGUAAUAGUCACUCCUGAAGUCUUUGUCUUCUGACAUGAGGUUAACUUAUUUGGCAAGAUGGUAUCAGUGGGAUUCUUGA
Molecule: long non-coding RNA, 509164 nt
Filed under: Vitis vinifera (wine grape)
Lineage: Eukaryota; Viridiplantae; Streptophyta; Magnoliopsida; Vitales; Vitaceae
Description: long non-coding RNA (VVIN_LNC004398)
Rfam family: tRNA (bases 135284-135354)
Source: RNAcentral